UACCAAGCUUCUCACUGGCUCUGAUUGUUCUGCAGAAAUGGGUUUUUGUCCUGUUAAAAGCUCAAUAAGAACAACUCCAAAGCUAUAAACAUCACUCUUCUCUGUGAAUUGACUUGAUCGAAAAUAUUCCGGAUCCAUGUAUCCAAAAGUUCCUUGCACCCGAGUGGUUAGAUGUGUUUGUUCAAGUGCAACUGAUCUUGAAGUUCCAAAAUCUGAUACUUUUGCCCUAUAUUUAUCAUCCAAAAGUAUGUUACUAGAUUUGAUGUCUCGAUGAUAAAUAGGAGCAGAAGCAGCUGAAUGCAAAUAGAACAAGGCAUUGGCAAUUUCAAUCGCAAUUCGUAAACGCAUUUCCCAUGUCAAUGGUAAUUCUUCAUUUUGGUUAUGAAUCAGAUCGUAUAAUGUACCAUUUGGGAUGAACUCAUACACCAAUAGAGGAACUUCAGCUUCUAAACAACACCCUAAAAGCUUAACCACAUUCCUGUGAUUAAUUUGAGAUAAAAUAAUUACCUCGUUAAUAAACUGUUCAACCUUCUUUUCAUCAAAUUUCAUUCCUUCCACCAUUUUGGACUUCUUAAUAGCCACAAUGCUUCCAUCUAUUAGCAUUCCUUUAUAAACAGUUCCUUGACCUCCUUGACCAAGGAUUCGAUUCUCAUUAUAAUAAUUGGUCGCCUUUUCCAUCUCUUUUGAAGUAAACAACUUUAUUUUGUCAACAUUACCUUCAUUGCUAGACAAAUGUUGUUGUAGUAGCAAACCUCCAUUCCUUUUGAAGUAUUUCUGCUUCAGCGUGAAUUUUUGUUUUCUUUUGAGAACUUUGUACAUACUCCAUGUUGCGAGUAGUAGAAAUAGUGUCCCAACACUAGUGCUGCAACCUAUAUAAAUAUAAGAAAAAUAGUUAAAAGAUAAAUUUGAAAAAUAACGUACUUGUUAAAAAACCAUGAAAUGUUUCGAUAAAGUUUUAUUCAUAUUUGACAACCCUUCAUUUCAAAUGAACAAUGAGUGCACCUUAUUGCACCAUCCAUUAUUUUGAUAUAACUUUUACAAAUGUACUGAUAAAUAACUAUUACUGCAUCACACAUUCAAAGGUAAAUAUAUCACUAUUUGAAUUGACAUAAUUCAAUAACCAUAACGAUUCCACUUUAAAAUCAAACACGUACCUACAAUAAUGCUUGUCAAGCUAUAAUUGUUUUUAUUCCGUAUUCUGCGCUCACAACGAAAUCCCGUACUAUUGAAUUUAUAAUGAGGAGGGCAAGACUCUGGGAAGCAAUAGUUGCUAGGAGUAUUCAAACAAAGCAUGCUGCAAUACUUAUAAAAUCCACAUUCCCGAACUGUCAUUUAUGAAAUGAAUAAAAAGAAGGUUAUAAUCAUAUAAUUCAGUUAAAGUAUAUGAGAGGUCCUUAUAUUAUAUGGAUUGAAUCAAAUUAGUUCCUCUAUUAUUAAAUGGAUCAAUUUAGUCUCUAUACUAUUAAAAAAAUCAAACAAGUUUAAAUUAUAACAACUUAACAUUUAUUAUAUAAAAAAUAUCUUGAAAAUUAUUUUUUUCAAUUUCUAUGUUCAAUUUCAAACAAAAUAUUUCAUUUACAAACCAUAAAAACUUUAAAAAUAAUUAAUUAAGUAAAUAAAUUUUUAAAUAAUAAAUAAUAAAUCUGUUUCAGUUUAUUCUUUCUAAUAAUAGAGAAAUUAAUUUAAUUAAAUCGUAUAAUCGAGGGACUCUCAUAUACAUUCACCUAUAUAAUUCAGUAAAUAUUAAUUUAGUAAUGCAUGCCAAAAUAGAAAAAAUUAUAUAUUUAAAACAUGAAAAGGAAAAUUCAUUCAGCUUUAGUUUAAUUGCAUUAUUGCUAUUGUAACAAUUAAAACCAAUUAUUUCAAAUGUGAUUAAGUGCAUUCAAAUUAGAAAGAGAUUUAGCUGUAUAGAAACAUAAAACAAAUAAGUAUAGUAGUUUUGUAUAAGAGGGAUGGAUAAUUUUUUAAUAUAUAUAUUAAUAUAUAUUGAAGGUUAAUAUUUUGAAAACUCAACCGUUGAAUUUAAUAUUUUAUUCAUAUAAAUUAUGCAUGUCAAAUUUGAUGUAAAUUAAAAAUUUUCAAUUUUUUGUUUUAUGUAAAAAAUAUUCCGUCCUUGAAUAUAUAUUAAUAUAUUGAGUAUUGUAGAUCAAUAUGAUAGAAAUAUCGGAUCAAUUCAAAAAUUUAUAUGCAUGACAAGUACAAUUAUAUCGAUAAAUUCAACGGUUGAAUUGUUAAAAUAUUAAUAGUAUAAAGAGAUAUGAAAGAGUGUAAAACAACUUUAAUUUUACACCAGUAUAAGUGGAUUACUUCCCAUAUUUUUUAUGUAAUUGUUUUUGUAUAUAUAUAUUCAAAUUUUACACACUUUAUUGAAUAUGAUUUCGUAUGUCCAAUCUUCAACUUAUUAGUAUAUUUUAGUCAUGAUAUACCUCAACCAAUAAUAACUAGAUUAUGGCACAUUAAUGAUGUAAGUGAAAAAAAAAUUAUGUAACAAUUUAUUUAUAAAAAAAAUUGAUAUAAAAAAUAGGAGUUUAUUGAAAUGGUAAAGUUAAGAUAUUAGCUAUCAUGGUGCCUUCGUUCAAAUUUUAUUAUACUCAUUUUUCUAGAUUUUACAUAAAAUGUAAAAUGACAAAAAUACUUUCAUAAAAAUAUUUGUUGUUUUUAUAAAAGUAACUGAUUUUCAUAAUUUUUCAUAAUUUUAUUUAUAAUAGUACUACUUUAAGGCACACCCGUGAUGUGAGCAGAAAAAAAUAUGUAAUAAACAUAUUUAAUUAUAGCUUAUAUAAGAAUAGAAUGAAUCAUUAGUUGAAAUGAUAAAUUUUAAAAUUAUUGUGUGAAAUGUUCAAAUUUCACCAUGUCAAAUUUAUUAUGAAUUUUAUAUAAAAAUAUAAAAAGAUGAAAAUACCCUUAAAAUAAUAUAACUUAAUUUGUAUAUAAAAAUAUAUUUUAAUAAUUUUUCGAGGUAUACAUAUAAGUUAAGGCGAAGGGAUUGUAUGAAACCAUGAUUCCACGCCAUCACUAUCCCUUUUCAUUAGGAGAAUGACAAAUCAUAUUUUCCUCUUCAUUUUGAACAUUUUUAGUUGGAUUCAAAUUUUUUUAGGGGGAAAAACCUGAAAAUCAAGAGAAAAAAAUAUGAUUUGUCAUUCUCUUAUUGGAAAUGGAUAGAGAUAAAGUGGAAUCACAGUUUCUUAUAAUCCUUUCUCAUAAGUAAAGAUAAUAAAUAUAUAAGAAGAAAAGUUCCCUAAAAAAACAUUAAUUCGUACCUUCGCAUAACCUUGAAUAACAGAUAUCACCGAUAUCCUUGAUGCACACACAUAGAUGAUUAGAGCUCAACCUCGACCAACAAUAUUCAUCAUCGGAUGUACAAGAAGUGUCCAGACUAUCAUUCAAAUAGCACACUCCAUAUAUUGGUGUGCCCCAUUGCAGUUGUGUUGGGAUAUGCGUCCAAUUGCUUAUAUUAAAAUCGUCUAACACGGAGGUCAGAUAAUAGUCUGAAAUUAUGGAAGCAAAUCCGCAUGAUCUUUUCCUCUUAUAAUCACUAGAAUCAACCCUACUAGUCAUGUUUAUGUAGAAUGAACUAAGACCCCAAGGAAUAUUAAUAUGACAACCAGCAAUAGAGGAAGUCUCGUUAUUAAUCCUAUAACUUGGUUGCAAACAUCCGCUUAUAAGAGUAUCCGUUUCAUUGCAAAAAAAUAGUAACUAAAUUACCGCAACCUAAAGACCAAAAAAUGUUGAAAUGUGAGUAGUAAAAGCGGGUGCCAGUUAGGUUGAGACUCAUCCCUUUUUUGUGAUGGUUUUUUCAACAGUUGAAGUAAGUUAUUGGAUGAUUGACCACGACAGUGCCAUACAAAUAAUCAAAGUCCAAUAUUUGUAGAUUCAUGCCAUUUAUAGUUAAGAAAGGCAGUUUUUGCCCAUUGGCAGUUUUGCGGCAAUUUACUUUAAACCAGUCAUUGGGAUUAUCUUGAUCCUUCAUUCUGAAAGGGUAAUGAAAAGUAACAUAAUUUCCACAUGCCUCUAUCAUGUAGGGUUUGAAGUUGAUACGUCCUAGUCUUGGUCUUUCGCAUCCUGUUAAUAAAUAGGGAGUAAAUUGCAAAAUCUACUAAAUGUAAUAACAUCCAAUGUUUCUAAGAAAUAAAAGCAAUGUCGUUAUUCAAAAAAAUAUAUAUAAUGAUCUAAAUUGAAGUUACCAAUGAAAAGGGUUACUCUUAACUAAAAUUUUUAAUUAAAUUUGUGUAUUACUUGUGACAUUAAAUUCUAUAAAGACUUUCUUAUUAUCAAUAUUUCUAAUUAAAAACAGUUGCCUUUAAAAAAAAAUGAAUUCCACUUAAAAGAAAAUCUGUGUUGCAGUUUUUUUUUUCACACCCAUCCUCUCUUUACAUAAUACACUGUAAAUUUUAUUCUAAAUAUUAAUUUCUUAAUUGAAUAUAAUACUUAAACUAAUGAUUCCAAAUUUUUUUAAGGAACUAAUAUUCAAUAUUUAAAAAAAAUUAGAUUUAAAAAAGAAUCAUUAUAAACAAAAUUAUGUAAAUUAUGAAAUGAAUCUACACAUAAUACAAAAAUUUUAAUAUAUAAAACAAACCAACAUGAAGCCAACGGUGUCCUUAAUCUCCCUGAUUAAGUGAAAAUUUUAGUAAACUACACCUUUCUGCCUAUCCCAAAAGAAAAAAAAAUUAACAUAAACAUUUUAACUCCUCUAAAAAAUUAAUAAUUUAAUUUAAUCUCGUUUAAGUAUUAAUUCUAGUUUUUAAAAUACAAAACUUUUAGGUGUAAAUUUUUUAAAAAGAAAAAUAUUAAUAUACAAAAUGAAUGAUCCUAAAAACUUUUUUUCGUACUUAUAUUAUUCUAAAGACUGAUUUUAAACAAGUAGCAAAAUCAUUAUAUUAACUGAACUAAAAGACGAAAAAUAAAAGCCAAGCAAUUGAAGUGACAGUGCGUGACUGACCUGUGUCUCCGCAAUUGCUGGAUUUCCAGUUGAGCACGGCGGGAACAUGCGUGGUUCCAAUAUUGAUGCCACUGAGUAAUCGGUGCGGGCUAUAGAUGAAAGCAGAUGCGCAUCUGUUGCUGUCAGGAUACAUGGCCGUCAUGUUUACAGUAUAGGAAGUGAGAUUUACAGUAAUAUAAGUAAUGCAGCCAGAUUCAGAAGCACCAUCAUCGUCACACCUGGAUUGAAUGCAGCCGCCAAGUGAGUCAGCUUCGUUACUUAAAAUAGUAGCUAAAUUUCCACAACCUACUGACCCGAAAUAAUUCCUCUCACUUGAGAAGAAAAAGGGAGUGCCUGAGAGAUUCACACUCACACUAGCCUCGUUUGUAUGAUCACAAUUAAUGUAAGCAACUGGAUUGCGGAUGAGAAUACCGUUUGAAUAUAAGGAACCAAGUACCUCCAGAUCGAUGCCAUUUACGUUUAUGAAAGGCUUUUUCCCAUUUUGGGUUUGGUUGCAAGUUACUCUAAGCCAAGAAUAAGUAUAGCAGCUGCUAUGGCUUCCAAAAGGGGAUGAAAUUGUAAUAUUUCCACAUACUUCUUCUCCACAGGCAGGUUCUUGAGAUUCUGCUGCUUGUAAUAUUGGGCAUAACAGGAACAGGAUCAGGAGUAGGAGGGCGAAGUAAAGCGCUAACUGAAAACCCAUUUCUAAUUGUUAUUUGCUUUGAGGGAAAUGAAUGAAGAUUUAGGUUGGGUUACUGAAGAAGUCAGGAGAGCAGAGUUAAGUAGCACCAGUAUAAGCAGACGAUAUUUGAGUAAGAAGCAAAUGAAAAGUCUUUGCUCACACUUUCCUUGAAGUUCCAGUGUAAGUGCAUUUGAUUUGAGAAUAAUUCAUUAUUUUGUAAAGACUUUUAUUGGACAAUUUUCGGUCUCCAUUUAUUUUUUUUAAAAAAUUUAAACUAGAGUAGGUUACGUACAAAGAGUUAGUGUUAAAAGGUGGCAACAAACAGCAUAUGUAAGUUAGCCGGAUGAAGUACAGCAAUAUGCAAAACAACAUAUGUUAUCCGGAUGAAGUAUGUUUUUGUACCAGUUGACCUAUAUUUGUUCUGACAACUUUUUUUGUUUUGUCUGUUUAAAGUGAGUCAAGGACUAAGCAGCUUUAGACUGUCAGCAGGUUACUAUUGAACUAUUUUUGUGCAAGCUACUUUUCAGAAAAUUUAUUGCUUUUUCAAUGUAAUAGCUUAAUAUAUGUACAUUUUAUCUUUAAAACUUUCAGAUGAAUGAGAAGAAGUCAACUUAAGUUUUUUCCCCUUCAACCUUUGAGUUCUGCUUCUGUUUUUUGAGCUUUCAAACACAAAAUUUGUUUGCUUUGUUUUCAUUGAUUAUUUGGUUGAAACUUAACACAUAUUUUACCUGGAAUUAUUGCUUUGUUGCUCUAGCUUCAACAAGAGCUUCAUAUUUUACCCGGGUAAAUUAGUUCUGUUUUUUCUUCCUGUGUGAAAAACCCAACAAAUGGUAUCAAGAGCCUGUUAUCUUUGAGGGCCUUGGUUGUGUUUUGUUUGUGAGUGACAAGUGUUUGAAAGAAAAGAAGCAGGAGCUAUUUUUUGUUGGCUUGUUUGGUUGCUGCAAAGAUGAGUUUUUCACCACCACCACCACCUGUUUUUGCUGGUGAAAACUACAAUAUUUGGGCUGUGAAAAUGAAGACAUAUCUGCAGGCACAUGACCUGUGGAAUGUUUUUCUAAAUGACACAGAGCCACCUCCCUUGAGAGCUAAUCCGACCAUAGCUCAAAUCAGGCAGCAUAGUGAGGACACUGCCAAGAAGUACAAGGCCAUGUCGUGUCUUCAGAGUGGAGUUUCAGAUGUUAUUUUCACAAGGAUAAUGGCCUGUGACUCACCAAAGCAGGCCUAGGACAAACUCAAGGAGGAGUUUCAAGGGUCAGACAAGACCAGGCAGCAACAACUGAUCAACUUGAGGAGGGACUUGGAGAAUCUAAGAAUAGAGGACUCAGAUACCAUCAAGCAGUAUGCAGACAGGAUUAUGGCCACAGUCAACAACAUAAGACUGCUUGGAGAUGAGUUUAGUGACCAAAGGGUGGUUGAAAAAGUCAUAACAACCUUACCAGAGAAGUAUGAAUCAAAAAUCUCUUCUUUAGAAGACUCGAGGGACCUAUCAACCAUUCCCUUGACAGAGUUGAUAAAUGCUCUCUAUGCACAAGAGCAAAGAAGAGCAAACAGAAUGGAAGAGCACUCUGAGGGAGCUUUUCAGGCUAGGUGUAGAGAAAGCUCAAGCUCAAGCUCAAGUUACAAAGGCAAGAAGCCUUGGCUAGAAAAGAAAGAGAAAGGGAAGAAGGAUGCUGCUAAAAAGAAGUUUCCACCUUGUGCUCAUUGCAAGAAGACUACUCACCUUGAAAAAUACUGCUGGUACAGACCAGGCAUUCAGUGUAGAGUUUGCAAACAGCUUGGACACAUUGAAAAGGUGUGCAAAAACAAGCCAAAAGCACAGCCACAGCACCAGAACCAAGCUCAGGCUACUGAGGAUGUGGAAGCACUGGAAAAGCAUGUCUUCACAGCUUCUUGUUUUGCAAGCUCAAGUAAGGUCAGCAAAAAUUGGUUGAUUGACAGUGGAUGUACUCAUUAUAUGGCUUCAGACAAAAGUAUGUUCAGGGAGCUAGACACCAGUUUCAUGUCCAAAGUCAGAAUCGUCAAUGGUGAACUCAUAGAGGCCAAAGGCAAGGGCAAGGCUGUGAUUGGCACAAAGUCAGGUAACAAAACCAUCUUUGAGGUUCUUUAUGUACAUGACAUUGACCAAAAUUUGCUGAGUGUUGGUCAGCUACUAGAGAAGGGGUAUUCUCUCAUUUUUGAAGGCAAGAUUUGUGUGAUUAAAGAUGCUGCUGACCAGGUGUUAGUAACAGUAGCCAUGGAUGAUCGACGCUUCACUUUAGAUGUGAAUCAGCUAGAACCAAAGAUAUGUGUAGCUCAGGCUGAUGAAUCAAGUUUGUGGCAUAGAAGGCUAGGCCAUGUGAACUACAAGUCACUUAGCCUGCUGCACAAAAUGAGUCUGGUAAAAGACAUAUCUUUUCUUGAACCAAAGAAGGAUGUGUGUGAAGUAUGUCAACUUGGCAAGCAGACCAGAAUGCCCUUUCCAGUCAAUAAAGCAUGGAGAGCUCAAGAGAGGCUCCAACUGGUCCAUACAGACAUCUGUGGACCUAUGAAAACCACCUUCCUGAAUGGCAACGGUAUUUUGCACUAUUCAUUGAUGAUUGCACCAGAUUCUGUUGGGUAGGCUUUCUAAAGCAAAAGUUGCUGACUUCUUUUGCAAGUUCAAAGCACUGGUUGAGAACCAAGCCAGUUGCAAGCUGAAAAGCUUAAGGUCAGAUAAUGGAACUGAGUAUGUGUCUCAAAGGUUCCAAAAGAUAUGUGAUGAUGCUGGAAUUCAACACCAACUAACAACCAUCUACACACCACAACAAAAUGGUGUUUGUGAGAGGAAGAACAAGACAGUUCUUGAUAUGGCCAGGUGCCUUUUGUUUGAGGCUAAAAUGCCUAACAAAUUUUGGGCUGAGGCAGUAAACACAUCUGUUUACUUGCUGAACAGACUGCCAACUAAUGCAGUGAGGGGUAAAACACCCUUUGAAGCCUGGUUUGGACAAAAACCAACAGUGUCACACUUGAAGGUAUUUGGUUGUUUGUGCUAUGCACUGGUUCCAGCAGAAAAAAGGACUAAGCUUGAAAAAAGGUCUAUGCCAGGGGUGUUUGUAGGCUACAGCAGUGUGAAGAAGGGUUAUAGGAUCUUUGAUCCAUUGACCAAAAAAAUUGUAGUGAGCAGAGAUGUGAAGUUUAAUGAAGUAGGCUACUGGAAAUGGGAUGGAACUAAUGCAAGUUUGCUUGAGGAGGACCAAAAUGAUCUUGACUUGCAGCAUGCUGAGAUUGAAGCUGAAGCUGAAGGUGAUUAUGGUGAUGUACCUGUCAGAGGGACUAGGACACUAGCAGACAUCUAUGAAAGGUGUGUUGUAACCAUAGUUGAGCCUUCUUGCUAUGAUGAAGCAGCAAGGGAGAGCUACUGGCAAGAAGCUAUGGAAGCUGAACUGAAGAUGAUCCAUAAGAAUGAUACUUAGGAGCUGGUUGAUAGGCCAGCAAAUAAAAAAGUUAUUGGUGUCAAAUGGGUGUUCAGGACCAAGAACAAUGCAGAUGGGUCACUGAACAAGCACAAGGCCAGGCUAGUUGUGAAGGGCCACAGUCAGCAACAAGGAGUUGAUUUCUUUGAAACCUUUGCACUUGUUGCAAGGUUAGACACCAUAAGGCUAUUAUUUGCCUUAGCUGCUCAGAAGCAAUGGAAAGUCCAUCAAUUAGAUGUUAAAUCAACAUUUCUGAAUGGAUUUCUCAAUGAAGAAAUUUUCAUAGAACAACUUGAUGGAUUUAAGGUUGCUGGUGAAGAACAUAAAGUCUACAAGCUUAAGAAGGCUUUGUAUGGUCUAAAGCAGGCUCCAAGGGCCUGGUAUGACAGGAUUGAUGCAUACCUGUCAAGGCUGGGAUUUGUGAAGAGCAUCAGUGAGCCUACACUUUAUGUGAAGAAGGCUGAGAAAGAAACCUUGUUGAUAGUCUCACUUUAUGUGGAUGACUUGUUAGUUACUGGCUGCAGAAGUGAGUUAAUUGAGGAUUUUAAGAAGCAGAUGCAAGAUGUGUUCGAAAUGACUGAUCUUGGUUUAAUAACCUACUUCCUUGGUAUGGAAGUGAAUCAGAAUGAGCAUGGCAUUUUCAUAAGCCAGCAAGCAUUUGCACUAAAAGUUCUAAGCAAAUUCAGCAAGUCAAAGUGCAAGUCUGCUAACAUUCCAGUUGCACUAGGAGAGAAACUAUCAAGCACCAGUGAGCAUGAUCGAGUGGAUGAAAAGGGGUACAGGAGUUUGGUUGGUUGCCUACUCUAUUUAAUAGCAACAAGGCCAGAUAUUAUGUAUGCUGUUAGCCUUCUCUCGAGGUUCAUGCAUUACUGCAACAUAGCUCACUUCAAGGCUACUAAAAGAGUCUUAAGGUAUGUCAAAGGAACCUUAGGCUAUGGUGUGAUGCUUGAGAGAGCUGAAGAAUUGAAGUUGGUUGGUUAUUCAGACAGUGAUUUGGCUGGCUCAGUUGAUGAUAUGAAGAGCACAUCAGGAUACUUCUUCACUCUAGGUUUAGGAGUUUUUAGUUGGAGUUCAAAGAAACAGCAGACAAUAGCUCAAUCCACUGUAGAGGCUGAGUAUAUUGCAGCUGCUACUGCUGUUAAUCAAGCAAUUUGGCUUAGAAAGCUGUUGGUUGAUUUGAAUGCUAAUCAAGUAGAAGCAACAGAGAUGACAAGCGUCGUUUUUCCUAUCAAAGUAAAAUAAACCUCUUCAAAAAUAAAAUAAAUAAAUAAAAAGGUAGAAUAGUGGAAGAGGGUCGAUCCACAGGGAGAUUAAUGGAAUUUUUGAUUAAAUUUCUUGUUCUCGACUUAGGAGCUGAAAUGGAAAAUAAAAAAAAGGUGAUUUGAGAAGUAACAAGAAAAUAAAAUAAACAAGUAAAAGUGCAAAGAAAGAUGUAUUAAAAUAAAAGCAAUAAAGUAAAGAAGAUGAAAGAUUAAGUUGAAUAAACACGAGUAUAAGAAUCACCUCGAGCUAGUUUCGUCAAUUCCCACGAUCAUCGAAAAUAGAUUUUUGCUCCGGGAUUCAUGUCGGUUACAGUCUACGAGGCCCAACCCAUCUUAACUUACUUUUCUCUCAUGUAACCGAUCUUCCCAAGUCUAUCUUCGAAAGUCGAUUCUUAAGUAAAUCAACCACGUCUAUCGCCGUUAAAAUACUUAGUUUUAAAACAGGAAAAGCCCAACUCGGAAGUUGUCUUAUCAAGAAUCAUUUCCGAUCUCGUCUUUCCUUAGCAGACCGCCGCUAAGAGUGUUCAUAGGAAGUCGAAAUGCCACAGGCUGAUCCUUCCUCCCAACUGUAAAAUUAAACGAUUCCAGACCAACGAAUCCUUUUUGAUUUGAAAAACGUUUAAAAAUUUUAGUAAGGCCGAUUGCCAAACUAUCUAAGCAGAAAGACGAAAAUGUAUCCCGAAGGGAUUUAAGCAAUAUUCAAUUCUCACGUGAGGAAUUGAUUCGUACUAGCUCUUGGCUUGAGAAAAAUUAGCCAAGCAUGAUAUUGAUUAUCAUGCUUAACAUGUUUUGAUAAUGUAAAAACAUAAAAUAAAAUAAAGUAAAGUAGAAAUAAAACAAAAGAAGAAAAUUUUAUUAAAAAUGAAAACAAAGUAGCAAUAAGGACAAACGACAAGAGAUCCCCUUAGCCUUACCCAAAGGUGGGUAUUUAUAGGCUUCAAAUUCCCAAAUCAACAAGGAAAAUUAAUCAAAAAAAGAUAAGAUAAUAUCUUUAAAAUUAUGAAAAUGAAAUCCAAAAUCCCUCAAAUCACGUCAAUAGAUCAAGAUAAGUUGUUUCCAGAAUAUUCCCGUGUUGACUUCUGAUUUGCCACGUCAGAUCCGCGUCGUGCCCAGCGUCGUGCCCACGACUCCAGCCGCGACAGAAUAAGCGUCGUGCCCACGACUCCAGCCGUGACAGAAUAAAAAGAAAAAAAACUACAGAUUAUGUCUUUUUGUUGCCAUUUCCAGUAUUGGGUUCACUACACAAGAAAUAAAUCAAAUACAACGAAUUAAGUAGUGAAAAAUUCAUAAGGCAAAGGAAUUAACAAGCAAAAAGUGUCAAAUGUAAGAGUACAUCAAGUUCCCCCUCACUUGUCUCAUACUUGCCCUCAAGUAUGUUUGAAAUAAAUUAAUCAAAAGCUUAAUCAUCUUUCUCCUAGACCGUUGCAAGUCUUAAACAAAGUUAUGAAAGUUCAAGUGCACAAAAAAAUGACGUGAAUAAAACAUGAAUCAAAACGAAUAGGUGCAAGCAAGAACAAUCAUUCAACCUUACCAUUGUCUAUCAAUUAUCAAUCAAAUUCUAACCUUAGCUCAAUUCUUACCAAGAUGCACUCAAAUCACUAAAAGUGUUUCGGGUGUAGAAAUCAAAUUCACUCAAAGUCAAAAUUUGAAUAAGGGUUUCCAUAGGCUUGUGGCAAGAUCAAUUCUCCACUACUUUAAAGAAAUGAGAUGCAAAAAUCAUUAGGACUUUUAAUAAAGGGUGUAAUGGGGCUUAGGUAAAGGUGGGGAAUAAGGCUAAAAUGAGGCUAAAGAAAAUCAAGACAAGAGUUUCCCAACAAGUAACUAUAUCAUGUCCACAACCUUAGAAAACAUAGGCAACAAUAAUAAGCAAACUAAGUAGAGGUAGCUAUAAUGAACAAAUCAUCAAACUUUUUUAUUUUUAUUUUUUAACUUUUUUUUCUCUCUUUUCUUUUUUUUUUCUUUUUUUUUUCGAAUUAUUUCUUCUUCUUCUUCUUUUUUUUGUUUUUUUUUGUUUUUUUCUGUUUUCUGUUUUACUUUUUUAUCUUUUUUUUGUCUCUUUUUUUUGUGGAACAUGAUCUCACAACCUUAAACUUAUGCUCUUUGUCUUGUCAAGGGUGGAAGAGAGGAAUAAAUGAAAAGGCUCGGGUUUAAAAUCUUGUGAAAAUAAAGAAAACGGGAUUAGGUUUCAACUUGGUUCAUUAAGGGAAAAGAAAGGGUGAAUCCUAAUGCCUAAAUCAUAUUAAUGCAUCAAAUUCCAAUGUAAUCUCAAAAUGCAUACAAGCCACAAGUUCUAGAUUCCAAUGUCCAAAUUGACACUCUCAGGCAAGAAAAAGGAGCAUGAAAAUAUAAUCAUGCAUGCUAAAGGCUCAAGUUCUCACAAAAUGGGCUAAUUAAUUAAGCUAGGUGAGAAAUUCAACUAACAACAUCAAGACAAAUUGUAAGGGUUGUCAAAUUGGACUUACUCAUAUUAUUUGAUUAUCAAACAUACUAGAAUUCAAGUAUCUUUAUGAACUAAAAUAAUCAUAACAUGCUUAGCGACAAGCAAUGACAAAGGAGUUGUUCUUCUAAUCAAUUCAAACAAACAUAUCAUCAAACAAAUAUGACAAGUAAGGCGAAAUUAAUGUCAUCCUUUACCCUCCCCCUCACUUAAUCGUAUUGUCCCAAUACAGAAAAAAAUGUAAAGUACAUUUAAGAACAAAGAAAGGUAAAGGAUACUCCCCGUGAUCAAUGACGACAGCGGCCACGGUUGAGGUAAAGGAAGGAAAGUUUUUCCGUGAUGUUCUCUUCUAGGGCCUGGAGGGGUCUGAACAAACGACAAAUAGAAAUAACAAAAAAUAAAAUUGAUGAAAAGUAAACAAAUGGGUUGCCUCCCAUUUAGCGCUUUGUUUAACGUCGUUAAGCUCGACAUUUUCCUGUCAGAUUUUUGGCUCUUCCAACCCGAUUUCUUCAAUUAGUCCGAUUGGUGUGCUCUCGAAGAAAGGUUUUAGCCGUUGUCCAUUGACUUUAAACUGUGCACCUGAGCUAUCCUCAAUUUCUACGGCUCCAUGAGGAAAAACAUUGAUCACGGUAAAUGGUCCGCUCCACUUGGACUUAAGUUUUCUUGCAAAAAUUUUUAAUUUUGAGUUAAAUAGGAGAACUUUCUGCCCAACGGAAAAUGAUUUAAAUGAAAUGCGCUUGUCAUGAAAUGCUUUUGUUCGCUCUUUAUAAUUUUGUGCGCUAUCGUAAGCGUUGCGGCGAAUCUCCUCAAGCUCUUGGAUAUGAAGUUUCCGUGCUUCACCAACAACGUUCAUCUCCAUAUUACAUUCCUUUACCGCCCAAAAUGCCCUAUGCUCGAGUUCGACAGGCAAGUGGCAAGGUUUGCCGAAAACAAGUCGGUAAGGUGACAUUCCGAUAGGUCCUUUGUAGGCCGUGCGAUAUGCCCACAACGCAUCAACUAACUUCAAGCUCCAAUCUUUCCGAUUUGGUUUAACGGUCUUCUCUAGGAUUGACUUGAUUUCUCGAUUUGAAACCUCUGCUUGUCCGUUGGUUUGCGGAUGAUAAGCUGUUGCUAUUCGCUGAGUCACGCCAUAUUUCUUCAUCAAAGCUUCGAUGAAUCGAUUAACGAAAUGUGUUCCUCUAUCGCAAAUGAUCGCUCUCGGAGUUCCAAAUCUUGAGAAAAUAAAAUCACGUAAAAAAUUAGUUGUGGUUUUCGCAUCAUUUUCUCGGGUGGCUUUCGCCUCUACCCAUUUCGAAACGUAAUCAACGACCAAAAUAAUGUAUAAAUUUCCAAAUGAUGAGGUAAAUGGCCCCAUAUAAUCGAGCCCCCACACAUCGAAAAUUUCACAAAUGUGUAUAGGAUUUAAUGGCAUCUCACUCCUUCGACUUAGAUUUCCGACUCUUUAGCACCUGUCACAUGCUUUGCAAAAGUUGUAAGUGUCUUUAAACAAGGUUGGCCAAUAAAAUCUGCACUCAAGAAUUUUGUGUGCAGUUCGUUUAGGGCCGAAAUGUCCACCGCAAGCGUAGGAAUGACAAAACUCAAGUAUGGAUUUUACCUCGCUGUUACUUACGCAUCGUUGUACGAUUUGAUUCGAGCAAUUUUUCCAUAAAUAUGGGUCAUCCCAAAUGUAGUAUCGAGACUCUCUUUUUAUGUGUUUGAUCUCAGAUUGAGAUAGAUUGUUCAGAAAUUUACCCGUAGCUAGAAAAUUCGCUAAAUCGGUGAACCAUGGGAAUGAUGUGUGUGCUUCCAUCAAUGUUUCGUCUAGAAAUUGUUCUCGUAGGGGAGGUUCGACUGGUGAAGUAGGCAAACGGCUUAGGUGGUCAGCUACUAAGUUUUCGCUUCCCUUUUUAUCCUUGAUUUCAAGAUCGAACUCCUGCAGUAAGAGAAUCCAUCGUAUCAACCUCGGCUUUGCUUCUUUUUAUUCAUCAAGUAUUUCAGCGCUGCAUGAUCGGAAAAAACAAAAAAUUUAGUUCCUAAUAAAUAAGAACGAAAUUUUUCUAAUGCAAAAAUGACAGCAAAAAGCUCUUUUUCCGUUGUCGAGUAGUUGCGUUGAGCCGAGUCGAGAGUCCUAGAGGCAUAGGCUAUCACGUGUGGUCCUUCUUUACUCCUUUGGCCGAGAAUGGCUCCCACGCUAAGGUCAGAUGCGUCACACAUAAUCUCAAAUGGUAAAGUCCAAUUUGGUGGUUGUACAAUUGGUGCGGAUAUAAGCCUUCCCUUAAGCUCAAAGAAAGAAUCUUUGCAAGAUUGAUCAAAAGUAAAAUUCACGUCCUUUUGUAGUAAUCGGCAAAGAGGUUGCGCCAACUUAGAGAAGUCCUUUAUGAACCGUCGGUAGAAACCUGCAUGGCCAAGAAAACUACGAAUUUCCCUCACCGAAGUGGGGUAUGGAAAUGAGCGAAUUACAUCAAUCUUUCCCUUAUCAACGGCAAUUCCUUGGGCCGAAACUGCAUGACCGAGUACCAAUCCUUUACUUACCAUGAAAUGGCAUUUCUCGUAGUUUAAAACCAAUUUAAAUUUAAUGCAUCGAUUAAGAACAUAAGAAAGAUUGGAAAGGCAUUGAGAGAAUGAAUUACCGUAAACAGCAAAAUCAUCCAUAAAUACCUCUAUUCCUCGCUCGAUGUGAUCAGAGAAAAUGCUUAACAUGCAUCGUUGGAAUGUGGCCGGAGCGUUGCAAAUACCGAAAGGCAUUCUUCUAUAGGCGAAAGUUUCGAAAGGGCAAGUGAAUGUUGUUUUUUCUUGGUCUUCAGGUGCCAUCGGAACCUGAAAAAAUCCAGAAAAUCCAUCAAGACAACAGUAAUGUGUUUUUCCAGCUAGUCUUUCGAUCAUUUGAUCGAUAAAUGGUAUAGGAAAAUGGUCCUUUUGGGUUUGUGAGUUGAGUUUCCUAUAAUCGAUACAUAUUCUCCAACCAUUUUGUACUCUCUUCGGAAUCAUUUCUCCUUCGGCAUUUUCGACCAACGUAAUUCCAGUCUUCUUUGGCACAAUAUGGACUGGACUUACCCACUUGCUAUCAGAAAUGGGGUAGAUAAUGUCAGCAUCUAGCAACUUUUGAAUCUCUUCCUUCACAAUCUCCAUCAUUGACGGGUUUAAACGUCGCUGGCCUUCUCUCGUUCGUUUCGCGUUCUCCUCUGUUUUAAUUUUAUGCAUGCAAGUGGAUGGACUUAAGCCUUGGAUAUCAGCUAAUGUCCAUCCAAUUGCCUUUUUAUAGGUGCGCAAAACAACAAUCAAUUCUUCCUCUUCCUGUCGUGAUAAUUCACUUGAAAUGAUAAUUGGCAAGGUUCGGUUAUCGCCCAAAAAUUCGUAUUUGAGAUGCGAUGGAAGUUGCUUCAAUUCUAGUUGUGGCUCCUACAAAAUUGAGGGAAGGGGUUUAGGUGGAAUUAAUCGAGAAUCAGAAAUGGAGGAAAGAGUUGAAAUGAUUUCACUUUCAUCAUCGAGAUCCUCCAAUUUCCUACAAAAAUUAUAAAACAAAUCAGUUUCGAUAAAAUCAUCAGCUAACGGAUCUAUAAUAUCAACAAAAUUUAAACUUGCGAUGGAAUCAGGAUACUUCAUAGCUUUGUACACAUCGAAUUUAACCACUUCCCCAUCAAAUUCCAUGGUUAAGAUGCCGUUACGGACAUCAAUUUUUGUAUGCGCUGUUGACAAGAAAGGGCGUCCAAGCAAGAUUUCUGAUCCGUUGUUGCUGCGGUCAUUUUCCAUGUCAAUAAUGUAAAAAUCAGCAAGGAAAAUGAGAUCGUUUACCUUUACCAACACGUUUUCUAGUACCCUUUCGGGGUAGAUAACUGACCGAUCAGCUAAUUGAACCGUCACUCGCGUCUCUUUUAAUGGUUCUGUUGAAAUUUUAUUGUAGACGCUUAGCGGCAUGACAUUAAUAGAUGCGCCUAGAUCGCACAUCGCCCUUUUUAUUCUGACUUUUCCUAUUUUGCACGGAAUUGCAAACAUCCCUUGGUCCUUGUAUUUCGGUGGUAGGCGUCUUUGAAAAAUGGCAGAAACAUUCUUGUUGAGGUUAGCUCUUUCAUUGUCGGAUAACCGCCUCCGAUUUGUGCAUAAGUCUUUCAAAAACUUUGCAUAUUUUGGCACCUUCCGAAUGACAUCAAGGAGUGGAAUAUUGAUUUCCACUUUUUUGAAUAUAUCCAAAAUUUGCUUCUCCUCUUCCUUUUUGUCACGCCUUGCAAGCUUUCUACUUGACUCUUCAAAGAAGUGUCUUCUUUGUCUUUCUCGAUUUUCUCGGGCUCCUUUGUCGGCUCUGGUGAAAUUACGAUACCACUUCGUAAAGUAAUCGCGCUCACAUUUUCCCUCGAAUUUGUUUCGAUUUGAGAGGGCAAUCGUCCUUGAGACUCUAGGCGACCAACAGUUUGGGCUAGUUGGCUUAUUUGUUUGUCAAUUUCUUGGAGAUGAGAUUAUGUUUGGGUUUGGAAUUUCUCUUGUGAAAUGGCCAACUUUUCAACAAUGGUCUCAAGAGAGGUUUUUUAUGGUGAUUGAUUUGGAAAGGGAGGUGGUCUCGGUUGGUAAUUUUGGUUUUUGUUUCCAUAGCUCAUAUUUGGAUGGUCUCUCCAACCGGGAUUGAAAGUGUUACCGUAGGGAUUGUAUGGCCUUUGAGGAGGUCCUGGGAAAUUAUUUAUGGCAUUGACUUGGGCGCCCGUCUCAUCUUGUAGCAUUGGACAUGAAUCGGUUGGGUGGUUCGGCAUCGUGCAGAUUCCACAAACCUUCACGGCUCCUAUCUUACCUAUGACAAGAGAAUUGACAAUAUCAGUCAAUUUGUCUAUUUUAUUUUCCAAAGAAACGGUACUUACUUCGUGAACCCGUCAGCUAGGUUCACUUGAAGAGCCAAACUGUUGCGAGUUUGCGGCCAUGGUAGAGAUUAGAGUUCUAGCAUUUUCUGGUGUCAUAUUGACGAGUGCGCCACCACUUGCAGCAUCCACCAUCUUUUUGUCCAUCGGAAGCAUCCCUUCAUAGAGAUACUGAAGAAGGGUCUGCUCGGAUAGGCCAUGCUGCGGGCAACUUGCGCAUAACUUUUUGAACCUCUCCCAGUAGUCGUAGAGAGAUUCAUCGCUCCUUUGCUGGAUUCCCAAAAUGCUUCGCCUAAGCUCGCUUGCCUUUGCCGCUGGAAAAUACCUAUCAAGGAAAACACGAGAUAGUUCAGCCCAUGUGGUUAUUGAGUUAGGCGGAAGGUAAAAUAACCAUUUUUUAGCCAUUCCGGCUAAAGAAAAAGGAAAUGCCCUUAGUUUGAUUUGGUCUUCCGAGACUUCUUGCGGCUUCAUGCUACUACACACCAUGUGGAAUUUGGCGAGAUGUUUAUGUGGGCUAUCGCUAGGAAGACCAUUGAAUGUAGGGAGGAGAUGAAUUAACCCUGUUUUGAGUUGAAAAGGGGUAGUGCCUUGAGGAAAGGUAAUGCAGAGCGGUUGUUGUACGGCGGGGGCGGCGGCAAGCUCUCUAAUGGUUUGGUUCGCCAUUGGCUCCGGUUCGAACGUGGGAUCUGUUAUUGGAGUAGUGGUGUUGGGAGGUGGUCCUUCGUUGGGAGUUUGUUCCGGUUCACGUGGUGGUGUCGCAGAAGUAGAUUCCAGAUUGGAUUGUCGUUCUCUUUGCUCUUGCUGCUUCUUUCGUCGAAGCGUUUGGCCUUGAUUUUUACGAGCGCUUGCUUCAAUUUCCGGGUUAUAUUGAACUAGAGUCCCCGGGUUUCUCCUGGUCAUAAAAAUCAAACAAAAUAAUCAAUAAUUGCUGAAAAUAAAACUCCCCGGCAACGGCGCCAAUUUUGACAAGCGUCGUUUUGCCUAUCAAAAUAAAAUAAACCUCUUCAAAAAUAAAUAAAUAAAUAAAAAGGUAGAAUAGUGGAAGAGGGUCGAUCCACAGGGAGUUUAAUGGAAUUUUUGAUUAAAUUUCUUGUUCUCGACCUAGGAGCUGAAAUGGAAAAUAAAAAAAAAAGGUGAUUUGAAAAGUAACAAGAAAAUAAAAUAAACAAGUAAAAGUGCAAAGAAAGAUGUAUUAAAAUAAAAGCAAUAAAGUAAAGAAGAUGAAAGAUUAAGUUGAAUAAACACGAGUAUAAGAAUCGCCUCGAGCUAGUUUCGUCAAUUCCCACGAUCAUCGAAAAUAGAUUUUUGCUCCGGGAUUCAUGUCGGUUACAGUCUACGAGGCCCAACCCAUCUUAACUUACUUUUCUCUCAUGUAACCUAUCUUCCCAAGUCUAUCUUCGAAAGUCGAUUCUUAAGUAAAUCAACCACGUCUAUCGCCGUUAAAAUACUUAGUUUUAAAACAGGAAAAGCCCAACUCGGAAGUUGUCUUAUCAAGAAUCAUUUCCGAUCUCAUCUUUCCUUAGCGGAACGCCGCUAAGAGUGUUCAUAGGAAGUCGAAAUGCCACAGGCCGAUCCUUCCUCCCAACUGUAAAAUUAAACGAUUCCAGACCAACGAAUCCUUUUUGAUUUGAAAAACGUUUAAAAAUUUUAGUAAGGCCGAUUGCCAAACUAUCUAAGCAGAAAGACGAAAAUGUAUCCCGAAGGGAUUUAAGCAAUAUUCAAUUCUCACGUGAGGAAUUGAUUCGUACUAGCUCUUGGCUUGAGAAAAAUUAGCCAAGCAUGAUAUUGAUUAUCAUGCUUAACAUGUUUUGAUAAUGUAAAAACAUAAAAUAAAAUAAAGUAAAGUAGAAAUAAAACAAAAGAAGAAAAUUUUAUUAAAAAUGAAAACAAAGUAGCAAUAAGGACAAACGACAAGAGAUCCCCUUAGCCUUACCCAAAGGUGGGUAUUUAUAGGCUUCAAAUUCCCAAAUCAACAAGGAAAAUUAAUCAAAAAAAGAUAAGAUAAUAUCUUUAAAAUUAUGAAAAUGAAAUCCAAAAUCCCUCAAAUCACGUCAAUAGAUCAAGAUAAGUUGUUUCCAGAAUAUUCCCGUGUUGACUUCUGAUUUGCCACGUCAGAUCCGCGUCGUGCCCAGCGUCGUGCCCACGACUCCAGCCGCGACAGAAUAAGCGUCGUGCCCACGACUCCAGCCGUGACAGAAUAAAAAGAAAAAAACUGCAGAUUAUGUCUUUUUGUUGCCAUUUCCAUUAUUGGGUUCACUACACAAGAAAUAAAUCAAAUACAACGAAUUAAGUAGUGAAAAUUUCAUAAGGCAAAGGAAUUAACAAGAAAAAAGUGUCAAAUAUAAGAGUACAUCAAGAGAUUAUGGUAGACAAUCAGUCAGCUGUUGCAAUAGCCAAGAACCCUGUGUUCCAUGGCAAAACGAAGCAUUUCAAGAUCAGAUAUCACUUUGUGAGGGAAGUAGAAUUAACUAAGGAAAUCAGGUUGGUCCAUUGUUGUUCGAGGGAUCAACUUGCUGAUAUUUUGACCAAGCCAUUGGUUGCUACAAGGUUUGAGUGUUUAAGGAAGGAAAUUGGAGUUUGCUAUUUUGUAGCCAAGGAGGAGUGUUAAAAGGUGGCAACAAACAACAUAUGUAAGUUAGCCGAAUGAAGUACAGUAAUAUACAAAACAACAUAUGUUAUCCGGAUGAAGUAUGUUUUUGUACAAGUUGACAUAUAUUUGUUCUGACAACUUUUUUUUUGUCUGUUUAAAGUGAGUCAAGGACUAAGCAGCUUUAGACUAUCAGCAGGUUACUAUUGAACUAUUUUUGUACAAGUUACUUUUCAGAAAAUUUAUUGCUUUUUCAAUGUAAUAGCUUAAUAUAUGUACAUUUUAUCUUUAAAACUUUCAGAUGAAUGAGAAGAAGUCAACUUAAGUUUUUUCUCCUUCAACGUCUGAGUUCUGCUUCUAUUUUUUGAGCUUUCAAACACAAAAUUUGUUUUCUUUGUUUUCAUUGAUUAUUUGGUUGAAACUUAACACAUAUUUUACCCGGAAUUAUUGCUUUGUUGCUCUAGCUUCAACAAGAGCUUCAUAUUUUACCCGGGUAAAUUUGUUCUGUUUUUUCUUCCUAUGUGAAAAACCUAACAAUUAGAGACAAAUCAAAUGGCUAUUCAAGCCUUAACCCCUAAUUAUAUAUAUAUUCAAAUUCCUUAAAAUAUUUUUACAAUAGUAUUAAGAAGUAAGGAUAAUUUAUGUUUUUCCAUUCAAAACUUUAAAAUAUUUUAAAUCAUAUUGUACAAUAGAAAGUUUGAUAUUAUAGAUUAAAUAUUAGUUAAUAUUAAUCCUAUUAUACUAACAAGUGGAUGAAUAGAAGACCUUUUUCCUGGUAUUUAUAUUGAGUUGCAAUAUUAAAAUCAUAAUUUUUUUACCUAAAUAUUACUUUUAUUUUAAACAAAAUUAAACUGAAACUGUACAAUAGACAAAAAUAUAUGUGAUUAAAGUUAAUUUUAAUUAAGGGUAAAUUACACCAACAGUCACUAACUUUGGGGUAGCUAACAAAAUAGUCACCUAAGUUUCAUUUCAAUCACUCAACUUUUGAAAAAUAACAAAACAAUCACUAAUGUUAUAAAAAAGUUACAAAACAGUCACUGAUUAACAGUUUUCAUUAGUGUCUUAGCGGUACCGCUAAUGUGGCAAGUUAACUUGCCAUGUUGGAUGUCCACAGUGGAAACCCAUCCAAUUUAAGAAGAAAUUGAAAAAAAAACCUUUAUAAUAGAGAAGAAGAAGAAGAAGAUUCUGUGAGUAAACAAUAUUCCUUUGCGGAAGCCGUUCAAACAAUGAUUCAACAUCCGCCAUCGCCUCACACUUGCAAUACAUUGUCAAAAGUGCAUUACUUACAACUAUUUCUGAUAAAUACUACAUCUUUACAACUUAGGCAUGAAGCUAUUUUCCUUAUUCGGUAGCCGAAAGGAUUCCACAAACAGACUUGAGUAUGUAUAAGUAUUAUGCUUGUUACCCCAGCUUUCAUAAUUCAUGAACAACCUAAAAGCUUCUUCAAAUAAUCCACAAUUAGCAUAACCAGAAAUUAAACAAUUACAUGAAGCAACAUCUAGACGAGGCAUAUGAUUAAAUACCAUAACUACACUAUCUAUGUCUCCGCAUUUAGCAUACAUAUCAAUUAGACUGGUAUUUACAAACUCAUCUCUAUCAAGUCCAGUCUUUGCAAUCAAACCAUGGUAAGGCCUUCCAAAUUCUAAACAUCCUGCACCACCACAAAACUUUAGAACGCUAAUCAAAUGACUAAUGUCCAAAUCAUUUCUAGCGUAAUCACCAUUUUCCCCAGUUCUAGUUUUACGACGAUAUGUUGACACACCAGUACUAGUUCUUUCAGGCAUUCGAGCAAAUACCUUGCAUUCAUUCUUUAACAGAACUUGUUCUCUUAAUACGCAUGUUGCUUGAAAGUUACAUCUUUAAAGCAAGGUUUGCUGGUUUCUUCUUCUUCCUCUUAAAUUGGGAGGGUUUCCACUAUGGACAUCCAACAUGGCAAGUUAACUGGCCACAUAAGCUAGUUAACUUGACACAUCAGCAGUCCCGUUAAGACACUAAUAGAAACUAUUAAUCAUUGAUUGUUUUGUCACUUUUUAUAACGUUAGUGACUGUUUUGUUAUUUUUCAAAAGUUGAGUGACUGAAAUGAAACCUAGGUGAUUGUUUUGUUAACUACCCUAAAGUUGAGUGACUAUUGGUGUAAUUUACCCUUUAAUUAAUUUUGUACUUUGUUUUUUAAUCAAUCAAGUAGGUAUAUAGGUAUAUUUAUAGUAUUUGUUAAGUAUAUACAGUCGAUAAAGCUAGAAAGGAGGAGAUAGGAAAGAGUGUUAGCCCAUUGCCCAAAGUAAAGGUCAUUAUCCUUAAUGAGUGAUACCAAAGGUGAUUGUUUUUUACAACAACUUGAGAAGAAAUUUCCAAGAAUGUCACUCUUGACCCUGUCCAAUGACAAGAGGUUACAUAUUUUAUUUUAAGUCAUUCAACAUACAAGGAGAAUUAAUAUCACAAGUCUAAUAAUUAAUUAUGCUAUUAAUACAUGUGAAUACUUUUAGACAUUUGAGUGAAAUAUCAAAUGAAACUUUCAUAACAAGUCAAGUUAUAUUUUAUAAAAUUUUGAAAUUUUUUAAUAAUUAUUAAAUUUUUUUGAACUUCCUGCAGUUCUGCCUUUGUUCUAUUUUUCUUGGUUUUAAUUUUUGUGAUUCAUAAACUUGAAGAAUAUUGAUGAAUGAUUUAAUUUUGGAUUUCAAUGCCCAACCCAUGAGCUAAUUUUCUUUGGGGUUGGAAUUAUUUGGGUGAAUACUAAAUUAUCUGUAAUGCACAUGAUAUGAUUUUGAUUAAAGUCUUUGUUUCAUUCGAUAAUUGUUUAUUUGGAAUGCAUGCAUGCAAGCUCUAGACAUAGUUGACUACAUGUUAUGUUCUUAUAUUUAGAUCUGAAAGGAUUAAUUACAUCAGAUUAUUAAUCAAUUGAUAUAAACGAGUACUCGAAAGAAUAUUUGCAUCACUCUAAACAUAGAAGGUGCGAUCUAUAUAGGUGAAGAAUGUUAGUGUGAUUAUCAUUCAUCCGUCUUGUAGACAUGCAUAGACUCUGAAUAAUAACUAAAGUCUAACUCUCAAAAGAAGUAGACUAUAGUAGUAAUUCUCUGGGCAGUAGUUUAUUCAAAAUUUUGCCAUAGCAAUAUUAUGUUAUGAACAUAUUUACCUGAGUAAUUCCAACCUUUAUCAUUAAUCAACAGAAAUACUCACUACUUGUUUUUCGUGAAUUGCCACAAAAUUUUGAUUAUUUUGUCAUUUAUCAUUUAUAAUUGAUAUUAUUAGUUCAUCCAUUAAUUCCCUUCACCAAUUUAUACUUUGCUUCUUCUGCACAGGUUCAUUAGUUAAAUCUACAGUAAUACUUACCAAUUCUAAUCAAUAUCCGAUCCCUGUGGAGAUGAUACUCACUCAUCAUUAUAUUACUUAAAUCGACGUGUAUACUUGCACAUUUUCAUUACACAAUCACUCUCAACAAUAACUUUCCCUUUAUUAUUUUGAUUCUCCAUAAUUAAAUUCCUAUAAGCCAAAUCACCGUCUUAAUUAGAAACUGUGCUAUUCAGAGCCCUAAAUCUAGAACCUUUAGUGUUUUUUGCCGAAAAUCCAGUACCUUUUUUAAGUAACCCCCUUGAUUUUCACAGUGAUUUCCUCUCAACCAACAUCCAUGGCCCAAACAAUUGGUGCUCCUCCCUCGUUGUAACAACGACCAUUUUUGCAAAUUUUGACGGCAGUGUUUCCUUUACCAUGUUGACAUCGUAGACUUUUCCAAGAAAACUUCCUUAAGAUGCCUAUAAUGCCUAUAAUGAAAACAGACCUUAGGUAAAAACACAUACUCUAUUUUUUGUAUUUUGCCAUUGAUGAGGACUUGAGAAACUAGAGGUUUGUCAAGAUUAACAUAUACAAGCAUACGGGCAAAGUGCCUUUUUACCUUAUUAUUUGUAUUCAUAUCCAGUUUAGCAACUCUCUCGAUUAAACCUCUUAUUGCCAAAAGAAAUUUCCAUUUAUACAAGUAUCCUGGCAGUCCGAGGAGCUUGAUCCAAGAUAUGAAAAUGCUAGGAAAUUGUUGUGAAGGAUUGAAGGACAUCGUCCAAGGUUGAACAGUCAGGUAUUCUCCGAAUAUGAAAUAAGGACUUUCAAAGAGAAUCUUUUCACAAUCAAGUUUGUUUUGAAAUUUGGCCAGAAAAUAGCCAUUUUCGAUGUCUAUCAAUUUAAACUGAGAUGAUGGCUUCCAAAUGCUGUAAAUUUUACUGUGAAGAAUAGAGUAACCAAUAUUUCGGCCUAGAAGUUUCACGACAACUAUAUUUUCCAUGUCCCUAAUGAGCAAUUAGUGGAUUCUGUUUGAAAAAUCUAUUGAAGGUUUACUAGUAACAAUAGAUUUUUGUAUAUCUCCGUUCAUUAUAUCAAAAUCUUUAUCUUCGUCUAGCCCACUUAUAUUAGCCUUGGAAGGUUGCCCCACUAAUUGUUUUUUCCAAGAGGGUAAUGUUUUAGUAGAAACAUGAACGUCCAUAUUUGUAUCCACCUCUUCAAGUUUAUCCCUAAAACAUACCUUUUUAGGAAUCAAAACCUCCAUGGGUGAGUUUCCAAUACUAUCUUCCUAACAGAGAGAGUUUCCAGAAAGAGAAUCCAUAUGAGAAUGUCAAUUCUUCGUCCACAAGUUAAUUUUAAAUGGCAACUUAUGAAAUAAAAAAAAAUCAUACUCAAAUCAACUUUAAAUUUUAGAUACAUGUUACAGACAUCCUCGUUGGUUACGAAAUUUGUUAAGAAAAGAUGAGCUGAUGAUAUUGAGUGGCACUCAAUCAUGUUAAUUGUAGAUUUCUAUUGAGGCGAUUAAAUAUUUGUUUUAUUUGAUUUGAAAAUUUAAUGAAGAAAAUUUUUAGAAUUAAUGUAUUAUUUUAUUGAAGAUUCUACGAUCCAUUUAUGUAAACCAAUUCUUAGCAUUUGAAGAUUGGAUUGGAUUCGUGUGAAUAAAUUAAGUUCUUGAAAUGUAGUGAUUUGAUAAAGAUAGUAUUACUAAUUUUGGAGAGUAUAUCUUCGAUUGAUUUUACUUUGAUUAUUGUGAUUGUAAGCUAUUUUCAAGGAGUUACUUUGUAUUUACUUAGAGUCUAUAUUAGGAAGCUGAGAUUAAUACAUGAUUUAAGACUUGUUUAGGUUUUGUAUGAAACAUUAUUGAGUGUAUUCUAAUAUUUUCAUUGAGGAACUAUAUUGUGAUAGAGUGCAAACUGUUAGGGGAAGAUUUGGAGGUGAGUGUUCUAGUCUCUAGGUACAAAGGUGAGGUCUCUAUACUUGUAGAGUGAUAAAGUGUUAAUCACUUGUUGUAUUUACGAAGAAAGAUAGGGAAUUACUCAUUGAGAUAGGGAAUCACUUGUUGUAUUUAUGCAUAUUGUAUUGUUACUAAUUAAAGUAAUGAGAGUUGUCAUUUUUUCUCUCAACCAAUUUCUCUUUUUCUUCUAUUUUUCAUCUUUCAAAGAUAAAUUUUCGUUGUUUUUUAUCUUUGAAUGCUAAUAUAACUCAACAAAUGGUAUCAAGAGCUUGUCAAUUUGAGGGCCUUUGCUGUGUGUUGUUUAUUUGUGUGUUAUAUACUUGAAAGAAAAAAAAAAUAGAAGCUAUUUUAUUGGUUUCUUGGUUGCUGCAAAAAAAUGAGUUUCUCACCACCACCACCACCACCUCCACCUAUUUUUGCUAGUGAAAACUAUAACAUUUAGACUGUGAAAAUGAAGACAUACCUACAGGCUCAUGACCUGUGGAGUGUUGUUCAAGCUGACGCAGAGCCACUACCUUUAAGAGCUAAUCCUACCAUAGCUCAGAUUAGGCAUCAUAAUGAGGAUUAUGCCAAAAAGUAUAAGUCUAUGUCAUGUCUUCAAAAUGGAGUUUCAGAUGUAAUUUUCACAAGGAUAAUGGCUUGUGACUCUCUAAAGCAGGCCUGGAAUAGGUUCAAGGAAGAGAUUUGAGGGUCAGAUAGAACUAGAUAAGAGCAGUUGAUCAACUUGAUGAGGGACUUUGAGAAUCUUAAGAUAAAAGAGUAUGAAUCUCUUAAGCAUUACUCUGAUAGGAUAAUGACUACAGUUAACAACAUUAGGCUUUUUGGAGAUGAUUUCAAUGACAAAAGAAUAGUUGAAAAGGUCAUUACAUCCCUUUCAGAAAAGUAUGAGCAAAAAAUUUCUUCCUUGGAGGACUCUAGAGACCUAUCAACAAUAUACUUGACAGAGCUGAUAAAUGCUCUUUAUGCACAAGGGUAAAGAAGGCAAACAUGAUAGAGGAGCAUUCUGAAGGAGCCUUUCAGGAUAGAUACAAAGAAAGCUCAAGCUAUAAGGGAAAAAAGCCUUGGUCUGAAAAGAAAGAUAAGCCAAAGAAGGAUGUUGGAAAAAGAAAGUUUCCACCAUGCACUCACUUGGUUAAGAACUAGUGAGUAGCCAUGAUCAAUAGAUGUUUUGUUUUGGAUGUAAAUCAGAUGGAUAUAAAAGCCUAUACUAAUAUACCUGAUGGAUCAUGUUUAUGGCACAAAAGAUUUGAGCAUGUGAACUAUAAGUCAUUUGGUUUGCUGCAUAAAAUGAGCCUAGUUGAAGACAUGUCCAAGGUUAAUGUUAAGGAUAAAGUCUGUGAAAUCUGUCAGCUAGGAAAGCAAGUCAGAUUGUCUUUUCCAGUAAACAAGGCAUGAAGAGCUCAAAAAAGCCUUCAAUUGGUCCAUGCUAUCAUUUGUGGACCUAUGAAGACCUCUUCAUUGAAUGACAAUAGGUAUUUUAUGUUGUUCAAUAAUGAUUGUACCAUAUUUUGUUAGGUGAAUUUUUUGAAGUAGAAGUUAUAAGUGGCUGAUUUCUUUGUAAUUUUAAGGCCUUAUCUGAGAAUCAUACAAGUUGUAAGUUGAAGGUAUUGAGAUCAGACAAUGGGACUGAGUAUGUGUCUCAAAAGUUUCAGAAGAUUUGUGAUGAAGCUGGAAUUCAACAUCAGUUAACCACCAUGUACACACCACAACAAAAUGGUGUUUGUGAGAGAAAGAACAAAAUUGUCCUUGAUAUAGCCAGGUGUUUGUUGUUUGAAGGCAAAUUGCCUAACAAUUUUUGGGUCAAGGCAGUAAAUACCUUAGUUAUUUACUCAACAGACUGCCAACAAAUGUAGUCAAAAGCAAAACAUCAUUUGAAGCCUGGUUUGAACACAAGCCUACUGUCUCACACUUGAAAGUGUUUGACUGUUUAUGCUACACACUUGUACCAACUGAAAAGAGAACCAAGUUAGAAAAAAGGUCAAUGCCUAGAGUUUUUGUUGUCUGUAGCAGCACAAAGAAAGGGUACAAGGUCUUUGAUCCAUCCACUAAAAGGAUUGUUGUUUGUAGAGUUGUGAAGUUUAAUGAAGGCAGCUAUUGGAAAUGGGAUGGAACAGAUGCAAGCUGGUCUGAGCAAGACCAACAAGAUCUUGAUUUGCAGCAUGUUAAGAAUGAAGCUCAAAUUGAAGGAAAAUAUGAUGAUAUAUCUAUCAGAGGUACAAGGAUUAUCACAGACAUCUAUCAAAGAUGUGAUAUGACCAUUGUUGAGCCUUCCAAUUUUGAUGAGGCUGCAAAGGAGGACUGUUGGAGAAAAGUAAUGCAAGCAGAUGAAUAUUGAAUUAUCUGUAAUACCCAUGAUAUGAUUUUGAUUACAGUCAUUGUUUCAUUCGAUUCUUGUUUAUUUGGAACCCAUGCAUGUAAGCUCUAAACAUAGUUGACUACAUGUUAUGUUCUUAGAUAGAUUUGAAUCUGAAAAGAUUAAAUACGUUGGAUUGUUAAUCAAUUAAUGCAAGCGAAUACUUGAAAGAAUAUUCACAGCACUCUAAACAUAGAAAGAGUGAUCUGUACAUGUGAAGAACAUUAGUGUGGUUAUCAUUUGUGAGUCUUGUAGACAUACACAGACUCUGAAUAAUAACUAAAGUCUAACUCUCAAAAAAAGUAGACUGCAGUAGUAAUUCUCUGGGCAGUAUUUUAGUCAAAAUUUUGCCAUGGCAUUAUUAUGUUAUGAACAUAUUUCCCUGAGUAAUUCCAACCUUUAUCAUUCAUGAGCAGAAAUACACUCUACUUGUUCUUUGUGAAUUGCUACGGCAUAUAGAUUAUUUUGUCAUUUAUCAAUUAUAAUUGAUAUUAUUAGUUCAUUCAUUGAUUCCCUUCACCAAUUUAUACUUUGCUUCUUUUUUUUUGCACAAAUUCAUUAGUCAAAUCUACAGUAAUACUUACCAAUUCUAGUUAGUAUCCGAUCCCUGUGGAGACAAUACUCACUCAUCAUUAUAUUAUUUAAAUCGAUGUGUACACUUGCACAUUUGCAUUACACAACACGCAACAAUAUAUUUCCCUUUAUUGUUUUGGUUCUCCAGAAUUAAAUUCCUAUCAACCAAGUCACUAUCUUGAUUAGAAAUUGUGCUAUUCAGAGCCCUAAAUCUAGAACCUUUAGUAUUUUUUGCCAAAAUUCUAGUGCUUUUUUUAGGUAAGUCCCUUGAUUUUUGUCGUGAUUUCCUCUCAACCAACAUCCACGGCCCAAAUGAUUGGUGCUCCUCCCCUAUUGCAACAACAAAACAUUUUUGUAGAUUCCGAUGGUGUUUCCUUUGCCACGCUGGACAACGUAGACUUUUCCGAGAAAACUUCCUUAAGAUGCCCAUAAUGCCUAUAAUGAAAAUAGACCAUAGGUAAAAAAUAAUACUCAGUUCUUUGUAUUUCACCAUUGAUGAGGAUUUGAGAAUCCAGAGGUUUGUCAAGAUUAACAUAUACAGGCAUACGGGCAAAGUGCCUUCUUACCUUAUUAUCUAUAUUUAUAUCCAGUUUAGCAACUCUCCCGAUUAAACCUCCUAUUUUCAAAAGAAUUUUCCAUUUAUACAGGUAUCUUGGCAGUUAGGGGAGCAUGAUCUAGGACAUGACAAUGCUAGGAAAAGGUUGUGAGAGAUUGAAGGACAUUGUCCAAGGUUGAACAGUCAUGUAUUGUCCGAAUAUGAAACAAGGACUUUCAAAGAGAAUAUUUUCAUAAUCAAGUUUAUUCUGAAAUUUGGCCAAAAAAAUAGCCAUUUUCGAUGCCAUCAGUUUAAACUGAGAUGAUGGCUUCCAAAUGCUGUAAAUUUCAUUGUGAAGAACAGAGUAACCAAUACUUCCGCCUAGAAGUUUCAAGACAACUAUAUUUUCCAUGUCCCUAAUGAGCAAUUGGUGGAUUUUGUUUGAAAAAUCCGUUGAAGGUAUACCAUUAACAAUAGAAUUUUGUAUAUCUCCAUCCAUUAGUUCAAUAUAUUUAUCUUCAUCUAGCCCACUUCUAUUAGCCUUGGAAGGUUGCCCUACUAAUUUUUCUUUCCAAGAAGGUAAUGUUUCAACAGAGACAUCAAUGACCAUAUUCGUAUCCACCUUUUCGGGUACUAUAUUGUGACAGAGUGCAAACUGUUAGGGGAAGAUUUGGAGGUGAGUGUUCUAGCCUCUAGGUACAAGGUGAGGUCUCUAUACUUGGAGAGCGAUAGAGUAUGAACCACUUGUUGUAUUUGGGUAGGAUUUGAAUUUGAAUGAGAUACAAUUUUGUUUUACAUCUUGCAUCAGAAAUUUGAGAGUAAUUAUAUAUUUUGGGGGAAAUUAUAGAAAAAUUUGCUCUCAAGCGUGAAUGACAAAGUCAGUCAACCAUGGUGUUGCUCCUCCUUCGCCUUUCUUAAUGUAAUUUUGUUGCAAUAUGUGGACACUAAGUUUGGGAUGAAAAAUCAUAAUUUUAGUAAUACCAACUUAAUAAAAUAUAUUAAAUUUUAAUUUUAAUUUUAAUUACUUUAUUAAAAUUUAAAUAAUUUUUUUAUAGUUAACUUGUAAUAUAAAGUCAAUAAAAUAUAUAAUAUAAAAAGAAAUUAUUGAAUAAAAGAAAUACAUUGUUAAUACAAUACACCAAAUGACAAUAAAGAGAACACCAUUAAUUUGUGAGAAGGCGCCUUUUUGGAUCUUGAUUUAAUAUGGUCAGAUGAAAAAUUUCGUAGAUAAAACCCCAACUAUGUGAGAAUCCGAGUCAUAAUCUUGUGGAAAAUUCGACAAUUAAUGGAAAAGUUUGUCAAAAUACUAGAAAAGUCUUGGGGCCACAAAUUAAAUCAUCUUUAAAUUGUUAAACCAAAUUAAAGAUGGAACCGUCAUUGUCAUGGGAUCAACAUCUUGUUACUAAUACUCUAUAGGGAAUAACUUCAAGUCAACGCCAAUUUAUAAUCUUGGUAAUAUAUAUGAGUAAUAAUUUUGUUAAUUAAUUACUACUUUUAUUAUCGACAAUUUUGCUAAUCAAUUUUAUAUUAGCACUUAAUACACCUGCACCAUCUUUUAACAUCAUGCAGUUUUGGAUUCAAAUUAAACUGAAUUAAAAAAAAAUUCAAGCAAUGCAAAGACUUUUAACAAUGGCAACAUAUUAGACUGAUAAUUACAGAUAAAGUUUAGGUGAAUUUUUUUUAGGUAUUGUUUCGCUUCAUGGUUGUUUACUCAGUUAUUUUCUUGAUUUGUUCUUUAUCGUGUUCUUUAGUUAAUUUAAUUAGUUAAUUUAUUAAGUUAAUUUUAGUUUUUAAUCAAUCACUCGAAUUUAUUGGUUAAAUAAUAGAAAGACGGUAAUUACUAUUACUUUUAGUCUUCGUGGGAAUGAUAUUUUUGCUCACCGUAACUAUACUAUUAAUUGAUAGGUGCACUUGUCUUUGUCAAAUUUUUAGUUGGUUUAUGACUACAAUCAUUAUCAUAUGUGUAAUGUCAUAUUAACUAAUUAUUUUCACACAUUACUGACUAAAAAUCCAAUUGAUGAAUUAAUGAUUGUUAUUAGUGUAAAAACUGAAAUUUGAAAACAUGAAAAGUAUAGAGUCUUAGAAUGACCCAAUUGAAGAAUAUAGAUUAAAUCUAAAACCAUACAUAUAGUAUAGGACUAGUAAUUGAAUUUAACCAAACGAAUUUAACUGUUAUUGUUUGGGUUAGGACUAAAAUUUCAAAAUUCUAAAAGCACAAAGAUUAAAAUCAGUGUUAUGAAAUAUUUAUGUGGAUGUUAUUAUCAACUCCAUAAGUUAUAAAACUCUUCCUAUACCCCAUAAGUUAUGAGAUUUUUCCUAUACCCUAUUAACAUGGGAGAUAAAAGGUCAUGACCCUUUACAUGCCCUAUAAUAAUUAGAGAGUUACUUUUAACCCCUAUAUAUAUGGGGCUUACGUACUCAUGAAAGAUAAUAUAUAAAAAAAGAAGAUACACUCUCUCUUCUACAUUCUCUCUACACUCUUUCUUCUAUCACAUUUUAGUUAAUUCUUUCUUUAUUAUUUCAUAACACGUUAUCAGCACGAGUCUCUAAUACAAGAAAUCAAGGCCAACAAAUUUACCUUAAAGAUUGCCGAAGAACGCUUCGGUGAAGUAAGGGUAACAAGUUGAUCUAUUUCAUUUGCAUAUGUGUUAUUUCAUUUGCAUGUUAACAUACUUUAUUUUACAUUAUUGACUUGUAUAUUUUGUCUUAUAGUUUUAUAAUGUAAAAUCUUACAAAACUCGAAUUUGUGGCUUUGGACAUUAUUGGAAAUAACUAUUUAUCAUGGGUACUAGAUGCUGAAAUUCACUUAGAUGCAAAAGGUCUUGGUGAGACUAUUAAGGAGGGAAAUGAAGAAAGUACACAAGAUAAGGCCAAGGCCAUGAUUUUCCUUCGCCAUCACCUCCAUGAAGGUCUAAAGACCGAAUAUUUGACUGUUAAGGACCCUUAAAUUCUUUGGGCCAAUCUAAAGGAAAGAUAUGACCACCAGAAAACUGUGAUUUUGCCUAAAGCUCGUUAUGAGUGGCUGAAUUUAAGAUUGCAAGACUUUAAGUCUGUUAGUGAUUAUAACUCGGCCAUGUUCAGAAUCACUUCAAAAUUUGAAAUCAUGUGGAGAGAAGAUUACUGAUGUAGAAAUGUUAGAAAAAACAUACUCAACUUUCCAUACAAAUAAUGUUGUCCUGCAGACACAAUAUCGUGAAAAAGGCUUCUAGAAAUAUUCUGAAUUAAUUUCUUGUCUCCUAGUGGAGGAGCAAAACAACGAGCUACUAAUGAAAAACCAUGAAUUACGCCCAACUGGAUCUGUUCCAUUCCCUGAAGCGAAUGUGAAUUUACACAAUGUGCAAGAAUUAAAAGAAACACACCAUGCAAAUAGUAGUGUGCGUGGCCGUGGUCGUGGCCGCGGACAUAGAUAUGGAUAUGGUCGAGGUGGUCAUUUUAAAUAUUCACAUUCCUACCAGAAGUGGGAUCGGAAAAAUGGUAAUAGGGAAGAGAAAGAAAAAGGUGAAAAUGUGACUAAUGUAUGCUAUCGUUGUGGAGGAAAAGGACAUUGGUCUCGUGUGUGUCGCACACAAAAGCAUCUAGUUGAUCUUUAUCAGCAGUCCAUAAAACAGAAGGGAAAGAAAGUAGAAACCAAUCUUGUGUAUAAAGAUGGCGAAGGUGAUUUUGAUGAUGGCAAUGCAACCCACUUAGAAGUGGCUGAUUUUCUUUCUACCCAUGAAGGAAAUUAUUAAGGCCACAAAUUUCGAUAAAUAAUAAAAUAAACCUCUACUAUUCUAUAUUUCAUUUAGCAACUUUAAUAAUGAUGUUAUGACCUUUACUAGUGCUAUGUUUUAUGUGAUAAUUUUGUUUUAUAGACCUUUUAGUAAUUUGAACUUUAAAUACAUGUUUUCACCAUUAUGUGUGACAUUUUGUGGUUAUUUUGUUUCUUUGAAGAACAUUAUCUCACAAAGGCAAUCAGCUAUGAAUGGUGAAAAUAUAUGUCUAGCAGACAGUACAACUACUCACACCAUAUUGAAAGACAAGAGAUAUUUUUCUCAUUUAAUAAUGAAAGAAGAAAGUGUGAGCACUAUAUCUGGUAGUACAACUAUUAUAGAAGGCUCCGGAAAAGCAAUUAUUUUAUUACCAAGGGGAACAAAAAUUGAAAUUAUUAAUGCAUUAUACUCCCCUAAGUAUCAAAGAAAUUUAUUGAGUUUUAAAGAUAUUAGCCAAAAUGGAUAUCAUAUUGAGACUUUAAACGAAGGAAAAUGUGAAUUCCUUCAAAUUACGAGUAUUGCUCAAGGCAAUAAACAAAUUGUUGAGAAAUUUCCUGCAUUCUUUACUGGUUUGUACUACACAAAGAUCAGUUCUAUAGAAACACAUGCUAUAGUAAACCAGAAGUUUACUAAUGACUUUGUUCAUUGGCAUGACCGGUUAGGCCAUCCCGGUUCAAUAAUGAUACGAAAAAUAAUUGAAAAUUCAUGUGGACAUUUAUUGAAGAGCCACCAGAUUCUUCAAAACAUUACAUGUGCUGCAUGUUCACUGGGGAAAUUAAUAAUCCGACCAUCACCAGCUAAGAUAAAUAACGAACCACUUACUUUUCUUCAGCGAAUUCAAGGGGAUAUAUGUGGGCCUAUACAUCCCCCAUGUGGACCAUUUAGGUACUUUAUGGUUUUAAUCGAUGCAUCGAGUAGAUGGUCUCAUGUAUCUUUAUUAUCAACUUGCAACCUAGCGUUUGCGAUAUUGCUUGCUCAAUUGAUUCGAUUACGAGCCCAUUUCCCAGAUUUUCUUAUUAAGACCAUCCAUCUUGAUAAUGCUGGUAAAUUUACUUUUCAGUCUUUUAAUAACUAUUGCAUAUCCAUUAGAAUAAGUGUUGAACAUCCUGUAGCUCAUGUUCACACACAAAAUGGUCUAGCAGAAUCUUUAAUAAAACAACUUCAAUUGAUAGCAAGACCAUUACUUAUGAAGUCAAAACUCCCAAUCACUACUUGGGGGCAUGCAAUUUUACAUGCAGCUGCAUUAAUUCGCAUCAGGCCAACAAGUUAUCAUAAAGUCUCCCCCUUACAAAUAGUUCAUAGUCAAGAACCAAAUAUUUCCCAUCUAAGAACAUUUGGAUGUGCCGUAUAUGUUCCAAUUGCUCCAUCACAUAGAACUAAGAUGGGACCUCAAAGAAGGUUGGGUAUAUAUGUUGGAUUUGAAUCCCUAUCCAUAAUUAAAUAUCUAGUCAAUUUUUCCAACAUUAGGGGGAGAAAUCAAACAGCUGGAUAAGAAAAUUUGUUGGAAAGAGUUGUCAUUAGCUCAUCUUGAUCCUCGAACUAAGCAAUGUGAUUUAGAAGUUCAAAAGAUUAUUCAUUUACAAAAUAUAGCUAAUGAAUUGCCAGACGCAUUUUUUGACCCAAAGAAAGUGACUAAGUCACAUAUACCAGCUAUGAAUGCUCCAAUAAAACUUGAUGUCCCAGAAGGAAAAAAUCUAGUUGCUACUGAGUCUAAUAUACACCUGAAGCGUGGUAGACCAAUUGAUUCCAAAGAUAAGAAUCCUCGAAAAAAGAAAGGAGCAAAGAUUAAUGAUGACGAAAUCAAAGAAAAAAUGAUUAUACUGGGAUCUUUAGAAGAGACUAUAGACAUGACUGGAAGAAUAGUUUCAGAAGAAAAUCAGGUACCUGACAAUGAAGAGAUCUCUAUUGAUUAUGUCAUGUCCGGUAGAAAAUGGAACCGAAAUCAAAUCGACGUCGAUGAUAUUUUUGCAUGCAAUGUAGCACUAGAUGUUAUAAAUAAUAAAGAGGAUUAUGAACCAAAAUUGAUUGAAGAAUGUAAACAAAGAGAUGAUUGGCCAAAAUGGAAAGAAGCAAUUGAAAAUGAAUUGAAAUCGCUAGCGAAAAGAGAAGUGUUUGGACCUGUAGUCCGUAUACCUACAGGUGUGAAACCAGUGGGAUACAAAUGGGUUUUUGUGCGUAAAAGAAAUGAAAAGAGUGAAAUUGUAAGGUAUAAAGCACGUUUAGUUGCACAAGGAUUCUCACAAAGACCUGGAAUUGAUUAUGAGGAGACAUAUUCUCCUGUGGUGGAUGCAACUACAUUUAGAUUUUUGAUAAGUCUGGCUAUAAGAGAAGGGCUUGAUUUACGCCUAAUGGAUGUAGUAACAGCUUAUUUGUAUGGCCAACUGGAUACUAACAUUUAUAUGAAACUCCCUGAAGGAUUUAAACUGCCUGAAGCAGUGAGUUCAGGUUCUAGAGAACAUUAUUCGAUCAAAUUGUACAAAUCCCUUUAUGGAUUGAAACAAUCCGGACGCAUGUGGUAUAAUCGCCUAAGCGAGUAUUUGUUGACAGAAGGAUACAAGAAUGAUCCAAUUUUCCCAUGCAUUUUCAUUAAAAAGUUUGGAUCUGGAUAUGUAAUUAUUGUAGUAUAUGUUGAUGAUUUGAAUAUCAUUGGAACUCCUGAAGAGAUCCAAAAGACUGUUGAGUGCUUGAAAAAAGAAUUUGAAAUGAAAGACCUUGGAAGAACGAAAUUUUGUUUGGGGUUACAAAUUGAGCACCUAAAAGAAGGAAUCCUUGUGCAUUAAUCAACGUAUAUUGAAAAGGUGCUAAAGAGAUUUUAUAUGGAUAAGGCACAUCCAAUAACUACCCCGAUGGUUGUAAGAUCACUUGAUCCAAGUAAAGACCUUUUCCGUCCUCGGGAAGAUAGUGAAGAUUUUCUUGGUCCUGAAGUGUCAUACCUCAGUGCAAUUGGGGCAUUAAUGUAUCUUGCUAGCCAUACCUAACCUGAUAUAUCUUUUUCUGUAAAUUUUCUAGCAAGAUUUAGCUCAUACCCAACUCGGAGACAUUGGACUGGAGUAAAACAGAUAUUUCGUUAUCUCCAAGGCACAAACAAUAUGGGUUUAUUUUUCCCUAAUAAAUCCAAGACAAAGUUGAUUGGUUUUGCAGAUGCAGGAUUUAUGUCAGACCCUCAUAAUGGAAAAUCAAAAACUGGAUAUGUUUUUACAUAUGGAGGUACUGCAAUCUCUUGGUGCUCAAUGAAGCAAACAAUUGCAGCAACCUCGUCUAAUCAUGCAGAAAUCUUAGCAAUCCAUGAAGCAAGUGGUGAAUGUGUAUGGCUAAGAUCUAUGAUCCAGCAUAUAAGGAAUAAUUAUGGAUUAUCAUCUGGAAAGGAAGCUACAACUGUCUUGUUUGAAGAUAACACAGCAUGCAUUGAUCAGCUCGAUAGUGGAUACAUCAAAGGUGACAGAACAAAACACAUUGCACCAAAAUUCUUCUUCACUCAUGACCUCCAAAAGAUUAAGGAGAUAAAAGUUAAGCAGAUCAGUUUAAGUGAGAAUUUAACAGAUUUAUUCACUAAGGCACUUCAUACAUCAGUAUUUCAGAAGCUUGUUUACUACAUUGGAAUGCGUCACCUUUGAGAUCUCAAGUGAUGUAGCCAUUAGGGGGAGUUAAUACGCGCUGUACUCUUUUUCCCUUAACCUUGGUUUUAUCCCACUGGGUUUUCCAGGUAAGGUUUUUAAUGAGGCAGCAUGUAACACCCCAAACCCAGCCUGAAAGUUUGGCUCGAAUCUGGCAUGUCACAUUGAAGUGUUUUUUGAAAGCCAUGUUUCCAUUAAAAACCCUUCUUAAUAAUUAAAAAUUUAUACCAUUUUUAAACCUUGUUAGAAAACCUCAGCUGAAUAACAUUCUUAACAACCUUGUAAAAAUCUGGGCAGUUGCGGAAGCUUAAUUUAAAAACAAUUGCGGAUACGUAAUGUUUUGAACAACAGUAGUUGCUUUAGAAAACCAUGUUCUAAUACUAGCAAUUAUGAGAACAAUAAAUAAAAUUCUAAAUUUGAAAUCCAGAAAAUUAGAAUGGCUUUUCUACAACCCACAUAAAAACAUUUAAAAGUAAUAAUCAAAACUGUAACAUAAACAGUGUAUGUGACUUCCUCCGAGCCCCUCGUAGCUUCGAUCCGUCUAAGGCUAGAAAUUACCUAAAAGGUUAAUAAACGGGGUGAGUUUACGAAAACUCAGUGUGAAAUCCCCUACUAUAUAAGAGGAACAGUCAGUCAUAUAAAAGAAUUAAAAGUCUGGCCCCAGCCUUACUUACAGUUUCAGUACCAAUUCGGCCUUAGCCCAUUAUAACAGAUAGUACCAGAUGGGCUUUAGCCCAUUACAGAAUAAAAAAAAUAUUAUCAGAACUAGAAUCAAAAUGAGAAUCAGAAUCAGAAUCAAGUGACAGAAUCAGAAUCAGGAUCAGAAUUAGAAUUAGGUGACAGAAUUAGAAUCAGAAUGUGAAUCCAAUAUCUUUUACCAUUGUACCCAAUACAGACUUCAGAAUUAAGCCCACAGGCCCAUAACAAAGACAAAACAUAUAUUUCAUGUAUGCAGAAAACCCAACCCAUAUCCAUCUGUAUACACCCCUGUACCAACCUUAUACCAUGUGGGGAGACAAAUCGACCCACCCAUCCGCUACACGCCACAAAAUUUGCAGCAUGGCUGCCAAAAUAGAUAUUGUGACAAAGUUAUCAGAUACAAAUAUUUGUGGUAGAGCCAUCAGAAUCAGAUAAUGUGGCAAAGCCACUUAACAGAAUACGUGGCACAAAGCCAUCGAUAACUGUAAUAACUUUGGCUCAUAGCCAUCAGUGACGGUAAUAUAACUGGCGCACAGCCUUCGGUAAAUAUGAUCAACACAGAGUCGUCAACAAAUAUGUUAGGCAUAUAGCCACAGGUAAAUACGUUUGGCACAAAGCCAUAGUCAAGAUGGCACAAAUCCAUAUUUAGGUUGGCACAGAGCCAUCAAUAAUUGGUCUAUAAUCGGCACGAAGCCUACAAUAACGGCACACAGCCUUCGGUAACAUGAUCGGCACUCAGCCAUCGAUUGGUCAAUAGAUAUUGAGACAAAGUCACCAGAUACAGAUAUUGUGGCAGAGCCACUAGAACAGAUAUUUGUGGCAUAGCCACCAGAAACAGAUAUUUGUGGCAUAGCCACCAGAAUGCUUCCUCUAUCAAUAUAACCCAUAUCCCAUGCAACAGAUACACAUGUCAUGGCAUACAACAUACAGAAUCAGAAUAUCAUGCUCAUAUUUGAAUCAAACAGUCACAGUCAAGUCAUUUAUAUCACCAACAUAUAUUCACAAUCAAAUCCGUCAACCACACAGUCCAAGUCAGUCACUUGCGCACAAGGGCAAAAUAGUCAUUUAACACCCUAGGGGCAAAAUGGUAAUUUUACCCCACAAGGGUAUCUCGAAAAUUUUACCCUACAGGAGUAUUUUAGUAAUUCUAUCCUACAGGGGUAUUUUAGUAAUUCUACCCUACAGGGGUAUUUCAGUAAUUCUGUAAAUCGAGGGUAAAAUAGUAGUUCUGUAAACUAAGGGUAAAACAGUAAUUUUGUAAACCGAGGGUAAAAUAGUAAUUUUAUAAAUCGAGGGCAAAAUGGUAAUUUUGUAAAUCGAGGGUAAAAAGAUAAUUCUGUAAAUCGAGGGUAAAAUAGUAAUUCUGUAAAUUGAGGGUAAAACGGUAAUUCUGUAAACCAAGGGUAAACCAAUAAUUCUAUAAAUCGAUGAUAAAACAAUAAUUUUAUAAAUCGAGGGUAAAACGGUAAUUCUGUAAAUCGAGGGUAAAACGGUAAUUCUGUAAAUCAAUGGCAAAAUAGUAAUUUUGUAAAUCGAGGGUAAAACGGUAAUUCUGUAAAUUGAGAGUAAAACAGUAAUUCUGUAAAUCAAUGGCAAAGCGGUAAUUUUGUAAAUCGAGGGUAAAACGGUAAUUUUGUAAAUCAAUGGCAAAACGGUAAUUUUUUAAAUCGAGGGUAAAACGGUAAUUCUGUAAAUUGAGGGUACUUUGGUAAUUUUACAAGUCGAGGGUAUUUUAGUAAUUUGGUAAACUAAAGUAUUCUAAACAGGGAUAACAAUACGAAUGGGCCUAAAGCCCAUUCUCGACCCAAAUGGUCCCACACGCUUGUGUGGCCCUUUUAGCCCAAAUCUAGCUACAGAUAUGAUAUUCACCUAGCCUAGUCCAAUAUUUACUACACAAUCAAACAACUUAUCCAAUUAGGCUCGUAGGCCCAUUAGGCCCACAAGGCCCCUUUCGGCCCAUCGCGGCCCGAAGUAGCCAUGCUACAGCUAGAUUAGUGAGAAAUACACACCUGAUAGGAGACUGGAGUUAAUCCGCGCUCCGAGCACUCUUAGCCGAUGCCCAACCCAAACGAGCACGCCAUAAAGUGAAAGGGAUCAGCCAAGAAAGGUACCUUUACUCUCCUCGUGGUUCUCUCUAUUUAAAGCUAGCUUCGCAUCCACUCUUAUGUUAGUUUCCCGAUAUGGGAUCCCUCCAUCAUCAGAGUUUAAAUUCAACACCAACUCUUGCCGCCCCCCUGUUAGCAAAAUAAAUGCUCUUUGAUUGCCAUGAGUUUCGAACCCUGGACCUCCUUUCCAACUCUAUGACGCCACCUUCCUGCCUCUUAUGUGGCGCUACUUUGCCACUAGACCACAAUGCAUUUUGUGGCACAGUUUCUCCAACAAUAUUCUUAAGGCCUACAUACUACACCUAGGGUUUGAUUCACCUUGAACCAAAAUUUUUGCUAGAGUCUAGGUUUGAACCCAAGACUUCUCCAACACUUCUCAGCACACUUAACCACUAAAACAAGCCUUCAUUAACGAAAUUUACAUGCACAAAAAAAUACUAUAAGCUGCCUUCAACCGCUCCCAUGCUCAAGGCCCAGAACUUCUAGGCCCAAAUUCAAGGUGUUAUACAGCAUAUCAAGCGUAUAUGUCGAAACCAUUUUUAAAUCGAGUUUUGGAAAAUGGGAAUCGACUUUAAGAAAAACAAAAACGGGAGUCGCCACCAAUCUUUUUAGGUGUGAUUGGAUCACCUUAUAAAAUGUUUUGUUUUAAAACAUUAAUUUUGGUCUACGAAAGUCGAGAAAAUGGAUUCAGGAGUCGGUUAUGUACAAGGAAGGGUUAGCACCCUCGUAACGCCCAAAAAUUGAUACCUAAUUGAUUAUCAAGUGUCUUUAAUGUCGGAAAUUUGAAAGUUUUAAGAUGCAAACCUCUUUUAAUUAGAAUGUCUCAAUUUUGAAAAUUAAGGCUCACUUAUUUCAAACGAGUCAAAACAUCACAUCUAGUAAGUUAGGACGCAACAUUUUAAAACCUUCGAAACUAAGCUCGUCUUUCAAAAAUUUCUAUCUCGAAACAACAGAACGCCAUAUCCAGUAAGUUAAGACACUAUGUUUUGAAAUCUCGAAAUAAUUGUUUAAGUUUUGAAAACUCAAAAUCACUUAGAAGGGUGCUUGACUAUUCGAAUUCAACGAGAAAAGUCGCAACCCAGUAAGUUAGGGCACUACCUUUCUCGAAGUUUCCAAACAUCAAGCAUUGCCUUUUAUUUUUUUUUUAAAAAAAACCUUGCAAUAUUAUUUUAAAUGACGUUUUAGGAUGACAUAUUAAUGCAUCAUGAAGCAUAGAUGUACAAAAUAUUCUAACAUUUCCAUACAAACAUAAAUAAUAUCAUUAAGACAAAACUAAAUAACAUGAACAUACGUUUAAUGAAAAAAAUCAUACUAGGGUAAAUAUAAUAUAAUAAACAAAUAAAAACAUGAGUAAACUAAAAGAAAAACAUAAUACAUGCAAAAAUUAUACAACAAUAUAUAUCAUAAAAUAACACAUAAAGGAAAUAAUUAAACAUAGCAUAUAAAAAAAAUGAAACUAUGCACAAAUAAGAUAAAUGACAUACACUAAAAAAAUGAAUAAAUAGAACAUUUACAAAUUAUAAAAAUAUAAUGCAAUAGUUCAAAAUACAUGAAAUGAUAAUAUAAUAUAUGUAUACAUGCAUAGAAAAUAUAUAUUUAAAAAUAAACUAUAUAAAAAGGUUAAAUAUUAUAAUAUAUAAAAUACAUAAUCAAAUGUAUAAAAGAUAGGAAUAAAUAUACAUAUUUCAAAAAUGAUGAAAUUAAAAUAAAAAAAAAGGUUGAAAAACUAAGAUAGACGAAGAAUAAAAUAAGAACAAACCACAGAGAGUAAGAACGCAAGAGGGAGAGAAACUUGAGUGAAUGCUCUCAAGAAUUCUUAUUGCUUCCCAAAACUCAAGUGAUUUACAAUGAAGGGAGAGGCCUCUAUUUAUAGUUGAGCCUCCCCAAAUGCAACGGUACAGAUCAAUUACAUCAACGAUCAAGAUUAAAGGAUAUCUACAAAUUAAAUCUCCAAGAUUACAAGAUCAUAUCUUCAAGAUUGCAUAUCAUAUCUAAGAUUGCAUAUCCUUAAAGAUUAUAUUUCCAUAUGAGUCAAGCUUAUAGAUGGACCAUAAAUCUUUUCAAGUAAUGGGCCAUUCUGAUUGGGCCAAAUUAUAUGUUUGUAAUUUUGUACUGGACUUGGACUUUGUUUUAUUUUUAUUUUUUGGGGGUUUAUUAUUUUAAAUACUGAAAUGGGCCGGGCAAAAAUGGGCUAUUAUAGCUGCCCCUCUUUGCUCAUUGUCAUGUAACGAGAAUAGAGCAAAGACUAUAAAAAGACCCAUUUUGCCCGGUCUCAUCAGCUUCAGACUUCAUGGUCCUCAAUCUGCUCCUUGAAAACUCAGGAUUGUCAUGUUGAUAUCUUCGAUCUGCUCUCCAUCGAACACAGAGAUGCCAAAUUAACUUUUUUGAUUUGUUCCCUGUCAAUACCAAGAUGCCAAAUCAUCUUGGAUCUGCUUCGAUGUAAACAUAUGAAGGUCAGAUCUGCUAUGUCUUUAAUCUACUCCCCAUCGAAUAUGGAGAUGCCGAAUCUACUAUCUUCAACUUGUUCCCUAUAAACACAGGGAUGCCAUGCUGAAAUAUUCGAUCUGCUUCACUGUAAGCACAGGAAUGUCAGAUCUGCUAUGUCUUCGAUCUGUUCCCUGUAAACAUAGGGAUGCCAAAUCUGCUACCUUCAACUUGUUCCCUAUAAACACAGGGAUGCCAUGUUAAAAUCUUUGAUCUGCUUCGCUGUAAGCACAGGAAUGUCAGAUCUGCUAUGUCUUCGAUCUGUUCCCUGUAAACACAGGGAUGCAAAAUCAUCUUGGAUCUGCUUCAAUGUGAAAAUAUCCGAAGGUCAGAUCUGCUAUGUCUUCGAUCUUCUCUCCGUCGAAUAUGGAGAUGCCAAAUCUGUUUCUUCAAUUUGUUCUCUGACAAUAUAGAGUUGCAAAUCAUCUUGGAUCUACUUCAGUGUAAACACCUGAAGGUCAGAUCUGCUAUGUCUUUAAGCUGUUCCCUGUAAACAUAGGGAUGCCAAAUCUGCUAUCUUCAACUUGUUCCUUAUAAACACAGGGAUGCCAUGCUAAAAUCUUCGAUCUGUUCCCUAUAAACACAGGGAUGCCAAAUCUGCUAUCUUCAACUUGUUCCCUAUAAACACAGGGAUGCCAUGCUAAAAUCUUUGAUCUGCUUCGCUGUAAGCACAGGAAUGUCAGAUCUACUAUCUUCGGUCUGUUCCCUAUAAACACAGGGAUGCCAAAUCUGCUAUCUUCAACUUGUUCCCCAUAAACACAGGGAUGCCACGCUGGAAUCUUUGAUCUGCUUCGCUGUAAGCACAGGAAUGUCAGAUCUGUUAUCUUUGAUCUGUUCCCUAUAAACACAAGGAUGCCAAAUCUUGCUUCUUUGAUCUACAUUGUCCCAUAAAAGACAUAACCUGUAGAAUGCGUAUGAGUUCAUGCCUAAUAAUUAGGAUGCUAUGAUCGAAGUGAGUCAAAUUCUCCUAAUUAGACAUGUUAUAAAGCAAAAUGUUAUGAAUAUGAACCCUAUUUCGGACGUCAUCACUCAUUCCCUCAUUGAAGUUUUAUCUUUAUAUUUCUUGAUGCAUCAAUCAUACUCUGCUCGUAUGCUUUGAAUCAACUUGGUCCUAUUGUACCAUUCUCUGAAUAUUGUGACCCUGCUGGAGAUGCUUGUGAAAUGGUCCUCUCUCAGGAUCGAAUCGUUUGAAUUAUCCAAUCAUCAUUUAAAAGAAAUUUCAGUUUCCCUGAGUACAUCCGACCCUCACAUAUAGGAAUUCCCUAAACAAUUGUCCUGUUUCAGUUUCUUGUAUUAUCUAAAAAUUUCUAGAGUAAUAUGCAAAACUUCGUUUGUAAAGAUAUUUAGUUCAUCAAUCAUUAUUUCUAUGCAACACACUUUAUGAAUAAUGGAGGACGAAUAAAUAGAUCUAGAGGAUAAUUAAAUUUGAAUGAAUUUUUCAAAAAUACAAAGGAAAUUAAUCUGAUAGCUUAUAUUUGGGAAGAAAGAGAAUCUAAAGAUAACAAACAGGACAAAAUUUAGAUGCCCUAGAUAUCGCCGCUUGAGCGUUUAUACACCAGCUCCAUGAAGACUUUUUUUUUAGUUUAACUUGUGUUUAGAAGACCCAAAGUACUUUGUUGAUGCCCCGAUAUGUAACAUACUUUACUUCUCGUCGAAUCCGGUAUAGCAAGGUCACUGCAUGACUUUCCAAAUUUGAGCUGCCCUUUCGGGUUUUCAACUCAAAACCCCUUUGGUCUCAAGGCGCCCUUUGCAGAUUUUCACCUUGGCCUCUCCAUUUUAUUCUUUCUUUUUUCUCUUUUUUCUUUUUAUUUUCUUUUUUUUUGAAAUAGAAGUCCAAAAGUGCCCUUUGCGGGUUUUCACCUUGGCUUCCCUUCUCCUUCAAACAAAGUACUCCUUGACCGAGUCCAAAUUCACUGGAUCAGAUAAAUUCUUCCUAUCCAUUUCUUGUCAAAAAUUAGUGCACCUCUAGAGAAAGCCCUCUUCGCAACAUAUGGCCCUUCCCAAUUCGGCAUCCUUUUGCAUGGGAAGGAUCUCUUUCAGCACAAGGUUUCCUUUAUGAAAUUCUUUUGGACGAACCUUCUUUGUCAUAAGUCUGUGUCAUCCAUUCUUGGUACAUUUGCUUAGGAUGAAUACUUUCAAGUUAAGUUUACUAGAGGUAUUCAAUUCUUGACUCCAUCAAAGCUUGGAGGAAAAAUCUUGAUUCAUAAACCCAAGAGAAAGGGAUUGUCCCAGUAGCAGUCCUGGCUGUUGUUUGUCAAACCCUACAAAAAGAUGGUUCAAUGAUUCUCAGCAGACAAGAAUGAAGUUGCUGACUUUAUCCUUCAACCUGGAAAGCUGAGGUACAGAGAUUACUCACGGAGCAUACACCCCACCAUGAAUCGAUGAUGUUUCUGGAGCAUCUCUAAUCUUCAUAAAUUGCCUCCAACUGUGAAGCUGCCAAAUGAGCGUAGCAAAUAGGAGCCACAACAAAUAUGGCUGUGGUGCUCCUUUGAUACAUAUAGGAUAGAGAAUGAACAAACUCUUGCAGAUCAUCAGCCGAAAACCCAGCCUGGUUUAAGAGAACAAGAUAAUGGGUCUGCCUCGUGAUUCUAAUCAUUCCAGCAUAGGUACCAAGGUAAAAAUCAUUGUUAUUUGGAUGGCCUACUUUGUUGUCAAUGACAGUACCAUGUAACACAUUGUCAGGAGAUCUCUGCUGAAAAAACUUGGUAUGAUGGUUUUUCGUACAACAAUAACGACAAUUUUUAGGGUUCCAGUUCUCGUCAAGGAACUUGCAAGCCUCAAUAACUUGAUCAAAACUUGAUUGAAUUGAGACUCACUAACCCCAUCACUGAAAAUAAUGAUUUGAUCAGGUUUCCUCUUCCCUGAACUUGUAUAGAAGUCUAAGAGAGCUUCCUUCAUGGUACCGUCAUCCACUUUGUCAGAAACUAGUUUUGAAAAAAGAAUCUAUCAUUUUAAGCUUCAGAGACUGUGUAUGGCCUGAUGCCCCAUAGCUGGAAAUCAAUGGCCAUCGCUUGGAGCUAACCAUCACAGCUAUUGAUGGCACAUCAGACUGCUCAGGAAAGCCAAACAAUGCACCCAUUCCAAGGAUGAUGGUUGGAACCUUUGAAACAGCUAAAAUUAAAGGUGUUUGCCCCAGCGUAAGCAUAGAGAGUAGGUGGUAGUUUCUUAUGCCAAUUUUUACCAGUCUCGGUCAUCUUCUGUAAUUUGUUUUUUUCUUCUUUUUCUUUUCUUUUGGCAACCUUUGUUGUACUGUGGUAUGGCGCAUUAUCUUUGAAAAGACUGCAAACUUUUGGCAUUGUGCAGUUAUAUAUAAUCUUUUUUUUUUGAAAUUGAUGACUUUUGACUUUGUAAUAUUGGCAUAUGAAGCUAUCUCCCCCUCUUAAUGGAGUAGUUGACGUCCACAAAGAGAAGUCAUUGUCAACUUGAAACUUUUGACGAGCUCGGGCCCAUAACAUACAUGCCCCAUAAGUCUUGACUCCUUUAAAUUUGGCAUUCAUUGUACAAUUGAUGCGAUCCCUUUUCCAUGGUGGACCAACAGUGCCCCAAAACCUCAUGUUUAUCCUGGCAAUUGCAAAUCCUCCUGCAUGCGUCUUUGGACCACAUUUUUGAAUUCCCAUAAUAGUCUCAACAAGAUCUUGUUUUGUCUCCUCAGCUAAUUCUAAUUUCGCAAUCUUUCCUUCCUACUAUAAGGCUAUAUUUCCUGCCACCACUUCAUGGGGUAAAAACCAUUUUCAACAAAUUCAAAAACAAGUCACAAUUUCUGUCACCUUCAAAGUACUGAGAUUCCUCUAAACACAUAUCGCACUUAAAAGGAACUCUAAAUCUAUAGUAUCGUUGCCCGUGUCAUUGAUAUCUAGGGAUCUAUGAUAGGCACACAAAAGAAUAUACAAGGAAUAAAUGAAUUCAAGAAUGACUAUUUACAUGAAAUGAAAAUUUAUAAAGAAUAUCACAGGUCAAAAGAAUCAGAAUGAAAGAAUAUUUACUCGGAUAAAUAAUAAAAGUAUGUUUUAUUUAAAAUAAAAAUGUUUGAACAUGAGCCCACUUCUCAAAAGAAAUCUCAUUACUCUUAGGCUUUAGAGUAACAAGAGUGUUCUGAAUAUUACUCUGUAAAAUUCCUAAAGAUUAUACGAAGUUCUUCUGCAGUCCAAUUGUUUAAAGAACUUCCCGGUUCGUAAGGGCGAAUGCCCUCAAGGUUUCUUUGUUCAAUCCCUUCCUCAUGUAUGACAUUGAUGGGAUGAUUUUCAUUUCCAAACACCCCCUUCUCUGGGUAAGCUAUCCCUCCUGACACAAAAGUCGAGGAUAUAUAAGGGAACGUCGUUAAUUCCCAUUCAACUUCUUUUUCACUCAGCCGUGACCCUCUUCUCUCUCUCUGUCUUUUUUUUCUCUUUUUAAUAACUUUAACUAAUUAGGGUCUUUUUAUAAUUUUGAAUGCAAAUGAUGCCAUGAAAUGCUAUAAGAUGCAAAUGAAUGCAAAAGGUAUCGAUCUCGAUUCAAUCUCAUUUAGAAAACUUUAUUCAGAAAAAUAAUAUCUUACAUAUAAAUAGAUUACAAAUACGCUUUCGCCCUAAUGCUUAAAGUUUUAACAACAAAAUAAACUCUUGGCCACGAUCUGAUUGUAGCUCAUAUUGGUGCUCAAUAUGUCAGCCUGUGCCGCCAAUGUCUGUAAAUAAUCAGCUGUCUCCUGAGUUUGAGAUAUGACCUCACCUAUGGGGUAAUCCGUGCAGCUAAGGGCACCUCCUCCAAUACCUGUGAAGUUGUUCUGAUUAUUUUGAGAUAGAUUAGCGAACAGGUAGGUAUCCCGUUCUGCAGCGUGCUACCUUAAAAUAAUAUCCUAUAUCCUCAAUGUUUCUUGAGAGCUUUCAGAUUUCUACCCAUGCAGAGCAUCCUGCCUCGGUACCUUCACAGCAUAGCUAAUCUCUAAAGGUCUUUGUAUGAUACGGUCUUCUUUAAUCACUUUCUUUCACGCGUACUUGAGCUAUCCAGGCCAUCGGGGCUUGCAUUUCCAUUGUUUCUGAUAAGUACAACAGUAAACUCAAGCUUGUUGUUUGGUAGCGGUCCUAUAGUAAACGAGAUUUUUACCAUCAUAGGCAAAAUUCUUUCCAUCCAACUCAUUUUUGUAGGUCUCAUGCACUCUAUCAAUCACUUUCCUUCCAAUACCCUUACCAUCCACAUGGCAACCGUCUUCAUAUGAAAGAGAAAUGCUAUAAUGGUAGAAGUGUCCAUCAAUACUCCCACACUCACUUUGAAUUGCUCAUCUAUCCUCCUGUCAAGUAAAUACUGCAAGUCCCCUUAGUUAUUGUAGAACAACUGCUUGGCUUUAUUACUCCAUUGAUCACAUAUUUUCUUUAACUCCUGGAGAUUAUUUUGCACCACGCUGAUGCGAGUGUAACCCCAUAAUUCUGAUGUGUAUCCUUCAGUGUUUCCUUUGACCAUUUAUGGACGUUAACGUUGCCCUCCUUUCUAUCAAGAAGUCCGUUCUCCAUAAUAAAAUUUUCUAACUUAGAAACUGACCGUGAAUCUAUACCUUUUAAAUGCAAAAUGACAUGCACAAAAGAAAGAAAACAGUCAGUAUCAUAUGAUAUUAAGAUAACCUAAGUAUAAUUCUUUCAAUAUGGAGCUCUUACGGUUUUUCUAUAUGUGGUUUGUUUCUAAAGUUUGAGGUACUUGAACCAGCAGAUUCCUCGAUCCUCACCCAUUAUAGGCUCAUUUGAAUCGAGUUCAGUUCAGGGGAAUACAUUUCCCUAUGGCUACACGGAGAUGAAAAUCUCACGAAACCAUAGGUACGAAUGUAUCCCGAAAGUGAUCCACUAUCCUGCACGGAGGCGAAAACCUUACGAAGGCGUAGUUUCUCACUCCCACUUAAGGGUGUGACCACAACGGUCAUGCAAAUGCAAUGCGUAUCGAAAUAUAUAACAUAUGCAAUAAUACAAACACAUGUAAUGCAAAGAGGAUUGAAUUUUAAAAUUUUUCAAAUUUUUGACAUUAAGACAAAAGGUAAUCAAUUAUACGGAUUGACUCUCUUAUUGGUCCCCAGUGGAGUCGCCAAGCUGUCGAGACCAUUUUUAAAUGAGUUUUGGAAAAUGGGAAUUGACUUUAAGAAAAACAAAAACGGGAAUCGCCACCAAUCUUUUUAGGUGUGAUUGGAUCACCUUAUAAAAUAUUUUGUUUUAAAACAUUAAUUUUGGUCUACGAAAGUCAAGAAAAUGGAUUUGGGAGUCGGUUACGUACGAGGAAGGGUUAGCACCCUCGUAACGCCCAAAAAUUGGUACCUAAUUGAUUAUCAAGUGUCUUUAAUGUCGAAAAUUUGAAAGUUUUAAUAUGCAAACCUCUUUUAAUUAGAAUGUCUCAAUUUUGAAAAUUAAGGCUCACUUAUUUCAAACGAGUCAAAAUGUCACAUCCAGUAAGUUAGGACGCAACAUUUUAAAACCUUCAAAACUAAGCUCGUCUUUCAAAAAUUUCUAUCUCGAAACAACAAAACGCCAUAUCCAGUAAGUUAGGACACUAUGUUUUGAAAUCUCGAAAUAAUUGUUUAAGUUUUGAAAACUCAAAAUCACUUAGAAGGGUGCUUGACUAUUCGAAUUCAACGAGAAAAGUCGCAACCCAGUAAGUUAGGGCACUACCUUUCUCGAAGUUUCCAAACAUCAAGCAUUGCCUUUUUUUUAAAAAAAAAAACCUUGGAAUAUUAUUUUAAAUGACGUUUUAGGAUGACAUAUUAAUGCAUCAUGAAGCAUAGAUGUACAAAAUAUUCUAACAUUUCCAUACAAACAUAAAUAAUAUCAUUAAGACAAAACUAAAUAACAUGAACAUACGUUUAAUGAAAAAAAUCAUACUAGGGUAAAUAUAAGAUAAUAAACAAAUAAAAACAUGAGUAAACUAAAAUAAAAACAUAAUACAUGCAAAAAUUAUACAACAAUAUAUAUAAUAAAAUAGCACAUAAAAGAAAUAAUUAAACAUAGCAUAUAAAAAAAUGAAACUAUGCAUAAAUAAGAUAAAUGACAUACACUAAAAAAAUGAAUAAAUAGAACAUUUACAAAUUAUAAAAAUAUAAUGCAAUAGUUCAAAAUACAUGAAAUGAUAAUAUAAUAUAUAUACAUGCAUAGAAAAUAUAUAUUUGAAAAUAAACUAUAUAAAAAGGUUAAAUAUUAUAAUAUAUAAAAUACAUAAUCAAAUGUAUAAAAGAUAGGAAUAAAUAUACAUAUUUCAAAAAUGAAGAAAUUAAAAUAAAAAAAAGGUUGAAAAACUAAGAUAGACGAAGAAUAAAAUAAGAACAAACCACAGAGAGUAAGAACGCAAGAGGGAGAGAAAUUUGAGUGAAUGCUCUCAAGAAUUCUUAUUGCUUCCCAAAACUCAAGUGAUUUACAAUGAAAGGAGGGGCCUCUAUUUAUAGUUGAGCCUCCCCAAAUCCAACAGUACAUAUAAUUACAUCAACGGUCAAGAUUAAAGGAUAUCUACAAAUUAAAUCUCCAAGAUUACAAGAUCAUAUCUUUAAGAUUGCAUAUCAUAUCUAAGAUUGCAUAUCAUAACUAAGAUUGUAUCAUAUCUAAGAUUGCAUAUCAUAUCUAAGAUUGCAUAUCCUUAAAGAUUAUAUUUCCAUAUGAGUCAAGCUUAUUGAUGGACCUUGAAUCUUUUCAAGUAAUGGGCCAUUCCGAUUGGGCCAAAUUAUAUGUUUGUAAUUUUGUACUGGACUUGGACUUUGUUUUAUUUUUUUGGGGGGGGUUUAUUAUUUUAAAUACUGAAAUGGGCAAGGCAAAAAUGGGCUAUUACAGUAUAAUUAUGUACUCUUUUUCCUUCACUAAGUUUUUGUCCUACUGGGUUUUUCUUAGUAAGGUUUUAACGAGGCAUAAUUAGAUAAUGAACAUCCAAGAGGGAGUGUUAUGAAAUAUUUAUGUGGAUGUUAUUAUCAACCCCAUAAGUUAUAAAACUCUUCCUAUACCCCAUAAGUUAUGAGAUUUUUCCUAUACCCCAUUAAUAUGGGAGAUAAAAGGUCAUGACCCUUUACAUGUCCUAUAAUAAUUAGAGAGUUACUUUUGAAAGAUAAUAUAUAAAAAAAGAAGAUACACUCUCUCUCCUACAUUCUCUCUACACACUUUCUUCUAUCACAUUUUAGUUUAUUCUUUCUUAAUUAUUUCAUAACAAUCAGCUAAUACAUAAAGUACCAACAAUUUCUCUUAGUAAGUGGGUGACUCUUUGUCAGAUUCUUAAUUUGUUCCUAUAUUGAGAGUAUUUCAGAAUAAUAAAUGAUUUCACAAGUCAGUUUAGACCCAUAUUGUCUUAAGUUUUAUUUGUUUUGUUUUGUUUUUUUGUUUAAUAAGUAUUUACUUUUAUACAUUUUUGUUUGCUCUUAUAGCACGUUUUUUAGUAUUGCUUAUGCAUGUAAUCUUACUUUUGCAAGUGAUUUUAAUGAUAGUUUUGUCGUCAUCCUCUCCAGUUUGGUAGAUGCUUGGUUCUUUUUUUUUAUUUUGCCCAUUUCUUUGAACUAUCCGGGGUUGAUUUCCUUAUCGUGAUAGUUGCUUGCAAUCACUCUAGAUAUGUCGUGCUUGAGUUGUGACAAAGUUAGUUGUUAGCAUGUCAUAAUGUACUAUUGAUGUUGAGGUUGAAGCCUUUGCCAUGUCGAUGGAGCUUGUUCUUUAUCGAUGACGAUGAUUGUUUGUUAUUUUCUCUUUUACUUGAAUUCUAUGGUCUCAUUCAUGGAAUGAAUUAAUGAAUUUUAUCUUUAAAAAAAUUCAUUUUUAGAAUUUUGAGUAAACUACACUCAAGGUCAUUAAACUAUUAGUAAGCUUAUGUUUUGGUCACUGAACUUUAAAAAGUUACAAAAUAGUGAUAUCCAACACUGAUCGUUAGAUCGGCUUGGAUCUGAUGUAUGUUCUUCUACUCUUUGAUGGGUACUGACCCUUUUUAUCGAUAAUCAAAUUCUCGCUUGGAGUUGCUAGCCGGUCAUUUUUUUAAAAAAAUUAAUAGUUUGGUGACUUAAAAAAAUUAGAAUAGUUCAGUGACUUAAAUUAAAACUUUCGAAUAAUUUAGUGACCAUUUUGUCACCUUUUGAAUUUGAAUAACUAAAAUGUAAAGUUAUUAAUAAUUUAAUUGUAGCACCCCAAACCCGGCCCAGAAGUUAUGGCCGGAUCCGACAUGCCACAUCAAAAACGUUAAAAAAAAUUUCCAUUCUAAGUCCAGAAAAUCGUACUUGAUGUUCAAAAGAUUAAUUCAUUAAGGGUUAAAGUGAAUGGAAGCUGUGCACCAGGUAGGAAACCGGAAAAGAGGUGGUGAGUCCAUCGGACUGCUUAAGUACCAAGCUCCCUUCGGAUCCAAUCCUAGACAUGCAUACCGCCAUUGCCACACCUUAACGUCAUGGAUAUUUCUAGGAAACCGAUUUGAUUAAGUCAUUUUUAGGAAAAGUGAUUAAUUUUGGAAAAUACGUUCAUUGCGGAAGCUUUGCUUGUUGUUGUGUUAUUUUGAAAUCAACUAUUGUUUUUGAAAACGCGCCCUAAAGCUAUCCAAUUUCAACAGUUAAAAUAAGUAUUACCUAUCUUUGUAAUACAUAUUAAAAUCAUCAAAAAUAAUUAAGCGGCCUUAUUACAUUUAAAAGCCCAAAAAUUCAAACGUAAAUAAAAGGAUGUCCAGUUCACCAGAAGAAAAUCAAACUUUCAGAACGGGUGGCCACUCCGAAUUCCCUCACAGCUCCAAGCCCACUAUGGUUGGGGAUUUCUUGCGUGGAUGAAAAUAAAAGGGGUGAGUUUGGGGAAACUCAGUGUGUAAAAUAACCCAACAAUAGCCUAUAUCAGCUCAAACCACAAAAAUAGAAUAAGUUGGCCUUAGCCCAGAACAGAAUUCAGAAUAAAGCCCAUAGGCCCAUAACAGAACAGAACAGAUAUUACAUGUUUAUGCAGAAACCCAACCCAGAUUCAUCCAUAACACCCCCGUACCAGCGUUACACCAUGUGGGGAGACAACUCGACCCACCCAACCGUUACACACCACAGAAUUUGCAGCAUGGCUGCCAGAACAGAUAAUGUGAUAGAGUCACCAGAUACAGAUAAUCGUGGCAGAGCCACCAGAACAGAUAUAUGUGGCAGAGCCACCAGAUCAGAUAAUUGUGGCAUAGCCACCAGGACGCUUCCUCCAUAAUAUAACCCAUGUCCCCAUGCAACAGAUAUAUAAUCAUGGCAUACAUCAUACAGAAUCAGAUCGUCAUGCUUUUCAGUCAAAAUUAACCCUAGGGGUAUAACGGUAAUUUUGCACCUAGGGGUAUAACAAUAAUUUUCCAUACAUAGGGGUAUUAUAGUAAUUUAGCUAAUUUUAGGGUUUUCAUGCAUAUCCUAACUAUUUAUGUACUAUCAGAACACUUACCGCGCAUACUUACCGAAUUGGGCCCGUUGGCCCAUGAACCCGAUCUUUGGCCCAUUAAGCCCAAAUUAUCAAAAUGUACGAAAUUGCGCGUACUGCAAUUUAUUACUUUAGAUUACCAAAUAUACAAACCCAACUAUCUUACGAGCAUUCGCACACUCGCAAAUUCCCAAAAUACCGACUUUUUGGCAUUUCGGCUUUUCGGCUUUUGCCAAUCUAGUCUAUGAGAGGGUGUCAGUUACACACCUGUUUGUGACGAUAUGCUGACAAGAUCCACACACGAACCGCCUACAAUUGGAUUACUAACAUGUUAAUCUAACUAUUCAAAUACGAACUAUGUAUUACCCCUUACAAUAUUCGGCCAACCACACCUACAGAUCAUAGUAAGCUUAUAAGAAAUCAAUAAGCAACUCAUUAACAAAUUUUUGUCAAUGUUUACCACAUAAUCAUAAUUUCACUGCAAGCUGUCUUCCUGAGCAACAGUCACUAAAUCAUUUAUAACUGGAGCUACGAAACUCCAAAUCAAGUUCUGUUAAUUUUCGCUGAAAAUAGACUCAUAUAUCUUCUAUUCAUAAAAUUUUAGGAAUUUUUGGUUCAGCCAAUCAAUACCAGAAUUUUCUCAAAGUUUCUCAUGUUUCACUGUUUGACUAAUCUGACCACCCUUCAUUACUAAUCAAAUUUCUCAUUGUACAGAAUUCAAAAUAUGUUCUUGUUUAUUUCAUUAGAAACUAGACUCAAUAAGCUUUAAUUACAUAAUUUAUUCAGCUUCUAAUUCUUCUCUCACAAUUUAUGGUGAUUUUCUAAAGUCACGUUACUGCUGCUGUCCCAAGCAGAUUUAUUACCAAAUCACUCUUUCACACAUACCUUGCAUGCAUGUUAUUUAAACAUGUAUAUCACCAAUCAAUCAUCACAUAUCCAUGAUUUUACUUAAGUAUAAUCUCCAUUUCAUCAUUUUAAAGCACAACAUGUUAGCUGAUUUUUCCCUUUAACAUCUAAGGCACAUGCAUGCUCAUUUGUUUGGCUCAACUUCACCUAUCUUCCAUUUUUCAUCAAAAGAAUAUGAAACAACAACCAUUUCCUUCAUUUUAAUUCAUGACUAAAUGCUCACAACACAACUAAAAAUCAAAAUAUACUUCAAGAGUUAAGGUAGAAUCAAGAAGAACUCAUGAACCUCAAAAUAGAAGCAAGGUACCAAGAACUUACCUUCAAUUUUCCUCCUCCUAAUGACCGAAUACUCAAGAGCUUUCUCCUCUCCUUUCUCUUCUCUAACUUUCAGCUAUGAUGAACAAAGAUGGACAAAACUUUGUUCUUUUCACCCCUUUUUCUUUUAAUAAAACUUCAUAUUUCAUCCAUUUAAUUCUUUAAUACAAAAGACAUGAAAUUCUUAUAAUGAAACAUUUACCUAACCCAUUAUCAUGGAACAUUUACCUAACCUAUUAUCAUGGAACAUUGUCCUAACCUAUUAUCUUGGAACAUUUACCUAACCUAUUAUCAUGAAACAUUUACCUAACCUAUUAUCAAUUUGUAUCAAUUUGUACCAUAAAUUAUGGAUAUCAAGUGUACAUUUUGUCUACAACAACAUGAUGGCUGGCCACUUCAUGUAAAAUGGGAGGUUUUUCAUGCAAAUCCUCCUAUUUUGCACUCCUAUUUAUUUGGCCACUUCAAUUUAGCCUAUAGCAUUUUCAAACAUUUUCACAUAGGUCCUAUUUCAUAAUUUCACCCCCUUUUUCUUAUGGAACAAAAAUUAACUAAAAUUGCCGGGUUCUAUCUUAAGCUUGGGCUUUCUAGAGGCCCACUAACAUAAUUAAACCUAUGCCAACAUUCACAGGAUUCCCAAAAAUUGGGGUGUUACAACUCUACCCUCCUUAAAGAAAUUUCAUCCUCGAAAUUUACCUAAUCCAAACAGAUGAGGGUAUUGCUGUUGCAACGUCUCUUCUGGCUCCCAAACUCAGAAGUUUCCCCUUCCUUAACUUGUUAAAAACGAGAGACCAAAGACUCAUCGUUCAACUAUUUUUCCUUAAUCUGAUCCACCCAGGUUGGCCUCACUUGCAACUCAGCCAACAGACUUCCAUCAUCAUACAGACUCAGAUGAGCAAACAUUGCUCUCAGAUCAGAUAUAGCUCUACGACUUACAGCAUCGGCUACCACAUUAGCCUUGCUUGGGUGAUACUCGAUCGAACAGUCAUAAUCCUUAAGCAACUCAAUCCAUCUCCUUUGCCUAAGGUUCAGCUCCUUCUGAGUCAACAAAUACUUAAGACUUUUAUGGUCAGUGUAUAUAAUACACCUUUCUCCGUACAAGUAAUGUCUCCAAAUCUUAAGUGCAAAUAUCACUGCUGCCAACUCUAAAUCAUGAGUCAAAUAGUUUCCCUCAUGAGGCUUAAGCUAUCGUGAUGCAUAUGCAACCACCUUACCCUCUUGCAUUGACACGCAGCCCAAACCCACGUGUGAUGCAUCACUGUACAAACUAAAAUCCUUCCCAGACUCCGGCUGAAUUAACAUAGGUGCUUCAGUCAGAACUUUAUUCAACUUCUCAAAAGCUUCCUGCUGUUUCUUAGUCCAUACAAACGGUACUCCUUUCCUUAUGUGUUUUGUUAGAGGUGCUGCCAUCACAGAAAAACCUUCCACAAACCUUCUGUAGUAUCCUGCUAGUCCUAGAAAACUCCGUAUUUCUGACACUGACCUAGGCGGUUUCCACUCCAAAAUCGCUUCAAUUUUUCGAGGGUCCACCCUAAUUCCUUCAGUAGAAACCACAUGACCUAGAAAAGCCACAUCUCGCAACCAAAAUUUACACUUGGUGAACUUCGCAAAGAGUUCCUUCUCCCUUAAUACUUACAGCACUAUACGGAGAUGCUCAUCAUGUUUCGUUUCAGUUUCAGAAUAUACCAGGAUAUCGUCAAUAAAGACGACUACGAACUGAUCUAAAAAUGGUUGGAACAUGCGAUUCAUCAGAUCCAUAAAUGCUGCAAGAGCGUUCGUCAGUCCAAAUGGCAUAACCAGAAACUCGUAAUGACCAUACCGAGUCCUGAAUGCUGUCUUAUGGAUAUCCACUUCCUUUACCCUUAACUGAUGGUAUCCAGAUCGAAGGUCAAUCUUGGAAAAUACCGAAGCUCCUCUAAGUUGGUCAAAUAAAUCAUCAAUCCUUGGUAGUGGAUACUUAUUCUUAAUCGUCAGUUUGUUCAACUGGCGAUAAUCAAUGCACAUCCGCAUCGUUCCAUCCUUCUUUUUCACGAAUAGCACUGGUGCUCCCCAUGAAGACACGCUUGGCCUAAUAAAGCCCCUAUCCAACAACUCUUGAACUUGAGCAUUUAACUCUACUAACUCCUUCGGUGCCAUCCUAUACGGUGCGAUAGACACAGGCGCCAUUCCAGGCAACAAAUCUAUUCCAAACUCAACUUCUCGAUUCGGAGGCAAUCUUGGAAGCUCCUCCGGAAAAACAUCUUGGAACUCCUUUACAGUCCUAACCUUAUCCACUGUCAGUCCCUCCUCUUCCGACUGACUUACAAAUACCAAUUAGGCCUCACAACCUUUCCGAAUCCACUUUUCGGCUCUUAAUGCCGACACCACAUUGGAAAAAUAAUCCCUUCUCUCACCUAUCACCAUAACCUCAUCAUCCUUUGUAGUUCUUAACACCAUUCAUUUAGAAGCACAGUCCAGAGUCGCCUUAUGCUUAACAAGCCAAUCCAUUCCCAGAAUGAGGUCAAACUCUCCAAACGGUAACUCCAUCAGAUCUCCAGGAAAAACCUUGCCUUGAAUUUCUAAGGGUAUAUUCCUAUACAGUUUGUCUACCCUAACCGAGUGACCCAAGGGACUUAGUACAGAUACCCCACUCACAAUCUCCUCAGAGCAGUCCAAGUCGUUCAUAAUCCGUUCUGUGGCCUCCAACCAAUUUUUCGCUACAUUUGGGGCUAUACUAGACAUGCCCCUAAAGAUCUCCGCUCUGUUAGCCCGAAGUCGUUCAGAAAUAGAUCCCCAAACUCCAUUGCCCGUACUUGCCCCGGCAACCCUUUCCAGAACACGAAGCAUUGCCUGUGACAGGGCAUCAUCCUCGGCACCACGGUCAUGAGACUCUACCUCUGUUGCCGGUGGUACCAGUGCAUCCACCGCCGGCAUAUGUCUCGAAGACGAAGAUCUCACUCGAGCACUUCCUCGGCUCCGUCCACGGCCUCAUGUACUCAUAUCGUAUUAUCUUGAUUACGAAUUUUUAUGCAUCAAUUAAUAUUCUAGUAUUUAUUACAGAUGUUUUAUGAAUCAGACAGUAGUUCAAAGUUUGUUUUCGUAGAAUCGAAGUCUAGUUACAGUUUCAGUCUCUUAUCAGAUUUUCCUAUGGUUUCAGAAUAAUCCUAUCUAGAGUAUCCUAGUAGGGUUUCAGUACAAACAGAUAAUUCAUAAAAAUAUUCAGAAGAGUUCAGAGUAAUACUUACAGGCUUGAGCCGGAGAUUCGGAAUGCCACCUUCUAAAGAUCUAAAUUUUGAAAAUCAAGUUUUUCGCAUUCUUUAUAAAAUUUUCGCUUUCAAAAAUCUUUGUUUUUGUAAACCCAAUCCACAGCCGAGUAGUUGCAACCUAGGCUCUGAUACCACUAAAUGUAGCACCCUAAACCCGGCCUAGAAGUUAUGGCCGAAUCCGACAUGCCACAUCAAAAACGUUCAAAAAAAUUUCCAUUCUAAGUCCAGAAAAUCGUACUUGAUGUUCAAAAGAUUAAUUCAUUAAGGGUUAAAGUGAAUGGAAGCUGUGCACCAGGUAGGAAACCGAAAAAGAGGUGGUGAGUCCAUCGGACUGCUUAAGUACCAAGCUCCCUUCGGAUCCAAUCCUAGACAUGCAUACCGCCAUUGCCACACCUUAACGUCAUGGAUAUUUCUAGGAAACCGAUUUGAUUAAGUCAUUUUUAGGAAAAGCGAUUAAUUUUGGAAAAUACUUUCAUUGCGGAAGCUUUGCUUGUUGUCGUGUUAUUUUGAAAUCAACUGUUGUUUUUGAAAACGCGCCCUAAAGCUAUCCAAUUUCAACAGUUAAAAUAAGUAUUACCUAUCUUAGUAAUACAUAUUAAAAUCAUCAAAAAUAAUUAAGCGGCCUUAUUACAUUUAAAAGCCCAAAAACUCCAAACGUAAAUAAAAGGAUGUCCAGUUCACCAGAAGAAAAUCAAACUUUCAAAACGGGUGGCUACUCCGAAUUCCCUCACAGCUCCAAGCCCACUAUGGUUGGGAAUUUCCUGCGUGGAUGAAAAUAAAAGGGGUGAGUUUGGGGAAACUCAGUGUGUAAAAUAACCCAACCAUAGCCUAUAUCAGCUCAAACCACAAAAAUAGAAUAAGUUGGCCUUAGCCCAAAACAGAAUUCAGAAUAAAGCCCAUAGGCCCAUAAUAGAACAGAACAGAUAUUACAUGUUUAUGCAGAAACCCAACCCAGAUUCAUCCAUAACACCCUCGUACCAGCGUUACACCAUGUGGGGAGACAACUCGACCCACCCAACCGCUACACACCACAGAAUUUGCAGCAUGGCUGCCAGAACAGAUAAUGUGAUAGAGUCACCAGAUACAGAUAAUCGUGGCAGAGCCACCAGAACAGAUAUAUGUGGCAGAGCCACCAGAUCAGAUAAUUGUGGCAUAGCCACCAGGACGCUUCCUCCAUAAUAUAACCCAUGUCCCCAUGCAACAGAUAUAUAAUCAUGGCAUACAUCAUACAGAAUCAGAUCGUCAUGCUUUUCAGUCAAAAUUAACCCUAGGGGUAUAACGGUAAUUUCGCACCUAGGGGUAUAACAGUAAUUUUCCAUACAUAGAGGUAUUAUAGUAAUUUAGCUAAUUUUAGGGUUUUCAUGCAUAUCCUAACUAUUUACGUACUAUCAGAACACUUACCGCGCAUACUUACCGAAUUGGGCCCGUUGGCCCGUGAACCCGAUCUUUGGCCCAUUAAGCCCAAAUUAUCAAAAUAUACGAAAUCGCGCAUGCUGCAGUUUAUUACUUUAGAUUACCAAAUAUACAAACCCAACUAUCUUACGAGCAUUCGCACACUCGCAAAUUCCCAAAAUACCGAUUUUUCGGCAUUUCGGCUUUUCGGCUUUUGCCAAUCUAGUCUAUGAGAGGGUGUUAGUUACAUACCUGUUUGCGACGAUAUGCUGACAAGAUCCACACACGAACCGCCUACAAUUGGAUUACUAACAUGUUAAUCUAACUAUUCAAAUACGAACUAUGUAUUAACCCCUUACAAUAUUCGGCCAACCACACCUACAGAUCACAGUAAGCUUAUAAGAAAUCAAUAAGCAACUCAUUAACAAAUUUUUGUCAAUGUUUACCACAUAAUCAUAAUUUCACUGCAAGCUGUCUUCCUGAGCAACAGUCACUAAAUCAUUUAUAACUGGAGCUACGAAACUCCAAAUCAAGUUCCGUUAAUUUUUGCUGAAAAUAGACUCAUAUAUCUUCUAUCCAUAAAAUUUUAGGAAUUUUUGGUUUAGCCAAUCAAUACCAGAAUUUUCUCAAAGUUUCUCAUGUUUCACUGUUUGACUAAUCUGACCACCCUUCAUUACGAAUCAAAUUUCUCAUUGUACAGAAUUCAAAAUAUGUUCUUGUUUAUUUCAUUAGAAAAUAGACUCAAUAAGCUUUAAUUACAUAAUUUAUUCAGCUUCUAAUUCUUCUCUCACAAUUUAUGGUGAUUUUCUAAAUUCACGUUACUGCUGCUGUUCCAAGCAGAUUUAUUACCAAAUCACUCUUUCACACAUACCUUGCAUGCAUGUUAUUUAAACAUGUAUAUCACCAAUCAAUCAUCACAUAUCCAUGAUUUUACUUAAGUAUAAUCUCUAUUUCAUCAUUUUAAAGCACAACAUGUUAGCUGAUUUUUCCCUUUAACAUCUAAGGCACAUGCAUGCUCAUUUGUUUGGCUCAACUUCACCUAUCUUCCAUUUUUCAUCAAAAGAACAUGAAACAACAACCAUUUCCUUCAUUUUAAUUCAUGACUAAAUGCUCACAACACAACUAAAAAUCAAAAUAUACUUCAAGAGUUAAGGUAGAAUCAAGAAGAACUCAUGAACCUCAAAAUAGAAGCAAGGUACCAAGAACUUACCUUCAAUUUUCCUCCUCCUAAUGACCGAAUACUCAAGAGCUUUCUCCUCUCCUUUCUCUUCUCUAACUUUCAGCUAUGAUGAACAAAGAUGGACAAAACUUUGUUCUUUUCACCCCUUUUUCUUUUAAUAAAACUUCAUAUUUCAUCCAUUUAAUUCUUCAAUACAAAAGACAUGAAAUUCUUAUCAUGAAACAUUUACCUAACCCAUUAUCAUGGAACAUUUACCUAACCUAUUACCAUGGAACAUUUACCUAACCUAUUAUCAUGAAACAUUUACCUAACCUAUUAUCAAUUUGUAUCAAUUUGUACCAUAAAUUAUGGAUAUCAAGUGUACAUUUUGUCUACAACAACAUGAUGGCUGGCCACUUCAUGUAAAAUGGGAGGUUUGUCAUGCAAAUCCUCCUAUUUUGCACUCCUAUUUAUUUGGCCACUUCAAUUUAGCCUAUAGCAUUUUCAAACAUUUUCACAUAAGUCCUAUUUCAUAAUUUCACCCCCUUUUUCUUAUGGAACAAAAAUUAACUAAAAUUACUGGGUUCUAUCUUAAGCUUGGGCUUUCUAGAGGCCCACUAACAUAAUUAAACCUAUGCCAACAUUCACAAGAUUCCCAAAAAUUAGGGUGUUACAUUAAUGACCUUAAAUAUAGUUUACCCUAAAAUUUAAUAUUUCUAUCUUUAAACAAAAACAUUAAUCAAAUAUAUAAUAUAAAAAGAAAUUAUUUGGUACUUACUUAUAGAUUUAACUUCAUUAAAAUGACAAUAAAGAGAACACCAUUAAUUUUUCUGAAGGCCCCCUUUUGGGUCUUGAUUUAAUAUGAUCAGAUGAGAAAUUUGGUAGAUAAAACCCUAACUAUGUAAGAAUUCGAGUCAUAAUCUUGCGGAAAAUACAACACCUAAUGGAAAAGUAUGUCCAGAAAAUAGUAGAAAAGUCUUGGGGCCAUAAUUAAAUCAUCUUUAAAUUGUUAAACCAAAUUAAAGAGGGAACCGUCAUUGUCAUGGGAUCAACAUCUUGUUACUUAUACUCUAUAGGGAAUAACUUCAAGUCAACGCCAAUUUAUAAUCAUGUUAGUAUGUAUGAGUAAUAAUUUUGUUAAUUAAUUACUACUUUUACUAUCAACAAUUUUGCUAAUCAAUUUUAAAUUAGCACUUAGUACACCUACACCAUGUUUUAACAUCAUACAGUUUUGAAUUCAAAUUAAAUUAAUUUUUUUAAAAAAAAUUGCAAUUGCAAAGACUUUUUAACAAUUGCAACAUAUAGAUUCCCAAUGAAAAAAAUUCCAUUCCGCAUGAAGAGGUAAGUUUGGAACACAUUUUUAUAUGUUACAUGACAAUAGCUGGCCCCUACAACAAUGGCAACAAGACCUAUAAUGAGUUUCCUUAAAUUCUUAGGUUUGGAAACUAUAACAUAUAUGCUACUACUGAACCUUAAGCUGAUAAUUAAGCUUAUCAAAUUAAACAUUAACCAUUUAUGUUAUUUUAGGCGUAUUAUGGGCUACCGUCCUUCUUUCCUUUGCUACAACCAUGUUUGCAGAAGAUCAAUCACCAUAUGAGUCUGAAGCUAAAGCAUUGAUAAAGAGUGGUUGGUGGAGUAGCUAUAGCAAUGAUAUUGUUAGUGUCUUAAGGCUGCAACUGCUUUUUAAAAUAUAAGACUAAGACCUAAGGAGAUUUGACUAAGUCUUAGGGAGAUUUGUUAGCUUCCUAGUAGGAGUAGGAGUAACAAUUUUAAUUUUUUGUUGAGGUUGUUACUUGAGACUUGUAUAUAAGGGCUGAUUUGUUAAUGAAUUAAAUUAUCCAUUCAUUCAUAUUUUUUUUAUGCUUCAAUUAAUUCUUUGCUAAACAAGUAGUGGUAUCAAAGCUAUUUUUCUUAAGGGACCUGUGAGAAAAGUUUUGUGAGAGUUCUGAGAGAAAAUUGAGAGAUACACUUGUAAGGUUUUGAAGGAAAAUGGAAUCCGGGAUCAAGUAACCUGUCUGCCUUAGCCCCACCUUUGUUUGAUAGAGAGAAUUAUCAAGCAUGGGCCAUGAGAAUGCAAGCAUACAUUAAGGGUUGUGAUUAUUGGGAAGCUAUCAAGGAAGACUAUGAGGUGACUCCACUUCCUAACAAUCCAACUAUGAACUAGAUCAAAAUGCACAAGGAGAGAACCACCAUGAAGGCUAAGGCAAAGGCUUGCCUUUAUGCUUCAGUUUCACCAUCCAUAUUCAAUAAAUUAUGGCUUUUAGAUCAGUGAAGGAGAUAUGGGACUACCUCAAGGCUGAGUAUCAAGGAGAUGAGAGGAUCAAGAGCAUGAAAGAGUUAAACUUGAUCAGAGAAUUUGAGAGGCUACAAAUGAAGGACUUUAAGUCAAUCAAAGAAUACUCGGACAAGCUGAUAGAUAUUGCUAACAAGGUAAGAGUUCUUGGGACUGAUCUCUCUGAUUCUAGAUUGGUGCAGAAAAUACUUGUCUCGGUGCCUGAGAAAUAUGAAGCAACAAUCACCUCUUUGGAGAACACCAAGGACUUGACUAAGUUGAGAGUAGUGGAUUUGAUCAGUAUUUUACAAGCACAAGAGCAGAAGAGGCUAAUAAGGCACGAAGGAAGUUUAGAAAGAAGCAUAGAAAGGGCAUUAAAGGUUAAGAUGUAGCAGAGCGAAAAAGGUGAUGAACAAAAAUGGAAUGGGAGGAAGAGCGAUUCCAAAAUGGUUUAGAAAUUAUUGCAAAAGGUAAUAGUAUUGAAACUUAUAAUAAUUAUUCUUCAUGUAAGUAUUGUGGAAAACAUAAUCAUCCCUAUUUCAGGUGUUGGAGAAUGUGAAAUGCAAAAGGUGCAACUUGAUGGGGAACAUUGAGAGGUUCUACACAGAACUGAGAAAUCAUCAGCAAGUUGGAGCACAUGUUACAGUUAAAAAAGAAAUGAACAACUUGUUUGUCGUCUCUUGCUUCUUAUCAAGCAUUCUAUGUGACAGUUGGUUUGUUGAUAGUGGUUGUACCAAUAACAUGACUUGUGAUGAAAAGCUAUUUAAAGACCUUGACAAGUCAUUGAAUUCAAAAGUAAGGAUAGGAAAUGGAGAAUACCUAGAAGUGAAAGGAAGAGGCAUAGUAACAAUGGAGAGUUGUGCUAGAACUAAGUUGAUUUCAGAUGUUCUGUUUGUACCUGAGAUUGAUCAAAACUUGUUGAGUGUGAGGCAAUUGGUGGAAAAGGGAUUCAAGGUGAUGUUAGAAGUGAGCAGGUGUCUGAUCCUUGACUCUAGUGGCAACAUAUUGUUUAGGAUCAAGAUGCAGAAGAAGAGUUUCUUAUUGAAUCCAUUUGAGGAGGAGCAAGUGACAUCCAAGUGUCAGGAAGGAAUGACUUCAAUGCAAAAAACAAUUAUGAAAUUGAUGACACAAUGUAAUGAAAAGAGUUUUGAACUUGAGAUAAAAUUAGUAGAUAAUCGUAUCCUGUAAAAACAACUGCCAAAUGAAGUGUUUUGAGAAUGAUGAGUCGCAUGCAAAGGUAACUCUCUUAGAGAAGCAGUUCGCAUCUCUCUCUAAUGAUAAACUAUCAUCUUUUGCACAUGAAAUAUAUGAAGAACAUGUUGAUGAGCUACGAAAAAAUUCUAUCUCAGAAGAUCGAGAGUAAUGUACAACUUUUAGAAGAGAAUACUGGGUUAUGUUUCCAAAAUCAAAAGUUUACUGAAGAAGCUUCAUAUGCGAAAGAAUUGACAUCUGUAGAUGUUGUUGAGUUUAAGAAUUUAGUUGAUAAGGUGAUAAUUGUGAGAAGAUUUGUUAAUCAAACCAUAAUUUGUAUUAAUCGCAAGUAUAGUGACAACACAAGACCUUAGAAGAAGGGGCUGCAUUUUGGCCACUCUCAUGACUUUUCUAGAGCAGCUUGUGAUAAUUUUGAAUUAUGGAAUUUUGAUUUAGAUGGAGGCAACUCUUGAAGCUACACUAGUCGAGAAAGAAUUCAUAGAAGGCAAAUAUUGAAGAAACCGGUUAGUCAAUUUGAGUUUCUUAAAAUAAACUUAGUGUCUGCAACACUUGAGUCAGGAGGGGAAUGUUAGUUUCUAAAGGCUACAACUAUUUUUUUAAAAAUAAGACUAAGACUUAAGGAGAUUUAAUUAAGUCCUAGGGAGAUUUGUUAGCUUAGCUUUCUAGUAGGAGUAACAAUUUUAAUUUUUUGUUGAGGUUGUUACUUGGGACUUGUAUAUAAGGGCUGCUUUGUUAAUGAAUUAAAUUAUCCAUUCAUUCAUAUUUUUUCUAUGCUUCAAUUAGUUCUUUGCUAAACAAGCAGUGGUAUCAGAGCUAUUUUUCUUGAGGGACCUUUGAGAAAAGUUUUACGAGAGUUCUAAGAGAAAAUUGAGAGAUACACUUGUGAGGUUUUGAAGGAAAAUGGAAUAGGGAUCAAGUAACCUUUCUGCCUUAGCCCCACCUUUGUUUGAUGGAGAGAAUUAUCAAGCAUGGGCCAUGAGAAUGCAAGCAUACAUUGAUGGUUGUGAUUAUUAGGAAGCUGUCAAAGAAGACUAUGAGGUGACUCCACUUUCUAACAAUCCAAUUUUUGGAGAAAGAAAACACCAUUUUUGGUGCUUUGAAGGUUCGGGUAGGCUACCUUGUGCAUAUCAAGAUAAAUCACGUACGACUCUAGAUCGAGGCAAAGAAAAAGCUUCGAACUAGUCGACUUCAUUUCCUAUGUUUAUAGUUGAGGUAAGUUCGUAUGCUUAAAUAGUAUUUUUAAUUAUGAUUUAAAUGUUAUUGUUGCAUAUUAUUAAAUUGUAUGUUGACGGGAAAAUUCAACGAUGUAACGGCGAUCAUCGACGAAUGAAAAGGGAUGGCUUUGGCUAUUGAUCUAUGAAAAUGGAUAGCUUUGGAUAUCAAUUAUGAAAAGGGAUGGUGACGAUCAUCGAAUAAUGAAAAGGGAUCUCACUUUGUUUCCACCAAUAUUUAGAGAAAUAAAACACCAUUUUUGGUGCUUUGAAGGUUCGGCUAGGCUACCCUUAUGCAUAUCAAGAUAAACCACGUACGACUCUAGAUCGAGGCAAAGAAAAAGCUUCGGACUAGUCGACUUCAUUUUCUAUGUUUAUUAUUGAGGUAAGUUCGUACGCUUAAAUAGUGUUUUUAAUUAUGAUUUAAAUGUUAUUAUUGCAUAUUAUUAAAUUGUAUGUUGACGGGAAAAUUUAACGAUGUAACGACGAUCAUCGACGAAUGAAAAGGGAUGGCUUCAGCUAUCAAUCUAUGAAAAGGGAUAGCUUCGGCUAUCAAUUAUGAAAAGGGAUGGUGACGACUAUCGAUUAUGAAAAGGGAUGAUGACGACUAUCAAAUUAUGAAAAAGGAAAGCUUCGACUAUCGAACUAUGAAAAGGGAUAACUUCGGUUAUCAAUUUAUGAAAAGGGAUACGCUAACCAUCGUAGUAUUACCUCUGUGAGCUUCGGUAAGAGAUUUCAAUGUAGAUUUCAUUAUUCUGAUGAAAGGUAGGUAAUGUGUACCUUUGUGGAAAUUAAGAGUAUGAACAUAUAUAUAUAAGUUUUUGAAUUAGUUGUUCUCAUGUUGAAUUGGGAUAAACAUGCUUUGUGGUUGUUUAAUGUAUUGUCAAAUUUAAACUAUUUUGUUACGAACUUACAAAGUAUGGCAUGCUUACUUUGUUUUUAUUUUUCUACAUUUGUAGUUAUCAGAAGCUCGUUCGGGUAGGAAAUUCAUCAGAGAUCUAUCACACUAUCCAUCGGCUCUUUCGGUACUUACGAAUGUUUAAAUUUGAUUAUAAUGGCACGUAUAGGUAUUUUGGCUAAAGUUGGCUUAUGUGCUUUGUUGUGAAUAUGGCUAUUUAAUUUAGCUUGUGUUUUGACAUAUUUUGGUAUGUAUAUGAGUGGCAUUAACAUGGUAGAUGAUAUGCUUGGUAUGGUUGAAUGAUGGAAGAUGAAGUGUUAGUUGAAUGCACAUAUUGUAUAAGUCUUGCAACUUGUUGUGAAUUGGUACUUGGAUAUGCAUGAUAUAAUUGGUUACUUGAUACUAGUUAUAAAAUGGCAAUUUUGGUACCAAAUGGGUGUAUUUUGGUAAGUGAAUUACAUGGUAUAUAUUGAUGAAAAUAUGUAUACAAAGUAGUUGAUUAUUGGGUCACAUUGGAUUCAUGGCUAGACAUGGUUGUAUAUUGUCAUUUGAGGUGCCUAAGGGCAUAUUGGUUUUAUAAAGUUAUACCAUAUGUUUAUGGCUUCUUUAUGUUUGAUUUGGAUGCCUUGUUAUGGCUUGUAAAUAUAUGCAAUGUUGAUUUUAGGUACAUGCCUAAUUGGGUGAGAAUAAUGGCUUGUAAAAUAGCCUAUUUUCAUCCACACGAGAAACGACAUGGGCGUGCGUCUUACCCUUGUGUGACACACGGUCAGGUGACACGGUCGUGUGUCCUCUAUAGCUUUCAAAAGGUUUCAAUUCAAGCUGCUACACGGCCUAGCAGACGGCCUAGCACACAGGCGUGUGGCUUGGACGUGUGGCCCAAGUCAGUGAGUUACAUAGGCUGGGGCACGGCCGUGUAUCCCUACUUCGAAUGCCUGCAUGGCCUGGUCACACGGCCGUGUGUCCCUUAUAGUGUUGAAAAUUUUCAUUAUUUUUUGAAAAUUCUCUGAGUUUCCGAUUUAGUCCCAACUUGUUUCUAAUGCAUAUUUACAGCCUUGAGGGCUCGUAUAUUAGACAAUACGUAUGUUUUCACUUAGUUUCAAUAUGUUUAAUAAUAUGAUAUGAAAAGUUUGAAAUUCUGUCAAUUUGGUUUGUAAACUUCGGUAAUGCUCCAUAACACUAUUCCAGCGACAAAUAUAGGUUAGAGGUGCUACAUUUAUUGGUAACAGAGCUACAGUUUAGUCCAUUCUAGGACUGAACGUUGAGUGUGUGAGUCUAACUAUACAUGCUAUUAUAUAAUCUGUCAUAGUGUGAUAUCUCCUGACUAUUUAAAAAAAACAUGACUGGUUUUCGUUGUUCCUUAAGGAGUGAAGACAUUGUGAGUUAAUAAACAACCAUUCGAUAAAAUUCACAAAUAUGGGGCUGAAGAAUUUUGAGCUACAGUUGAUGAUGAUCCUAAGAUAGCUGAGUUUUGGUUAGAGAAUACUAUUUGAGUUUUCGAUGAGUUGUCUUAUACACCAACUGAAUAUGUAAAGUGUGCAUUAUCUCUACUAAAAGAUUCAGCAUAUCAGUGGUGAAAUACUUUGAUUUCAGUUGUGCUGAGGGGGUGUAUAGAUUGGGAAUUCUUUCAAAAUGUAUUCAGAAAGAAGUAUAUAAGUCAGAGAUUCCUUGAUCAGAAACGUAAAGAAUUUCUCAAACUUAAACAGGGCCGUAUGACAGUAUCUGAGUAUGAAUGAGAGUCUGUUCGACUAAGUAAAUAUGCCCGAGAGUGUAUUUCGACCAAGAUUGAAAUGUAUGAAGAUGGAUUAAACAAGGAUUUAAAGCUUUUAGUUGGGAUCAUUGAGCUGAAAAAUUCGUUGUUUUAGUUGACAGGGCACAUAAAGACGAGGAGCUGAGCAAAGAAAAAAGAAAAGCCAAUUUUGAAGCUAGAGAUUCAAGAAAAAGGUUAACCGGAAAGUCGUAUUAGUCACAGUCGAAAAGAUCAAAAGAACACCAUAAUCGCUCUAUUGCUUCAGUGGGUUAUCCUGAUAGAGACCGAGUCAAACAUUAUGCAGGUUCUAUGAUACAAGCUACGUUUGUGGCUAGCAUAAGUAGUAUUAAAGAUAAUAAACCUGAUUGUCAAUGGUGUGGAAGUCAGCAUUUUGGCGAGUUUCAAGUGAAAGACGGGCCGUGUUUAAGUGUGGUUCACUUAAACAUUUUAUUUUCGAUUCCCUGAAAAUAUCUGAGAAAGAAAAAGUUCAGAAUGUUUAACCCAGCAACACUGCCACGAAGGGUAGACCAACUCGUAACCCUAGAAAUAUGAGUGGUAGCUGUGGUGUAACAAAAGACUACUGUGAGAUCCAAGGCACGAGCACUAGCUAGGGCUUAUGCUAUUCACGCACGAGAGGAAGCUUCUGCGCCAGAUGUUAUUACGGGUAUUUUCUUAAUCUUUAACACUGAUGUUAUUGCUUUGAUUGAUCUUGGAUCAUCUCAUUCAUAUGUGUGCACGAAAUAAGUGUUUAGUAAGAAUUUACCUGUUGAGUCUACUAAAUUUGUGGUUAAAAUGUCGGACCUCCUAGGUCAGUAUGUAUUAGUUGAUAAAGUUUGCAAUAACUAUCCGUUGAUGACUCGGUGUUACAGUUUUUCAACUGAUUUGAUGCUAUUGUCAUUUGAUGAGUUUGAUGUCAUUUUGGGCAUGGAUCGGUUAACUCUGCACGAUGUUGUUGUAAACUGUAGACGAAAGCUUAUUGUAUUCAAAUGUCAGAAUGGUGAGACGCUUCGUAUUGAAUCAAAUAGUUUGAUUAGGUUGCCUAUUAUUAUUUCAGCUAUGUCGGCACAGACAUAUGUGAGAAAAGGUUGUGAUUCUUACCUUGCAUAUGUAUUGGAUUCUAAAAUAUCUGAAUCGAAGCUUGAGUCAGUGUUAGUGGUUUGUGAGUAUCCUGAUGUGUUUCUAGAAAAGUUUCCUGGGUUACCAUUGAUUAGAGAGGUUGAGUUUGCUAUUGAACUUGUAUCAGGAACAUCACCGAUAUCAAUAGCACCUUACAGAAUGACUCUUACUAAGUUAAAAGAAUUGAAAGCACAGUUGCAAGAAUUGACAGAUAGGGGUUUUGCUUGACCCAUUUUUUCACCUUAAGGUGCACCGGUUCUGUUUGUUAAGAAAAAAGGAUGGAUUAAUGAGAUUGUGUAUUGAUUACCGUCAACUCAACAAAGUAACAAUCAAUAACAAGUAUCCACUAUCUCAAAUUGAUGAUCUAUUUGAUCAAUUGAAAGGUGACACAGUUUUUUCGAAAAUUGAUCUUCAUUCUUACAAGUUAAAGAUUUAGAUGUGCCGAAAACUGCAUUCAGAACCAGGUACGAACAUUAUGAAUUUCUUGUGAUGUUGUUUGGUUUAACUAACGCACUUGCAAUAUUUAUGGAUUUGAUGAACAUAAUUUUCAAACCGUAUUUAGACAGAUUUUUUGAGGUAUUUAUUGAUGACAUUUUGAUAUAUUCACAAGACGAAUCCGAGCAUGAUGAACACUUGAGAAUUGUGUUGCAAACCUUGCGAGAUAAACAAGUUUUUGCUAAAUUUAGCAAAUGUGAGUUUUGGCUCCGAGAAGUCAGCUUUCUGGAACAUAUAGUGUCAGCUGAAGGCAUUAGAGUUAACCCGAGUAAAAUUUCAACAGUUGUUGAUUGGAAACCACCUAAAAAUGUAUCCGAAGUUAGAAGCUUUUUGGGGCUAGAUGGUUAUUACCAAAGAUUUGUCAAAGGGUUCUCGAUGAUAGCCACACUGAUGACGCGACUUUUACAGAAAGAUGUGAAAUUUGAAUGGUCCAAAAAAUGUCAGCAAAGUUUUAAUCAGUUGAAAGUGUUGUUGACCGAAGCACUAGUUCGGUUUAGCCUGAAUCGGGUAAAGAAUUUAGGAUUUUCAAUGUUACAUCUUUAAAUGAUUUAGGCUGUGUUUUAAUGCAAGAAGGUAAAGUAGUAGCUUAUGCUUCUAGACAGUUAAAGUCGCACGAAAAGACACAUGAUUCAGAGUUGGCAGAGAUUGUAUUUGCGUUGAAAAUUUGGCGACACCAUUUUUUCGGCAAAAAAUGUCAUAUAUUUACUGUUACAAGAGUUUAAAUUAUUUAAUGUCCCAGAAAGAUUUGAAUUUGAGGCAGCGUAGAUGGCUCGAACUGUUAAAAGAUUAUGAGUUGAACAUUGAUUAUCAUCCAUGAAAAGCAAACGUAGUUGCUGAUGCUUUAAGUAGACAAUCCUUAUUUGCUCUGGGAGUGAUGAAUACGUGACUGACAUUAUCUGAUGAUGGCUCAAUCUUGGCUGAGUUGAAAGCCAGACUGAUGUCUUUACAGUAGAUUUGCGAAGCUCAAAAAUGUGAUGACGAGUUGCUAGCUAAGCGGGCACAGUGUGAAUUGACUUUUGAUUCAAAAUUUCAGAUAGGAUCCAAUGAUUGUUUAUUAUUCAGAAGUAAAUUUUGUGUACCGAAGAAUCCAGAGCUCAUUUAGAGAAUUUUGCAUGAAGCUCAUAGUGGUAGCUUGUCUGUUCAUCCGAGAAGUAAUAAAAUGUAUAGUGACUUAAAACAGAUGUACUGGUGGUCAAGAAUGAAACGUGAGAUUUUUUACUUUGUAUCGAGAUGUUUAGUUUGUCAACAAGUUAAAGUUGUACAUCAAGUACCUUCUGGAUUGUUACAGCUAGUGAUGAUACCGGAAUGGAAAUGCAAUUGAAUUACUAUGGAUUUUGUAUCGGGUUUACCCUUAUCUCUGAGAAAAAAGAUAUUAUUCAGGUUGUUGUUGAUCGUUUGAUAAAGUUAACACAUUUUAUUUUGGUACUUACAAAUUAUUCCCUUGACAAGUUAUUUUAGUUAUAUGUUUCUGAAAUUGUUAGAUUACACGGGGUGCCAAUUUCCAUUAUUUCGGAUAGAGAUCCGUAGUUUAUAUCACGAUUUUGGAGAAAGUUACAGGAAGCUCUAGGUACCAGGUUGCAUUUUAGCACUGCAUUUCAUCCUCAGACUAAUGGUCAGUCCUAGUGAGCGAUUCAAAUUCUCGAAGAUAUGCUUCGUUGCUAUGUAUUAGAGUUUGAAAGUAAUUGGGAGAAAUAUUUACCGUUGGUUGCGUAUAACAACAAUUUUCAAUCAAGCAUAAAGAUGGCACCGUAUGAGGCUCUGUAUGGUCGUAAAUGUCGAACUCCGCUAUGUUGGAUCGAGCUUAGUGAGAUAAAGAUACACGAGGUUGAUUUGAUUUGUGAGACUGAAGAAAAAGUGAAAGUGAUCCGAGAUAGUUUGAAAGCAGCUUCAGACCGUCAGAAAUCAUAAGCGGAUCUUAAACGAAAAGACAUAGAAUUCCAAAUCAGUGACAAAGUAUUCUUGAAAGUAUCCCCCUGGAAGAAAGUUCUUCAGUUCGGCUACAAAGGAAAACUGAGUUCGCGAUUUAUCAAGCCGUAUGAGAUUGCUGAAAGAAUCGGACCUGAUGCUUAUCGUUUAGCUUUACCGACAGAACUACAAAAGAUUCAUAAUGUUUUUUAAGUAUAUAUGUUAGGAUGGUACCGAUUUGACCUUUCACAUAUUAUCUCCUUGACGGAUGUAGAGAUUCAACCUGAUAUGUCGUAUGGUGAGGAACCGAUCAGAAUUCUGACUCGGGAGAUUAAAGAACUAAAAAAUAAUAGCAUAACUUUAGUAAAGGUUCUUUGGAAACGAAAUGGGUUAGAGGAAGCCACCUAGGAAUCCGAAGAAGCUAUGAAAAAGAAAUAUCCAAACCUCUCUUCUGGUAAGAUUUUCGGAGACAAAAAUUCUUUAAGAGGGAGAGUUGUAACAACCCGUUUCCAGUGAAAUUAGAACGAUGAUUUUUGGAUGACAAAUCCGACAUCAAAAUAUUUAUUUUAUUUUUAUUUUAAUUUCUACAGGAUGUUAGUAUCACCGUAUAAAAAAUUCAUUAAAAAAUUUUAUCAUUUGCAUGCUUAAUUCAAUAAAAAGGAUUAAAUUGCAAAAGGUACAAAAUUAGAGUUCUAUAGGCUAAAAGCACUAAAUAUCUAUGGAAAUUAAAUGUUUGAACACUUGGUUAGUAAAUAGACCAUUUUUAAAUUGAGUGGACAUUUAUGGACAUCAUACAAGUGUUUUUCAAAGGUUAAACAAAAGGUUAAUAAGUAAAUAAAUAAAUUAAUUAAUUAAGUAAAACAAAACAAAAUUUUGGUAUCAUCUUUCUCACUUUGUUUCCACCUAUUUUUGGAGAAAGAAAAUGAUGUGUCGUUGAGAGCACCAAAAAUAUCCUAUUCCCUGUAAAAUAGUAAAAAUAAUAGUAAAGAUAAUAGUAAAGGGGAAGUAGAGUCGAAUCCUCAGAGACUGGAUUAUACGAAUGCUUGUUUCUCAAAAUCCUGGGCAGAAUCAUGCCCAAGAAAACCUGCGUGACAAAAAAAAUAACAGAAUUAAAGAUUUAAUUUGGAAAAACUAAAAAAAUAGAAUCUAAAGUUGACCGAAAUUGUGAUUACGAAAAUAAUAAAAAUAAUAAAGAGAGUUGAAGGGAAAGAAAUUCUUAUUGGUAGAUUCUAGCCUCCAAUUGUCUCAUUCCACUUUAGGUUCAAUCCUCGGCUUUUAAAUAACCCUUCUCAACUCAAGUAAGCCAGUUAUAGUAGAAGAGGACGCCUACGACCACCAGCUCCAAAGAUUAGACUUACGAUUUUUUAGGGAACCUGACUCUAGCCAGUAAUCUAUGCUAGAUCAACGCUUCUCAAUGGCGAAUCCCACGUCAUUUUGUCUCUUUAGCUCGCCAACCUCUGAUGCAGUAAGUUAAAGAAUCGACUGUGCAAUCUUUCCAAGACAUACAAAGCGGCCGCCUUUGCAUAUACUGAAAAACUUAUUUCUUAAGGGUCAUGGACGGAAGCGUCAGCCCGUGGUGCGGAGAAACGAUGAAUACUUGGUGAGAAGGCUAAGUACGGAUUCUAGGCCUCAAGAACCCUUUUUGGGGAAUAUUGACAACCUUCGGCUAGAUAGGUUUUAGUGGCUCAUGAUAAUAGUGGAAAAGAAAAUAAAUAUAAAAAUGGAAAAGAGAAUUUUUAUUGAAAAAAAAUAUGAAGAAACAAAAGCCUAGACUUUUAGGGGGAGAGCGUUUACAGAAAAAGAUGAACCCCAAAUAGAGUCACUUCACCCCCUAUUUAUAGUGCUAGGGAGAUAGUCUAAUUUAACUUAAAUUCUAAAAAGAUAAAUACAUUUAAUUAAAGAUAAUUAAAUAUAAUUAAAAUAAAAUCCUAAAAUUUAAAUAAUCCUAAUAAUUAUCCUAAUAUUAAUAAUCCUAAUAUAAAUAAAAUGGAGUCUUAUAAAAUAAAAUCUCUUCUUUUUGCGUUUUUAGUCCUUGUGUCUUCCAUGCUUGCACUUUUUGCACAAUCUUUUUCCUGUGUCGCAUACUAGCCCAUUGUGUCUCCAAAUUCGCACUUUUGCCCCUUAAUUUUGCUUUUGCCUCCAAAUCAGUCCCUAAAAGAUAAAAAGACAUAAAUAGCUCAAAUUAGUAGGAUCAAGCUUAGAAUAAACACAUGAUUAAUACAUAAAAGUACGUUAUUCUAGAGCAUCAUCAAAAAACAUCAUUUCUUGUGCUUUGAAGGUUCGACUAGGCUACCUUGUGCACAUCAAGAUAAACCACGUACGGCUCUAGAUCAAGGCAAAGAAAAAGCUCCGAACUAGUCGACUUCAUUUCCUACGUUUAUCAUUGAGGUAAGUUCGUAUGUUUAAAUAGUGUUUUUAAUUAUGAUUUAAAUGCUAUUAUUGCAUAUUAUUAAAUUGUGUGUUGACGGAAAAAUUCAAUGACGUAACGGCAAUCAUUGACGAAUGAAAAGGGAUGGUGGCUUCGGCUAUCGAUCUAUGAAAAUAGAUAGCUUCGGAUAUCAAUUAUGAAAAGGGAUAGUGACGACCAUCGAAUAAUGAUAAGGGAUGGUGACGACCAUCAAAUUAUGAAAAGGGAUGGCUUCGGCUAUCAUACAAUGAAAAGGGAUGGCUUCGACUAUCGAUAUAUGAAAAGGGAUAGCUUCGGCUAUCAAUUAUGAAAAGGGAAAGCUUAAGCUAUAGACCUAUGAAAAGGGAUAACUUCGGUUAUCGAUUUAUGAAAAAGGAUACGCUAACCAUCGUAAUAUUACCUUGUGUGAGCUUCGGUAAGAGCUUUCAAUGUAAAUUUCAUUAUUAUGAUGAAAGGUAGGUAAUGUGUACCUUUUUGGAAAUUAAGAGUAUGAACACACAUUUAUAUAUGAUUUUUUGAAUUAGUUGUUCUCAUGUUGAAUUGGGACAUACAUGCUUUAUGGUUGUUUAAUGUAUUGUCAAAUUUAAACUAUAUUUGUUAUGAACUUACUAAGCAUGGCUUGCUUACUUUGUGUUUAUUUUUAUAUAUUUGUAGUUAUCGAAAGCUCGUUCGGGUUGAAAAUUCGUCGGAGAUCUAUCAAACUAUCCAUCGGCUCUUUCAGUACUUAUGGAUGUUUAAAUUCGGUUAUAAUGGCAUGUGUAGGUAUUUUAGCUAAAGUUGGCUUAUGUGCUUUGUUGUGAAUAUGGUCAUUUGAUUUAGCUUGUGUUUUGACACAUUAACAUGGUGGAUGAUAUGCUUGAUAUGGUUGAAUGAUGGAAGAUAAAGUGCUGUCGAAUGCACAUAUUGUAUAAGUCUUGCAACUUGUGAAUUGAUACUUGGAUAUGUAUGAUCUAAUUGGUUAUUUUUAUGCUAGUUAUAAAAUGGAUAUUUUGGUACCAAAUGGAUGUAUUUUGGUAAGUGAAUUACAUGGUAUAUAUUGAUGAAAAUAUGUAUACAAAGUAGUUGAUUAUUGGGUCAUAUUGGAUUCAAGGCUAGACAUGGUUGUAUAUUGUCAUUUGAGGUGCCUAAGGGCAUAUUGGUUGUAUGAUGUUAUACCAUAUGUUUAUGGCUUCUUUAUGUUUGAUUUGGAUGCCUUGUUAUGGCUUGUAAAUAUAUGCAAUGUUGAUUGUAGGUACAUGCCUAAUUGGGUGAGAAAAAUGGCUUGUAAAAUGGCCUAUUUUCAUCCACACGGGCAGAGACACGAGCAUGUGUCUCAGUCGUGUGUGACACACGGCCAGGUGACACGGCCGUGUGUCCCCUAUAGCUUUUAAAGGGUUGCAAGUUAGGCUAUUACAUAGCCUAGCACACGGCUUGGCACAUGGGUGUCUGGGGUUACUUUGAAGUAUACAGAGCCUAGCACAUGGAUCACACGGCCGGGUGACCCCUGUAGUGUUAAAAAUUUUCAUUAUUUUCUAAAAAUUCUCUGAGUUUUCGAUUUAGUCCCAUCUUGUUUUUAAUACAUAUAUACGGCCUCGAGGGCUCGUAUAAGGGGCAAUAUGUAUGUUUUGACUUGGUUUCAAUUUGUUUAAUAAUAUGAUAUGAAAUGUUUGAAAUUUUGUCAGUUUGGUUUGUAAACUCUGGUAAUGCUCCGUAACACUAUUUUGGUGACAGAUAUGAGUUAGGGGUGUUACAUUUAUUAGCAUCAGAAAGAAGUAGGCAACGUUGUCUUAGGAGACCAAGAUGAGAGCCUAUCAAUCCUAGGUCGAAAGAACAUGCUACUGGAGGAUCAACAUCUACUUCAUCUCCAUAGAAUGAUCUAAUUGUCAUGUAAGCUCUCCGUCAGUAUGGUUCAUAUACUUUUGGUGCUAAUCCACUUUAUUUUACACAAACACCAUAACACGCACCAUCAUUCACUGUAGGAAUACUUUCUCCAAGUGUAUAUUUCGCACGACCGACACCUACCAUACCAUAUUUCAUGUUGAUGUCACUAGCAACACCAACGCAUCUGGUAUAGUUAACAAUUGUCACCUUUUAUUCGCAAUCAGCCCAUGUGACACCAUACAGUUAUUCGUUGAUAGUGUCACAAGCACCCCCAACAUCAUCGUUCUUCCAAGGUGAGUCAUCCUUGCAACCGCCGAUUCAUACAAAGGGGAUGUACGAUAGGCAGCUAAGACCUAGACACAAUCAACCACGGAGGAAGGAGAUGAAUAUGGCGAUAAACAUGGACGUACACGUGAAGAUGAAGAUGAAAAUGAUGAUGAGCCGCCAACCCAAAUAGUGCGACGGAAUCCUAAGCAUGCCUGACGCCCACCCGAUUGUGGCACACAUUCGAGACACCAGUAAUUAUGUUAUUUGUAAUUUUUCCCAAAUUUUAUACUUUUUUUACAUUCCAAAUGUAUACUUUAUUUUACAUCCUAAAUGUACACUAAUUUACAAUCUACAAAACAAAUUUAUUAAAUUGGUUUGCUUUGUACCAUAUCGUAUGGUGAGUUCGAAUUUUUUUUUCAUUCAUGUUUUUCUCCGUCCAUUUGCUAUUUACAAUAUUUUCAAAAAGAAAAGGUUUGCUGACAAGGUAUGAGAAAAGAUUAAAUUUUUUUAUUUUUUAUUGUAAUAUAUCUUGCUUCAAUAAUUACUAGUACCUUACAAUUUAUAGAAAAAUUAAUGAAUAAAUGAAUGAGUUAGUGUUUUAGUUAGCACUUCUCCUCGAAGUUCCCUGCAGGAGUGGACAUGUUGGCUUUGUACAUCCUGGGUUCCUACAGUAACUGCAUAACCUUGGUGUGUCUCUCCACUCCUCAAUAUCCAUAUUGCCUCGUAUUUGAGUUAAGUUCGGACAACCUUUUGGCUUGAGCCACAAGUUCUUAAUCGAAUGCCACAAUUGUAUGUGCACAUGGAUAAUGAAGUGCUUGAAAUCUCUCACAAUCGCAAGUCAUUUGUCGCAAUUCUAUACGGCACGCUCCCCCGAUAACUCCUUGGUUGGGUCUAUGGGACUCCAUAACCUGGAAUAUUGGGUUUGGACGCGAGUGAUACACUAAAGACAUUGAGUUCACUCUUUCUACAUUUUCCCCAAUAUCUUUCAAUACCGUCUCGCACCAAAUGUUAUCGCCCUUUAUCUGUUCCACAUAUGUCUCAGCCUGCUUUGCAAACAAGGUUUCUAAUCAAAAAUAUAUUUCCUUCACCACUGAGGUUACCAGUAAAUGACAUGUCCCUUUCAGUACGAAAUGAAUGCAUUCUGCUAGGUUCAUUGUCAUAUACCCAUAUCGCAGUCCUCUAUCAUAUGAUUGCGUCCAAUACUCCUUGGGUAUCCCAUCAAGGUACAUCUCACCUUAUCGGUUUACAACCUAUAGUCUCUUCAACAUUUCAUGGAAUCGAUGUUGGACGAGCUCGUACCCUCUUGAUGACAAUCAAUAUUGUAUUCAAGAAAUGUGACCCAAAUGUAUAUGUUAAAUUAUUAUACAUGAAACCAUGCACAACGUACCCAUGUUAAUGACAUAUUGCCGUUUCGCAUCCUUAUGAUAUCGACCCUAUAUGACGUAAAUAAUACCUAUGGUGUACACAUUCCCAUAGGACUGAACGCUAAUCGAAUGCAGCCUGUAUUCUGGUACCCCUGAUAGAAAUGAUGCAUACAUUGAGUUGCGGCACAACAUGCCUUCUCAGGUUAGUUAAGAAGAAAUCUCAUUCAUCUCCUAAUUCUUCGGGUGUUAUUGCAAAAGACAUUGGCAAGAUUUUUUGAUUGCCAUCUUAAAAUAACUAACAACAACCGAUGCUCGUAUCUUCCUACAUGAAUGUGUCAUCAAUUUGGACAAGUAGCUUACAAUACCAGAAUGCAAUUAUGCAUUGCUCGAAAGUCCAGAAAAAAUGAUGGGAAAGUCUUUUUCAAGGGACCAAGCGAUCAACGUGAUACAUAGGCUCCAAUAUGUGGUCAGCAACAGAACCUAGUACGUACUGUUCCAGUACCUGGCACAAUUGCCACAAUUCAUUGUAGGAUUUGUCCCACUCACUAUGCAUCUUCUCCAACUCUUUCUAAUUUUCCAACCAUGUCUUGUGGUAGGACAUGGUGUAAUUAAACUUGUUACAAAUGUGUGCGAUCAAAAUUCAGAUCAAAAUCCUAAGACUCACUUUGACCAUGGGUAAUAUAAAGUCAGAUAUAAUGUCCGAAUCCAAUUUUUGAUAAUCAUUCAACAUGUCUGAAAAAUAAUAAAUUGGGUCACCAUACGUAAUACAAUGUCGAAAAAAUGAUAGAAUUUGAAUCGAUGUUGUUAACCAUGAUAUAUACAAGCUACAACACAUAUAUGUGGAGUGGUAAACUUCUUGAUCAUCCAAAAAGUUAACUUCUUCCUCACAAAUGACAUGAUUUUCCAUAAACAUCUUGUUCCAUGCAUUCCGUACUUCGCCUCAUAUUUUUUUUGAUCGAGAGCAUGUAACGAUGAAUUUGAUGGCCAGCUAUAUGCUAUACCACUUGACUAUAGCUACAAAAGCAUCUUUGGAGUCAAACUUCAUCCCCACCUUUAAGUGACCAAAAUUUGUUGAUGAAGUCGCAAGUACUGGUCUUCUAUAAGGGACGUUUGGGAAUUGUAAACCACCUUCAGCAGCAAGAUUGAUAGUAUACAUGUGGGGUGGGGGUUCGUAUGUUGUGAAACUUGGAUCAUCCCAUCAACAAAUGCUCAAAUCUUUAUCGUUAGAUCCACCAUCUUUUAGUUUAAUAGGAAUGAGAUUUAAUUAUAAAAUUACUGCAAUUUUUGUACUAUCCGGUUUGGACUCCUCUAUUGGGUCAUUAUCGGUUUCAAACCCCUCUUAUUAUCAACCCCGAUUGCAAGUCCGAUGUUAGAAGCAGAUCAUUCAUUCUUGUAAAUCUAAUGUCAAUCCCAAAAUCACUUUUGUUUGGCCCACCGAAGUAACUUGAUAGUGUACCAGUGUGAGGGUUUUUGAGUUGAACAUCGACGUGUCGAAUUUGAAAUCAAAGGCACUGAUAGAAUAUCAUGCAUGUGUGUCGUAGGACCAAUGACCAAAUAUGUCUUAACCAAUGAUCAAAAACGUCUUACUAUCCUUUGAAGUUGUAAUCAAGGGCAAAACUAAUGAAUGCCUCACCAUUGAUGAUAAUUCUGGGUUGUCUUGGUAGGAGCUUUGCAGCAAUGAUAUGAAUCCACCGCACAACUGUGUGGUUAGAAUUUUUUCUUCUUGAUCUGGCGUGGAAUUUGGCAGACAUGGUAUAAUCGAGCUCAGGCCACCUUCAUCCUCUUCAACAAAGUCGACAUAUAACUCUAGUACAACAUUCCCACUAGAGUAAUGUGAUUCAAUCACCGUCUCCAACUUGUUGUACCUUGUAAUAUCAAAAUUGGGAUAUCCAAUGAAGUUCAAUGACGUUAGAUAUCUACAUUUUAGGCUCGAAAUUCUUAUUUGGAUCCCCACUUUGUGCCUAAUCAUUAUCCGAAGUGUUGGAUCUGGUGCUCUAAGUGUAGUAUUUUCGUCUAAGUACACUUGUAAUUUUAUCGAACAAAUUGGUUAAUAAAACAAAUUAAUUGAUUACAUUAAUAUAAUUUUGUGUAAUUAUCCCUAUAUGGUUUUUUCAUGCAAAACAAAAUGGAAGUAAAUGUUGCUCACUUUUUGUCUAAUGUCUAACUAAUAUUAAGCGGUAUUACGUGGUCGGAUCGUAAUAUAGAAAGAAAACUUGUAUUAGUAUAUGAACUUAAACAUGUCCUUAGUCUAAUUGGAAAUGAGAAAAUCGGUUGAAAAACUAAUAUGUCGUCUAUCAAGUUUAAUUGGGGAGAUGUUUUGUCUUUGGCAUCGGAGUGGAUGACUCCUAGAAGAUAGAGGCAUAGAUAUGACUGACUAGACUAGUAGUAUAUCAGACAGGACCCAAGAAGAAUAGAUCCUGAAUCUGUUUAUGGAUUUAUUCACUUGUGAUGUUUAUAGUGUAUCAUACUUGAAUCCUGAGUGGACGGUAGACUAUGUAUGCGUGACUCAUACACUUUGAUGUAAGCAAAAGCUUGAGUUCAAAUAUAUAAGGAAUCGAAAGCUGGUGCAUUAGGUGUACGACUUUUAUAGUAUGUAGCGUCAUUCACAACAAUGGAAUUCAUAGCCCUAGACAUAGGUAAAUGACAUCCUCUCAUAGGCAUUACAUGGUUGAUGAAAAGUAAACAUAGCCACAGGUCAUUCGUCUUUGUGAUGGAUAACUUGAUCACUAUUUGAUAAUGAUUUACUUUUCAUGAAGAGAAAUGUAAUAGUUACCAUGAGAUAAAAUAGGAUCAUAUUGGGAGAACAAAUACUAUCCCAAAACAGAUCAAUGAUAUACUCUGAGGGUAACACACUAAAGACAAGGUCAUUGGACGAGCACUGAGUAGAUGUUUUUGUAAUGGUAUGUUGUUAGGGAGAGCUCAAUCACGAUACUAUAACAGAGUCACUUCGUGACUAAAUGAGUUUAUAAUUAAUAAGAGAGAAGCUAAAACUUAAUUAUAAAUCAUUUGAACCCUAAUACAUAUGUCUAAUCGAUCCCUCCUCUAGAUCAUUGAAAUCAGAAAUGAAUUACAUGUUUGAAUAGAAAUGAAUGAAAUGAAUAGGUAAAGAGAAAUGAGAAACAUUAAAAAAUGAUUAUAGUUUUUUUUCUGAAAUGGAAAAAUGAAAUCAUUUGAAAAUGAAUGUAGGCUUCCAAAUUGGAAAAAGAAAUGGAAAUGGUUCAUUUUCAAUUCUAUAUGGAUUACUUAAAAUGAUCGAAAAAAUGAGUUUAUGUUUUUGGACUAUUUUGAAGCUCAAAAAUGAAAAUAAAACAUUCGGUCAUAGUAGACAUGUUGAGUUGUGAAUCAUUAUACAUAUUUUCUUGAAAUUUUACUAAUGGCAAAAUCAUCAAAAUUUUAUCGAGGUAAAAUCGUUAAAAUUUUACUAGGGGUAAAAUAAGGAAGAGAAAAUUGUUUAAUAUAGAAUAUUAAAAUUUAUUUCGGGAAAUAGAAAAAUCAAAUCGGGUUGGAUCACAUUACAGAUUACUUGGUCAAAAGGCCCAAGAAGCACUCGUAAUUGGACCCAGUGUAAGAGAGGCACAAAACCUCUCAUAUAACAUAAAGAGGGCGACAAUCCUAGUAGGAAUACUAGGGUGUGUCAUCCACCCUACUCCUACUCUAAGUGGGAAGUUGUUUUUCUAUUUGAAAUAAAUCACUACAACUCAACAAGGUUCUACCUUCUCUUAUUAUAAAUAGAUGGCACUAGUAGGGCAUUAAACACAAUUUUGAGAGAUUGUUACUCUGCCGAAAAAUAUGGAGAACUUAUUCUCAACUAUUAAAUAUAUUUUUCCAAAAUAACAAUUCUACCUAUUUUUAUUAAAGAAGAGAGUAUUUCUGUUUUCACCCCAAAUAAAAGAAGGAACUUUUCCUAAUUUGUGUUUCGAUUCAAUUGGUUCAAGCCUACACUCAGAGUAGUUUGUAGUACGAGAAUAGUGGAGAAGAUCGUUUGGUUGAAAUCGAGAACAAUGAAUGUUCGCUAAGCUGAAAACACAAGUAUGAAUUCAGUUAGGGUUUAUUGCUAUGAAUAUGACAAAUCAAGUCGAUUUCAAAUUUUUAAUUUUCUACUGUGCAAUAAAACCAUUUUUAAACCAUUUUUUUUCCAACACGAAGCUCUUUUAACGUUAUGCUUUAGUUGAAUACCAGGUCUUCAGAUUGGGCUGAUAUAAAAAACAAGCCUAAUUUUGCUCUCACAAAUUUGACCAUUGAAAUGGAUAAUAGCUCUAACUCGUCUACUCAUCUUGAACCAAUUAGUUUGUUCCACAUGUUUAAAAUCGAGACAAUAGUAAAAAAAAUAGUUUUUAUCACCCAAAUUAAAAGAGCUACACAUAAUUUAACAAAUGACCUUUGCUUGGACAAUAGUGUAGGUGUGGAAUUUAAGUUUUCACUACAACACUCUUCUCCUAAUGUCAGGUAUCCUUAUGGAAAUAAUCUUCUUGAAAGAUUGAUAUCGAAACUCAAGGGAUUGUAUUGAGUUUAUUUUAUAGAGCCCAUACCCCAAGACAUAUCAAACGAUUCCAACAAAAACACAUACCUUGUGCAUCACGGGUUUUUAAGGUAUACAAUUAAAGUUGAAAUUUGUAGAAGAGAAAAUGCUCCCCUACAGUGGCGAUUUAGAAAGGCAGUAAUGUAUGAAAUUUAUCCCGAGAAUCCCAGGUUAUAGGAGACUCAAAGGCAGAAGCAAUCAAGUUGAGUGGAGGUUGAAACACCUGGAGAGAAAUGCUCCUUGCAGGAGGCGUUUUCAACUGACAUGGUAGUGAAAACGCUUCCUACAAUAUGUGUUUUUGUGCCACAUGUUUGACUGAUAUGUUAGUGGAAAAUGUAUCCUAGAGGAAGCGUUUUCACUGUUAUAUUAGCUGAAAACAUUCCUUGCAGGGAGCGUUUCCUCUCUGGGUGUUUCAACCCCUACCCCAACUUGAUUGCUUCUGCCUCUGAGCCUCUGUAACCCAAGAUUCUCGAGAUAAAUUUCCUACAUUACAACUUGAAAUCCCUGGGAUUAAUUUAAAAAAUUCCUUUUUUCCCUCACACCAUCCUCUAUAUAAAUGGUCGUUCUCAUCAUCCCCUACUCCAACAUAUCUUAGUCCCCUUUAAAUUAUUUUUUUUCUUUUUCUUACAUGUUGAAAUUUCUGAGUUUAAAGAUUUAUUUCUCUCUGGUUUUAUGGGAGACAUAAUCAUAGUUUUAAGUUGUGUUUUGGGUUUGUUAACCUAUAAUUUUCACCUACCAUGUGAGUAUGGAACCUUCACUUGAGAAUUCAGGAUUGCGUUACAACUCAAGAUCCAAGUUAAUGGUGAUUAUACCAUCUCGGGUUGAACUAUAAAUAAGGCUUCAAGUUUAAAAAGGUUAUGCUGUCAAAGGAUGCAGCAUAACUAGGGCCCUAGUUGACAGUAGUUAUGUGGGCACGACAACCAGUUUAUUAUCAUCAUAGGAGUAGCAUGCUUUAUAGAACUCAUACGAAAGUGCGAGGAAGAAAAACAUAAAAGCCUUCUAGUAUAAUCAAGUAAUUCGUGUUGUCCAUAUCCAUCGAAGACAAUGAUGUUGUUAGUAAAAUCUAUUACACCUCAAUUCUAUCAUAGGUUAUAGUAACGGGGUCACAACCUUUGGCGAACAUAGAUAAAACGAAUUACUUGAUUAUACUAAAAUGCCACUGCGCUUUUCUUUCUUCUACUUCUAUUUGGGUUUUAUGAGGCAUCCUUAUCUGACGAGGAAAAAACUCGUUAUCGUGUCCACAUAACCAUUGUCAACUUGGCCGCCAUUUAUGCUCCAUCCCUUGACAUCAUAACCUUUGUAAACUUGAAACGCUAAUUUACAAUUCAACCUAAGAUUGAAUAAUCACCAUUAACUGGGACCUUGAGUUGCAACGUGAUCCGACUUCUUAGGUGAUGACUCUAUACUUACAUGGCAGAUGAAAUUUGUAGGUCACCCAGCUCCACAACACCAAUGUAAUUCAAACAUACUUUAAAAUUAUAACAAUUUCUAUCUCAAACACAAAGAAAAAUAAAUCUACAAACUUCUAAUUUCUAACCGUAAAAAAAAAUUUAGGAAAGUGGAAGCGCACUUUGUCGGCGUUUUCCUUUCUCUUAAAAAAUAACAGAAUCGAUAAAUUAAAAAAGAGAUAUAAUUUCUAUUUUUUUUAUUUUUAGCAUAUACUUAUAAAAUGGGUCGUAAAUCAAAGUACAUAAACAAAUUUACAAAACUCAGUUAUGGCUUUAAAUUAAUCAAAAGUAAAAUAACUACAUGGAAGAUUUAAUCCUUUUGGAUCACACAGUCAAAUGGUUUUGCAAUUUUUCUGUCAAUUUUGGUAAAAGAGAAAAAAGAAACGAUUCUUUUUUCAUAUUUCAGUUAGAUUAACGGUCAAAUCAAAUGAAACCCCAAAAUUUGUAAGAUGAACAUAUCUUUGCAAUAAUUCAAAAAAAUAAAAAUAAAAAACAUAUCUUUGCAACUUCCAAUUAUCGUCAUUGGUCGGCCUCCCCUUCAAUGCUUUCCACCAUUGGUCGAUUACUUAAUUUCUUCACCUACAACUCAUACCAAUCAUUAGCACUAUUAAAAAAGUAACCAUUUUUUUCUUUCUCAAAAGUUUAGAACAACCCCAUUUUCCAUUCAUCCUCCAUAACCAUAUAUUUUAUUAACAAAGAAGACAAACUAAGUGUUUUUCUUUUGGGUUUAUUACUCCUUUUUAAUUUUUUGGGUUUUUGACAGUGAAUUCUUUCUGGAAUAUUUCCCUCUUUUUUUUGUCUUUGUUUUACUUUCGACUUUUAGUAUUUUUUUGAAUCAGCAACCGACCUAUUGAAGUUGGCCUGCAUACAGCACACAAGGAGCAAACCAUGCAGCACAAGUCAUAUGGAUGAAGUGUUGAAGAUCAAGCUAGAAGAUCAAGCUGCUAUAAUAUUUCUGGAUGAAGUACAUGCAGCUGUAAAAAGAUUAAGCUACUACAAUAUUUCUGAAUGAAGUGUAUGCAGCUGCUGAAGUUGAUGCAAUUGUUCAUUUCCGGUUUCAUUUUGUUACUAUAAGUAAUGUUUUGUAACUUAAUCAGAUUUGAACUAAGUAGGUAACAUAUUUAAUAUAAUUAAGUAGUGUUUGAGUUGAUCAAUCAGCUUUGUUAAAGUGUGCAAGUUACAUUUUACAGGUUUCAAUGUAAUUAGUGGUAGUAGGUAGUUGUUUAGGUGAAAUUUUUUUAUGAUUGCCUAGCUGUAUUUUCUUAUAUAUGUAUUGGCAUCAUGCCAUCCAAAAAUUAAUGAUAAAUGAAAAAUCAUUGUACAUCAUCAAAAUACUCUCUCUUUUCUUUGUGUUUUCUUUUGGCUAUCCAAGCCCGAUUCUGUUUAUUUUCUCCAGCAAACAUACAGCACUGUUGCUCAAGCUUCUGGUAACCUUCAUUCAUCUUUGUUAAAAACCUAACAAUUGGUAUCUAGUGCUCAUUUCUUAGUGUACCUGUUAUUUCUUCAUUCCUUAAAACCAUGUUUUCCUCAAGUUUUCACCAGCUGCACCACCUAUCUUCAAUAGAGAAGGCUACCAUAUUUGGGUAGUAAAAAUGAAGACCUACCUACAGGCAUUUGACCUAUGGAAGGUUGUUAACUCAGAUGUUGAACCAGUACCUCUAUGAAUCAAUCUAACAGUGGCUCAAAUAAGGCAGCAUGUAGAUGAAAGAACCAAAAGGCACAAAGCCAUGUCUUGCAUCCAAAACAGUGUGUCUGAUGUGAUUUUCAUAAGAAUCAUGGCUUGUGAGUCACCAAAGAAGGCCUGGGAUAAGUUGAAGGAGGAGUUCCAAGGGACUAAAAGAACAAGACAACAACAGCUACUGAAUUUGAGAAGGGAUUCUGAAAACUUGAAGAUGAAGGAGGAAGAAACAUUGAAGCAAUACUUAGACAAAAUCAUGGCUGUGGUAAACAGCAUUAGACUGCUUGGAGAAUAGUUCAGUGAAGCAAGGAUUGUGAAGAAGGUGAUCUCAGCCUUACCUAAAAGGUAUGAGGCAAAGAUCUCAUCUCUUGAAGACUCGAGGAACCUGACCAGCAUCUCAUUGACAAAGCUGAUCAAUACUCUUUAUGCUCAAGAGCAAAGGAGAGCUAGCAGACUAGAGGAGUACGAAGAAGGUGCCUUCCAAGCCAAAAGUAGACUAGCCUCGAGCUCUUCUACCUACAAAGGAAAGAAAACCUGGAAAGACAAGCCUAGAGCAGAUGGUGCAAGAAGAUAUCCACCCUUCCCACACUGCAGAAAGCUAAGUCAUCCGGGUGAAGUAUGUUGGUUUAGGCCUGAUGUGUAGUGUAAAUUCUGUAAAAAGAUGGGCCAUGCCGAGAAAGUUUGCAGAAACAAAGGCAAGCAAAGACAAAAAAAAUUUCAACAGCUAAUAGCUGAAGCUCAAAUAGCAGAAGAGGGUAAUGACUAAGAAGAGCAAGUCUUUGUAGUUUCUUGCCCAGCUACUAAAGAAAAGGCCACAAAGGGAUGGCUAAUUGAUAGUAGUUGCUCAAACCACAUGACUCAUGAUGUUUCCAUCUUCAAGUCAAUUGACAGAAGCUUUAAAACAAGGGUAAAGGUUGGAAAUAGACACUUCAUCAAAGCUGAAGGCAAAGGAGAUGUGUUGAUAGACACUCCUACAGGCACCAAACUUGUUUCAAAUGUCCUAUUAGUGCCUGAAAUUGAUAGAAACCUGCUCAUUAUAGCUCAGUUGCUAAAGAAGGACUAUUCAAUGGUGUUCAAAAGCAAUGAGUGCUUAAUCAGUGAUCCAAAUGGAUAUAAGCUCAUGACAGUAACCAUGGCUGACAAAAGCUUUGUUAUGAAUUAGAACAAAGGCUUAGACAGUGCCUACAUAGCUGCUUCAAAUGAAUCCAAGCUAUGGCACAAGAGACUUGGUCAUACCAACUACAAAUCAAUGGCUCAGCUAACCAAAGAAGACCUAGUUGAAAACUUUACUAAUUCAAUUGAGAAAGAAGAAGUUUCUGAAGUUUUCCAACUAGGAAAACAAGUCAGACUUCCAUUCCCUUCAAACAAAGCCUAGAGAGCUUUUGAAAGACUGCAACUUGUGCACACUGAUGUGUGUAGCCCUAUAAUGACACUAUCUUUGAAUGGCAGUAGAUAUUUCAUCUUAUUCAUUGAUGAUCACUCAAGGCAUUGCUGGGUUUACUUCAUCCAGUAUAAGUAUGAGGUAGCCUUAGUGUUCUGGAAAUUCAAGGCUGCAACAGAAACAGAAUCAGGAUGUAAGCUCAAGACUUUGAGAUCUGAUAAUGGAACUGAGUACACCUCAGCUCAGUUUCAAUCCUUUUAUGAUGAAGCAGGCAUCAAGCACCAGCUCACCAACACCUACACACCUCCAUAGAAUGGUGUUAGUGAAAGAAAGAAUAAAAGCCUGAUGGAUAUGGCUAGAUGCCUAUUGUUUAAGAAGAAUUUGCCUAAAACCUUGUGGGCUGAGGCAGUUAACACUACUGUGUACCUUGAAAACAGGCUCCCAACUAAGGCAUUAGUUCAGAAAACUCCAUUUGAAGGUUGGUUUGGGUUCAAACCAUCACUAGCUCACCUGAAGGUCUUUGGCUGCAUCUGUUAUGCACAUGUUCCUACUGUCAAAAGGGACAAGUUGGCCAAGAAAGCUCAACUUGGUAUCCUGGUUGGUUAUAGCAGCGGCAAGAAGGGCUAUAUGAUCUUGAAUCCUUCAUCCAACAAAGUUCUUGUGAGCAGGGAUGUUGUAUUCAAUGAGAAAUUAGCCUAGAAUUGGGACAAAAAUGAACUAGAGGCUGUUACUGAAGAUCUUAUGACAUAUUAGACUGAAGCUGAUCAAAUUGGUCCUGAAAUGAACAUUGAUGAUAAACCAGUCAGAGGCACUAGACCAUUGGUUGAGAUUUAUGAAAGAGCUCAAGUGGCUGCAGUUGAACCAAGCAGCUUUGAAGAGGCUAAAGCUUAACAAGGCUGGAAACAGACAAUGGCUAAUGAAAUCAGUAUGAUUGAGAAGAAUCAAACUUGGCAGCUAGUUGAGAAACCAGCAAACAAGAAGGUCAUUUGGGUGAAAUAGGUGUUUCAAGCCAAGCAUAAUGCUGAUGGAAGCUUGAAUAAACUGAAAGCAAGGCUGGUUAUAAAAGGGCUCAGCCAAAAGUAUGGCACCGACUACUUUGAGGCAUUUGCACCAGUAGCUAGGCUUGACACCAUAAGGCUAUUAGUUGCCUUAACAGCACAAAUGCAGUGGAAAAUUCAUUAGCUUGAUGUAAAAUCAGCAUUCCUCAAUAGUUUUCUUGAUGAGGAGAUCUAUAUUGAGCAGCCUGAAGGUUUCAAAGCUGUUGGUGAAUAGGAUAAUGUGUACAAACUGAAUAAAGCCUUGUAUGGUUUGAAACAAGCACCAAGAGCCUGGUAUAGCAGGAUCGAUAGUUAUCUAGCUAGCCUUAGAUUUGAAUGAAGCAUCAGUGAACCAACCUUGUAUGUGAAUAAGCAAGGUAGUGAAACUCAACUGAUAGUGUCUCUAUAUGUUGAUAACAUGCUAAUGAUAGGAGGAGAUCAAGCAAUGUUGACAGACUUCAAAUGCAAAAUGGAGCAAAUGUUUGAGAUGCCUGAUUUGGGAAAGAUGACUUACUUCCUUGGCAUGGAAGUGUCACAAACUCAGCAUGGAAUCUUACUAAGUCAGAAGGCUUUUGCCUCAACAAUUCUAAGCAAAUUCUCCAUGCUGAAUUGCAAGGCAACACACACCAAUUGCUACUGGAGAGAAACUAUCGAGCCAAGGUGACUUUGAGCAGGUUAGUGAAUUUGUCUAUGGAAGCUUGGUAGGUUGUUUGCUAUAUCUGACUGCCACUAGACCAAACAUCAUGUUUGCUGUAAGUCUACUAUCAAGAUUCACGCAUUGCUGCAAUGAGAAGCAUUUUCAAGCUGCCAAAAGAGAUCUCAGGUACAUUAAAGGUACACUGAGCUAUGGAAUGUUGUUUAGCAAAGUUGAAAGCAUGAAAUUGGUUGGUUAUGCUAAUAGUGAUUAGGCUGGUUCAAUAGAUGACAUGAAGAGUACCUCUGGGUAUGUUUUUACUCUUGGAUCAGCCAUCUUUUGCUGGAGUUUGAAGAAGCAAAAUUUUGUUGCUCAGUCAACUGCUGAAGCAGAGUAUGCGGCAGCUGCAGGAGCUGUCAACCAAGCCAUUUGGCUAAGGAAAAUCAUGGUUGAUUUAAAUCAACACUAGAUGGAAGCAACAGAGAUCAAUUGUGACAAUCAACCUCUUGUUGCAAUUGCAAAAAAUCCAGUGUUCCAUGGAAGAACAAAGCACUUCAAGAUUAAGUUUCACUUUGUUAGGGAAAUGGAACAAGAUCGAAAAGUGAAGCUGAUUCAUUGCAGUUUUGAAGAACAACUUACUGAUAUUUUAACUAAGCCCUUUUGUGUGUCAAGAUUUGAAUAUUUAAGAGCCAAAAUUGGAGUCUGCAGCAUGCAAGCCAAUGAGGAGUGCUGAAGUUGGCCUGCAUGCAGCACACAAGGAGCAGACCAUACAGCACAAGUCAUGCGGAUGAAGUGUUGAAGAUCAAGCUAGAAGAUAAAGUUGCUAUAAUAUUUCCGAAUGAAGUACAUGCAGCUAUAAAAAGAUUAAGCUACUGUAAUAUUUCCGAAUGAAGUGCAUGUUGCUGCUGAAGUUGAUGCAGCUGUUCAUUUUCGGUUUCAUUUUGUUACUAUAAGUAAUGUUUUGUAACUUAGUCAGAUUUAAACUACGUAAGUAGCAUAUUUAAUAUAAUUAGGUAGUGUUUGAGCUGAUAAAUCAGCUUUAUUAAAGUGUACAAGUUACAUUUUACAAGUUUCAAUGUAAUUAGUGGUAAUAGGUAAUUGUUUAGGUGAAAUUUGUUUAUGAUUGUCCAGCUGUAUUUUCUGAUAUAUGCAUUGGCAUCAUGCCAUCCAAAAAUUAAUGAUGAAUGAAAAAUCAUUGUACAUAAUGAAAAUACUCUCUUUUCUUUGUGUUUUAUUUUUACUAUCUAAGCUCGAUUCUGUUUAUUUUCUAACAAACAUAUAGCAUUGUUGCUAACCUUCAUUAUCUUUGUUAAAAACCUAACACGACCUUUUGUUCUUUGUAGGCUGCUUAUUAUUUAAUAAUUUUUUUAAUAAAAAGAAAUUUUCUCUUUAUAAAUCAAUGCAAAAAAUACGUGAGAACAACGUGCAUCCUUUGUUGUUACCUGUUUUCUUUUUUCAUUCUUAUAUAUAAAACUACUUCAACUUUUGUUUUCUUUCGUUUCAAUAACUAUUAGAAUAUGAGUUUCAUUAGACGAUUUCUCCUCUGAAUUUUCAGUAAUUUCUUGUUUUUUUUUCUCUAUUGGUUUUCUUCCUUGAGUUUCUCACACACAGGUCAGCUUUCUCUUUUCUACAACUUAUAAAAGUUUCUUUUUUGGCCUUGGAAAUAUCAUAGUUUGACUAUAAAAGUUUCUUUUUGGCCUGGGAAAUAUAAUAGUUUGACCUGCAUGUAUGAUCCAGUUUAUGUUCUUGAAUUAUGUUAAUAUGAUUUAAGUUCUAUUGUGUAAUUAAUCUUACUUUUGAUUUUCUGAUGGAUUUUUAAUUAGGUCAUCUUGUGAGAGUAUUGAUUGAAAGUUUACAACUUUUUUGUUAGCUUCUGAUUUAGGCUUCUAUGUUAUUUUCUUAUAAUUUGGUUUUCAAAGUUCUUUAUCCAUGGUCCCUACUGAUCUUUCAGAAGAAACUAGCUUGUCUCCUGCUAUCAUUUUGUUUUGUUAGUUUCUUAUUUUUAGCUAUUUGCAUAUGCCCAAAAUGAUUUUUUUCCUGUUUCUUUUCUUGGAUUAUGCUUUAUAGUUUUCUUUAUAUGAUUAAAAUUGAUCCUCUACAAUAGCUGACUUUUUUAUAUUUGAAACUUGUCUCAUUACUUUGUGAUUUGGAUGCAUUUUAUACACUUUAAUAUAUUGGGUUUGAUGAAAAUAAAUGAUGUUCUUGGCCUAAUUUUAUGAUGAUAUACCUUUUUAUCUUUAUGCAAGAUGAUUGCAUAUUGGGAUCCCUAAGAUUUCUGUGCUUGAAUUUGUUUAAUAUAAGAACAAAGUUCAUUAGUUUGUUGUUUGAGAUUUAUAUUUGGCAAUUAUGGCUAUUGAUCUUGUAUUGGAAUUAGGUUUAUCCACUCUCUCUUGCAUGCAUAAAACUUCUAUGAAAAGCGGUUUUUGAGAUUUUUGAUGAAUGACAUAGAGGCAUCAUGCAUGAUGUUGUUAUGAAGAACUUUAUGUCAUAGAAAUUGUCUGUCAGAUGAUGUUUUGUUUCUUUUCGAUCUUUUCUCUUAUCUCUGUCAAUCUAUUUCUAUUCGCAGCUUUGAAUCUAUCCUUGGAUUAUUGAUUUCAUUUUGGGAGUUCUGGACUUCAAUUUAUUUUAAGCAGUUCAUUAUCUUGUUCUAAGGUCGCAUAAUCUUCUAGGAGAUGGGUAGAGGGGGUACUUCAUCUGCUAACACGGAGAGAAUUUCCCGUCGAUUUUGUACAGCCUUAUCGUCAGCCUUUUUUGAAUAGCUGUUGCUUUUUAUGCUCUUCAUUGAUGCUAUAGUUUCAUACCUAAUAAAAAAAAUUGCUCAUAAUAUGCUCAAAACUUGAUCAUGUUUUCGGUAAAGAAAAAAGCAAGUUUUAUAUGGAUCUUGUAUGUAAUGAUCAUAAGUUGGAGAUUUCAUCCUUAAUUUACUGUCAUGCUUACAACAAGCUUGUUGAUGUUCAUGGAAUGUGCGAAAGUUGCCUUUUCUCAUUUGCUACAAUGAAUAAGUCUAAUGCCGAAACCUAUCGGUUAUUGGUCGAAAAGUUGGGGGAUUUUGACAGUGGUCUUGAGGAGGAUCCCUCACUUGGGAAUCAUAAACUUGGAUGUUCAACUAAAAACACUGUUCUUGUUGCAGUGAGCCAUGGAUGCCAAGAGAGUAUGUCAAAACAUCGAUUCAGACUCGAUCGGCUGUGUUUCCGGAUACUAAAUUUGAUCUACCUUUACCAGUUUCUGUAGAACAUGGUCAUGAUGAGCAGAACAGAAGUGGCGAUGUGUCUGUUUUGGUUCAAGCUACACUUCAGAGGAAAAAUCAGCCUGAUCCUUUAUCUCAUGUAGUAUAUUCGGAACUUCAGAUUGAUUCGGAGUUAGAAUCUGAAGUUAAAAACGAUGCUGGCAACGAGGAAGAUGGCAUAAUUAUCCAAACUCAUCAUCUAAAACAAGAUCUUGUUGAUCAACACGUGCAGCCAGAGUCUCAAACUUUUACUUUAUCUGACAAUUUUACUUCAGAGAAAUUCAUGGAUCCUGUUUCUGCACUUAAGCCUUCAAUAUUCAUUUCACAAUCAGAAUCAGAAUUAGCCAUCAUUGAGCCUCUUGGCACUAGACCGGCGGAAUCAAUUGAUUUGAAACAACAUGGCUUGGAGGAACUCAAUUGGGAGCAAGCCAGUACCAAAAUCGAGCCAUCCGCUUCUUCUAAACUUAUUUUGAUUGAUGACGUCCCUAUUAGGAGAUAAAGAAGUGUUGGUUAGUUGUUAACAGUUAGUUAGGUAAGGGCAGUUGUAACUACUGUUGACUUACUGUAUAUAUACAUACGUACUUUGCAUGAGAUGAUAUACAAGAAGAAAUGAUAGAUGAAGUUUUAUUCAGUAUUCUUGAAAUUUAACAUGGUAUCAAGAGCCAGGUUAAUCUUGCUGAUUUUCUGAAAGAAAAAAAAAAGGGUGCCUCAUGGCCACUGAUGCAGCAGGUGAUACUCCCCGUCACUCGUCCAACACUAGAGAAGCUGAACACUCACAAGGUAAUGGUGCUCAAGGCUCGACUGAAGUGCACUAUUUCUCCAAGCAUGAUACAAUAAAGCUUGCGUCACACAACUACCUUUUGUGGAAACAUCAACUCUUGCUGAUUCUUGAAGGGUAUGGACUUGAAGGAUAUGUACUAGGUACCACUUCCUUCCCUCCUCAGUUUAUUGAUGGUCCUGAUGGUCAACAAAUUGCGAAUCAAGAUUUCAUCGUUCAUCGAAAGCAAGAUAAAUUUCUUGCCUCUUGGCUUUUAUCUACUAUUACGGAUGAUAUUUUGGCUCAUCUUACAACCGCAAAAACUAGUUGUGAUCUGUGGAAUGCCAUUGAAAGGAAAUUUAGUGCUAAAUCAAACAUAAAAAUCUUGAGCAUGCGGCAUACUUUAUACUCUCUCAAGAAGUCCAAUCUUUCUGUUAAAGAGUAUAUGUCGAAAGUUAAGCAACUCAGUGAUGAUUUGACUGCGGCUGGGAGCUUUAUAUCCGAACAGGAACAAGUGAGCGUUAUAUUGGCUGGACUUUCUGUUGAAUUUGAUUCCAUUAGAGUUCUAGCUACAGCAACUCCGUUAUCUCUUGAUUUGUUGAGUGAAUUGUUACUUGACUGUGAAGCACGUCAGUUAGAGCUGUUAAAAGACACCCCAUGUCAAGCAAAUUUGGCAACUCAUCAGCGAAAUAGCGAUGAUACGGGUAAACAAUCAGCAGACUCUGCUAAGUAUUCUCAAGACUCCAAGCAGAAUGAUAGAGGACAGGGCCGUGGGUGGUCUCGUGGUCGUUUUCGGGGAAAUUGACGAGGAUGGUCACGUUCGAGGCCGCAAUGCCAGUUGUGUGGGAAGAUAGGCCACAUGGUUCAAACAUGUUACCAUAGAUUUGAUGAGUCGUUCUCUGGGAAUGCAGGAGCUGGUACGGUUCAAGUUAAUUGUCAUCAGUUGCACGCUUCCAGUUGUGUGCCAGCUGCUCCAACAUGUCAAGCGAUGUCUCACUGCUGUCACACAAAUCCUCAGUCUUCCUCUGGUUCUUUUCCUCCUCAUCCAUCUUCACAAAGUAGUUCUAUCUGGUACCCCGAUUCUGGAGCGACGAACCAUAUAACACCAGAGGUGUCUAAUCUUGCUGCUCCCUCUUCAUAUACAGGUAAGAGUUGUGUCACCAUGGGUAAUGGUGAUUCGGUGCCUAUUGCUCAUGUUGGUUCAACUGUUCUUUCAACUGGAACCCGACUCCUAAAGCUUCAGAACGUACUGCAUGUCCCUGCAGUAUGCAAAAAUCUAAUGUCUGUGGGUCAAUUUGCUAGAGAUAACAAUGUUUAUUUUGAAUUUCACCCUGUUCUAUGUUUUGUGAAGGAUGUUCAGACAGGGAAGACGCUUCUCGAGGGCCGCAUGCAUGAUGGCCUUUACAAGUUUCGGUUCGCAAAGCCUAUGUCAGCUUCAGGUGCUAAAUCUCCAGAGUCAAAUUCAACUAUAUUGAAUACUGCCAAUUCUGUUCAGUGUGCACCUUCUUCGUUGUGGCAUGACAGAUUAGGUCACCCGUGUACUGAGGUUCUUAAACGAGUUUUAAAAACUUGUAAUAUUCCAGUUAAAAAGAACUGUGUUCAACAUAUGUGUACAGCUUGCCAACUAGGUAAAGCUCACAAACUUCCGUUUACAGCAUCUAAAACAAUGUAUUCCUCUUCUUUUGAACUCGUUGUAUCUGAUGUAUGGGGCCCUGCAUGGUUACCUUCCAAUGGCUUUCGUUUUUACGUUUCGUUUGUGGACAUGCAUAGCAGAUUUACCUGGGUCUAUUUUCUUCAAAACAAAUCGGAAGUGGCUCGGUGUUUUAGAGAUUUCUAUCAGCUGGUUAAAGUGCAAUUUGAUAGGUCUAUUAAAAUGCUGCAAACUGAUGGUGGUGGUGAGUAUCGAGUACUAGCUCGUGAGUUGUCCUCUCUUGGUGUCCAACACAGGAUUGUGUGCCCCUACACUUCGGAGCAAAAUGGGGUUGCUGAGAGAAAACAUCGAUAGCUUAUUGAUAUGGCUUUGUCUCUCUUAGCUCAUGCAAGUCUACCGUUGAAGUUUUGGUUUUAUGCUGUUAUGCAUGCUGUUCACCUAACCAAUCGACUACCAACUCCAGUCCUCGGACAGACUAGUCCCUAUGAGGUUCUCUACAAAGUCAAACCGAGCUAUGAGCUUUUAAGGGUCUUUGGGUGUGCGUGCUUCCCAAAUCUCAGGCCUUUUCAGCCUCACAAGCUGAGUUUUCGGUCUCAACAAUGUGUAUUCCUUGGGAGUGUUCCUAAUACCAAGGGCUAUCGAUGUCUCGCAGAAGAUGGCAGCAUGUUUGUGUCUCGACAUGUAAUUUUUGACGAGGAAAAAUUCCCUUUCAAAGAUGGGUUCCAAACUAAGGCAGUAUCACAAAGUUCGCGGACGGUGCCUCAUCGGUCUGUUCUCCCAAUAGUUUCAGCUGGUGGUUCGCAUGUUCCUGCUAUGAUGCGGGCAUCAGCUAGCCCGUCUACCAUAGGCAUAUCUCCUGGCCAGUCUCAACCCAAUCCUACAGAGUCUCCUACUCCUAAUGACACAAAUGGUCCACCUGAUAACUCUGACCUAUCUCCAUCACUACCUACCCGAGUCAAUCAUCACCCCAUGCAGACACGUUCGAAAAAUGGGAUUUUUUGACCUAAAGUGCUGGCUUCAGUCGUGAUGAAGUUGAACCUACCACCAUUCAUGAGGCGUUUCAGAGUCCAGCUUGGACUACGGCAGCCGAGGAAGAGUACAAUGCCUUGAUUUCCAAUCACACCUGGGAGCUAGUUGGUUUACCUGAAGGUCGACGAGCCGUUGGAUGUAAAUGGCUCUUCCGUAUUAAGAGGCAUGCAGAUGGGUCUGUUGCUAGAUACAAGGGCAGACUCGUGGUCAAAGGGUACCUCCAAGAAGCCGGUGUUGACUUUCAAGACACUUUCAGUCCCGUCGUCAAACCCACCACAAUUAGAGUCGUCCUCGCCCUGGCCGUCUCUCACCAGUGGUCUCUUCGACAAGUUGACAUAAACAAUGCCUUUCUUAAUGGAGACUUGAGCGAGGAGAUCUAUAUGUCACAGCCACCAGGUUUUGAACAGUAUGGCUUACAUGGAGAGCCUCUGGUCUGCAAGUUAAAGAAGGCUCUCUAUGGUCUCAAACAGGCUCCACGAGCCUGGUUUCAAAAACUAAGGGAUUUUUUGGUGACCAUGGGGUUCGACACUUCCAAAGCGGAUAACUCGCUCUUCAUUCGACAUCGUGAGGAUGCAUUGUUGUACGUUUUAGUGUAUGUCGAUGACAUCAUCGUUACAGGCAGUGACUCACAGGAAAUUGAUAAGUUUGUCAAGACACUUGAUGGUCAGUUUGCAUUGAAGGACCUUGGCCAGUUGAGCUAUUUCCUUGGUAUUGAAGUCAAGCACACGUCGAAUGGGAUAGUUUUGUCUCAAACUAAAUACAUUAGAGACUUGCUUCAAAAAGUAGCUAUGGACAGAUCCAAUGCUCUCCCAACACCAAUGGUUGCAAAUAAUCGUCUUACUGCUGAGGAAGGAAGCCCCCUUGAAGAUGAACAUCAGUAUCGAAGCAUCGUAGGAGCCUUACAAUAUAUCGUGAUCACCAGGCCUGACAUCGCCUAUUCAGUCAACAAGGUGUGCCAAUUCAUGCACAAACCACUAACCGGUCACCUCAAAGCAGUCAAGAGGAUACUACGGUAUUUACAAGAAACAAUGAAUUACGGAUUACAGUUUACUCGAGCUUCCAAAUUCCUUCUUGAAGGUUAUUCGGAUGCGAGUUGGGGAUCAGACGUUGACGAUCGAAGGUCCACCUCGGGGUAUUGUAUCUUCCUUAGAGGAAAUCCGGUCUCAUGGAGCUCGAAAAAGCAACACGUUGUGUCUCGUUCCACAGCAGAGGCGGGAUACAGGAGUGUUGCACAUGUCACCGCUGAAAUGACGUGGAUACAAUCCCUACUGACUGAAUUGCGUGUUCCAAGCUUACCAAAGGCACUAAUUUGGUGUGAUAGUUCAGCAGCAAUAGCAGUUGCAGGAAAUCCAGUCAUGCACUCCAAGUUCAAGCAUGUGGAGCUAGACAUUUUCUUUGUUAGAGAAAAGGUGGCUGCUGGAGUUGUUCAAGUUGGUCAUGUCCCAGGGACCCAUCAGCUAGCAGACAUACUAACAAAGCCUUUGUCAGCCUCAGGGUUUAACCGGUUUCGGGAUUUACUUCGAGUGGUUAACACAAACUAGGGGGAUUUUAGUUAGUCAGGGAAUGGAUGAGUAUGAGGAAUAUUAGGAGAUAAAGAAGUGUUGGUUAGUUGUUAACAGUUAGUUAGGUAAGGGCAGUUGUAACUGCUGUUGACUUACUGUAUAUAUACAUACGUACUUUGCAUGAGAUGAUAUACAAGAAGAAAUGAUAGAUGAAGUUUUAUUCAGUAUUCUUGAAAUUUAACAGUCCCUUUAUCAUCGAUGGACAAGGAAGCUUCUAUCUAUGUGUCAACAGAAAUGAAUCUUAGUUCCGUUCAUAAGGUCUCUCCAUUGUCGAAUGCUGGUGAAAUUCCUAAUCAAGGGUCGGAAGAUAGUAAGCUUAUUUCCCUUGAUUUUCUUUCUUCGUCUCCAAUCGACAAUGAAACUCUGGUUGAAGUACAAAAGGAAAGUAAGAACAUUUCUGUUGACAAUGUUUCUCCAUCAAAUGUUGCUGCAUCUUCCGUAAAAGAAUCAAAAGAGAGUAGUAAGUUGAACUUACUAGAUACACCCCUCCUACUUAAUAUCUGUGAGAUUGUUUCGUAUUAAUUUAACGUUUUCUGUCACAAGGUGUCAUGGAAACUCCUGAAAUUGAGAAGAUAUCUGAGGCAAAGUGUGAAGAAAUCCACAUAUCGGCAGAACAGCCACUUCCAAUACCUGAAUCACCGGUGGAAGAAAACUUUGUCAUGAAUGGAAAUAGCAUCCAAGCGAUCAAUUCAUUGGACCUAAGCGAUGCUUAUAAGCUAGCUGUAUGUAGUAAAGGUAGACAGUUAUCUGGUUUGCUUGUUGAACCAUGGAUUAGAAGAGAUUCUUCUAGACUUAGUGAAGAUUUAAAGGUCUUAUUGUCGCAAUUAUCUUCUCGAGGGAUGGAGCAAUUGAUGAGCGAUGUAAGUCCUAGGAUCGCAGCAAGUCCAAGGAUUGCUGUAAGUCCAAGGAUAUCUAUAAACAGUGAUGAUUUAAAAGCCUCAGAUUCUUCUGCAUUUAAUCGAAUUGAGAUAUUUCUGUGAAAAAUAAAAUAAAAAAAAAUAAAGAACACACAAAUUUUACGUGGAAACUCUUUCGGGAAAAAAAACCACGGGCAGAGGAGAAAAAAAGUCACUAUGUCAAAAAAUUUGAAUCAAAUACAAGAGGAAUAGACUAUGUCUAUUUAUAGGCUUGCAAAGUCAUAUUCUAGUAGGAUUGAAAUAGCUUAUCCUAAUCAAUAUAAAAUAGAUGGAGUUUAAUAAGGUUUAAAAACCUUAUUCUAAAAUAAAAUAAAAGAAGUCUAGUUCUAUAUGGAUUUUACUUUUAUUUUAUUUUCCAUCGUAUUUUAUUUAAAUAAGAAUUUGGGUCACUUAAUUCUUACAAUCUCCACCUUGACACAAAUUCGCAAUGAACAAGUUCUUCAUCGCGAACUUUCAAUAAACAAGUUCUCCACCUCUUCCAUAAAACCCCUUAAGGGUUUAACUUCAACAAUGAACACCAACCAAGUCUAAGCAAUGCUCAAACUUGGUUAUAGGAAGUGACUUAGUCAUCAUAUCUGCAGGAUUUUCAUGAGUACUAAUUUUGCUCACAACAAUAUCACCACGAGCAAUAAUAUCACGAACAAAAUGAUACCGAAUAUCAAUGUGUUUUGUUCUCUCAUGAAACAUUUGAUCUUUUGAAAGAAAGAUGGCACUCUGACUGUCACAAAAUACUGUGCUGAUUUUAAGGUCUUCAUUGAGUUCACUAAAUAGUCCCUUCAACCAAAUAGCUUCUUUACAAGCCUCAGUAAUCGCCAUGUACUCAGCUUCAGUGAUGGACAAAGCGACUGUAGUUUGCAAAGUGGCUUUCCAACUAAUUGCACAACCUCCGAUUGUAAAGACGUAACCUGUGAGAGAUCUUCUUCUAUCAAGGUCUCCAGCAAAAUCAGCAUCAACAUACCCUAUAACUCCAUCUUUAGUUCUUCCAAACUGUAAGCAAACAUCAGUAGUGCCUCGUAAGUAUCUUAAAAUCCACUGAACUGCUUUCUAAUGUUCUUUACCGGGAUUUGCCAUAUAUCUGCUAACUACACUGACUGUAUAUGAUAAAUUUGGACGUGAACAAACCAUAGCAUACAUGAGAGAUCCCACUGCACUAGAGUAUGGAACAUGUGACAUGUACUCAAUCUCAUCAUCUGAUUGAGGAGACAAGGCCGAUGAAAGUCUAAAAUGGGCUGCUAAAGGAGUACUAACAGGAUUAGCAGUCUACAUAUUGAACCUGCAAAGAACUUUCUCAAUGUACCCCUUCUGACUUAGGUACAAUUUACUUGCUUUUCUAUCUCUGACAAUCUCCAUACCAAGUAUCUUCUUUGCUGGUCCUAAAUCUUUCAUCUUAAAUUCUUCACUUAGUUGGGCUUUAACCUUUCUUAUCUCUCCUUUAUCUUUUGCUGCUAUCAACAUGUCAUCAACAUAAAGAAGUAGAUACACAAAAGAACCAUCACUGUUUUUCUUAAAGUAAACACAAUUGUCUAAACUACUUCUUUUGAAAUCAUGAGAAGUCAUAAAGGAAUCAAACCUCUUGUACCACUGUCUUGGAGACUGUUUCAAACCGUAAAGGGACUUUCUCAGCAAGCAAACAUAGUCCUCCUUUUCUGAGACUAUAAAACCCUCUGGUUGUUGCAUGUAAAUAUCUUCCUCAAGUUCUCCAUGCAGAAAUGCAAUUUUUACAUCUAACUACUCAAGCUCCAAAUCAUGCAUGGCCACAAUACCAAGCAAAGCUCGAAUCGAACUAUGCUUAACAACUGGAGAGAACACAUCUGUGAAGUCCACUCCUGGAAUUUGACUGUAACCCUUUGCAACAAGCCUUGCUUUAUAUCUGGGUUCUUCAACUCCUAGAGUCCCUUCUUUCUUUUUAAACACCCAUUUACAACGAACAACCUUUUUACCUUUAGAAAGUUUUACAAGGUCCCAUGUUCUGUUUUUGUGGAGUGAUUCAAUCUCUUCUUGCAUAGCAAACAUCCACUUUUCUGAGUCUUCACAGCUAACCGCCUCAGAAUAAUUAGAUGGCUCUUGAUUCACAUUUAUAUCUUCAGCCACAUUUAAAGCAUAAGCAACUAGAUUAACCUCGGCAUACUUCUUUGGAGGUUUAAUUUCUCUUCUAAUUCUGUUUUUGGCAAUAGAGUAUUGUGGUGAAGAAGCAACUCUAUUCUCAAUUUUUGUUCUGGCUUGAGGAGUUGACUCUGUAUUAAUCUGAUGCUCCACCUGCUUUUGAUUUUCUUUAUUGGAAGAGUCUUUAAGAGAUAAGUUACGUAGCAUAGUAGUUUCAUCAAAAACAACAUCUCUGCUAAUCACAACUUUUUUAUUUUCAGGACACCAUAACUUAUACCCUUUUACACCCGUUUUAUAACCAAGAAAAAAUACAUUUAAUAGAUCUCGGUUCCAAUUUUCCAUUAUCAAUAUGAGCAUACGCAGGACACCCAAAAAUAUUUAAAUCAGAAUAAUUAGCAGGAUUACCAGACCAUACCUCUUGUGGAGUCUUUUUCUCAAUGGCAACGGAUGGAGAUCGGUUGAUCAAAAAACAUGCAGUAGAGGUAGCUUCUGCCUAAAAUGCCUUCGAUAAGUUGGCAUUUGACAACAUACAUCGAACCUUCUCCAUGAUCAUUCUGUUAAUUCGUUCUGCAACGUCAUUUUGCUGUGGAGUAUAACGAACUGUCAAGUGUCUCAUAAUCCCUUCUGACUUGCGCAAUCUAUUAAACUCAUCAGAACAAAACUCUAAGCCAUUGUUUGUGCAGAGGUAUUUUAUCUGUUUUCCCUUCUGUUUUUCAAUCGUAAUUUUCCAAGACUUAAAUGCGGAAAACACAUCGCUUUCCUGCUUCAGGAAAAAUGCCCAAACUUUUCUGGAAAAAUCAUCAAUAAAGGUUAGCAUAUAAUUAGCUCCACCUCUCGAAGGCACUUUAGAUGGCCCCCACAGAUCAGAAUGAAUAUACUCCAACGUUCCCUUCGUGUUAUGGAUUCCUCUAGUGAAUCGAACUCUCUUUUGCUUCCCAAAAACACAAUGCUCACAGAAAUUUAGUUUGCAAAUUCCUUGCCCAUUAAGAAGUCCUCUUUUGCUUAAUUCUGCCAUGCCAUUCUCACUCAUAUGCCCUAUGCGCAUAUGCUAAAGUUUAGUAAUAUCAUCAUCUGACAAGGAAGAGGAAGAGACAGCCGCAUCACCAGUAACAGUAGAAUCCUGUAAAACAUAUAACUUGGCAAUCUUUCUCUGCCCUUUCAUCACAACAAGGGACCCUUUGGAAAUCUUUAAAACCCCACUUUCAGCUGUGUAUCUGUACCCUUUUGAAUCAAGAGUACUCAACGAAAUUAAAUUUCUUUUCAAUUCUGGAACAUGCCGCACAUCACUAAGUGUUCUGACAACUCCAUCAAACAUCUUAAUUUUAAUUGUUCCAACACUUGCGAUUUUACAUGAAGCAUUAUUUCCCAUCAAAACAACACCUUCAGAUACUGUUUCGUAACUUGUAAACCAAUCCCGAUUGGGACUCAUGUGGAAGGUGCAGCCUGAAUCAAGUAUCCACUCCUCGCUUACUUUAGAAUCAUUGACAAAAACGACUAGAAGUUCACCAUCGCUAUAGUUUUCUACAACAUCAGCUUCAUCGGAAUUUUCUGGUUGUUUUCCCUUUUGAUCCGCAGCCUCCCUUUUAAUCUUAUUUUGUAGCUUAUAGCACUCAGAUUUAAUGUGCCCUUUCUUUUUGCGGAAGUUGCAAGUUUUACCUCUGUUUGAAGACUUCGAUCUACCCUUAGAUUUACCACGAGGAUUCCGUUCCUGUGUCCUACCACGAUCAUUAUUAGCAUUCCAAUCUUGUCUCCUGUGAACAAUGAGACCCUCUCCCUGAGAGUCGGGUUUAACCACAAGAUGCUUCAUCUUAUCAUACGAGGUUAAAUAAUCAUAAACCUCAUCAACUGUGAGAGACUCGCGACUAUAUAAAAUCGUGUCUCUAAAGGUUGAAUAAGACGGGGGCAAUGAACAAAGUAGAAUCAAUCCUAGAUCUUCCUUAUCAUACUGAACCUCCAUGGCCUCCAAGUUUGAGAGAAUUUCUUUAAACACUAUUAAGUGUUCGUGUACAGACGCACCUUCCUCCAAACGAUGAGCAUAAAGACGCUGCUUCAUAUGCAACUUACUUGUUAGAGUUUUCGACAUACAUAUUUGUUCUAGCCUCUUCCAUAAUGCAGCGGUAGUUUUCUCUUUCAUUACAUCCUGCAAAAUUUUGUUGGACAAAUGCAGAUGUAAUUGUGUUAAUGCCUUCCGAUUCUUACGCUUCUUCUCUUCAUCUGUUAAUGUCGAAGGCAUCUUAUCUAUCCCUAGCAGGGCAUCCUCCAGAUCCAUCUGUGCAAGAACUGCUUGCAUCUUAAUUUGCCACAACGCAAAUCUGGUGUUGCGAUCCAACAGCGGAAUUUCAUACUUAAAAGAUGCCAUUACCGUGAUCGAGAUGAAUAACUCAAAAGCUCUGAUACCAAUUCGUGAAAAAUAAAAUAAAAUAAAAUAAAGAACACACAAAUUUUACGUGGAAACCCUUUCGGAAAAAAAACCACAGGCAGAGGAGAAAAAAAUUCACUAUGUCAAAAAAUUUGAAUCAAAUACAAGAGGAAUAGACUAUGUCUAUUUAUAGGCUUGCAAAGCCAUAUUCUAGUAGGAUUGAAACACCUUAUCCUAAUCAAUAUAAAAUAGAUGGAGUUUAAUAAGGUUUAAAAACCUUAUUCUAAAAUAAAAUAAAAGAAGUCUAGUUCUAUAUGGAUUUUACUUUUAUUUUAUUUUCCAUCGUAUUUUAUUUAAAUAAGAAUUUGGGUCACUUAAUUCUAACAACUUCAAAUGAGGGUCUCAUUGGAGAGAAAUGAGUCUAGUUUAUCAUUAGAUGGAAGCAUUAUUAGCGAAAUCGAAGGUGAAAGCGUGGUUGAUUGGCUAAAACGAUAGGUUGAGCAUGACAGGAAACUAUUAAGUGCUUUGUAUAAGGAAUUGGAAGAAGAAAGAAACGCUUCUGCAGUCGCUACAAAUCAAGCGAUGGCCAUGAUUACUCGAUUGCAGAAAGAGACGGCAACACUGUAAAUGGAAGCCUUGCAACACCUGAGAAUGAUGAAAGAACAAGCCGAGUACGAUAUGGAAGCACUGCAAAACACAAACGACCAUCUUGCAGAGAAAGAGAAAGAGAUUCAAGAUCUAGAAGCAGAGCUAGAGUUUUACAGGAUGAAGUUUCCCAAUGAAUUCCUGCUAGAGGACAUAGUGAAGUCGGCAUACAAUUUGCAAGUAACACGGGACACAAUGGAUCAUUUCGAAGCUAAUAGUAUUGAAGAAAAGGCAAUCUUACAUACAGAUACAGUUACCGAAAAGCUGAACAUCGGCUCCACAGUUGAAGAAACAUAUCAAUCAUUUGAGGACACAAACAAAGUCACCAUGAAGAAUCCAUUGUCUGAACAUGAACAUGGGUACCAAGAAGAACUCAUUCCUUGAAGCUUUAUUUACAAACACUACAAAGGUAAGUACUUUGAUUUUCAUUGUCUGAAAAUGUGAAAAUGCAUUUGCAUGAUACAAAUUUCAUAUAUAAAAUAUUGCUUACUUAUUUUUGUAAAUUUAACAGAUGCCUGCAAGAGAUGCUACUGGCCAUGAAUUGUAAAGUAUUCCAGAGAUUGUUUUCUCCUUAGAACAUAAUAAUAUAGGACAUGAUUUUAAAACAUUAUUGCAGAGGUUGUGUGACAUGUUCAUGUCAUGUCUGUGUGUAAAUAGCUAACUGACAUGUUUUGCAUACCAUCAAAAAUGGAGUUGCUGAGAUUUUUCUUCAUUUUUCAUAUUUCUCUUGGUAAUCUAAGUUUGCAGUACAUUUUAUUUCUUGAUUUUUCUUUUUCAUUUUUUAAGUUUGUUAGAAUUAAGUGACCCGACUUCUUAUUUAAAUAAAAUACGAUGGAAAAUAAAAUAAAAGUAAAAUCCAUAUAGAACUAGACUUCUUUUAUUUUAUUUUAGAAUAAGGUUUUUUAAACCUUAUUAAACUCCAUCUAUUUUAUAUUGAUUAGGAUAAGGUGUUUCAAUCCUACUAGAAUAUGACUUUACAAGCCUAUAAAUAGACAUAGUCUAUUCCUCUUGUAUUGAUUAAAAUUUUCAACAUAGUAAAUUUUCUUCUCCUCUGCCCGUAGUUUUUUCCCGAAAGGGUUUCCACGUAAAAUUUGUGUGUUCUUUAUUUUAUUUUUUAUUUUAUUUUAUUUUUACAAAUUGGUAUCAGAGCUUCUAGGUUUUUUCAUCUCAAUCGCGGUAAUGGCGUCUUUGAAGUAUGAAAUUUCACUGUUGGAUCGCAAGACCAGAUUUGCAUUGUGGUAGAUUAAGAUGCAAGCAGUUCUUGCACAGAUGGAUCUGGAGGAUGCCCUGCUAGGGAUAGAUAAGAUGCCUUCGACUUUAACAAAUGAAUAAAAGAAGCAUAAAGAUCGAAAGCCGUUAACACAAUUACAACUGCAUUUGUCAAACAAAAUUUUACAGGAUGUGAUGAAAGAGAAGACCGUCGUUGCAUUAUGGAAGAGGCUAGAAGAAAUAUGUAUGUCAAAAACCCUAACAAGCAAGUUGGAUAUGAAGUAGCGUCUUUAUGCUCAUCGUUUAGAGGAAGGUGCGUCUGUACACAAACACUUAACAGUAUUUAAAGAAAUUCUCUCAAACUUGGAGGCUAUGGAGGUUCAAUAUGAUAAGGAAGAUCUAGAGUUGAUUCUACUUUGUUCGUUACCCCUGUCUUAUUCAACCUUUAGAGACACUAUUUUAUAUAGUCGCGAGUCUCUCACAGUUGAUGAGGUUUAUAAUUCUUUGACCUCGUAUGAUAAGAUGAAGCAUCUUGUGGUUAAACCCGACUCUCAGGGAGAGAGUCUCAUUGUUCGUGGGAGACAAGAUCGGAAUGCUGAUGAUGAUCAUGGUAGGACACAAGAACGGAAUCCUCGUGGUAAAUCUAAGGGCAGAUCGAAGUCUUCAAAUAUAGGUAAAACUUGUAACUUCUGCAAGAAGAAAGGGCACAUUAAAUCUGAGUACUAUAAGCUAUAGAACAAGAUUAAAAGGGAGGCUACGAAUCAAAAGGGAAAACAACCAGAAAAUUCUGGUGAAGCUGAUGUUGUAGAAGACUACAACAAUGGUGAACUUCUAGUAGCUUCUGUCAAUGAUCCUAAAGUAAGUGAGGAGUGGAUACUUGAUUCAGGCUACACCUUCCACAUGAGUCCCAAUCGAGAUUGGUUUACAACUUACGAAAUAGUGUCUGAAGGAGUUGUUUUGAUGGGAAAUAAUGCUUCGUGUAAAAUCGCAGGUGUUGGAACAAUUAAAGUUAAGAUGUUUGAUGGAGUUGUCAGAACACUUAGUGACGUACGGCAUGUUCCAAAAUUGAAAAGAAAUUUAAUUUCGUUGAGUACUCUUGAUUCAAAAGGGUACAGAUACACAGCUGAAAGUGGGGUUUUAAAGAUUUCCAAAGGGUCCCUUGUUGUGAUGAAAGGGUAGAGAAAAAUUGUCAAGUUAUAUAUUUUACAGGGUUUUACUGUUACUGAUGAUGCAACUGUCACUUCCUCUUCCUUGUCAGAUGAUGAUAUUAUUAAACUUUGGCAUAUGCGCCUAGGGCAUAUGAGUGAGAAUGACAUGGUAGAAUUGAGCAAAAGAGGACUUCUUGAUGGGCAAGGAAUUUGCAAACUGAAUUUCUGUGAGCACUGUGUUUUUGGGAAGCAAAAGAGAGUUCGAUUCACUAGAGGAAUCCAUAACACGAAGGGAACGUUGGAGUAUAUUCAUUCUGAUCAGUAGGGGCCAUCUAGAGUGCCUUCGAGAGGUGGAGCUAAUUAUAUGCUAACCUUUAUUGAUGAUUUUUCUAGAAAAGUUUGGGCGUUCUUCCUGAAGCAGAAAAGUGAUGUGUUUUCCGUAUUUAAGUCUUAGAAAAUUAUGAUUGAAAAACAGACGGGAAAACAGAUAAAAUACCUUCGUACAGACAAUGGCUUAGAGUUCUGUUCUGAUGAGUUUAAUAGAUUGUGCAAGUCAGAAGAGAUCAUGAGACACUUGACAGUUCGUCAUACUCUACAGCAAAACGGCAUUGCAGAAUGAAUGAACAGAACGAUCAUGGAGAAGGUUCGAUGUAUGUUGUCAAAUGCCAACUUACCAAAGUCAUUUUGGGCAAAAGCAACCUCUAUUGCAUGUUUUUUUAUCAACCGAUCUCCAUUCGUUGCCAUUGAGAAAAAGACUCCAUAAGAGGUAUGGUCUGGUAAUCCUGCUAAUUAUUCUGAUUUAAAGAUUUUUGGGUGUCCUGCGUAUGCUUAUGUUGAUAAUGGAAAAUUGGAACUGAGAUCCAUUAAAUACGUUUUUCUUGGUUAUAAAGCUGGUGUAAAAGGGUAUAAGUUAUGGUGUCCUGAAAAUAGAAAAGUUGUGAUUAACAGAGAUGUUGUUUUUGAUGAAACUACUAUGCUACCUAACUUAUCUCUUAAAGACUCUUCCAAUAAAAAAAUCAAAAGUAGGUGGAGUAUCAGAUUAAUACAGAGUCAACUCCUCAAGCCAGAACAAAAAUUGAGAAUAGAGUUGCUUCUUCACCACAAUACUCUAUUGCCAAAAACAGAAUUAGAAGAGAAAUUAAACCUCCAAAGAAGUAUGCCGAGGUUGAUCUAGUUGCUUAUGCUUUAAAUGUGGCUGAAGAUAUAAAUGUGAAUCAAGAGCCAUCUAAUUAUUCUGAGGCGGUUAGCUGUGAAGACUCAGAAAAGUGGAUGUUUUCUAUGCAAGAAGAGAUUGAAUCACUCCACAAAAACAGAACAUAGGACCUUGUAAAACUUCCUAAAGGUAAAAAGUUUGUUCGUUGUAAAUGGGUGUUUAAAAAGAAAGAAGGGACUCUAGGAGUUGAAGAACCCAGAUAUAAAGCAAGGCUUGUUGCAAAGGGUUACAGUCAAAUUCCAAGAGUGGACUUCACAGAUGUGUUCUCUCCAGUUGUUAAGCAUAGUUCGAUUCGAGCUUUGCUUGGUAUUGUGGCCAUGCAUGAUUUGGAGCUUGAGUAGUUAGAUGUAAAAACUGUAUUUCUGCAUGGAGAACUUGAGGAGGAUAUUUACAUGCAACAACCAGAGGGUUUUAUAGUCUCAGAAAAAGAGGACUAUGUUUGCUUGUUGAGAAAGUCCCUUUACGGUUUGAAACAGUCACCAAGACAAUGGUACAAGAGGUUUGAUUCCUUUAUGACUUCUCAUGAUUUCAAAAGAAAUAGUUUAGACAGUUGUGUUUACUUUAAGAAAAACAGUGAUGGUUCUUUUGUGUAUCUACUUCUUUAUGUUGACGACAUGUUGAUAGCAGCAAAAGAUAAAGGAGAGAUAAGAAAGGUCAAAGCCCAACUAAGUGAAGAAUUUGAGAUGCAAAAUUUAGGACCAGCAAAGAAGAUACUUGGUAUGGAGAUUGUCAGAGAUAGAAAAGCAAGUAAAUUGUACCUAAGUCAGAAGGGGUACAUUGAGAAAGUUCUUUGUAGGUUCAAUAUGCAGAGUGCUAACCCUGUUAAUACUCCUUUAGCAGCCCAUUUCAAACUUUCAUCAGCUUUGUCUCUACAAUCAGAUGAUGAGAUUGAGUACAUGUCACAUGUUCCAUACUCUAGUGCAGUGGGAUCUCUCAUGUAUACUAUGGUUUGCUCACGUCCAGAUUUAUCAUAUGCAGUCAGUGCAGUUAGCAGAUACAUGGCAAAUCCCAGUAAAGAACAUUAGAAAGCAGUUCAGUGGAUUUUAAGAUACUUAUGAGGCACUACUUAUGUUUGCUUACAGUUUGGAAGAACUAAAGAUGGAGUCAUAGAGUAUGUUGAUGCUGAUUUUGCUAGAGACCUUGAUAGAAGAAGAUCUCUCACAUGUUACGUUUACAAUCGGAGGUUGUGCAAUUAGUUGGAAAGCCACUUUGCAAACUACAGUCGCUUUGUCUACCACUGAAGCUGAGUAUAUGGCGAUUAGUGAGGCUUGUAAAGAAGCUAUUUGGUUGAAGGGACUAUUUAGUGAACUCAAUGAAGACCUUCAAAUCAGUACAAUAUUUUGUGACAGUCAAAGCGCCAUCUUCCUUACAAAAGAUUAAAUGUUUCAUGAGAGAACAAAACAUAUUGAUGUUCGGUAUCAUUUUGUUCGUGAUAUUAUUGCUCGUGGUGAUAUUGUUGCGAGCAAAAUUAGUACUCAUGAAAAUCCUGCAGAUAUGAUGACUAAGUCACUUCCUAUAACCAAGUUUGAGCAUUGCUUAGACUUGGUUGGUGUUCAUUGUUGAAGUUAAACCCUUAAGGGGUUUUAUGGAAGAGGUGGAAAACUUGUUCGCGAUGAAGAACUUGUUCAUUGAGAAUUUUUGUCAAAGUGGAGAUUGUUAGAAUUAAGUGACCUAAAUUCUUAUUUAAAUAAAAUACAAUGGAAAAUAAAAUAAAAGUAAAAUCCAUAUAAAACUAGACUUCUUUUAUUUUAUUUUAGAAUAAGGUUUUUUAAACCUUAUUAAACUCCAUCUAUUUUAUAUUGAUUAGGAUAAGGUGUUUCAAUCCUACUAGAAUAUGACUUUACAAGCCUAUAAAUAGACAUAGUCUAUUCCUCUUGUAUUGAUUAAAAUUUUCGACAUAGUGAAUUUUCUUCUCUUCUGCCCGUGGUUUUUUCCCGAAAGGGUUUCCACGUAAAAUUUGUAUGUUCUUUAUUUUAUUUUAUUUUUUUAUUUUAUUUUAUUUUAACAAAGUUUUAAAAUUAGUGGGUUGAUUUGAGUGAUUGCAUUUUGUAAAAGGGUUUGAUGUUCAAGUGUAAAGUUAAGGGAUGUAAAUUAAAAUAGAUAAGCAAUUCCAAGUUUGUUUUUGAUUGGUUUUUAUUGUUUUUUUUUACAUUAAUUGUUAAUUCCUAUAAAUAAUAUAUUUUUUAAUUAUUAAUAAUAAAUGAUUUUUUUUAAUAAUCUUAUUAUAGAUUUCUCCUCUAAACCUAUAAAUAGAAAAAUAAUACGCUUCAGUGUACUUGAACCAAGCCUUUCUACAUUGGUAACAAUGCCCAUGCCAUUUGAACUAAAACUCAAUCGACAUAACUAUAACAAUACUUAAAAGCUAUCGUAAUGCAUAGGUUAGUUUAAAUGAAGAUUGAACACGAUUAUUGUUAAAUCUUUAAUAAAAAUAUUUAUAGUGAAAUUGAAUAUGAUAAUUAAUUUAAGAAUUUCUUUAUAUUUUAUUAAAAUUAAAAUGAAUUUAUAUAAUACUUUAAUUCUUAAUUAAAUAUUUAUAAUUUUUUAUUUGUAUAAGUUUAAUAUGUUGAUUUUAUCACUUUUGUAUGUUACUAUUGUAUUCAUGUUAUUUUUAUACUAUGUUUAUAUUCAUAUUAACUUUUGGGGAAAAUGAGUAGAAAAUACCAAAAGUUAAAAUAUAUUUAAUAAAAUAGAUCUUUUUUUCUUAAAUUUAGGGAACUAAAUCAAUUUUGGAGAAAGAAAAAGAAAACACGUUUUGUAUUACGUGUUUUCAGUGUCCUUAUUACCAUCUCAGCUGAAAACGUGUCAUGUUGGAUGCAUUUUCGUCCAACAUAAAAAAAAGUCUAAUAGAUAUUUUUUUUCAAAUGACUAAAAACAACUAGUUUAUUUGCUAAAAAUGUCCUCAUAUUAAUGCUUGUUAUUUAAUAAAAUGAAUAUUUUUUUAAUAAUUUCAUAAUUGAGUUUGAAAUAGAUAACAUCAACUCAAUCAACUUUUUAAAUAAUACACUUGUAUAUGUUCAAAAUAUCAUAUGAUUAGAACACAAGUGUGCGUUUAAAAAUAAAAUACUAUAAAUAAUGAAAUGUAAGGUUGGAAAGUAAUAACAAUAACAUAUACGCUAAAUUUAAAAAAUAGUUUAAAUUGUGACACCGGCUUAAUCAAUGACAUUUUUAUUUGAUCUUUGUAAUUUUUAAAUAUUUUAUUUAAAAAUAAUGUAAAAAUAUGAGAAAACAAAAAUUGCAUUUCAUUAAGCUCCCCUUCACUCUUUGCAACAGCAUUUCCUCGCCCAUCAUAAGCUAACCUCUUGCUCUUAAUCAUAAGAGGAUAGCCAUAUAGUUCACCUGCUCUCUUGGUUUCUUCUAGAUUAUUAAUCUGUUUUUAUCAAUACAGAGAGACCAAUAUAUCAAUAUAAGUUUUAAAGAAUUUCAAGACAAUAGAAUAAGCCCCUAUAAAAUAACUCAGGAAGUGGAAUACCAUGCCGAGAAAAAUGAAUUUUCUGGAGAUAUUUAUCCUGUAAAAUAGUAAAUCCAGCUUGAUAACUCCUCGUAAAAAGUAGAUUAUGCUUAACAUCCAUUCAGGUAUCAACAGUAAAAGGAAACUGAUGCAAUUUAUUACAGACAUUAGUACCGCUCGCAAGUAAACAAGCCUAGGGAAUUUACUUGGAUAAUUCGAAUGGUAGAAGCUUUAGGCUCACAAUCAAUUCCUUGUUGUUCAAGCUUCUCUAGAGUGGCAACAUCCACAUGUUCAGUUUCAGCCGUCAAAACUCCACAUCUAACUACCAAGAAACAUACAAUGAACAUGAAUACUUCAUUUAAAACAAACAAAGGAAAUAAGUUAAAUAUCAAAAUUGGACCUUUUAGCAAAUUCUUCAACAGUAGCACUGUCAUCAAAGCUCCCAACCAUAUGAUCAUAAGCAAGGGCACUGGCCGAGCAAUUCUCUAAAGGGUCCAAAACCAUAACUUUAAUGGCCAUCUUGGAAGCUGCUUGGCAUAACGUACGACCCAAUUGCCCUCCUACUAAUACACCAACUAUCUUUUCGGAUAGACCAUGAACUGGAGAAUCAUCAUCCUUCCUAAAAAAAAAAAAUUUGAACAUAAAUAAUUCUCGAUAACAAAAAAGAUUCAAAUUUUUAUAUUCUUUUGUUUUCGUUGGAAACAUAUAUAUUGCCAGAAGAAGAAACACUAUAUUGUCACUAUAUUUGUUAUUUUCAUCUUCUUUUAAACUUUUUUUAAUUAAAAAAGAAUAUUAUCACUAUAUUUGUAAUCAUUUUUAAACUUGUUUGAAUCGAAAAAAAAUGUCAGAAAUGUCUCUGCCCGUGUGGACAAAAAUAAGCUAUUUACCAAGCCAUAUUGCCACCCAAAUUUGUAUGAACCUAUAUCAAACCAAAUGACACAAAAACAUGACAUAAUUAGGCAUCUAACUCAACUCCAACCAAGCCUAAUUCAUACCAUUUCAAUACCAACCAUACUAGGUACAUCAAUACCACAAUAUAUCCUUCGAUUUCAUAUUAAAACUCAUAAUCUCAAAUCAUCAAUAAGGUCUCAUUCAUUUAAGCAUCACCUUACCUAAUUCACAAUCAUACUAAUUCUCAAACAACCAUUUGGUAUUCAAUAAAUCAAUCCACAACAAGGUAUACAUGUAACUGCCUGGUUUUAGCUAAAUCAGAAUAGUAAUUUUGGGACCACAAAUUCGAUGUCGUAAAAUUAUUUUAAUAUUAUUUUUGGUAUUUACAGCAUGUGAUUAUAUAGGUGUUAAAAUUUCGUGAGUUAAUUUUUUUGUUUAAGUAGUUAAUUUGAGAAAAGGACUUAAUCGCGUAAAAUGCAAAAGUAACAUGCUAUAAGUUAAAAGUGUCAAAUUUCUAUGGCUUAUUAAAUGGGAGGUCCUUAUGUUGUAAUUAGACCAUUGAUAGUGGUGAUGGACAUAAAUGGCAUUGAAUUAUGUGUUUUAUAAUGAUUUUAAUUAAGGUUAAAUUUGUAAAAUGAUUAUAAAUGAUAAUAUAAUAAAAACAAAAAGAAAUGUUGUUCAUCUUUUACAUUGAUUGCCGACUGUUGAUGGAAAAAGAAGCCAAAAAUAUUUCUCUAGGUUUUCCCACUUGUAGGCUUGAUUAGUAAGUGUUCUUUGCUUGGACUUCAAUUAUUUCUACGUUUUUGUGAUAGUUGCUUUGAGUACUAGCUAACCCGUUCCUUAAUUUUUGAGUUUGUUAGUGAUUUUGGAAAAUGCUAUUGUUGAAUCUAUGAGUUUUAUGAUGUUUGAUGAUGAAUUAUGAAGGCUUGGUGUUUGAUAUACAUGUUUUGUAAAGUGAUUUUUAGUAAAAAUGAACACUAGGGAUUAAAUUGAGAAUGGUGUAAAUUAAGGGGUUAAAUUGUGAAAUAAAUGAAAGUUUUGGGCUGCUAGGGACUUACAUGAAAUUCGGCUAGGCUUGGGUGUAAUUAGAUUUUAUAUAAUUUGUGUUUUUUGUGAAAUAGGGACUAAUUGAAUAAAUGUGGAACUUUAGGGGUUAAAGUGAAAAAAUGCUCAAAUAUGUGCUUGUGGACUAAAUUGAAAGAUUAUGUGAUUAAAUGAGUCGAAUUUUUUAUAAUAUAGAUUAAGAAAAGAGGAACUUGGAUUUAGAUCGAGGCAAAAACAAAGUACUCGACUAAUCGACUAGUUACAUCGUUUUUACGUCUGAGAUAAGUUCGUAUAAGAUAAAAAUUGUUACAAUUAUGUUUUUAACGUUUUAAUAUUACAUAAAUUAUAUAUAUGAGACGAUGGUUGUGUACGACGACAAAUCGACUAUAUUUUGCACUUUGUGUGCGUUUCGAGGUAGCUUUGGCUAUAUAAAGCACUUAGUGUGCGAAUCGGAAUAACUUCAGCUAUAUAUGGCACUUAGUGUGCUAGGUUGAGAUAGCUUCGGCUAUGAAAGGCACUUAGUGUGCGAGUUUAUAAUAGCUUCGGCUAAGCUUUAGCACUUAGUGUGCGAGAUAUCGAGUCUUCGACAAUAUCACGAGAAGGUAUGAGUUGGAUAUGAAAUUGUACAAGUAUGUACAUAUAAAGCAUGAAAUUCAAGAAUAAAGAAUUAUGAAUUUUACAUAUAGCAUAAAAACAAGAAUGUGAAAAAUAAUCAUGAGUUACAUGUUAUUAUGCUUAGAUUGAUGAAUGAUAUAUUGGUGAUUAGAUAAGUUUAUACCAUACCAUACGAACUUACUAAGCUUUAAAAGCUUACUUUGUGUGUUAUUUCCCUAUUUUAUAGAUUAUCGGAGCUAGCUCGGACUCGAGGAUUAUCGGGAAACAUCAUCACACUAUCGAUUAUCUCAUUGGUAUUUUUGGAAACUUUGUAUAUAUGGUAUAUGGCAUGUAUAAACUAGUGUCAUAUUGGUAUGUUUUGAGUUAAGAUAUUGGCCAUGUGAUUUGGCUUGUUGAUAAUGUAAAUGUGGUUGUGUUCUUAGCCAUUUAAGUCGGUUUGAGUUAUGAAAUUGAUAAGUGAUAUAUGUGAUAUAUAUAAUGCCUUAUAUGUUGGCUUGUUUUGGUAUGUUUUCCAUAGUUGUUGAUUUAGUUAAAUGGUUGUUCAUUUGUUAGUUAUUGGUUGAUGUAUUAAUGUUUGGAAGUAGGCAUAUAUUGUGGUUGAUUUUGAGAUGAUAAUGUGAUGGGUAAAUGCAUUUAGAAGUUAUGUAAGUUUCAAUGAUUUUAGCAUAAUGAAUUAGUAUGAUUUGAAUAUGAAAUGGAGUAGUUGAAAUGGUUGUGGAUAGAUGCCAUGAUAUGUGUGAGGAAUAGUAUGCUUUGGUUGCUUAUAUAUGUGUUGAAAAGGUACAAAUUUGGUUGCUAUGUGUGCAUGAGAGUAGGGUGCAAAUUGGCUUUUCGAAUGGCCUAUUUUUGUCCACACGGACAGAGACACACCGGACAAAGACACGGGCGUGUGUCUCAGCCAUGUGUGACACACGAUCAUGCUACACGACCGUGUGUGACACACGAUCAUGCUACCCUGAGAAAUAAUUAGGGAUUCAAGUCAGUCUUGAGCACGGCCUAGACACACGAGCGUGUCUAGUGGCCAUGUGAAUCACACAUCCUUGGCACAUGAGCGUGUGUGGCCAUUUUGAAUGGUACACGGGUUAGACGCACGGGUGUGUGGUCGACCUUGUGCCCUAAGUCAAUAGCUCCUCCAAAUUUCCCGCGGCCAAGGCACACAGGCGUGUCUCCGGCCGUGUGGUGCAAGUCAGUAUGUAUGCUCUAUUUUCACACGAUCUAUGACAAGGUGUGUCUGGUAACCGUGUGAGGCACAUGGCCUAUUCACAUGGGCGUGUGACCUAUGGUUUCAUGAAAUUUUUCUAAGUUUACGAAAAUUUUUAUAUGUGAUCGGUUUAGUCCCAAACCUCUUCUAAGCAUAUUUUAAAGUCUCAUAGAGCCUUAUAAGGGACAUUAUGAAUAAUUUGAAUGAAUUUUGAUUAUGAAUGUUUAAAUGUAUGUGAAUGAGGUGUAUUAUACUGUAAUACCUUGUAACCCUAAUCUGGUGUCGGAUAUGGGUUAGGAGUGUUACAAUACACCAAGCAAAUUACACAUACAUAUCAAAGGCCAUUUGCAUAUAUAUUCAUCACCAAAAUCAACCAAUUCAAACCAAAAUCAACCAAAACAAGCUAACUUUCAUGGCUAUAUACAAAACCGAACUCUUAAUAUUUACAAGCCAUUUCAAAUGACCAAAUUCAUUAGAAACACAUAAACCUAAAUGACAAAAGUCCCUAUACAUGCCAUAUGACCCACAACUUAAUUUCAAAAGUACCAAGUGAUAGUGUGAUAGUGUGAUGAAGUCUUUGAUGAUCCCCGAAUCUGAGCUAGUUUUGAUAUCACUAUAAAACAUGAAAAAUUAAACAAUGUAAGCUAUAAAGCUUAGUAAGCUCGUAUGAGAAUAAUAAGCAAAUCUCACCAAUCAUUUACCAUUCAGAUAUUAUGAACAUAGUAUUCAACAACACAUUACUCACAAUAUUAGUAUAAAUUCAAUCACAUAAUUGCUCAUAAAUUCACGACUUCCUUAGUUUCAAUACUCGUAUAGUCUCUCGUACAUACCUGUACCGGUACGUAUCUAUUUCUCACCAUUUCACUUCUUCAAUAUACCUGUUGAACCAUUUGAAAUAGCAAUCGGAUACUCGGGAGUUUCACACCCUAAGUGCCUAUAUCAUGGCUCGAAGCCAAAUCAAUGUAACUCGCACUCGAAGUGCUAAUAUCAUAGCCCGAAGCCAAAUCAAUAUAGUUCGUACCCAAAGUGCUAAUAUUAUGGCUCAAAUCCAAAUCGAUAUAGUUCGCACCCGAAGUGCUAAUAUCAUAGCCCGAAGCCAAAUCAAUAUAUCUUCUAAUGACAUGCCAUUAGUAUUCUUAUCUAUUCCUAAGGUUCAACAGGGAUUUCCAACGUCGAAUCUUCGUCAAAUAUAACCGCAAGGUCAUAAUUCACAAUUUAUGCAAUAUCAAACAUUUAAAACAUAAUUAUAACAAUGCUUAUUACUUAUGAACUUACCUCGGAUGCUAAAAUGGCAAAUUAAGUCGAUUAAUUCGAAACUUUGUUCUUUCCCCGAUUUAAAUCUGUAUUUCGCCUUUCUUGAUCUAAAUGUAAUCAAAAUUAACUUAUUUAACUAUCACUCUUUUCAAUUUAAUUCAAAAUACACAUUAUGAAAAAAUUACCAUUUUGCCCCUAAUAUUUUAAUUUCUUUACAAUUUAGUCCCUAGGCUCGUAAAACGAAAUUCAUUCAAUUUCAUCACAACCCAAGCCUAGCUGAAUAUUUAACAUGCUUAUAGAAGCCUAUAAUUUUCAUUUAUUCACACUUUUUCCACAUAAAUUUCACAUUUCACAAUUUAGCCCUUAUUUCACAUUUUCAUCAAAAGUCCAUUAACAAAAGUUGUUUAAUUAACAACAAGGACUCAUAUUCUUCCAUUAAAAUUCAAAAAAACUAACAUGCUUUCAUGGAAAAGCCCUAACCUUUCAAAAAAUUUGCAAAUUAGUCCCCUUAUUAGCUAGUUUAAGCUACAACGAUCCCGAAAAUAUAAAAAUCAUUAAAAAUCGAGUCAAAAAUGACUUACAUGCACAAGGUACUAUGGUUGAACCUUCAAGAGCACAAGAAUGGUGUUGUCUUUCCUUAAUUUUGGCUAGAAGAAGAAGAUGGACUAAAAUUUGGCUUUAUUUUACUUAUUUAAUCAUUUAAUUACUAAUUUACUAAAAUAACCUUAAUGUAUAAUAAUUAAAACUCACCUAACCAUGUCCAUCUUUGUCCACUCAAAAAUACCAUGGUCUAAUUGUCAUUUUAGGACCUCCAAUUAAAGUUCCAUAGCUUUUAAACUCAUUUAGCUUAUAGAACUCAAAUUUUGUACUUAAUGCAAUUUAGUCCUUUUUUUAUAAUUAAGCACUCAAUAAAUAAAAUUUCUUAACAAAAUUUUCACACAACCAUACUAUCAUACUAUAGGCAUUAAAAUAAUUAUAAAAUAAAUAUUUUGACCUCGGAUUUGUGGUCCCGAAACCAAUGUUUUGAUUUUACUAAAAACGGGUUGUUACACGUGCAAUUACAAUUAGGAUUGUCGGCGGAUGGGUCCGCACUCACCGGGUUCGUUCAAUCUACUAAUUGGAGAGCCGUAUGCUAUGAUCUUUUGGGUGUGAUUCUGGAUAAUAUUUAUGGAGGUCGUAUCGAGAUGGAUUGGUUACGAGACACAUUCCUGGAGUUGGGGAAUGAUUCGACUGAAGUAGAAAGAAUACGAUAUGCUCGGGCAAACAUCAUUGAGAUGAUUGGAGGUUAUCUGAUGCCGGACUUGUCACGAAACAUCCUUGAGAAGGACAGGUUGGGGAAGGAAAGUGGUAGCGCCGUUCUUCUUUGGAGCCAAAACUCGCUGCUUUUAUCAUCAAAAUUUCUUAAGGAAGUGACAAAAAUUAGAAAAUAAUAAAUACUAAUGCUCCUACAAACCUCAAUGGCUAUGUUUUCGAGUUCCACCUCUAAACCAGUUUUUUUCUUUCAAGCUAUCUCAUUUCUUCCCGGACCACCACCAUCUCUCUCACUCCGCUUCUUCUCCGUCUUCAUCGCUGCCGAUAACCGCAAUCGUAACUAUCGCCUCCAGCACUCUUUUUUUUCUUCCUUGAAACUCUACAAUUCCAUCUUCGCUUGUCGCGCCUCACGUGACUCUCACGAGACCGACUCCUUUCGCAGGUUUUAUAUUCUUCUAGCAAUUCAUUUAUUACCCUUUUUUUCUUAAUUUUAUAUGUUUCUAACGUAAACAAAAGAAUAUAAAAUUUGAACAGGAGAAUCAUCAUCCUUCCUACAAAAAAAGAAAAAAAAACCAUUUGAACGUAAAUAAUUCAUGAUAACAAAUCCGCUCCAUAUGGAGUGAGUUUUUUUUUAAAUGGAUGUGGAGUGAGGUAGGGUGAAUUUUUUCUUUUAGAUAGUGGGUAUGGAGAAGUAAUGGUAAUUGCUUGCCCCACCACGCCCGACUCUGUUAUAUAAAAUUAUCAUUUUAUCCAAAGGCGUAACCAGGAGGCUGGCAGGGGGCCCGACCCCCCUAAAAUGGAAAAUUUUUUAUUUAGGCCCCUUUAAAAUUUAUAAAAAUUUAAAUUAGUAAAGGUAAAAUUACACUUUGGCCUCCCUAAAUAUGAUAAAAUUUUGAUAUAAUCCUUUAAAAAUUAUAAAGAUAUAGAUAUUAAAAUGGUGAAAUUGUAUUUUUUUAUUAUCGUAAAAAUAUACAAUUUAAUUUUGACCCCUCCUAUAAAAAUUUUCUAGCUUCGCCCGAGAUUAUAUCCUUAUAUAUGUAACUAUUAAAAGAGUAAUAAUGUAUUAUAAAAAAAUUAUAUUUUAUGUUUAAAUAUUUACUUGACUUUAAAAAUAUUAAAAAUAUUAAAAAUAAGUAGCAAAAAUUAAAUUGAAGCGAAGCGAAGUUGAGUGGGGAUGGAUGUAUCCAACAUCCAUGGAGGAGGUAGUGGAUUUCAAGAUUAUACAUACAUAAUGGAGUAGGGUGCAUAGUGGAGCAAAGUGUUCCCAACUAUGGAGUGAUGGUGGAUUUAGCAGCGUUCAUCCCCGCCCUGCUUCAUUAUCAUCCUUAGUAAAGAGUAUACUUCAUAUUUUAUAAAUAUUACUGUUAUAAAUGAAAAGUUUUUAUAUAAAGUAAAAAUAAAAUAUAAAAAUUUGAUUUUAUAAUAAAUUUGGUUAUUAAUAAAAUGUCAGUAGUUAUUAUAAAGUAGACUAACUAUAAUAUAUUUAAGAACAUAGCAAAAAAUUAAUUCCUAUAUUAAAAAAAUUAGUUUGGAUGAAAUUUUGAAAAGGUCCAAAGCAAUAGGCAUGAAUUAAUGUUGUAGAAAAGUUUGGUCAAGAUUUUCCAUUGUUUGAGCAAUUUGAAGUAAAUAUAUUUGCGUUUAAUAACUUGAGACACUCUUUGAUGCGAAAACUGACUUUUAGUAUUUGACAAAAUAUUAGGUAGGUGGAUGUUGAUUUUGAUUGGGUCAAACUACCCAACUAAUUUCCUCACGUAAUAAAUAUAUAUUUUAAAUUAUACAAAAAUUAAAUAAUAUUUUUUAAUAAUAUCGUUAUAGAUUCUGAUCGUAUAUGUUCUUUUUGACACAAUGUUUAGAACUAUCUAUAGCCCCUUUCAACCAGGGGCGUAGCCAAGAGGGCUGGCAUGGGCCUCAGCCCCCCCUAAAAUGUAAAAUUAUAUUUUAAGCCCUUAAAUUUUUUUAAAAAUUUUAAAUUAGUAAAGGUAAAAUUUCACUUUGGCCCCCCUAAAAUUAUAAAAAUUCGAUUUAAUCUUUUUACAAAUUAUAAAGAUAUAAACUAUAAAAAAUUAAAAUUUCAUCCGGCCCUUCCUGAAAAAAUUUUCUAGCUUCGCCCCUACUUUCAACGCAUAAAUAGAAGAAUAAUACGUUUCAGCGCACUCAAACACACGUUCUCCUAUAUUUAGCAACUUAUUUAUUAAUUUUAUAUAAAAUAUAAAAUAACUUAAUAGCUUAAAUAUAGUGUAGAUUUAUUGAACACAUAGUUAAUAUGAGUGUGGAUUAAUUUUAACCCAUUUUAAGAACAUCCAUAUAUAUAAUGUUUAAUGAUAAAUUUAGUCACUAAUAUUUACAUGUUUUGUUAAAAUGGUCUUAAUUGUAAUUUUUUAGUCUUUUUUGGCCAUCAACUUUUUUUUAAUUGCUUUUUUUAACAAAUUUGAUAAAAGUUUCGUUAACAAAGUUAACAGGAUGAUGUGAAAUUUCAUAUGUGAAAUAUUUUUAAUGAAAUGUAAUUUAGUACUUAGAUAACCCAAAAAUAAUUAUGCGUGGAAAAUAAUAAAAUAAAUAAUUCAUGAAGUUUAAAAAAAACUCUUAAUUAAAAAAUAAACAUAAUUAUCUAAAAGAUUUAGGGUAAAUUUCACUCAAGGUCAUUAACUAUUAAUAAAUUUAAAUUUUAAUCAUUUAAUUAUGAAAAGUUAUAAUUUGAUCAUUCGGAUAUUCAAAAUUGAUCAUUUAAGUCAUCCUUCAAUUAACUUGCUAACGGAUGUCAGUGUGGGUCAUUAAGUUAUUAUUCCUCAAAUAUGUUCAGGUAAGCUAUAAUGUUAAGUUCCCCGAUUAUUAGUAAGUUUUUGUUUUGAUAAGCCUACUAUUACAAAAUUAUUAUUAACGGAAUGAUAACAUAUCAUAUUAACUCAUAGGUUUAAUAGCGAAUUUGAUUCAUGAUAUGUAACUAAAAUAUCAAUUUAGUAUUUUUACAAUAUUUUUAAUGUAAAUCCAAAAAAAAUAUAAAUUUAUCAAAAAUUCUAAAAAUAAAAUUUUAUAUUUUUUCUUUGAAAUUAUAAAAUAUUUUUAAAAUUAUAAUUAUGUGCAAAUUAAUUAAAAAUUUUAAAAAUUUCAUAAAUUUCUAACAAGUUUUUUUCUUUUGAAAAAUGCUAGGUCCAUGACUAAUGACUUCACACGGCCAUUUCCUUCUUUUCACUAGGCGAUAAUUUUUUUAAAAAUUUUUUAAGAAUUUUUUUAGAUUUGUUUUGGAUUUAUUACAGAAAUUUUAAAAGUAUAUUUUAGUAAUAAUUGAAAGCUUGUAAGUUAAUGUGUUAUGCCAUCAGCCCUUUACGAAGUUAAUAGAUGAAUGACCAAAUAAAUAAUAUUAAUAAUUAUUUUUUGUAAAUUUUCAUAAUUAGAUAACUCAAUUAAAAAUUUAUUAAUAAUUGAUUGAUUAACAGUGCAAUUGAGGGAUAACAAACUAAUGAUAGAAAGCUACCAAAGAGAUAAAUGAUGAAUUUCAAAUAAUUGAAUGAUAAAAUUAUAUUCAUAAUUAAGUAACCCCUAAUUGUGAAAAUAUUUUUAAUAUGAAUAAAUUUAAAUUUAGAUUGUAAUUUCUAUUUAUAAUAUGUUAUAUUUGAAUAAAGAAAUUAAGAUAAAACGUAAUCCUGUCAUAGCCUUAUUUUAUUCGGAAAAUUUGUCGAUGGUUUUUUUUUUCAUACUAACACUGGAAUAAUAGUAAAAUAAAUAAAAAGAAUUAUCAACUAAUUGAAUCGUAUAAUAAUUUCCCAUGUGUUCUUCCCCGGAAAAAAAAAAACCAAUUUACAAGAAAUAAAUUACUUGUGUAUACAAAUUUGAUGAAACUUUAUUGUUUGAUCUGUUUUUGUCGAGGCGCAAGAUGAGGGCACCUAGCAGCCACCACCGCUACGUCCGGGUAUAUUAGUGCAGGGGUUUCCACCAGACGGUGGCACCGUACCCCUUUGAAAUACUUGAAUUAUAAGAUUUUUAUUGAAAAUCGCAGCAAACAGUUGAUCUUCAACAUGAGGGAGAGGCCUUAUGGCGGAAACAUGUUGGUAGGCGAAUAACAAAAUAAUGCAGAAAAGGAAUGUAACAGUAACUUUCAGCGAAGCCAUAUUGGAAAACACAAAAGGUUUCAAGUGUUGAUGAUAUGAAAAAUGAUGAGUUAUAAGAUGUUAUAUACAUGAAAUGGGAAAUGGGAAAUAGAUGUGUGUUUUGACCAUUUAAAAAGCCACGGUUUAAUGACUUCAGAAUAAGGUGGAAGUCUAAAUCAAAUACAAGGACCUUGAAUGCCAAGCACUAGACUCCAUACAUAUAUGUGACUUCAAACUUGAAUCAGUCUAUUUCAUCUAACUUUUUUAAAUCAAUACUUCUCUCUCAAUUAACUCAUGCUUUCUGAUUUUGGAUUCAAUUCCAAAGACUUGAAUUUUUGUUCUUUUUCUUAUUUUUAAAAAAAUAAAAACAUUCUUUUUAUUUAAAUCAUAUUUUGAGUUUACUUGAUGUUUAGAAAGCCAAUCUUUACCCAUACACAAAAAAUUAUUUUUUUUAUAAAGAUUUUAAUUGAAAUGGUAACGUUGAUAUAUUAAAUAUUUUAAUAUUUUAAAUUUAAUUUUUAUUAUUUAUAUUUUUAAAAAAAUUUUAUAUAAAUUAUUAUAUGAUAAAAAUGUCCUCAUAUUAAUGCUUGUUAUUUAACAAAAUGAAUAUGUUUUUAAUAAUUUCAUAAUUGAGUUUGAAAUAGAUAACAUUAACUCGAUCAACUUUUUAAAUAAUACACUUGUAUGCGUGCAAAAAAUUAUAUGAUUAGAACACAAGUGUGAGUUUAAAAAUAAAAUAUGAUAAAUAAUGAAAUGUAAGGUUGAAAAGUAAUAACAAUAACAUAUAUGCUAAAUUUAAAAAAUAGUUUAAAUUAUAACACCGACUCAAUCAAUGACAUUAUUAUUUUAUCUUUAUAAUUUUUAAAAUAUUUUAUUUAAAAAUAAUGUAAAAAUAUGAGAAAAACAAAAAUUGAUUAUAAUAAUAUUAAUGAGAUAUUUCUUUAUUAGAAUUAGAUAUUAGACUAUAGAUUAUGUUAAAAGCUCGAAUAAUAAUAAUAAUAAUAGUAAAAUGAAAAGUUUAAUACUUGAAAAAUGAGAACCGGUUAAUCAGAUUAAUUUAAUUUAAUUUUUUAUGAAACGAUAUCUCUGGCCAGCAGUGAGCCAGUGACACGUGUACUAACACUUUUUAUUAGAAUGUGACACCCCUUUUUUUUUUUUUUUUUUUUUUAGCUUUUUGACUAGCAGAGAUAAUAAAAAUAAUUUCUCUAAAAACACCCAUUAAAGGAAGCACCAUUGGAACUUGGAAGCAUAUAUUCCAAUUAGCAGUUUUCAGCUUUUGAACAUAAGACAUAAAUUUGCAUCUUACUUUUGCAGAAAAUCAUCCUUUUUUUUUUUAUUGCUUCAAAAUGCAGUUCAUAAAUCAGUACAAACCAGUGUCUUGAACAUGAAAUAAAUCUCCAUUAACAAAUAACAAAUUACUGCACUUCAACAAAAAUAUAGAUGAAUUCAAGUUAUUAAACUCAAAACGAGAGACAAUAAAAGAAUAAUCUUACAGCAAAAAAUGGUUUGUGCGUUGCCCCUUUCACCUGUUCUUCCCAUCAAUUCUUCCCUUGCAUUGUUGUUAUUUUCCAACUGAACCAAUGCCAGUUUUGGACAGGUUGUAGUAGCUAUGGUGUCUCAGUCCGUUAGUAAAUUAGCUAAAGAUCAUGACAGGGUUGUUAUUUGAUCUCAUUAUUUAUGGUGUGAAUUCCCAGCAGAAAUUCUAGUAAGCCGUUACUCUUACUGAUUUAAAUAAGCUUCCCAACCAUCCUUCCGUAGCUUCUCAGCUUUUGUCAAGACAUAGUCCCUUGUGUCUUCUUGAUACUGAUUCAUUCUAAGGACAAGUGCGACACAACACGAAUCAAAAUUAGAAUUCACAACGUUUCAAUUUCAAACGCAUCCAUCUUUUAUUUUAUAUAAAGAGAGAUGGGAACUUACCUCGCCAAUAGAUCAGCAUCACCAACUCCCAACAUCCUUACUGCCAGCAAUCCUGCGUUUGUAGCGUUGUUUACUGCAACCGUUGCAACAGGAACACCCCUUGGCAUCUGCAUCAUUAAAAUGAGUAUAAACAUCAAGCAUUUGGGAAUGCAAUGUCAUGUACAAGUUCAAGUCUUACCUGCACGAUUGACAAGAGUGAAUCGAUUCCGUCUAAUGUAGAGGCACGGACAGGGACACCAAUAACAGGUAAAGGUGUAAGUGAAGCUACCAUUCCUAUAUUUCAAAACAGGCCUCAUCAGUGUCACUAACAUAGCUAAUGCAUGUUGGAGAAUGAUGUUAAACAAUAGUUUUAUAUAUAACUAGCCUGGCAAGUGAGCUGCACCACCAGCCCCAGCAAUGAUAACCUGAAUGCCUCGCUCCCGAGCAGAGGAGGCAUAAGAGUACAUCAGUUCAGGGGUCCGGUGUGCUGAGACUAUCCGAACCUGCAAAUGAGUUAAUCAAUGGAGUCAAAGUGGAUUUGCACUAUUUGUAAACAAAAAUUCUAAGCUAAAAAAAAAAUGCUACCUCAGUAGACACACCAAACAUAUUUAAGAUUCUAGCUGCAUCCUUCAUAACUGGAAGAUCUGAAUCCGAACCCAUUACAAUCCCAACACGUGGUGCAACUGCAUUUAGCAACAAAAAGGAUCCAAAAUGUCAGUAAAGCCAACCAACGGUAGUUUCAAUUCUCCAUGUGGUUCAAUUUCUGUUAUGUCCUUAUAGUUCUAAUUCAACCUUUAAAUAAAUUUGCAUUCAGUAAGUCUAACAAAAAACAAACUGAAAACAAAAUUGAAGUUCAAGCAUCAACUCUAGGUCAACUGACCUUCAUUCCGAUUUUCAUAACCUUCUUCCCUCAGCAUUGAUUUUCGCCGUGCUUCUAAAACACCAACAGAAGGGCCAACAAGAGUUAUAUGACCCAUCUUCCUUUGCCUUCGCAUUUCUGGUAAAAACAUCAUGACAGCCAAUUAAUAAAAACGUGUAUGAGAGAAAAAAAAAUGAAAAAAAAAUAGGACAACGAGAUGGAUAAGCCCGAGGAAACUUAAAGCAGACCUAACCUGGCUUAUCAUACCAAUGAGCAGUAGCUCCUGGAAUCUCCAGUGCCCUUGCUAUAAGUUGAUGAGCCACUUUGAAACCUGGCUCCCCCUGAAACCAUACAAUUUUUAGUGUAACUCAAAUCUAACAGACUAAUUCACUGCCCACAAGCACAAGGAAAACAGAAAAUUUCGGUAAAUUAUACUCAUGUAUAAAGUUAUUUUAGUUUAUGAUAAGAAACAUAAAAGCUGAAAGGUGUGGAAGUUACGGAAAAGGAAGAGAAGGAACCUACUUCAUCCUCACCCAGUAGAUUGUACAUGAUAGCAGCUGGAGUUUUCAUAGAUGGAUCACCGAGAGGAAGACCAACAACAGCCCGCAAAUGCUGUUCAAACUGUGAUGUAUAGCAGGACUCAAUAGUGUGAUGACCACUAUUAUGAGGUCUUGGAGCUACUUCAUUUAGUAGAAUCUAAUAGAAACAAAGAAUAGGUCAGUCAAAGGCGGAAUUGCUGAAUUAUUGCUGGCCAUCUAGGAGUGGAAUAAAAAACUCAUAAAGAUAGCAGAUGUACACCUGACCAUCCCUCGUCAAAAACAACUCCACCGCAAAGACACCAGCACCUUCUAAUGAACUUAUAGCUUUAUAUGCAACAUCAUUUGCAAGUUUUCUGAUCCUCCAUGGCACGUCAGCAGGUGCCUUAACAAUGUGACAUAUGUUUUCCCUAUAAGAGCCCACAAAUUUACAAUCAUAAUAGAUUUACAGAGCUCCUCGCAAGUCAUAUGUAAAUAUUAUCACAUAAUUCUAAUUUACAAUAAAUGGAAUUCUAGUAAGGAACGUGAAUGUCUUACUUGUGAAUAGUUUCAACAACUGGAUAACACAGGAUAGAGUUAUCUCUUCCUCUUGCCACGAUGACAGCCAACUCCUAAAAGCAAUGUCAGUACAAUUCAGAAGUAUGUCUAUAAACAUAUAGUAAUUAUCUGUAUCAUGAUGAGGCAGUUCGGAAAAUACCCCAUCAAUACAGUGAGCAUGAAGUUAUCAAGUAUAAAUAAAUAAAGAGGAAAUAAAUGCAUAGUAAAAAAAUCAACAGUACAUUCUAGAUAUCCACCUUUAUGAAAGGAGCCCAUUUCUCAACGUACAGGCCACGGCCAAAUCCACCAAGAACUGCAAUAAAAAUGAAAAUUCUUUAAACUGGAAAAGUAAAUGUUCAGUAUCUAAGUUACAAAAAUGGAGUUUAUGAGAAAUUUCAAAGUCAAGAAGAACAAGGAACUAGUCAUAGGCAAAAUUAAAUACUAAUAAAGAAAAGGAAAGAAUACAAGACAACUUCUCCAGUCCCAAGUGACAAUCACCAUGUGAACAUCUACAUCAAAAUAGACAUGUUCUUCUGUAAAUAUUGAUAUAGGCAACAUUUAUACAAAUUGUAGAUUUGGAAUGAUACCCACAACCAACAUUUUAGUCUUUGACAAAUAUUUAGAGAAAUCCUAUGCCUUAAAAAAUUAAGGUAAGUCAUUAUGAAUUAAGAAAAUGAUGAAAUGCUACAUAAAUCUCCUUUCUAAUGGCAUCUCCAUUACCAUCUAUGGCCGAAGAAAGCUCUCCUUCACUCUUUGCAACAGCAUUUCCUCGCCCAUCAUAAGCUAACCUCUUACCCUUAAUCAUAAGAGGAUAGCCAUAUAGUUCACCUGCUCUCUUGGUUUCUUCUAGAUUAUUAAUCUGUUUUUAUCAAUACAGAGAGACCAAUAUAUCAAUAUAAGUUUUAAAGAAUUUGAAUACAAGAGAAUAAACCCCUAUAAAAUAAAAAACAGAAGGCAACCUCCAUAAACUCAGGAAGUGGAAUGCCAUGCCGAGAAAAAUGAACUUUCUGGAGAUAUUUAUCCUGUAAAAUAGUAAAUCCAGCUUGAUAACUCGUCGUAAAAAGUAGAUUAUGCUUAACAUCCAUUCAGGUAUCAACAGUAAAAGGAAACUGAUGCAAUUUAUUACAGACAUUAGUACCGCUCGCAAGUAAACAAGCCUAGGGAAUUUACUUGGAUAAUUCGAAUGGUAGAAGCUUUAGGCUCACAAUCAAUUCCUUGUUGUUCAAGCUUCUCUAGAGUGGCAACAUCCACAUGUUCAGUUUCAACCGUCAAAACUCCACAUCUAACUACCAAGAAACAUACAAUGAACAUGAAUACUUCAUUUAAAACAAACAAAGGUAUUAAGUUAAGUAUCAAUAUUGGACCUUUUAGCAAAUUCUUCAACAGUAGCACUGUCAUCAAAGCUCCCAACCAUGUGAUCAUAAGCAAGGGCACUGGCCGGGCAAUUCUCUGAAGGGUCUAAAACUAUAACUUUAAUAGCCAUCUUGGAAGCUGCUUGGCAUAACAUACGACCCAAUUGCCCUCCUCCUAAUACACCAACUAUCUUUUCGGAUAGACCAUGAACUGGAGAAUCAUCAUCCUUCCUACAAAAAAGGAAAAAAAAAAAUUCAAAAUAACAAAAAAGACCCAAAUUUUAUAUUCUUUUAUUUUCGUUGGAAACAUAUAAAAGUAAAAAAAAGGUAAUAAAUUAAUUGGCAGAAGAAUAUAAAACCUGCCUAGAGGAGUCGGUCUCGUGAGAGUCACGUGAGGUGCGGCAAGCGAAGACUGGAUUGUAGAGUUUCGAAGAAGAAGAAGAAGAGUGGCGGAGGCGAUGGUUGUGGUUGCGGUUGCGGUUGCGGUUAUCGACGGCGAUGGAGACGGAGAAGAAGCGGAGUGAGAGUGAUGGUGGUGGCCGGGAAAGAAAUUGAGAAGGCUUGAGCUCCUGCAAGAUCUGCUUUGAAGCCAUCACCUAAACCCUAAAACAAACAAAAUUUUAUAAUAAAAAAGAAAAGAAAUAUAGGCUUAGCUAAAUGACAUCCAAAAAGUAGCUGAGUAUGCCCACAAUUAAACAUUAAAAUAAUAGGUUUAUGAGACAUUGGAGCUUCUUGUGGGGAGAUGACAUGCAUUUUUUUAAUUUGUUCAAAUCCAUGCGAAUCUUAAUUUCAAAGAAGUAAUACUUUUGUCUUUGCUUUGAUCAUUUCAUGCUGAAAAAUAUAUCCAUAAAUCAACUUUAGUAUCCAAUACUCUAUUCUGUUUCUUAUAUGAAACACAUGAACCGACUCCAAAAUAUAUUGAUUAACCCAGAAUUUAAGAUAUAUAAAAAGAGAACCAUUCUGCAUGUUUUUUUGGGCGAUAAAGUGCGUACAAUCCAAGCAGUUGUGUCCUUUGUGUAGAGUUAGGAAACAAUCAUUCAUGACAAAAGAAUAAUAAUAUUUAUAAAUGGGUCAUAUUCACAUGAGUAGUUGCAACAAUUUAGACUUAAGUGGCUCUGAUUAGAACAUUCAUUUCAUACACAUAAUAUUUAAAAGGAACUAUCCCAUCUACUACUUAAUAGCUUAAUAGUUACUGUUAGACUUUAUGGCAAAAAUAGUUUAACCUUUUUUAAAUUACACAUUUAUGAACCUCACCCAAAAAAUAAAACGAAAUAAAGAGGAAACUGGAGAGAAAAAAGAACAAGUACCUGAGUGAUCCUCCUGUCCUAGGCUAUUGUCUGUUUAGGGUUUUUUUUUUUUUUUUGAAGUUGCUGAAAAUAGCGGAAGAAAUGUAAAGAGGCAAAAAUAAAGCUUUAAAAAGAGAUCUCCCAGAAAAUCAUUUUUUAAUAAUAAUAAUUAUAAUAAUUAUAAUCAAUUUUUAAGGAGGCAACUCAUUCAAAUCCACAAAGCAGAAUUCUCUUCGCAAUAUUUAUUACAGUGUGAAGCAUUCAACCAAUUUAUGAAAUCAAUAAGGAACACCACAUCCAAAACGUAAAUCCAACCAUUGCAGCUUCAAAAACAAAAGAUAAGAAUGCCUCCGUUCGAUUUUCCAAUAAAAAGAAACUAAUAUAGUAAAACGCAAUACAAAACCGAGGAAAGUAGAAAGUAAAUCAACAGAUUGGGAAAAUUGGAAAGAUUGAGAGAGAGAGAAACGAACCUCGAACGAUCAGACCCGUCGAGAAGAGAGGCCGCUUUGUGAAGGUGAAGCAGCUUUUUUUCUUUGAAUACUGUAAUUUCAAGUUAUAUUUCUCCUUUUUUACGGGCCUUAAGGACGAUGGCUUUUGUUUUUCUUAACCAACUAGAAAUUGAAUAAAAAGAUAAAGGUUAAAAUCUGCAUUUAGUCCCUAGACCUUGACAAAAUUUGAGAUUUAGUCAUUGUAAUUAAAGGACUUAAAAAUUAAGUCCUUCUACUUUUCUAAUUUAAAAAUUUCAGUCCAUUCAUUAACAUUGUUAGUAUUUUCCAUCAAAACUUGUUAAUUUGAUAUGCUGAUUAGGCUAUUUUCAUAAUACAUGACAUAUGAUUGAACAAAAAUAAACAUAUUAAAUUGACAAAUUUUGACAAAAAACUAAAAAUGAUAGUGAUUGGACUAGGAUAUUUAAAUUGAAAAAUAAGAAAAUUUAAUUUUUAACUUUUUAAAUAUAUGGACUAAAUCUCAAAUUCUAUAAAAGUACAUGACCUGAACAUGUAUUUAACCAAAAGAUAAAUACUAGUAAUUUGGUAACCAAUGAAAAUUGAAAUAGAGGUGUUCAAAUAGUUAAUUAAAUUAUCAUUCGAAAUCAACUAUUAUUGACUGAAUUAACCUAUGUUCUAAAACUUUUAAUAGUUAAUCGAAUCGAAUUAACUUAAAUUUGUGACAUUUUUUUUCGAUUCAAACAAGUUUAAAAAUGAUUACAAAUAUAGUGACAAUAUUCUUUCUUAAUUAAAAGAAGUUUAAAAGAAGAUGAAAAUAAUAAAAUCACUUUACAAAACUUAUUUAUAUUUCAACAAAGGUUCAUAAUCUAACAUUUAACAUGAACACCAUUUAAGAAUCAUUCAUGGCACAACCCUCAACCUUUAACAAGUUUACAAAUUGAUCCCUUGGCUAGGUAGAUUAAGCUAAAACAAACUGAAAAAGAUUGAAAUCAUUAAAAACAAGGCUCAAAUACACUUACAUGCAAAAAGUAAGCUUGACAGAAUCUUUAAACCCUAACAAUGGUGUUUUCUCCCUUCAAAUUUCAGGGAAAAAGAUGGAUAAUGAAGAUGAAGCAAAUUUUUGGUUUUGUUUAAUUUAGGACUAAUUACUUAAUUACCAUUUUAACCUUUAAAUCAUUAAAAAUUUCAUUAAAACCAUGUCCAUAAACAUCCACUAACUCUUUAAAUGGUCUAAUUACCAUUCAAGUCCUUUAAUUUAAGAUUCCAUAGCCAUUAGACUCUUUUAGCUAAUAGAACUCAACUUUUACCUUUUUUACGAUUUAGUCCUUUUUACUUAAUUAACUAUUUAAACAUCUAAAUUUCUUAAUGAAAUUUUAACACGACUUAAAUAUAAUCCUGUAAACAUUAAAAUAAUAAAAAAUAAUAAUUUACUCAUCUGAAUUAUCGUCCCAAAACCACUGUUCUGAUUUCACUAAAAAUAAUUACAACUCUCCCCUUAAAGGAAUUUUCGUCCCUGAAAAUCUUACCAAAAAAUGGGUUCGAGUAUUACACUUUCAUAGCUUCUUCAUAUUCCAAGGUGGCUUUUUCAAUCCUGUUUCGUUUCCAGAGAACUUUAACUAAAGUUAUACUUUUAUUUCUCAAUUCUUUAACUUCUCGAGCUAAGAUUCUAACGAUUCUUCAGUAUACAUCAUAUCUGGCUAAAUCUCAACAUCGACAGGUGAAAUUAUAUGUGAAGGAUCUGAUCGGUACCAUCGUAACAUCUAUACCUGAAACACAUUAUGAAUUUUCUCUAAUUCAGAUGGUAACGCCAAUCGAUAUACCACCGACCCUAUUCUCUCAAUGAUCUCGUAUGGCCCAAUGAAUCGUGGACUAAGCUUUCCUUUUCAUCCAAAUCGGAGAACUUUUCUCCACAGUGAUACUUUCAAAAAAACUCUGUCACCAACUUGAAAUUUUAUAUCUUUUCUUUUCAAAUCUGCAUAAGAUUUCUAACGAUUAGAAGCAAGUUUCAAACUGUCUCGUAUCACUUUAAUCUUUUCUUCAGUUUCUCAAAUCAAAUCAACACCAAAUAACUUUUUCUCACUUAAUUAAGUCCAGUAUAAUGGCAUUCCACAUUUCCAACCAUACAAGGCUUCAUACGGUGCCAUCUUAAGGCUCGCCUGAUAACUGUUAUUGUAUGUAAAUUCAACUAACAAUAGAAAUCUCUCCUAGUUACCUUCGAACUUUAAAAUACAACAUUGAACCAUAUCCUCGAGUACCUGAAUUACCCGUUCAGGUUGACCGUCAGUCUGUGGAAGGAACGUUGUACUAGAAUGUAGUCGAGUACCUAGAGCUUCAUGUAGCUUACUCUAGAAUUGAGAAGUAAAUCGUGGAUCCCUGUCAGAGAUAAUGAUACCAAUACACUGUGUAAUCUAACAAUCUUAGAAACGUACAAUUCAGCUAACUUUUCAAGUGAAUAGUUUGUAUGUACUGGAAUAAAAUGUGCAAAUAUCAUCAAACGAUCUACAAUUACCCAUACAACAUCUUUCUUUCUUGGAGAUAAAGGUAAUCUCGAUACAAAAUAUAUUGUAAUUCAUUCCCAUUUCCAUUCUAGAAUCAUCACAGGAUGUAAUAAACCAGAAGUUACUUGAUGUUUGGCUUUAACUUGCUGACAGAUCAAACAUCUCGAUACAAACUCUAAAAUCUCGCGUUUCAUACCUGGCCAUCAGUACAUCUGUUUCAAAUCACGUUAAAUUUUAUUGCUACCAGAAUGUAUCGAUAAGCUACUACUAUGAGCUUCCUGCAAAAUCUUCAGAAUGAGAUCAGAAUUAUUCGUAAAACAUAUCCUAUUUUUGAAGUACAAACUAUCAUUAGAACCAACAUGAAACUUUGAAUCAGGUGUCGAUUCAAUCUGUUUCCAUUUAGCAAUCAAAUCAGCAUCACAUUUUUUAGCUUUACAAAUCUAUUGCAAAAAUGUCGGUCUUGCUUUCAAUUCAACUAAAAUUGAACCAUCAUCAAUCAACAUUAACUGUGUAUUCAAAGCUCAUAAAGCAAGCAAAGAUUUUCUACUCAAAGAAUCAACAACGACAUUAACCUUUCCUAGGUGAUAAUCAAUGAUCAAGUCGUAAUCUUUCAUCAAUUUAAGCCAUCUACGUUAUCUCAAGUUUAGAUCUUUCUUUGACAUAAAAUAUUUCAAACUUUGGUGAUCCGUAAAGAUAUGACAUUUUUCUCCGUACAAGUGGUGUCGCCAAAUGUUUAAAGCAAAGACAAUAGCUGUAAGCUCUAAAUCAUGAGUCAGGUAAUUCUUCUUGUACUGUUUCAACUGUCAUGAUACAUAAGUCACUACUUUGCCUUCUUACAUCAAAACACAGCCUAAAACAUUCGAAGAACCAUCACUAUAAAUUACGAAUUCCCUACCAGACUCUGGUUGAACCAACACAAGAGCCUCGAUUAACAAUGCUUUCAACUGGUUAAAACUUUAUUGACACUUCUAAGACCAUUCGAACUUGACAUCUUUCUGAAGUAGUUUUGUUAACGGCGUAGCAAUCAUAAAAAAUCCCUUAACGAAUCUCCAAUAGUAACCAGCUAAACCCAGAAAACUUCUAACUUCUGAAUCAUUCCUCAAAGGUUUUCAAUCUACUAUAGGAGAUAUUUUAUUUGGGUCAACCCUAAUAUCGUCUGCCGAUACCAUGUGUCCUAAAAAUCAGACUUCUUGGAGCCAGAACUCACUUUGCUAAAGUUAGCAAAUAACUAUUUUUUGCAUAAAGUCUGCAAGACAAUUCUCAAAUGUUGGGCAUGCUCUAUCUCAUCUUAUGAAUAGAUCAGAAUGUCAUUAAUGAACACAACAGCAAAUCUGUCUAAGUACGAUCUGGAUAUACUGCUCAUCAAAUCCAUAAACAUAGUAGGUGCAUUGGUCAAACCAAAUGGCAUACCAAGAAAUUCAUAAUGUUUGUACCUAGUUCUGAAAGUAAUCUUUAGCACAUCCGAGUCUUUAACCCAUAACUAAUAAUAACUAGAACGAACAUUGAUCUUUAAAAACACUGUCAUGCCUUUUAGCUAAUCGAAUAAAUCAUCAAUGCGUGGCAAGGGAUAUUUAUUCUUGAUCAUGACUUUGUUGAGCUGUCUAUAAUCGAUACACAAUCACAUUGGCCUAUUCUUUUUCUUAACGACCAAAACAGGAGCACCUCAAGGAGAAAAGCUAGGCCGAGCAAAACCCCUAUCUGUCAAUUCUUGUAACUGUGCUUUCGAAUCUGUAGGUGUCAUUCUAUAAGAAGCUAUCAAUAUCAAAGAUGUUCCCGACACUAAUUCAAUAGCAAACUCAACCUCUCUGACCGGCGGUGGCCUUGGCAAUUCUUUUAGAAAUACAUUUGUGAACUCAUACACAAUCAUAACCAAUUCUAAUUUCAAUUCUGAAACUCUGGAAUCAAAUAUAUAAGCGAGAUACGCUUCACAACCUAUUCUAACAUAUUUCGGUGCCGUCAUAGCUGAGAUAACACUAGAUGUACUAUCUAAUCUAUCUAAUUCAAUUUGGAUCUUUUCACCGUUCUGACAUUUUAACACAACAUGCUUUCGUUUACAAUUCACAAUAGCAUCAUGCAGAGUUAACCAGUCCAUACCUAGAAUCACAAUGAAGUCAUCAAAUGGUAACAACAUCAAGUCAACCAAAAAGUUACAACUUCGAAUCGUUAAAUGACAAUUUUUACAGACUUUAUCAACUAAUACAUAUUGACCUAGAGGGUUCGUUACUUUAACCACAAAUUAGUAGAUUCAAAUGGUAAUUUCUUAUCCUACACUAAGGUUGUGUAUGCAUAUGAGUGUGUUGACCCCAGAUCAAUCAAAGCAUUAACAUCUGUAUCAAAGAUAGAAAAUGUACCAAUGAUCACAUCAGGUGCUGAAGCUUCCUCUCGAGCCCGAAUUGCAUAAGCCCUAGCUGGUGCUCGUACCUCAGAUCGAAUAGCAGGAUCAUUUGUUUCACUUCUACUAUUACCCGUAUUUCUAGUGUUUCGAGGCGGUCUCCCUCUCCCAGUUGAAUUACUCAAACAAGUAUUUUAAGCCUUUUCUUUAUCAGACCUUUCUAGGCAAUCACUAACAAAAUUAUCAUAGGAACCACAUUUAAAACACGAUCUGUCUUUCAAUUUGCAUUCAUUGAAGUAUCGUCUAUUACAUUGCUGACAUUCACGCUUGUUGUUCCUAACACUACCCACACUUGCUACAAACGUAGUUUGAGGUUUUGAGUUUGAAUUUUUCUUUCCAUAUCUUUCCCAGAAUAACCUACCGAAACUAACGAACGACUAUGAAAUUCUCUUGAUUUCUUCAAUGGAGAUAAGAAUUAUUUUUCCACAGGUUAUUUUCCCAAAUCACAUGCUUCAAAAUUAGCUUUUCUUUUUGCUUUACUGAGUUCUUCAACCUUGUGUGCUCUAUCGACUAAAACCACAAAUUCUUUCAGUUCAAGAAUUACAAUUAGCAACUUGAUAUCUUCGUUUAAUCCGUCUUCAAAUCGAGUGCACAUAGCAACUUCUGUUGGUACACAUUCACGAACAUACUUGCUAAGUUGUAAAAAUUCUCUCUCAUACUUUGCUACAGUCAUAUAGCCUUGUUUCAGUUCAAAAAAUUCCUUGCAUUUAUUGUAGAGAAAUCGCUGGCUUACAUAUUUUUUUCUGAACUUAGACUGCAAGAAUUCCCAAUCCAACUGAUCCUUCGAUACUACCAUGACCAAAGUAUUCCUCUACUAAUAUGCAGAGUCUUUUAAUAUAUAAACAAGAUACUUUAAACAUUCGGUCGAUGUACAAGAUAAUUUAUCAAAAACUCUAAUCGUGUUUUCCAACCAGAACUCAACUCUUUUUGGAUCAUCUUCUGUUGAAUUGCAAAAUUCUUCUGCCCCAUAUUUUUGGAUUUUUCAAUUGGAGGCUUGCUUAUGCAUAUUUGAUCCAAACCUUGAGGAAUUAUAGGGACUAGUUGAGGUACGUGUGGGGGUGGAGGUUGUUGAGCCAAUAGGUUCGUUCUCACAAACUUAGUAAACCAUUCAGACAUUAUCAGGAAGAAGGCCUCUUUAGCCUCACCUCCCCGGCCCUCAAUUACGGGCCUACUACUACUCGAAGCUACUCCGUGAACGGAGGCUUGAGAGUUACUUUCAACCUUAUCGGAAUCAGCUUGGUUGGACGACAUCUUAUCUAUAUAAAAAUAUAAAUCAAUUUGAGUCACGAGUUAUCACACUAAAAUAGGUUAUAUAAUGACAUGUAUUUUAAACUCUAUACAUGCUAAGUCCAGUCUAAGAACUAACUAAAUCGUAGCUCUGGUGCCACUAAAUGUAACACCUCUAACCCAUAUCCGUCACCGAAUUAGGGUUACAGAGCAUUAUCAAACAAUAAAAAAAAUUUAAACUUAACUUCAUCCAAUAACUUAAACAAAUCACAAACCGAUCAUAUACAUACAUUACAUCCCUAAACUGAGGCCUCGAGGCCCUAAAACAACUUAGAAAUAUUUCAGGACCAAUUUGAAUCAAUUUGAAAAGUCUAGGAAAAAGUCAUAAAAUUUUGAAAAUAGGGGACACACAGUUGUGUGGCUAGGUCGUGUACCUCACACGACUAAGAGACACGCCCAUGUCUCAGGUCGUGUAUCCUUUGAAAUAGGCCAUGUAACCAAAAAUAUUCAAAAACUACUGAUAUUUAUGCUGGAUGGUGUGAUAGAUCUUCGAAGAGUUUCCAAACCAAUCGAGCUUUUGAUAAUCUAUAAAACAUAAGAAAGAGACUAAGUAAGCAACAUUGCUUAGUAAGUUCGUAUAAACUAAAACUAAACUUACCAUGUCAUUAUAAUAAUUCAAAGGUUAAUCAUAAAUCAACAUCACCAUAUCACAAAUUAGUGUACUUGCUCUUAUUACAAAUGAAAUCAACCAUAAAGUAUAUGAAUUCCAUAAGUAAAUGCAUCAUUUAACUCAAUGUUACUUUCUAUAAACCAUGAAUCAAUCCAUUUGCAUACUUAUCUAUUAGUUCCCUUUUCUUGCCUAUUGAACCAUUCAUAACUACAUUGGAUACCCGAGAAGCUCACACAAAGCAUGCCUUUACAUAUAACCUUUCUUUUACAUCAUUGCUUAAAUGAGUUGUGGGUCGGAAUGCAAGCUACACGAUGUUGUUCACACGAGUUGUGGAGAAUCCGCAACAAAUAUUGGACCUCAGCCAUCAGUAGGACAUUCAAUACCAGCACCCGAAAAUGAAAUCUCUAAUAACAUGUCAUUUGUAUCCUAUGAACUCCUAAGGUUCAACCGAGACUCGUUAUCUGUUAAUUCAUCCUAACAUUGAUAUGUUCAUAUAUCGAUCCAUUUGCAAUAUAUAACAAGCAAUGUAAAUAACAUUAAUGUGAUACCUGUUCAUACAAACUUACCUCGACGAAUAGGGGCGUGGAAGUUAAAUCGAGCUGUUCUGACGCUUUCGCCUUUCCUCGAUCUAGGUCCUUAUGUAGCUUAUCUUGAUCUAAAUAAACAAUUUCAAUCCAUUAAAUUCUUCUAGUGUUCAAUUUAGUUCACAUUUCAUAUUUAUGCAAAAUUACUAUUUUGCCCCUAACAUUUUUAACUUUUCACAAUUUAGUCCUUAAGCUUAUAAUUUGAAAUCUAAGCAUUUUAAUCACUCUCAUAAGCUAACCAAAUUCUUUAGGGACCUAAACCAACCCAAAUAAAUCAUCAUUUCAUCAAUUUAACAUGAAUUUUUACUAUUUUUACAAACAAAUCCCUAAAUGCAAAUUUCAUUAAAAAUUACUUUACAAAACUUGUUUAUAUUUCAACAAGGGUUCAUAAUCUAACAUUUAACAUCAACAUCAUUUAAUAAUCAUUCAUGGCACAACCCUCAACCUUUAAUAGUUUUAGGAAUUGAUCCCUGGGCUAGAUAGAUUAAGCUAAAAAGAACUUAAAAAGAUUGAAAUCAUUAAAAAUGGGGCUUAAAUACGCUUACAUGCAAGAAGUAAGCUUGAUCAAAUCUUUAAACCUAAAAAUGGUGUUUUUCUCCCUUAAAAUUUUUGUGAAAAAGAUGGGUAAUGAAGAUGAAACAAAUUUUUGGUUUUAUUUAAUUUAGGAUUAAUUACUUAAUUACCAUUUUAACCUUUAAAAACUGUAAAAUUUUCAUUAAAACCAUGUCCAUAAAAAUCCACUAACUCUUUAAAUGGUUCAAUUACCAUUCAAGUCCUUUAAUUUAAGAUUUCAUUGCCAUUAGACCCUUUUAGGUAAUAGAACCUUACCCUUUUUACGAUUUAGUCCUUUUUACUUAAUUAACCACUUAAAAUUCUAAAUUCCUUAAUGAAAUUUUAAUAUGACUUAAAUAUAACCCCGUAAAGAUUAAAAUAAUAAUAAAAUAAUAAUUUAAUCGUCAAAAUUAUUAUCCUGAAACUACUAUUUCGGUUUCAUUAAAACAGGUUGUUACAAACAAGCAAAUUCUCAAACUCAACAAAUGAUGGUUGGGUUUGCCAUACCUGUACUAUAGCAACAAAGCCUUUGAAAUCUGGUAUCAAACAUAAAAGAUAAUCCUCUUAAACUUGGUAUCACUGAUCGGAGCUUGUGGAUCCAAAUCACCAAUCUCUCAGCAUAACGACUAUACCUUGCAUAUGAGACAUUAUACAAGUUGUAAUGCCCCAAACUUAUAAUUUUUGAAUUGUUAAAAAUUGUCAAGUGAAUUAACCUGGUUCAGUGUUUAAGUGUUGUACUUGUGUGUGAGAGGUUCUAGGUUCAAAUCCUUGCCCCUUUGAAAUGAGAAUAUUUUUUUUUUAAUUUCUUGCUUGUGCCGUCAAUACGAUAGAGUUUGGCUAGAAUUUGAAUUCUAAGGGAAUCUGAUAAGGAUAAGGUACCAGAUUUAGUGGGGCAUAUCAGUAGUUUUUUUAAUUCUUUUUAAAAUAUUUUCCUAAAAAUUUCUCUCAUGUUUUCCACUUCUCCUCAAUUUCCGUUUAUUCUUUCUUUUCCUACAUUUUUCCUUGUUUAAAUUUUACUCAUGUUUAGUUUCUUUCACCAAAAUUGCUUCUUUGUUCAUAGCUUUCCUGCUUUCUUUCUUUUGUUGUUUCAAAUCUUGUAUGGGUGUGGUGUCAUUCCAUUGCUCUAAUUCUUUUUGGGUGUUCCAAUUUUGGUGUUAGGUAAGAAAAUGAUUUUUCUGUAGUUGAUAUGGUAAUCUAUAGUUGUUAAGUUUUAUUCGAAAGAAGUGAUUUUUACAAGUGGUACUUAGUUUUUAAUUUAAUUUGUGUUGCUAGGAGAAUAUCAUGAGGCGUUCAAUGUUCCUCCAGCGAAUUAGGUUCUUAUUUGCUAUUCUUUGAGUAUAAGUGACUUUAUUUGCCAUUGUUAGAGGUUGAUAUUUUUGUAAUUAAGUUCAGUAGUUGACAUUUGUUGUUUAAUUAGUGAUUCAGGUUGGGUAUUUCGUGCCAAUUAUCUAUUCUUAAAUGUCAUUUAGGAGUGUAGAAGUGUGUUGUUGCAUCAUGAUUCAAAAUUGAUUAGGUGUGUAAUGAAAAACUUGAAAAGUAGCCAAUAACACUAAGCUAAAAAGUGAAUUGUCGAUGCCACAUAGUCGUGUGACAAUAUAACACCCUUAGCCCGUACCUGCCACCGGAUUAGGGUUACGGAGCAUUACUGUACAAACAAAACAUUUAAAAAUACAUCUCAUACAUAAUCAUUAACAUAUUAUAAAUCAAUGAUUCAUAUAUAUAUAUCGUCCCUAAAUCAAGCCCUUGAGGUCUUAGAGAUACAUUAAAAACAAUUUAGGACUAGAUUGGAAACAUUUGGAAAGUUCAAGAAAAAGUUAGAAAAAUUUAACUACAGGGAUCACACAGCCGUGUGGCCAGGUUGUGUGCUUCACAUGGCUGAGAGACACAUCUGUGCCUCAAGCCAUGCAACAAUCAAAAUAUAGACACAUGGUCAUGUCCUAGCCUGUGUUCUUAGCCGUGUAACUCACUGAGUAAAGUUAUACAGCCGUGUCACACGCUAGUGUCUCAGGCUGUGUAACUCUCGAAAUAGCCCCACAUGCCAGUAUGCCAGGUCGUAUGCUAGGCUGUGUAAUUGCUUGACUUGCACACAAUAAAACCUACCGGGGACACACAGCUGAGUCACACGCCCAUGUCUCAGGCCUUGUGAACAUGAAUUUGCCCAAAAUUCAAGCGUAUUCCAUGACCAACUCAUGCAUAUACCUAAAAGCCUUUUGUACACAUAAUCAAAGCAUCACAAUUUACAUGUAAUGACCAAUUCAACAAUCCAAAACCAACCAACAAAUAUGACAUACAAGGCACCUCACAUGUAUUCAUUUACAACUUACUUAAACAUGCAUAUAUUUGAUAACAUUUCCAUAAUUAAACAUAAUGCAACUUCUAACAAAACCUGCCACAAUGUGACCAUAAACACCUCAUCACAAAUUUACCAUUUGAGCCAUACCAUUCAUGCAUCAUAAAUACCCCAAAAUGAUAUAAUUUGACAAGCAUUGAAAGGUACCAAAACCAAACAAUUUAUACAUAUCAAAACCAUCAAUUAAACAUCCAACUAUACAUCACUAUAAGUCCAUCUAUACAUGCCAUUGUAACAUUGGCCAAAAUAAUUAAAAACUAUCAAAAUUUAUGGUGGAGAGUGUGAUAAAUCUUCGACGAGCUUUCAAAUCGAUCGAGCUUCUGAUAAUCUAUAAAAUAUAGGAAAGAAAACUACGUAAGCACAUAAAGCUUAGUAAGUUUGUAAAACAUGAAACAAAACUUACCAUUUCAUUAAAUAACAUUUAAUAUAAGCAUAAUGUAAUCCAACCACAAGCUUGGAACAAGUCUAAGCACAUCGUCAUCAAUACACAAGUUAGUGCAUUUUUACAUAAUUCGUUUGAAUUAAACAUUAGAUGAUUCAUUUCCAAGUGAACAUAUAUUAUUUGUAUCAUUUAACCUUUCCAUGAACAUAUGCAUUUACCAUAUGAACACUUACUUUUUCAAUCCAUUUCAAUGCCUUUGAACCAUUUAGAAUAUCAUCGAAUACUCAGGAAAGCUCACACUAAAUGUGCUUAAACAUAUAACCAUAACAUUUCCUUUACAUCAUUGCUCACACGAGCUGUGGGUCGUAAUGUAAGCUACACGAUGCUACUCACAUGAGCUGUGCAGUAUCUGCAACAAAUGCAGGACCUCAUCCAUCGGAAGGACAUUAAAUACCAGUACCCGAAACAUGAAAUCCCUAAUGACAUGUCAUUUGUAUCCUAUGAAUUCCUAAGGUUCAACCGGGACUCAUUAACCGUUAUACCAUGAUUUUGGAUAUACAUUGUGCAAUAACAUUUUAAAUACAUAUUAACACAUAAUUAAACAACAUAAUCAUAAUAAUCCGUACAUGAUGACGUCACGAACUAACUAAAAUACGACAAAGGCAAGCGCACCUAUCGAAUGAUAGUAUAGCUGUGGUGAAUCGGGAAUAUCGUAUCCACGAAGACUAAAAGUACUAGUAGUUACUAUCUUUUUAUUAUCUAGCCGAAUAAAUUGAAGGGAUUUAUUUUAACCUAAAUUUUAACUAAACUAAUUACUAAACGACAAAGAGCGAAUUAGGAAAAUAAUUGAAGAAAACUUAUGAGAGAGACAAUACCUAGGAAAGAAUCCACCUAGACUUCACUUAUUAUUCUAAAUCUGAAUUAAAUAAUUUAUUCAUUUGACUUGAUUUGUAGAAAUCCCUAACUUAUAUUAAUUCUCUUUCGAGAGUAAAAAUAACUAACUCUAGGUUGAUUAAUUGAAUUCUCUUUCUAAUUAAAACCCUUAUCGUCGCAUUAACUCGAUCUAUGGAUUCCCUUAUUAGAUUUGACUCUAAUCCGGUAGAUUUAUGUCGUCCUAUUUCUAGGAUUGCAUGCAACUCCACUCAAUUAUGUCAGAUCUACUUUUAAACAUGGACUUUUGCUCCACUGAUUAAGCACAUCAAUCAUAAAUUAAUAUCUUGAAAACAUUAAACAUGAAGGUAAAUAAACACAAUUGAGAUCAGGAACAAAUAUUUAUCAUGUAAUUCAGAAAAAUCAAAUAAUAUGAUAUGUCUUAGGUUUCAUCCUCCCUAGGUAUCUAGGGAAUUUAGUUCAUACUUUUGGGGGAAAACAUCUCAAAAUUAGGAAAAUAACAAAACAUAAAAAAAACCCAAAAACUUCAAGAGAAAUUGAAUAGAGAUCUUCAAUCUUGAAGGAGAUCCUACUUCUAAGUUGAAUCCGUUGGCGUUCUUCGAGUCUUUUCUGCGUUCUACUCUGCGUGCCCCUUUAGGUCCUCUUCUAGUGCGUAUUUAUAGACUUUAGAAUGCUUAAAAACCCUAAAAAUUGGGUUUUUCCGCGUGGUAGGGAAGCAGGGUGCAAAAUCGACACAGACUGGCACAUGGGUGUGUGGCCAGCCCAUGUGGAAAUGCCCAGGCUGUGUCGAUCCUAAAAACAACUAUUUUUGCCCAAUUUUGGCUUGUUUUUCACUCCUUUCGCUCCCCAAUGCUUACCUAAGUUUAGAAACAUGAAUUUAAAAGAUUAGAAGCAUCAAAUUCACUAAUUCAUAUAAUAAAUCAUCUAAAAAGCAUCAAGAAUGAGAUUAAAAACAUGUAACUUUUGUGGGUUAUCAAAUAUCCCUACACUUAAGCAUUUGCUUGUCCUCAAGCAAAAUCCUUAACUCACAAUUAAAAUUAAUCUUUCUCAACUUGUAAUUCUCAUCAAUAAUGUUUUGUCAUAAUUCACAAAAAUCACACAUUGAUAAUUCAACUAAAAGAGCCCUAAAGAUUCAAACAAUCCAAGUCACACAUUUUUUUAAGACAUGAAAACAUAGGUAUCUCCCCUUAUCUAAGUAUAAUUACCUUUAAUUCAAAAUCGAAAAAAUUUUACAUCUUCACUAAAGAUUCACUCAAAUCACUCAAAGUGUUUAAGGUUAAAAAAUUAAGCACUCAAAAGUCAAUUAGAAAAGUCAUUACCAUAGGUUUGCAUGAAAAUAAAAUCUCCACCACUAUAAAAUGAUAUGAUACACAAAUUAAAAGUCUUUAAAGGGUUGUAAAGGGCCUUGGGUUAAAGGUGUGGAUAAAGGCUGAAUAAGAAGAUUAGAAUCGAGAUGGAAUUGAUAAAUUACCUAACUAGAAAAAAAACUAAUACUGAAUAAUUACAUCAAUUGAAAUUAUUAAAGAAUAACACGAGUUUCUUCUCAGAAUAUGAAAUUAACUACUUAAGCUUAAAAACAUAGAACUAGUAAUAAUCAACAUAAAUGUAUUUUUUUCACUUUUUUUUUUGAAAACAAUGGAUAAUAAGAGAAAACUUAACAACUGGAACAAAAGAACAUAGUUAAGCAACUAACCAAAUCAAAUCUUGACAAAAAAAGGGGUCAAUAAAAACGAAAACAAUUCUCAAUGAAUCAAAAAUGAGUUAUGGGUUAAUAUUAAUGGGUAAAUCAAGAAACAAUUUGUUAGGCUUAAAGGGGUUCACUAAGGGUUAAUUAUGUAGGUAGGCUUUUUCUGGGAUAAGUGGGUUAAAACCUAAGUGCCUUUAUCAUCUCAGUAUAUCAAAUCAAAGGUGUGGUCUCGACAUGCAUAAUUAAAGCAAGUUCUAAAAUAACAAUUCAAUAUUGACACACUCAUAACCAAUAAUAAAAUGAGAAAGAAAAGUAUAUGCUCUAAAGGCUCAAAAUAUCACAAAAAAAAUAUGAUUUUCGAUGUCAAUCUUGCAAAUCUCAAACUUCAAGAUAAUACCGCAAUUUAGGGAAACAACCUAAAAAAAUUUUUAAUUCUGAAAAUGGACUUAUCAUGCUUGAUUCUCUCAUGUCUUAAAGUUUAAAUAAUCAAAUAUCUAUGAAUUUAAUCUAAAACAUAUCAAUGAUAAUCACAAAUAGAUAAUAAUUCAUUCUAAUAGUAAUAUGAGAAGAUUACUUUAACACAAGACAUAAUUUAGGGAUUUUCUAAUAAUCAUAUAAAUAACCUCCCCACACUUAAGAUGUACAUUGUCCUCAAUGUACAAACCAAAAUAAUCACAGUAAUAAUAUAAUAUCAUAAGAGAGGGAGAGAAUUGAAACUGCCCUGAAUAUUGGAUGAAAUUUCCAGAAUAGUGAAAAGCGAAAUUGUACCCAAAUCUAAAUGUAACUCAUGAUUCCGAGCAAACUAAUAAGAAAAUAAACACAAAUAAUAAAUAAGAUUAAGGGAUUAUAACUCGAUUAGAAACAACCAUAUAUAUUUCAAAGGAUAAUAAUGAAAAUAAGUCGAAGAAAAAAAAAUAAAUAAAUCAACUAAAACAAAAUUAAAAAGAAAGAUAAAAAAAUAAAACAAUAAUAAUAAACUCAAUGAUACCAAUUAUAAUAAUAAUAGUAAAAAAAUACUUAAAAAAUAGAAAUAGCAAAAAAAAUAUAAUUAAUUUAAAAUAUAAGUAUAAGAAUAAUAAGUAAAAUAAAAUAAAUUAGUAAAAUAAAAAAUAAAAAUAUAACAAAUAAUAAUAAAUAAAAUAAAAAUGGGGUGAUUAACCCAGUUUUCACAUGUCCAUGGACACACCAGUGUGCUGUGGGUCACACGGCUAUGAGCCAGACCAUGUGUGUUUUCCUUCACUUCUCCCACGCCCAUGUGGGAUCCCACACACCUGGGUGGCUAGGCUGUGUGGGUCACAGGUCAUGUCGCCAGGCCGUGUAACUCACUGUCGAUUACCUUAUUUCACACACGGCCUGCGACACACCCAUGUGUCCAGGCCGUGUGCUCCACACUCCUGUGUGUCCAGGUCGUGUGGGUAAAAAACACACCUUUUUUUUAGGAUUUUGAAAAUUAAUUAAUUUUAAAAAAUAUCAUGGAAUGAAGUUAAGAAAAUUAGCAGUGUUAACACUCGGGUUGCCUCCUGAGAAGCGCUUAUUUAAAGUCUAAGCUUGACUUACAUUGUAUUCGCACGGUCACUGUGGUUCGCGAAGUCGAAACUCCUCUUUUUCGCUGUCAAUUCUAUUAUCAACAUAAGGUUUUAGCCGAGUAAUAUUUACCUUAAAAGUGCCAAAUUUAGAAUGAUUUACCUUGACUGUACCGUAUGGGAAAAUAUUUAGUACCAUAAAAGGAGUUGCUCCGUUUGCAUUAAGCUCUAAAUUGGUGAUUCGAGGGUCUGUUUUAUCCAACAAUUCCUGAUCCUCGACCUUAAAGUGGUUUGUUACAGCCUUAUGCUCGUCAUGGCUUUGUUUCGGUUCUGCAUCGUGUAUUUUUGGUUUCUCUUUGACAUGUGUCUGCCAUUCAUCUAGUUCAUUGAUCUAAAGCCUUCGUUGUUCAUGAGUUGAUCUGUUUUUCUCACUUGAACCGGACCGUGGCUCUAUCACCUUUUUUUGAGAAAUUUCCUACAAAGAAGGUUGAGUUGCAAGGUUACUCACAUUAAAAGAACUCGUAAUAUCAUCUCGAUCACUAGAUAUCCGAAUAGAAUCACAAGCUUGGAGUUUAAUCGUGUCAUCACCUACACGAAGUAUUAACUAACCUGCACCAACAUCUAUGAUAGUUCUAGCAGUUGCUAAAAAGGGUCAUCCUAAAAUUAACGGUACGUCACUAUCCUCAUCCAUGUCUACAACAACAAAAUCAACUGGGAAAAUAAAUUUAUCAAUUUUGACGAGUAUGUCUCCAACAAUACCCCUAAGAAAUCUAAUUGUUCUAUCUACUAACUGAAUGCUCAUCCUAGUUUGUUUGGGUUUCCCAAGACCUAGUUGUUUAAACAUUUUAUAGGGCAUGACAUUAAUAUUCGCCCCUAAAUCAGCUAAAGCAUUAUUAACACUAAAAUUACCAAUUAAACAAGGAAUAGUAAAACUCCCUGGAUCUUUUAAUUUGUUGGGUAGUUUAUUCUACAAGAUAGCUGAGCAAACUGCAUUUAACUUCACGUGCGACGAAUCAUCUAACUUUCGCUUAUUUGUGAAAAGCUCUUUUAAAAAUUUAACGAAAUUUGGCAUCUGCGAAAGAGCUUCAAUAAACGGUAAGUUAAUAUGUAAUUUUUUUACAUAGUUUAAGGAAUUUACUGAAUUGUUCAUUUGUGUGGUCUUUCCUUGUCGCGUUGGGAUAUGGCACAUGCGGUUUAUAUUCCUUACCAAUCGAAUCUUGCUUAUUUUGGCCUACCUCAACCUUACUAUUGCUUACCACAGUUUCUUGCCUCAGUUUAGCUUCAGAUUCAACAAACCCUUCUUCAUCUUGAAUAGUAAUCGCAUGAAGCUGCUCUCUUGGGUUAGUUUCAGUGUUACUUUGCAAGCUACCUUGUGGUCGUUCUGAAAUCAUCUUUUCCAAUUGGCCGAUUUGAUUCUCCAGCCCUUGAAUCAACGCUUGUUGAUUUUUAAGGGCUGUCUCGGUGUUUUAGAAGCGGGUUUCUAACAGCAAAAUAAACUUCGUCAACAUCUCUUUAAGGUUUGGUUUCUUCUAUUGCUGGUAAGGUGGUUGAAAGCCUAGAGGGGGUUGUGGUCUUUGAUUUCCUUGGCCACCCCAAGAGAAGUUGGAAUGGUUCCUCUAACCUGUAUUGUAAGUAUUGCUCUAGGGAUUAUUCUGAGGUCUAGAAUUAUUACCUAUAUAGUUGACUUGUUCGUCUUUUCUGCUAAGGUUGAAGGAUCGAUUUUCUAGAUGGUUCCCUCCUCCAUUUACGUCGCAUUGCAUCACCGAAUAUACCUGUGUAGAAUCAUAUAAACUAUCAAUCUUUUUAUUCAAGAGUCCUACCUGGUUCAAUAACAUGGUGACUACAUCAACAUUAAAAACAUCGGUACUUUCAUCGGCUUUGUCCUUAUAACUUGCCACUGAUAAUUAUUCAGUGACAUCUCUUCUAUAAACUCGUAAGCCUCCUCAAGUGUUUUAUUAUUUAAAGUGCCAUCGGCAGAUGCAUCGAUCAACUGCCUAGUUGAGGGGUUCAAACCGUUGUAAAAAGUUUGAACCUGUAGCUAUAGAGGUAACCCAUAGUGAGGGAACCUUCCAAUAAAUCCUUAUAUCUCUACCAUGCAUCAUAUAAAGUUUCCAAAUCCAUCUGUACGAAGGAAGAGAUAUCAUUCCUCAGCUUGGCUGUCUUAGCCGGUGGAAAAUACUUUAACAGAAAUUUCUCGGUCAUUUUCUCCCAUGUAGUGAUGGAACCUCGUGGUAGAGAGUUCAAUCACUGUUUAGCCUUAUUUCUUAAUGAGAAUGGAAACAACCGAAGGUGAAUGGCAUCAUCAGAAAUGCCAUUUAUCUUAAAAGUGUCUAAGAAUUCUAAGAAAUUUGCCAAAUGAGUGUUUGGGUCUUUGUCCUGCAAACUAUCAAACUGAACAAAUUGUUGAAUCAUUUGAAUAGUGUUAGGGUUUAGUUCAAAAUUAUUUGCAGCAACAAUAGGUCUAACAAUACUCGAUUCAGCCUUACUUAAAUUGGGCUUGGCAGAAUCAUACAUAGUACAGGUAGGAUUCAGAUUUGCAGGAUUUACAACAACUAUAGGAGGUAGCUAAUUAUUAUGAUUUUCUGCCAUCUCCUCAGUAUUAAUAAUAAUAUCCUCUUGCUCUUCUAUUGUACUUUUUUGACUUUGCCUCGCUUCUCUACGGUUUCUGCGAGCUGUACUUUCAAUUUCACUGUCGAAUACUAGAGGUUCUGACGAGUUUCUUCUAGUCAUAAACUAAAGGAACCUGCCAGAAGCAAAUAAAAGAAAAGUUAGUAAAUUAAAAUAAAAAAUAAAAAUAAAUUGCAAUAAAAAUAAAAAUGCCUAAAGUAAUAAAAAUUAAGUGUUCCUAAUAUUUUAGUCCUCGACAACGGCGCCAAAAACUUGAUGACGUCACGAACUAACUAAAAUACGGCAAAGGCAAGCGUACCUAUUGACUGAUAGUAUAGCUAUGGUGAGUCGAGAAUAUCGUAUCCAUGAGGACUAAAAGUACUAGUAGUUACUAUCUUUUUAUUAUCUAGUCGAAUAAAUUGAAGGGAUUUGUUUUAACCUAAAUUUUAACUAAACUAAUUACUAAACCACAGAGAGCGAAUUGGGAAAAUAAUCGAAGAAAACUUAUGAGAGAGACAAUACCUAGGAAAGAAUCCACCUAGACUUCACUUAUUAUUCUAAAUCUAAAUUAAACAAUUUAUUCAUUUGGCUUGAUUCGUAGAAAUCUCUAACUUAUAUUAAUAUCUCUUUUGAGAGUAAAAAUAUCUGACUCUAGUUUGAUUAAUUGAAAUCUCUUUCUAAUUAAAACCCUAUCGUCACAUUAAAUCGAUCUAUGGAUUCCCCUAUUAGAUUUGACUCUAAUCCGGUAGAUUUAUGUCCUCUUAUUUCUAGGAUUGCAUGCAACUCCACUCAAUUAUGUCAGAUCUAUUCUUAAAUAGGGACUUUUGCUCCACUGAUUAAACAUAUCAAUCAAGAAUUAAUAUAUUGAAAACAUUAAACAUGAAGAUAAGUAAACAUAAUUGAAAUCAAGAACAAAUAUUUAUCAUGUAAUUUAGGAAAUCAAAUAAUAAGAUCCGUCUUAGUUUUCAUCCUCCCUAGGUAUCUAGGGAAUUUAGUUCAUACUUUUGGGGGAAAACAUCUUAAAAUUAGGAAAACAACAAAACAUAAGGAAACCCAAAAACUUCGAGAGAAAUUGAAUGGAGAUCUUCAGUCUUGAAGGAGAUCCUACUUCUGAGUUGAAUCCGUUAGCGUUCUUUGAGUCUUUUCUGCGUUCUACUCUGCGUGCCCCUUUAGGUCCUCUUCUAUUGUGUAUUUAUAGACUUUAGAAUGCUCGAAACCCUAAAGAUUGGGUUUUUUCGCGUAAUAGGGAAGCAGGGUGCAAAAUCAACACGAACUGCCACAUAGGCCUAUGGCCAGCCCAUGUGGAUCUUGGAAACAGCUCUUUUUGCCCGAUUUUGGUUCGUUUUUUGCUCCUUUCGCUCCCUUAUGCUCACCUAAGUAUAGAAACAUGAAUUUAAAAGAUUAAGAGCAUCAAAUUUACUAAUUCAUAUAAUAAAUCAUUUAAAAAUGCAUCAAGAAUGAGAUUAAAAACAUGUUACUUUUAUGGCUUAUCAGUGCAUACGAACUUACCUCAAAAACUAGGGCGUAAAACUAGAUCGACUCAACCGAGGCUUUAGCUUUUUCCCGAUCUAAUUUCGUACGUGGUCUAUCUUUAUCUAAAUAGAAAAAUUCAAUCCAUUUAAUAACCCUAUUAUUCAAUUUAGUCCACAUUUCAUAUUUAUGAAAAAUUAACAUUUUACCCCUAGCAUUUUAACUUUCCACAAUUUAAUCCUUAAGCUCAUAGAUUGAAAUUUAAACAUUUUAGUCCUUUUAUCAAGUUAGCUGAGUUCUCUAAGGAAUUAAAUCAACCCAUACAAACCAUCAUUUCAUCAUUUUACCAUAAACUUUUAUUAUUUUUACAUAUAAGUCCUUAAAUACAAUUUUCAUCAAAAUCAAUGUACAAAACUUGUUUAUUUAUCAACAAGGACUCAUAAUCAACCAUUAAACAUCAAGAAUCACACAAGAGCAUUCAAGGCACAAUCUUAAAUCUUUAAUAGUUUUGCAAAUUAAUCCUCGGGCUAGCUAGGUUAAGCUACAACAAUCCUGAAAACAUAAAAAUCAUUAAAAACAAGCUCAAAAAUCACUUACAUGCACCACCCAAGCUUGUCAAACUCAAGAAACCUAAAAAUGGUUUCUUUUCCUUUGAAAAAUUGGUGGAAGAAGAUGAAAGAAAAUGAGUGAAAUUUUAUUUUAUUUAAUUCUUAACCUUAAUUGCUCAUUUACUUUUAUAACCUUUAAUUAAUAUCAAAAUUUCAUCAAAAGCACAUCAUGAACAUCCAAUAACAACACAAAUGGUCUAAUUUCCAUUUAAGUUCUUUCAUUUUAAAGUUUCAUAGCCAUUUGACCCUUUUAACAAAUAGAACUCCAUUUUUGUGUCUUUUAUGAUUUAGUCCUUUUUACUUAAUUAAUCAUGUAGAUGUCAAAACUUUUUAAUGAAAUUUUAAUAUGACCUUAUUAACGUCCCAUAAACAUUACAAAAAUAAUAAAAGAAAAAUUUUCUUGUCGGAUUUGUGGUCCUAAGACCACUAUUCUGAUUUUACUGAAAGUAGCUAUUACAGACAAGCAAUGUGCCAGAUCGUGUGAGCCAUGCCGAUUAGGUCAAUUGGGUUGUGUGGGCCACACGGGCUUGUGUUGGCUGUGUGGGCCCAUUUUUUGAAUUUUACCUUAGGGUCAUUUUUUAUGUGGGAUUCGAAUUUAGCCCUUUCGUAGUGUCCGUACUGUAUAAAUAAGACUGUAAAACAUGAGAUCUGAUAUUUUACUUCUCUUAAUGUGAUUUUUGAAAGCAUGAUGUGUAUAGCAUGUAUGUGAUGUAAUAGCAUGAUGUGACUUAUGUCAAUGUGACUUAUAAUUUGAUGUGUAUAGCAUGUAUGUUAUAUAUAUAUGCAUUUGAUAUCUAAUUAGCAUUGCAUGUGCAUUGGGGUGGGAUUAUGAUUGAUGGAGGAAGUGUUGGCAGUUUAAUAAUCUGCCUUAUCUAGCGGUUUAUACCACAUUUAUAUGUUAUGGUGGUUUGACCACAUAUAUCUAAUUAUGGUAAAUUAGCACAAUAUAUCUGGUAGCUUGGUUGCACUAUUUUGAAAAGUGACAUACGCUCACUUAAGGUGUGUGGGGUUGGAUAGGUAUAUAUUAUCCAAUUGGUGGGUAGGGAUGGUCAGAGAUGGUGUGUAGCAAAUGAGGGUAGGACUUAUAUCUUUUCUGAAUUUGCAUCUAUUUUUGUAUAUGAUUAUAAUUUUGUAUUUGUAUGUUAUUUGUUAGUUAGGCUAAGUUACACGUUGAGCUCAUUAACUCACCCUUUGACUAUUUUUUCUAGUUAAUCAACCAACCUAGGAUUGAAUGGCGCGCGGGAACUCAUAAAUUGUUUUGCCCAGACUGCCGUGUGACCUCUAUUUUUUUGUUUUUAUCCUACUUUUAUGUUAUGUUUUGAAUUAGUCACUUAUUGUUCCUAAAUUGAUCCUAGAGCUUCGGAGGCUGAAUUUAAGCUCUAUUUUUGUAUGAAUAAUGAGAUUAUUGAAUAAUUAUCUAUAGUUAAUUGUUUUAAAGUAAAUUUUCAAUUGAAAUUGCAUAUUCUUUUUCUGUUAAAUGUUGUAGCAUCUUGUAACCCUAAUAUGGUGACGGAGAUGGGUGAGGGAGUGUUAGAAUAAUGUUCUCCUAGUCCUUGAAAAAAGAGUUUUCCACUAUUUUUUUUUCUUGACUUUCUAGAAAUUCAUAAUUGUAUUAUGGUAUUGUCAGCUACUUAUCCAAAUUGACGAUACAUUCCUUUACAAAAUAUACGACCAUCAGUUGUUAUUAGUUGUUGCAUAAGAUGGUAACCGAAAAAUCCUACCAAUAGUUAUUGCAAUAACUCCUGAAUAGUCUAGGGAUGACUGGGAUUUCUUCUUAACUAACCUAAGAAGGCAUGUUGUGCCGCAACCUAAUGUAUGCAUCAUUUUCGACAGGGGCAUCGAAAUACAUGAUGCAUUUGAUCGGUGUUCAAUCCUAUGGGAUCGUGCACACCAUAGGUGUUUUUUACGUCUUUUAGUGUUUAAACUACAUAGGCCGAUACCAUAAGGAUGCGGAGUGAUGACAUGUCAUUAACAUGGGUACGUUGUACAUAGAAUUUCUUUCAUGUAUAACAAUUGAACAUAUACAUUUGGGUCGCAUUUUUUGAAUGCAAUAUUGAUUGUCAUCGACAGGAUACGAGCUCAUCCAACAUCUAUUCCAUGAAAUGUUGGAGAGACUACGGACUGUAAACCGACUAGGUGUGAUGUACCUCGAUAGGAUACUGAAGGAGCAGUGGAUGCGGUCGUAUGACGGAGGACUACGAUACGAACACAUAACCAUGAAUCUAGCAGAAUGCAUUAAUUUUGUACUGAAUGGGCCACAUCAUUUUUUGAUAACCUCGAUGGUUAAGGAAACAUAUUUUCAAUUAGCAACCAAGUUUUUAAAGCAGGCUGAGACAUACGCGGGACAGGUAAAGGGCAGUCACAUUUGGUACGAAUUGGAGCUAAAAGAUAUUAGGAAAAAUAUAGAAAUCACGAACUCAAUACCUAUAGUGUGUCACUCGUGACCAAAUCUAAUAUUUUGGGUUACACAGCCCUAUAGACCCGACCGAGAAGUUAUCGAUGGAGCGAAUUGCAUAGACUUGAGACAAAUUUCCUGCCACUAUGGGAGAUUUCAAGCACUUCAUUAUCCAUGUGGACAUGCAAUUGUGACAUGUGCCUUAGCACAUGUAGAUUGCAUGACCUACGUUGACAAAGUUUACUAACUUGAACAACAUAUAAUGUUUGGAAAUCUAAAUUCCCACCUAUCCUAGAUGAAAGCAUGUGGCCGCUUACCUUGCACGCUCCUUUUGAGUUGGUACCAGAUAAAAACUUGUAGCGCAAGCUGAAAGGUCGACUGAACUCAACUCGAAUACUAGGCAUUAUGGAUUUUCAGGACCAGGGAAACACACCGUGGUUGUGCGGUUACUGUAACAUGUCCUCACCUCUCGGGAUCUUAAUGGUGAAGAGCUAAUUAAAAUAGUAAAUCAUGCAAUGAAAACACUGACUUAUUCAUUUACUGAUUAUUUUUUUCUAAAAAUUGUAAAUUAAUAUUAAUUAUUAAAGUAAGAUAUAUUACAAUACAUAAGUCAAGGUUUAAAACUUUUUCUAUACCUUCUUAGAAAAUCUUUGCUUUCUCAAAAUAUUGUACUUAACAAAUGAAUGGAGAAAAACUUAAAUGAAAUAGUAACAUAAAUAAUUGUAAAUUUUAAACUUACAAUAUAAUAUGGUACAAAGCAAACAAAUUUAAUAGAUUUGUUUCGUAGAUUGUAAAUACAUGAACAUUUCAUAUGUAAAAUAAAAUAUACAAUUUGGGAAAUUUGCAAAUAACAUAAUCAUCGGUGUCCCGAAUGUGUGCCACAAUUGGGUGGGCUUCGAGCACUCCUAGGGUUUCGUCACACUAUUUGGGUUGGUGGCUUCUCAUUGACUUUAUCUUCAUGUUCACGUGCACGUCAGGGUUGAUUGCCAUAUUCAUUUCCUUCCUCUAUGGUUGACUACGAUUGUGUCCUAGCCGCCCAUUGUACAACUCCUCUAUUUGAGUCAGCAGUUGCGAGGAUGACCCACUUUGGUUGAAAAAUGAUACUAGGGGUGUUUACGACACUAUUGAUGGAUGACUGCAAGGUGUCACAUGGGCUGGUUGCGGAUAAAAGGUGAGAAUUAUCGGUGAUAUCGAAUGCAUCGGUGUUAUUGGAAACAUUGGCAUGUAAUAUGCUUGUGCGUACUAUAGUGCUUGUGUAAAAUAAAUUGAUGUUAAAGGUGUUGAUGCAAGGAAUGAUUGUGCGUGCUAUGGUGUUUGUGUAAACUAAACUGAGCUGAAUGUGUUGAUACGGGGAAUGAUUAUGCAUGUUGUGAUGCUGGUGUCAAAUAAACUGGGUUAGAACCAAAAAUAUAUGAACCAUACUAACUGGAUGUUGUGCAACAAUCAAGUCCUUUUGUGGACAUGGAACAAAUGUUGAUACCUCCAGCGGCAUCUUCUCCCAACCUAUGAUUAAUGGGCCUUCGUCUUGGCCUCUUACGGCGACGUUGCCUACUCUUUUCUCAAGUCGAUAGUAGAUACAGCUUGCCGUUAUGCCUGAACCAGUUCAAGUAAUCUAGAGAUGUCACCAACUUAAAUGUACCAAAUAGCAAGAUUUAUCUGGAAUUAAUAGACCUCCGAUCAACCUCAAGAUGAAUGUGUGUGCGAAUCGUUCUUUUGCAACGUCACUCGUGGAAGUCUCGAUAGUUUUAAAGUUUUCCUCCAACCAUCUCAUCUCGAUUCUACUACCCUAAACUUGUUCGACACCUUCUCUAGUAAUUGCUCAAAUGUUACACUCCAAUCGGGACUAAUCAUUGGCCCUAUAACGACUUCUCCAUCGACCAGUAGACUGAGUUGUAAACUAACAUCCUCGAGUGUAAUCAUACACUCACCGCAGGGAAUAUAGAAUGCGUGUGUCUCUUAUCUCCAUCUUUUGACCAAAGCACUGAUAAUUGGGGAAUCCAAUUUAUUUCGUUCGAUCAUGCGAGCCAUGUAUAAAAAUCAUGCAUAUUGCAAGUGUCAUAAAUGACACCCGAUGCACCUUUGCUUAAAUUAUUUAUGUACGUCUCCAAAAUCUUAUCUUCAGGUUGAGUAUAUAAACAUAAAAAAUUAAUAAUCUAAGAAAUAUACUAAUUAACUAUUUAAAAUUAAAUAAUUUAAUAAUAUUUUCUUACCAUUUGUAAUUUAACGCCAGAGAUGUGCUAGUCAUCCAAACAAAUAAGCUGAUUUGCCAUUUAAAAAUUUUAAGGAAUAAAAUAAAACCGAAGAGAAUAAAAUUCAGAAAAAUAAUUAAAAAAAUAAUUGAGAACUGAGAAUUAAGAAUUGAGGAUUGAGGAUUGAGGAUUGAGGAUUGAGGAUUGAGAAUUGAGAAUUGAGAAAUGAGAAAUGAGAAAUGAAAAUUGAGGAUUGAGAAUUUAGGAUUGAGGAUUGAGUUAAAAAGAAUAAGGUUUGGAGGGGGUUUAUAGAGGAAAAAUUAUGGUUGUUAGACUCUUUUUAGCCUUUGAAAACAUUACAAUUGGAAUAGUUACCGUUGAAAAAAAACGUGUCCUAAAGGGCUCGUUUUCCUUUCUCUCUCUGAUGGGCGUCGAAACCACCACAAAAAUAAUUACUACAAUAAAAUAACUCUAAGCAAUAGUAAAGAGCAGUAGAGUCGAUUCCACAGGGAUUGGUGAUUAUGAUCAACUUUCGUGUUUUCUCAUGAACAUAAUUUUUGUUGUGCCGAUAAUCGUGGCAAUAGACGUGGCCACGACUCCAAAUGACCUCCUUAAAGAUAAAUAAAUUAGGGGAGUUUUGAAAUGACUAGAAAUUAAAUAAAUGAAAUGGAAAAAAUAAAUAAUUAAAGAAAUUGAAAAUAAAAUUAAAUUGGGAAAUAAAUUUGGAUUUUGUAGACAUAGUUAUAAAGCCUUAGCCUUAAACUCAAUGGAUUUUGGUUUUUGAAUCGGUCCUCAAAAAUUAGUUUCCUCCUCCAAACAAUACACUAGUUAUAGCGGCUAAUAACGUCCUAACCAUCAAUUCUUCCUCUCGUAGUUGAUCCCAGUACGCCCGCAAACCAACCCUUAGCGAUUGUCUAAUCGAGAUACAUGCGUUCGUAAUUCAAGGCCCCGACAGCCUUGCAUUCUGAAGAACCCAACUCGGAUUAAUGGUCUCAACCGUGCGGGAUGUUUAAAUCUGAUCACAAUCUCCUUUAAAUUGUUUGCGAAAAUCCAAAUACAGCACGGCCGACUCGUCUUCCCACCUAUAUGCCAAAAUAACUCCAAACCAACGCGCUUUUUGAAUUGAAAUCGAAUUAACUUUAAAGGAUGAAUUUGUCAAUCCUGAUAUUCAGGAUAUAUGAUGAAUACCGAUUUGAAGGAUUUUUAGUGCAGAUAUGCUUCUCACGAUUCCUGACCGGAAAUAAUAGUGGCCCAAAGCUAAUUUGAAUUUAGUGAAGCAUGAAUUUAAUCAUGCUUUGGUUGGUUAUGGAAGUGGAUUUGAAUAAAAAUGGUGGAAGUUGGAAAGGAAGGAACUUGGAAAGCAAUUAAACAGUUUUGCAAAGAAACAAGGAAAUGAAAAUGGAAUAGCAAUAUGCUACUAACGCAUGAAAUUGGAAGUGAAAAAGAAUAAUUCUAUUUUAUUCCAAGUGAAUUCAAGUGUGAUCUUUUAGGUGCACCAUACCACCUAUUUAUACAUAAACUAUAUACUAAAAUUAGGCUAGUUCCAUUUGCCCAGUAAUUACAUGAAAUAAUAUCAUAUUUUAUUUUUUAAAUUUGGCUUUUACAAGGUUAAAAAUCUGGUCAGCCCCUCAAAUGUUUCAAAUUUAUGAUUCUGCUCUUUUCUAUUUCUCAUGCUUCAAUUUAAUCCCUUCUUUGCUUGUCUUUGAUUUAAAGCACCCGAAUUUCGUCACUGUAAAUAUCUAAAUACAAAAUUCACCAAUUAGCAAAAACUAAUUUAAGAACAAGUUGAGUUAAACACGAAAAAUAUGCAAAAUGAAAAAGCUAUCACUCUCCAAAAAUAAUGCAGAUCGAUAAAUUUAAAAAAAACAACACACUUUAUCAGUUGUUUUUUUUUCCAGCAUAUUUAUAAAAUUUAUCCCCUACAUUUUAGAUGUUAGGUUUUUAAUAUAUUUAAUUUGAUUUUAGUCUAAAAUUUGGAUUCAAAGGUCUUUCAAUUUAUAGGUUUUCAAAUUUUAUUUUUCUACAUUUUAGAAUUUUUAAGUACUUAAUGUUAGAUUUUAAAAUCCUAGAAUUUUAAGUUCAAUUCCGCUUCAUUUUUAGAAUUUUACACCUUUUUCUAGUUAACUUUGAAAUUUAGACAAUAAUUGUAGAAUUUCGAAUUUCAUUUAGCAUUAUAUAUUUGGAUAUCUUCUUUCCUUUAUAUUAAGUUUAUUCAGAUUCAAAACUAGAAUUUCAAAACCUUAAACACUAAGCUUUGUAUUUGAAUAGGUAUUGUACCGCCCUAAAUUUGCCCAGCCCGUCAAAAAACUCAAUGGUGACAACAACCCAAAUACAAAACCAAGUCUUGUAGGCCCAAAACCAAAACCUAACCCAAAAUACGGCCCAAAACAUAAAACAAUACAGAAACCCUAAUAGCCUAAGGCGCCGCGCCUCCAUGUGCGCCCUCGACACGUACGACGCCCUAGAUUCGGCCCCGUUGCACCAAAACGGCCAUCUACAGUCCCGUUGACCCUUGGUGUACCUGCAAAAGAAAACAAAAAAGGAAAUAAAGAAGGACGACAAGAACGAAAGUAAAGAAGCAGAGAUAAAAAGGCAUAAAACUUUAAUAAUAACAACAAAAAUACAAAGUGUUGUAAAGGCUAUAAAAGCCAGAAUCGACGACGGAAAAAGGGAACUUUUUUUUUACAAGAUAUUAAACCAAAAAAUUCAAAGCAAAAAGGUGAUUUUUCUUUUCCGGCUUAACAUUUUUGUAGCUUUUUUUUUUCUUUUUCGCUUUUAUUCUUUUAGGACUGUUUACAAGAAAAAAGAAAGGGAUAAGAGAGACUGACGCACCUGAGCUUUGAAUCGUCGGUAUACAUCAGAGUUUCUCCUCCGUUAAAACCGAAUCCGACAAAGGGGGUGACACUUUCUUUUUGAUUCUUUGCAGUUGUAGGUGUUGGAUCCUCGAACAUGGAUCUAAAAGGUGUUAAAGAACGAGUAGACCGCCCUCCGUCGACCACCGUUUGCGGUGGCUGCAUGGCGGCUAGGGUUUGGCUUCUUUAAGGUUCAGAUAAAUGGUUGUGUUUUAGAAACAGAAGAAAAAAAUGAAAAUAAACAACAGAGACUGGUUUAAAUACUGAAACAAAACGGUGUCGUUUUUGCACCAAAGAAAUCAGCGUUGAAACGGCGCUGUAUUGAACCCUGACCCGUGACCCGAUCCGUCCCCCUUGAGGAUCCGCGUGUUUGCGGUGAAUGGGAUAAUUUUGUGAAUAGCCCUUCUGGUCUCGCUGCGCCUCGCAAUGUGGCCCUACUUGCUUCUUUUGUUUUUUUAAUUAAGCCGCAUAUUUUUGUGUUCAGUUCAGAUUGGUCGUUUGAAACGAUGCGUUUAGAAGGGUGAGAAUAUUUUCCCAAUCGCCCCCUCAAUGUCUUAGCGUAUUUCAAAAUGGUCUGCUAUUUUGGUUUUGUGUCCGAAUUUCUUCUUUGAUGUUACCCAGAUCCCGAUUUAGUCCUUUUGUUCUGAUUAAUUAAUUAAUUUACUUAUUUGUUUACUUGUUCAUAUGUUCAUUGUUCAUAUAUAUGUGUAUAUAUGCACAUUAUACAUUCAUAUUUUAUUAUAAUCCUUGUGUCCAUUUGUUUAUUGUCUUUUCGUUCCUCUUUAAAUUUUUGUUCUGUUUUCAUUUAAUUAUUUUAUUUAUUUUGUUAUUGUUGCCGCUUCAACAUCUAUCAUUAUUACCAUAAUUUUGUUAUGGUUUUAUAUUUCAUUUAUUAAAUUCUUAUAUACCAUUAAACCAUUUUGUUGUUCAUUUUUAAAUUAUUUUAUUGUUAUUCAUGUUAAGUGUUUCCACAUAUUAUGUUUUUUAAACUAUUGCCCAUUUUAAAUUUUAUAUAUUAUUUAUUUUUAAAUUAUUAUUUAUAUUACUUAUUUUGGUCUUUAUACGUAAAUAUCUUUUAUUUUAACUAUUUUAUAUAUGUUACCUAUUUUAAAGUUUUAUAUGCUAUUUAGUUAUACUAUUUUAUAUGUUAAUCUUAAAUUUCAUUUUUGUUAUCAUUUACUUUAAACCUUCCAUAUAUUAUUUAUCUCAAGAUAUUAUAUAUAUAUAUAUAUAUUAUUUUAGAUUAUUUCAUAUAUUAUUUAUUCAAAAUUUUCAUAUAUAGUAUUUAACUCAAACUGUUUUAUAUGUAAUCCAUUUUAAAACUGUUAUAUAUUUUAAAGUUCCUUCUAUUAUUUUUUAGUUCUUAUACAUUACCCAUUUGGAAACUCUUUUUAUACUCUUUCUUUGUAACCAUUCCAUUUGUUAUUUGUUUUAAAACGUUUUAUUCAUUUUUUUUUCAAAUUGUUCGAAUAUACUAUUUUGUUUCACUCUUUUGCAAUUAUUAAUGUCGAUCUCUUAAAAUGGGGUGUUUCGUGGACAUUUAACUCAUGUAAUAUUAUUGUCAUUUGUUUGUUAAUGUUAUUAUGGCUAUUAUAGUACAUUAGUGUUUUUAUAUCAUUUAUUUAUCACAUAUUCUUGACUUGUAUAGUUGUUUCAUAUUAUUGUAUUAUUAUCUCUCGUGAACUAAGUUUAAACUUAAUUGGUUAUCUUUGUAUUAUGCUUCAAAACAGCCCAUGUCGUUUUAAACUUACGUUUGAUAAAAUUUUUAGAAACAAAGAAAUUUUCAAAGUAAGGCAAUGUUCGGUAUUUGGAAAUUCGAGAGAUCGAGCCCUAAUGUACUGGGUUUCGAUUUUUCUCGUUUGAUCUAAAUAAUCGAAUAACCUUUUAAAAUUAAAACACGUGAGUUUUGAAAAACAAAAGACCAACUUAUUUUCGAGGGUCUGAAAUGUUGUGUCCUAACGUACUGGAUGUGGCAUUUUGUUACUUCGGGAUAAGAAAGUCUUUAGAGUCCAUUUCAAUUCACUCAAACAAAUUCUUCGCAUAAAUCAACAUAAAAAAGGGAUCGUAUUUUAAAUUCUUUUUGAGUUUUUAAAUUUCGACAUUAAGACAUUAAUUAAUCAAUUAGGUACCAAUUUUGGGCGUCACGAGCGUGCUAAUCCUUCCUCGUACGUAACCGACUCUCGAACCCAUUUUCUCGAAUUUCGUAGACCAAAAUCGUUGUUUUAGUAAGUCAAAAUGUUUCAUGAAAAUGGCCAAAUUUUUAGGUGAUCCGAUCACACCUAAACAAAAAAGAUUGGUGACGACUCUCGUUUUUUCAUUUUCAUAUCCAAAUCAAGUCGAUCCCCGUUUCCAAAAAAAUGGUUUUGACAGGUAUUGUAGGGAUGCUUUAACCUUUUCUACACGUAAUUGUACCUUAGAACCCAUAUUUGAUUAUGAGAUUGUGCCUUAGUUUUAAGAUUUUCCCUUAGAUUCAUUUUAGAAUUAGCCUUAAAACUUUGGGUGAUAGGUGACUAACCGACCAAACUCAAAUUAAUUAAUGAUAACUUCACUUUUUAGUUUUUUGUGUCUAGCUUGUUAGGUUAUUCCCUAGCAUGUUAUGGCAACAUAGCGACUCCACCACGAACUCUAGUUUCAAGAGUCGAUCUAUUUUAGGGUUUGGUUUUUAAGGUUUUUGUUAUAAGCGUGGUUAUAUUUGUUGUAAAUUGUCAUUCACUUUACACAUGAAUUUGAUCCUCUUCCCUCAUUUGUCCUAUUAGGAAGAGUGGUCUUGGGCUUUCAUGUGUUCCUUUCCAUAGCAUCAAUUAUUUUUUUAAAAUUGAUAGUAUAUUUAUCAUUUAUUUAUUUCUUGAAGUGUUUGUAUGUCCAUAUUUAUAAUUCAUUAAAAGUAAUAUAUAUAUAAUGUUCAAUGGUUUAAGUUUUUUUUUAUAAAAUCAAUAGUAAAAAUAAUUAUAAUGCAAUGUUGUUUGAAUCAUAUCGGACUAUCCAAUUAGACUGGUAAUCAAUUGAGAUACCGAUCCAAAAAAGUAAAAGAUAGGCGAUCUGCAAACUGAGCUAAAAAUAGUUGAACUGAUUGAAUCGUAUUCUAUAAUUAUUAAUUUUUUUUAUUUUUAUAAAUUUUUUAAUAAUUUACUUGAUUUAAAUUGAACAGAAUGAAAAUCAACGGCUUGAUUGGUUCGAUCAUUGAUCUGAUUUUAAAAAUAUUAAUAUAAUAUUUAACUUGAAUUGUAAGCUUUUUGAAAUUAUGUAUUAAGAUGUUGAAAUUUAAUUUGCUCCAAUUUAAUUGGAUUCUUCAACUUAAAAAUAACCAAGCUUAUUUAAGCUAAAUCCAAGUAGUUUACAACUAUAGUAUUUAAUAUUACUAGCUUUUAAUGUUACAAGUAUUGUGUGUGAUUUUGUGUAUUUAAUAAUUAAAUUAAUUUUUUUUAAAGAUUUUAUUUUUAAUUACAUUAAUUAACAUAAAAUAACAUUUCUUAUUUAAAUUAUUAGAUAUAAUUAAAAUAUAUUAAUUUAUUAUAAAUAUAUAUUUCUUAAAUUAUUUUUGUUAAUGUUAAACAAUUAUAUAUAUAAAUUGGAAGUAAUGGAUGCUCAAUUAUCUGUCAAUAUGCAGCCUUGAUUGGAUUUGUGUUUUUGUAUGUUUCAAAUAGUUUUCUUUGGCUUUUCUCUGUUUGAUGUUAUUCUGUCAAUAUGCUUCACUUUUUAGGCUUUCGUAUCUAGUUUGUUAACUUCAUUCUUAUCAUGUUAUGACUGCUUAGCGACUCCAUUGGGAACUCUGGUUUCAAGAUUCAAUCUACUUUAGGGCUUGGUUUUAAGGUUUUUGUUGUAAGUUGUAUGUGUGAAUUUAUUAAUCAAUUGAUGUGAAUUUUUCUUUCUGUUGCUUACGAUUAUAUUUGCUGUAAAUUGUCAUUCACUUUAUACAUGAAUUUGAUUUUGUCCUAUUUGGAAGAGUGGUCUCGGGCUUUCAUGUGGCCAUUUCCAUAGCAUAAAUUGUUUUUUAAAUCCAUUGUAAAUUUAUUAUUAUUUUUAUUUAUAUCUUGAAGCGUUUAUAUGUCCAUGUGUAUUCAAAAGUAAAAUAUAUAUUGUUGUAUUGUUCAAAUUUUUUUUUUAAAAAAAUCAAUAGUAAAAAAAUUAUAUUGUAAUAUUGUUUAAAUCAUAUCGAAUUAUUCGGUUAAAUUGAGAAUUAAUCGAGAUAUUGAUACAAAAUGGUAAAAUUUAGUUAAUUGAUAUAUUAUAAAUAUAUAUAUAUUUCAUAAAUUAUAUUUUGUUAAUGUUACACAAUUCUCUCUUUCUCUCUCUCUCCCUAUAUAUGCUGGAAGUAAUGGAUGUUUAGUGUUGACUUGUCCCAUCCAAUUCCCCUAUAUUUCAAUAUGCGGCCUUGAUUGGAUUUGUGUUUUUAUGUUUCAAAUAGUUUUUAUUGGCUUUUCUCUGUUUGAUGUUAUUUCCUUACUGAGUUGGAUGUUUAAUGCUGACUUGUCCCAUCCAAUUCCGCUAGAUUUUUAUGGCAAGAGAAGAGACUAAGCUAGUUUGUUUAUUUGCAGGGAAAAUUUGAAAUAGAAUAUGAUCAAUCAGAGGGGUUGUGACAGCAGUUGAAAUUGAAGGUUCGAGAGUUGUUGAUAGAGUAGUAAUGGCGUCGGAGAAAAAUGGCGAUAAGGGUAUUCAGAUAUCCGAAGAAGAAGAAGUUCAACAAAAGAAGGAUGAAGAAGAGCAAAACGAGAUUUUACCUUUCUUUUGAUUUAUGGUAUCCCUGUUUGGAGGCCUUUUUUUAUUAAUGAAUUCAAAAGAAAAAAAAUAAACAUAUCCAGAACUUGUAUAAUAAAUUCCUUCAAGAGGUCAAAUAACAUUGAGUGAAAUAAGUAUGAAUUCUUGGGCAACCACAAGACUCCACCAAUGUGACAAAUAGAGAAGCUAAAGGCUAUCUAUCAAGAGAAAUAGUUUCAGGAGUGUUGAAAUCUAGAAAGAUGAAUUUAAUGGAAAAGUUUCACUGUUGGUUGUAAUUGUCCUAGACAUUGAACAACUUGGAUUGGUCUCCCAUGAAUGGAUUAUGUCAUCUAUUUCAGAUUCUUCAUCCCCAUGGUCUUCAAUAAUAUUUCCACCUAAAGCUUUAUUCAACUCCAGCUCCAUUGCUACUUGUUUCAUGGUGGGUCUUUUCUUUCCAUUAAGAUUCAAGCAUCUUUUUGCUAGCAGAGCCACACCUAUUAUCUCCUUCUCUGGACCAUCCUUCACUACCAUUGGAUCAAGAAUGUUAAAUAAGGAAUUCUCCUGCAUUGACUGCAAAAAAUAAGAUACCAAGCUUCUCACUGACUCUGAUUGUUCUACGGAGAUGGGUUUUUUUCCUGUUAAAAGCUCAACAAGAACAACUCCAAAGCUAUAAACAUCACUCUUCUCUGUGAAUUGACUUGAUCAAAAAUAUUCCGGAUCCAUGUAUCCAAAAGUUCCUUGCACCCGAGUGUUUAGAUGUGUUUGUUCAAGUGCAACUGAUCUUGAAGUUCCAAAAUCUGAUACUUUUGCCCUAUAUUUAUCAUCCAAAAAUAUGUUACUAGAUUUGAUGUCUCGAUGAUAAAUAGGAGCAGAAGCAGCUGAAUGCAAAUAGAACAAGGCAUUGGUAAUUUCGAUCGCAAUUCGUAAACGCAUUUCCCAUGUCAAUGGUAAUUCUUCAUUUUGGUUAUGAAUCAGAUCGUAUAAUGUACCAUUUGGGAUGAACUCAUAUAUCAAUAGAGGAACUUCAGCUUCUAAACAACACCCUAAAAGCUUAACUACAUUCCUAUGAUUAAUUUGACAUAAAAUUAUCACCUCGUUAAUGAACUGUUCAACCUUCUUUCCAUCAAAUUUCUUUCCUUCCACCAUUUUGGACUUCUUAAUAGCCACAAUGCUUCCAUCUAUUAGCAUUCCUUUAUAAACAGUACCUUGACCUCCUUGACCAAGAAUACGAUUCUCAUUAAAAUGAUCUGUCGCCUUUUCCAUCUCUUUUGAAGUAAACACCUUUAUUUUUUCAACAUUACCUUCAUUGCUAGACAAAUGUUGUUGUAGUAACAAAUCUCCAUUCCUUUUGAAGUAUUUCUGCUUCAGCAUGAUUUUUUGUUUUCUUUUAAGGACUUUUUACAUACUCCAUGUUGCGAGUAGUAGAAAUAGUGUCCCAAUACUAGUGCUGCAACCUAUAUAGAUGUAAGAAACAUAGUUAAAAGGAAAAUUUGAAAACUAAAACAAUAAAAAUGUUUCAAUAAAGUUUGAUAGCCAUUCAUAUUUUUUGGUGAAUUACAAUCACAGGGUGUGCAACGCCCGAACAAAAAACACAACUAUCGCAACCCGAAUCCCAACCUUAUCUGGGACGGUGAACACCGUUGACAAUCAGGCCAUUCAUUUUAAAUGAAUAAUGAGAGAAUCUUAUUACACAAUCCCUUGUUUUGGCAUUGAACUUUUACAAAUUUAAUUAUAAAUAACUUUUAAUGCAUCACGCAUUCAAAAGUAAAUAAAUCAUUAUUUGAUUUUACAUAAUUCAAUAAUCAUAAUGAUUCCCCUUUAAAAACAAAAAGUGUUUGAUAAAAAAAGAAAAACAAAAAGUGUAAAUUCAUCACGUACCUACAAUAAUACUUUUCAAGUUACGGAUGUUUUGAGCCUGUAUUUUGCGCUCGCAACGAAAUUCCAUACUAUUGUAUUCAUAAUGAGGAGGGCAAGACUCCGGCCAACAAUAGUUGCUAGGGGCAUUCAAACAAAGCAAACUGCAAUCAUAAUUCUCACAUUUCCCAUCUGUCAUUUAUGAAUCGAAAAAAGAAGAAGCUAUAAUCAUAUAAUUCAAUUAAAGUAUAUGAGAGGUCCUUAUACUAUACGGAUUGGAUCAAAUUAGUCUCUCUAUUAUUAAAUGAAUAAAUUUAGUCUCUAUACUAUUAAAAAGAAUUAAAUAAGUUUAAAUUAUAACAACGUUAACAUUUACUAUAUAAAAAAUGUCUUGAAUUUUUUUUCAAAUUUUAUUGAAUUUCAAACAAAAUAUUUCAUUUACAGAGCUAUAAAAAAAUAUAAAAAAUAAUAACAAAUGUUAAUUCUAUUCCAAUUUGGCAUACUUUGAUUCUUUUUUAUUGCACAUGCACUGAAUGAAUUCAUUUAAUAGUAGAGAGACUAAUUUAAUCAAUUCACUAUAAUAAAGGGACUCUUAAGUGUAUUCACCCAUAUAAUUCAAUAGAUAUUAAUUAAGUAAUGCAUGCAAAAAUAAAAGUUAUUUUUAUAUAUAAAAAUAGGAGUAUUCCAGCAAUACGAAUGCAAAACAAUUAUUUGAAAAAAAAAAUUUAAAACAUGAAAAAAAAGUUCAUGGAGUUAAAAGAUAUUAAUUAUCAUGGUCGCUUUGUUGAAAUUUCAUUAUAUAUAUGUUUUUUUUAAAAUUUUACAUAAAAUAUAAAAUGAUAAAAAUACUUUCAUAAUCAUAUUUGUUCUUUUAUAAAAGUAAUAGAUUUUCAUAAUUUCUUAAUUGAGUCGAGACUUAGUUGAUGGGUGACAUCAACUCUAUUAGCCCUUUAAAAAGAUAAAGAUUUAAGGCACAUUCAUGAUGUGAGUGGAAAAAAUAUGUAAUAAACAUAUUUAUUAAAAGCUUAUAUAAGAAUCAAAUGAAUCUUUGGUUAAAAUGAUAAAGUUAAAUUUUAAAAUUUAUUGUGUGAAAGGUUCAAAUCUCACCAUGUUAGCUUUAUUAUAGAUUUUAUAUAAAAAUGUAAAAAGAUGAUAAUACCCUUAAAAUAAUAUAACUUAAUUCAUAUAUAAAAAAAAUUUAAUAAAUUUUCAAUUGAGGUAUUAAAUAAAGAUAAUAUAGAUAUAAGGAAAAAAUCCCUAAAAAAUAUUAACUCGUACCUUCACAGGAGCUUGAAGAACCAAUAUCAUUUGUAUCCCUAUAGCACAUACAUAGAUGAUUAGAGCUCAACCUCGACCAACAAUAUUUACCAUUGGAUGUACAGGAAGUGUCCGAACUAUCGUUCAAAUGGCACUCUCCAUAUAUUGAUAUGCCCCAUUGUAGUUGCGUUGGGACAUGCGUCCUAUUACUUAUAUCAAAGUCAUCGGUAAAAGCAUAGUCAAUAGAAAUCAAGGAAGAAAAUCCGCAUGAUCUUUUCCUUCUAUAAUCACUAGAAUCAAUCAUAUUACUCGUGUUUACAAAGAAUGAACUAAGUCCCUGAGGAAUAGUUGUUAGGAUCGUCCCGAAUAAGCAGCGAACAAGUAAAAAUAGUAGAAGAAAUUGAGAAGAUGAACACACAAAUUUAACGUGGAAAAACCCCUCAAAAGAGGAUAAAAAACCACGGGUAAAGAUAAUUUUACUAUAAUGGCAAAAGAAUGAAGAGUACAAAAGAUGAAGAUAAAAACUAAACCCCGAAAACCCGAAAAACAAAGAACCCUCAAACGUAAACACAAAAUUCUCUGAAUGUGUUAUGAGUUCUAAUCUAAUGGGUGUCUCUCUAAUUCUAAGAUUGUAAAGGAGCCUAUUUAUAAGCUAAAUUAGUAAGUCAAAUAAACUAUACUAAUAAAUGCUAAAUAUAUUAUACUAAUAAAUACUAAAUCUUCUAGAAAGAAAAUAUAUUUUUGUUUAACUUGACUUGCAAGCAAUCUCUUAGAAUUUGGGUCACACAAUUCUAACAAUAGUACCAGGACAACCAACAAUAAAGGAAGUCUUAUUAUGACUCCUACAACUUGAUUGCAAACACCCACCUAUAAUAUUAUCUGUUUCGUUCCCAAAAAUAGUCACUAAAUUACUGCAACCUGAAGAACAAAAGAUGUUGAAGGAAUCUGAGUAGUAAAAACGGGUGCCUGUUAGGUUGAGACUCAUCCCAUUGUGAUGGUUUUCUCGACAGUUGAAGUAAGUUAUUGGAUGAUUGAUUGUAACAGUGCCAUAAAAAACAUUAAAGUCCAAUAUUUGCAGAUUCGUGCCAUUUAUGUUUAAGAAAGGCACUCUUUCUCCAUUGACGGUUUUGUUGCAAAUUACUUUAAACCAAUCAUUGGAAUCAUCUUGGACGUCCUCCAUUCUAAAAGGGUAGUGAAAAGUAACAUUCCCACAGGACUCUACCUUAUAGGUCUUGAAGUUGAUAGGUCCUAGUAUUGGUCUUCCGCAUCCUGCGGGCUUAGCAAAAAGGAAAUAAAUUGCAAAAUCUUCUAAAGGUAUGUGCAUCCAAUGUUUGUAGGAAAUAAAAGCAAUGUAUCAUUAAAAAUAUAUAUAAUUAUUUAAAAAGUUUUUUAUAUUAAUCAUUUCUUAGUCUAGUGACAAAAGUAUUGUAUAAGAGCUUAGGUUUCAUCUCAAGCAAUCUCAUUCUUUACCUCUAAUUAUCAAAAUAAAUAAAUAUUUACUAAAAAAAAAGUCAUAUGAGAAGUCUCUAAGUAAAUUUUUUAAUUAAAUUUGUGUGUUAUUUAUGACAUUAAAUUCAAUAAAGGAGUUCUUAUUAAUAUAGAUACCGAUAUAUAUCUUAUGGUUGAAUUUGAUAUCAUUCAAUAUUUCUAAUUAAAAAUACUCGCCCUUCAAAAACCUUUAAGGUAUAAGUUUUUUACCUAAAACCUUUUACGUAUUAAUCUAAGUUUUUGAAAUACAAAACUUUUAGGUAUAAAUUUUUGGAAAAGAAAAAUAUUAAAAUACAAAAUGAAUGAUCCUAAAAGCUUUUUUUUAGAACUUAUAUGAUUGUAAAGACUGAUUUUAAACAAGUAGCAAGAUCUAUACAUUAACUGAAUUAAAAGAAGAAAAAUGAAAGCCAAGCAAUUGAAGUAACAGCGCGGCAGGAACAUUACUGACCUUCGUCACCGCAAUAGGUGGAAUUCCAGCUGAGCUCGGCGGGAACAUGCGUGGUUCCAAAUUCCAAUAUUGAUGCCAGUGGGUAAUGGGUAAGCACUACGGAGAGGGAACAAGCUAAAGAUGAAAGCAGAUGCGCAUCUGUUGCUGUCAGGGUACAUGGCUGUCAUGUUUACAGUAUAGGAAGUGAAAUUUCCAGUAAUUAAAGUUAAGCAGCCAGAUUCAGAAGCACCAUCGUCACACCUUGGUUGAAUGCAACCGCCAAGUGUAUCAGUUUCGAUACUUGAAAUCGUAGCCAAAUUUCCGCAACCCACUGACCCGAAAACAAUUUUUUCACUUGAGAAGAAAAAGGGAGUGCCUGAGAGAUUCACACUCACACUAGCCUUAUCACAAUUAAUAUAAGUAACUGGAUUACUGAUGAGAAUGGCGCCUGAAUGUAUGGAACCAAGUACCUCCAGAUCGCUGCCAUUUACGUUUAUGAAAGGCUUUUCCCCAUUGAGGGUUUGGUUGCAAGUUACUCUAAACCAAGAAUGAGUAUAGCAGGUGCUAUGGAUACCAAAAGGGGAUGGAAUUGUAAUAUCUCCACAUACUUCUUCUCCACAGGCAGGUUCUUGAGAUUCUGCAGCUUGUAAUAUUGGGCAUAAGAGGAAGAGGAAGGGGAAGAGGAGUCGGAGGAUGAAGUAAAGCGCUAAGUGAAAACCCAUUCCCAUUGUUAUUUUGUUCGAGGGAAACGAAUGAAGAUUUAGAUUGGGUUACUGAAGAAGUCAUGUUUUAAAGAAACAACAGCAGAGUUAAGUAGCAGCACUAGAUGUAAAUUAUAUUUCUUAAAGUAGCACCACUAGUGUUUUUCUUUUCUUUUUAAAAUUAGCAGAAAAUAAAAUAUAAUAUUUUCAGAUGUAAAUUUUUAUAUAUAUAUAUAUAUAUAUUUAAAAUUUGUGCUUUGUGUGUUGCCCUCCGUAGUGCUUUGUGUGCUUUGUCCUUUGAUUUUUAAAUUUAGUAAUAUGAUCCUAAUUUUUUUUUUAUUUUCAGACACAAAAUAAGAGUUUGAAAGUAAGGGUUCAAAAAUUAAAUAAAUAAUUUCCAACACUUCUAUCAAAUUAUUGUCCGUACAUUUUAAAGUAGGUAUACAUUUUCAUUUUAUGAUAUAAUAUAAAUUACCAAUAUCCUAUACUUUAUAAUUCAAUAAACAAAUGAAACUCCAAAGACAAAAAUAUUUAAUAUUUAAAAUUAAUGCACAAGAUACAAGAAUAUUAAAUAUUUAUUAAUAUACUGCACAUAUCACAAUGCACCAUUAAAUAUUAAUCCCAUAGUACAAACAAUGGUAUUCAUACUUUAUAGCUUAUCAUUUUUAAUGUUUGAGCCGUUUUUAUAGACUGUAGUUGGCCAACAUCAUUUGGUCCGCAACAUGUGAAUAUAUUAUGGAUAAAGUAUUGCCCAGGUGAAUAAAUUACGGUUUUUUUAAUCAUCAAAAUUAUAAAUUAUUCAUCUACUUAUUAAUAAAUUUCAUUUUUGACGAUUUAAUUAUAAAAAAGUUAUAAAAUAAUCGUUUAACUAUUUAAAUUUACUUUUUUUUUGUCAUCAAUUGGUUAAUAUAAAAAUAGAAAUACCUAAAAAAAUUAAGAUAAUUGAGUGACCAAACAAAGAUAAAAUUAAAUAGUUAUUUGACCAUUUUGUAUAUUUUUAAAGUUGGAUGAAUAAAAAAUUCCUUAAUUUGGUGACAACUAAUGUAUUUUACUCAUAUAUUAUAUUAUACAAGUAAAAGAACCUUAUUUGCUAAGAGUUAGUUUUUUUUUUGUCCUUUUCAAUCCCCUCUAUUGGGGGUGUAAAUAAGAUAUUGAUACUUGCAAGAUUACUCCAUUUCGACUUGAAAAAGAAUUCAAAUUUAAUUCGGUAAUUGUUGAGCUGAACUUAAGCUAUCAAUCGAGCCAAAUUCGAGUUUAGUAAUACUUGACUUGAACAACUUGCGAGUCUGAACAUGUAUUUCAUAUUUUUUAUAUUAUUAAGUUAUUGCCCUUAAUUAUCAAGUCGAGUUUGAGUACACAAAUUGGUAAACGGAUUUAAUUGAGCUCAAGUUCAAGUAGCUCGAUUAUAUCUUAAGUGAACUUGAACUUAAAAAUAGAUGUUUAAUUAAACUCAUACCGAAUAUCAAAUUCAAAAUUUUAAGUCGAGCUUAACAAUAUUCAAGUUAAACUCAAUUACACGCCUACCCUCUACAAGGCAAUCAGUAUAGCAAGUAUCUGCCCUCAUAAAAUGUGCAUUGCAUCUCAUUUGCUCUCGUGACAUCUUAUUUUCUAGUUCAGUACACAUCAGAAGUUUCCGAGGAAGAUUUGCAAAGAAGGACUAGAAAAUGAAAUUUGAAGUUUAUUGACAAUUUCGUCACAAUCAAGCUAAAGUUUUCCAAUUCAAAAUCUUUUAUGAAAAAAUCAACACUCCUCGUCACUACAAUCUUUAUUAUAUGUAAGUUUUUUUUUUCAAUAUAAUAUAUGUGAUUUCAAUAUAUUUUGAAAAACCAGCAAGAGCAAUAAACAAUAUCAAAUUUGUUUCCACGAUAUUUGUGGACCUGCUGCUGUAUUUUCAUCUUAAAUGUUCUAUUUUUAUUGCUUAACUAAAAAUUGUGUAAAUCAGUGUUAGAAUCCUAAAAAUAAUAUCUAAUAUAAAAGUUUAUUAAAUUAAGACAUAUCAUGUAAAAUCAUCAAGAAUAAAUCAAGAACAAAACUAGACGUGGGUGCUUGAAUUCAUCGAUUUUUUGAAAUCAACUGGGAGUCUUCAAUCUUGACGGAAAUCUACUUCAGAAUCGACUUCAAUGGUGUUUCCCGAGUUGUUUUCUUGAAUAUUCUUUGACGGCUCUUUUUUAUCUUCUUAUUUUUGCCAUAUAUACGUCUUAAAAUGUCCGAAAAACUUAAAAAUCGUGUUUUUCCGCUUUUCAAAGUACUAAUUCAUGAAGUCGACACGGUCUACCACGUGACUGUGUAGUAGCCUGUGUGGCUCUUGUAGCUUGCUACGAUUUUCUGAUUUUUGCUUGUUUUUUGCUCCCCAAAUGCUACCCUAAGUAUAAAAACAUGAAUAGGAAGGAUUAGAAGUAUAAAAUUCACCAUUAACAUCGAAUAAUCACCCAAAAAUGUAUUAAGAAUGAGAUUAAAACAUGUUACGUGUUUGCUUGUCCUAAAGCAAAAUCCUCAACCUACACUUAAGUUAACUUCCCUCAAUUUAUUGUUUUUACUGAUAAUGUCUUAAGAUAAUUUACAAAUAAUCAUUCAUUGGAACUUUAUACUAGAACAAUACUAAAUAACACAAGCAAUCCAAGCAGAGAAUUUUAAACUAUAAAAACAUUAUGUUAAACUAAGAUUUAUUUGAUAAAAGAUUAAAUUAAUUUAACUAAGAACACAACAGAGAGUAAAAUAGGAAAAUAAUCGAAGAUAACCAAUGAGAUAGACAAUACCCAUGAAAGAAUCCACCUAGACUUCACCUAUUAUUAUGAAUCUGAAUUAAACGAUUUAUUUACUUGUUACUUGAUCCGUAGAAAUACUUAAAUUAUGUUAAUAACUCAUUCGAGAGUAAAAACAACUGACUCUAGGUUGAUUAGUUCAAAUCUCUUUCUAAUUAAAACCCAUAUCAUUGCAUUAACUCAAUCUAUGGAUUCCCCUACUAGAUUUGACUCUAAUCCGAUAGAUUUAUGUCAUUCUAUUUCUAGGAUUGCAUGCAACUCCACUCAAUUAUUCUAGAUUUACUCUUAAACAAGGCUUUUUGCUCCACUGAAUUAAGCACAUUAAACAUGAAUUAAUAUACCAGAAAUAUUAAAACAAGAAAUAAGCAUACAUAAUUGAGAACAAGAAUAAAAUAUUUAUUGCGUAAAACAUAAAUUAAAUAAUAGGAUUCAUCAUAGGUUUUAUCUCCGCUAGGUAUCUAGGGGAUUUGUUCAUAAUCCUAAAUGAAAACAUCUCAAAGUCAUAAAAAUCACAAGACAUAAAGAAACUCAAUAAAACUUCAAAAGAAAUUAAAAGGAGAUCUUCAAUUUUGAUGGAGAUUCACUUCCGAGUUGGCUCUGAUGGUGUUCUUCGAGUGUUUUCUUCGAUCUUCUCUGGUUGCUCCCUUAUGUCUUCUUCUAAUGGGUAUUUAUAGCCUUUAGAAUGCUCAAAACCCCUAAAAAUUGGGGUUUUUCGCGUAUUUGGGAAGUAAGGUCCGAAAUCGACACGGGCUGGCAUAUGGGCAUGUGACCAGCCCGUGUGGGAAUGCCCAGACCAUAUGGAUCCUGAAAAUAACUCUUUUUGUUCGAUUGUGGCUCAUUUUUCACUCAGUUCACUCCCAAAUGCUCUCCUAAGUAUAGAAACAUGAAUUUAAAGGAUUAGAAGCAUCAAAUUCACUAAUUUGCAUAAUUAAUCAUCCAAAAACACAUUAAGAAUGAGAUUAAAAUAUAUUACUUCUAUAGCUUAUCAAUAUAACAAAUUAAAAGUUUUUUUUUGAAUAUAAUCUAAAAUUGAAGAAAUAAUUUUUAAAUUUGAAUUCUAAGAAAUAAAACUUUAAAUAUUUACAAUAAACUCUUAGAAAAUUUAGAAACAAUUUUAAAAUCAAGUGAAAGUAAUUUUAACCAAGUCAAAAUGAUCUUAGUUAAGUUAAAAUCAUUUUAAUACAUCAAAAUGAUUUUCGAACAAGUCAGAAUUGCUCCAGGCCAAAAAGUAUCGAUACCAUUUGGCCAAGUAUUGAUAAUUUUUGAAAUAUUGAUAUCCUAAAAAAAUUGAGACCAAAAAGGAAUUCUGUCAAGCCCUAAAAAUAUCAAUACCAUGUUUUUUAGUAUUGAUACUUUUUGAAAAUAAUCGAUACCUUUCUUAAAAACGAUAUCAAAAUUGUAUUAUGUUUCUUAUAAACCCUACAAAGUAUCGAUUCGGUAUCGAUACCUAUUUCAGGAAGUAUCAAUAAAAUAUUUUUGAAGUAUCGAUUAUUUCAUUCCAACGGUCACUGAAUUGGUAUUUAUGACAAAAAAUAUCGAUACUCUUUUUGGAGGUAUCGAUACUCGCAGUUGCAUGUGAAAUAAAUGCUCUAGUUUUACAUCCCCAACAACCUCAACGACUAGAAAUCUAUUAGGGGGUAUAAAUACCAUUUUUUAAAGUCCUACUAUAUUUAAGAAAGUACUUUCAAACAAAAAUCAUCAAUCAAACCACUUUAGAGCUUAAAUUUUCAUAUUUUUCCUACAUACACUAUUGAGCUUUAUCUUUAUUCCUUUGCUCAAGUGUAUCUCAUUAUAUUUGUACUUCAAUUUGAAAACAAUUUUAUCUUGCAAUGAUUGUUUCUUUGUUUUCUCAUUUGUAUCUCUUUGAGAGGGCUUGAAACUUAAGAUUUAGGGUAGAAAUCUUAAGGAGUUGCAAGGUUAAACCUUAUCCUCAAAGGUUGAACAAAUUAGUGAAUUUCAAAAAAUCCUUACUGGUGGAAAGCUAAGAUAGUGGAGUAGGCAAUUGGGACCGAACCACUCUAAAUUGUUUGUAUUCUUUAUUCAUUCUUUCUUUUGCUUUCAUCAAAUUUUUUAAAGGCCAAUUCACCUCCCUUUGCAUUUUCAGUUUGCUACAUCGAGCUAUCAAUUGGUAUCAAAGCUAAAACUUUAGAGACAGUUUUACCACCAAGAGAGCGGAUCCUUAAGGUAUUCAAGAUUGAAACUACAAGUCAAGAAAUUUCCUUCACGACACUAGAGCAAAAUUUCACUAUAUUAGGAGAAAGGCAUUCCACCAUGAGGCCUUCACUAUUCAAUGGCACUAACUACUCAUAUUGGAGAGCAAGAAUGAAACUAUUCAUCCAAGCUAAUGACUCUGAAGUUUGGAGGAUAGUUACUAAUGGGCCAUCUAUUCCAAUACAGAGGGUCAACCAAAGGAAGAGAGUGAAUGGGAUGAAAAUGAUAUUAAGAAGGUGCAAUUAAAUGUGAAGGCUAUGUACAUUCUAUUUUGUGCUCUUGGUCCAAAUGAGUACAAUAGAGUCUCCUUGUGUGACAAUGCAAAAGAAAUAUGGGACAAACUUGAAGUCACUCGUGAAGGGACAAGUAGAGUUAAGGAGUCCAAGAUAAGUCUUCUCACCCUUGAUUAUGAAUUGUUCAAGACAAAACUGAAAGAAGGAAUCAAGGACAUGUCCGAUCGCUUCACUCGUAUCAUCAAUGGUCUCAAAGCUCUUAGGAAGACAUGUCCCAACAAGGAGAUGGUAAAAAAGAUGUUGAAUAGUCUUACAACAUAUUGGGAACCUAAAGUGACGAUAAUAGAAGAGUCAAAGGAUCUCAACUCACUCUCUCUUAAUGAGCUCAUUGGUUCCUUUUUGACGUAUAAAAUGAAGAUCAACUACAUCGCAAAGCAAAUCAAAGAAGUUUUAAAGAAAGUGGGAGUUGCAUUCAAAUCAACAACUUGUAAGAAAGCAAUAAUGAUGAUGAUGAAGAAAUGGAAAUGCUUGCAAAGAGAUUCAAGAUGUUCAUGAGGCCCAACAAAGGAAGACAAUUCAAAAAGAAGGAAGGAUUCAAGAAUGAAUCUACCAAAGAGAAUAACCCUAUCAUAUGUUAUGAAUGCAAGAAGUCAGGAUACAUCAAGUUUGAGUGUCCUCAAUAGAAGAAAAUAGGGUCAAGUAAACAAAAGCUUAAGGCUUAUGUUACUACUUAGAGUGAUGAUGAUUCAUCAGACAAUGAAGAUCAAGAAGUAAUCAAUCUUUGCCUUAUGGCCAUAGAUGAUAUUAAGGUAACUUCUAACCUAUCUACUUUAAAUGAUUAUUCUUUUGAUGAGUUGAAAGAUGCCUAUGAUGAAUUGGGUUUGAAAUUUGAAGUCAUGAUGUCAAAAUACAAGAAAAAUGUUUCAAAAUUGAGAAAUAUGAAAAUGACUUGCUUUCUAAAACCAAUCAUGAACUUAAAGAGAAAGUAAAUAAAAUGCAAGAAAUUAUUAAUGACUUUGAAAAGAAAAAUUUAGACUUGUAUAAUUUACUUUCAAAAGCUCACGAGGAUCAUCAAAAGCAACUUGAGUUGCUUAAGAGUGAAAAAGCUCACUCUAACAAAGUUUUAGAAAGAGGAGAAAGUUCAAAACAAAACUUUGUUAAAAAUAGGUUUAAUUUCUAUAAACAUAGAAGUCCUCAAAAUUUUUACAAGAGAUAAAUCAUUAAAAGUGUAUGAGUCCUUAAAAGACUCAUAACUUCUCAAGAUAGAAGCUUGAUUUCAAAAUGGACACCCAAAAAGACUAAAAUUAUAAGAACUAAUACUUAUGCUAAAAUUAUAAGAACUAAUGCUUAUGGACCCAAAAGAAUUUGGGCACCAAAAAUCAAAUCUUAAUUCUAUGUCUGUAGGAAAAGGAGCAUUGCUUUGAGGUGGGUUAUUCAAAGAAAAACUUAUGGUACCUCGAUAGUGGAUGCUCAAGACACAUGACUAGUGAAAAGAGUCACUUUAUCGAUUUGAAACCAAAAAGUGGAAGAGAAGUUACAUUUGGUGACAACUCUAUAACAAAAAUUGAAGGAAUAGGCUCUAUUAGUAAAAACACUUCUAUCAUUAUUGAAAAUGUCUUGUAUGUCAACGGUCUUAAGCAUAAUCUUCUAAGUAUUAGUCAAUUAUGUGAUAAAUGUUUAAAUUUCAUAUUUGAGUCUAAAGACUAUAAAGUUAUUGACAUUGCUUCUAAUAAGAUUAUGCUUGUAGGGCAUAGGAUAGAAAAUAUAUAUAUGGUGCAUUUAGAUGAUAUGCAUAACUCCAGCUUAUGUCUUAUUGCUAAAGCUCACUAUAUAUUUCAUAACUGAAGUGUUAAUCUAUCAUAUCUUAUGUAAUUGUAUGGAGUAUGUACUAUGCUAAAUUGAGUAAAUGUAGAAGUGCCAAAUUAUCUUAAAUGCCAAAUUAUCUUAAAUAUAUGUAUGUGAUAUAUGCUAGAAUGACUAUGUAUUUGUUAUGCAUAUGAUCCAUUAAAUGAAGCAUGUAUUAGCUCUAUAUGUUAUCAGAUUUAAAAAUAUCGUACUUGCUAUAAAUGGUUGAUUGUGGGUGUAUGAUAACAUCUUUGCGUUGUAGUUAUUCUACACAUUCACUGAGCUUGUUGAAGCUCACCUACUUUUUCCAACAUAUGCAAAUUAGUGACAUUAUGGUGUGGGCAGUGUGGUUUCCAAGGGAGUGAUCCAAGAAAGACUUUGUAAUUCUCGUAGGUUCUCAUUAUUUAUAUACGUAUUGGGGAAAUAGGCAACAUGGUAUAAUCAUUAUAGAUUUGUUGAAUUCUAAACAUUUUUAGUUGGUUUAUAAGGAUUUCAUGUUGUUAUUAUUAUGCUUAGAAUUAUAGACAUUGAUGUUGGCAUGAUGAUUCUUUCUUGGUCACGUUUUGACGAUUUAGACUGAUAAAUUAGCCAUUGAAUGAGUAAUAAAUAAAGUACUUGAUACAUGAUGCUUAGGAAUUUUUGUGGAAUGAAUUAUUUACUCUUAUAUGUUGCAUUUUUGGUUAUUACUCUUAUAUGUUGCAUUUUUGGUUUCAAUAGCAGAUGUAUCGAUAUUUGGGACUUAAAAUCGGUACCUCUGUAAUUUAAAAUGUACAGAAAAACAGAAUAGGGCUUUGGUAUUGAUACCUUAUCUUGAAUAUCGAUACUUGAGACUAAAGUAUCGAUAUUUCAUAGCAGGUACCGAUAAUUUUCGAUAGUUGGGAUUUUGGUUGAAAAAUAGUAUGCAAGUUUGGUAUCGUUUUUCCAAGUGGUAUUGAUACCACUGAGAGAAAAUAUCGAUACCUUAAUGUUAGUAUUGAUACCUACAAUCACAUUUAUGAAUUUUACUAGAUGGCGACAUGUUUCUAACUAUUUGUAAAACUGAUUAAUGUAUGAUUUGCUUGUAACAAUGAUAAUUAUCUAGUUGAAUGAAUUAAAUUCUAUAUGAACAGAUAAAAAAAGAAUGGGUUGCUUAGAUUAAGCUUUCUACUUGAUGUACUCGAGAUGAGAUGCUGGUGUGACAUCCCGUAUUUGGGCUUGGUGAUUAGGCCUGGUAUAGGGUGUUAUAAAAGAUAAGGAAACCAAACCUUAAUUAUUUGAAUGUUUGGGUUGUACAUCUAUGGUCAAAGUAACACCUAAACGCAAAAAGUUAAGUAAAGAGAAAUUCAAUGCAUAUUUAUAGGAUAUGUACAUAACAACAAGGCAUAAUGAAAUUUCAAUUAAUACUAUUAUUGAGUCAAGAAUUGUUAUUUUUGAUGAAAAUAAAUUUAGCUCUAUUUCAAGAAACCAUUGGAACAAGUUGAUAAUAAUGAUGAAUCUUGUCAAGAAUUAAGAGGAAGUAAAAGGAUUAAAAAGACCUAAACUUUUAGAUCAAGUUUCAUUAUUUUCCUUGUAAAAGGUAAAGGUGAAAGUAUAGGAAAUAAGAUAUGUCAUUGUUAUAAUACGAAAUCUAAUUUUAUUAUAGGUUAUAUAAAAGUGGUACCUAAACUUGUCCAUUUCUCCCAUAUUGGUACUUGUGAUUUUUUUGUCCCAGAUUGGUACUUGAACUUCUUCUCCAUCAACUAGUUUGGUAAUUUUUUUUAACGUUCUUAAGUUUGGGACAGGUGACAGAAUAGAGUUGUGACACGUGGUAAAUGAUGUCAUGAUGAUGUCAUAAUCUAAAAAAUAUAUUAAAUAUCAAUAAAAAUAUUUUUAAAAAUUAUUUCUAGUUUUUUCUUAUUUCCUUGUUUUUCCUGAUAUUCCUUUCUUAUUCCUUCUUCCUCUUGUCACUUUGUCCUUUUUCUUUCUGGGUUCAUUCAACAUUUCUGGGUUCUUUUGAAACAAAAUUUAAUGUUUAAUGUUUAAUGUUUCUAGCAUCACCCUUUGAAGUUUGAUGUUUAAUGUUUUAAGUAAGGAACUAGAUGGUCUAUGGUUAUUGAUCCAUUUCCCGUUUGAUUCUAAUUUCAUUUUUGUUCCAUGUUUCUGUGGAUUUGAAUACAAAUUGAAAUUCAAAUCCUAACUUGGUGGUCGUUACCUAAAUAUUCGGAUUGAUUGGAAAUUGAAGAAUGGUAACACAAAACCAUACCGAUCUGUUUGAUGUUUAAGAAAGCGUAUUUGGACGAAGAUGGCCAAGUUAGUGGAGUCAAGGCUGUUGCCUUUCUAAAAGGCUCCAAUAUGCCUAAACACAUUCUCGCUCUAGUUUUUAGGAACACCUAUUAGAAAAGAAAAUCUAGACUUAGAACACCUAUCAACCCAUUCAAAAAAAUCUAGAAAAUUAACAUUACAAACAAAACCCAUAGACAUUAACAUAACAAACAAAACCCAAUAAUCCAUAAUAACACAAAAUAAAACAAAAAGAAAAUGAUGAGAAGCAAAACAAAACCAUGACUCAUUUAGGGUUUUUGGGUUCUUGAGAUUGAAAACGUGAUGAGAAGAGGCCAUGGUCAAGUUCCAAGAUGAUUCAAUGAUAAUGGCUCAGUUCGACGUUGGUGAGUAGUGACAGUGAAGCGGAAACCAGAGCCUUUGAAAACAAAAUAUAAAGUAGAAAAGAAAAGAAGAAGUGGGAGAGAGAAAUGAAUGGUGGAUUGUUUCGUGCUUCUCCAAUUGGUAACGGCAUCAAAGUGGAAGUAAGAUGACCAACAGAAGAGAAUCUCAAUAGGAUUUCAAGGAGUUUUUUGUAAAAAUAAUUCAGAGGAAAUGAAAUAGCAGGAGGAAAAAGUUGACCAGAGAACAAACGUCGGUGACAACGCCAAAGUGCGACUGUGGUACAUGAUGGCAAUGACUAGGGUUGGGAAAGAGAGGUGGAGAAUUAGAAGAAAAGAAAAGAAAAAACAAAAUGAAAACAAAAAUGGGAAAGAAUAAAAGAAAAGGGAAAAAUGAGAAAAUGAAAUAAUAAAAGAAAAGGGAAAAACGAGAAAAGGAAAAAGGAAAUUACAUCAUCAUGGUGUCAUUAUGCCACGUGUCACAAUCCUAUUCUACCACCUGUCUCAAACUUAAUGGCUUUAAAAAGUUCAGGUACCAAUCUAGGACAAAAAAAAACCAUAAGUAUCAAUCUGAGAGAAGUGGAAAAGUUCGAGUACCAAUUUUAUAUUUAACCCUUUAUUGCAUUUGAAGAUACAAUAAAUCUCAAGACUCCGAUUUUUGGAAAGAGGCUAUAAAUGAUGAGAUAAAUUCAAGAAUGAGAAAUCAAACUUGGACCUUAGUUGAUCUUCCACCAAGGUUGUAAAUAGAUUUCAAAAAGAAAAUGAAGGUCGAUGAAACCAUUGAUAAAUUUAUAGCAAGGGAUUUAGGUUCAUGGUAUUUAAACCUGUAACAACCCGAUUUCAAGUUGUGUUGAAAAAUGAGGUUUCAAAACCCUAAACUAUCUUUUGUGUUAUAUAUGAUGGAAUGAAUUAUAAUUUGAUCUAAAUCUUCAUGCCUCAUUCUUGGUUUCUUCCAUUCAUUUUUUUCCUUCUUCCAAACAACACAUAUAAUAUAUAACAAAAGUAAUAAUAAAAAUAAAUUUUGGAGAAGAACGGUAUUUGAUAUAUAUUUUUGCAAAUUCGAACUAAGAUAUUUCACCUGGAAAAGAAAUCGUGACUGUAGUUGUUUUGUGACGUCAAAAAUGAUGUUAUUAUGAUCAAGCACACACCUAGCUUUCAUGAUCCUCACUAUUGCUACCUUAAUCUACGGUUUUCGAUAUUCCUUCGGUCUACAUUUGGUUUCUUGAUUUUCAAGUUCCGACUCCCUUUGCUCAACCAGUGUAACACCCUAAAACUUGGCCUGAAAGCUCGAUUGGAUUUGGAGCGUCACCAUGGUCACCAAAGUGACCCGUUCGAUCAUUUAAUCAUUAAAAAUUAUAACAUAAAUUUUAAAAUUUAAUGAUGCUCAAUCAAUCAAUAAGUUCUAAAAUAAAACCAAAGUAAACAAGUUGACCAAUUUAACAAAUCCUAUGUACAUGUCAAACUAUACUAUUUCAAGGGUUUUUACGAAUAAGGAUUGUGGAAAUUUUUUGGCGAUGCUAUCUAUCACAAACUUAAAAACUAUCCAUUACAUGCACACAAAAUAAAAGAACUUGAGCAUUGUGCUUUACAACUCAGUGGUGAUCCAAUACAUUUUAAACUACCAAUACAUAUAGUUAAAACAAAAUCAUUCUAUAGUAAUUUUCUAACACACAAUACAAUCAGAAAUCAAUCACAAUAUAUCAUUUAAAAUAAUAAUUAGACAUUGCCAAUGCAUUAAAAAAAAUAACGAUAGCGUUUCAAUUCAAUGCUCAACUUCAUUUAAUCAUUUCGCCCCAGAAACACGAGGAAAGACAUUUGGACACAUGAGUUUCCAACCGAACACCAAAUGAUCGAUGAAAAUGACGCAAUCGCCAACAAUGACAAUAUUCCAUCGCAUGAUAAACAUGACUUUAUCAAUGGCCAACCAACACACCAAUCUCGGGCACUCAAGGCAUUCCACACAAUGAACAAUAAGCAAUGAUGGGAACCCUUACGCUCUAUGGCAUGCCAAGUAUAUCUAACAAAUUUCCAACUAGCUUUACUGGGCAUUUAAUCAUUUAUUAAAAUAGUAAUAAUUUUCAGAAAUUAAUCAAUUAAUAAAAAUAACAAUUUAACAAAAUAGCAUACAUUAAAAAUAAUUUAAUAAACUAUUACAUGAAGUGAAUUUCGAAUGCAAGGAAUCAUAGAAUCACAAUCACCAAGUCAAUAUUUUAACUACAACAUUAGAUAAUUUAAAAUGCAAAGGAUCACAAAUUGUAAUUCUAAGCUUCCGUUGCUUAGGAACAAUUAAUUCAGAACGAGUUUCACUUUCAACGAGUGGUCUAAUUUUUUGACUUCAAUAGAAAAAUAUAGAAAUUUAUUAAAAACAAUUUUAAAUUAUCAAUUCUAUAGAGAUUAGUCUAAUUGCACAUCUAAUUUAGACAUAAUUUCAAUUUAUCCAUUACUCGAACAUUAAUUAUCGUACACCAUGUAUACAUGUAUAGACUCAAAUAAAUUAAUAUUAGCUUUAAUAUAAGCACAUUAAUCUAAAAACUCUGGCACAUUUACCUCAUCCUCAAACAGUUAAUUAAUCUAAGUUUAACUCAAAUCAUCUUAAGUUGCAAUAAAUUCAAUAUAAUUAUUUCUAAUUAACCCAAUUAGAAUUGAUUAGCUUAUACCGAUUAAUCUAAACUGUUAAAUUUAAAAUUAGACUAAUUUGAAACUAAGCCACAUGAAUUGUAACCAAACUUAACUUAGAAACAAUCCAAGUUAAUAUAGUCAGUUUAUUCUAAACAAAUUUUAGCUAUAUGAUUAAUCUAAACAAUUUUUCAAUAAAUCAAACUUUAAUCAAACUAACUAAUCAAACAAAGUUUCAUAACUGGACCACUAACCAAACAAUCUUUUUUUUUUCUAAAAUUAGAAUAAAUCACAUAUAAAACCAAAUCUGCCCAAAAAUGAUAACAAAAACAACCAACAAUAUCGUUAAAUCUAGUAGGGAGUCACAAUAAUAUUAAGCAAGUGCAGCAACUAAACCAAUUUUAAUGGUCACUUACCAGAGACGACUAACAACAACCAUAUAUAGAAGUAAUAAAUGACAACCGGCAUCAUCUUAGAGCACCAAAUUUUGGUGCCAGACGGUAACUAUUUUAGCCAACGAUCAGCGGCAAUUUUUGACGAUCGCCCAGCAAAUAUUUUGGAGCGAAUAUAGCAGUAUUUUGGAGACAAAUGGUGGGGAGAAUUAAGGCAAGCGGCGCAACAAUAAACAAGGUUUUUCGAUGGUGAUUUUGAUGGCAAUUUGGAGGCACUUAAAGACAGUAGCUGAAGCAAACAACAGCAGAAAAAUCAUGGAACUGGUGUUGCAAAGAUUUGAGAUUAGCACAACGGGCAUAAGAAAAUUGACGGCUAUAAUUAAGAGCUGAUCCACAAGCACACAAUAGGCUAAAACAACAAAAAAUUGAAGCUAAUGGGCACCCAAACAAUAGGCAGCACAUUUAGAUUGCAAACAGUGCAAGGUUGGGCAACAAAAUUGAAGCAAAUUAAAUAGCAAAUCAAUAACAAAAAUAACCAGUAACAGCUAAUUAGAGGCUGAUUGAUAAAUAAUUGGUACAACAACCAUUCGGAAAAUUGAAACAAUUAUUUGGCAUCAACUAGCAAGGCGCAACAAAUAUUUGAACAAAUUGGCAGAAAAGAGACUGAAACUUGCGGCAAUGGGAGAGAAUAAAUAGAAAUUGAAGGUUGAGGACUUCUAAUUGAAGUCUCAUUAUCAAUUUAUCUAAUAUAAAAAAUCCAAUAAUAGUCCUAAUAAUUCUAACAAAAUCCUUAUAUACUAACCUCAUUUCAGUUAAACUAAUAAUAAUAAUGAUAAAACACAACAAAUGUGCCUGAUUGCCCAUUGUAUUUCUUUUUUCGUUUGGUAAUUAAUCACAUUAAACCUCAUACAUUCUUCUCAUCUCAAAAUUAAUCCUCAAUUUUAAGGCUUUUCAAUUUUUUCUUUUAUUACAAAUUAAUUCAAAAUCCAAUUAAAAGCCCAACAAUUCCAAAAAAUCCAUAAACAAUUACUAACUCCGAAAAUAAAUUUCUGAUAUUAAAUUCGCUUUAUGGUAAAUCUCACGGUAUUCAAUUGGAAUUUUGCGAAAUCCGACACCGAAAAUUUUGGAGUGUUAUAGCCACAACGCCUAUCUUGGCAUUUGCAAAGAAAGUUAUUACCUGAUACAUUUAAAUAUUUUGGGAAAGAGAAUUUAACCGAGUUGCUCACUGUAUUCCAUGCAUAAAUGUGAGUUGGUGAAAGUUAUUAUACAAUUACUGUAACAUUAUUGAUUUUUGUUUACAAAUUGGCAAUAACUUAGAUUGCUAAACACAUUAAGAAUCCGUGUUUACCAUGCAUUGUUGUGGUCUAAGCACCUUGACCUUCAUCCAGUAGAGGUUAGUACAUAGGAGCAAUAUUAACACUACUAUAUAGGAAGAGAUAAACGAUGAGAAACAAAUGUGAAAUAUCCGAAACUUAUGAAUAAUGCUUAGAUCAAAAAACUUAUCAUUCUCAGUGAAGUACAUGUCAAUAUAUACAAGAAGGAUCAACUGGUUAACUAUAGCAGAAAUCCUAAUAGACUUAAUCGAUAUAACAGCAAGUUGGUUUUCUGAACUACAGUGAAUCAAAUUAACUUCCUUUGAUUGUUUAGCCUCUCUAACAAAAUGAAAUUUAAUCUUAAAAUGCUUGGUUUUUCCAUGAAAAACUGGAUUUUUGGCUAUGGCAACAGUUGACUGAUUAUCAACUCUAAUCUCAAUAGCUUCAGCUUGAUCUUCAUUCAAAUCACAUAAGAGUUUCCUAAGCCAAAUGGCUUGAUUAACAGCUACGGCAGCAACCGUGUACUCUGCUUCUACUGUGGAUUGAGCAACAGAUUGUUGUUUCUUUGAACUCCAACAAAUGACCCUAAGCCUAGAGUGAAGAAAUAACCAGAUGUAUUCUUCAUGUCAUCAAUGGAUCCUGCCCAAUCACUAUCAGAAUACCAUAUCAACCUGAGUUCUUUUGCAUUCUCAAAUUUCACUCCAUAAUCCAAAGUCCCUUUCACAUAUCUAAGAACUCUUUUGGCUGCCCUAAAAUGAUCAACAUUACAGUAAUGCAUGAAUCUAGAAAGAAGACUAACAACAUACAUUAUAUCAGACCUAGUAGCUGUCAAGUAAAGCAGACAACCGACAAGACUUCUAUAUUCUUUCUUAUCAACUCUUUCAUGGAUGCUAUUGUUGGUUAGUUUCUCACCUUGAGCCACUAGUGUGCUAACUGUUUACAAUUUGACAUGCAAAAUUUGUUUAAGAUUUUUAAGGAAAAAGCCUGCUGACUUAUGAAGAUGGCAUGAUCAGUUUGAUUCACUUCCAUGCCAAGAAAGUAAGUCAUUUCCCCUAAGUCAGUCAUUUCAAAAACAUCUUGCAUCUGCAUUUUAAACUCAUCAAUUAGCUCCUCUUUACUUUUAGUUACCAAUAGAUCAUCUACAUAAAGUGACACUAUCAGCAGAGUUUCGUUCUCUGAUUUCUUCACAUAAAAAAUAGGUUCACUAACACUCUUCUCGAACCCGAGACUAGAAAAAUAUGUAUCAACUCUGUCGUACUAGGCCCUUGGUGCCUGCUUUAGACCAUAUAAGGCCUUUUUUAGCUUAUAGACUUUAUCCUCUUCAUCAGAAACCUUGAACCCAUCUGGUUGCUCUAUGAAGAUUUCUUCUUUGAGGAAGCCAUUCAAGAAAGUAGGUUUAACAUCUAACUGAUGCACUCUCCACUUCUUUUGUGCAACUAAAGCAAACAGAAGCCUUAUUGUAUCUAACCUUGCAAUAGGGGAAAAGGUUUCUAAUAAUUCAAUACCAUACUGUUGGUUGUAUCCCUUCACUAGAAGUCUUUCCUCAUGUUUGUUUGGAGAACCAUCAGCAUUGUAUUUGACCCUAAACGCCCUUUUCACACCAAUAACUCUCUUCUGGUCUGGUCUGGUCUGGUCUAUCUACCAAUUCCCAAGUAUUAUUCUUGUGUAUCAUCUUAUUUUAGCUUCCAUGGCCAUUUUCCAACAAUUUUCUUUUGCAACCUCAUUAAAACUUGAAGGCUCCAGUAUUGCCACAUCACAUCUUUGAUAGAUGUCAGAGAUGGUUCUUAUGCCUCUCACAGGUACAUCAUCAAAUUCAUCACUAGUUAGCUCUUCUUCUCAUCAACUGGUUGUAGAUUACUGUCUUGUUGGCUUUUUUCACACAACUUUGCAUCUGUACUAGUCCAUUUCCAUACAUUUUCCUCAUUAAAUUUCACAUCCCUGCUCACCAUGAUCCUUUUGGUGAAGGGAUAAAAAACCCUGUAGCCUUUCUUUGUGCUGCUGUAACCAACAAAGAUCCCUGGCACAUAUUCUUUCUCAAGUUUGGUUCUCUUCUUAGCUGGAAUAAGUGUAUAGCAGACACAACCAAACACUUUUAGAUGUGAAACUGUUGGCUUGAGUCCAAACCAAGCUUCAAAAGGAGUUUUUUCUUUGACAGCAUUGGUUGGCAGUCUGUUGAGUCGGUACAUUGAGGUGUUCACAGCCUCAGCCCAAAACUCACUUGGUAAUUUGCUUUCAAAUAGUAGGCAUCUUGUCAUAUCAAGUACUAUUCAAUUAUUUCUUUCACUAACUCCAUUUUGCCGAGGAGUAUAAAUCGUUGUUAGUUGAUGUUAAAUUCCAGACUACUCACACAACUUCUGAAACUUAUCUAACAGGUACUCAGUGCCAUUGUCUGAUCGCAAGGCCCUAAUCUUGCAACUUGAUUGAUUCUCAGCUAAAGCUUUGAACUUGCUAAAUACUUCAGGUACUUCUGACUUCUGUUUCAGAAAAUUGGCCCAGUAAAACCUUGUAUAAUCCUCUAUAAACAACAUAAAGUAUCUGCUGUCAUUCAAAGAAGAUGUCUUCAUUGGUCCACAAAUGUCAGUAUGGACCAAUUGAAGUUUGUCUCGAGUCCUCCAUGCUUUGUUUUUUGGAAAUGGCAGUCUCACUUGCUUCCUAAGUUGACAAACUUCACAAACUGUGUUUUUGACCUCAACCUUGAACAUGUCCUCAACCAGAUUCAAUUUGUGCAGCAAACCAAGUGAUCUAUAAUUGACCUGGCCUCACCUUUUAUGUCAUAAACUAGCUUUAUCAACAAGACUAGUAUAGGCUUUCUUUUCCAGCUUAUUCAUAUCCAGCAUAAAGCAUCUCUUAGUCAUGGCUAUUGUGACUAGUUCUUGACCAAAUGUGUCUUCAAUAACACAUGAGUUAUUCAUGAAAACAAGUGAAUAACCCUUUUAUAUUAAUUGACCAGCACUAAGCAAUUUUUAGUCUAUAUUAGGUACAAAAAGAACAUCAUAAAUUUUUUUGUUACUUGAAUUUGUGUUUAUCACAACAUUGCCUCUGCCUCUGGCCUCAAUAAGAUUUCCCUCUCCAAUCCUAACUUUGGACACAAAGCUUCUGUCAAGAACUUUGAAUAAUACUUCUUCUGAUAUGAUAAGUCGUCAUUUAUACAUAUUUUUAUCCCACGCUUAGCACAUUUUUGGAUGAAUUAUCAUUAGAUUUGUGGAACUCGAUGCUCCUAAUCCUUUAAUUUCAUGUUUUAUACUUAGGUGAGUAUAAGAGAGUAAAAAGAGCAAGAAACGGGCCAAGAACGGAGAAAAUGGGUCAACGUGGGAAAUCAACACGGCCUGGAUUUCCUCACACGGGUAGACCACACGCCCGUGUCUAUUUAAUAGACUGUAACAUGGUCUAAGCCAUACCACACAGCCAUGUCUAUUUAGCAGACUCUAACAUGGCCUAAGCCACCUCACACGGGCAUGUCCCUGUCGAGCUCAUAUCUAGUUCUAUUCGGAAAAGGCCACUUUUGAGGGUUUGGAGGCAUACUAAAGCCUAUAUAAACACCCCAGAGGCACCGAGAGAAGACACAUAGAGUGAGAGGCAAGGAACUACUCGAAAAAAGUCGAUUGAUCCAUCUCAGAAGCCGGAUUCUCCUUCAAGACUGUAGAUCUCCCUUCAAUUUCCUUCAGGGGUUUUUGGGUUUCUUUAUGUUUUGUUAUCAUUAUUCUUCUGAGAUGUUUUCUUUUACACAUAUAAACUAAAUCCCCUAAAUACCUAAGGGGGAUGAAACCUAAGACGGAUCUUGUUAUUAUUUUUUGAAUUAUAUGAUAAAUACUUGAUUUGUUCUUAAUUAUGUGUUCUUAAUUCUUGCUUUAAUAUUCCAGGAUAUUGAUUCAAGUAUUGAUGUGCUUAUUCAGAGGAGUAAAAGUCCCUGUCUAAGAGUAGAUCCAGCAUAAUUAAGCGGAGUUGAUUGCACCCCUAGACAUAGGGCGACAUAAAUCUGCCGGAUUAGGGUCAAACCUAAAAAAGGAAUCCAUAGAUCGAGUUAAUGCAAUACUAGGGGUUUUAAUUAGAAAGAGAUUUCAAUUAAUCAACCUAGGUUAGACGUUGUUAGUCUCGAAAGAGAUAAUGAUAUAAAUUAAGGAUUUCUACGGAUCGAGUCAAGUGAAUAAAUCGUCUAGUUCAGAGUCAAAUAACAAGUGAAGUCUAGGUGGAUUCAUCUUUGGGUAUUGUCCAAAUCAAUUAGUUUUCCCAAAAGUAUUUCCCCAAUUUACUUCCUGUGUAUUCUUAGUUUAGUUAAUUAGUUUAGAUAAAGCAAAUCCCUUUAUUUUUAGGCUAGAUAAUAAAAAGAAGGUUAAUACUAGUACUUUUAGUUCCUGUGGGUUCGACAUUCUGGUCUUGCUAUAAGCUAUACUACUGUUCGAUAGGUUUGCUUGCCUUUAUCAUGAUAAUAGUAGUUUUCAGGUACAAUCAAACAAUAAAUAUAAAACUUAUCACGCACAUCAAGUUUUUGGCGUCGUUUCCAGGGAACUAAGAUAUUAGGAACGCUUAAUUUUUAUUACUUUAGCCAUUUAUUUUAUUGCAAUUUAAAUUUUAUUUUUAUUACUAAAUUUUAUUUUAUUUUAUUUUGGUAGAUUUGUAUAGUUUAUGACUAGAAGAAACCCGUCAGGACCAUUACUUUUUGAUAGUGAGAUCAAAAGCAUAUCUCGCAGAAACCAAAAAGAAAUAAGGCGAAACCUACGAUACAUAUAGGAAGGGCAAGAGGACGAUAGUAAAACUACAACCGAGGGGAUGGCUGAAAAUCAGAAUAAUCAGCUACCUCUUGUGGUUGCCGCAGAUCCAGUAAAUCAGAAUCCUGCUCCUCGUACUAUGUAUGAUUAUGCUAAACCUACUUUAACAGGAGCCGAAUCGAGUAUAGUUAGACCUGCUAUUGCUGUAAAUAAUUUUGAACUGAAACCUAACACAAUUCAAAUGAUACAACAGUUUGUUCAGUUUGAUGGUUUGCAGGACGAGGAUCGAAACACUCAUUUGGCGAAUUUUCUGAAAUUUUACGACACUUUGAAGAUCAAUGGCGUUUCUGAUGAUGCCAUACACCUUCGGUUGUUCCCAUUCUUAUUGAGAAACAAAGCUAAACAGUGGUUGAAAUCGUUACCACGAGGGUCAAUCACUACUUGGGAACAAAUGACCGAAAAAAUUUUACUUAAAUAUUUUCCACCGGCUAAAACGACUAAACUAAGGAAUGAUAUCUCUUCUUUUGUGCAGCUGGAUCUAGAAACCCUGUAUGAUGCAUGGGAGAGGUACAAGGACCUAUUGAGAAGGUGCCCUCACCAUGGGUUACCUCUAUGGCUGCAGGUUCAGGCUUUUUACAACGGUGUGAAGCCCUCAACAAGGCAACUUAUCGACCUAGCUGCAGGUGGAACUUUAAACAAUAAAACACCUGAAGAGGCUUAUGAAUUUAUUGAAGAGAUAUAACUAAAUAACUAUCAGUGGCCAGUCAUAAGAACAAAGCCGACAAAAGCAGCCAGUGUUUUCAACCUCGACGCGGUUACUAUGCUGUCUAACCAGGUAGAACUUUUAAAUAAAAAGAUUGAUGGUUUGUAUAGUUCUAUUCAGGUACAUCCAGUGAUGAGGUGCGAUUCAAAUGGAGGAGGAGUACACACAGAACAUCAAUCCUUCAACCGUAGCCUCGAGGAGGAACAAGUUCAAUAUAUGGGUAACAAUAAUUCUAGACCUCAAAAUAACCUAUACAGUAACACUUAUAAUGUAGGUUGGAGGAACCAUCCCAAUUUCUCGUGGGGUGGCCAAGGAAAUCAAAGGCCACAACAUCUCCCAGGUUUUCAACAACUACCCUACCAGCAGGAAAAGAAGCCGAACCUUGAGGAGAUGCUAACGAAAUUCAUCUCGGUGUCAGAAACUCGUUUUCAGAAUACCAAAACAGCACUUAAGAAUCAACAAGUGUCGAUCCAAGGGCUCGAAACUCAGAUAGGCCAGCUUACUAAAUUGAUUUCUGAACGACCCCAAGGUAGCUUACCGAGUAACACUGAAUCUAAUCAAGGGAAUAACUCAAUGCGAUUACCGUUCAAGAUGAGGAAGGGUUAGUUGAACAUGAACCAGAAUCGAGGCAAUAGGAAUUGUGUUAAGUAAAAGUAAAGGUGAGGUGGACCACAGUGGGCCAAAACUGGUAAGUAGAGAAUAUAAACCUCGAGUGCCAUACCUCAGUGCGACAAGGAAAGACCACACGGAUGAACAAUUUGGUAAAUUCCUUAAAUUAUUAAAGAAAUUACACAUUAACUUACCGUUUAUUGAAGCUCUUUCACAGAUGUCAAACGCAGUUAAAUUUUUAAAGGAGCUUUUAGCAAAUAAGCGAAAGUUGGAUGAGGCGUCGCAUGUAGAGUUGAGCACAGUUUGCUUAGCCGUUCUACAGAAUAAGCUACACAACGAGUGGAAAGAUCUAGGGAGUUUUACGAUUCCUUGUUUAAUUGGUAGUUUAAACGUUAACAAUGCUUUGGAUGAUUUAGGGGCUAGUAUUAAUGUCAUGCCCUAUAAAAUGUUUAAACAACUAGGUCUUGGGAAACCCAAACAAACUAGGAUGAGCAUUCAAUUGGCAGAUAAAACAAUAAGAUUUCCUAGGGGUAUUAUUGAAUAUGUACUUGUUAAAAUUGACAAAUUUAUAUUCCCAAUUGAUUUUGUUGUUUUAGACAUGGAAGAGGAUAGUAACGUGCCUUUGAUUUUAGGACGACCCUUUUUAGCAACUGCUAGAACUAUUAUUGACAUUGGCACAGGAAAAUUGACACUUCGUGUAGACGAUGACACGAUCACCCUCCAAGCUCGUGAUUCUGCUAAAAUAUCUAGCAAUCAAGAUGAUUUUUUAAGUUCGGUUAAUAAUGUUACAACUCAAACUUCUUUGCAGGAGCCCCUUAGGAAAAACGUGAUGGAGCCUAACCCAUGCCACGAAAAUAGCCCGACUCACGAAGAACGAAGGCUUCAGAUCGAUGAACUAGAUGAAUGGCGAACACCUGUCAAGGAGAAACCAAAAGCACACGAAAAAUUGAAGCGACACCACGAUAAGCAUAGGGAUGAAACAAAGCAAAUUAAAGUUGGGGACAAAGUAUUGUUAGAUGAAAAUGACCCCCGAAUUGCUACUUUAGAGCACAAUACGGACAGAACGAUUCCCUUCACGGUAAUGUACAUCUUCCCACGCGGUACAGUCGAGGUAACACAUGCUGUAUUAAAAAAUUUCAAGGUAAAUAAUACUCAACUCAGACCUUAUUUUGAUAAAAUUGAUAGCAGAUGUGAGGAGUUUCAACUCCUCAAUCCACUGUAAUCAUACGAAAUUGAGGUAAGUCAAGCUUAGACUAUAAAUAAGUGCUUCUCAGGAGGCAAAUCGAGCACUAACAGUGUUGAUUUCUUUAAAAUUUUAGUUUUUAACAUCUGAAUCAUUAAUUGAGUCCUUGAACAUAGGUUUUCCAAAUCCACACGACCAGGCACACGAGUGUGCCUUAGCUCGUGCUCAUACCACAGGUGGUGACACGACCGUGCGAUACGACCAUGUGACAAUAGAGUAAAAUUUUUCCCCAAACACGGGAUUCGAUACGUUUCCACGACUGUAGAAUAUAGCCGUGGGCAAUCCUGCCAAAUCAACAUGGGCGUGAGACAUGCCCGUGUCUAUAAGCUGUGGUAGAAACUAAGAAAUUAACACAGGCAUAUGACACGGCCGUGCCUAGCACCCGUGGUUGAAGCUGUCAACAUAACACGGGCGUGGGAGAAGCGAAUGAAGUAGGACAUGACUGUGCGACACGGCCAUGUGCACCAACACUCCCAAAGAACACGGGCAUGGGCCGAAUUCUAGAUGAGCCCAAAUUUGAAAAUCACAAAACACACGGGCUGAAAUAAGGCCACACGAGCGUGCCACAUGGCCGUGUGCCCCAAAAUCUAUUUAAACCCCCACUAUUCCUCAUCCCCUUCCCCAACACCCUAUCCCUAACUGCCACUUCCACCAUGGCCGUCGCCGCCUAAGUCCCGACCAUCAUCCAAAAUCCAUCAUUUCUCCUCUUUUUUCUUCCAUACACAUCAAAAUCUUCUCUCUUUUCCUCCUUUCCAUACACAUUCCUUUUUUUUUCUCUCUUUCUCCACUCAUCCCACGCCUCAACGUCGCACCAGCACCAUCACGCCAUUGCUCCUCCGACCACCGAUCCUACACUAAUGGUUUUCUCUUCUCUUUUACUUUCUUUUGAUGCUUACUAUCAUGAUUUUACCCUAUUACUUACAUUUUGCUAUUACUUGCUUAUCAUAUCAUCCUCAUUCUUAGGAUCUAUUUCAUCUAUUUUGUGUUGAAUUUAGUCAUGCUAUUACUAUGCCAUUUGCCAUAAAAUUUCUAUCGUCAAGUUAGAUUGCUUUUGGUUGAAUCUUGUUAGUGUCGUUGAAUUUGUUAGUUUAACUAUAUUCAUGAUUAAUUCCUUUUUUUAUUUUUUAAAUUUGUUAGCAUAUGUUAUCUUCUCCGUUCUUCUUGUAGACAUACCAUGUCAAAUCCACAUGGGAAAAAGACAACUGUCCCCUCCUCAAAGAAGCGAAAAGGAGUAGCAUCCUCAUUGGGUCCUGCCAUCGAGAUCCGACACCCAUUCCUUCAAUUUCCACCGGGGCCCCAUGAGGAACUAUUUCAGAUACUAUGGGCCCGACCCCUAGGUGUGGGCCUUUGCAUCGAUUGGACCGCUCUAGAUAGAUCCAACUCGCUGAUGUAGUCUGGGCUGUCCUGACUACUGACCCAUAGGGGCUUUUCUUCGAGAUCAUUGAGCCGACAUACCUCGAGCACACACUAGAACUCUAUUUGACCUUCCACCUUCAAGCCGUUAUGACAGAGUUCGAUGCUCCUGGAAUGGUCCAGUUUCGUCUCGGAGGUUUAGUUUUUCAGUUGAACGUGCCUGAGUUCGGUGUCGCAUUAAGGUUAUAUACGGAGGAGUUCAUGGACGACGGCGACUUCGACAGUCUCCAUCGCUAUAUCUAUUAUUCUCAUUCAAAUUGCUGGAAGGCCUUAGUCCCUGCUUCGGCCACUUAUGACCCUAGUUGCUCCAAGGCAUCAACUCUUGCCCCAUCCCUGAGAUACUUACACACCAUCCUAGCCCACACACCGACAGGACAACGAGAGAGUACCGGUGUUGUCAACACUAAGGACGCCUAUUUUUUAUGGAGCAUGGUGCAUGGGCACGUAUUCGACCUCACUUAUUUUAUCGCCCUCACCAUUUGCCAUCAGAUAGAGCGGCAUAGGAAGGGUGUCAUUUCUAUCGGCCCUUAUAUGACUCGCCUGGCACGGUACUUCGGUCUCCUCAACAUGGCGGCGUAAUCAUCCUUCCUCACCUUCAUCAGCCAAAUGUCACCACAGAGCAUCUCGAGUAUGCUCCAUGUGAGGAUGAUCGAGUGACAACGUGGAUUUGAUCCUCCUCAGUACCGCCUCAUCCAGUCAGCCGAGCUGAAGGACCCAGAGGACAUUGCUGAUGAUGUCCUUCAACCUCAUGAGAAUCCACCACCACAGCCACCACCUAUCCAUCAUCCAGUUCAUGCGGCUGCUUCACUCUCUGAUAUCUCUGAGUGCCUCACUCGAUUCGAGCAGCAUUGUUUUCAGCGCCUUGAUCACAUUGAUGCAACAUUACAUCAGAUUUGUCAGCACCUUCACAUCUCAUCGCCACCCCCACCUUGCGAACCAUCUGGCAAUGAAGAUUUUUGAAGAUUUUUUAUUUUUAUCUUUUACUUUUAUCUUUAUUUAUAUUUUUAAAUUACUUUUUUAUUUUACUUCUCUUUAAUACUAUUUUUACUUCAUCUUUAGGGUUUACAAUUUAUAUUAAGCAAUUUAUAUUUUCUGCCAAUUUUUUACGAGUAAUCAUGCUACUUUAUAUUUCCUAAAGAAUUAUUGAUUCUAUCGCAGUUAUGACGAGCUUCAAAGCUCACUAUUACUUAGGAACUUGCAACUUCACUGGAAAAGGUCCUCCACCACUACCAUGCCCUGCUCGACCAUGACCUUAGCUACCACUAGUUAUAAUAUUCUUUUGGCACAGCACUUAUGGACUAACAACCUCUAUCACCAUUGGAGUAUCCUCCUCCAAAUCUCACCCUUGCCUUAGCCGAUUACUUUCAUAACUCCAAUUCAAGGAUUCCAUUUAACAUUCAGGAAGUUUCACUUCUCUCCCUAUCUUAUGAUCUUAUAUCGAUAUUUUUCAGUAAAUCUAUCUUUGUACAUUGAGGACAAUGUACAUCUUAAGUGUGGGAGUUUAUUCAUAUCAUUAUCAGAAAAAUCCCUGAAUUUUAUCUUAUUCUCACGUGAAUCACUCAUAUCAAUAUUAGAAUGAAUUUUGAUUAAUUUAUGAUUUUUAUUGAUAUGUCUUGAAUUAAAACAUAGGCAUUUAUGCAUUGAUUGAGCAAGCUCUAAGGAAUUAGAGAAUCAAACAUGAUAAGUUAAUUUUUUAGAAUUAAAAAAAAUUAGGUUAUUUCCCUAAGUUAAGGCAUUAUCUUGAAGUUGAAAUUUACAGGAUUAACAUAAAAAAGCUAUAAUUUCUGUGAGAUCUUGAGCCUUUAGAGCAUAUAUUAUUUCUUUCAUGCUCACUUUUAUUGUUGCUAUGAGUGUGUUAAUACUGAUUUGUUAUUCUAGAACUUGCUUCGAUUAUGCAUGUGACGACCACACCAUUUGAUUUGAUAUGUCAAGAUGAUAAAGGUACUUAAGUUUAACCCACUCACUUCAUAGAAUCUAUCUUCAUAAUUAACCCUUAGUAAACCCCUUUGAGCCUAACAAGUCAUUCAUUGACUUACCCCCAAUAUUAACCCAUAACCCAUUAUUAUUGAAAUCCCCUCAAUUAGUUUGAUCCCUAUUAUUGUCGAGAUUUGAUUUAAAUAAAUUGCUUAGCUAUGUUUUAUUUUUGAUAGUUAGCAAAGUUCUAUGUUACUUGAUUUGUUCUAAAAAAAACCACGAAAUUAUGUAAUUCUUGGAUCAAAACGAUGUUAUCCAUGAAGAAAAGCUCAAUUCUAGGAUCAUCUAAUUAGGAAUGUAAUUUGUUAGUUUUAUUAUUUUUUUAGUUAGGUAAUUUUUCAAUUAAAUCUCGAUUCUAACCUUCUCUUUUAGCUUGUGACCACAACCCCUAACCAAAGCCAUGUUACAACCCUCUAAAGACGUUUUGAUUGAUGCAACAUCUAAAUAUAUAGUGGUGGAGAUUUGAUUUUCAUGAAGCUUAUGGUAAUAACUUUUCAUAUUAACUGAUGAGUGCUAAAUUUAUUGUCCUUAAAUACCUUGAGUGAUUUGAGUGAAUCUUUAGUGAGGAUGUUGAAUUCUAUAAUAUUUUGAAUCAAAGAUGAUUACUUAGAUGAGGGGAAAUACCUAUGUUUUCGUGAUAAAAUGCUCAACUUGGAAUGUUUGAAACUUUGAUGUUCUUCUAGUUGAAUUAUCAAUGUAUGAUUACUUAUGGAUUAUUAUGAGAUAUUAUUGAUAGGAAUUAUAAGUUGAGAAAAAUGAAUUCUUAAUUGUGAAUUGAGGAUUUUGCUUGAGGACAAGCAAACGCUUAAGUGUGGGGUAUUUGAUAAGUCGUAAUUUAUACAUAUUUUUAUCCCAUGCUUAGCAUAUUUUUGGAUGAAUUAUCAUUAGAUUUGUGGAAUUCGAUGCUCCUAAUCCUUUAAUUUCAUUUUUUAUACUUAGGUGAGUAUAGGAGAGUAAAAAGAGCAAGAAACGGGCCAAAAACAGAGAAAAUGGGUCAACGUGGGAAAUCAACAUGGCCUGGAUUUCCUCACACGGGUAGACCACAUGCCCAUGUCUAUUUAACAGACUGUAACAUGGCCUAAGCCACACCACACAGUCGUGUCUAUUUAGCAGACCCUAACACGGCCUAAGCCACCUCACACGGGCGUGUCCUUGUUGAGCCUAAAUCUAGUUCUAUUCAAAAAAGGCCACUUUUGAGGGUUUAAAGGCAUACUAAAGCCUAUAUAAACACCCCGGAGGCACCUAGAGAAGACACAUGGAGUGAGAGGUAAUGAACUACUCGAAGAAAGCCGAUUGAUCCAUCUUAGAAGCUGGAUUCUCCUUCAAGACUGAAGAUCUCCCUUCAAUUUCCUUCAGGGGUUUUUGGGUUUCUUUAUGUUUUGUUAUCAUUAUUCUUCUGAGAUGUUUUCUUUUAUACAUAUGGACUAAAUCCCCUAAAUACCUAAGGGGGAUGAAACCUAAGACGGAUCUUGUUAUUAUUUUUUGAAUUAUAUGAUAAAUACUUGAUUUGUUCUUAAUUAUGUGUUCUUAAUUCUUACUUUAAUAUUCCAGGAUAUUGAUUCAAGUAUUGAUGUGCUUAUUCAGAGGAGCAAAAGUCCCUGUCUAAGAGUAGAUCCAGCAUAAUUAAGCGGAGUUGAUUGCACCCCUAGAUAUAGGGCGACAUAAAUAUGUCAGAUUAGGGUCAAACCUAAUAAGGGAAUCCAUAGAUCGAGUUAAUGCAACACUAGGGGUUUUAAUUAGAAAGAGAUUUUAAUUAAUCAACCUAGGGUUAGAUGUUGUUCGUCUCGAGAGAGAUAAUAAUAUAAAUUAGGGAUUUCUACGGAUCGAGUCAAGUGAAUCAAUCGUCUAGUUCAGAGUCAAAUAACAAGUGAAGUCUAGGUGGAUUCGUCCUUGGGUAUUGUCUAAAUCAAUCAGUUUUUCCAAAAGUAUUUCCCCAAUUUACUUUUUGUGUAUUCUUAGUUUAGUUAAUUAGUUUAGAUAAAGCAAAUCCCUUUAUUUUUAGGCUAGAUAACAAAAAGAAGGUUAAUACUAGUACUUUUAGUUCUUGUAGGUUCGACAUUUCGAUCUUGCUAUAAGCUAUACUACUGUUCGAUAGGUGCGCUUGUUUUUAUCGAGAUAAUAGUAGUUUUCAAGUACAAUCAAACAAUAAAUAUAAAACUUAUCAUGCACAUCAUGAUGCCAUGUGAAGAGUGCAACCACUAUCUACUAACCAGUCUCUUUGGACUUUACUUGAAGUUGUAAAACAGGAUGUAGUGAAAACAUGCUCCUCUUGAGCUUGAAUAUCUUUAGCAGCCUGUACUUGAUUCUGCUGUUAAGUUUGUGCCCUUCCUUUGUUCUUGAAAACUUUUUCAAUGUGUCCAAAUUGUUUGUAGCUCUUACAUUGAAUAUCAAGCCUGUACCAGCAGUACCUCUCCAAAUGUGUGGAUCUUUUGUAGUGAAUGCAUGGUGGGAACUUUUUCUUCCCAGCAUCCCUCUUUGAUUUCUCCCUCUUGUCAAGACAUUUUUUCUUUCCUUUGUAGCUCGAACUUGAGCUUUCUUUGGCUUUUGCUUGGAAAGCUACUUCAGGAUACUCCUCCAUCCUGUUGGCCCUUCUUUGCUCUAGUGCAUACAGAACAUUUAUCAACUUAGACAAUGAAAUGGUUGAUAAGUCUCUCGAGUCUACAAAUGAGGAGAUUUUUUACUCAAAUUUUUCAAGAAGAGUUGUAAUGACCUUAACAACAACUCUGCUCUCACUGAAAUCAUCUCCAAAGAGCCUAAUAUUGUUGACUGUUGCCAUUAUUCUAUCACAGUACUGCUUGAUAGUUUCAAACUCUCUCAUCUUCAAGUUCUCAAAAUCCCUCUUGAGGUUGAUCAGCUGCUGCUGCCUGGUUUUGUCUAACCCUAAAAACUCUUCCUUCAGCUUCUCCCAAGCCUAUUUUGGAGUGUCAUAAGCCAUUAUUCGAGUGAAAAAAACAUAAGACACUCCAUUUUGUAAGCAUGACAUUGCUCUGUGCUUCUUAGCACACUCUUCACUAUGUUUUCUAAUUUGUGCAAUAGUAGGAUUGGCCCUCAGUGGAGCUGGUCCGGUGUCAUUCUCCACCACAUUCCACAGGUCAUGUGCUUGGAGGUAAGUCUUCAUCUUUACUACCCAAAUGUGGUAUGUUCACCAGUAAAGACAAUUGGUGGAGGUAGUGUAAAACUUAUAUUGCAGUAACAAUAAAAACAACAACUUCAGUUUUUUUUCUUUAAGGUUUCUCGCAAAACAGCUGCCAACAACAAAGGCCCUAAAAAAUGACAGGCUCUAAUACCAUUUACUGGUGUUUUGACAGUAAAACAAAGGAGAAAAGAAAUAAAGAAACAGAUGCAAAGAAAUUUGAACAAGAAGAAAACUGAAAAAAUCUUAUCUGAUAUCAAAUUUCAUUAAGUUAAACAUAUAAGUUACAAGGUAGUUACCUAAUGUAUAACAGUUCCCACAAAUUACUUGACUAAAAACAUAGCUUAAAUUACACACAAAAUGCAACUGACAUAUAAGCUAUUACAUCACAUUGGAAAUCAUUCAAAUCACGAGGACUAGAAGUACUAGUAAUUACCAUUUUCCUAUUAUUUAAUUGACAGAUUGGAGUGAUUGAUUUAAACUAAAAUUAACAAAAUUAAUUAACUAAAGAACUUAGCAAAAAUAAAUCAAGAAAAUAAUUGAAUAAUAACCAAGAAGUGGAAUAAUACCUAGGAAAAGAUCCACCUAGACUUCAUCUGUCAUUAUCAAUAUGAAUUAAACAAUUUCUUCACUUAAUAUCUUGAUCCGUAAAAAUCCCUAAAUUAUGUUAUUAUCUCUUUCAUAACUAAGAGAAACUGACUUUAGGUUGAUUAAUUGAAAUUUAUUUCUAAUUAAAACCCCUAUUAUCACAUUAACUCAAUCUAUAGAUUCCAAUAUUAGAUUUGAAUCUAAUCUGGUAUAUUUAUGUCAUCCUAUAUCUCGGAUUGUAUGCAACUUCAGUCAAUUAUGCUAGAUCUACUAUUAAACAAGGACUUUUCCUCCUCUAAUUUAAGCACAUUAAACAUGAAUUAAUACUUUAAUAAUAUUUAAAUAAGAAAUAAGCACACAUAACUUAGAACAAGAUUUUAAGUAUUUAUUACGUAAAAACAAAAAUCAAAUAACAGAAUUUAUCAUAAGGUUCAUCUCUCCUAGAUAUCUAGAAAAUUAUUUCAUAAUUGUAAAUAAAAACAUCUCUAAUAUAGUAUAACCACAAGAAAUAAAUAGACUCGUAAAAAAACUUCAAAGAAAUUAAAAGGAGGCCUUCAAUCUUGAUGAAAAUCUGCUUUAAAGUCAACUUCAAUGGUGUUCUUCAAGUUGUUUUCUAUAAUAAUCUUUGAUGACCCCCUAUUCUCUUCUUCUAUUUGGUAUUUAUAGGUCUUAAAAUGCUGGAAAAAGCUAAAAAAAUAAUAGGUUUUUCUGUGUAUUUGGAAUGUGAAUCGUGAAAUAGACACGGUCUGACAUAUGGCCGUGUGGCAACUCGGGUGGGAAGGCCCAGCCCGCGUGGCUCCUGAAAUAUACUCUAAUUGUUUGAUUUUCGCUCCUUUUGCUCCCAAAUGCUCUGCUAAGUAUAGAAACAUAAAUUUAAAGGACUAGAAGUAUAAAAUUCACCAAUUUGCAUAAAUAGUCAUCCAAAAAGGCAUUAAGAACAAGAUUAAAACAUGCUACUUUUAUCACUUAUCAGUUAGACAAUUUCUUUUUAAAAAAAUAAAUGUCAUUAGAAACUAAUUUUCGGUCUCUAUUUAAAAAUAAAAAAAUAAUCUAAACUAGAGUAGGAUAUGUGUAAAGAGUUAGAGACAAAUAAAAUGGCUAGUUGAGCCUUGACCCCUAAUUUGUUAUAUGUAUAUAUUUUUUCAAAUUCUUUAAACUAUUUUUAUAAUAGUGUUAUACACUAAUGAUCUCUAACCCUAAAUCUAGAUAAGAUUUGAGUCGCUUACCUAUGAUCUGAUCAGGCCCCACCAGAUGGAAGUUGUCUGAGAUGUACAGUGAAAGAAUUGCAAUGGAAGGUCACAGUAUCAGCAUGCACGAGCCAAGGGGAAUACUCAAUCUCAGUUCACAGAUAUCCAAAGAGUUUACAUGUAGGUGUUCGUGAGGUCUGGUAGGCGAUCCAGAAACCUAUACGUGUCCAGCAUGCCUGGCACCUAUUCAGAUCAUUAGUACUAUGAAUAGUGGGAUCAAGUCCAUGAACAGUUGAGUUAAAUCAUGAACAAUAAUAGUAUCUAUAAAUACCCGAUUGUCCCCUACAAUGGGACACAACAGAGAAUUACUCAACAAUGGGUAUGGUGAACAUGGAAAAACUUCCCUACUAUCUCCCUAUCUGUAUCCAUUGGGGUUGUGACCCUCCAAGAAGUAUAAGAACACAUUCCUCAACACUAGAAGGUCUUCAAUAACUAGGGAACUGCCAACACGGAGCCUUCUCAACUGAGUAUCACCACUAUCUAUCUUGACAGAUCUCUUGAAUGAGCACAUGUAUCAACUCGGUGUAGACCACUCAGUAGGAAAGCCAAACCCACCUAUGAGCUUGCAUCUCACCCUGAUAUACUUUCCCCAGUUUAACCGAAGGUUAACAUAUCGGUUCACGAUUAUGGUUUCACCUUUCUUACAGAGAGAAAAGUAAUAAAAACCUAACGAGUUUCCUCGAUUUUGGGCCUUUAACAGGUACAAGCUCUGGAGAACUGUGAGUGAAGGUCAUUUAUUGAGGAGACGACAAUCAAUAAAAUAUGCCACCGCAAUCCAUUAAGAGAACCCACAAAGUUGACUUGGAGCAAUCUAGUACUUUUGGAGUAGAUGGAAAAAAAAUAGAUUUAUGGGCAGAUGAAACCCAGCUUCCAACGUGUGGGGGUGAGCAAGAAACUGCCAUCACUGGUGUCAUUAAGCCUAUGCGACCCCCAAGAACCGAGAAUUCAUAAGUAAAGUUAGAGAUUAAUUGAAUCUCCCAUGCACAGAAAGCUCAACGCAUCUCUUCAUCUUUUGUAAUACAGAUGGAAAGAUUAGCCUCAAUAAGGACCUUGGAAAUGCGCUCUCACGGUGGCAACGUGGAAUUAGUUGGCUAUGAGCUUCUUUUAUUCUUGACAUAUCUCUGACGCAGAAAGAAGAAAAAAAGAUGAAGGAAAUUUAAAACAUUGAAGCGUUACUAGAAAAGUCAUGUUUUAUCUAAAGUCUUUCUUAGUGUUUAAAGAAUAUCUUUAUUAUAGAUUAAAGUGAAUGGAAGCUGUGCACCAGAUAGGAUGCCAAAAAAGAGCAGGUGAGUCAAUUAGAAUGCUUAAAUACCCAGCUCUCCACGGAUCCACUCGUAGACAUGCACACAACUAUUGCGACACUUUAACUGAAUGAUUGUUCAUAGAAAACCAAUUCGUUUAAAACCAUUUGAAAAGGUUAUUAAUUUUGAAAACAUUUUCGUUGCAGAAGCUUUGUCUUGUUUCACGAUAUUUUGAAAUCAGAUAAUUUCUUUUAAAAACGCGCCCUAGAGCUAUUCAAUUUCAAAACCUUUAAAUCCAUAUCAUGCCUAAGCUAAUAAUCAUACUAAAGCAAUUAGAAAUAGUUAAAGCGGCCUUAUUACAACUUAAAACCCAAAGUAAUUAAAGUAAAUGAAACUAAUCAAGUCAUAAGAAGAAAAUUGAGCUUGCAAAACAUGUGGCCACUCCGAAUCGCUCUAGCUCCAAGUCCACCGAUCUAAGGCUCACCUGCAAAGAUAGGAAAAAUGGGGUGAGUUUGGAAAACUCAGUGUGUAAUGUAUCCCAACCAGAUCCCAAAUCAGUUCAAGCUUUACUGGGCCUAAGCCCUAUUCAGAAAUCAGAGUUAACUGGGCCUUAGCCCAUAUCAAUAUUAAUCUGGGCCAUAGCCCCUUACAAUAUCAAAGUAUACUGGGCCUAGCCCAUGUUAGUAUCAAUCUGGGUCGUAGCCCUAUUAUAAGUCAAGAUAUAUUGGGCCUUUCCCAUAUUAACACAGUUGGGCCCAUUUCAAUACAGUUGGCCCAUAACAAAAUAGUCUCAUAUGAUUAAUGCAUGAUAACCCCAUCUAACCCUGCACUUGCCUCCGUCCAUCCCUACACUUCCUGUGGGGAAUAAAUCACCCACGCCAUCCCUACACUUACAGUGUUAGCACCGGUUGCGGCACUAACUUUAAUCCGCAGCAAAGCUGCUUAUAUCAGAAUAUGUGGCACAGCCACCAGAACGGGUUCUUCCUCCAUAACAAAACCCAACCCCAUGCAGUAUGACAUGUAUGCAGAAUAUAUAUAACUAACAAGGCAUGCUUCAGAAAGACAGUCAGAUUAUAGCGUAAGAACAGUUAUUUACCCUCGAGGGGCAUAAUCGUAAACUUACCCCUUUAGGGGUAUUACGGUAAUUCUACCUUACAGAGGGAUUUCAGUAAUUUAUCAUUCUUUUUAGGGUUUCAUGCUCAUUACAGUUAUUAACGUGUCUUCAGAAUACUUACCAGACAUUUUUACCGAAAUGGGCCCGUUGCCUAUUACCUAAUUUCGGCCCAUCGAAGCCCAAAUUCACCGAGGUGCACGAAAUUGUGCACUUUGCAAUCUUACUGUUCAAUUUACCAAAAUUAUCAAUACAAACAAUCCCACGAGCACUCGUAUGCUCGUAAGUUCUCAAAAUACCGACUUUUCGGCAUUUCGACUUUUCGGCUCUUGCCGAUCUAGUCUACUAGUGGGUGUCAUUUACACACCUGAUUUGCGACAACUGCUACCAAAAUCUCCCAUGAUAUCCUACAAUUGGUCACUAGACAUAUCAGAUCCAAAAUACAAUGGCAACCAUCAUAAACUUACUUACCAUAAUCGGCCAUCAAUACAUAUGGCCCUUGAGAUCCUACCUUUGCCAAAACUAGUGACUAGAUCUAGAUCUAGUCGUUCCACUUGUCCAAGCCUUCAAUCAGCAGCCUCUAGAUCACACUAACACCAAAACAAAUCAAUUGUUACAACCCUUAGAGCCUUAAGCUCCAAUCGACAGCCUCCCUAUAACUUUAAGGAUUUUGGCUUUUCUAAAACCUGAAAUAAAGAAUAGAUCUGAGUACUUACCACAGGUUCUUUCAACCAAAACAAUUCCACUCAGUUUAUACUCAGUUCUGAUGCAGAUCUAGCCCUUAAACACUAGCAGAAAUCGAAUCUUAGAGAUCUAAAGAUUCGGCUCUAUGUCCUUAAAAACUAUGGUGUUUUCGGCUUUUGGAACUGUGAAGAGGAAGAUGAUUUGGUAUGGUGGUUUUGUAGUGGUAUUGCCGACAGGGGUUGAGGUUUAGAGGAUAUGAAAAUCAGCCAAAAGAGAUGAAGAAAAUAUAAUGAUUUUGGCUAGAAGAAAUCGGCACAAGAAAUAACUUUCGGGAUUUCGACUUUUAUGGCAAUCGGCUAUAGAGGUUUAGAAAAGAAUGGGAAUGAAAGAGGAGAUGAGUAGAAUGAUAGGAAUGUUUCGGCUAGAGAAGAAAAGAAAGGAGAAAAGAAAAUAGAAGAAGAGAGGAGAAUAGAAGGAAAAAUUCGGCACUCAGGAGAUCUAACUUUGCAUUUUCGACUUUUUAAGGCACUAAGAAGAGAAUAGAAUGAAAGGGAAGGCUCUAAGUGGCUAACUCUAACUCAGAAAAACAAAAAGAAAAUAAAUCUUUCCCUAAUGGCCAUUCAGACCCACGGCCCAACCUUCCUAAAGCCCUAGCCGAAUUCCACUUAAGCUCUAUCACAUGCCUGGCACAUGCACACACAAAAAAAAAAUAAAAGUAACAACACGCUUACCUUGUGACUUGAACUCUGGCUCCCCCUAAACAUCCACACGUCACUCCCCAAACACCUAGGUGGCGCCACAUGCCACUUUACCACAGAUCUUUUUGUGUCCUCUUUUACCACCUCAAUUUUAAAAGCCCAUAUCGCCAGAACCCUCUCUCACCCAAAAUUAAAAAAUUCAGGAAUUGCCUAGAAUUAAAUUUACUCUUGGGCCUUUUUCCCACACCAUAAACCCUUCGUAAUUUAUUUAAUUACUACACUAGACAUACGAAAUAAUAAUAAAAAUAAUAAUAAUAAUAACAUCCAAAUUUUUCGGGCCGUCUUCUACCCGAACCCAGACUCAAGGCCCAAUACUUCCAAGCCCAAAAAUCAGGGCGUUACAACCUAAGACAAGGAGUUACUGAUAUUUACCUUGAAGAAAAGCUUUGACUAAUUCUAGUAACAAAAAUGCUAAGUUUGUGCAUUUUAAGGUUUCAAAAAAUCCCCUUUUAAAGAAGCCUCUUCCCCUUACAUUUUGAUGGUUCAAAUAACCGAGGGACAUCAACGGUCAGAUACAUACAAGCGUGAUUCACCCGUAUACGUGGCGAAGUUGACACCAUAUUCCAAUAGACGCUGUGUAUUCUGCAAGCUGUAAUAAACGCGAAGUGAUGGCCCUAAGGAGUGCCACCUUAUAACCUUCCUUAGGCCCACUAGUGGGGACUAGAUUGUUGUACACCAAUGAUUACCAACCUGAAACCCAGAGAACUGUCAGGGAGCUCACAGUAUUAGCUCACACGAGCCAAGGGGAGUUCUCAAUCUUAGUUCGCAGAUAUCCAAGGAGUUUACAUAUAGGUGACCGCGAGGUCUAACAAGCGAGCCAGAACGCUACACGUGUCCAGCAUGCUUGAGGCCUGUUUAGAGUGUCAGUCCUAUGAAUAGCGGGGUCAAGUCCAUGAGCAAUAGAGUCAAAUCAUGACCAAUAAUAGUAUGUAUAAAUACUCGAUUGUCCCCUUCAGUGGGACACAACAGAAAAUUACUCAACAAAUAGUAUUGAGAAAUAAGGAUAAUUUAUGUUCCUCCCUUCAAAACUUUAAAAUAUUUUUAACUAUAUUUUAAAAUAAAAAGCUUGAUAUUAUAGAUUAAGUAAAAUUAUUUUUAAACACUCAUUAGAUAAUAUUAAUUCAGUUCUACCAAUAAAAUGAAAGAAGUGAUAGAAGACUUUUUCUUAAGUAUGUAUAUUGAGCCGUAAUAUUAAAGUCAUCAUUGUUGAAACAGAAGCAAAGGCAGAAAAUAUUUUUAGUGGGGCCGAAUUUUUCAUUUUUAGGGAGACAAAACUUUUACUAAAUUAAAAUAUUAAAGGGCCAAAAUAAAAAAUUUUCUAUUUUAGGAAGGGUCGGGGCCCUUAUUAAACCCCUAGGUUCGCCCCUAUAUUGAAAGAAUUUUACUUAAAUAUUACUUUUAGCUCAAACAAAAUUUAACUCAAACUAUACAAUAGAUGAAAAUAUCAGUCAACUUUUAUUAUUUUUGUUCUUUGGUUUUUAAUCAAUCAAAUUGGUUUAUAGGUAUAUUUAUAUUAGUUGUUAAGUAUAUACAAUCCUGGCUGUCGAUAAAGCUAGAAGCUAGGAGAUAGCAAAAGAGUGUUAGCCCCUUGCCCAAAAUAAUGGGCAUUAUCCUUAGUGAGUGAUAGUAAAGGUGAUUGUUCUUUACAACUUGAGAAGAAAUUUCCAAGAAUGUCACUCUUGACCCUUUCUGAUGACAAGAGAUUCCACAUUUUUAUUUAUAGCCAUUCAACAUAUAAGGAGAAUUAGUAUCACAAGUCUAAAAUUUAUUUAUGCUAUCAAUACAUGUGAGUAUUUUUAGAAAUUAAUUUGAGUUAAAUAUAUUACAUAAAAAAACUGAUUUUUAUGUAAUUUUCGUGACAAAACUGGUAUUGAGCUCAAUAAAAUAAAAUCUGCGAAUAGAGAAAACACUAGUAAUUUGUCUCAAGUAUUCCUUUUUGGAUCUUGAUUUAACAUGAACAGGAGCAGAUGAAAAAUUUCGUAGACAAAAGCCGAAGACGAUAUAAUUUGGAGUAAAGGCUCAACUCUUUGGAAAAUAAAUUUCCAAGUCGUAUUCUUUUGUGGAAAAGUAGUGAGUGGAAAAUUAUAUCCAGAAAAUGAUAGAAAAGGCUUUGGGCCACAAUUAAAUCAACAUAUUUAAAUUGUUAUACGAAAUUAAAGAUGGAGUCGUCAACGUCAUGACAUCAACAUCUUAUUACUUUAUACUCUAAAGAAAAUUUUGUUAAUUAAUUACUACUUUAAUUAUCGACAAUAUUGCAAAUUAAUUUUAAAUUUGCACUUAGUACCCCUGCACCAUGUUCCGUUUCUACGACUAAUGAUUUUCCAAUGAAAAUUUUGAUUUAAGGAGAAAUUGCAAUUUCGGAUUCAAAUUAUAUAAGAAAAUUUCCUUUCUAAAAAAUUGAGAACACUAAAACGUAAUCCGAUUUAAAGGCUAAGAAAAAUAGCAGCCAACGUGCAUUUGUUUCGUUGAAAAUUAAAACCAAGGAGGUAUCAUUUUCAAGAAAUAUGGACCAUAAGAAGAUUCUCCUUUUAUUAUAUACUAUUGAUACUAACAACAGAGAAAUUUUCAUAUGACAACAAUUGCAACAACACCUUGACUGCUAUACAAAUCCAUCAGUUUGGAAACUAUAACGUAUAUGCUACUACUAGAUAAACAGUUUAGAAAUAUCUGCUCUCCAAAGUCAUCUGCUCUACCAAACAUUAAAUGUAAUGAACUUGAUGAAACAAGUUAUACCAAAGACUAAUAGAGGAUCAAAUUUAAAUGAAUUAAUUAAGUCCGAUAAAUACAAUGUUUCUUUCAUCAAUUCUCAUAAACAUGAAAUGGUUAGAAAAGAAACAGUUUCUAAAAAUGACUACGCCAAAAAUGGCCAAACCAUUAUGCAGGUUUGAUUAUUUACAAUAAUUUGACUCGGUUUAGUGGUUUUUAUACCAAGUUUAAUUUUUGAGGUUUCCUACUUAUUUUAAUAAAAUGAGUUGUUUUUAUGAUUUUGGACAUUAUGAGGUAUACUUUCAAACUCUUUUCUAUAAAUAUUUUUUAAAAUGGUUUAAAUUUUCUAAGUUAAUAAAAAUAAAUAACUCUUAUAAAAUGUCUUUUUUUUUAAACAAAAUUUUUUUUAAGUCAUUUCAGCUACUCUAAAAAAUGUUUAGUUUUAUGUAAUAAAAAAAUUAAUUAUAAAUUUAAAAAGAAAUAAAACUUAAAUUUAUCCAAAAAAUUGUGAUAUUUUAACUUACGUUUCAAAAAUCAUCUAAACACCAUAAUUCAAUUAUGGUUUUAAUUUCUCGAUUAACAACGCUUGCUAGUUUAUGGCUAUCGUCAUUCGUUUUUUUAAAUAAUAUUUUUUUAUCAAAAUUAAGUUAUUCACCGCUAAUAGCAAUGACAAAUUUCUUUAUGUCAUAAAACAUGAGAAAUAUUGAAAAAAUUCAAAUACCAAAGCAAAAAAUAAAAUGUCUUAGAAAAUUAGGAUAGCAAAGUUCUGGUAAAGAUUCAGGAUUAAUCUAAACAAAAAUAAGUGUGAGCAACAAGAUUUUGAAAUUGACUGAGUUUAAUCCGUGGCUGGAUUUUUUAAAUUGAUUUUUAGGAUAAAAUUUAUAACAACAAAAUUUUCAACAUGUAAUAAUUUUUUAAAUAUUGUCGAUUGAGUCUUAACUCAAUUAGUAUGGGUAUUGUUACUAAUGUAGAAGGACAUGGGUUCGAGUGCAUUGAAGUGUAUUAUCUUCCUAUUUAUGAUUUGGGAAGAGACAAUGGACAGUUCUAGGUAUUAUGUAAAAAAAUAGAUAUAAUUAAAAUAUAUAAUAAAAUUGUUUAAAAAUAAAAAUAAUAAUUUUUUUAAAAAAUUAUGAUAAAAGAAUAUAUCCAGAACUUGUGUAAGAAAUACAUUCAAGAGAUAAAAUAACAUGGAGUGAAACAAGUUUGAAUUCUUGAACAACCACAAGACUCCACCAGUGUGACAAAUACAAAAGCUAAAGGCUAUCAAUCAACAGAAAUUGUUUCAGGAGUGUUGGAAACUAGAAAGAUGAAUUUAAUGGAAAAGUUACACUAUCGGUUGGAAUUGUCCUAGACAUUGAACUACUAGGAUUGGUAUCCCAUGAAUGGAUCAUGUCAUCUAUUUCAGAUUCUUCAUCACCACAGUCUUCGAUAACAGUUCCACCUGAAGCUUUAAUCAUCUCCAGCUCCAUUGCUACUUGUUUCAUGGUGGGUCUUUUCUUUCCAUUAAGAUUCAAGCAUCUUUUUGCUAGCAGAGCCACAACCAUAAUCUCCUGUUCUGGACCAUCCUUUACUACCAUUGGAUUGAGAAUUUUAAAUAAGGAAUUCUCCUGCAUUGAAUGCAAAAAAUAAGAUACCAAGCUUCUCACUGGCUCUGAUUGGUUUGCAGAGAUGGGUUUUUGUCCUGUUAAAAGCUCAAUGAGAACAACUCCAAAGCUAUAAACAUCACUCUUCUCUGUAAAUUGAUUUGUUCGAAAAUAUUCAGGAUCCAUGUAUCCAAAAGUUCCUUCCACCCGGGUGGUUAGAUGUGUUUGCUCAAGUGCAACUGAUCUUGAAGUUCCAAAAUCAGAUACUUUUGCCCUAUAUUUAUCAUCCAAAAGUAUGUUACUAGAUUUGAUGUCUCGAUGAUAAAUAGGAGCAGAAGCAGCUGAAUGCAAAUAGAACAACGCAUUGGCAAUUUCGAUUGCAAUUCGUAAACGCAUUUCCCAUGUCAAUGGUAAUUCUUCAUUUUGUUUACGAAUGAGAUCGUAUAAUGUACCAUUUGGGAUGAACUCAUACACCAAUAGAGGAACUUCAGCUUCUAAGCAACACCCUAAAAGCUUAACCACAUUCCUGUGAUUAAUUUGAGAUAAAAUUAUCACCUCGUUAAUGAAUUGUUCAACCUUCUUUUCGUCAAAUUUCUUUCCUUCCACCAUUUUGGACUUCUUAAUAGCCACAAUGCUUCCAUCUAUUAGCAUCCCUUUAUAAACAGUCCCUUGACCUCCUUGACCAAGGAUUCGGUUCUCAUUAUAAUGAUCGGUCGCCUUUUCCAUCUCUUUCGAAGUAAACAACUUAAUUUUUUUAACAUUACCUUCAGACGAAUGUUGUUGCAGUAACAAACCUCCAUUCCUUUUGAAGUAUUUCUGCUUCAGCAUGAUUUUUUUUUUCUUUUGAGGACUUUGUACAUACUCCAUGUUGCGAGUAGUAGAAAUAGUGUCCCAAUACUAGUGCUGCAACCUAUAUAGAUAUAAGUAACAUUGUUAAAAGUUAAAUUUGAAAAUUCAAAUACAUUCUAAAAAACCAUGAGAAUGUUUCAAUAAAGUUUUAUUCAUAUUUGAAAAAAUGAGAGAACCUUAUUGCACCAUCCAUUGUUCUGAUAUUGAACUUUUACAAAUUUAAUGAUAAAUAAUUGUUAUUGCAUCACUCAUUCAAAAAGUAAAUAAAUCAUUGCUUGAAUUUACAUAAUCCAAUAAUCAUAAUGAUUUCACUUUAAAAACAAAAAAGUAUAAAUUAGCACGUACCUAUAAUAAUGCUUGUCAAGCUACGAGUUGUUUGAUUUUGUAUAUUGCGCUCACAACGAAAUCCUGUACUAUUAUAUUUAUAAUGAGGAGGGCAAGACUCUGGCGAGCAAUAGUUGCUAGGCAUAUUCAAACAAAGUAUGCGGCAAUACUGAUAAUCCCCACAAUUCCAAUCUGUCAUUUAUGAGUUGAAUAAAAAAAAGUUAUAAUCGUAUUAUUCAAACUUGAAUAGAAACAGGUUAUCUUUAAAAUUAAAAUUUAAAGAUUAGAAAGAGACUGAGAAGUAGGUUAUCUUUAAAUUUUGUUAUCUUUUUUUAUUUUUAAAGAAAUUCAAUCAUUGAAUUUGUACGAUUUAUUUGCCACUUCAAACCUAGUAGCUAUAUACGUUUAGAGCUCUAUGGAUGUUUAAGAGUUUUGUACCAAGAAAAAUAUGCAAAAUUAUCUUCAAAAGUAUAAAUUUUCUUCUUCUUUUUUUUUUUUUGAGAAAUUCACUGUAAAACUAAAUACAUUAGUGUAAAAAGCUAAAAUUGUUUUACUCUCUUUUGCAUCUCUUUAUAUUAUUAAUAUUUUGACAAUUCAAUUGUUGAAUUUAAUAUUUUAUUCAUAUAAAUCAUUCAUGUCAAAUUUGAUAUAAAUUAAAAAUUAAACAAUUAGAUUGUUAAAAUAUUAAUCGUAUAGAGAGAUACAAAAGAGUGUAAAAAAACUUUCAUUUUAUAUUGAUGUAAGUGGAUUACUCUCCAUAUUUUUUUACACACUUAUAUAUAUAUACAAAUUUUACAUACUUUAUAAAAGAUGAUUUUGUAUGUUGAAUCUUCAACUGAUUAGUAUAAUUUAGUCAUGAUAUACCUCAACUAAUAAUAACUAGAUUAUGAUACACUAACGACGUAAGUGAAAAAAAUUAUAUAAUAAUUUAUUUAUAAAAAAUAUUGAUAUAAAAAAAAGAGUUGAUUGAAAUAGUAAAGUUAAGUAUUAGCUAUCAUGGUGCCUUUGUUCAAAUUUUAUUAUACUUAUUUUUUAAAAUUUUACAUGAAAUAUAAAAUGACAAAAAUACUCUCAUAAUAAUAUUUGUUCUUUUAUAAAAGUAAUGGAUUUUCAUAAUUUCUCAACUAUGUAAAGAUUGAGUUGAGGGGUGGCACCAACUCAAAUAGCCCUUUAAAAAAUAAUACUAAUUUACGAUACACCCAUUAUGUGAAUGGAAAAAAAAUAUGUAAUAAGCAUAUUUAUUUAAUGCUUAUAUAAGAAUCAAAUGAAUCAUUGGUUGAAAUGGUAAAGUUAAAGUCUAAAAUUUAUUGUGUGAAAAGUUCAAAUUUUACCAUGUUAAAUUUAUUAUGAAUUUUAUAUAAAAAUAUAAAAAAAUGAAAAUACCCUUAAAAUAAUAUAACUUAAUAUAUAUAUAAAAAUAUGUUAAUAAUUUUUUCAAUUAUGGUAUACCUAUAAGUAAAGAUAUAAUAAAAAAGUUUCCUAAAAUAAGGUUAAUUCAUACCUUUGCAUGACGUUAAAAAAACUCCAAUAUCCUUGUCGCACACACAUAAAUAAUUAGAGCUCAUCCUUGACCAACAAUAUUUACCCUCGAGUGUACAAGAAGCGCCCAAACUAUCAUUCAACUUGCACUCUCCAGAUAUUGGUGUGCCCCAUUGCAGUUGUGUUGGAACAUGCGUUAUAUUACUUAUAUUAAAGGUCAGAUCAUAGUCAUAAGAAACCAUGGAAGCAAAUCCGCAUGAUUUUUUCCUCCAAUAAUCACUAGAAUCAAACCUACUACUCAUGUUUACGUAGAAUGGACUGAGACCCCAAGGAAUAUUAACAAGACAACCAUCAAUAGAGGAAGCCUCGUUAUUAAUCCUACAACUUGGUUGCAAACAUCCUCCAAUAAGAUUAUCUAGUUUGCUGCUGAAAACAGUAACCAAAUUACCGCAACCUAAAGACCAGAAGGUGUUGUCUGAAUUUGAGUAGUAAAAGCGAGUGCCUGUUAAGUUGAGACUCGUCCCGUUGUGAUGGUUUUUCUGACAGUUGAAGUAAGUUAUUGGAUGGUUGACUUUGACUGUACCAUACAAAAAAUCAAUUUCUAGUAUUUGCAAAUUCAUGCCAUUUAUAUUUAAAAAAGGCACUUUUUGCCCAUGGUCGCUUUUGUUGCAAACUACUUUAAACCACUCUUUAAGAUCAACUUGGUCCUUCAUUGUAAAGGGAUAGUGAACAGUAACAUUCCCACAGGGCUCUACCUUGUAGGUGCGGAAGUUAAUAGAUCCCAGUCCUGGUCUUCCGCAUCCUGCGAGUUUAGCAAAAAAGGAGUAAAUUGCAAAAUUUACGAACAUCUAACGUAUAUAGGAAAUAAAAGCAAUGCGUUAUUCAAUAUAUAUAUAUAUAUAUAUAUAUAUAUAAAGAAGGUACUCUUUAACUAAUAUAUUUAACUAAAUUUUCUGUUAUUUGUGACAUUAAAUUCAAUAAAGACUUUCCUAUUGAAUUUGAUGUGAUACAAUAUUUCUAAUUAAAAUACUUGCAUUUCAAAAAAAAAAAUCAAUUCCACUUUCAUACCUAUCCUCUCUUUACGUAAUACUUUGUUAAUUUUAUUCUAAAAUAUUAAAUUCUUAAUUGAAUAUGAUACUUGUGCUAAUUUCUAAUUUAACUACUGAGUUCAAAUCUUUUUAUGGAACUAAUGAUUUCAUUUCAAGAACAAAUCAACUUAGGCUACAUUUAUUCACUCAAAAUAAUUUUCGAAAAAUAAUUUAUAUUUUUGGAAAAGUUAAUAUUUUCUAGUAUUUAGAUGAAUCUGUGUAAAAUAAUUUCUGAUAUUUAGAUUAAUCUUGUAAAAUAUUUUCUAUUAUUUAGUAGAUUUCUUAAAAAAAUUUCAUAAAAGUUGUUUUCAAUUAAACAAACAUAUAUUUGAGAUGUUUUUCAUUGUUUAAUUGAAUUUAUUUUUAUCUAGAAUUUUAUAUUUUACAUUUUUUUUGCAUAUAUUAAAAAUAUUAUAUUAAAUUUAGGUUCAUUACAACGUCAUUUUUUUAACUACAUGACUACCGAGUGAGUAUUUUUUAUUUAAAAAUGUGACAUCAAAUUUGACUUGAUUUUUAAAUUUGAAAAGUAAAAGGACUAAAUUCUUGAAAAUAAAAAUACAAAGACUAAAUUGAAAAUUUGUGAAGUGUGCAUAGACUUAUGACAUAUUUAACAUUAUACUACAAACAUUUAUUAUUAAUAUAUUUUAAUAUAAUAUUAUUUAUAUUAAAAUAUUAAUAUUGAAUAUUUUAAUAUAUGUGAAUAAUACUAUUUAAAUUUAUUUUUUUAAAAUUUAUUAUUAAAAUAAAUUAAACUAUUACAUCAUUUUUAUUUUAAUACCUUUAUUUAUUCUAUUAUUAUACUCUCUAUUUAUGACUAACAUCUCAUACUUAAAUCUGUCUGUUUACUCUAUGAAAACUAUCCUAUUUUAUAUUUUCCCUAUUUUUAAAAAAUAAAUUUAUUCUAAAUCUAAUACUAGCUUGAUUAGUUUAAUUUUUAUCUAAACAUAAAAUCUUCUCUAGAGCUCUUUUUUCGAAAGUGACUUACACUUUUCAACUGGUAUGUCUUUUACAGAAAAGAGCUUAUUUUAGUUGAUCUAUACGUUUUUUUCAUUGAUCAUGCUGUUUUAUGUGAAACAAACACAGGAAAAUGUAUAAAACAUUUUCCGUGAAACUUUUUACAUGUAAACAAACUGACCCUAGAUUUAAAACAGAAUCAUUAUAAACAAAAUUAUGUAAAUUAUGAAAUGAAUGGAAACAUAAUACAGAAAUAUUAAAAAUAUAUAUAUUAUGUUAUAACAGAAUAUAUAUAUAUACACAUAACCAACAUGAAGCCAACGAAAAAAAAUAUAAAAAUUACAAUUUUAACUCCUCUAAAAAAUAAUAAUUUAAUUUAAUUUAAUUUCAUCUCAUUUAAGUAUUAGUUCAGGUUUUUGAAUACAAAACUUUUAGGUAUAGCCAUUUUUUGUCCUAAAAAUCUUUUAGGUAUAAAUUUUUGAAAGCCAAAAUUAUUAAUAUACAAAAUGAAUGAUCCUAAAAACCUUUUUUAGAACUUAUAUGAUUCUAAAGGCUGGUUUUAAACAAUUAGCAAAAUCUAUAUAUUAACCGAAUUAAAAGAAGAAGAAUAAAAGCCAAGCAAUUGAAGUGACAGCGCGUGACUGACCUCCGUCACCGCAAUAGGUAGAAUUCCAGUUGAGCACGGCGGGAACAUGCGUAGUUCCAUUAUUGAUGCCAGUGGGUAAUGGGUAAGCACUACGGAAAGAGUACUUGCUAAAGAUGAAAGCAGAUGCGCAUCUUUUGCUGUCAGGAUACAUGGCUCUCAUGUUUACGGUAUAGGAAGUAAGAUUUGCAGUAAUUUGAGUAAAGCAGCCAGAUUCAGAAGCACCAUCGUCACACCUUGGUUGAAUGCAGCCGCCAAGUGAAACAGCUUCGUUACUUAAAAUAGUAGCCAAAUUUCCGCAACCUACUGACCCGAAAUAAUUCCUCGUACUUGAGAAGAAAAAGGGAGUGCCUAAGAGAUUGACCCUCCCACUAACCUCGUUUAUACGAUCACAAUUAAUGUAAGUAACUGGAUUGUUGAUGAGAAUGGCGUUUGAAUAUAAGGCUUUUCCAAGUACCUCCAGAUCGAUGCCAUUUACGUUUAUGAAAGGCUUGUCCCCACUGGGGGUUUGCUUGCAAGUUACGCGAAACGAAGGAUGAGUAUAGCAGGUGAUAUUGAUUAACCCAAAAGGGGAUGGAAUUGUAAUAUUUCCACAUACUUCUUUACGACAGGCAGGUUCUUGAGAUUCUGCUGCUUGUAAAAUUGAGCACAACAGGAAGAGGAAGAGGAGUAAGGGGAUGAAGUAAAGCGCUAAGUGAAAACCCAUUUGCGUUGUUAUUUUGUUUGAGGGAAAUGAAUGAAGAUUUAAAGAAACAAACGAUGUUUGAGGGAGAAGCAAAUGAAAAGUAUUUGCUCGCACUUUCCUUGAAGUUCCAGUAUAAGUGCAUUUGAUUUGAGAAUAAUUCAUUAAUUUGUAAAGACUGUUGGAUACAAUUUUCCAGCUACACGUAAGAGGUCUCCAUUCAAAGAGUAGGUUACAAAUAAAGAGUUAAGAGACAACUAAAAGGGAGAGUCGAGCCUUGACCCCUAAUUUGUUUUAUAUUCCUUCAAAUAUUUUUACAAUGGCAUUAAGAAAUAAGGAUAAUUUAUGUUCCUUCCUUCAAAACUUUUAAACAUUUCAAAUCAUAUUGUAAAAUAGAAAGCUUGAAAUUAUAGAUUAAAUAAAAUUAUUUUUAAAAUUUUAUUAGUUAAUAUUAAUUUAAUUAUAUUGAUAAGUGGAUGAAAGAAGUGAUAAAAAAACUUAAUUUAAACUAUACAUCAAAUGAAGAUAUAUGUGAUUAUAAUAAAUUUUAAUUAAUUUUGUACUUUAUUUUUGUAUAGAUAUAUUUAUAUUAAUUAUUAAGUUUAUUCAAUCCUAGUUGUCGAUAAAGCUAGAAGGGAGGAGAUAACAAAGAGUGAGCAGUAUCCUUAAUGAGUGAUAGUAAAGGUGAUUGUUCUUUACAACAACUUGAGAAGAAAUUCCGAGGAAUGUCACUUUUGAUGCUGGUCCUAUGAUUAGAGGUUUCACAUUUUUAUUUACAGCCAUUCAACAUAGUUAAUAUCGUAAGUCUAACAAUUAUUUAUGUUUUCGAUAUACAUGAGUAUUUUUAGACAUUUAAGUGAAAUACUAAAUAAAACUCUCAAGUCAAGUUAUAUUUUAUAAUGUUUUUCAAAAUUUUUAAUAAUUAUUAAUAUUUUAUUUUUUAUAUUUUUUUAUAAACUUGGGUAACUUUUACAUUUUUUAAAAAUAUUUUUAAUAAUUUAGUAUGUCACAUCAACAUGCUUUCACAUAGCAUACCAUAUGCUAACUUCUCAUGACUUCCGUAAAUCAUAUAAACAACGUAUAAUAUUCAAAGUAAUCAAGAAUUUUGAUUUUUUAUUGAGUGUUUUUUAACAUUUAAUUGUAUAUUAAUAUUUAUUACUUUAUUAAGAAUUGGUUUUUAUGUAACUGUCCUGACAAAAUUGGUAUUGAGCUCAAUAAAAUAUAUUAUAUAAGCUUAGAUAUAACUUCAUUAAAAUCUGCAAAGAGAGAAAACAUUAUCAAUUUGUUUCAAGUCCGUUUUUGAGCAUAUGAGAAAUUUUGUAGAUAGAAGUUGAAUACGAUUUUCUUUCUAGUGAAUUACAAGAAAAGGGUAGAGUUUUAAUAGCAACGCGACUUAAACUUAAACUACAUUUGGGGGAUGAAUACCUUAACCAUUAAAUUAAUAUAUGAAAUUUUAAUACGAUAUUUUGAAAUAAAGAGCCAACUCUUUGGAAAAUAAAUUUCCAAAAAUUUCCGAGUCAUAAUCUUUUGUGGAAUGGAAAAGUAUAUCCACAAAAUGAUCGAAAAGGCUUUGGGCCACAAUUAAAUCAACAUCUUUAAAUUGUUAUACCAAAUUAAAGAGGGAAUGGUCUUUGUCUUAAAUUCAACCUCUGAAAUUAUCAUAAUUUCAUAAAUUUUGUUUGCAAUUGUUUGGAAAUAAAAACAAGAAGGUGAUUGGCUCAUCUUGUUUUUGGUGAGAAAGUAAAAUAGCAGCCAACAUGCAUGCAUUUGUUUUGUGGAAACUAAAUUAAAACCAAGGAGGUAUCAUUAUCAAGAAAUAUGGACCAUAAGAAGAUUCAUUCCUUUUAUUAUAUAUUAUUCAUACUAACAACAUAGAAAUUUUCAUGAAAAAGUAAGUUCCAUGACAUCCACUGAAGCAAUGACAACAAUUGGCCCCUAUAACUGUCGAAACCCUUUUUUUUUAUUUUGAAAGCAAUGGGGAUCGACUUGUGAAAACAAAAAUGUGGAGUCGCCACCAAUCUCUCGAUUUAGGUGUGAUUGGACCACCUACUAAAACGCUUUAUUCGUGUAAAAUAAAAAAAGUGGGUUCGGGAGUCAGUUACGUAUGAGGAAGGGUUAGCACCCUCAUUACGCCCAAAAAUUGGUACCAAAUUGAUUUGAUGCUAUCCUUAUAUCAAAAGUUUUAAAAGAAAAGAUUUUCUCAAAAUACGAUUCUUUUUUUUUUAAAUGUUCGAAUAGUUUAAAUUAGUGGUCAAAAAUCCUUCGUUUCAAAGAUAUGCAGUUUCAUACCCAGUACGAUUAGAUGCGAUCCUUAUACCUUUAAAACGCAAUUGGUUUUCGACUUCUUUAAAAAACAUACAUUAAAAUUAUAAAAAGGUUAUCCAAAUAUUUGGUUCUCCGUAAAAGUCAUACCCAGUACGAUUGAGCAUGAUUUUCCGAAUUCCCCAAAUAUUAGAUAUCGCCUUAUUUCAGAAUAACGGAAAUUUAGAAAUUUGCUUAAACAUGUUUAUUGAAAAUAAUUAUGAUAAAAAAUACAAAGUUCAAAUCAAAUUAUGCAUGAAGUAUUUAAAACACAAAUUCAUUCAAAAAUUGAUAAUUCACAUGAUAACUUUAAAUAAUGUAUUAAAUAUGUAGGAAUGACAAUGCAUGAUAUAAAAUAAUAUAAUAAAUUUAUGAAACAUGUAUAUACAAGUAAAAUUAAGUAUAAUUGUUUGUAAAAAAAUGUAAGAAAGAAACAAAGUAAAUAUAUAAGGUAUAUGGGUAACAAAAGUUUCUAAAAAACAAGGUUAUAUACAAAACGUAAAAUUAUAUUUACACGUAAAUUUAGUAAUAUAUAUAUUAUUAAGAUUAUAUUUAUAAAGGGCAUUUGGAAACUAAUAAUAUAUAAUUUUACAUGUAACAAACUGAGUUAAAGUGAUGGAACAUAUAGAUAGUACAUACAUAAGGAUAAUAAAAUAAUUUAUACAAUAUAUAAAUCGUAUGAUAAAACAAAUGGUCUUUAGAAAGAAUAUAUUAUACAUAUAAAUGACUUUAAAGGAUAAUAUAUACAUUGAAAGAAAAAAUAUUUACAUAGAUUUACAUGAAAGUAAUAACAUGUACUAUGGUAAAAAUAAUUUAGCAUGGGUAAUGUACAAAUGAAGAAAUUUUAAUGACAAUUGUAUGUCCAAAAUAAUAUUGAAUAAAAUAUGAAUUAUAAGAUUAACUUAAUUUUAUCAUAACUUAUAUACAUAAUAAUUUUAAAAACAAUUUUAAAAACAUAAUUAUACAAAAAUAUAUAUAUGUAUAAGACUAUCUUGGUUUUAAUAAUGGAUGCAAAUUAAAUAUAAGUUCUAAAUAUAUGUUUAAUAAUAACUUAAAUAACACACAAAAUAUGAAGAAAUAAUAAUACAUGGCAAGGUAUUACACGCAUGAUAGAUUUUUUACAUUUAAAAACUUAUGUAUAAAAUAAACACAUGUGAAAUUAGAAAAUUAUAUGCAUAUCAUUUUGCUCAAAAAUACUUAAAAGAAAUAUUAAAUAACAUACUAGGAUAACAUAAUAAGGAGACAUAUUUCAAAAAUAACAAUUUUAUAAAUACCAAGAUGAAUUUUCAAAACACAUAAAGACAUGUAAAUUAAACAUAAGUUAAGAAAUACUUCAAGUAAUUUAGGUAUAUAAAUAUAUUAACAACACUUAUUAAUAAGAUAUUAAAACAAUGUAAUAUAAAAUGAAUUUUACAACAUGCAAAACAAUAGUUAUUAUAAAAAACUAAAAAAAGAAUGAUUAAUAUACAAAUAUAUGCGAAAUAUUUAAAGAAAUAAGAUACAUGAUGUAAACAAUCUAAAAUAAUUGUACAAAUGUACAAACAAAAUUAUUAACAUGGAUUAAAGCAUACAAAUAUUGAAUGUAUUCUAAAUUAACCGAUUAUACAAAUAUAAGACUCAAUUAAAACUGCAUCAAGAUAAGAAGGACAAUUUGUAAAUAAAAUGACCAUAAAAUAGAUCAAUGCAUAACAUGCAUAAAUAUAUAGGGACUAAUAUUGUAAAUCCUCCCAGGCCUGAAUCACAUCACUGUAUCAUGGAUUAAAAUGAAAAUGCGCUCAAAUCAGCGAGCCAAAUUGAAAAAGAAAAAAAAAACAAAGCAAAGCAAAAAGGAAGCAGUUGAAGCCCCAUGCGAAUGCAAAGGACUUAGCGCGCAAAUUAACCAUUUGAAGCACCAAAGUGUGGAUCCAGCCUAAUGGCACCGUUUUCAAUUCUGCACAAUCAAUUCUAAAAAACUAAAAUCCAAUAAAAAAAAACAAAGACCUAUUCCCUCUUUUAUUUGCCGUUUCAACUUCACAUAAUGCUCUCAAUUUGGGAGGUUCCUUUCAACCUUGAAAUCUCCUUUGAUUUGAUUUCAACAAAACAAAGAGAAGAAAGCAAUGGCCUCUUCACACGGUAAGUUUUUCUUCUUUUAUUUCUUUCUUUCGGUUUUUGAAUGUGAAAAAUAAACUAAAAAAUAAAUAAAUCGAAAAGAAAAUCAAGAAUCUCAAGAACUUUCAAUCACUUUUUAAUUUCAGUAACUUUUUUUAUUUUGGUAUGCAUGUGUAUUUCUGAAAAAAAAGAAGAAGAUCCCCCAUUUACAUCGUUUACAUUCGGUUUUAUAGCCAAAAAAUGAGUAAAUAAAAAUACAAAAAAUCCUUGCUGUAAUCUGUUAUUAUUUGCUGUCAUUUGCUGUUGUGGUUUUCGUUUGUUGCAGGUGUGCAUGGCGUGGAGGAGUUAUUUGCGGAACAUGGCACGAGUGGAAGAAUCAACUAAAGGCUGCGGUGGCUGAAGCUUCUAAGGUUUCUGUUGAAAAUUCCCUAGGUGUUUUGGACUUGGGGUAUUUUGGGUUAAAUAGGCUAGUUGGAUUAAGUUUAAUAAUUUGAACCCAUUAUUUUGGUUGCUGACUAUUAUUUAUAUAUUUUUUAGUUUUUUUUUUGUUUGUUUUGGUUUUGGUGUAAGCCCGGGCACAAAUUGAGUCUUACAAUAACAAUUGCAAAAACACCUUGACUCUUCUAGAAAUCCAUCAGUUUGGAAACUAGACCGUUUAUGCUACAACGAGAUAAACACUUUAGAAAUAUCUGCUCUCCAAAGUCAUCUUUGUUCAUCUUCAAUUUCGUCCUUAUAUAAACAAAACUCCAACAUAUAGAAAAAGAAAUGAUAACCCUUGAAAUCCUUAAUGUCCAAACCAUAUUUAUGCAUAAGAAAUUUGCAUAGGAGACGAGAAAAUGGAAUCUGAACUUAAUGGGCAAUUUCGUCACAGUCAAUCUAAAGUUUAACAAUUUAGGAUCUUUUUAUCCAUAUGGUGUUCCAGUUUUUCAAUAUGAAUUCGGUUCAAAGAAAAGGAAAUUACUUUAAAUUUGUAUAAUUAAUUUGGAUUUAAAAAUAUUUUUUAAUAAUUUGGUAUAUGCCACAUUAGUAUACUUUCACGUAAUUUCUUAUGAAUCUCACACAACACAUUAUAUGUUAAUUUCUCAUUAAUUUUGUAAACCAUGUUAACAAAUAAUAUUGUUCAAAUCACUCCAGAACAAUUCUAAAAAUGAAUUUAUUGAGAAUAUUGAAUUACAAGUCGGAACUUAAACACGUAUGAUUCAGUUUUAUCUAUGAUGCAACUCGAUUGAUUAGCCUUACAACUCGGGAAAUGUUUUAAAAAUGAUUGGAAUAUGUCCACCACUUGCUUAAAUUGAAUUAUUAUAUAACUUACCCAUUGCUUAGCAAAGGUUGCAUUGCCUACACUUUGGUUCAUCAUGUGCCCACCCCACCCAUUUUAGAUGUUCAUUUUACUAUUUACUUUGAAAAAGAAUCGUCAUCCCAUGUAUUUCUUGAUGAUGCAUAAAAAUAAUUCCUUAAAAUUUUACUAAUAUAUUUUAAAAAUAAUUCUUUUUGUAAAUAUUAUAAAUGUGAAAGGGUUUGAUACUCAUGUUUGAAGUCAUGUUAACUCAAUCACUUACUAAAACCAAAUUAAAACAAUUAAUUUUACAAGAGUGGCCAUAUGGCACUUUUUAAUUUCACUUCUAAAGUAUUUUCUUUCUAUAAUAAAAAAUGAAAAUGUGAGAUAAUAAAAUAAUAUCAUCUAGAUUUAAAUUAAACGUAACAAAUAUUUCACCCAUAAUAUAUAAAAGGUAUUUAUAUUGACCAGCAAAAUUAAAUUUCUUUAUUAAAAUAUUUUUAUCUAAAUUUUAGGUCUAAUUCGAACAAAAUUAAAUUUAAAUUGUACAAUAGAUGAAGAUACUUGUUAAUUUAAAUUAAUUAAUUUUUAAUUAAUCAAAUAGGUAUAUAGGUAUAUUUAUAUUAAUUGCCAAGUAUAUACAAUCUUGAUUGUGGAUAAAGCUAGAAGGUAGGAGAUAGCAAAGAGUGUUAGCCUCUUGCCCAAAAUAAAAGGCAUUAUCCCUAAUGAGUGAUAGCAAAGGUGAUUGUUCUUUGAGAAGAAAUUUUCAAGAAUGUCACUCUUGACCCUGUCCGAUGACAAGAGGUUCCACAUUUUUAUUUAUAGCCAUUCAACGUGUAAGGAGAACUAGUAUCACAAGUACAAGAAGAAAUUCCAUCACAACUGAACAAAAAAUUUCCAAGUAAUAUUCUUUUAUGGAAAGGUAUUCUCAAUAGAAAAAUAUAUCCACGAAAUGAUAGAAAAGGCUUUGGGCCACAACUAAAUCAACAUAUUUAAAAUGUUAUACCAAAUUAAAGAUGGAAUCGUCAUUGUCAAGACAUCAACAUCUUAUUACUUUAUACUCUAAAGGAAUUUUGUUAAUUAAUUACUACUUUAAUUAUGGAUAAUUUUGCUAAUUAUUUUUAAAUUAGUACUUAGUACCCCCUGCACCAUGUUCGGGGUGUUCUGUUUCUACGACUAAUGAUUUUCCAAUGAUUCUUGAAUGAAAAUUUUGAUUCAACGACAAAUUGCAAUUUCAGAUUAAAAUUAUAUAUAAAAAAAAAAAAAAUCCCCCAUCUGUUGCAACAUUGAACAGUGAAAUGGUUGCCUGAGAUUUUCUAUGUAAGCAAAGAAGCAAGAAAGAAAUUAGUAAGGCAGGUACUCAAGUAUAUAUCUUUAGCAAGAAAAACUAACAAAGGAAUUCUCCAAUUUGAUCCACUAUUGUGUUUUCUUUCUAUGGGAAGAACAUUAAUCAAUGUCCCCUGGUUCCAUGAAUUUUCUGCUUCUUUAAAAAUAAGAAGAAGAAAGAAAGAAAAACAUCAACUUUAGCCCUACAAUCAACUUGUAUAAAUUCGUUAGUCCUGAAACUAUGGCCUUAUUCUUAACCAUUUCCCUUAUUCUAGGGAUACUGCAGGCUACCAUCCUUCUAAUUUCCUUUGAUACAACUGUGUCAAUAGCAGAUCCAUCGCCAUUGGAGUCCAAAGCCAUAUCGCUGCUAGAAAGCGGGUGGUGGAGUAACCAUAGCAGCAAUACUUCACAACGUUGCCAGUGUCCUGCUAUAACCUGCAACACUGCUGAAAGCAUUACCAAAAUUGACUUAUCUGAUGCGCCCAACAUUGAGGUUGCAUAUAGAUUUGGGAACCAGAACCAGCAAAACAAAACAACAUUGAGGUUGCGCCCAACAUUGCUGAAUGAGCUACAAUUUUGUACUCCAUUUUGUUUUCCAUAUUGCAUCAGAAAUGUAAGAAUAACCAUAUAUGAACCGGAACCAUAAAUUUAAGGGGAAAUUUUAGAAAAAAAUCUGCUCUUCAAAUUCCUUUGGUCUAGCAAACAUUAGGUCCUUCUGCAACGUAAUGUUGGUAAAACAACCAAGAAAGAAGGCUCAGAGAAGAGUAAAUGACAGAAUAAAAAAUUCACUGUUUAUUUCUCAAUGAAAAAUAACAGAGUACAUGGUUUAAAUAGUGCUAGUGGUAACUAAAAAAAGCUAAAAAUUACGAACACUAACCCAUGAUCACAACCAAAUCAGAAUAAGAUUUUCUUAAUACCCACUAACUGAUAAAGAUAAAAACAUGUAUUAAUUAUAGCAGUAAAUAACAUUUUGAAUCAUUAUUUUUUCAACAGUGAAUGACAAAGUCAGUCGGCCAUGGUGUUGGUCCUCCUUUCCCUUUCUUGAUGUAAUUUUGUUGCAAUAUGUGGACACUUCGUUGGGACGAAAAACCAUAAUUUACUAAGGUGAGAGGAUAUGCAAUUUAACGUGAUUAAACUAUUAGUAAAUUUAUAUUUUGGUCAUUCAACUUAAAAAAAUUUAUAAAAUGAUUAUUGAGCUAUUCUAAAGUUUUAAUUUAAAUGGUUAAUAUUAGUAAAUUUAUAUCUUCAUUUAACUAAAUUGGGUUCAUUGACUCUCAUUAUAUCUCUUCAAAUCCACUAUAUGCUUAGAAAUUUCGAAGAAAGAUGAAAACAAUGUUAUGGACAAUUUCAUCGAAAUUGAGCCAAAGUUUUCCAAUUAAGAACCUUUGGUGGGAAAAUUGACAUUUGAAUAAUCAUCACAUACAAUCUUUAUUUACAAGGUGUUCCACAAUUGCAUAUAAUACAUUUCCAAUUUGGUCCAAAGAAAAAGGAGGAUACUUUAAAAGUGCGUAAUUUUGAAUUCAAAGCUUAAUAUAUGUAAUUUAUGCUUAAUACAUUCAAUAUUUAUGUGUGAAGUAAACUUAUCAAAUAUUAAAACAAUGUCUCAUUCAUCAAUUUGCAUAAAGAAAGCACUAAGCCAAACCAUUUAGAAAGGAGGGACUGAUGCUCAUGGCCUGAGUUUUAUUCUGGGUGUUUAAAACUCUUCAAUUGUCUUUAAUAAUUUCAUUCGUUUUGGUUUUUUAUUUUUAUACUAAGGUUAAGUUUGGCACUUAUUUUAAGUUUAUGAAUUUUAAAUAUUCUUUGAAAAAAUUUCAAAUUAUUUUUUAUAAAUAUUUUUAAAAUUAAAAAUAUUCAAUAACUUUUUUAAAUAUAUAUAAUUUUUAAGUUAUUUACAUUAUUUUAAAAAUAAAAUAUUAUUUUUUAUAUCAUAAAAAUUAAAUUAAUUAAUAUAAAUUAAAAGUAUAAAUCACUUUUUAACCCUUAAACUUAAUUGUUUUUCUUAAGUUGAUACCUAAUAUUUUUGGAUCUAAGUUGGGACUUGAACUUAUAUUUUAGGUUACAUUUUACUCAUUUUUAGUAUCAAUGUUAAAUUAUGUUGACAUACAUUGUGCCAUGUUAUCACUUUAAAAUUUAUUUAAAUUUUAAAAUAUUGAAAAAAAUUUAUUUAAAACUAUAAAAAAAUAUCAAUUUUUAUUAAAAAUUAUAAUAAAUCUAUUUGAAAAUCUUUUUAAUUAUUUUUCUUUUUUACUUAGAAUUUUUUAUUCCUUUAUAAUUAGUUAUACAACAAUUAUAACAAAUCUUCUAUAUUUUUUUGUUUUUUUUCCUUUUUACUCGAGAUUUUUUUUUUCCUUCAAAACUCUAAAAUGUUUCUUCCCUAUCUCUUUUCUUCGUCACCAUCCCGCUUGCCACCCCCAUCUGGCACCACCCCCAACCUAGAAAUGGCACAAAUUUGUUCUUCUCUUUCUCCUAACUUGUAUCAAAUCUUAGUUAAUUCAGAAGCUUCCUCAAAAAUCGCAAUUAUGAGCCAAUCGAUCAAAUUGCUUGAGUUUUGAGCAAUGAAGCACCGACACGGGAAAACCCCCUCGUACUAGUGUCGUAUUAGUAUCCGACUUGGACACACUGCCGACGCUGCCGGAUACGUAUCAGAUACACCUCGAUGCGUGUCAAAAAAGGGACAUUGCUGGAUUUUCUUUUGGCCUGAAUCAGAAACGAAAAAAAAAACAUAUACAAGGACAACUUUAGUAAACCAAUAAAAACGAAAACUUUAGCAUUUAAUUGUGAUAAUUUAUGGAACUUUUAACAUACUUGUCUUUUUUGGAGUCGUGGUAUAAUUUCUUAGACCUUCGUGUAUUCGCUUAUAUGAAGAUGAUGAUGAUGGAGACUUUGUAGAUAUGGUUUUGUAGAGAAGAAAGGCAAAGACAAAGGUAAAGGCAGUAAAUGAAGAAAAAAAAAGGGGUCAAUGAAGAAGAAAAGAAGGGGUAAAUGAGUGUAUGAAAAAAAAAUAGUUAAUGUACUUGUCUAGUUAUAAUGGGAUAAGAAAGUCCAAAAAAAAUUAAAGUAAUAUAAAAAUAGUGAAAGUAAAGUAUAAUAAAAAUAUGUGAGACCCAUUAUAAUAAGAAUAUAUAUAUAUAUAAUAUUUGUCUAGUUAAUGUAUUUAUUAGAUUAAAAAUAUUUUUUAAAAAAUUAAUUUUAAUUAUAAAUUAAUAAAUAUAUGUGUGGCUUAAAUUUAGAUUUGAUAUGACAUGUUUUGUGUAAUAAACUUGAAAAAUGUAUUACUAUGUUUUGUUAUAUUUUAUGUAAUGAUAAAAGAGUUUAAUGGAAAAGAAUUGAUUAUAUAUAGAGGCGAAGCGAGGGGGAUAGCAUAGGCCCCAGCCCCCUAAAAUAUAAAUUUACUCUUUUGGCCUUAAAAUUUUUUAAAAAUUUUAAAUUAGUAAAGUUAAAAUUACACUUUGUCUCCCCUAAAAUUAUAAAAAUUCGAUUUAAUCCUUUACAAAUUAUAAACAUAUAAACUAUAAAAUUAAAAUUUUAUCCGGCCCCCCUAAAUAUUUAUUCUGGCUUCGCCCUUGGUACUCACACCAACCAAAUCCAAUACCCAAUAGCAAACUAACAAAAUACCAAGCUCUUCGCUUGCUUCUUUGCAACUGAUUCUUGUGUGCUUAUAGGAUCUCCACUAGUUUGACGUUUCCUAUUUGGUGAUUUCAACUUCACUGAAGAGCUUGCAGUUAAUGUCCAACCUGACUGUGUUGUAAUUGACCUCAAUCCAGACUGAAAAUUGUAAAAUUAUAGCGAGGUAAGUAGUUAUAAAUUAGCAAAAAUUGAAAUAUUGCUAAACUAAAAACUUACAUAGAAUGUUUGCUCUCCAAUUUUCAUAUUUGUGUAGAGGCCUAACCCAGUGACAGACCACCUUCGAGUUUUCAUACUCAUGAAAUGCUUAGUUGUGGAAACUAACCUAACUUUUUUUGGUUGAUUCUUCCUCUCCAAUAAGCAAAAACAAAUUGACAUAUUGUUAGAUAAGCUUAUAUCUACUUAAUAUUAAAAAUAUAUAUAGAUUUGUAAAUUACCAAAAUAUUUGCCGCUUCAACUUGGGAAUUUUCUAGGUCAUUAAUACUCUACAGCAAAUAAAAAAUGGCAACAAGCGUCCACAAGUCAAUUUUAAAUGGCAGCAUAUGAAAUAAAAUAAAAUAAAAAAAAUCAUACUCAAAUCAACUUUAAAUUUUAGAUACAUGUUGCGGACAUCCUCGUUGGUUAUGAAAUUUGUUGAGACAAGAUGAAUACUGAGUGGCACUCGAUUAUGUUAACUGUAGAUUGUAAUUGAGGUGGUUAAAUAUUUGUUUUAUUUUAUUUUACAAUUUAAUGAAGAAAAUUUUUAGAAUUAAUGUAAUUUUUAUUGAAGAUAAUAUGAUUCAUUUGUAAUAGCUUAAAUUUUAGUGGUGUCAGAACAGUGAUUCGAGAUCACUAAAUCUGAAAAAUGAGUAGAAAAUAUUAAUAAUUUGGUGAAUAUAAGUUAAAUAUGAAGUUAGGAAAAAUUUUUGAAAUAGCGAAUAGUGUACUAGAAAUAAAUAUUACCAAGUGAAUGAAAGAAGUGAUAAAAAAAUUUAAUUUAAACUGUACAUCGAAUGAAGAUAUAUGUGAUUAUAAUCAAUUUUAAUUAAUUUUGUACUUUAUUUUUAUAUAGAUAUAUUUAUAUUAAUUAUUAAGUUUAUACAAUCCUAGUUGUCUAUAAAACUAGAAGGGAGGAGAUAACAAAGAGUGAGCACUAUCAUUAAUGAGUGAUAGCAAAGGUGAUUGUUCUUUACAACAACUUGAGAAGAAAUUCCGAGGAAUGUCACUUUUGAUGCUGGUCCUAUGAUUAGAGGUUUCACAUUUUUAUUUAUAGCCAUUCAACAUACAUGUCUAAGAAUUAUUUAUGUUACCGAUAUAUGUGGGGUUUUUUAGACAUUUAAAUUAAAUACUCAAUAAAACUCUCAAGUCAAGUUAUAUUUUAUAAUUUUUUUUAAUUUUUUAAUAAUCAUUAAUAUUUUAUUUUUAUAUUUUUUUAUAAACUUGAGUAAAUUUUACAUUUUUUUAAAAUAUUUUAAAUAAUUUGGCAUGUCACGUCAACAUGCUUUCACAUGGCAUACCAUAUGCCAACUUGUCAUGACUUCCAUAAAUCAUGUAAACAACGUAUAAUAUUCAAACUAAUUAAUCAAGAAUUUUGAUUUUUUUACUGAGUUUUUUUUACCAUUUAAUUGUAUAUUAAUAUUUAUUACUUUAUUAAGAAUUGGUUUUUAUGUAAUUUCCCUGACAAAAUUGGUAUUGAGCUCAAUAAAAUAUAUUAUACAAGUAUAGAUAUAACUUUAUUAAAAUCUGCAAAGAGAGAAAACAUUAUUAAUUUGUCUCAAGUCCCUUUUUGAGCAGAUGAGAAAUUUUGUAGAUAGAAGUUGAAUACGGUUUUCUUUUUAGUGAAUUACAAAAAGAGAGUAGAGUCUUAACAGUAAUGUGACUUAAACCUAGAAUCCAUUUGGGGUGAUGAAUACUUUAACCAUUAAACCAAUAUAUAGAAUUUGAAUACAAUAUUUUGAAGUAAAGGCAAACUCUUUGGAAAAUAAAAUUCCAAAAAUUUCCGAGUCAUAAUCUCUUGUGGAAUGGAAAAGUAUAUCCACAAAAUGAUCGAAAAGGCUCUGGGCCACAAUUAAAUCAACAUCUUUAAAUUGUUAUACCAAAAUAAAGAGGGAAUCGUAUUUGCCUUAAAUUAAACCUCUGAAAUUAUCAUAAUUUCAUAUAUUUUGUUUGCAAUUGUUUGGAAAUAAAAAAAAGAAGGUGAUUGGCUCAUCUUGUUUUUGGUGAGAAAGUAAAAUAGCAGCCAAUGCAUUUGUUUUGUGGAAAUUAAAUUAAAACCAAGGAAGUAUCAUUAUCAAGAAAUAUGGACCAUAAGAUUCAUUCCUUUUAUUAUAUAUUAUUCAUACUAACACCAUAGAAAUUUCCAUGAAAAAGUAAGUUCCAUGACAUCCAUUGAAGCAAUGACAACAAUUGGCACCUAUGAUAAUGCUCUAGAAUAACGUAUUUUUAUGUAUUAAUCAUGUGUUUAUUCUGAGCUUGAUCCUACUAAUUUGAGCUAUUUAUAUCUUUUUAUCUUUUAGGGACUGAUUUAGAGGCAAAAGAAAAAUUAAGGGACAAAAGUGCGAAUUUGGAGACAAAAUGGGCUGACAUGCAACACAGGAAAAAAAUUGUGUCAAAAGUGCGAGCAUGGAAGACACAAGGACUAAAAAUGCAAAAAGAAGAGAUUUUAUUUUAUAAGACUACAUUUUAUUUAUAUUAGGAUAAUUAAUAUUAAGAUAAUUAUUAGGAUUAUUUAAUUUUAGGAUUUUAUUUUAAUUAUCUUUAAUUAUCUUUAAUUAAAUGUAUUUAUCUUUUUAGAAUUUAAGUUAAAUUAGAUUAUCUCUCAAGCACUAUAAAUAGGGAGUGAAGUGACUCUAUUUGGUGUUCGUCUUUUUCUGUAAAUAUUCUCUCCCUGAAAGUCUAGGCUUUUGUUUCUUCAUAUUUUCUUUCAAUAAAAUUCCUUUUUCCAUUUUUAUAUUUAUUUUCUUUUCCACCAUUAUCAUGAACCACUAAAAUCUAUCUUGCCGAAAGUUGUCAAUAUUCGCCAAAAAGGGUUCUUGAGGCCUAGAAUCCGUACUUAGCCUUCUCGCCAAGUAUUCAUCGUUUCUCCGCACUACGGGCUGACGCUUCCGUCCAUGGCCCUUAAGAAGUAAGCUUUUCAGCAUAUGCAAAGGCGGCCGCUUUGUAUGUUUUGGAAGGAUUGCACAGUCGGUUCGUUAACUUAUUGCGUCAGAGGUUGGCGAGCCAAAGAGACAAAAUAGCGUGGGAUUCGCCAUUAAGAAGCGUUGAUCUAGCAUAAAUUACUGGCUAGAGUCAGGUUCCCUAAAAAUCGUAAGUCUAAUCUUUGGAGCUGGUGGUCGUAGGCGUCCUCUUCCACUAUAACUGGCUUACUUGAGUUGAGAAGGGUUACUUAAAAGCCAAGGAUUGAAUCCAAUGCAAAAUGAGACAAUCGGAGGCUGGAAUUUCGCCACAUAAGAAACUUUCUCUUUUCCCAACUCUAUUUAUUUUUCCUCAUUUCAAUUGCUGCAAUUCAUUUAAUUUCGCAAAUUCAAUUCACUUUAAAUUCUAUUUUUAUUUUUCCAGAUUCUUAAUUUUAUUUUUUUAUUUUUUAGGAACGCAGGUUUUCUUGGCCAAGAAAUUGUCCAGGAUUUCAAGAACGAGCAUUCGUACAAUCCGAUCCUUGAGGAUUCGACCCUACCUCCCCUUUACUAUUAUUUUUACUAUUUUACAUGGAAUAGGAUAUUUUUGGUGCUCUCAAUGAUACAUCAAAUUUUGGCACCGUUUUUGAAGCAAUGAUAACAAUUGGCACCUAUAACAAUUGCAAAAACACCUUGACUCCUCUAGAAAUCCAUCAGUUUGGAAACUAGAACGUUUAUGCUACAACCAGAUAAACAUUUUAGAAAUAUCUGCUCUCCAAAGUCAUCUUUGUUCAUCUUCAAUUUCGUCCUUGUAUAAACAAAACUCCAACAUAUAGAAAAAGAAAUGAUAACCCUUGAAAUCCUUAAUAUCCAAAUCAUAUUUAUGCAUAAGAAAUUUGCAUAGGAGACGAGAAAAUGGAAUCUGAACUUAAUGGGCAAUUUUGUCACAGUCAAGCUAAAGUUUAACAAUUUAGGAUCUUUUAUCUAUAUGGUGUUCCACUUUUAUGUAUAUUUCCUGGUUUUUCAAUAUGAAUUCGGUUCAAAGAAAAGGAAAUUACUUUAAAUUUGUAUAAUUAAUUUGGAUUCAAAAAUAUUUUUUAAUAAUUUGGUAUGCCACAUUAGUAUACGUUCACAUAACUUCUUAUGAAUCUCACAUACAUAUUAUAUGUCAAUUUCUCAAGAAUUUCGUAAACCAUGUUAACAAUUAAUAUUGUUCUGUAAAAAUAGAACGUCGAUUAUGACAAUAUAUAGUAAAGAAAAGAGAAAUAAAAAAAAUAAAGCACACAAAUUUUUACGUGGAAACUCUUUCAAGAAAAAACUACGGGCAGAGGAGAAGAAAAUUCACUAUGUCGAAUUCGAACAAUUACAAGAGGAAUAGACUAUGUCUAUUUAUAGGCUUGUAAAACCAUAUUCUAAUAGGAGUGUAGUAAGGUUGAAAUACCUUAUUCUAAUCAAUAUCAAAUAGAUGGAGUUUAAUAAGGUUUAAAAAACCUUAUUCUAGAAUAAAAUAAAAGAAGUGUAGUUCUAUAUGGAUUUUACUUUUAUUUUAUUUUACCAUUGUACUUUAUUUAAAUAACGAUUCGGGUCACUCAAUUCUAACAAUCUCCACCUUGACAUGAAUUUUCAAUAAACAAGUUCUUCAUUGCGAACUCUCAAUGAACAAGUUCUCCACCUCUUCCAUAAAACCCCUUAAGGGUUUAACUUCAACAAUGAACACCAACCAAGUCUAAACAAUGCUCAAACUUGGUUAUAGGAAGUGACUUAGUCAUCAUAUCUGCAGGAUUUUCAUGAGUACUAAUUUUGCUCACAACAAUAUCACCACGAGCAAUAAUUUCAUGAACAAAAUGAUACCAAACAUCAUUGUGUUUUGUUCUCUCAUGAAACAUUUGAUCUUUUGUAAGGAAGAUGGCACUCUGACUGUCACUAAAUAUUGUAUUGAUUUGAAGGUCUUUAUUGAGUUCACUAAAGAGUCCCUUCAACAAAUAGCUUCUUUACGAGACACAGUAAUCGCCAUGUACUCAACUUCAAUGGUAGACAAAGCAACUGUAGUUUGCAAAGUGGCUUUCCAACUAAUUGCACAACCUCCGAUUGUAAAGACAUAACCUGUGAGAGAUCUUCUAUCAAGGUCUCUAGUAAAAUCAGCAUCAACAUACCCAAUGACUCCAUCUCUAGUUCUUCCAAAUUGUAAGCAAACAUCAGUAGUACCUCGUAAGUAUCUUAAAAUCCAUUGAAUUGCUUUCCAAUGUUCUUUACCUAGAUUUGCCAUGUAUCUACUAACUGCAUUGACUGCAUAUGAUAAAUCUGGACAUGAACAAACCAUAGUAUACAUGAGAGAUCUCACUACACUAGAGUAUGAAACAUUUAACAUGUACUCAAUCUCAUCAUCUGAUUGUGGAGACAAAGCUGAUGAAAGUCUGAAAUGGGCUGCUAAAGGAGUACUAACAGGCUUAGCACUCUGUAUAUAGAACCUGCAAAGAACUUUUUCAAUGUACCCUUUUUGACUUAGGUACAAUUUACUUACUUUUCUAUCUCUGAGAAUCUCCAUACCAAGUAUCUUCUUUGCUGGUCCCAAAUCUUUCAUCUCAAAUUCUUCACUUAGUUGGGCUUUGACCUUCUUAUCUCAUCAACAUAAAGGAGUAGAUACACAAAAGAACCAUCACUAUUUUUCUUAAAGUAAACACAACAAUCAAAACUACUUCUUUUGAAAUCAUGAGAAGUCAUAAAGGAAUCAAACCUCUUGUACCACUGUCUUGGUGACUAUUUCAAACCGUAAAAGGGACUUUCUCAACAAGCAAACAUAGUCCUUUUUUUCUGAUACUGUAAAACCCUUUGGUUGUUGCAUGUAAACAUCCUUCUCAAGUUCUCCAUGCAAAAAUGCAAUUUUUACAUCUAACUACUCAAACUCCAAAUCAUGCACGGCCACAAUACCAAGCAAAGCUCAAAUCGAACUAUGCUUCACAAUUGGGGAGAACACAUCUGUGAAGUCCACUCUCAGAAUUUGACUAUAACCUUUUGCAACAAGUCUUGCUUUAUAUUUGGGUUCUUCAACUCAUGGAGUCUAUUCUUUCUUUUUAAACACCCAUUUACAACGAACAACCUUUUAACCUUUAGGAAGUUUCAAAAUAUCCCAUGUUUUAUUUUUAUGGAGUGAUUUCAUCUCCCAUUUCAUCUCCCAUUUCAUCCACUUUUCUGAGUCUUCACAGCUAACCGCCUCAGAAUAAUUAGAUGGCUAUUGGUUUACAUCUAUAUCUUCAGUCAAAUUUAAGUAUAAGUAACUAAAUCAGUCUCGGCAUACUUCUUUGGAGGUUUAAUUUCUCUUCUAGUUCUAUUUUUGGUGAUAGAGCAUUAUGGUAAAGAAGCAACUCUAUUCUGAAUUUUUGUAUUAGCUUGAGGAGUCAACUCUGUUGUAGAUUUUGGAUUAAUCUGAUGCUCCACCUACUUUUGAUUUUCUUUAUUAGAAGAGUUUUUGAGAGAUAAGUUAGGUAGCAUAGCAGUUUCAUAAAAAACAACAUCUAUGCUAAUCACAACUUUUCAAUUUUUAGGACACCAUAACUUAUACCUUUUACACCAGUUUUAUAACUAAGAAAAACACAUUUAAUGGAUCUCAGUUCCAAUUUUCCAUUAUCAACAUGAGCAUAUGCAAGACACCCAAAGAUCUUUGAAUCAGAAUAGUCAGCAGGAUUGCCAGACCAUAGCUCUUGUGGAGUCUUUUUCUCAAUGGAAACGGAUGAAGAUCGAUUGAUAAAAAAAUAUGUAGUAGAAGCUGCUUCGGGCCAAAACAACUUUGGUAAGUUGGCAUUUGACAACAUACAUUGAACUUUCUCCAUGAUCGUUCUGUUCAUUCAUUCUACAAUGCCGUUUUACUGUUGAGUAUGACGAACUGUCAAGUGCUCGCGAUCCCUUCUGACUUGCAUAGUUUAUAAAACUCAUCAGAAUAGAAAUCUAAGCCAUUUUCUGUACGGAAGUAUUUUAUUUGUUUUCCUAUAUGUUUUUUAGUCAUAGUUUUCCAAGACUUAAAUGCGAAAAAUGCAUCUCUUUUCUGCUUCAGGAAGAACGCCUAAACUUUUCUGGAAAAAUCAUCAAUAAAAGUUAGCAUAUAAUUAGCUCCACCUCUCAAAGGCACUCUGGAUGGUCCCUAUAGAUCAGAAUGAAUAUACUCCAACGUUCUUUUCGAGUUAUGGAUCACUCUAGUGAAUUGUACUCUCUUUUGCUUCCCAAAAAUGCAGUGCUCACAGAACUUUAGUUUGCAAAUUCCUUGCCCAUCAAGAAGUCCUCUUUUGCUCAAUUCUGUCAUGCCAUUCUCACUCAUAUGCCUUAGGCGCAUAUGAAAAAUUUUAGUAAUAUCAUCAUCUAAAAAGGAAGAGGAAGCGACAACUGCAUCACUAAUAACAGUAAAACCUUGCAAAACAUAUAACUUGACAGUCUUUCUUUGCCCUUUCAUCACAACGAGGGAACCCUUGGAAAUUUUCAAAACCCUACUUUUAGGUGUGCAUGUGUACCCUUUUAAAUCAAGAGUACUCAAUGAAAUUAAAUUUCUCUUUAAUUCUAGAACAUGUCGCACAUCACUAAGUGUUUUAACAACUCUGUCAAACAUCUUAACUUUAAUCGUUCCAACACUUGCAGUUUUACACGAAGCAUUAUUUCCCAUCAAAACAACACCUUCAGACAUUGUUUUGUAAGUUGUAAACCAAUCUCGAUUGGGACUCCUAUGGAAGGUGCAGCCCGAAUUAAGGAUCCACUCUUCGCUCACUUUAGAAUUGUUGACAGAAGCUACUAGAAGUUCACCAUCAUUGUAUUCUUCUACAACAUCAGCUUCAACGGAAUUUUUUGGUUGUUUUCCCUUUUCAUUUGCAGCCUUUCUUUUGAUCUUGUUCUGUAUCUUAUAGCACUCAGAUUUAGCAUGUCCUUUCUUCUUGCAGAAGUUACAAGUUUUACCUUUUUUUGAAGACUUCGAUCUACCCUUAGAUUUACCACGAGGAUUCCGUUCCUGUGUCCUUCCACAAUCAUUAUCAGCAUUCCGUUCUUGUCUCCCAUGAACAAUGAGAACCUUUCUGAGAGUUAAUUUUAACCAUAAGAUGCUUCAUCUUAUCAUACGAGGUUAAAGAACCAUAAACCUCAUCAACUGUGAAAGACUCGUGGCUAUAUAAAAUCGUGUCUCUAGAGGUUGAAUAAGAUGGAGGCAAUGAACAAAAUAGAAUCAACCCUAGAUCUUCCUUGUCAUACUGAACCUCCAUGGCCUCCAACAUUGAGAGAAUUUCUUUAAACACAGUUAAGUGUUCGUGCACAGAAACACCUUCCUCCAAACGAUGAGCAUAAAGACGCUGCUUUAUAUGCAACUUGCUGGUUAGAGUUUUCGACAUACAUAUUUGUUCCAACCUCUUCUAUAAUGCAGCGGUGGUCUUCUCCUUCAUCACAUCCUGCAAAUUUUUGCUAGACAAAUGCAGAUGUAAUUGUGUUAACGCCUUUCGAUCCUUACGCUUCUUCUCUUCAUUUGUUAAUGUCGAAGGCAUCUUAUCUAUCCCUAGCAGGGCAUCCUCCAAAUCCAUCUGCGCAAGAACUGCUUGCAUCUUAAUCUACCACAACGCAAAUCUGGUGUUGCGAUCCAACAGCGGAAUUUCAUACUUCAAAAACGUCAUUACCGUGAUCAAGAUGAAAAACCCAGAAGCUUUGAUACUAAUUUGUAAAAACAGAACAUCGGUAAUGACAAUAUAUCACGAAUAAAAGAGAAAUAAAAAAAUAAAGAACAUACAUAUUUUUAUGUGGAAACCCUUUCAGAAAAAACCAUGAGCAGAGGAGAAGAAAAUUCACUAUGUCGAAUUCGAAUAAUUACAAGAGGAGUAGACUAUGUCUAUUUAUAGGCUUGUAAAACCAUAUUCUAAUAAGAGUGUACUAAGAUUGAAAUACCUUAUUCUAAUUAAUAUCAAAUAGAUGGAGUUUAAUAAGGUUUAGAAAACCUUAUUCUACAAUAAAAUAAAAGAAGUGUAGUUCUAUAGGUAUUUUACUUUUAUUUUAUUUUACUAUUGUACUUUAUUUAAAUAAUGAUUCGGGUCACUCAAUUCUAACAUGUUCAAAUCACUCCAGAAUAAUUGCAAAAAUGAAUUUAUUGAGAAUAUUGAAUUACAAGUCGGAACCGUAAACUAUGAAAAAGUGAAUCGAAUACGUAUGACUUUGUUUUAUCUAUUGUGUAGCCUUACAACUCGGGCGAUGUUUUAAAAAUGAUUGGAAUAUGUCCGCCACCUGCUUAAAUUGAAUUAUUAUAUAACUUAUCCAUUGCUUAGCAAAGAUUGUAUUGGCUACCCUUUGGUUCAUCAUGUGCCCACCCGACCCAUUUUAGAUGUUCAUUUUACUAUUUACUUUGAAAAAGAAUAAUCAUCCCAUAUAUUUAUUAAUGUUUUGAAAGAAAAUUCUGUCUAUCCAAUUUAUUGAUGAUGCAUAAAAAUAAUUCCUUAAAAUUUUACUAAUAUAUUUUAAAAAUAAUUCUUUUUGAACAUUUAUAAAUGUGAAAGGGUAUGAUACUCAUGUUUGAAGUCAUGCUAACUCAAUCACUUACUAAAACGAAAUUAAAACAAUUAAUUUUACAAGAGUGGCCAUAUGGCACUUUUUAAUUUCACUUCUAAUAUAUAAAAGUGAUGUCUUUUCUUUCUAUAAUAAAAAAAUGAAAAUGUGAUAAUAAAAUAAUAUCAUCUAGACUUAAAUUAAACGUAACAAAUAUUUCACCCUUAAUAUAUAAAAGGUAUUUAUAUUGACCUGCAAAAUUAAAUUUCUUUAUUAAAAAUUUUUUAUCUAAAUUUUAGGUCUAAUUCGAACCAAAUUAAAUUUAAAUUGUACAAUAGAUGAAGAUACUUGUUAAUUUAAAUUAAUUUUUUUAAUCAAUCAAAUAGGUAUAUAGGUAUAUUUAUAUUAAUUGCUAAGUAUAUACAAUCUUGAUUGUGGAUAAAGCUAGAAGGUAGGAGAUAGCAAAGGGUGUUAGCCUCUUGCCCAAAAUAAAAGGCAUUAUCCCUAAUGAGUGAUAGCAAAGGUGAUUGUUCUUUGAGAAGAAAUUUUCAAGAAUGUCACUCUUGACCCUGUCCGAUGACAAGAGGUUCCACAUUUUUAUUUAUAGCCAUUCAACGUGUAAGGAGGAUUAGUAUCACAAGUACAAGAAGAAAUUCCAACACAACUGAACAAAAAAUUUCCAAGUAUUAUUCUUUUGUGGAAAGAUAUUCUCAAUAGAAAAAUAUAUCCACGAAAUGAUAGAAAAGGCUUUGGGCCACAACUAAAACAACAUAUUUAAAAUGUUAUACCAAAUUAAAGAUGGAAUCGUCAUUGUCAAGACAUCAACAUCUUAUUAUUUUAUACUCUAAAGGAAUUUUGUUAAUUAAUUACUACUCUAAUUAUGGAUAAUUUUGCUAAUUAUUUUUAAAUUAGUACUUAGUACCCCCUACACCAUGUUCGGGGUGUUCCGUUUCUACGACUAAUGAUUUUCCAAUGAUUCUUGAAUGAAAGUUUUGAUUUAACGACAAAUUGCAAUUUCAGAUUAAAAUUAUAUAUAAAAAAAAUCCCCCAUCUGUUGCAACAUUGAACAGUGAGAUGGUUGCCUGACAUUUUCUAUGUAUUAAAAGAAACAAGCAAGAAAUUAGCAAGGCAGGUACUCAAGUAUAUAUCUUUAGCAAGAAAAACUAACACAGGAAUUUCCAAUUUGAUCCACUAUUGUGUUUUCUUUCUAUGGAAGAACAUUAAUCAAUGUGCCCUGGUUACUUCCAUGAAUUUUCUGCUUCUUUAAAAAUAAGAACAAGAAAGAAAGAAAAACAUCAACUUUAGUCCUACAAUCAACUUGUAUAAAUUCGUUAGUCCUGAAACUAUGGCCUCAUCCUUAACCAUUUCCCUUAUUCUAGGGAUACUGCAGGCUACCAUCCUUCUAAUUUCCUUUGAUACAACUGUGUCAAUAGCAGAUCCAUCGCCAUUGGAGUCCAAAGCCAUAUCGCUGCUAGAAAGCGGGUGGUGGAGUAACCAUAGCAGCAAUACUUCACAACGUUGCCAGUGUCCUGCUAUAACCUGCAACACUGCUGAAAGCAUUACCAAAAUUAACUUAUCUGAUGGGCCCGAUAUUGAGGUUGCAUAUAGAUUUGGGAACCAGAACCAGCAAAACAAAACAACAUUGAGGUUGCGCCCAACAUUGUUGAAUGAGCUACAAUUUUGAACUCCAUUUUGUUUUCCAUAUUGCAUCAGAAAUGUAAGAAUAAUCAUAUAUGAACCAGAACCAUAAAUUUAAGGGGAAAUUUUAGAAAAAAAUCUGCUCUUCAAAUUCCUUUGGUCUAGCAAACAUUAGGUCCUUCUGCAACGUGAAUGACAAAGUCAGUCAGCCAUGGUGUCGGUCCUCCUUUCCCUUUCUUGAUGUAAUUUUGUUGCAAUAUGCGGACACUAGGUUGGGACGAAAAACCAUAAUUUAUUAAGGUGGGAGGAUUUGCAAUUCGUGAUUAAACUAUUGGUAAAUUUAUAUUUUGGUCAAUUAACUUUAAAAAAUUACAAAAUAAUUUUUAAACUAUUCUAAAGUUUUAAUUUAAAUAGUUAAUAUUAGUAAAUUUAUAUCUUCAUUUAAUUAAAUUGGGUUCACUGACUCUCAUUAUAUCUCUUCAAAUCCACUAUAUGCUUAGAAAUUUCGAAGAAAGAAGAAAAAAAUGUUAUGGACAAUUUCAGAGCCUAAGUUUUCCAAUUAAGAACCUUUCGUGGAAAAAUUGACAUUUGAAUAAUCAUCACAUACAAUCAUUAUUUACAAGGUGUUCCACAUUUGCAUAUAAUAUAUUUCCAAUUUGGUCCAAAGAAAAAGGAAGAUAUUUUAGAAGUGCGUAAUUUUGAAUUCAAAGCUUAAUAUAUGUAAUUUAUGCUUAAUACAUUCAAUAUUUAUGUGUGAAGUAAACUUAUCAAAUAUUAAAACAAUGUCUCAUUCAUCAAUUUGCAUAAAGAAAGCACUAAGCCAAACCAUUUAGAAAGGAGGGACUGAUGCUCAUGGCCUGAGUUUUAUUCUGGGUGUUUAAAACUCUUCAAUUGUCUUUAAUAAUUUCAUUCGUUUUGGUUUUUUAUUUUUAUACUAAGGUUAAGUUUGGCACUUAUUUUAAUUUUAUGAAUUUUAAAUAUUAUUUAACAAAAUUUCAAAUUAUUUUUUAUAAAUAUUUUUAAAAUAAAAAAUAUUCAAUAAUUUUUUUAAAUAUAUAUAAUUUUUAAGUUAUUUACAUUAUUUUAAAAAUAAAAUAUUAUUUUUUAUAUUAUAACAAUUAAAUUAAUUAAUAUAAAUUAAAAGUAUAAAUCACUUUUUAACCCUUAAACUUAGUUGUUUUUCUUAAGUUGAUACCUAAUGUUUUUGGAUCUAAGUUGGUACUUGAACUUAUAUUUUAGGUAACAUUUUACUCAUUUUUAGUAUCAAUAUUAAAUUAUGUUGACAUACAUUUUAAGAUUUGUGCCAUGUUAUCACUUUAAAAUUUAUUUAAAUUUAAAAAUAUUUAAAAAUAAAAAACAAUUAUUUAAAACUAUAAAAAAUUAUAAACUUUUAUUAAAAAUUAUAAUAAAUCUAUUUGAAAAUCUUUUUAAUUAAUUUUCUUUUUACUUAGGAUUUUUUAUUCCUUUAUAAUUAGUUAUACAACAAUUAUAACCAAUCUUCUAUAUUUUUGUUUUCUUUUUCUUUUUACUCGAGAUUUUAUUUAUUUAUUUUUCCUUCAAAACUCUAAAAUGCUUCUUCCCUAUUUCUUUUCUUCGUCACUAUCCCACUUGUCACUGCCAUCUGGCACCACCCCUAACCUAGAAAUGGCACAAAUUUGUUCUUCUCUUUCUCUUAAACUUUCCACUAGAGGAAAAUAGAUUUUUAAUGGCACUUUUUUUUUUGGCUCUAUAAGCAUCGCAAAAAACACCGUUAUAAAUAACUCAACUAAAUUUCGCAUCGUUUAUUUGGGAAAACGCCGCUAUAAAACAUUAUAUUUAACUUUUGGAAAAUAUUGACAUCACAUAUAUAAUAAGGGUAAUUACAUGUUAUUAUUUACUAUCAUAAUAGGUUAGCCUAAAUUAAAAGUGAUCUAAUUUGGUUAAAAUUUUAUUGGAUUUAAUUAUUAAAUAAAGUAUGGGUCAAAUAUGUGCAGAUACUCUAGUAAUUAAAUUCUAAUCAAAUUCUGAUUAAUGAUGAGCUAAUUAGAAUUUGAUUAGAACUAAUAUGCCAAUGUUAUAAAUAUUAGGGUUAUGGUCCCCAAAUUAUACGUAAGAUAUCUUUUCUAAUAUCCCAUCAUUAGGAAAGAGAGAGCAGAUAUUCUCUGAAUUUCUUGUGUGCUAAUUUGGAAGAUCAAAUCUCCAAGAUCUGGUAAAACUUCAAGAAAUUCAUGGAUUCAGGUAUGCUUCCUCAUCUAGUUUUGUUCUUAAUGAUAUGACAUGAUAGAUCCUAGUUUAUUAAAUUUUAUUUCAGAUUUAUUUUACAAAUCUAACAAGUGGUAACAGAGCCAGGUUAUGUUAAGUCAUUAGGAAUUGAUUAAAGUUUCUUAUUUAAACGAUUGAUUCAUAAAUUUUUAUGGGUUUUAUAUUUCAGAUAUAUAUUGAUCUUUGAAGGCUUAUAUUAAAGUAUUUCUUUUUUGAAUUUAAAAAAAAGUUAACAGUAAAUAGACAUAACUUAAUUCAUAUAUAUAUUGAUUAUAUACAUAUAUAAUAAAUGCAUGUUGUUUUGGAAAUUUAUAUAAAUAUAUAUAAUUAUCUUUUAAUUUGAUUGAAAGAUGAAAUUAAGGUAAAUAUUUUGAAACAAAUAAAUUCAGAUUUUGGCUCUUAAUUAAGGAUAUCUAAUAUUUUAAAUAAAUUAGUUGAAACAAAAUGCCGUCAAAAUGACUUUUUUUGUGUAGAUUAGUUUAUUUGAAAUAUUAAGAUAAUUAUAUGUUUUUGUGAUUCAUGCAUUUAUUAAUUGACCCAAAGGUAAGUUAAUAUUUGGCAGAAUUUCAAUGACAUCUGUGGUGAUAAAUGUGUGACAAUUAUAAGGUAUUUUAUGUGAGCAAUAAGUUAGUCCAAAGAUUAAUUCAUUGUUUAACAUAAUUUAUUGUCAAUAUUUGAUUGCUACAACAAGAGUACCGCUUACGGUUAAUAUUAUUGUCCAAAGACUUGAUAUUAAUGUUGUGUUUGGUAUCUUGAGAUGGGAUUAGCUGUUAUCUUGAAUUUAUUAUUUACUUAUGAAUAUUAAUUUAAACUUGUUUUUGUUCUAUAUUCAGCUAAUUCAUCUUUGGCUGUCACAAUAUCUGCUACUAUAAUUCUAUACCCAUGCUUGAUGGGACUAAUUUUAAGGAAUGGAAAAGGCACUUACUUAUAGUGCUUGGCUAUUUGGACAUAGACCUUACACUAAGGGAAGAACAACUUGCACCUCUCAUUGUGGAAAACACCCCUGAUGUUAAAAGGGAUUUUGAGAGGUGGGAUCGUUCAAAUCGCAUGAGUCUAAUGAUCAUGAAACACAGCAUUCCAGAAGCCUUUAGGGGCACAGAAUCUGAAGAGAUUACUUAGGCUAAGGGUUUCCUUGAUGAAAUUGAAAAAUGUUUUGCUAAAAACGAUAAGGUUGAGAUGACAUCACUUCUGGCUUCUUUGAUGUCUAUGAUGUAUAAAGGUCAAGGAAACGUAAGGGAGUACAUUAUGGAGAUGUUUCAUAUUGCUUCAAGACUUAAGGUACUUAAGAUCGAGCUUUUUUCCAAUUCUUAUGGUUUUGGCAUCGCUUCCUGCACAGUUUAAUCAAUUUAAAAUUAGUUAUAACUAUCAAAAGAAGAAAUAGACCCUAAAUGAGCUCAUUUCUCAUUGUGUGCAAGAGGAAGAAAGGUUGAAGCGUGGUAAGCCUGGACGUGCUCAUUUGGCCAAUGCCCCUGAAGAUAAGAGCGAGAAAAGAAAAUAUCAGAAUGAAUCUGCUAAGGGUCCAACUCAAAAGAAACAUCAACAAGCUACAGAGUUGUUUCUUUUGUAACAAGUCUGGACACGUAAAGAAAGAUUGUACCAAAUGUCAUGCUUGGCGUCAAAGAAAGGUAUAAUUCUUAAUUUGGUCUGUUCUGAUAUUAAUUUAGCUUCAGUACCUAGAAAGACUUAGUGAAUAGAUUCUAGUGCUACUACUCCAUAAGUGUUUCUAUGCAGGAUUGCCUGAGUUACCGAAAGCUAAGUGAUGGUGAAAGACACAUCUUUGUGGGCAAUGGAAAAUCGGUAAAAGUGGAAGUGAUUGGGCAUUUUAGAUUGUUAUUAGGAACUGGUUUUUAUUUGGAUUUAAAAAAACUUUUAUUGUACCGUCAUUUAGAUGGACUUUAGUUUCUGUUUCUUCAUUAGACAAAUUUGGAUAUUAUUGUUCAUUCGGAAACAAUCAAUUUAAUUUUUCUUUAAAUUCAAAUGUUAUUGGAACUGGUUAUUUAAAUACUUAUGACAACCUUUAUUUGCUAGAAGCAGUUACAUCCUAUAAUGAAACCUUGCAUGUGGAAUCACAUGGUAUUAAAUGCAAAUUAAAUAAAGAAAAUUCAGCAUCAUUAUGGCAUAGGCGCUUAGGUCAUAUUUCAAAAGUUAGAGUUGAACGUCUUAUGACUGAUGGUAUUUUAAAGUCCCUUAACUUCACAGAAUUUGAUGUCUGUGUCAAUUGCAUUAAGGGGAAACAGACCAAAACCAAGAGAUUGGGUGCCAACAGAUCUUCAGACAUCUGAUAAUGCUCUAAAAUAACGUAUUUUUAUGUAUUAAUCAUGUGUUUAUUCUGAGCUUGAUCCUACUAAUUUGAGCUAUUUAUGUCUUUUUAUCUUUUAGGGAUUGAUUUGGAGGCAAAAGCAAAAUUAAGGGACAAAAGUACGAAUUUAGAGACACAAUGGGCUGAUAUGCGACACAAGAAAAAGAUUGUGCCAAAAGUGCGAGCAUGGAAGACACAAGGACUAAAACGCAAAAAGAAGAGAUUUUAUUUUAUAAGACUCUAUUUUAUUUAUAUUAGGAUAAUUAAUAUUAGGAUAAUUAUUAGGAUUAUAUAAAUUUUAGGAUUUUAUUUUAAUUAUCUUUAUUUAUCUUUAAUUAAUUGUAUUUAUCUUUUUAGAAUUUAAGUUCAAUUAGACUAUCUCCCUAGCACUAUAAAUAAGGGGUGAAGUCACUCUAUUUGGGGUGCUCAUCUUUUUCUGUAAACACUCUCCCCUUGAUAGUCUAGGUUUUUGUUUCUUCAUAUUUUCUUUCAAUAAAAUUCCCUUAUCCAUUUUUAUAUUUAUUUUCUUUUCCACCAUUAUCAUGAGCCACUAAAACCUAUCUAGCUGAAAGUUGUCAAUAUUCCCCAAAAAGGGUUCUUGAGGCCUAGAACCCGCACUUAGCCUCCUCGCUAAGUAUUCAUCGUUUCUCUGCACUAUGGGCUGACGCUUCCGUCCAUGCCCCUUAAGAAGUAAGCUUUUCAGCAUAUGCAAAGGCGGCCGCUUUGUAUGUUUUGGAAGGAUUGCAUAGUCGGUUCAUUAACUUACUGCGUCAGAGGUUGGCGAGCCAAAGAGUCAAAAUGGCGUGGGAUUCGCCAUUGAAAAGCAUUGAUCUAGCAUAGAUUACUAGCUAAAGUUAGGUUCUCUAAAAAUCGUAAGUCUAAUCUUUGGAGCUGGUGGUCAUAGGCGUCCUUUUCCACUAUAACUGGCUUACUUGAGUUGAGAAGGGUUACUUAAAAGCCAAGGAUUGAACCCAAGGCGGAACGAGACAACCGGAGGCUGGAAUCUCGCCACAUAAGAAACUUUCUCUUUUCCCAACUCUAUUUAUUUUUCCUCAUUUCAAUUUCUGCAAUUUAUUUUCUCAAAUCCAAUUCACUUUAAAUUCUGUUUUUAUUUUCCCAAAUUCUUAAUUUUAUUUUUUUAUUUUUCAGGAACGCAGGUUUUCUUAGCCAAGAAAUUAUCGAAGAUUACAAGAAACGAGCAUUCGUACAAUCCGAUCCCUGAGGAUUCGACCCUACUUCCUAUUUACUGUUAUUUUUACUAUUUUACAGGAAAUAGGAUAUUUUUGGUGCUCUAAACGACGCAUCAAAUUUUGGCACCGUUGCCGGGGAUCGGUAACGUACUAAUCUUGUUUUUUUUUUGUUUCUUAUGACCAGAUCUGCUCCAGGAACUCUUGCGUUUGAUUCAGAGAUUGAAAAGACUGCGAGAGCUAAUUUCAAGGAAACAAAGCUAAGGAAAAAGCAGUCAGCGGUGGUUGGAACUCAAAGCAAUCCACCGCCAGAAAUCAUAAUCGACGACGAAGCAGAGUCUAGGGUUAACGAAAACCCUAAUCAAACUUUUGAAGGUGAAAAAGUAGAAGUCGAUUCCCCAGAAGAAGUGCUUAACGCUAGGGUUGACGUAAACCCUAAUUUAGCACCUCAACCUAUGGCUUAGACAAUUCGGCAACUGGCCGAAGCGUCGAUAGCAAUUGCCACUAUGCAUCGCAUAUCCUAUUAUGGAUACUGAUUUUGAAUUAAAGUCAGGCUUGAUCCAGCUACUGCCAACCUUUCGGGGUUAUAGAACGAAAAUCCCCACAAGCAUUUAAAAGAAUUCCAUAUGGUUUGUUUGCGUAUGAAACCUCAGAGGGUAACUGAGGAUCAAGUUAAACUACGUUGUCCCUUUUUCCUUAGCAAAUUCUGCUAGGGAAUGGUUAUUUUAUUUACCUCCUGGAUCUGUAAUGACUUGGGCUGAUCUGUCUCGUUUAUUUCUCAACAAGUUUUUUCCAGCGUCGCAUGCAGCCGAGUUAAGAAGAGAAAUCAUAGGCAUAAGGCAAAAAGACACGGAGUCUCUGUAUGACUACUGGGAGUGAUUUAAAAAGUUAUGUGCAAGUUGCCCACAAUACAGUGUAACGGAACAGUCUUUACUCCAAUACUUUUAUGAAGGCCUAAAACCCAUGAAGAUGAAUAUGGUAGAUGCCGCUACUAGAGGAUUGUUGGUCAACAUGACUCCACAACAAGCAAGAGACUUGAUCUCCACAAUGGCUGCAAAUACUCAGCAAUUUCGAGCCAAUCAUGAACCCCCUAGAAGGGUUCACCAGCUAAGUAAUUCGACCUUAGAAGAUAAGGUUGAUAGAAUUACUAAUAUUCUGAAUUCUCUUGUUGCAGAAAAAGUAAAGACAGCCCGAGUAUGUGGAAUAUGUGCUACCCCUGAACAUACAACUGAUGCAUAUCCCAGUUUGAAUGAUGAUACUAUGGCCCAUUUAGAUGCUAUAGGAUAUUUUCCUAGGCCACCACAAAGGCGAUACGACCCUUACGCCAAUACCUACAACCCAGGAUGGAGGGACCACCCUAACUUUAGUUAUGGGGCUAAUCCACAAUAUAACCAGCCAUACCAAAAUGGGGUCCCACAACAGCCAUAAGAUUCAGGUAAUUCUCUGGAAACUUUGGUCAAAAAUUACCAGCUAAUGUCAUUGAUUUUCAAUAGAAAACUCUUAAUUUCCAAAAAGAAACGAAGGCAUCUAUAAGAGAAUUGACCACGUUAAUUGAGAAAUUAAGUUCUCAAGGGAAGCUACCGUCGUAAACAGAACUAAACUCGAGACAGAAUACAAAUGCAAUUACGUUGCGAAGUGGAAAGGUGCUGGAACCAAUUCCUAGCAAGAAUCUUGGUCAAGAAAUCACCUAGGAAACUCUAGAAAAUGACGAACAGAUCUGAGCGAAACUCCCACUGCCGAAAAUCCAACCUCCAUUCCCAGGAUGAUUAAAUCAGUGUCGAAAAAAUAAGGAAGACAAGGAGAUACUCGAAACAUUCAGAAAUGUCGAGAUCAACAUGCCACUGUUGGAUGCCAUCAGACAAAUUUCAAGGUAUGCCAAAUUCCUUAAAGAGAUCUGCACCAAAAACGAAAGUUAACAAGCAAUAAAAAGGUAAGUGUUGAUGAAAAUGUUUCCGCAGUGCUACAGCGAAAAAUGCCGGUUAAAUGCAAAGAUAGGGGUAUGUUCACUAUUCUAUGCAAAAUUGGUCAUUUAGGAAUUAAAAAGGCUAUGUGCGAUUUAGGGGCGUCCAUAAAUGUAAUGCCUUAUUUUAUUUAUGAAUCACUUAACGCGGGUUUUUUAACAAAGACAGGUGUUACCAUUCAGUUGGCAGACAGGUCCAUUGUGCAUCCCGAAGGGGUCCUCGAGGACGUAUUAGUCAAACUACAAAUUUUUAUGUGAUAAAAAUGGAGGAGGAUAACACUCCUGGGUCUUUAGACAUCUUGUUGGGAUGACCUUUCCUUAGUACUGCGAAUACUAAGAUUGAUGUACGAAGCAGAACCCUCACGAUAGAGUUUGAUGGGGAGAUCGUGAAGUUUAAUGUUUAUGGCACUAUUAGUCACCCAAGUGAAGUCUUGGAUGUAAACCGUGUCGACAUAAUUGACUCAUCAGUAGAACAAACUUUUGAGUCAUCUUAUGGAGAUAAACCUAAAAUGAUGUUUGAUGAUUUUGAAUCUGUUAAUAAAUUAUUAGCUCCCAUGAAUACUAAACUUCUACCUCCUGUUGUGCAGGCACCAGAUCUAAAAUUAAAACCACUUCCCGAGCAUCUCAAAUGCACAUUUUUGGAGAAUGAUGAGACCAUUGCUGACUUAAAAGGGAUCAACCCCUUGGUGGAAAAUACGAAACCAAAGAAAGAGGCGGAAGGACGAUUAAACCCAAAUAUGGUGGACGUGUUAAAAAAUGAGAAUUUCCAAGCUCAUAAGAAUGAAAGAAUUCAGCUGGAACAGCCACAAUACUAGUUGGGGCGUCAAGCUAGCGACGUUAAACAAGCGCUUGUUGGGAGGCAACCCAAUUUUUUAUUUUUAUUUUAUUUAUUUUAUCUUAUUAUUUAUUAUUUUCAGAUAUUAAUAAAAUUCUCUUCUUUUGUCUAGGUAAACCGAAGCAACAAUAGGGAGAACUUAUUACCAUAAUGCGCGAAUGAUAGUAACUACACGGGGAGUUCUUCUAAACUUUUCUUCUACCUAUUUAUUUAUUUAUUCCACAUCGAGGACUAUGUGGUUUAAAUAGGGGGAGGCAUUCCUUAUUAUUUCUAUCAUUUUAGAUGCUAAAUCUUUGUUGUUGUUGCUGCUGAUUCGGUUGUUGCUGCCCAUAUAAUUUUUUUUAAGAAUAUUUUGCCUCUUUUCAUGCCCAAGAAUUUGACCACCACUUGCCCACUGUUUGACCCACAUGCAUGAUUCUUAUCUACUGAGUUAAUUAUGAUUUUGCUUGAUAGAUUUCAUCUCCACUGUUUUAUUUCUUUUAGUUUAAAUAACUAUGAUUAAUAGAGUUAACCCUAUCUUGAUUUUGGUAAAUUUGAUUAAGUCUAAAUACGAAGAGGACACUUAAUUGCAUGCUUAAAAUAUGUUCAUGACUAUUAAGGUAGUUACCGAAACUUGUUUUUGACACUUGAUUGUUUUUCCUAAGUCCUCCAAAAUUAAAAUUUGAUUUAAUAAUAAUAAUGUUUCCGUGGUUAUGAGUGCAGCUUAAGACGUGACUAGCUGAGUAACCGGGGUAGGGUGCUUGGGUUGUCAUCCUAUUUCGCGUCAAAAGGUUGUGUGACGUGUUAGGUAAAAUUCCGCUAACCGGAAUUAAUUUCUAAGAGUAACCAGGGUGGGUGCUUGGGUUGUCAUGUCUCUUCGCGUCAAAAGGUAUAGUAUAUUCCUAAGUAAAAAUAAAUAAAUUAAAUUAAAAUUCUAUAACAAAAAGAAAAAAAGAAAAAAAAAGUCAUAUUAAUAAAAUGUGAGGACUAAAGGUAAAAUUGAAUAGGGUGUCUUGAUAGGUUUGGUAAAUUAUCUAAUUUUCAUGAAAUAAUCCAAGUCGAUCUUAAUUUUGUUUGUGUUAAUUAGAACACUUUUUCAAAUUUUACUUAAAUCAAGCUAAGGGUUCUCUUUAUUUUUCGUAUGCAUUUUGACUAAUUUUUAUAAAACUUUGGAGUAGAAUUUCUUUCAUGGCAGGAUUUAAUUUUCACAGUGGAUAGGAACCAUACUUGAGGGUAAGCAUGGACUAAAUAGGGGGAAUUUGAUAAUGCUCUAGAAUAACGUAUUUUUAUGUAUUAAUCAUGCGUUUAUUCUGAGCUUGAUCCUACUAAUUUGAGCUAUUUAUGUCUUUAUAUCUUUUAGGGACUGAUUUGGAGGCAAAAGCAAAAUUAAGGGACAAAAGUACAAAUUUAGAGACACAAUGGGCUGAUAUGCAACACAGGAAAAAGUUUGUGCUAAAAGUGCGAGCAUGGAAGACACAAGGACUAAAAAUGCAAAAAGAAGAGAUUUUAUUUUAUAAGACUCCAUUUUAUUUAUAUUAGGAUAAUUAAUAUUAAGAUAAUUAUUAGGAUUAUUUAAAUUUUAGGAUUUUAUUUUAAUUAUCUUUAUUUAUAUUUAAUUAAUUGUAUUUAUCUUUUUAGAAUUUAAGUUCAAUUAGACUAUCUCCCUAGCACUAUAAAUAGGGGGUGAAGUGACUCUAUUUGGGGUGUUCAUCUUUUUUUGUAAACACUCUCCCCCUGAAAGUCUAGGCUUUUGUUUCUUCAUAUUUUCUUUCAAUAAAAUUCCCUUUUCCAUUUUUAUAUUUUUUUUCUUUUCCACCAUUAUCAUGAGCCACUAAAACCUAUCUAGCCGAAAGUUGUCAAUAUUCCCCAAAAAGGGUUCUUAAGGCCUAGAACCCGCACUUAGCCUCCUCGCCAAGUAUUCAUCGUUUCUCUGCACUAUGGGCUGACGCUUCCGUCCAUGCCCCUUAAGAAGUAAGCUUUUCAGCAUAUGCAAAGGCGGCCGCUUUGUAUGUUUUGGAAGGAUUGCAUAGUCGGUUUGUUAACUUACUGCGUCAGAGGUUGGCGAGCCAAAGAGACAAAACGGCGUGGGAUUCGCCAUUGAGAAGCGUUGAUCUAGCAUAAAUUACUAGGUAGAGUAAGGUUCCCUAAAAAUCGUAAGUCUAAUCUUUGGAGCUGGUGGUCGUAGGCGUCCUCUUCCACUAUAACUAGCUUACUUGAGUUGAGAAGGGUUACUUAAAAGCCAAGGAUUGAAUCCAAUGCAAAAUGAGACAAUCAGAGGCUGUAAUUUCGCCUCAUAAGAAACUUUCUCUUUUCCCAACUCUAUUUAUUUUUCCUCAUUUCAAUUGCUGCAGUUCAUUUAAUUUCGCAAAUUCAAUUCACUUUAAAUUUUGUUUUUAUUUUUCCAAAUUCUUAAUUUUAUUUUUUUAUUUUUUAGGAACGCAGGUUUUCUUCACCAAGAAAUUGUCCAGGAUUACAAGAAACGAGCAUUCGUACAAUCCGAUCCCUAAGUAUUCGACCCUACUUCCCCUUUACUGUUAUUUUUACUAUUUUACAGGGAAUAGGAUAUUUUUGGUGCUCUUAACGACGUAUCAAUAUCUUAGAAUUAAUUCAUACAGAUAUUUGUGGGCCAUUUCCUACGGCAUCCUGGAAUGGUCUACAAUAUUUCAUAACAUUCAUAGAUGAUUACUCAUGUUAUGGGUACCUAUAUCUCAUUAAUGAGAAAUCUCAGUCUUUGGGCAUGUUCAAAACUUAUAAAGCUGAAGUUGAGAAUCAACUCAACAAAAGGAUUAAAAAGUCAAAUCUGAUCCUGGUGGUGAGUACUACGGUAGAUUUGAUGGCUCAGGUGAACAAUGUUCAGGACCAUUUGCGAAAUUCCUAGAGGAAUAUGGUAUUGUCCCAUAACACAUCAUGCCAGGAUCACCUAGUAUGAAUGGUGUAGCUGAAAGAUGAAAUAGAACUCUUAAGGAUAUGGUAAGGAGCAUGAUUACUCAUUCUACCUUACUUGAGUCCCUCUGGGGAGAAGCAUUAAAGACAACAACUUACAUUCUGAAUAGAGUACCCAAUAAAGCAGUUGCAAAAACACCUUAUGAGCUUUGGACAGGUCAAAAGCCUAGUUUAAAGCACUUUCACAUUUGGGGAUGUCCAGUUGAGGCAAGGCCUUAUAGGUCACAUGAAAAGAAAUUGGACUCCAAAACAGUAAGUAACUACUUUAUUGGUUAUUCUGAACGAUCUAGGGGCUAUAAAUUUUAUGAUCCCAUAAUAAGGAAUAUUUUUGAGAUGGGAACUGCACAUUUUUAAUGAUGUUGAGUUUGGAGGGAGAAAUAAGGUUAGAGACAUUACUUUUGAGGAUGAAUUGGAUUCUAACUAAAUUCCUACUAUCACUUUUGAUGAUGUUUAGGUUCUUAUACCUAUCAUUGAUUAGGAAGUGAAUCCAGAACCUCUACAAGACAAUGUUGAACAACUCUCAAUUCAAAAUGAGAUAAUUUUUCUAGAAGAACAAACUCAACAACCUCAAGAACAAGUGUCAUUAAGGAGGUCCACAAGAGAAAGGAGAAAUGCUAUUCCAGAUGAUUAUAUUGUAUUUCUCCAAGAACAUGAGGAUGAUAAUGGAAUGAUGGAAGAUGAUCCAAUCAACUUUCAUCAAGACAUAAAAAGUUCUAAUUCUUAAAAGUGGAUUGAUGCCAUGAAAGAUGAGUAUAAAUCUAUGCAACAGAAUAAAGUUUGGGAACUUGCCCCAUUACCUGAAAGUGCAAAACCAAUUGGUUUUAAAUGGAUAUUUAAAACCAAGAGGGAUGCAAAUGGUAAUAUGGAGAGGUAUAAGGCGCGUCCUAUAGCUAAAGGAUAUACUCAAAAAGAAGGUAGUUAUUUUACAGAGACUUUCUCUCCAGUUUCAUCGAAAGACUCCUUCAGGAUAAUCAUGACGCUUGUUGCUCAUUUUGAUCUUCAGUUACAUUAGAUGGAUGUCAAGACUGCGUUUCUUAAUGAUGAUAUUGAAAAAACAAUUUAUAUGGUGCAACCAAAAAAUUUUGAGUCGGAAGACUCAAAGAAUAUGGUUUACAAAUUGACAAAAUCUAUCUAUGGACUCAAACAAGCUUCUCGUCAAUGGUAACACAAGUUUCAUCAAAUAAUUAUUUCGUUUGGUUUUGAGAUGAAUAUUGUUGAUGAUUGUGUGUAUAACAAAUUCAAUGGGAGUAAGUACAUAUUUCUGGUUCUAUAUGUUGAUGACAUUUUGCUUACCGCUAAUGAUAUAGGCUUAUUAGACGAAAAUAAUAGAUUUUUAUCUAAGCAUUUUGAGAUGAAAUAUCUUGGGGAUGCCUCUUUUGUUUUAGGAAUUUAGAUACAUCAAGAUUGACCUCGAGGUAUUCUUGGAUUAUCACAAAAUAGCUAUAUCGAUAAAGUACUCAAAAGGUUUGGCAUGCAGAGUUAUAGACCAGGUGACACCCCUAUCGUUAAAGGAGACAAAUUUAGUCUUACUCAAUGCCCUAAAAGUAACCUUGAAAUUCAAGAAAUGCAAAAGAUUCCCUAUGCGUCAGCUUUUGGGAGUUUAAUAUAUGUUCAAGUUUGUACACGUCCGGACAUUGCGUACAUUGUUGGGAUGUUAGGCAAAUAUUUAAGCAACCCUAGUAUAGACCAUUGGAAAGCAGCCUAAAGGGUUAUGAGAUAUCUUCAGAGAAUAAAAGAUUACAUGCUUACUUAUAAGAGAUCAGAUCUUUUAGAGGUCAUAGGGUAUUCUGAUUCUAAUUUUUCUGGAUGCAAAGAUAGUAGAAACUCUACAUCAGGCUAUAUUUACAUGUUAGCUAAAGGAGCUAUAUAUUAGAAAAGUGUCAAACAGACACUUGUAGCUUCGUCCACUAUGGCAGUAGAGUUUGUAACAUGCUAUGAGGCAUCAAACCAUGGAAUAUGGUUGCAGAACUUUGUUAUAGGGCUGCGCAUUUUGAAAAAUGUAGAAAGACCACUCAAAUUAUUUUGUGACAAUUAGUUAGCAGUGCUAUAUUCCAAUAACAAUAGGAGUUCAUCUAAGUCAAGGCAUAUUGACAUAAAAUUCUUAGUUGUAAAAGAAAGAGUGCAAAAUAGUCAAAUAUCCAUAGAGCACAUUGGGACAAACUCCAUGAUAACGGAUCUGCUCACAAAAGGUUUACCACCCAAUGUCUUUCAUGAGCACACUGCUCAUAUAGGUGUUACAUUGUUUGGGGAUAUCAUGAUUUUGUGGGAGUUUAUAUUUUAUUUGUUUUAUAUUUGUUUUUAGACAUUUAUGUAUUUGGUUAUUUUCUGGUCAGAAAUAAAGUAUUUAGUUUAUUCAUUAUGUUUAUUAUUUUGGUACUGACCUCACUUAAGUUUAAAAAGGACCAGUUGGAAAUAGACAUGUUUAUAUCAUAUUGCAUGUAAUUUCCAUGCUACACAUCCAUACUUGGUCUAUGUCAUUUGGUUGUGUUAAUAUACGUGAUCAUGGAUGGAUUUAGUUACGAUAUAUGUAAAAUCGCCUUGGUUCUAUGUUAACAUAAUUAAUGGACAAGAUUGUUUGGAAUACCUUUUGGAUAUGAUAGUUAAAUUUUGAGCUCAUAAGGUUAUAUAAUGACAUAUAAUUAUAGAGUAAUUAGUAUUUAUAUAUGGUCCAAGUGGGAGAUUGUUGGAAAAUAUGGACAUCACAUAUAUAAUAAGGGUAAUUACAUGUUAUUAUUUACUAUCAUAAUAGGUUAGCCCAAAUUAAAAGUGAUCUAAUUUGGUUAAAAUUUUAUCGGGCUUUAAUUAUUAAAUAAAGUAUGGGUCAAAUAUGUGUAGAUACUCUAGUAAUUGAAUUCUAAUCAAAUUUUGAUUAAUGAUGGGCUAAUUAGAAUUUGAUUAGAACUAAUAUGCCAAGGUUAUAAAUAUUAGGGUUAUGGUCCCCAAAUUAUACACAAGAUAUCUUUUCUAAUAUUCCAUCAUUAGUAAAGAGAGAGCAAAUAUUCUCUAAAUUUCUUGUGUGCUAAUUUGGAAGAUCAAAUCCCCAAGAUCUGGUAAAACUUUAAGAAAUUCAUGGAUUCAGGUACAUUUCCACAUCAAGUUUUAUUCUUGAUUUGUUCUUAAUUUAUUCCUGAUGGUUUGACAUGAUAGAUCCUGGUUUAUUAAGUUUUAUUUAAGAUUUAUUUUACAAAUCUAACAUUAGCAGCGCUUAUCAUAAAAAUGCCACUAAAGGUCAUGUUCUUUAGCUGCGUUUAUGUGUAAAGCACCACUAAAGGUCAUGUUCUAUAGCGGCAUUUGUGUGUAAAACGCCACUAAAGGUCAUGUUCUAUAGCGGCGUUUGUGGGAAAUCACCAUUAACUUUAACAGAUUUUACUAAAUUGUUUUAAUUCAUAUAGAACCCGAAUUUUCAACAUAAUUUCUUGUAACAUCAAAUCCAACCAAAAAAAUUCAAAUCUAAAUGAUUCUAUCAUGAAAGAAAUAUGUAUAUGAACUAAAUUAAUAAAUGAAAUAACAAAAUAUAUUUUAUUCGAAAGUUAUAUUGUUAAGAUAUUCUCACAAUAAGAAAACAAAAUUCUAAGAUGCGAAUUUUGCGACUGCUGAAACAUCUUCAUCAUAUUCUGAAGCUGUAGCUGAUGUUCAUCAUAUUUUCUUUGAGCCUCUAUUUGUUUCAAUGAUACCUCCUCUUUAAGUUGAGCAAUUUGCUCAACUGUGCUCGCUUGCAUCUGAGCCAUCUGGUCUCUUAACCUCUGAACUUCAGCUUGAGCCUGAUUGCUGAAGGCGUGUAUUGUUGCGAGCUGGAUUCAAAAUAUUGGGUUGGGCUAACAAAAGAUCCUUAAAAUCAAACCUGACCAUACCUUUUAGGACCCAAAAAUUCAGUAAUAAUUCAGUUAUCAAUGUUGUCCAGAUUAACAGAACUAUCACUUGAAGCGAUCGCUUCAUACUCCACCCUUUUAUCCUUUAGUUUCUCCUAAUAUCAAUGAAGGAGCUAGAAACAAAAUAUAUAAUCAAACAAAUGCAACAUAACUUGGCAUUAUUUGCAUUACAAACGACGAAUUUAACGAUAACUUUUUUUUCAUAUUAGGUAGCCCUUCAUUUUAUAUGAACAAUGAGAGAACUUUAUUGCACCAUCAUUUGUUUUGAUAUUGAACUUUUACAAAUUUAACGAUAAAUAAUUAUUAUUGCUUCAUGCAUUUAAAAGUAAAUAUAUCACUAAUUAAAUUUUCAUAAUCCUAUAACCAUAAUGAAUCUACUUUUUUUAAAAAAAGGUAUAAAUUUAACAUGUACCUAUAAUAAUGCUUGCCAGGAUACUACUACUAAUCUUUUGAGUCUGCAUUUUAUGCUCGCAAUGGAAUCCUGUACUACUGUAUUCAUAAUGAAGAGGACAAGACUCUGAUGAGCAAUAGUUGCUAGGUAUAUUCAAACAAAGCAUGCAGCAAUUUUGAUAAUUCUCACAGUUCCCAUCUGUCAUUUAUGAAAUGAAUAAAAAAAAGCUUAUAAUCAUAUUAUUCGGUUAAAGUAUCUAAGAGGUCCUUAUACUAUAUGGAUCGGAUCAAAUUAGCCCUUCUAUUAUUAAACGGAUCAAUUUAGUACUUAUACUAUUAAAAAUAAUCAAAUAAGUUUAAAUUAUAAAAGCAUUAACAUUUACAGUAUAAAAAAUGUCUUGAAUUAUUUUCAAAAUAAAUUCUAUUUCAAAAAUAAAAUAUUUCAUUUAUAGAACUAUAAAAACUUUAAAUAUAAUUAACUCUAUUAAAUAGUAAGUGUUAAUUAGAUAUUUUAAUAAUGUAAUUUAAAUUAUGUAAUUUAAUUUGUUAAAUAAAAAAUAUUUUAAUAUUUUUUCUAAGAUAAUAUAUAUAUCAGAAAAAAAGUUCCCUAAGAAAAUGCUAAUUCGUACCUUUGCAUAACGUCGAAUAAACGUGAAUAUCCCUAUCGCGCACACAAAGAUGAUUAGGGCUCAACCUCGACCAACAAUAUUCACCAUCAGAUCUACAAGAAGUGUCCAAACUAUCGUUUAAAUGGCAUUCUCCAAAUAUUAGUGUGCCCCAUUGCAAUUGUGUUGGGACAUACGUCCUACUACUUAUAUCAGAAUCUUCUAAAUUAUAGUCAUCAGAAAUCAAGGAAGCAAAUCCGCAUGAUCUUUUCUUCUUACUCAUGAUUACGUAGAGUGAACUAAUACCCUGAGGAAAAUAAGCAAGACAACUAGCAACAUAGGAAUUCUCGUUAUUAAUCCUAAAACUUGGUUGCAAACAUCCGCCUAUAAAAUUAACUGUUUCAUUGCUGAAAAUGUGAAAAUAAAAUAAAAUAAAAUAAAAAUAAAAAUAAAAUAAAGAACACAGAUUUUUACGUGGAAACCCUUUCGGGAAAAAAACCAUGGGCAGAGGAGAAGAAAAUUCACUAUGUCAAAUUCGAAUUAAUUACAAGAGGAAUAGACUAUGUCUAUUUAUAGGCUUAUAAAGCCAUAUUCUAGUAAGACUGAAACACCUUAUUCUAAUCAAUAUCAAAUAGAUUGAAUUUAAUAAGGUUUAAAAAACCCUAUUCUAAAAUAAAAUAAAAGAAGUGUAAUUCUAUAUGGAUUCUUCUUUUAUUUUAUUUUACCACUGUAUUUUAUUUAAAUAAGGAUUCGGGUCACUUAAUUCUAACAAUCUCCACCUUGACACGAAUUCUCAAUGAACAAGUUCUUCAUUGCGAACUCUCAACGAACAAGUUCUUCAUCUCUUCCAUAAAACCCCUUAAGGGUUUAACUUUAACAAUGAACACUAACCAAGUCUAAGCAAUGCUCAAACUUGGUUAUAGGAAGUGACUUAGUCAUCAUAUCUGCAGGAUUUUCAUGAGUACUAAUUUUGCUCACAACUAUAUCACCACGAGCAAUAAUAUCACGAACAAAAUGAUACCGAACAUCAAUGUGUUUUGUUCUCUCAUGAAACAUUUGAUCUUUUGUAAGAAUGAUGGCACUCAGACUGUCACAAAAUACUGCGCUGAUUUGAAGGUCUUCAUUGAGUUCGCUAAAGAGUCUCUUCAACCAAAUAGCUUCUUUACAAGCCUCAGUAAUCGCCAUAUACUCAGCUUCAGUGGUAGAAAAAACGACUGUAGUUUGCAAAGUGGCUUUCCAACUAAUUGCACAACCUCCGAUUGUAAAGACAUAACCUGUGAGAGAUCUUCUUCUAUCAAGGUCUCCAGCAAAAUCAGCAUCAACAUACCCAAUGACUCCAUCUCUAGUUCUUCCAAACUGUAAUCAAACAUCAGUAGUACCUAGUAAGUAUCUUAAAAUCCACUGAACUAUUUUCCAAUGUUCUUUACCGGGAUUCGCCAUGUAUCUGCUAACUGCACUGACUGCAUAUGAUAAAUCUGGACAUGAACAAACCAUAGCAUACAUGAGAGAUCUCACUGCACUAGAGUAUGAAACAUUUGACAUGUACAUAAUCUCAUCAUCUGAUUGUGGAGACAAAGCUGAUGAAAGUCUGAAAUGGGCUGCUAAAGGAGUACUAACAGGCUUAGCACUCUGCAUAUAGAACCUGCAAAGAACUUUCUCAAUGUACCCUUUCUCACUUAGGUACAAUUUACUUGCUUUUCUAUCUCUGAGAAUCUCCAUACCAAGUAUCUUCUUUACUGGUCCCAAAUCUUUCAUCUCAAAUUCUUCACUUAGUUGGGCUUUAACCUUUCUUAUCUCUCAUUUAUCUUUUGCUGCUAUCAACAUGUCAUCAACAUAAAGAAUUAGAUACACGAAAGAACCAUCACUAUUUUUCUUAAAGUAAACACAACUGUCAAAACUACUUCUUUUGAAAUUAUGAGAAGUCAUAAAGGAAUCAAACCUCUUGUACCACUGCCUUGGCGACUAUUUCAAACCGUAAAGGGAAUUUUUCAGCAAACAAACAUAGUUCUCUUUUUCAGAGACUGUAAAACCCUCUGGUUUUUGCAUGUAAAUAUCUUCCUCAAGUUCUCCAUGCAAAAAUACAGAUUUUACAUCUAACAGGUCAAGCUCCAAAUCAUACAUGGCCACAACACCAAGCAAAACUUGAAUCGAACUAUGCUUCACAACUGGGGAGAACACAUCUGUUAAGUCCACUCCUGGAAUUUGACUAUAACCCUUUGCAACAAGCCUUGCUUUAUAUCUGGGUUCUUCAACUCCUGGAGUCCCUUAUUUCUUUUUAAACACCCAUUUACAACAAACAACCUUUUUACCCUUAGGAAGUUUUACAAGAUCCCAUGUUCUAUUUUUGUGGAGUGAUUCCAUCUCCUCUUGCAUAGCAAACAUCCACUUUUCUGAGUCUUCACAACUAAUCGCCUCAGAAUAAUUAGAUGGUUCUUGAUUCCCAUAUAUAUCUUCAGCCACAUUUAAAGCAUAAGUAACUAGAUCAGCCUCGGCAUAUUUCUUUGGAGGUUUAAUUUCUCUUCUAGUUCUGUUUUUAGUGAUAGAGUAUUGCGGUGAUGAAGCAACUCUAUUCUCAAUUUUUGUACUGGCUUGAGGAGUCAACUCUGUAUUAAUCUGAUACUCCACCUACUUUUGAUUUUCUUUAUUUGAAAAGUUGGUAGCAUAGCAAUUUCGUCAAAAACAACAUCUCUGCUAAUCACAACUUUUCUAUUUUCCGGACACUAUAACUUAUACCCUUUUACACCAGCUUUAUAACCAAGAAAAACGCAUUUAAUGGAUAUCGGUUCCAAUUUUCCAUUAUCAACACGAGCAUAUGCAGGACACCUAAAGAUCUUUAAAUCAGAAUAAUUAGCAGGAUUACCAGACCAUACCUCUUGUGGAGUCUUUUUCUCAAUGGCAAAGGAUGGAGAUCGAUUGAUCAAAAAACAUGCAGUAGAGGCUGCUUCUGCCCAAAACGACUUUGGUUAGUUGGCAUCUGACAACAUACAUCGAACCUUCUCCAUGAUCAUUCUGUUCAUUCGUUCUGCAACACCGUUUUUGCUGUGGAGUAUGACGAACUGUCAAGUGUCUCACGAUCCCUUCUGACUUACACAAUCUAUUAAACUCAUCAGAAUAGAAUUCUAAACUAUUGUCUGUGCGGAGGUAUUUUAUUUGUUUUCCCGUCUAUUUUUCAAUCAUAAUUUUUCAAGACUUAAAUGCGAAAAACACAUCGCUUUUCUGCUUCAGGAAGAACGCCCAAAAUUUUCUAGAAAAAUCAUCAAUAAAGGUUAGCAUUUAAUUAGCUCCACCUCUCGAAGGCACUCUAGAUGGCCCCUACAGAUCAGAAUGAAUAUAGUCUAACGUUCCUUUCGUGUUAUGGAUUCUUCUGGUGAAUCGAACUCUUUUUUGCUUCCCAAAAACACAAUACUCACAGAAAUUUAGUUUGCAAAUUCCUUGCCCAUCAAAAAGACUUCUUUUGCUCAAUUCUACCAUGCCAUUCUUACUCAUAUGCCCUAGGCGCAUAUGCCAAAGUUUAGUAAUAUCAUCAUCUAUCAAGGAAGAGGAAGCGACAACUGCAUCACCAAUAAUAGUAGAACCCUGCAAAAUAUAUAACUUGGAAGUCUUUCUUUGCCCUUUCAUCACAACAAGGGAACCUUUGGAAAUCUUUAAAACCCCACUUUCAGUUGUGUAUCUGUACCCUUUUGAAUUAAAGAGUACUCAACAAAAUAAAAUUUCUCUUCAAUUCUGGAACAUGUCGCAUGUCACUAAGUGUUCUGACGACUCAAUCAAACAUCUUAACUUUAAUUGUUCCAACAUCUGUGAUUUUACACGAAGUAUUAUUUCCCAUCAAAACAACUUCUUCAAACAUUGUUUCGUAAGUUGUAAACCAAUCCCGAUUGGGACUCAUGUGGAAGGUGCAACCUGAAUCAAGUAUCUACUCUUCGCUUACUUUAGAAUCAUUGACAGAAGCGACUAGAAGUUCACCAUUGCUGUAGGCUUCUACAACAUCAGCUUCACCAAAAUUUUCUAGUUGUUUUCCUUUUUGAUUCAUAGCCUCCAUUUUAAUUUUGUUCUGUAGCUUAUAGUACUCAAAUUUAAUGUGCCAUUUCUUCUUGCAGAAGUUACAAGUUUUACCUCUGUUUGAAGACUUCGAUCUACCCUUAGAUUUACUACGGGGAUUCCGUUCCUGUGUCCUACCACGAUCAUCAUUAGCAUUCCAAUCUUGUCUCCCAUGAACAAUGUGACUCUCUCCCUAAGAGUCGGGUUUAACCACAAGAUGCUUUAUCUUAUCAUACAAGGUCAAAGAAUCAUAAACCUCAUCAACUGUGAGAGACUCGCGACUAUAUAAAAUCGUGUCUCUAAAGGUUGAAUAAGACGGGGGCAAUGAACAAAGUAGAAUCAACCCUAGAUCUUCCUUAUCAUACUGAACCUCCAUGGCCUCCAACUUUGAGAGGAUUUCUUUAAAGACUGUUAAGUGUUCGUGUACAGACGCACCUUCCUCCAAACGAUGAGCAUAAAGACGUUGCUUCAUAUGCAACUUGCUUGUUAUAGUUUUUGACAUACAUAUUUGUUCUAGCCUCUUCCAUAAUGCGGCGACAGUCUUCUCUUUCAUCACAUCCUGCAGAAUUUCGUUGGACAGAUGUAGAUGUAAUUGUGUUAACGCCUUUUGAUCCUUACACUUCUUCUCUUCAUCUGUUAAUGUCGAAGGCAUCUUAUCUAUCCCUAGCAGGGCAUCCUCUAGAUCCAUCUACGCAAGAACUGCUUGCAUCUUAAUCUACCACAAUGCAAAUCUGGUGUUGCAAUCCAACAGCGGAAUUUCAUACUUCAAAGAUGCCAUUACCGUGAUUGAGAUUAAUAACUUAGAAGCUCUGAUACCAAUUUGUGAAAAUAAAAUAAAAUAAAGAACACACAGAUUUUUACGCGGAAACCCUUUCGGGAAAAAAACCAUGGGCAGAGGAGAAGAAAAUUUACUAUGUCGAAUUCGAGUUAAUUACAAGAGGAAUAGACUAUGUCUAUUUAUAGGCUUGUAAAGCCAUAUUCUAGUAAGACUGAAACACCUUAUUCUAAUCAAUUAGAUGGAAUUUAAUAAGGUUUAGAAAACCUUAUUCUAACAUAAAAUAAAAGAAGUGUAAUUCUAUAUAGAUUCUUCUUUUAUUUUAUGUUACCACUGUAUUUUAUUUAAAUAAGGAUUCGGGUCACUUAAUUCUAACAGAAAAUAGUAACCAAAUUACCGCAACCUGAAGACCAAAAACUAUUAUUAGAAUCUGAGUAGGAAAAGCGGGUGCCAGUUAGGUUGAGACUCAUCCCAUUGUGAUGGUCUUUUUGACAGUUGAAGUAAGUUAUUGGAUGAUUGACCUUAACAGUGCCACCCAAAAAGUUAAACUCCAAUAUUUUCAGAUUUGUGUCAUUUAUGUUUAAGAGCGGCACUUUUUCCCCAUUGGCGGUUGUGUUGCAAAUUACUUCAAACCAGUCGUCAUUGGCAUAAUCUUGAUCCUUCAUUCUAAAGGGGUAGUGAAAAGUAACAUUCCCAUGGGAUCCUACCUUGUAGGUGUUGAAGUUGAUAUGUUCUAGUCCCGGUCUUCUGCAUCCUGCAGAUUUAGCAAAAAAAGGAGUAAAUUACAAAAUCUACUAAAUAUAUGUACAUUAAAUUAAGGGUGUGCAAAACUCAAUUCUAUUUGGAAAAAUAAAAAAAAUUCAAAUUUCAAAUUAAUUGAAAAGUUAUUCAAAUUAUUCAAGUCAACUCGAAUAAGUAAUUCAAGUUUUAAGUUCAAAUUGAGUUGAAUUUUACAAUUAGAAUAAUUCGAAUAACAGAUUGGUGUAAGUACCCUUUUGGUCCCUAUCAAGUUUGAAAAUGAAUAAAUUAGUCCGUCUCUCAACAAAAAUUACAAAAUAGUUUUUAAAAAUUCUAAAAUUCAUAUUUUUUAAAAAAUUCUAAAAAAUUCUAAAAAUAUAUAAAGAAAGUUAAAAUUUUAAAAUUUUCUAGAAUAAUAAUUUUGGGAUCCUAAAUAAGUUAAUUAAUUACUCAAAUUUAUCAUACUAAAGUAUUUUUUAUUUUACUUUGAAAAGUUUUCAAAUAUAUAUGGUUUCAUAUUUAUGUGCUCUAAUAUGGAAUUAGUUAUACUGUAACAAAAUUUUAAUUUGACAUGUUUAAUUUUUUAAUUCAACUCGAAAACUUUCACUCGAUUCGACUUACUUAAAUUUUAUUUCACUCGACAAAAUUCAAAAAAAUUUCGAAUUGAGUUAAGAUGAUAAAAUGAGACUCACCAACUCGAUUAACUCGAAAUUUUUUCACUUGAUUUGAUUAAACACUCAUCCCUACAUCCAAUGCUUGUAAGAAAUAAAAGUAAUGUGUUAUUCAAAAUAUAUAUAUAUAUCUAAAAAGAAGUUAUAUAUGAAAAGUGUUACUCUUAACUAAAUUUUUAAUUAAAUUUGUGUGUUAUUUGUGAUAUUAAAUUCAAUAAAGACUUUUUUAUUAAAAAAAUUAUGGUUGAAUUUAUGUCAUACAAUAUUUUUAAUUAAAAAUACUUUCCUUUUAAAAAAAAUCAGUUCCACUUAAAAAGAAAUAGAUAUUUCUUUUUCACAUUCCCUUUUAAAUUAUGAUUUGAAUUUUUUUUAAGUAACUAAUGAUUCCAUUUUCAAAACUAAUGAACUUAGAUUUAAAACAGUAAAUAUGAUUGAUUGUAAUUGUGAUUUGUGAGCACCAUAGACCCUCUAUCUAUAUUCACUCAAAAGGAUACUAAUUUGUUUUUUUUGAGGACUUUGUACACACUCUAUGUUGCGAAUAGUAGAAAUAGUGUCCCAAUAGUAGUGUUGAAUACAUUAACCAUUAAAUCAACACAUGGAGUUUGAAUACGAUAUUUUGAAGUAAAGGCCAACUCUUUGGAAAAUAAAUUUCCCAAAAUUUCUGAGUCAUAAUAUUUUGUGGAAUGGAAAGUAUAUCCACAAAAUGAUCUAAAUCAACAUCUUUAAAUUGUUAUACCAAAUUAAUGAGGGAAUCGUCUUUGUCUUAAAUUAAACCUCUGAAAUUAGCAUAAUUUCAUAAAUUUUCUUUGCAAUUGUUUGGAAAUAAAAACAACCAAUUGAUUAGCUCAUCUUAUAUUCUGUGAGAAAGUAAAAUAGCAGCCAACAUGCAUGCAUUUGUUCUGUGGAAAUUAAAUUAAAACCAAAGGAGGUAUCACUAUCAAGAAAGAUGAACCAUAAGAAGACUCAUUCCUUUUACUAUUUAUUAUUCAUACUAACAAAAUAGAAAUUUCCAUUAAAAAGUAAGUUCCAUAACAUCCACUGAAACAAUGACAAGAAUUGGCCCCUAUAACAAUUGCAAAAACACCUUGGCUCCUAUACUGAAUUUCUAGAAAUCCUUCAGUGAUUUUAGUGCAAUAAGAAUGAAAAAUGGCCUAAUCAUGAUUUUUAUUUGAUCACAUUCUAAUUAUAUUUUUUUUCCACUCACAUUGCUUUGAGCCCGUUUCAUGCUUUUAUUUCAAUUGCUUGGCUUUUAAUUCUCACAAUGCUUUUGUUCACUCAAGUAAUUUUUCAUUUUACCCACAAGCUUGUAAAAGUCCUAUAUUCACUAUAUUGUACCAUUUCUUAUUUUUUCCUCUCAAAUAUUUUGAAAUCACCAAGAUACCUCUACCUAAACUCGAGUUAUUUAUGGCCCGAUAGUUUCAAUAUUACCGAUCAUUAAGAAGUGUCAUAAGGAUCAAUUAUGGGAACUAGGGAUAAAUAGCAUAUUGGUAUGGUUAUUUGAGAAUUAGUUAUUCAAACAAUGAUUUAGGUCAUCCCUAAGAAUUCCACCAUACACACAGCUUCGUAGGAGUCCUAUAUUCAUUGUAUUGUACCAUUUCUUAUUUUUUCCUCUCAAAUAUUUUGAAAUCACCAAGAUACCUCUACCUAAACUCGAGUUAUCUAUGGCCUGAUAGUUUCAAUAUUACCGAUAAGAAGUGUCAUAAGGAUCAAUUAUGGGAACUAGGGAUAAAUAGCAUAUUGGUAUGGUUAUUUGAGAAUUAGUUAUUCAAACAAUGAUUUAGGUCAUCCCUAAGAAUUCCACCAUACACACAGCUUCGUAAGAGUCCUAUAUUCACUAUAUUGUACCAUUUCUUAUUUUUUCCUCUCAAAUAUUUUGAAAUCACCAAGAUACCUCUACCUAAACUCGAGUUAUCUAUGGCCUGAUAGUUUCAAUAUUACCGAUCAUUAAGAAGUGUCAUAAGGAUCAAUUAUGGGAACUAGGGAUAAAUAGCAUAUUGGUAUGGUUAUUUGAGAAUUAGUUAUUCAAACAAUGCUUUAGGUCAUCCCUAAGCAUUCCACCAUACACACAGCUUCUUUCAUACUUUAAAUUUAUCAGAUGAAUAAAAAUUGAUUCAACUAUCAUGUAUCCAUAAUUAUAUAUCGUGCUUAUUUAUCUUAUGGCACAAUCAAACAUUUUUACAUAAGUUUUUCUAGUCUAUUAUCUAAUGUAACUAAGUAACCUGUACCUUGACAAUAGCCCGAUUAUCCAUUGCAAAGUUUAAUUUAGGUUCUAUAAAUGGAGCAAACUGGAAGGAAUUAGCUCGACAAGCAGAUGUGGAUGGUUUUCUAGUAGGUGGAGCUUCUAUAAGGUUAGUAACUUUCUUUCUUUGCUUGUGUCACUAUUGAUUCAUUUAUUUAAUGCAUUUUCUUCAGAUUGUGCACAACUAUUCUUAACUUAUACAUUUUGUGUUUUUACUUCUCUCGAUCAGUCUGAGUUUAUCGAUAUCAUUUAGUUUAAGUUUAACAUCCACAAAGAGAUGCUAAUGUAUAGUUAAAACUCAAGAAGUUUUGUUAUCGAAAAAUUUGAUAAUUUUUUAUGGCAAGAGAAGAGACUAAGCUAGUUUGUUUAUUUGCAGGGAAAAUCUGACGAAGAAUAUGAACAAUCAGAGGGGUUUCGACAGGAGUUGGAAUUGAAGGUUCGAGAGUUGUUGACAGAGCAGUAAUGGUGCCGGGGAAAAAUGGCGAUAAGUGUAUGUUGGAUUCCGUUAAUAUCCCUUGCUUUCUUUAGUUUUCUCGCUCAAUAAAGUCUUACUAUUACUACGAUGAGUUAAUCACCUCUUCUUAUUUCACCUUCACAUAUAAAAAAAAGGAAGAGAAGGAGGAGGUGGAGGUCAACUAAAGAAGGAUGAAGAAGAGAAAAAGGAGAUGUGGAUAAUGUUAGUAUCUCAAGGCUGCAGCAAAUUUUAAAAUAAUAAGACUAAGUCUUAGGGGGAUUUGUUAGCUUGUUGGUAGGAGGAAGAGUUGUUAGCUUGUUAGUAGCAAUUUGAAUUUAUUUCUUGUUGAGGUUGUUACUUGGGACUUGUAUAUAAGGGUUUCUUUGUUAAUCAAUUAAAUUAUCCCUUCAUUCAUAUUUUUUUCUAUACUUCAAUUAGUUCUUUGCUAAACCAACAGUGGUAUCGAGAGCCAUUUUUCUUGAGGGACUUGUGAGAAAAGUUUUGUGAGAGUUCUGAGAAAAAAAUUUUGAGAGAUACACUUGUGAGGUUUUUUUUUGUUGAGGAAAAUAGAAUCGGGAUCGAGUAACCUGUCCAUCUUAGCCCCACUUGUGUUUGAUGGAGAGAAUUAUCAAGCAUGGGUCAUGAGAAUGUAAGCAUACAUGGAGGGUUGUGAUUAUUGGGAAGCUAUUGAGGAAGACUAUGAGGUGACUCCACUUCCUAAUAAUCCAACUAUGAAUCAGAUCAAAAUGCACAAGGAGAGAACCAUCAGGAAGGCUAAGGCAAGGUCUUGUCUUUAUGCUUCAGUUUCGCUAGCCAUAUUCAAUAGAAUUAUGGCUUUUGGAUUAGCGAAGGAAAUAUGGGACUACCUCAAAGCUGAGUAUCAAGGAGAUGAGAGGAUCAAGAGCAUGAAGGUGUUGAACUUGAUCAGAGAAUUCGAAAGGCUACAAAUGAAGGAGUCUGAGUCAAUCAAAGAAUACUCAGACAAGCUGAUAGAUAUUGCCAACAAGGUAAGAGCUUGUGGGGUUGAUCUCUCUGAUUCUAGACUGGUGCAGAAGAUACUUGUCUCCGUGCCUGAGAAAUAUGAAGCAACUAUUGCCUCUUUUGAGAACACUAAGGACUUGACUCAAUUGAAAGUAGUGGAGUUGAUCAGUGCUUUACAAGCACAAGAGCAGAGGAGGCUAAUGGGGCAGGAAGGAAGCAUAGAAAGAAGUAUAGAAGGAGCAUUGAAGGCUAAGAUGCAGCAAGGCGAAAAAGGAGAGGAACAAAAGUGGAAUGAAAAGAAGAGUGAUUGUAAUAGUGGUUCAGAAACUGUUGCAAAAAGUAAUAGUACUGAAAAUUAUAAUAAGUAUUCUUCAUGUAAGUAUUGUGGAAAAUAGAAUCAUCCACAUUUUAGGUGUUGGAGAAGGCCAGAUGUGAAAUGCAUUAGGUGUAACUUGAUGGGGCACAUUGAGAGGUUUUGCAAGGAAUUGAGAAAUCAGCAGUAGGGUGAAGUACAUGCUGUAGUUGAAUAAGAAGAGGAUCAUUUGUUUGUCGUCUCUUGCUUCUCAUCAAGCAUUUUAUGUGACAGUUGGUUAGUUGAUAGUGGUUGUACCAAUCACAUUACUUUUGAUGAGAAGCUGUUUAAAGACCUUGAUAGGUCAUUGAAGUCGAAAGUCAAUAUAGGAAAUGGAGAAUACCUAGAAGUGAAAGGAAGAGGCAUAGUAGCAAUAGAGAGCUAUGCUGGAACUAAGUUGAUUUCAGAUGUUCUGUUUGUACCUGAGAUUGAUCAAAACUUGUUGAGUGUGGGUCAAUUGGUAGAGAAGAGAUUCAAGGUGAUGUUCGAAGAGGGAAUGUGUUUGAUCCUUGACUCUAGUGGCAAUGAAUUGUUUAUGAUCAAGAUGAAGAAGAAAAGGUUCUCAUUGAAUCCAUUUGAGGAGGAGCAAGUGGCAUCCAAGUAUCAAGAAGAUAAUCCUAUCAUGCAAGAACAACUGCAAAUCAAGUGUUUUGAGAAUGAUAUCUUGCAUGCAAAGGUAACUCUCUUGGAGCAGCAGGUGACAUCUUUCUCUGAUAAACUAUCAUCUUUUGCACAUGAAAUAUCUGAAGAACAUGCUGAGGAGCCACGGAAAAAGAAUCUAUCUCAGGAGAUCAAGAGUAAUGUGCAACUUUUAGAAGAGAAUAGUCGGUUAUGUUUCCAAAAUCAAAAGCCGAUUGAAGAAGUUUCAUAUGCGAAAGAAUUGACAUCUGUAGAUGUUCUUGAGUUUAAGAAUUUAGUUGGUAAGGUGAUUAAGUUUUCAAUGCAAAAUACAAAAUUGAAAAAGGAAUUAUUAGUUGCGAGAAGAUUGGUUAAUCAAACUAUAAAUCGUAUUAAUCGCAAGUAUAGUGAUAACACAAGAUCUUGAAAGAAGGGAAAGCACUUUGGCCACUCUUAUGACUUUUCUAGAGCAACUUGUGAUGAUUUUUAAUUAUGGAAUUUUGAUUUAGAUGGCAUUGCUUGCUAGGAAACAAUUAGAGGCAACUCUUGAAGCUACACUAGUCGAGAAGGAAUUCAUAGAAGGCAAAUAUUGAAGAAACUGGUUUUCAAAGAUCAGAUGACGGAUAUUUUACUAUAUUUUUCAUGUUAGUCAUUUUGAGUUUCUUAACAAAAAAUUUGGUGUCUUCUGCACUUGAGUUAGGAGGAGAAUGUUAGUAUCUCAAGGCUGCAGCUAUUUUUAAAAUAAUAAGACUAAGUCUUAGGGGGAUUUGUUAACUUGUUAGUAGGAGGAGUUGUUAGCUUGUUAGUAGCAAUUUGAAUUUAUUUCUUGUUGAGAUUGUUACUUUGGACUUGUAUAUAAGGGCUGCUUUGUUAAUCAAUUAAAUUAUCCCUUCAUUCAUAUUUUGUUCUAUACUUCAAUUAGUUCUUUGCUAAACCAACAGAUAAUUAGAGUUACCCUUCUUUUGAUUAAGGUACCCUUGGAUUUUGUAUUCCUAUUUGGACGUCUUCUUUAUUAAUAAAUUCAUCUACAUAGAAAAAGAAAGAAAAAACAUAAUCCAGAACUUGUAUAAUAAAUAUCUUCAAGAGAUCAAAUAGCAUUGAGUGAACCAAGUAUGAAUUCUUGGGCAACAACAAGACUCCACCAGUGUGUCAAAUAAAGAAGCUAAAGGCUUUCAAUCAAGAGAAAUUAUUUUAGGAGUGUUGGAAUCUAGAAAGAUGAAUUUAAUGGAAACGUUGCACUAUCGGUUGUAACUGUCCUAGACAUUGAACAACUAGGAUUGGUCUCCCAUGAAUGGAUCAUGUCAUCUAUUUCAGAUUCUUCAUCACCACAGUCUUCAAUAACAUUUCCACUUGAAGCUUUAGUCAACUCCAGCUCCAUUGCUACUUGUUUCAUGGUGGGUCUUUUCUUUCCAUUAAGAUUCAAGCAUCGUUUUGCUACCAGAGCCACAACUAUAAUCUCUUGUUCUGGAUCAUCCUUUACUACCACUGGAUCGAGAAUGUUAAAUAAGGAAUUCUCCUGCAUUGAAUGCAAAAAAUAAGAUACCAAGCUUCUCACUGGCUCUGAUUGUUCUGCGGAGAUAGGUUUUUGUCCUGUUAAAAGCUCAAUAAGGACAACUCCAAAGCUAUAAACAUCACUCUUCUCUGUAAAUUGAUUUGAUCGAAAAUAUUCGGGAUCCAUGUAUCCAAAAGUUCCUUGCACCCGAGUGGUUAGAUGUGUUUGUUCAAGUGCAAUUGAUCUUGAAGUUCCAAAAUCUGAUACUUUUGCCCUAUAUUUAUCAUCCAAAAGUAUGUUACUAGAUUUGAUAUCUCGGUGAUAAAUAGGAGCAGAAGCAGCUGAAUGCAAAUAGAAUAAGGCAUUGGCAAUUUCGAUCGCAAUUCGUAAACGCAUUUCCCAUGUCAAUGGUAAUUCUUCGUUUUGGUUAUGUAUGAGAUCGUAUAAUGUACCAUUUGGUAUGAACUCAUACACCAAUAGAGGAACUUCGGCUUCUAAACAACACCCUAAAAGUUUAACCACAUUCCUGUGAUUAAUUUGAGAUAAAAUUAUCACCUCGUUAAUGAAUUGUUCAACCUUCUUUUCAUCAAAUUUCUUUCCUUCCACCAUGUUGGACUUCUUAAUAGCCACAAUGCUUCCAUCUAUUAGCAUUCCUUUAUAAACAGUCCCUUGACCUCCUUGACCAAGGAUUCGAUUCUCAUUAUAAUGAUCUGACGCCUUUUCCAUCUCUUUUGAAGUAAACAACUUAAUUUUUUCAACAUUACCUUCAUUGCUAGACAAAUGUUGUUGCAGUAACAAACCUCCAUUCCUUUUGAAGUAUUUCUGCUUCAGCAUUAUUUUUUGUUUUCAUUUGAGGACUUUGUACGUACUCCAUGUUGUGAGUAGUAGAAAUAGUGUCCCAAAACUAGUGCUGCAACCUAUAUAGAUAUAAGAAACAUUGUUAAAAGUUAAAUUUGAAAAUUAAAAUACAUGUUAAAAACCAAGAAAAUGUUUCGAUAAAGUUUUAUUCAUAUUUGAUUGCCCUUCAUUUUAAAUGAACAGUGAGACAACCUUAUUGCACCAUCCGAUAUUAAACUUUUAUAAAUUUCAUGAUAAAUAAUUGUUAUUGCAUCACACGUUCAAAAGUAAAUAAAUCACGGAUUGAAUUGACAUAAUCUAAUAACCAUAAUAAUUCCACUUUAAAAAUAAAUACGUACCUAUAAUAAUACUUGUCAUGCAACGAUUGUUUUGAGCUUGCAUUUUGUGCUCACAACGAAACCCUGUAUUAUUGAAUUCAUAAUGAGGAGGGCAAGACUCUGAUGAGCAAUAGUUGCCAGGGGUAUUCAAACAAAGUAUGCGACAAUACUUAUAACUCCCACAUUCCCCAUCUGUCAUUUAUGUGAAUUGAAUAAAAAAAAGUUAUAAUCAUAUAAUUCAAUUAAAGUAUCUAAGAUGUUGUUAUACUAUAUGAGCCGGAACAUAAUGGUUUUGUAUAUAUAAAUUUUAUAUACUUUAUUAAAUAUGAUUUUGUAUGUCGAAUCUUCAACUGAUUAAUAUAUUUUAGUCAUGAUAUACCUCAACCAAUAAUAACUAGAUUAUAGCACACUAAUGAUGUGGGUGACAAAAAUAUGUAACAAUUUAUUUAUAAAAAAAAUUGAUAAAAAAUUAAGAGUUUGAUUGAAAUGGUAAAAUUAAGAUAUUAGCUAUCAUGGUGCCUUUGUUCAAAUUUCAUUAUAGUCAUCUUUCUAGAUUUUACCUAAAUAUAAAAUGAUAAAAGAAAUACUCUCAUAAUAAUAUUUGUCCUUUUAAAAGUAAUGGGUUUUCAUAAUUUCAAUUGAGUCGAGACUUAAUUAAUGGGUGGCACCAACUUAAUUAGCUCCGAAAAAAUAGGACUAAUUUAAGGCAUACUCAUGAUGUGAGCGGAAGAAAAUAUGCAAUAAACAUAUUUAUUAAAGGCUUAUGUAAGAAUCAAGUGAAUCGUUACUUGAAAUGAUAAAAAUUAAAAAUUAAAAAUUAUUGUGUGAAAAGGUCAAAUCUCACCAUGUUAGAUUUAUUAUGAAUUUUAUAUAAAAAUGUAAAAAAUAGAAUAUUUUAAAAUAAUAUAACUUAAUUUAUAUAUAAAAAAUAUUUUAAUAAUUUUCCAAUUGAAGUAUAGCUAUAAGUAAAAAUAUAGAUAUAAAAAAAAAGUUCCUUAAAGAAAAUGUUAAUUCGUACCUUUGCAUAAUGUCGAAUAAACAUGGAUGUCCCUAUCGCACACACAUAGAUGAUUAGAGCUCAACCUCGACCAGCAAUAUUUACCAUUAGAUGUACAAGAAAUGUUGGAACUAUCAUUCAACUGACACACUCCAAAAAUGGGUGUGCCCCAUUGCAGUUGUGUUGGGACAUGCGUUAUAUUACUUAUAUUAAAAGUCAGAUCAUAGAAAUAAUAAAUCAUGGAAGCAAAUCCACAUGAUCUUUUCCUCCUAUAAUCACUAGAAUCGACCCUACUACUCAUGUUUACAUAGAAUGAACUAAGACCCUGAGGAAUAUUAACAAGACAACCAACAAUAGAGGAAGUCUCAUUAUUAAUCCUACAACUUGGUUGCAAACAUCCGCCUAUAAGAUUAUCUGUUUCAUUGCUGAAAACAGUAACCAAAUUACCGCAACCUGAAGACCAAAAGAUGUUGUCGGAAUCUGAGUAGUAAAAGCGGGUGCCUGUUAGGUUGAGACUCGUCCCAUUGUAAUGAUUUUUGCGACAAUUAAAGUAAGUUAUUGGAUGAUUGACCAUGACAGUGCCGUCCAGAAAAUCGAAGUCUAGAAUUUGCAGAUUUGUGCCACUUAUGUUUAACAAAGGCACUUUUUCUUCAUUGCAAGUUACUUUAAACCAGUCAUUGGGAUCAUCUUGAUCCUUCAUUCUAAAGGGGUAGUGAAAAGUAACAUUCCCACAUGACUCUACCUUGUAGGUGUAGAAGUUGAUAGGUACACAACCUGUAGGCUUAGCAAAAAGGAAGUAAAUUGCAAAAUCUACUUGAUAUAUGUACAUUCAAUGUUUGUAGGAAAAAAAAGCAAUGCAUUAUUCAAAAAAAAAAAAUUAUAAUUAUCUAAAAAGAAUGUACAUUUGAAAAGUGAUACUCUUAACUAAUUUUUUUAAUUAAAUUUAUGUGUUAUUUAAGGCAUUAAAUUCAGUAAAGACUUUCUUAUUAUCAAUAUAAAAUUUAUGAUUUGAUUUGAUGUCAUACAAUAUUUCUAAUUAAAAGUACUUGUUUUUUAAAAGUUCACACCCGAUCCUCUCUUAAUUUACAUAAUACCUUGUUAAUUUUAUUCUAAAUAUUAAAUUCUUAAUUGAAUAUGGUAUUUAUACUAAUUUAUCAUUCAACUAAUGAUUUCAAAAAUUUUUAAGGAACUAAUGAUUCAAUUUUCAAAAUAAAUGAACUUAAAUUUCAAAUAAAUCAUUAUAAACAAAAUUAUGUAAAUUAUGAAAUAAAUCAAAACAUAAUACAAAAUAUAUAAAACCAAAAUGAAGCCAGCGUUGCCCUUGAUCUCCCUGAUCAAGGGACCAAAUUAGUAAAUUUUCUACCUCUCCUAAAAAAUUAAUAAUUUAACAUAAAAUUUUAAUUUAGGGGUGAGUAAAACUCGAUUUAACUCGAAAAAAUUAAAAUAAAAAUUUUGAAUUUUGAGUUAAACGUAUUGAUUUAUUUAAGUCAACUCGAUUUUUUUUUAAUUUCGAGUUCAAAUUGAGAUGAGUUUUCGAAUUUGAAUAUAUCGAAUAAUUCGAAUAUCAAACUAUAAUAUUUUGCAUUUUUACUCCAAGCCCCCAAACCUUUUUAUUUUUCCCCCAAAAUUUUUACUUCCCUCCCGUCCCAACCCCCCAUCUAUCCCAAAUCCAUUUCUCAUCAAUUUUUUUAAAUAUUUUCCUUCUAAAAUUUUACUUCCCCAUUUACUUUCCCUCAAAAUUUUACUCCCAAAAACCCUUAAAACUUUUUAUUUUCCUCUAAAUUUUUUACUCACUCCCUCUUUUCCCCGAAAAAAUUUACUCCUCUCCCAUCUCACCCCCCAUCUACCCCAAACCCAUCCCUCCCCCUCCAAUUUUUUUUAAUAUUUUCCCUCCAAAAUUUUACUCUCCUAUUUACUCUCUCAAAAUUUUACUCACGUAAAACUUUUUAUUUUCCCCCUAAAUUUUUACUUCUCACCCUUUAUCCCCAAAUAAAAAAUCAAAAUUAUCCAAAAAAAUUCUUAAACCUAAAUAGUAAUAAAUUUAUUUAUAUCUACUAUUUAUAUUAUUAAAUUAAAUUUCACACUUAUACUAUUUAUAUUAUUGAAUUGUUUAAUCAUAUUGAAUAUUUAUAUUAAAAUUGAAUUAUUAAUGAUGCCAUAAAAUAUUCGUGUUAAAAUUUUAUGUUGAUAUCAAUUUUACAUUUAUCUUUAAAAUAAAUUUUAUUAAAAAAUCACACUUUUACAUUUAAUAUAUUUCUUAAUUUCAAAAUACAUAAUGACAAGAAUAGAAAAUAAUUGAAGCAACUAAGCAAACAAAGAAGCUAGCCCGUAUAUAAAAGAUUAAUAAAUAAAUUAUGAUGUGAUGAAAGUUAAUAACAAAUUUGAUUAUGGUAGACAAAUUUGAUUACACUGGAUGACAGUGGGUAGAAGGACCCAAAAUUAUUUUUUUAAAAAUUUAACUGAAACAUAUAUAUUCAAUUCGAUUCGAUUCAAAUUUCAUCUCACUUGACUUAAUUUGAGAAAAUUUCAAGUCGAAUUAGGAUGAUAAAAUAUGAUUUGUCAACUUGAUUAACUUGAAAUUUUUUCAUUCGAUUCGAUUUGAUUCGAUUGGAUCGAACGCUCACCCCUACUUUAACCCUUGAUAAAAUAUAAAAAUUACAUUUUUUUAACUCCUAAAAAAACUAAUAAUUUAAUUUAAUUUAAUCUCAGAUUUUGAAAUACAGAACUUUUAGGUAUAAAUUUUUGAAAAAGAAAAUAUUAAUAUACAAAAUGAAUGAUCCUAAAAACUUAAUUUCCUCUUAGAACUUAUAUGAUUCUAAAGACUGAUUUUAAACAAUUACCAAAAUCUAUAUAUUAACUGAAUUAAAAGAAGAAUAAUGAAAGCCAAGCAAUUGAAGUGACAGCGCAUGACUGACCUGCGUCACCGCAAUAGGUGGAAUUCCAGUUGAGCACGGCGGGAACAUGCGUGGUUCCAAUAUUGAUGCCAUUGGGUAAUGGGUAAGCACUACGGAAAGAGUACAUGCUAAAGAUGAAAGCGGAUGCGCAUCUUUUGCUGUCAGGAUACAUGGCUGUCAUGGUUACGGUAUAGGAAGUGAGAUUUCCAGUAAUUUCAGUAAAGCAGCCAGAUUCAGAAGCACCAUCGUCACACCUUGGUUGAAUGCAGCCGCCAAGUGAAUCAGCUUCGUCACUUAAAAUAGUAGCCAAAUUUCCGCAACCUACUGAUCCGAAAUAAUUCAUCUCACUGGAAAAGAAAAACGGAGUGCCUGAGAGAUUCACACUCAUACUAGCCUCGUUCAUAUGAUCACAAUUAAUGUGAGUAACUGGAAUACUGAUGACAAUGGCGUCUGCGUCUGAAAAUAAGGAAUCAAGUACCUCCAGAUCAAUGCCAUUUACGUUUAUGAAUGGCUUUUCCCCAUUACGGGUCGAUUUGCAAGUAACUCUAAACCAAGGUUUAGUAUAACAGUUUCUUUGGAUUCCAAAAGGGGAUGGAAUUGUAAUAUUUCCACAUACUUCUUCUCCACAGGCAGGUUCUUGAAAUAUUUCUGCUGCUUGUAAUAUUGGGCAUAACAGGAACAAGAAGAGGAGGAGGAUGAAGUAAAGCGCUAAGUGAAAACCCAUUUGCGUUGUUAUUCUGUUUGAGGGAAAUGAAUGAAUAAGUCAUUAAUAGAUUUUAAAGAAAGAAAAGCAGAGUUAAGUAGCACCACUAGAAACAAACGAUGUUUGACUGAAGCAAAUGAAAAGUCUUUGCUCACACUUUCCUUGAAGUUACAGUGUAAGUGCAUUUGAUUUGAGAACAGUUCAUUAAUUUGUAAAGAAUGUUGGACAAAUAUUAAAAGAUGGAGUCCCAAUCUUUUCAACAAUAAAGUAAUUUUUAAAAAUAUUUUAAGUGAAAAAAAAUAAAUGUUAAUUACAGGAAUUAAGUGAGAUGAUAAAGAUUUCUCCUAUUUUCAAUGGUAGAGAAUUUAAUCCUUACUUUGAGUAUGAAUUAAUUUCAAAACUCGUGAUUAACAUAUAUCUUUUAAUGAAUUUACUAAAUACGAAGAAUUAAUUACACAUGUCAUCAUAAACUAAAAAUAAAUAAAUAUCUUUACUAAUUUUUGGUCAACUAGAGUAGGUUAGGUAUACAGAGUUAGAGACAAAUAAAAUGGCUAGUCGAGCCUUGACCUCUAAUUUGUUUUAUAUAAUUUUUUCAAAUUCCUUGAAAUAUUUUUACAGUAGUAUUAAGAAAUAAGGAUAAUUUAUGUUGUUCCCUUCAAUAGUGACAGAACCAAGAUGUUAAUCUUGAGGGGAUUAAACUAAAAUUAGAUGUACUACAUAACAAUUGAUUUAAACAUAUAAACAACCGAUUCAAAAGAAAUGAUAUUUUAAUACAUAAAAAUCGAUUCAAAAGAAACAAUAUUGUAAAAAUUUUAAACUUUAGGAGGCCUACUUAUAUUUUUGAGAAGACCAUAGUAUAUUUACAAAGGGCUAAAUUGCAAAAAUUUUAAAUUUUGAGAGAACCAUGGCCAUUGACCUUCAAAACUUUAAAAUAAAUCAUAUUGUAAAAUAGAAAGCUUGAUAGUAUAGAUUAAGUAAAAUUAUUUUUAAAAACUCAUUAGUUAAUAUUAAUUCUACCAAUAACUGAAUGAAAAAAGUGAUAGAAGAUUGAGCUGCGAUAUUAAAAUUAUAAUUGUUGAAAGACUUUUACUUAAAUAUUACUUCUAUAUCAAACAAAAUUAAACUCAAAUUAUACAACAAAUGAAGAUAUCUGCGAUUAAAGUCAAUUUUAAUUAAUUUUGUAUUUUGUUUUUUACUCAAUCAAAUAGGGAUAUAGGCAUAUUUAUAUUAUUUAAGUACAUACAAUCCUGAUUGCCGAUAAAAGUAGAAGGGAGGAGAUAGCAAAGAGUAUUAGCCCCUUGCCCAAAAUAAAGGCCAUUAUCCUUAAUGAGUGACAGCAAAGAUGAUUGUGAUUUACAACAACUUGAGCAGAAAUUUCCAAGAAUCUCUACUCUUGACCUUGUUCCCAUAACAAGAGAUUGUUUAUAGCCAUUCAGCAUAUGAGGAGAGCUAGUAUCACAAGUUUAAGAAUUAUUUGUGGCAUGUGAAUAUUUUUAGACAUUUAAGUGAAAUAUCAAAUGAAACUCUUGUAACAAAUUAAGUUAUAUUUUAUAAUUUUUAAAUUUUUUUUAAUAAUUAUUAAUAAUUUAUUUUUUAUAUAUUUUUAUAAAAUUUAAUAAUUUUUACAUUUUAAAAAAAAAUAUUUUUAAUAAUUUAACAUGUCACAUCAAUAUGCUUUCACAUAGCAUAUCAUAUGUCAACUUCUCAUAACUUCCGUUAACCAUGUAAAUAAUGUAUAAUAUUUAAAUUAGUCAAGAAUUUUGAUUCUUUACUAAAUUUUUUACCCUUUAAUUUUAUAUUGAUAUUCAUUACUGAUUUUUAUGUAAUUUUCAUGACAAAAUCGGUAUUAAGCUCAAUAAAAUAUAUUAUUAGAUAAGUUCAGAUAUAACUUCAUUAAAAUCUGGGAAGACAGAAAACACUAUUAAUUUGUCUCAAAUCCCCCUUUUUAGAUAUUGAUUUAACAUGAGAAACAACAGGUGAGAAAUUUCGUUAAUAGAAGCCGAAGACGAUAUUUUGAAGUAAAGGCCACGUUAAAAGGCCAACUCUUCGGAAAACAAAUUCCAUCACGAGUGAACCAAAAAUUUCCGAGUCAUACUUUUGUGGAAAAUUCCACCAAGUAUUCUCAAUGGAAAAGUAUAUACACAAAAUGAUAGAAAAGGCGUUGGGCCACAAUUAAAUCAACAUCUCUAAAUUGUUAAAUCAAAUUAAAGAUGGAAUCGAUAUUGUCAUGACAUCAACAUCUUAUUGCUAAAGGAAACAACUUGAAGCCAACCCCAAUUUGUAAUGAUGUUAGUAUUAUAUUAAAUCGAGUCUAAUCGAGUCAAAAAAAUUCGAGUUAGUCGAGUUGAUGAAUCCUAUUUUAGUAUCUGAACUCAAUUUAAUUUUUUUCAAAUCAAAUCGAAUAUAGUUAAAAAAAUUUCAAGUCGAGUUAACGAAUCCUAUUAUUUAUAUUUAAUGUUGAGUUUACAUAGACUAAUUAUUUAACUAGUAGAUAAAAUACAAGAUUAUUUAACUACAUAAACAAUAUAAUGGUUUUACCUUUUAACUUAAUGAGUAAAUAUUUAUCAAAACGACGUAGUUUUACCUUUUAAUUUAAUGGUUUUGACUUUUAACUUUAGAAAGGUAAAUAUCUAUCAAAAUGACGUAGUUUUGCCUUUUCUUAUUUAGAUUUUCAGAUAACUCGAAUUGUGUAAUUCAUAUUCGAGUUAAACCGAAAAACUUAAUUUUUUAUUCGAGUUGAUCCGAAUAACUUAAUUAACUCAAAUAACUCAAACUAUUUAAUUCAAAAUUUGAAUUUUUAUCGAAUUUUUCGAAUACAAUUUGUCUACGAAGAGAGAAAUUUUCUUUUUGAGCAGAUGAGAAAUUUUGUAGAUAGAAGUUGAAUACAAUUUUCUUUUUGGUGAAUUACAAGAAGAGAGUAGAGUCCUAACAGCAACACGACUUGUUUCAGGAGAUAAAAAUACCUUCAAGAGAUAAAAAUAACAUUGAGUGAAACAAGUAUGAAUUCUUGGGCAACCAUAAGACUCCAUCGGUGUGAAAAAUAGAGAAGCUAAAGGCUAUCAGUCAAGAGAAAUUGUUUCAGGAGUGCUGGAAACUAGAAAGAUGAUUUUAAUGGAAAAGUUACACUUUCGGUUGUAAUUGUCCUAAACAUUGAACAACUAGGAUUGGUAUCCCAUGAAUGGAUCAUGUCAUCUAUUUCAGAUUCUUCAUCACCACAAUCUUCAAUAACAUUUCCACCUAAAGUUUUAAUCAACUCCAACUCCAUUGCUACUUAUUUCAUGGUCGGUCUUUUCUUUCCAUUAAGAUUCAAGCAUCUUUUUGCUACCAGAGCCACAACUAUAAUCUCUUGUUCUAGACCAUCCUUUACUACCAUUGGAUCAAGAAUGUUAAACAAGGAAUUCUCCUGCAUUGAAUCCAAAAAAUAAAAUACCAAGCUUCUCACUAGCUCCGAUUGUUCUUGUUGAAGGUUGGUCAGCAUGCAGCACCAAGAAGCAAGCCAAACGUACCAGCCAUGCUCGAGCAGCAAAACCAAGUGCACCUACUGUCAUUUAGUUCUUUUUGAUUCAUUUUGUUGGUGUAAUGUAAUCUUGUUCAUUUUGAGCUAUGUCAGUUUGAUGAUUGAUGUAAUUAGGUAGUGAUUGAGCUGAAAAUCAGCUUUGUUUUGUUGAACAAGUUAUUUUAUCAAGUUUCAAUAAGUUAUAGUGGUGUUAGGUGACAGUUUAGGUAAAAUUUAGUGGUGUUAGGUGACAGUUUAGGUAAAAUUUGCUUCUAAGUGUUUGACUUAUGUUUGAUAUAUGUAAUGGAUUUAUGCAAAAGUUGAAUGAUGAAUAAAUCAUUAUAUUUUCUUUCCAUAUGCUCUAAUAUAUUUCUUACUUUCAAUUCUGUUCUAUUUAUCAAGCUCAAAUCUCCAUACUUCAAUAUCAAGUUUUCUUCAUUCUUCAUCCGGAUUCAUUACAUUGUUAUUUAAGAUCCAGACUGAAGUACAUACUUCAUCCGGAUAAAGUGUUCCAAAAUCCCCAACAAUUGGUAUCUAGAGCCUUUGUCUUAGUGGACCUGUUAUAGUUAAAUCAUAAAUCGAUAGGUUCAUCAAGCUUCUCCCUAGCUCCACCUCUAGUCUUCAAUGGAGAAGGAUAUCACAUUUGGGUGGUCAAGAUGAGAACCUACCUUCAGGCAUUCGAUCUAUGGGAGAUGGUUAACUCAGAUGUUGAACCAACACCAUUGAGAGCUAAUCCAACAGUGGCUUAGAUUAGGCAACAUGCUGAUGAAAGGACAAAGAGGCAUAAAGCUCUAUCCUGCAUUCAGAACUGUGUAUUAGAUGUGAUCUUCACAAGGAUAAUGGCCUGUGAGACACCAAAGCAAGCCUGGGAUUGAUUGAAGGAGGAGUUUCAAGUGACUGAAAGAACAAGGCAACAGCAGCUUUUGAACUUGAGAAGGGACGUCGAGAACUUGAAGAUGAAGGAAGAAGAAACUGUUAAGUAGUAUUCAGACAUAAUUAUGGUUGUAGUUAACAGCAUAAGGUUCCUUGGAGAGCAGUUCAAUGAAGCAAAAAUAGUGGAGAAAGUCCUCUCAACCUUACCUGAGAGGUAUGAGGCAAAAAUAUCCUCUCUUAAAGACUCAAGAGACCUGACCAACAUCUCCUUGAUGGAGCUGAUCAAUACUCUUUAUGCACAAGAGCAAAGAAGAGCCAGCAGAAUGGAGAAGCACCAAGAGGGUACCUUUCAAGUCAAAACAAAGCCUGAUUCGAGUACCACUACCUCCAAAGGCAAGAAAGCUUGGAGAGACAAAUCUAAGUCAGAUGCUCCAAAAAGAUUAGACAUACCAUGUAGGCAUUGCAAGAGGCCUGGUCAUCCAGAGGCCAAAUGCUAGUUUAGGUGUAACACCCCAAACCCAGCCCAGACGUUACGACCGAAUCCGGCGUGUCACAUUGAAGUAUUUUUCGAAAACCAUGUUUUCAUUGAAAACCCUUCUUGAUGUUUAGAAACUUUUACCGUUUAAAACUUAAAUAAAACCUUAGCCUUAUUUUUUUCCAAAACGUGAUUCAUUGUAAUAAUCAAAGCAUUGUUAACAACCUUGUAAAAUCUUAUGGGAAACUUUGAAAACUUGUAAACCCUUUGUAGUGGCAGAAACAUGUUAUUUUAAAAAAACAGUUAAGUAUCGAAAAAAAAUCAAACCUUCUUUGUCAUGGCUUAAAGUGAAUGGAUACUACGCACCAGGUAGGAUUCAAGAAAAGAGGAGGUGAGUCAAUUAGACUGCUUAAGUACCUAGCUCUUCCAUGAUCUAAUCCUAGACAUGCACACAUCCAUUGCCACACUUUAAGCCUAUUACUUGUCCACGAACAACAAAUUAAGUUUAAGUCUAUUUAAAAUAUUUAUUUCCUUUGAAAAUAUUUACGUUGCGGAAACUUUGCUCGAUUAUCGUGAUAUUUUAAAAAUAAGUAACUUUUAUAAAACGCGCCCUAGAGCUAACCAAUUUAAUAACCCAAAAUAUUUAAAAUAAUAAAAAGAGCGGCCUUAUUACAACUUUAACCAGAAUAAAAAUAAUCAAAAUAAUAAAUGCAAAACUUAUUUUAAAGAAAACAAAACUUAAUCUUUGUGGCCACUCUGAAUCCCGCCCAGCUCCAAGUCCAUCGAUCUAAGGCUCACCUACAAAGAUGGGAAAAAGGGGGGUGAGUUUGGAAAACUCAGUGUGUAAAGUAUCCCAACCAGAGCCCAAAUCAGUUCAAGCUUUACUGGCCUAAGCCCUAUUCAGAAAUCAGUGUUAACUGGGCCUUAGCCCAUAUCAGUAUUAAUCUGGGCCGUAGCCCUAUUACAAUAUUAGAGCAUACUGGGCCUAGCCCAUAUCAGUAUCAGUCUGGGCCGUAGCCCUAUUACAAGUCGAGAUAUAUUGGGUCUUGCCCAUAUUAACACAGUUGGGCCCAUUUUAAUACAGUUGGCCCAUAAUAAAACAGUCUCAUAUGAUUAAUGCAUGAUAACCCCAUCCAACCCUGCACUUGCCUCCGUCCAUCCCUACACUUCCUGUGGGGAAUAAAUCACCCACGCCAUCCCUACACUUACAGUGUUAGCACCAAUUGCGGCACUAACUAUAAUCCGCAGCAAAGCUGCUUAUAUCAGAAUAUGUGGCACAGCCACCAGAACGGGUUCUUCCUCCAUAACAAAACCCAACCCCAUGCAACAGAUAUACAUGUCAUGGCAUAUAACAAACAGAAUCAGAAUAUCAUGUAUUUCAGUCAAAAUUAACCCUAGGGGUAAAAUGGUAAUUUUUAUACUUAGGGGUGUUUUAGUAAAAUUUACUAUUCUAGAGUUUACAUACAUAUUAUAACCAUUAAAGCAUUAACAGAAACACUUACCGAGCAUUUUUACUGAAUUGGGCCCGUUGGCCCACUACCCUAUUUUCAGCCCAUUAAGCCCAAAUAUACCGAAGUGCACGAAAUUGUGCACUCUGCACUCUUACCGCUUAUGAUUACCAAAAUUAACAAACAAACCACCUCACGAGCGCUCGCACGCUCGCAAGUUCACAAAUGUCGACUUUUCGGCAUUUCGGCUUUUCGGCUUUUGCUGAUCUAGUCUAUGAGUAGGUGUCAUUUACACACCUGUUUGCGAUGAAAUGCUAUGAGUUCCACACACGAACUGCCUACAAUCAAUUACUAAUACGUUAACUAUGAAUCCAUAGCAACUUAUCUGCAAAACUCCGUACUAAAAAUCGACCAUUAACACUUUAGGCACUAGUGUUCUUACCUUUGCUGAAAAAAUAGACUAGAUCUAAUUCUGGUCGUUCCAAAUAUCCAAGCCCUCAAUUAGUAGCCUUUAAUCCACACUAUAGGAAAACAAAUCAGAUAUCACCACUAAACCCUUUGAGUACAAUCAACAGGCACCCUUUGCAUAUAGGGGUUUUUUGGCUUUUACCUUAAUUCAUGAAUAACGAAAGAAAGAUUCGAGCGUUUACCUAUAUCAUUAUGACACUACUCCAAUUGAUUGUAGAUCCAACCACCGCACGAGAAGGGAAAAUACUCAACCAAGGGUUCGGCCUUUGUAGUACCUCAAAGUAGUAAGAUUUCGAUUUUGGAAGAAAAGAUACGAGGUUUGGCUUCAAUGGAAAUUCGGCUAACCAGUUUUGUUGAGGAUUUAUGAGAGAAAAGAAGAAGAAGAAUAUGAAGGAUUUAGGUUCGGCAAAAAGAUAGGAAGAGAAUCGGCAAGAGGAGAAAGAAAAGAGAAGAGAAGAAGAGAUGAGAGAAGGAAAGAAAAGAAUAGAAAAUAGAAGAAGGAAAAAAAAUGAAUCCAAAAUAUACGGCAUUUAAUAUAGCUAUGGCCGAAAGAGUGCCUUUCGGCAUAGUAAUUCUUUUUAAAUUCCAAUUCCCUAAUUUGCUCCUUGAUUUUUGGCCAAAUUCGAAGUUUGAAUUUCAUUCAAACUCCCAACCGAUCAGCAGCCUUAUCCACCUGCUUGCACCGCUUCAAUAUGCUGCCAAGAGUCCUGGUCAGACCUCAAUUCCUUCCCCACGCAUGCAGCAAAAAUCCAAACCUUGUAUGUGCCUUUCGGCAUUUAAUAUAGAAAAUAGAAGAAGGAAAAAAAAUGAAUCCAAAAUAUACGGCAUUUAAUAUAGCUAUGGCCGAAAGAGUGCCUUUCGGCAUAGUAAUUCUUUUUAAAUUCCAAUUCCCUAAUUUGCUCCUUGAUUUUUGGCCAAAUUCGAAGUUUGAAUUUCAUUCAAACUCCCAACCGAUCAGCAGCCUUAUCCACCUGCUUGCACCGCUUCAAUAUGCUGCCAAGAGUCCUGGUCAGACCUCAAUUCCUUCCCCACGCAUGCAGCAAAAAUCCAAACCUUGUAUGUGCCAAAUGCAGCUCGAACUACAGACCUCCGUCCGCCUUGCGCCCACGCCCGUGCUACUGACCACUGCACCAUGCUUCCUUCCUUAUUAAUACAUGGUCACAAUUAAUUAUAAACCUUACCUGCUUCAGUUCUGGCCCACUUUAAAAAUUAAACAAAAUUCGCCCGCGUAAGGACUCGAACCUGCACCCUGUCCAUAUGCCCAGCACGCUGCUGCCACUGAGCCACAGGCGCUUCUUGUGACAUAGCUUGGUCGCAAUUAUUGUUAAACCUUACUUUAGUGCGAUCUGGCUUCUUAAAAAUAAAAAACAAGCCUUUGCGUGUGCCAACCCUCGAACCUAGGCACCAUACCACACUCCCAGCGCCUCUGCCACUGGGCCGAGCUUCCCUUUUGUGUUACCUUUUAACCCCAACUUUAUAUAACACUUCCCUACGUCGUUCCCUGAUAUAAAGAAAAUUAACUCUUUUGCACAUGUUGGGAGUCGAACCCCAACUCUCCUUCCCACUACCUAGCAUGCUUAGACACUAGGCCAGGUGCUCCAUUAUGCUAAAAUUCAACCCAAAUUAUUAAUAAGGCCUACUGCCCAGAUUCCCUAAGGUAGCAUAAAAUUAAAAUUUUUCUAGAGUCUUAAACACCAAAACAACAAUACUUUUAUAAAUAUAUAUAUUUUUAUAUUUUAUAUUUUUUUUCCUAUCUAAUAAUAAUAAUUUUAUAAAUAUAUCUAAUAAUAAAAAUUUCAAAUAUCAAUAAUAGAGUAAAUAAUAAUAAUUUUCAUAAAAAAUUUUCAAACAUACAUGCAGUAAUAUUUUUCUAAUAAUAAUAAUUUUAUCUCAUAAUACUAAUUAAAAUUUCGUAAAAAUUUAAAAUAUCCGUAAUAAUAAAUAUAGUAAAAAUUUUCUAGUAGUAAUUCAAAUUUUUUUUUCUUAAACGGUAAUAUUUAAAACUUCCUAAUUAUUCAGGUUUCCUUCUAUCCGAAUCCCAGACUCAAAGCCCAACUCUUUUAGGCCCCAAAAAUCGGGGUGUUACAUUAGGCCAGAUGUGCAGUGCCAAUAUUGCAAGAAGAUAGGCCAUGUUGAAAGGGUUUGCAAAGAAAAAGGUAGACCAAGGCAGAAUCAACAGUAGCCAAGGGCUGAAGCUCGGGUAGCUGAAGAAGGUAGUGACAAUAAAGAGCAGGUCUUUACUGUCUCUUGCUCAGCUACUCAGGAGAAAGUUUCAAACGGUUGGCUCCUAGGUAGUGGUUGCACAAGCAUAUGUCACCAGAUGCAGCUAUUUUCAAAUCUUUAGGCAGAAGCUGUAAAACUAAAGUUAAAGUUGGCAAUGGCCACUUUAUUAAGGCAGAAGGAAAAUGAGAUGUGGUUAUUUGCACUCCAACAGGUAACAAGAUCAUUUCAAAUGUUUUGUAGUUCCUGAAAUUGACAGAAACCUGUUAAGUAUAGCUCAGUUAGUUGAAAAAGGCUAUACUGUGAUGUUCAAAGAAAAUAAAUGUCAGAUUAGUGAUCUAAGUGGAUCUAUGCUCAUGCCAGUAGCCAUGAAAGACAAGAGCUUUGUUGUGGACUGGAAUAAAGGCCUGGAUAGUGCCUAUGCUAUUUCUUCAGAAAAAUCCAAGCUUUGGCAUCAAGGACUUGGUCAUGCCAAUUUUAGGUCCAUGGCUCAGAUGGUCAAAGAGGGUUUGGCUAAAAAUUUCAUUAGUUCAGUGGAAAAUGAUGAUGUGUGUGAAGUGUGUCAAUUAGGGAAGCAGGCCAGACUUCCAUUUCCUUCAAACAAUGCCAGGAGAGCCUCAGAGAAGCUGCAGCUCAUACAAACUGAUGUGUGUGGCCCCAUGAAGACUGAGUCACUGAAUGGCAGCAGGUACUUCAUCUUGUUUAUUGAUGAUUACUCAAGGUUCUGUUGGAUUUAUUUCCUGAAGCAAAAAUAUGAGGUAGCCUCAGUAUUUUGGAAGUUCAAGACAACUGCUGAAGCUGAGACAAGCAGCAAGCUUAAGACUCUAAGGUCUGAUAAUGGACAUGAGUACACCUCAGCUCAGUUUCAAGCCUUCUGUGAUAAAGUUGGGAUCAAACACCAGCUCACCAACAUCUACACACCUCAGCAGAAUGGUGAUAGUGAAAGAAAGAAUAGGAGUUUAAUGGAUAUGGCCAGGUGCCUUCUAUUCCCCCAAAAAAAUUGCCAAAGACCAUGUGGGCUGAAGCAGUCAACACUGCUGUCUAUAUUCAGAAUAGGCUACAAACCAAAGUACUGGAGCACAAGACUCCAUUUGAGGCCUGGUUCGGGUUCAAGCCAUCAUUGGCUCAUUUGAGGGUCUUUGGAUGCUUGUGUUAUGCACAAGUACCAGCUGUAAAAAGAAGCAAGCUGGAUAUGAAAGCUCAAGCAGGCAUUCUAGUUGGCUAUAGCAUAAUAAAAAAGGGCUAUAGGAUCCUUAAUCCUUCAACAAACAAAGUUCUAGUUAGUAAGGAUGUAGUGUUUAAUGAGAAAGCAAGUUGAAAUUAGGAUAAAAAUGAGCCAGAAGCAGUUUCUGAAGAAUUUGUGGCUGAACAGACUGACCCUGAUCAAAAAUGGUCCAGAAAUGGACAUUGAUGAUGAACCAGUCAGGGGUACAAGACCAUUGACUGAAAUUUAUGAAAGGGCUCAAGUAGCAAUAGUUGAACCAAGCAGUUUUGAAGAGGCUGAAGCACAUCAAGGCUGGAAAUAGGCUAUGUCUGAUGAGAUUGUUAUGAUUGAGAAAAACCAAACUAGGGAGUUAGUUGCAAGACCAGCCAACAUGAACGUCAUUAGGGUGAAAUGGGUCUAUCGAGCCAAGCACAAUGCAGAUGGAAGUUUGAACAAGUUGAAGGCUAGGCUAGUUGUGAAGGGUUUUAGCCAAAAGUAUAGUCUGGACUAUUUGGAGACAUUUGAACGAGUGGCCAGACUAGACACCAUCAGGCUACUGGUUGCCUUAGCAGCUCAGAUGGAGUGGAAAAUCCACCAGCUCGAUGUAAAGUCAGCAUUUCUCAAUAGUUUUCUUGAAGAAGAGAUCUAUGUGGAGGAACCUCAAGGCUUCAAAGUGCUAAAAAAGGAAGACAUGGUCUACAGGCUCAAGAAAGCCUUGUAUGGCUUGAAACAGGCACCAAGGGCCUGGUAUAGUAGAAUUGACAGCUACCUGCUCAGUUUAGGAUUUCAAAGAAGCCUCAGUGAGCCUACUUUAUAUAUAAAGAAAGAAAAUGAUAAAACACAACUUAUUGUGUCUGUGUAUGUGGAUGACUUGCUGGUUACAGGAGAAGAUCAAACUAUACUUGCUGAUUUCAAAACUAAAGUGCAACAAAUGUUUGAGAUGUUUGAUCUUGGGAAAGUGACUUAUUUUCUAGGCAUGGAAGUGGUACAAUCACAUAAAGGAUUCUUUCUAAGUCAAAGAACCUUUGCUAUAAAGAUUUUAAACAAGUUCUCAACGCAGAAUUGCAAAGCAACAAAUACUCCAAUUGCUGUUGGAGAAAAAUUACCAAGCCAAAGUAACUCAGAAAAAGUUUGUGAAACAACCUAUAGAAGUCUAGUUGGAUGCUUACUUUACUUAACAACCACUAGGCUAGAUAUAAUGUUUGUAGUGAGUCUACUCUCAAGGUUUAUGCAUUGUUGCAAUGAAGAGCAUUUUCGGGCAGCAAAAAGGGUGCUCAGGUACAUCAAAGGUACCUUGAGUUAUGGCUUAUUGUAUAGCAAGACUGAUAGGCUAAGGCUAGAUGGCUAUACUGACAGUGACUGGGCAGGUUCAAAGGAUGACAUGAAGAGCACUUCAAGGUAUGCUUUCACCCUAGGCUCAGCUAUUUUUUGUUGGAGCUCGAAGAAGCAAAAUGUAGUUGCUCAGUCAACUGCUGAAGCUGAAUAUGUAGCAGCUGCUGGGGCUGUAAAUCAAGCCAUAUGGCUAAGGAAGAUACUAGAAGUUCUGAAUUUGCACCAUGAGGAAGCAACAGUGAUAAUGUGUGACAAUCAAUCCGCUGUUCCAAUUGUAAAGAAUCCAGUUUUUCAUGGUAGGAUAAAACAUUUCAGCAUUAAGCUUCAUGUGGUGAGAGAAAUGGAGCAAGCACAUGAGGUGAAACUGAUUCAUUGCAGUUCAGAAGAGCAACUUGCUGACAUUUUUACAAAACCUCUUGGAGUGACACGAUUUCUUCAUUUGAGAACUAAAUUGGGUGUUUGCAACAUGCUAACCAAGGAGGAGUGUUGAAGGUUGGUCAGCAUGCAGCACCAAGAAGCAAGCCAAACGCACCAGCCAUGCUUGAGCAGCAGAACCAAGUGCACCUGCUGUCAUUUAGGUCUUUUUCAUUCAUUUUGUUGGUGUAAUGUAAUCUUGUUCAUUUUGAACUAUGUCAAUUUGAUGAUUGAUGUAAUUAGGUAGUGAUUGAGCUGAAAAAUCAGCUUUGCUUUGUUGAACAAGUUAUUUUAUCAAGUUUCAAUAAGUUAUAGUGGUGUUAGGUGACAGUUUAGGUAAAAUUUGCUUGUAAGUGUUUGACUUAUGUUUGAUAUAUAUAAUGGCUUUAUGCAAAAGUUGAAUGAUGAAUAAAAAAUCAUCAUAUUUUCUUUCCAUAUGCUCCAAUAUAUUUCUUGCUUUCAAUUCUGUUCUGUUUAUCAAGCUCAAAUCUCCAUACUUCAAUUUCAAGUUUUCUUCAUUCUUCAUCCGGAUUCAUUUCAUUGUUGUUUAAGAUCCAGACUGAAGUACAUACUUCAUCCGGAUAAAGUGUUCUAAAAUCCCCAACAGUUCUGUGGAGAUGGGUUUUUUUCCUGUUAAAAGCUCAAUAAGAAUAAGUCCAAAGCUAUAAACAUCACUCUUCUUUUUAAAUUGACUUGAUAAAAAAAUUUAAGUUAUGUUAUUUCUCUUAAUUAUCAAGCCGAGCUCGAGUACAAAAUUGAUAAACUAGCAAUUUAAUCAAGCUUGAGUUCAAGUAGCUCGAGUAUAUUUCAAUUGAGUUCGAAUAUAAAAACAAAUGUUUAAUUGAACUCAAAUCAAAUAUCAAAUUCUAAAUUUUAGGUCCAACUCAACAAUAUUCAAACUCGGCUCGAUUACGUAACUACCCUCUACAAACUAAUCAGUAUAGCAAAUAUCUGCCCCCGUAAAAGGUGCAAUGCACCCAAUUUGCUCUCAUGACAUCUUCUUUCCUAAUUCAAUGUACACUAGAAAUUUCCAAGGAAGAUUUGCAAAGAAAGGUGAUAAUCUGAACUUAUUGACAAUUUCCUCACAAUUAAGCUAAAGUUUUCCUAUUCAGAAUCUUUUAUGGAAAGGUCAACUCUCCUCAUCACAUACAAUCUUUAUCAUAUGUAAGUUUUUUUUUAAUAUAAUAUAUGUGAUUUAUAUUCAAUAUAUUCAAUAUCUUUUGAAAAACAAGUAUACAUGAUCAUUAGCAAGAACAAUAAACAAUAUCAAAUUUGUUCCCACGAUAUUUGCUCAAUAUUUCAUGUUAAAUGUUCAAUAUUUAUUGCUUAAAGUAAUAAUUAAGAGUUGUGUAAAUGACUAACUCUAUGUGUGGGGUUUUAUGAUGGGAAACAACUCAGGAACCUUCUUUCAACUUAGUUUUUAGAAAAAUAAUAAUGCACUUAAAAUAAAAAAACAAUUAGAAUAGUUGAAUGACUUAAAUUAAAAUUUUCAAAUAAUUUAAUAACUAUUUUGUAACAUUUUAAAUUUGAACGAUUAAAAUGUAAACUUAUUAAUAAUUUAACGACCUUGAAUAUAGUUUACCGUAAAAUUUAAUAUUUCUAUCUUUAAACAAAAACAUUAAUCAAAUAUAUAAUAUAAAAAGAAAUUAUUUGAUACUUCAUUAAAUAUUAAAUAUUCACCCUAUAACUUCAUUAAAAUGACAAUAAAGAGAACACCGUUAAUUUAUCUGAAGACCCCUUUUGGGGUCUUGAUUUAAUAUGGUCAGAUGAGAAAUUUCGUAGAUAAAACCCCAAUCAAGUGAGAACUCGAAUCAUAAUCUUGCGGAAAAUUCGACACCUAAUGGAAAUGUAUGUCCAGAAAAUAAUAGGGGCCACAAUUAAAUCAUCUUUAAAUUGUUAAACCAAAUUAAAGAUGGAACCGUCAUUCUCAUGGGAUCAACAUCUUGUUAUUAAUACUCUACAGGGAAUAACUUGAAGCCAACGCCAAUUUAUAAUCAUGUUAGUAUAUAUGAGUAAUAACUUUGUUAAUUAAUUACUACUUCUUUUAUUAUCGACAAUUUUGCUAAUCAAUUUUAAAUUAGCACUUAGUACACCUGCAUCAUGUUUUAACAUCAUGCAGUUUUGAAUUCAAAUUAAACUGAUUUCCAAUGAAAAAAACAAAAGUCAUUCCGCGUGAAGAGGUAAGUUUGGAACACAUUUUUAUAUGUUCCAUGACAACAGCUGGCCCUUACGACAAUGGCAACAAGACCUAUGAUGAGUUUUGAUACGAUCCGCCUCGAAUGAUGAGUCAAGUCGUAUUUACGUUGCCCGAUCGUUUACGAGAAAGUAUGGUUCAAUUAGAUGGAUAUCUAACUAAAUCAAUGAAAUAUGCUCAACUGAGAUUAAAAGAUCAAAAAUAAAAUGGCUAAUUGGAAAGGGAAAAUAUUUGGUUAUCAAAUAAGUGAUAAAAGUUGAUUAUGUUUUGGAUAUGAUAAAAGGAUGGAAAGAAACGGCUCAAGAAGCAAGCAAGAACCAACACUAAUUAGUGUCGACCCAAUUACUUAUAUGCUUUUGAAAAGGUUUGUAUAUUCGGUCAAGACCUCAACCCACUAUCAAUAAAGAUAGGAACCUCGGUAUAGGGUUCGAACUCCACACUUGUGAAAGUGAUAAGUUUGGGAAGGCAAAGAACUGGUUGACGCCAUUAGCUUUGUAGAUAAGCCAACAAGUCUUUGAACAAAAUCAGAGAAAAGUAUUUCUCACCAAAUGAGCAAAGUUUCAUUAAAAUGUCAAAAAAUCGUCCUUCAAAAUUGCUGGUUACACAUAUUUAUAGGUAGAGAAAAACUAGCUGAAAAGUCACAUCUUAGGGUCUGUUUGAUUGGCAGUAAAAUAUUUUCCGUAAAAUGAUUUCUGGAAAAUGUUUUACUUUUCUGUAAAAUGAUUUACUGGAAAAUAUUUUCUAGUGUUUGAUUGAAUCUGUGUAAAAUAUUUUCUGCUGUUUGACAGAUUUCCUGAAAAUAUUUUCCGAAAAAGUUGUUUUUACAUAUAUUAAUAAAUUUAUAUACAUAUUAAUAAAUUUUUAUAUUUUAAAUUAUUUUUACACAUAUUGCAAUGAUUUAUUUAUAAAUAAAUUUUUUAUUAAUAAAAGUUUUUUAUCUAAUUAAAUUCCAAAUGUUCAUCUAUUUGUAGAUUAUACCGAUUUGAUUUUACUUCUUCAUUAUUAAAACAUUUAUUUGUAUUUAAAUUUUAUAUUAAUUUGAUUCUACUUUUAUCCAAUCUGAUUCUUGUGAUACAUAUAUUUAACAUGGGAUUUAAAUUAAGGGUCCGUUUGAUUGCCAGUAAAAUGUUUUCCGUAAAAUGAUUUCUGGAAAAUGUUUUACUUUUCUAUAAAAUGAUUUACUGGAAAAUAUUUUCUGGUGUUUGAUUGAAUCUGUGUAAAAUAUUUUCUACUUUUUGAUAGAUUUCUUGAAAAUAUUUUUCGGAAAAGUUGUUUUUACAUUUGUUCUAGUGAUUCAGUGUUCUAUCCACAUAUCCUUAUGUCCUAUAAAUCUAUAUUUGGGCUAAAAUGAAAUGGUAAGUGAAAUUUAUUAGUGAGUUGAUGAGUAACAUAUAAUAAAUAGUUUUGAGAAUCUUAAUGCUUAAUGUCUACUUAAUUCCAUUUUAAUAUAUCACAAACAAGGUAUUUAUAUGUUUAAUAUUGAUUACUUGCAAAGGCAAAGCUUAAUUCUCUAAUAAUUAAACUUUCAUCCUUUAAUGUCCAAAGAGACAAAGUUAGAUUAUAGAUACGACCUCAGGGAAAGUAAAUAUUGCAAAGCCAAAACCUUUAGCUAAAACUAUAGGGAAAAACUGAAAGAUAUUCUCGUAUUUUCUUCAAGUAAAAUCGCUUAUUAUAUAUAUUUAGACCAAGUUGUGUAUAAAAUGUCAAAUCACAUAACAACAGUGAAUAAAAUAACUCGAAGUCUAAAAACUAACCAUGUACGUAUGUAUGUAUGUAUAUAUAUAUACACAUAGGCACGUAACAACCCCAAGAAAUUAACAAAUGUAAAAAAUGUAAAGGAAACCAGAAAAGAAUCAGUGAACGAUAUGUAAUAAAGGUCUGCUUAGUUCCCACAGUGCCAUUUUGAUGUAGGAACACAGCUCAAGUAAUGGCACCAGCUGCAAUGGUCAUGUCCAUUCUCUCCUCUAAAUAGCAUUACCAACCCCACUGUGAAACUGUCAUCAUUCGAAAAAGGAAAACAGAGGAGAUUAAACAAACGGGACCAAAAUUAUAAACACGAGCUGCUAAACUAGUAAUGUAGGGUUGAGAGAACUUACCCAGCAAUGAGUAAAACCAUAACUAUCACCAAAAAUAGGUAUUGGUAUGCUUUAUGCUUAGAUGUUACACGAGCACCGGCAGGAAGAUGUUUACGUCCCACCCACCCGAAUUGGGGACGAAGCAGCAAAACGAACCCAAGGAGAAAAUCGGUUAAGAAACCUCCAAUAUGCGCAAAGUUGUCGACGUGAGGAAGAAUCCCCAUUGCUAAGUUAAUGACAAUGAUGACCGUGAGUGUGAUCAGAGCUGUAGCCUACAAAUUAAGGUAAAAAAUCAAUAUCCUCUAUUACUUUUCAAGCCACAUGAAAAAAGAAAUCACCUAUAACUCUGGUUUCCCUUCAUUGCAUUUCUAAGUAGAUAGGAACCCGAGGCAACUAAUAUUACCUUAUUUGUAUAGAUAGUCCAAUUAGUCAGCAGCUCCGACAACAUUAAUCCAAGAAGGCCAAAUAAAGCACCAGAGGCAGCAACAGAAAUGCUACGUUGAAUAAAAAGAGACGAUAGUACGCUACCACUACAAAAGGAAACGGAUAACGUACUGAAUCCAAAUUGUUGUUCAAGGCGAAUUCCAAUGAAGAUCAAGCUCAACAUGUUUGCAAGUAGAUGAAUAACACCAGCGUGUAGCCAGAUGCAAGUGAUAAGCCUCCACGCUUGAUUUCCAUGCACUACCUUGUCCCAUUUUAAGGCUCCCAAUUUUUCCAAUCUGAAGAAGGAGGAGAAAGAACAACAUAAAAUUACACAACUCGCGAUUAUCAACCACGACAUGGCAUAAUAAAAAAAGGAUUUGAAUUAGACCAUACAAAAACAAAAAUAAAACUACAAAUCAACUAACUUCAUUAACCAGUCCUUGAUUUCCAGACAAAGUUCAUUACCCAAAUUAACAAAGAAACUAACUUAAGUUCCUAUAAAACCAUUAAUCCAUAAAUUAACAAAGCAACUAACUUCAUUACCCAGUCCAUGAUUUCCAGACAUGCCAUUAUUUAACAAAGCUCAAAUUUGACUCAAUUGAUAGCUCGACCGAGUUCGAGUCUUUCUUCAAGUAGUUUGCAAGCACCUUUACACCCCUACUAUAGACAAAGCAAACCAUGACAUUUCAUAUUGAGAAUUCCUAUUGCUGCUAAAUGAACAAGGAAGAACAAAUCUAAUAAUAACCUUAAAUAGUAUCAAUCAUAUCAGACACAAAUUUCCAAUAGAAUCAAAAUAAAUCACAGAUUGAUAUAUCCUUUAGCAUGAUCCAAGGAUAAUCCUAUAGAAGAUCAAUUGGGAACUGCAGUUGAAUCAUCAAAUAAGAACUUCCUACAUGAACAACUUCUAAAAGAUACCGUCAGUCCAUAUCUAAAACUUGCAAGCAAUUUUUUCCCCUUCUUUAGAAUUGAAAGUUGCAAAAGGACCCUCAACUUCAAUUCCAACCCAAUUUCCCAUCACAUUAAAAAAAACACAAAAACUAAACAAAAUCUCAGAAAACCAGAGACAACAAAAAGAAGUGAACAAACUCAAAGCAUGAUCAACAUUAUCGAAGCGGUGGUCUAUUUUUCCCUUUCCUCUAACAGGCAUGGACAUUGGUUUCUUACUUAGGCAGUCGAUGUGGGUAGCAAUAGUGUUAGAAGAAGAAGAAAGAGUGGAAAUUAGAAAGAUGGCUUCCAGCAUUAACAACCGAACGAAGAAUAAAAGAAGAAGGAAGCUUACCCAUCAUUUGAAAGCAGAAAUGGCAACGGCAGUAGCAGCCAAAAAGAAAUGAAAAAUAAACGGAGCAUAAAAGCCAAAAAGAAAUGAAAAAUAAAUGAAGUAACCGUCGAAAAAUGGAAAUGGAAUUGCAACGUACCAGCAGCGGUUUCCAGUUCUGAACCAAAAUGAAGCUUUCAAUAACAGAAAUUUGAAGGAAUGAAGGAAGGGAGAAGAAUGGAUGAAGGGAGCUUACUGGAUGAAGGGAGAAGAAUGCCUGAGAGCUUUAGGAAAAUGUCUUACGGAGAUUGAAUCGGUAAGACAAUUUCCCAAAAAUUGUAAGGCAUUUUCCCGUGUUUUGUAGUUGAUUUUCCAAAAGGAAAAUAUUUUCCUCCAAUCAAACACUGGAAAAUGGGGAAAAUCAAUUCCGGAAAAUAUUUUCCCCUAUCAAACAGACCCUUAAUGUGCUAGUUAAAACUGAAAUUAAACUCAAGUCCCUUGGCAUUCUUGUAACAAUUAAUUCCAUCCUUGAAUUCACUUUAAUUCAACUGAAUAAAUAUUCUUGAUUGCUUGAAAAAUGUCUCUUGAGAUGUUCCUUGGCUAGCCGAAAAGAGACCAGUUACUUAAUGGUGUUUUGAAUGCUUGUUUUAAUAUUUGAAAGAACAAAAUCAGCUGGUAGGUGAAAGGGUUGCUGUCAAAUUUAAAAGGGUGUUAAAAUUCUCCUUAAAACUCCUUAAUUGAUGUAUAAAACCUCCUUUGUAACAACUCCUUCCUUUGUAACCAAAAAAAAAACACUUGACAAGUCACUUCCAUUAAGUUGUAACGGCCUUGAAAUGUAACGGUUGUGAGAUGAAGGAACACUUGCAAUAGAUUGCAAGUAACGUCUAUGGGGUUCAUCCCUGCAUGAUUAAUGGGUUUGACUUCUUGUUCUUCCCAAACUCGUUACACGUAGCUUGCCAAUGUGUCUUUAAAUUUCUUAGCUCGUGACCUAGUAAUAGAACCUUGUGGCAACUCAAUGGAUUCAGUAGAGACAUCCCGAGCUAAGGUUGUAUCAUUCCCUCCUCUUGAAAGUGAGUUGUCCUCAAGUCGAAACCUGCAUUAAAAGGAGACAAACUAGCAACAGUAAAGCUUGCACUAAUGUUAUACUCACUCGUUAAGUCAAGUCGAUAUGAAUUUUCAUUGAUUUGUUCAAUAACUUGGAAUGGACCAUCUCCUCGUGGUAACAAUUUAGAUCGUCGUUGAGCUGAAAACUGUUCUUUCCUCAUAUGAAUCUGGACCCAAUCACUGGGUUCAAAGAUAACCCAUUUUCUUCCUUUGUUCACCCUUUGUACGUAACUCUUGGUUCGGGCUUCAAUAUUAGCUCGCACUUUUUGAUGGAACUUCUUGACGUAUUCGACCUUUUCAUUAGCAUCUACAUACACAAAAUGAUUGUUAGGCAAUGGUAAUAAAUCAAGGGGAGUUAAUGGAUUAAAGCCAUAAACUACUUCAAAGGGAGAAAACUUAGUAGCAGUAUGGACAGAGCGAUUGUAAGCAAAUUCGAUGUGAGGUACACAUUCUUCUCACGACUUUAGAUUUUUACAGACGAUUUCACGCAACAAAGUAGUCAAUACUCAAUUUACCACCUCCGUUUGUCCAUCCAUUUGAGGAUGACAAGUGGUCAAAAAUAACAGCUUCGUUCUGAGCUUUCCCCACAAUGAUCUCCAAAAGUGGCUAAAAAACUUUGCAUCACGAUCGAACACGAUCAUUCUUGGAAUUCCAUGUAAACGAACAACUUCCCUAAAGAAGAGAUUAGCUACAUGAACAGCAUCAUCAGUCUUGGCACAUGCAAUAAAAUGAGACAUUUUCGAAAAUCUAUCAACUACUACAUAUAUAAAGUCUUUGCCCAUUUUUGUUUUUGGUAAUCCAAGGACAAAGUCCAUGGAUAUAUCCAUCCAAGGGAAUUUAGGUAUGGAUAGCGGCAUAUACAAACCAUGAGGUUGAAUCUUGGACUUAGCUCGUUUGCAGGUCACACAACACUCACAGACACGUGCAACAUCUCUUCGCAUUAGUAGCCAAUAAAAAUGUUCUUGUAGAGUUGAUAGUGUCUUGCUUAUACCAAAGUGUCCUAUGAGGCCUCCACUAUGCGCCUCUUGCAUAAGCAAUUCUCGAAUCAAGCCUUGUGGUAUGCAUAACUUACCUUCCUUAAAAAGGAAGCCCUCAUACUUAUAAAAUUUCUCAGAAGAUCCAUUUUCACAAACAAUAAAGAUAUUACCAAAGUCAUUAUCAUUAACGUACAAUUCUUUCAAAUAAGAAAACCCAAGUAGCUUAUAAUCAAGAUAAGACAAAAAAGUGUACCUCCUUGAUAGAGCAUCAACAACUACGUUUUCUUUACCUUUCUUAUACUUGAUAACAUAUGGAAAGGAUUCAAGAUAUUCAAUCCACUUUGCAUGACGCUUACUUAACUUAUGUUGACCUUUAAUGUGCUUUAAGGCUUCAUGAUCAGAGUGAAUCAUGAACUCCUUCGGCCACAAGUAAUGUUGCCACGUCUCGAGAGAUCAAUUAAGGCAUACAUUUCUUUAUCAUACACGGAAUAAUUGAAAACAACCCCACUUACCUUUUCACUAAAAUACGCCACCGGUCUUCCAUCUUGGGUUAGCACAGCCCCAAUUCCAACACCUGAAGCAUCACAUUUGAUUUUAAAGGUUUUAGUAAAAUCAGGAAGUGCUAAUAAAGGUGCUUGGACAAGGCAUUGUUUAAUUUUAUUAAAUGAAUUUUCUUGCUCAUUUGUCCAAUAAAAUGGUGAAUUUUUCUUAAUAACACUUGUCAAUGGCGUAGCAAUUGUACUAAAGUUAGGUACGAAACAUCAAUAAAAACUAGCCAACCCAUGAAAGCUUCGGAUUUGGAUAAUGCUAGUCGGGCACGACCAUUCUUGGGUCGCUCAAACUUUCUCUUGAUCAACUUCCAACCUUUCGGAACUCACCACAAAACCUAAGAACACAACUUUGUUAGUACAAAACGAACACUUUUUAAGGUUUGCAUAGAGUAUCUCCUAUCGCAACGUUUCUAACACCUCUCGCAAAUGUUGAACGUACUCUUCCAAUGACUUGUUGUAUAUCAAGAUAUCAUCAAAAUAAACUACACAAAAUUUUCCAAAAUAAGCACGCAACACAUGGUUCAUUAAUCGCAUAAAAGUGCCAGGUCCGUUCGUAAGACCGAAUGGCAUUACCAACCAUUCAUGCAAACCAUGUUUGGUUUUGAAGGUAGUUUUCCAUUCAUCGCCUUCUUGCUUACGAAUUUGAUGGUAGCCACUCCUAAGAUCGAUCUUCGUGAAUAUCUUGGCACCGUUUAACUCGUCGAGCAUAUCAUCGAGAUGAGGAAUCGGAUGUCUAUAUUUAACAGUGAUCUUGUUGAUAGCACAACAGUCAACACACAUUCGCCACGAACCAUCCUUUUUAGGUGUAGCACCCUAAACCCGGCCCAAAUGUUAUGGCCGGAUCCGACAUGCCACAUCGAAGCAUUCAAAACAUUUUCGAUCCAGAAAGAAAACUUACUGAGUGUUUUAAAAGAUGAUUUCAUUAUAGGUUAAAGUGAAUGGAAGCUGUGCACCAGGUAGGAAAUCGGAAAAGAGGUUGUGAGUCCAUCGGACUGCUUAAGUACCAAGCUCCCUUCGGAUCCAAUCCUAGACAUGCAUACCGCCAUUGCCACACCUUAACGUCAUGGAUAUUUCUAGGAAACCGAUUUGAUUAAGUCAUUUUUAGGAAAAGUGAUUAAUCUUGGAAAAUACUUUCAUUACGGAAGCUUUGCUUGUUGUCGUGUUAUUUUGAAAUCAAUUGUUGUUUUUGAAAAUGCGCUCUGAAGCUAUCCAAUUUCAACAGUUAAAUAUAAUAAAUACCUAUCUUAGUAAUACAUAUUAAAACUAUCAAAAAUAAUUAAGCGGCCUUAUUACAUUUAAAAACCCAAAACUUCAAACGUAAAUAAAAGGAUGUCCAGUCCACCAUAAGAAAAUCAAGCUUUCAGAACGGGUGGCCACUCCGAAUUCCCUCACAGCUCCAAGCCCAUUAUGGUUGGGGAUUUCCUGCGUGGAUGAAAAUAAAAGGGGUGAGUUUGGGGAAACUCAGUGUGUAAGGAAAACCCAUUCAAAGCCCAAGUCAGCUCAAGCCUAUUGGGCCUAAGCCCAUUCAGGUAACAGUGGUAAUGGACCAGAGCCCUUUUCAGAUUACAAUAAACUGGGCCUUAUCCCCUUAUUCAGAUAACAGUAUGGCCCAUAGGCCCAUUUCAAAAUACAUGCAACAUCAAUAACAUAUGCAAGCUCAUUUGGGGAGACUACUCAACCCACCAACCACUACACUCCACCCGUACCAGCCCUACACUCAAUGUGGGGAAUAGCUCAACCCACCCAGCCCAACACUCCACAGCUGCAGCCUUGCUGCUCAGUUAACAGUAAAUUGAGGCAAAGCCUCCAGUACGUGGACAAGCCACUUUCAGUACUUCCUCCGUCAAUAUCCCAGUCCCAUGCAUCAGAUAAUAACAACAUGGCAUGAAGUAAAUAACAACACUCAAACAUGCAUUUAGGUCAAUUUAACCCUAGGGGUAUUUUGGUAAUUUAUCUCCUAGGGGUAAAACCGUAAAUUUUCCACUUUUAAAGGUAUUUCAGUAAUUUAUCUAUUUUAGGGUUUUUCAUGCAUAUUCCUACCUUUCACGUACUAACAGAAUCACUACCGAAGGUUCUUACCGAAUUGGGCCCGUUGGCCCAUCAUUCCAAUUUUGGCCCAUUAAGCCCAAAUAUAUCGAGGGCACAGAAAUCAUGCACUUUGCAGUCCAAACAUUGCAGCUUACCAAAAACAUUAAUCGAUUUACCUCACGAGCAUUCGUACGCUCGCAAAUCUACAAAAUACCGGUUUUCGGCUUUUUGACUUUUGUCGAUCUAGACGAAGAAAGAGGGUGUUAGUUACACACCUGUUUGCGACGAUAUGCUGACGAGAUCCACACACGAACUGCCUACAAUUGGAUUACUAACACGUUAAUCUAACUAUUCACAUACAAACUACGUAUUAAACCCUUACAAUAUUCGGCCAACCACACCUACAGGUCAUAGUAAGCUUAUAAGAAAUCAAUAAGCAACUCAUUAACAAAUUUUUGUCAAUGUUUACCACAUAAUCAUAAUUUCACUGCAAGCUGUCUUCCUGAGCAACAGUCACGAAAUCAUUUAUAACUGGAGCUACGAAACUCCAAAUCAAGUGCCGUUAAUUUUCCCUAAAAAUAGACUCAUAUAUCUUCUAUCCAUAAAAUUUUCAGAAUUUUUGGUUUAGCCAAUCAAUACCAGAUAUUUCUCAAAGUUUCCCAUGUUUCACUAUUUGACUAAUCUGCCCACUCUUCAUUACGACUCAAAUUUCUCAUUGUAAAGAAUUCAAAAUAUGUUCUCGUUUAUUUCAUUUGAAACUAGAAUCAUUAAGAUUUAAUUACAUAAUUUAUUCAGCUUCUAAUUCAUCUCCCACAAUUUAUGGUGAUUUUCCAAAGUCACGUUACUGCUGCUGUCCCAAGCAGAUUUAUUACCAAGUCACUCUUUCACACACCUAUCUUGCAUGCAUGUUAUUUAAACAUGUAUAUCACCAAUCAAUCAUCACAUAUCUAUGAUUUUUGUACUUAAGCAUAAUCUCCAUUUCAUCAUUUUAAAGCACAACAUGUUAGCCAAUUUUUCCCUUUAGCAUCUAAGGCACAUGCAUGAUCAUUUGUUUGGCUCAACUUCACCUAUCUUCCAUUUUUCAUCAAAAGAACAUGAAAUAACAACCAUUUCCUUCAUUUUAAUUCAUGACUAAAUGCUCACAACACAACUAAAAACCAAAAUAUGCUUCAAGAGUUAAGGUAGAAUCAAGAAGAACUCAUGAACAUCAAGAUAGAAGCACACUACCAUGAACUUACCUUCAAUUUUCUUCCCCAAGUGACCGAACAUUCAAGAGCUUUCUCCUCUCUUUUCUCUUCUCUAACUUUAGGCUAUGAUGAACAAAUAUGGACAAAACUUUGUUCUUUUCACCCCUUUUUCUUUUAAUAAAAUUUCAUAUUUCAUCCAAUUAAUUCUUAAUACAAAAGACAUGAAAUGCCCAUCAUGGAACAUUUACCUAAACCAUUAUCAUGGAACAUUUACCUAACCCAUUAUCAUGGAAUAUUUACCUAAUCCAUUAUCAUGGAACAUUUACCUAACCUAUUAUCAAUUUGUACCAUGAAUUAUGGAUAUCAAGUGCUCAUAUUGUCUACAAUAACAUGAUGGCUGGCCACUUCAUGUAAAAUGGUAGGUUUGUCAUGCAAAUCCUCCUAUUUUGCACUCCUAUUUAUUUGGCCACUUCAAUUUAGCCUAUAGCAUUUUCAAACAUUUUCACAUAAGUUCUAUUUCAUAAUUUCACCCCCUUUUUCUUAUGGAACAAAAAUUAACUAAAAUUGCCGGGUUCUAUCUUAAGCUUGGGCCUUCUAGAGGCCCACUAACAUAAUUAAACCUAUGCCAACAUUCACAGAAUUCCCGAAAAUUGGGGCAUUACAACUCUACCGUCCUUAAAUAAAUUUCGUCCUCGAAAUUUACCUGAUCCAACUAGUUGAGGGUAUUGUUGACUCAUAGUCUCUUCUGAUUCCCAAGUAGCUUCUUCCCUUCCAUGAUUACGUCAAAGCACUUUCACUAACGGGACAGAUUUCCUUCCGAGAACCUUAACAUCUCGAGCCAAUAUUUGCACAGGCUCCUCCUCAAAGGUCAAAUCAGUCUGAACUUUAAUUUCUGCAACUAGCACGACAUGAGCAGGGUCAGAACGAUAACGCCUUAACAUGGAGACGUGAAAAACAUCGUGAAUCCUGUCUAACUCUGGAGGCAAUUCCAAUUGAUAAGCCACUGGGCCUACUCGCUUCAAAACCCGAUAAGGCCCAAUGAACCGCCGGCUCAACUUGCCCUUCUUACCGAACCUUAAUAUCUUCUUCCAAGGAGAAACCUUUAAGAAGACCAUAUCACCUACUAAGUACUCAAUCUCCUUACACUUCAAAUCUGCAUACGACUUUUGCCUAUCAGAUGCUUCUCUUAAUCGGUCCCUAAUUAUUUUGACCUUAUCCUCAGUAUCAGCUACCAACUCUGGUCCAAGAAUUUGUCGCUCUCCUAGUUCAGUCCAACAACUAGGUGUACGACACCUUCGUCCAUACAGUGCUUCAUACGGUACCAUUCGAAUACUCGCCUGGUAACUGUUAUUGUACGCAAAUUCUGCCAACGGCAAGUAAUCCUCCCAACUACCUCGAAAGUCAAUCACACAUCCCCUCAACAUGUCCUCCAGGAUCUGAAUAACCCUCUCUGAUUGACCAUCAGUUUGGGGAUGGAAAGCCGUACUAAAGUUCAAUCGCGUCCCCAACACCUCAUGCAACCUUUGCCAAAACCGAGAUGUAAAUCUGGGAUCCCAAUCAGAAAUAAUUGAAACUAGGACUCCAUGAAGUCAUACAAUCUCCGCCACAUAUAGCUUGGCUAACUUUUGAAGCGAAAAGUCAGUACGUACAGGUAUGAAAUGGACUGAUUUGGUCAACCUAUCCACAAUCACCCACACUGAGUCUUUCUUUGAUGGUGUCAAGGGCAGCCCACUCACCAAGUCCAUGGUUACCCUCUCCCACUUCCAAAGUGGUAUCUUCACUGACUGUAACAGUCCAGAGGGUAAUUGAUGCUCAGCUUUCACUUGCUAGCAUGUCAGACAUUUCCCUACAAACUCUGUUACUUCUCGUUUAAGCCCAGGCCACCCGUACAAUUCUCGCAAGUCGUGAUACAACUUAUUCCCUCCAGGAUGCAUGGCACAAAGUCCUCCAUGAGCUUCCUUCAAUAUUGUCUGCCUCAAAUCAGAGUCCUUAGGAACAUAAAUUCUUCCUCAGAAACACAGAACUCCUUCGCCAUCUAACCCAAACUCAGAAGUUUCCCCUUCCUUAACUUGUUGGAAACGAGCGACCAAAGACUUAUCGUUCAACUGCUUUUCCUUAAUCUGAUCCACCCAGGUUGGCCUCAGUUGCAACUCAGCCAACAGACUUCCAUCAUCAUACAGACUCAGACGAGCAAACAUUGCUCUCAGAUUAGAUACAGCUCUACGACUUAGAGCAUCGGCUACCACAUUAGCCUUGCUUGGGUGAUACUCGAUCAAACAGUCAUAAUCCUUAAGCAACUCAAUCCAUCUCCUUUGCCUAAGGUUCAGCUCUUUCUGAGUCAACAAAUACUUAAGACUCUUAUGGUCAGUGUAUAUAAUACACCUUUCUCCAUACAAGUAAUGUCUCCAAAUCUUAAGUGCAAAUAUCACUGCUGCUAACUCUAAAUCAUGAGUCGGAUAGUUCCCUUCGUGAGGUUUAAGCUGUCGUGAUGCAUAUGAAACCACCUUACCCUCCUACAUUAACACGCAGCCCAAACCCACGUGUGAUGCGUCAUUGUACACAGUAAAAUCCUUUCCAGACUCUGGCUGAAUCAACACAGGUGCUUCAGUCAGAACUUUCUUCAACUUCUCAAAAGCUUCCUACUGCUUCUCAGUCCAUACAAACGGUACUCCUUUCCUUAUGAGUUUUGUCAGAGGUGCUUCCAUAAUAGAAAAACCUUCCACAAACUUUCUGUAGUAUCCUGCCAGUCCUAGGAAACUCCGUAUUUCCGACAUUGACCUAGGCGGCGUCCACUCCAAAAUCGCUUCAAUUUUCUGAGGGUCCACCUUAAUCCCCUCAGCAGAGACCACAUGUCCUAAGAAGGUUACCUCCUCCAACCAAAAUUCACACUUGCUGAACUUCGCAAAGAGUUCCUUCUCCCGUAAUACUUACAGCACUAUACGGAGAUGCUCAUCAUGUUUCGUUUCAGUUUUAGAAUAUACCAGGAUAUCGUCAAUAAAGACGACUACGAACUGAUCCAAAAAUGAUUGGAACACACGAUUCAUCAGAUCCAUAAACGCUGCAGGAGCGUUCGUCAGUCCAAAUGGCAUAACCAGAAACUCGUAAUGACCAUACCGAGUCCUGAAUACCGUCUUAUGGAUAUCUACCUCCUUGACCCUUAAUUGAUAAUAUCCAGAUCGAAGGUCGAUCUUGGAGAAUACAGAAGCUCCUCUAAGCUGGUUGAACAGAUCGUCAAUCCUUGGCAGCGGAUACUUAUUCUUAAUCGUCAGUUUGUUCAACUGGCGAUAAUCAAUGCACAUCCGCAUUACCAUCCUUCUUUUUCACGAAUAGCACUGGUGCUCCCCAUGGAGACACGCUUGGCCUAAUGAAGUCCCUAUCCAACAACUCUUGAAUUUGAGCCUUUAACUCCACUAACUCCUUCGGUGCCAUCCUAUACGGUGCGAUGGACACGGGCGCCGUUCCAGGCAAUAAAUCUAUUCCAAACUCAACUUCUCGGUUCGGAGGCAAUCCUGGAAGCUCCUCUAGAAAAACAUCUUGGAACUCCUUUACGGUCCUAACCUUAUCCACUGUCAGUCCCUCCUCUUCUGACUGACUUACAAAUGCCAAAUAGGCCUCACAACCUUUCUGAAUCCACUUCUCGGCUCUUAAUGCCGACACCACAUUAGACAAAUAAUCCCUUCGCUCACCUAUCACCAUAACCUCCUCAUCCUUUGUGGUCCUUAACACCAUUCGUUUAACAGCACAAUCCAGAGUCGCUUUAUGCUUAACAAGCCAAUCCAUUCCCAAAAUGAGAUCAAACUCUCCGAACGGUAACUCCAUCAGAUCUCCAAGGAAAAUCUUACCUUGAGUUUCUAAGGGUACAUCCCUAUACAGUUUAUCUACCCUAACCGAGUGACUCAAAUGACUUAGUACAGAUACCCCACUCACAAUCUCCUCAGAGCAGUCCAAGUUGUCCAUAAUCCGUUCUGUGGCCUCCAACCAAUUUUCUGCCAUAUUUGGGGCUAUACCAGACACGCCCCUAAAAAUCUCCGCUCCGUUAGCCCGAAGUCGUUAAGAAAUAGAUCCCCGAACUCCAUUGCCCAUACCUGCCCCGGCAACCCUUUCUAAAACACGAAGCAUUGCCUGUGACAGGGCAUCAUCCCCGGCACCGCGUUCAUGAGACUCUACCUCUGUUGCCGAUGGUACCGGUGCAUCCACCGCCGACAUAUGUCCCGAAGACGAAGAUCUCGCUCGAGCACUUCCUCGGCCCCGUCCACAGCCUCUUCCAUGAAUGGUUCUUGUACUCAUAUCGUAUUAUCUUGAUUACGAAUUUUUAUGCAUCAAUUAAUAUUCUAGUGUUUAUUACAGAUGUUUUAUGAAUUAGACAGUAGUUCAGAGUUUGUUUUCGCAGAGUUGAAGUCUAGCUACAGUUUCAGUCUCUUAUCAGAUUUUCUUAUGGUUUCAGUAUCAUCCUAUCUAGAGUAUCCUAGUAGGGUUUCAGUACAGACAGAUAACUCAGGAAAAUAUUCAGAAAAAUUCAGAAUACUUACAGACUUGAGCCGGAGAUUCGGAAUGCCACCUUCUAAAGAUCUAAAUUUUGAAAAUCGCGUUUUUCGCAAAAAAAAUUUGUUUUUGAAAAUCUUUAUUUUUUUUUGUAAACCCAUUCCACAGCCGAGUUGUUGCAACCUAGGCUCUGAUAGCACUAAAUGUAGCACCCCAAACCUGGCCCAGACGUUAUGGUCGGAUCUAACAUGCCACAUCGAAGCAUUCAAAACAUUUCCGAUCCAGAAAGAAAACUUACUGAGUGUUUUAAAAGAUGAUUUCAUUAUAGGUUAAAGUGAAUGGAAGCUGUGCACCAGGUAGGAAACCGAAAAAGAGGUGGUGAGUCCAUCGGACUGCUUAAGUACCAAGCUCCCUUCGGAUCCAAUCCUAGACAUGCAUACCGCCAUUGCCACACCUUAACGUCAUGGAUAUUUCUAGGAAACCGAUUUGAUUAAGUCAUUUUUAGGAAAAGUGAUUAAUCUUGGAAAAUACUUUCAUUGCGGAAGCUUUGCUUGUUGUCGUGUUAUUUUGAAAUCAAUUGUUGUUUUUGAAAACGCGAUCUGAAGCUAUCCAAUUUCAACAGUUAAAUAUAGUUAAUACCUAUCUUAGUAAUACAUAUUAAAACCAUCAAAAAUAAUUAAGCGGCCUUAUUACAUUUAAAAACCCAAAACUUCAAACGUAAAUAAAAGGAUGUCCAGUUCACCAUAAGAAAAUCAAACUUUUAGAACGGGUGGCCACUCCGAAUUCCCUCACAGCUCCAAGCCCAUUAUGGUUGGGGAUUUCCUGCGUGGAUGAAAAUAAAAGGGGUGAGUUUGGGGAAACUCAGUGUGUAAGGAAAACCCAUUCAAAGCUCAAGUCAGCUCAAGUCUAUUGGGCCUAAGCCCAUUCAGGUAACAGUGGUAAUGGACCAGAGCCCUUUUCAGAUUACAAUAAACUGGGCCUUAUCCCCUUAUUCAGAUAACAGUAUGGCCCAUAGGCCCAUUUCAAAAUACAUGCAACAUCAAUAACAUAUGCAAGCUCAUUUGGGGAGACUACUCAACCCACCAACCACUACACUCCACCCUACCAGCCCUACACUCCAUGUGGGGAAUAGCUCAACCCACCCAGCCCAACACUCCACAGCUGCAGCCUUGCUGCUCAGUUAACAGUAAAUUGAAGCAAAGCCUCCAGUACGUGGACAAGCCACUUUCAGUACUUCCUCCGUCAAUAUCCCAGUCCCAUGCAUCAGAUAAUAACAACAUGGCAUGAAGUAAAUAACAACAGUCAAACAUGCAUUUAGGUCAAUUUAACCCUAGGGGUUUUUCGGUAAUUUAUCUCCUAGGGGUAAAACUGUAAAUUUUCCACUUUUAAAGGUAUUUCAGUAAUUUAUCUAUUUUAGGGUUUUUCAUGCAUAUUCCUACCUUUCAUGUACUAACAGAAUCACUACCGAGGGUUCUUACCGAAUUGGGCCCGUUGGCCCAUCAUUCCAAUUUUGGCCCAUUAAGCCCAAAAAUAUCGAGGGCACAGAAAUCAUGCACUUUGCAGUCCAAACAUUGCAGCUUACCAAAAACAUUAAUUGAUUUACCUCACGAGCAUUCGUACGCUCGCAAAUCUAUAAAAUACCAGUUUUCGACUUUUCGACUUUUGCCGAUCUAGACGAAGAAAGAGGGUGUUAGUUACACACCUGUUUGCGACGAUAUGCUGACGAGAUCCACACACGAACUGCCUACAAUUGGAUUACUAACACGUUAAUCUAACUAUUCACAUACAAACUACGUAUUAACCCCUUACAAUAUUCGGCCAACCACACCUACAGGUCAUAGUAAGCUUAUAAGAAAUCAAUAAGCAACUCAUUAACAAAUUUUUGUCAAUGUUUACCACAUAAUCAUAAUUUCACUGCAAGCUGUCUUCCUGAACAAUAGUCACGAAAUCAUUUAUAACUGGAGCUACGAAACUCCAAAUCAAGUGCCGUUAAUUUUCCCUAAAAAUAGACUCAUAUAUCUUCUAUUCAUAAAAUUUUCAGAAUUUUUGGUUUAGCCAAUCAAUACCAGAUAUUUCUCAAAGUUUCCCAUGUUUCACUAUUUGACUAAUCUGACCACUCUUCAUUACGACUCAAAUUUCUCAUUGUAAAGAAUUCAAAAUAUGUUCUCGUUUAUUUCAUUUGAAACUAGACUUAUUAAGAUUUAAUUACAUAAUUUAUUCAGCUUCUAAUUCAUCUCCCACAAUUUAUGGUGAUUUUCCAAAGUCACGUUACUGCUGUUGUCCCAAGCAGAUUUAUUACCAAAUCACUCUUUCACACACCUAUCUUGCAUGCAUGUUAUUUAAACAUGUAUAUCACCAAUCAAUCAUCACAUAUCUAUGAUUUUUUUACUUAAGCAUAAUCUCCAUUUCAUCAUUUUAAAGCACAACAUGUUAGCCGAUUUUUCCCUUUAGCAUCUAAGGCACAUGCAUGAUCAUUUGUUUGGCUCAACUUCACCUAUCUUCCAUUUUUCAUCAAAAGAACAUGAAAUAACAACCAUUUCCUUCAUUUUAAUUCAUGACUAAAUGCUCACAACACAACUAAAAACCAAAAUAUGCUUCAAGAGUUAAGGUAGAAUCAAGAAGAACUCAUGAACAUCAAGAUAGAAGCAAACUACCAUGAACUUACCUUCAAUUUUCUUCCCCAAGUGACCGAACAUUCAAGAGCUUUCUCCUCUCCUUUCUCUUCUCUAACUUUAGGCUAUGAUGAACAAAGAUGGACAAAACUUUGUUCUUUUCACCCCUUUUUCUUUUAAUAAAAUUUCAUAUUUCAUCCAAUUAAUUCUUUAAUACAAAAGACAUGAAAUGCCAAUCAUGGAACAUUUACCUAAACCAUUAUCAUGGAACAUUUACCUAACCCAUUAUCAUGGAAUAUUUACCUAAUCCAUUAUCAUGGAACAUUUACCUAACCUAUUAUCAAUUUGUACCAUGAAUUAUGGAUAUCAAGUGCUCAUAUUGUCUACAACAACAUGAUGGCUGGCCACUUCAUGUAAAAUGGUAGGUUUGUCAUGCAAAUCCUCCUAUUUUGCACUCCUAUUUAUUUGGCCACUUCAAUAUAGCCUAUAGCAUUUUCAAACAUUUUCACAUAGGUUCUAUUUCAUAAUUUCACCCCCUUUUUCUUAUGGAACAAAAAUUAACUAAAAUUGCCGGGUUCUAUCUUAAGCUUGGGCCUUCUAGAGGCCCACUAAUAUAAUUAAACCUAUGCCAGCAUUCACAGAAUUCCCAAAAAUUGGGGCGUUACAUUAGGUACAAGUAGAACUGGCACAGCACAAGGACUGAGACUCUCUCGGAUGUAACCCUUAUCUAUAAGUUCAACAACUUGUUUUUGUAAUUCCUUGGUUUCUUCCGGGUUACUUUGAUAAAUAGGCAGAUUAGGAAGUGCGGCUCCAGGUACUAGAUCGAUUUGUUGCUCGAUGCCUCGAAUGGGAGGCAAUCCACUCGGCACUUUUUCCGAGAAAACAUCCUCGAAUUCCUAUAAAAGAGACAACAUAGAAGAAGGUAGAUCGUAGGGUAACUCGUUAGUGUUUAACAAAAUUUCUUUGUACAUAAGUACAAAUAUAGGUUGCCUCAAAGUUAAAGCUCUCCGAACAUCACUUAUUCUCGCAAACACACUUAUUUUUCCACUUUUUUUUCUUCUCUAUUUUUUUAAUUUUCUUGCUUCCUCUUUACUCUCUUUUGAGAUUUUACCUCUAGCUCUCUCAUUUUUCUUUUCUUUUUCUCGCAUUUGUCCCACAAAUGUUUUGAGUUUAAGUUGGUCCUCGUAUACUUGCUUCGGGGUUAAUGGUGUAAGUGUCAUAUUCUUGCCCCCAUGCUUGAAGGAAUAUCUAUUAGUAUAGCCAUCAUGAACCACACUCCGAUCAAACUGCCAUGGUUGUCCUAAUAGCAAAUGGCCCGCGUGCAUUAGCACCACAUCGCAUAGAACUUCAUCGGAGUAUUUUCCAAUGCUGAAAGAAACUAGGACUUGUUUCAUGACUUUGAGCUCACCACCAUCGUUGAGCCAUUGAAGCUUGUACGAGUUCGAAUGUUUGGUGGUCAACAGUCCUAAUUUUUCCACCAUGAGAGUACUCACCGUAUUCGUGCAACUUCCACCAUCUAUGAUAAUGCUACAAAUUUUCCCUUGGAUUUUACAUCUCGAAUGGAAAAUAUUCUCUUGUUGUUGCUCAUUCUCCACUCCUUGUAGACUUAAACUUCGUUUGACUACAAGCAACUCACCUUCGACAGGGUGUUCCAAAUCCUCUUCUUCGUUAGAAUUCUAUUCCGGCUCAUCUUCUUCUUCAUCCUUUAUUUCAAUUUCACAAUCUGUACGAAACACCAUGGUGCUCCAGUUUGGGCACUGACUUGCAAUAUGUCCUCUUCCAGGACAUUUGAAGCAUUUAAUAUCUCUAGAAUGGUUGGAUGAACUCUCAAUAGCUUUGCCUUUGCUUGAUUCGGCCAAAAGGUUAUUUGUCUUAGGCAACAUCGUGGACUCCUUCACUCGGUUUGAUGGAAAGCUUUUGCUAACGCCUUGUCCCCAUCUUAGAGGAUUUGUAGUGGAGUAGCCUCAGGUAGCACCCUUACAGUUUAUUUGUUUUUCCACUUUGAUGGCCAUGUGUACCAUGUCCACCACAUUGAUGUAAUGUUGAAGUUCGACGACAUUAGCAAUGUCACGGUUAAGACCAGCUAGAAAACAAGCUAUAGUCACUUCGCGGUCUUCUUGCACAUCUACACGAAUCAUCGCCACCUCUAUCUCCUUAUAAUAGUCUUUUAUGCUCUUAGUUCCUUGAGUAAGAUUUUGAAGUUUCUGAUGAAGCUCCCGGUGAUAAUACGAAGGAAUAAAUCACCGUUGCGUUGCAGCUUUCAUCUCAACCCAAGUAUUAAUAGGCCUUUCUCCUUUGCGCCUUCGACCAGUGGUGAAUUGAUCCCACCAGAUUAUUGUGUACGUUAUCAGAAAACUCAAUUACAUCUAGUUUGACCUUCUUACUAUUGGAAUAGUUGUGUAUUCAAAUACUAAUCUUUUUCCCACUCUAGGUACACCUCCGAAUCAGAUUUGCCUUGAAAGGGAGGUAUUGAUAGCUUUAUAUUCUUGAGAUCAUCAUCUUCACUUCUCCGAUCUCUUUGGCCAUGAUUUCGUUGUUCCCUCUGUUGAGCACUCACAAUGGACCGUUGGUCACUCUCAGCCUCACUAGGAUCUGACUGAUCAUCUUCGUUAAAUUAUUAUCAGCCACGGUUUCUAGGGGACUUUGAGGUGUCCUUCUCUAUCCUACUCUUUCUUCAACUAAAUCCAACCUUUCUUGUAUAGGAUCAAGCUUCCGGUUAAAGAGUCACUCCACCUCUCGAAGUAUAGCUUGAAAAUUAAAGUCUGAAACAUUUUUAACGGGUUGUCGGUCUUGUUGCUCAUCCAUAUUUUGUUUAGGAUUUUGUGACAAAAAAGAAAAUAAAACAAAUCAAAACUGAAGAAAGAUAAUAAUUGAAACCUCAUAACAAACCUUACGUUCACUCGAAAAGGAAAAAAAAUUAUAGCACUCACGCUCGUGUUUGCACUCGUAUGUUGGCUUUUACCUCCUCUAAAUUGUGCUCACAACUCUCGUGCCUUUUUCCACUUCUUUUUUUUCAUGACUUUGUAAGCAGACUUGACAAGGCUUAAUCGUAGGCUUAAGGGUCGGUCACAAAGUGGGAAAUAAGAAAAUUAAUGAAGAGGGGUAGGGUAGGCUAAAAGAAAAGAUGAAAAGGAGUUUAAGUGUGGCAUGGAAUGGGAAGGAAUGGUUGAGAAUAGAAAUUUUCUUGAUCUGGGAAUACAAGAGUAAAUACAAAUUUUCAACUCAAUUUUUUUGAAUUUUUUACUUUUUUCAAACUUACUUUGAUUCUUCACGUACUAAUCUAAGUUUAUCUUCGAAGGUUCGUACUUCUCUUUUUUUAAGCUCUGAUACCAAAUGAUAUGAUCUGCCUCGAAUUACGAGUCGAGUCGUAUUUACGUUGCUAAUCAUCAAUGAGAAAGUAUGGUUUCAUUAGAUGGAUAUCUAACUAAAUUAAUGAAAUACGCUCAACUAGGAUUAAAUGAUCAAAAAUAAAAUGGCUCUAAUUGGAAAGGGAAAAUAUUUGGUUAUCAAAUAAGUGGUAAAAGUUGAUUAUGUUUUGGAUAUGGUAAAAGGAUGGAAAGAAACAACUCAAGAAGCAAGAAAGAACCAACACUAAUUAGUAUCGACCCAAUUACUUAUAUGCUUUUGAAAAGUUUUGUAUAUUCAGUCAAGACCUCGACCCACUAUCAAUAAAGAUAGGAACCUCGGUAUAGGGUUCGAAUGCCACACUUGUGAAAAUGAUAAGUUCAGGAAAGGCAAAGAACAGGUUGACGCCACUAGCUUUGUAGACAAGCCAACAAGUCUUUGAACAAAAUUAGAGAAAAGUAUUUCUCACCAAAUGAGUAGAGUUUCAUUAAAAUGUCAAAAAAAUAGUCCUUCAAAAUGGCUAGUCACACAUAUUUAUAGGUAUAGAAAAACUAGCUGAAAAGUCACAUCUUAAUGUGCUAGUUAAAACUGAAAUUAAACUCAAGUCUCUUAGCAUUCUUGUAACAAUUAACUCCAUCCUUGAAUUCACUUUAAUUCAGCUGAAUAUAUAUCCUUGAUUGCUUGAAAAAAGUCUCUUAAGAUGUUCCUUGGCUAGUUGAAAAGACACCAGCUAUUUAAUGGUGUUCUGAAUGCUUGUUUUAAUAUUUGAAAGAACAAAAUCAGCUGGUAAGUGAAAAGGUUGCUGCCAAAUUUAAAACAGUGUUAAAAUGCUCCUUAAAACUCCUUAAUUGAUGUAUAAAACCUCCCUUGUAACAACUCCUUCCUUUGUAACAAAAAGAAAAAACACUUGAAAGUCACUUCCAUUAAGUUGUAACAACCUUGAAAUGUAACGGUUGUGAGAUGAAGGAACACUUGCAAUAAAUUUCAGGUAACGCCUAUGGGGUUCAUCCUUGCAUGAUUAAUGGGUUCAACUUCUUAUACUUCCCAAACUCGUUCCACGUAGCUCGCCAAUGUGUCUUUAAAUUUCUUAGCUUGUGACCUAGUAAUAGGCCAUUGUGGCAACUCAAUGGAUUCAGUAGAGACAUCUCGAGCAAAGGUCGUAUCAAGUUUCCUUAAAUUCUUGGGUUUGGAAACUAUAACAUAUAUCCUCCUACUGAACCUUUAGUAGAUAACUAAGCUUAGCAAAUUAAACAUGUCCUCAUCUUUAACCAUUUCUGUUAUUUUAAGUGUAUUAUGCGCUACCAUCUUUCUUUCCUUUGCUACAACCAUGUUGCCAACAGAACAAUCACCAUAUGAGUUCGAAGUUAAAGCGUUGAUAAAGAGUGGUUGGUGGAGUAGCUAUAGUAAUGAUACUCCACAACAUUGCAAGUGGGAUGGUAUAUCAUGUAACAGUGCCAGAAGAAUCACCAAAAUUAACAUUUAUGAUGCGCCCAAUAUUGAGGUUGGAGAUAGUGUUGAAGUUGGCCUGCAUCCACCACAUGAUGCAGCCAAGAAGUAGAGAAGCUGCUCGAACCAUAUAGAUGCUGCUGAAGUUGAUGCAGCUAUUCAAUUUCAGUUUAUUUUGUUACUUCAAUUGAUGUUUUAUAACUUUGUUAAAUUAGAACUAAAUAGUUAAUAUACUUGAUGUAUUUUUGUUGACAUUUGAGCUGAUAAAUCAGCUUUACCAAGUGUGCAAGUUUAGUUUAACAAGUUUCAAUGUAAUCAGUGGUAGUAGGUAAAUGUUUAGAUGAAAUUUGUUUGUUUUUUAUCAGCCUAUUGACUGAUAUAUGUAAUGGCAUUAUGCCUCAAUUGGAAGUUAAUGAAUAUACACAUUUUCUUCUUCAUUUUAUGGGUUUUUACUCAAGCAAAUAGCUCAAGCUUCAUAUCUAAUUUAUGUUGUUUGCUUAACAAGUAUCGGGCCUUCAAGCUCAACUUUCUAUCUUUGUUAUUCAUCUUCAUUCUUAGUUCCAAAAUUUGGUAUCUAGAGCUUAUUUCUUAGUGGAGCUGUCAUCUUUUAUUUCUUAAAACCAUGUCUUCUUCAAGUUUCUCUCAACUGUACCACCAGUCUUCAGUGGUGAAGGCUACCACAUUUGGGUAGUAAAAAUGAAAACCUACUUAUAGGCAUUUAACCUUUGGGAGGUUAUCAAAUCAGAUGUUAAACCAGCACCUCUAAGAACCAAUCCCACAGUGGCUCAGAUCAGACAGCAUGCAGAUGAAAGAACCAAAAGAUACAAGGCCAUGUCAUGUAUCUAAAACAGUGUGUCUGAUGUGAUUUUCACAAGGAUCAUGGCUUGUAAGUCACCAAAGCAGGCAUGAGAUAGGCUGAAGGAGGAGUUUCAAGGGACUGAAAGAACAAGACAACAACAACUAUUGAAUUUGAGAAGGGACUUUGAAAAUUUGAGGAUGAAUGAGGAAGAAAAGUAAAGCAAUACUCAGAUAGAAUUAUGGCUGCAGUGAACUGAAUCAGAUUGCUUGGGAACCAAUUUAGUAAAGCAAGAAUUGUAGAAAUGGUUAUCUCAACCCUGCCUGAAAGAUAUGAGGCCAAAAUCUCAUCUCUUGAAGACUCGAGAGAUCUAACCGGUAUCUCAUUGACUGAGCUGAUCAAUGCUCUUUAUGCUCAAGAGCAAAGGAGAGCCAGUAGACAAGAUGAGCACCAAGAAAGUGCCUUCCAAGCUAAGAGCAGACCUGCGUCGAGCUCCUCUGGUUACAAAGGGAAGAAGAUCUGGUCAAACAAGCCUAGAAUGGAUGGUGCAAGAAGUUAUCCACCUUGUCCACACUAUAGAAGGCUAAGUAGAGGAUUGUUGGUUCAAGCUUGAUGUGCAGUGAAAAGUUUAUAAAAAGAUAGGACAUGUUGAGAAAGUUUGCAGAAACAAAGGCAAGCUGAAACAAAACCAACCUCAACAGCCUAGACUUGAAGCUGAAGUAGCUGAAGAAAACAGUGACCAAGAAGAGCAAUUCUUUGCAGUCUCUUGCUCAUAUGCCAAAAGAAAAGCCAUAAAAGGAUAGCUGAUAAGUAGUGGUUGCACAAACCACAUGACUCCAGAUGCUACUAUCUUCAAGAAUAUUGACAGAAGCUUCAAAACAAGGGUGAAAGUUAGAAAUAGAACUUCAUCAAAUCUAAAGGCUAAGGAGAUGUGCUGAUUGACACACCUAAAGGUACCAAACUUGUUUCAAAUGUCCUAUUUGUGCCUAAAAUUGAUAGAAACUUGCUCAAUAUAGCUCAGCGGCUUAAAAAAAAGGCUAUUCAGUAGUGUUUAAAGGCAAAGAAUGCCUAAUCAGUGAUCCAAGUGGGUCCAAAAUUAUGUUAGUAACCAUGGUUGACAGAAGCUUUAUGGUGGAUUGGAACAAGGGCUCAGAUAGUGGCUACACAGUUACUUUAGAUGAAUCCAAGCUGUGGCACAAGAGGCUAAGACAUGCCAACUACAAGUCAUUGGUUUUGAUGAACAAAUGAAACUUGGUUGAAAAUUUCUCCAAAACAGUUGAGAAAGAAGAAGUCUGUGAAGUAUGUCAGUUAGGGAAGCAAGCUAGAUUGCCAUUCCCUUCAAACAAAGCUUAGAAAGCCUCUAAAAAAUUACAGCUAGUUCACACUGAUGUGUGUGGCCCUAUGAAGACAUAGUCCUUGAAUGGCAGCAAGUAUUUCAUCCUUUUCAUUGAUGACUACUCGAGAUAUUGUUGGAUUUACUUCCUAAAGCACAAGUCAGAAGUGGUCUUAGUGUUUUGGAAGUUCAAGGUCACUAUUGAAAUCAAAAUAGGUUGCAAGCUAAAGACAUUAAGGUCUGACAAUGGUACAGAAUACACUUCAACAAGGUUUCAAGGCUUUUGUGAUGCAGCAGGUAUCAAGAACCAGCUCACCAACACUUACACAACUCAACAGAAUGGUGUUAAUGAAAGAAAGAAUAGAAGCUUGAUGGAUAUUGAAAUAUGUCUGUUGUUUGAAAGGAAUUUGCUUAAGAACUUAUGGGCUGUGUAACAGUCUGGCUUUGACCCUAGUCAGAAUAGUGGUUUUGGGACCACAAAUUUGAGUCAAAAAAUAUUUAAAUAUUAUUUACUAUGUUUAUGAUAAGUGAAUUGACAUGUGUGAAAGUCUAGUGUGAAAAUUUAACUGUUUGUGUGGUUAAUUUGCAAAAAAGACCUAAUCGCGUAAAAUGUAAAAGCUGGGUGCUAGAUGUUAAAGUGCAUAUUUGACUUGGCUUUAUAAUUGUGAGGUUCUUAUGUGUUCAUUUGACCAAAUUUAUGAUUAAAUGACAUUAGUGGACAUUAGUUGUUGGCAUAUUAAUAUUUUAAUGCAAGGGUAAUAUGGUAAAAUGCAUAUUAAAGUAAAUUAUAUGAAAACAAAUUAGAAAAUGAUGCCAUAUUGUGUGUUCAUCCAUUGAAAUUGAAGAAAAAAAGAAAGAAUAAAAGGUUUUAGGGUUUUGGCACAUUGAAAGCUUAAUUCGGAUCAAGAAAAGAGGAAUUCAGAUUUAGACUGAGGGAAGUCUAAGAUUAUAGAGUAGAUGACCCGAGUCAGCAAUUCCGAGUAUAAGGUAAGUUCGUACUUAAAGCAUGAUGUUAAAGUAUAUUUUAAUGUUUUGAUUAUACAUAGAUUGUAUAUAUAUCUGGUUUGGAUGAAUAUGACGAUAAAUCAAUAGUAAUUGGCACUAAGUGUGCGAUUUAAAAUAGCUUCGGCUAUAUGAGGUACUAAGUGUGCGAUACUGACUUAGAUUCGGUUAAUUGAGAUGGCACUAAGUGUGCGAAAUUGUUCUAGCUUCGGUUAACCUAUAUAGCAAUAAGUGUGCGGAUGUUUGAAGUACAAAUAAUUUUUGAGAAGUCUUAAAAUAUUCAAACGAGAGGUGAGGAUGAAAAUGAAUAAGUACAGGAAAUUCAGGUAUGUACGAUACCUAUGUGGUAGAUGAUAUUAUGUUUAUGAAGCUCAUUCUUUUGGUAUGAACAUAUGGAUUGUGUUGAUAUAGAUUUUAUAGAUGAUUUGAGAAUUUGUAAACACGUAAGUAUUAUUGAUUCUUGGUACGAGCUUACUCAGCUUUUGAAAGCUUACUUUGUGUGUGUUUGCAUUGUUUUAUAGAUAUCAAAGCUACUGCAAGCUCGGGGAUCAUCAAGGACCGUCACCAUACUAUCGAGCUUAUUUUGGUACUUUUGAAAAUGUAUAUUUCGAAGUAUGGCAUGUAUAGGCUAGUAGUUGUGGGAUUAUGUUUUGUGAUGUAUUACUUAGCCAUGUGAUUUGGCUAAUGGGUGUGUUUGAACUCAUAGUUGAUAAUAGCUUUUGGUAUGUGAUGAUAGUUUGCAUUUGUGGUAUAUUGUAGUUGGAUAAAGAAGAUGGUAAGUUUGAUAAGUUCAUGGCAUGAGAUUGAAUGAUGUUUUUGAUAUAAUCUUACAUUAUAUUUUGGUAUGACUUGGUAAGGUUUAUGAGUAUGGAUGACUAUUAUAUGAUAUGAAUGGUUUAUGUUUCGGUGUUGAAUUUGGCUGAAAUGGUGGUGCAAAUAUGCUUGUUUCCUUGCUUGUAGGUUCACCCAAAUUGGGGUGGCAAUUUGGCUAUUCAAAUGGCCUAUUUUUGUCCACACGGGUAGAGACACGGGCGUGUGCCUCAGCCGUGUGUGACACACGACUAUGUUGCACUAUCGUGUGUCCCCUAAGGUACCCUACAAUUGUAAUUCAGGCCUGAACACGGCCAAAGCACACCGACGUGUGGCUAGCCGUGUGGCCCAAGUCAAGCUCGACCACGGACAAGGUACACGGGCGUGUCUUGUAGCCGUGUGGGCAAGUCAGUAGCUAUGCCCUGUUUUGCCACGGCUUAGACACACAGACGUGUCUAAGGCCGUGUGAGGCACACGGUCUAUUCAUACUGGCAUGUGACUUUUUAAAAGUAAAAAAAAAUUAUAAGCUCUGAAACUUUUAUAUGUUAUCAAUUUGGUCCUGAAUGCAUGUUUAAGCAUUGUAUACUCAUUUUUAUGUGAAUAAUGAAUGUGAAUGAAUGGUUUUUUUAGUAAUGAGAUGAUAUUUGAUGUUUGGUGGUUCUGAUAUUAGUUACAAGUUCGGCAAUGCCUCUUAACCUAUUCCGGUUAUUGUUACGGGUUAGGGGUGUUACAUUUAAUAGGUAUCAGAGCUAUGGUUUAGUCAGUUCUAGGACUUCUAUAGUGUUUGUGAGUCUAGCUAUACAUACCAUAUUUAUGAACUGCGAUAGUGUGAUGAAUCCUGACACUAAAAUGUGCUUUUAUAUAGCAAUGGAUCCCAAAAAAGCUAUGGCAGACGAUGUUGAAAGUAAUGUGCCUGCUCCCGUGCAAGGGAUGGUGCAUACUGAUUCUCGACCGGCUACGAGUAGCCGUGAUGGUGAGGCUAAAAAAGCCUUCUAUCAGAUGAUAAAUGAUUGGUUCACUCAAUAUAUUAGAACCAAUCCAGAGUACAACAACCUCCACCCCCGGUUAAUCCUCCUCAAACUCUUGUUAUGCCACCAGUGAAUCCGGUACAGUUAAGUAGACCACCAGUUGAUAAGAUUAGAAAAUAUGAUGCUGAAAAGUUCUGAGCUACAAUAAGUGAUGAUGCUGAAAAAGCCAAAUUCUAGUUAGAGAAUACAAUAAAAGUGUUUGAUGAGUUUUCUUUGAGUCCAAAUGAAAGCAUAAAAUGUGUCGUUUCACCUCUGAGAGAUACGGCGUACCAUUGGUGGAAAACUUUGACGUCUGUGGUUUCGAAUGAAUGAGUUAUGUGGGAUUUCUUUCAAGCUGAAUUCCAAAAUAAAUAUUUUAGUGAGAGAUUCAUUGAUCAGAAAAGCAAAGAGUUUCUCGAGCUUAAACAAGGUCGUAUGUCUGUCACAGAAUACGAGCGGGAAUUUGUAAGGUUGAGUCAGUAUGCCCAUGAAUGUGUAUCCUCGGAAGCAAUAAUGUACAAGAGAUUUGAAGAUGGUUUGAAUGAGGGUAUUCAUUUGUUAGUUAGGAUUUUAGAAAUCAAAGAGUUUGUGGUGCUUGUUGAACGAGCAUGUAAAGCUGAAGAUCUUGGAAAAGAGAAAAGAAAAUCUGAUUUUGAAGAUAGAGAGGUACAAAAGAGAUCAUAAAGGUAAAUCAUUUCAAUCUGGAUCAAAGAAGUUUAGAGAUGAUAGUAAUCGUUCAAAGACUAUUGUGGGACAUUCGAAUAGAGAUCAUGCUAGAUCGCAACCAAAUUUCAAAUCUUCAGCUACGUCUAUUGCCAGUGUUGAUAAUGCAAAGAAUGAAAAGCCUGAGUGUGAUCAUUGUGGAAGACGACAUUUUGGUGAAUGCUGGGGAAAAAGUAAUAACCGAGCUUGUUAUAGUUGUGGUUCAAGAAAUCAUUUUAUAAAAGAUUGCCCAGAUUUAGCUGAAAAAGAUAAUGUUCAGAAUUAGAGGCAGAGUGGUAACACUUCUCAUGGUAGACCUCUCAGAAAUUCGGGAAAUGUAAGCAGUAGUCAAAGAGGAACGAAAGACAUAGUUGUUAGAUCUAAGGCUCGUGCAUCUGCUAGAGCCUAUGCUAUCUGAGCUCACGAGGAAGCUUCAUCGCCAGAUGUGAUUACGGGUACAUUUACCUUCUAUGAUACUUAUGUGAUUGCUUUGAUAGAUCUUGGAUCAACAUAUUCGUAUAUAUGUAUGAACCUAGUGAAUAGUAAGACUUUACCUAUAGAGUCUACUAAAUUUGUAAUUAGAGUUUCAAACUCCCUAGGCAGAUGUGUUCUGGUUGAUAAAGUAUGUAAGAAUUGUCCAUUAAUGUUUCGAAACACUUGUUUUACGACUAAUCUGAUGCUGUUACCUUUUGAUGAGUUUGAUAUAUUUCUGGGUAUGGAUUAGUUAACUUUGCAUGAUGCUGUGGUGAACUGCAAACGGAAAACUAUUGAUUUAAGAUGCAAGAAUGGUGAAAUAGUUAGAAUUGAAUCUAGUGAUUUGAAUGGAUUGCCUGCAGUGAUAUCUUCAAUGAAAGCUUUGAGUAUUGUGAGAAAGGGUUGUGAAACCUAUUUUGCUUAUGUGAUUGAUUCGAGAGUGUCAGAAAAGAAAGUUGAAUCAGUUCCUUUUAUGUGUGAAUUCCCUGAUGUAUUUCCUAAAGAACUUUCGGGAGUACCUCCGGUUAGAGAAGUUGAAUUUGGUAUUGAAUUGGUACCUGGUACUCCUUCGAUUUCGAUAGCUUCGUACAAAAUGGCUCGGGCUGAACUAAAAGAAUUAAAGUCUCAGUUAUAAGAGUUGACCGAUAGAGGGUUUGCUAGAUCGAGAUUUUUGCCUUGGGGUGCUCCGGUUCUAUUUGUGAAAAAGAAGGAUGGUACAAUGAGAAUGUGUAUUAAAUAUCAUCAAUUGAAUAAAGUGACCAUCAAGAAUAAAUAUCCUCUACCCCGAAUUGAUGAUUUGUUUGAUUAGUGGAAAGGAGCUGCUGUGUUUUCGAAAUUAGAUUUGAGAUCAGGCUAUUAUCAGUUGUGAGUGAAAGACUUAGAUAUUCUGAAAACAACUUUCCAAACAAGGCAUGGCCACUAUGAAUUUUUAGUUAUGCCUUUCAGAUUGACUAAUACACCUGCGAUCUUUGUGGAUUUGAUGAAUAGAAUUUCCAGACCAUAUUUAGAUCAAUUUUUUGUUGUAUUCAUUGAUGACAUAUUGAUUUAUUCACGAGAUGAAUCUGAACAUGUCGAGCAUUUGAGAUUAGUGCUACAGAUUCUGCGAGAUAAACAGUUGUAUGCGAAGUUCAGUAAAUGUGAAUUCUAGUUGUGAGAAGUGGGUUUUCUGGGUCAUAUUGUAUCAGCAUCUAGUAUCCAAGUUGAUCCGAGCAAAAUUUCAGCUAUUUUGGAUUGGAAACCUCCGAGGAAUGUCUCUGAAGUCUAUAGUUUUCUGGGACUUACUGGUUAUUAUAGAAGAUUUGUGAAAGGUUUUUCGAUGAUUGCGACUCCGUUGACAAAAUUGGUACAGAAAGAUGUGAAGUUUGAGUGGUCCGAAAAGUGUCAGAACAACUUUAAUUAGUUGAAAACCUUGUUGACUAAAGCUCCGGUAUUGGUACAACCUGAAUCGGGUAAAGAAUUUGUGAUUUACAGUGAUGCUUCAUUGAUUGGUCUAGGAUGUGUUCUAAUGCAAGAAUGAAAAGUCAUUGCUUAUGCUUCAAGACAGUUGCAGUCGCACGAAAAAAACUAUCCAUCGCACGAUCUUGAAUUAUCUGCAAUUGUUUUUGCUUUAAAGAUUUGGCGCCAUUACUUGUUCGGUGAGAAAUGUGACAUGUAUUUUGAUCAUAAGAGUUUGAAGUAUUUAAUGACUCAGAAAGAUCUGAGUUUGAGAUAGAGAAGAUGGUUAAAACUGCUAAAAGACUACGAACUUGUGAUUGAUUAUCAUUUAGGAAAAACAAAUGUUGCUGCUGAUGCCUUGAGUCAAAAAUCAUUUUUUACUUUGCUUGCGAUAAAUGCUCAUUUGGUUCUGUCAGAUGAUGAUUCAGUUUUAGUUGAAUUGAAAGCGAGACCUUUGUUCUUACAGUAGAUUAUUGAAGCUCGGAAGAUUGAUAAUGAGAUUCUAGCUAAAUGAGCUCAGUAUGAUGUAUAAUCUGACUCAGAAUUCAGAAUUAAUAAAGAUGAUUGCUUGAGAUUCUGAGAUCGAAUUUGUGUUCCUAGAAAUCCAGAGUUAAUUCAAAUGAUUUUGAGUGAAGCUCACAGUAGUCGUUUAUCUGCGCAUCCAAGUAGUACGAAAAUAUAUAAUGAUCUGAAACAACAUUUUUGGUGGUCCAGAAUGAAAAGAGAUAUCUCUAAUUUCAUUUCUAAAUGUUUGAUCUGUCAGCAAGUUAAAGCUGAAUUUCAGAUGCCAUCAGGUUUGUUACAACUGAUUAUGGUUCCAGAGUGGAAAUGGGAUCGAGUGACAAUGGAUUUUGUUUCAGGUUUGCCCCUGUCUCUGAGAAAGAAAGAUGCAAUUUGGGUUGUAGUUGAUUGAUUAAUGAAAUCAGCUCAUUUUAUUCCGAUUUGAUCCGAUUACUCACUUGAUAAAUUAGCUGAGUUAUACAUUUCUGAUAUCGUGAGAUUGCAUGGUGUGCCAUUGUCUAUAGUGUCAGACAGAGACCCGAGAUUUACAUCACGAUUCUAGAAGAAGCUGCAAGACGCUCUGGGUACUAAAUUGCACUUUAGUAUUGCUUUUCAUCUGCAAACUGACGGUCAAUCCGAGUAGAUUAUUCAGAUACUUGAGGAUAUAUUGAGAUGUUGCAUUCUUGAGUUUGAAGGUACGUGGGAACAAUAUCUGCCCUUGAUUGAAUUUGCUUAUAAUAACAGUUUUCAGUCAAGCAUCAAAAUGGCACCCUAUGAAGCUUUAUAUGGUCUCAAAUUCCGUGCACCUUUGUAUUGGACUGAGCAUAGCGAAAAUAAGAUUCACGAGGUUGAUUUGAUAAAAGAGACUGAACAGAAAGUAAAAGAGAUCCGAGAUAGUAUAAAAGCAGCUUCUGAUCGUCAAAAAUCUUAUGCAGAUUUGAAAAGAAAAGACAUUAAAUUUGAGAUCGGCGAUAAUGUGUUUUUAAAAGUGUCUCCGAGGAAGAAACUGCUUCAGUUUUGUAGAAAAGGCAAAUUGAGUCUGAGGCUCAUCGGGCCAUAUGAAAGAGCGUAUUGGGCUGGUUACGUAUAGAUUAUUAUUGCCACUAGAGCUAGAAAAGAUUCAUAAUGUGUUUCACGUAUCGAUGCUUCGACGAUACAGAUCUGAUCCUUCAUAUGUUAUUCCACCGUCUAAGAUAGAGAUUCAGUCUGAUAUGACUUACGAAGAAAGGCCAAUUCGUAUUUUAGCUCGCGAGGUUAAAGAGCUGUGAAAAAAGAAAUUCCGUUAGUAAAAAUGAUAUGGCAUCGACAUGAUAUUGAAAAAGCCACGUGGGAACCUGAAGAUGCUAUGAGACAGCAAUAUCCAAAUCUGUUUAAUGGUAUGAUUUUCAGGGACGAAAAUCACUAAGGGGGAGAAUUGUAACAGUCUGAUUUUGACCCUAGUCAGAAUUGUGGUUUUGAGACCACAAAUUUGAGUCAAAAAAAUAUUUAAAUAUUAUUUUCUAUGUUUAUGAUAAGUGAAUUGACAUGUGUGAAAGUCUAGUGUAAAAAUUUAACUGUUUGUGUAUUUAAUUUGUAAAAUGUAAAAGCUAUGUGCUAGAUGUUAAAAGUGCUUAUUUGACUUAGCUUUAUAAUUGUGAGGUCUUUAUGUGGUUAUUUGACCAAAUUUAUGAUUAAAUGACAUUAGUGGACAUUAUUUGUUGGCAUAUUAAUGUUUUAAUGCAAGGGUAAUAUGGUAAAAUGCAUAUUAAAGUAAAUUAUAUGAAAACAAAUUAGAAAAUGAUGCCAUAUUAUAUGUUCGUCCACUGAAAUUGAAGAACAAAAGAAAGAAUAAAAUAUUUUCGAGUUUUGGCACAUUAGAAGCUUAAUUCGGAUCAAGAAAAGAGGAAUUCAAAUUUGGAUCGAGGGAAGUCGAAGAUUAUAGAGUAGACGACCCGAGUUGACAAUUCUGAGUACGAGGUAAGUUCGUACUUAAAGCAUGAUGUUAAAGUAUAUUUUGAUGUUUUGAUUAUACAUAGAUUGUAUAUAUAUCUGGUUUGGAUGAAUACGACGAUAAAUCAAUAGUAAGUGUGCGAUUUAAAAUAGCUUCGGCUAUAUGAGGCACUAAGUGUGCGAUACCGACUUAGCUUCGGUUAAUUGAGAUGGCACUACAUGUGCGAAAUCGUUCUAGCUUCGGGUAACCUUUAUAGCACUAAGUGUGCAGAUGUUUGAAGUACAAAUAAUUUACGGGAAGUCUUAAAAUAUUCAAAUGAGAGGUGCGAAUGAAAAUGAAUAAAUACGGGAAAUUUAGGUAUGUACGAUGCCUAUGUGGUAGAUGAUAUUAUAGUUAUGAAGCUCAUUGUUUUGGUAUGAACAUAUGGAUUGUGUUGAUAUAGAUUUUAUAAAUGAUUUGAGAAGUUGUAAACACGUAAGUAUUGAUGAUUCUUGGUACGAGCUUACUAAGCUUUUGAAAGCUUACUUUGUGUGUGUUUGCAUUGUUUUAUAGAUAUCAAAGCUACUGCAAGCUCGAGGAUCAUCAAGGACCGUCACCACACUAUCGACGUCAUUUUGGUACUUUUGAAAAUGUAUAUUUCGAAGUAUGGCAUGUAUAAGCUAGUAGUUAUGGGAUUAUGUUUUGUGAUGUAUUACUUAGCCAUGUAAUUUGGCUAAUGGGUGUGUUUGAACACAUAGUUGAUAAUGGUUUUUGGUAUGUGAUGAUAGUUUGCAUUUGUGGUAUAUUGUAGUUGGAUAAAGAAGAUGGUAAGUUUGAUAAGUUUAUGGCAUGAGAAUAAAUGAUGUUUUUGAUAUGAUCUUACCUUAUAUUUUGGUAUGAAUUGGUAAGGUUUUUAAGUAUGGAUUGGUAACUAUUAUUUAUAUGAAUGGUUUAUGUUUUGGUGUUGAAUUUGGCUAAAAUGGUGGUGCAAAUAUGCUUGUUUCCUUGCUUGUAGGUUCACCCAAAUUGGGGUGGCAAUUUGGUUAUUCAAGUGGCUUAUUUUUGUCCACACGGGCAGAGACACAUGCAUGUGCCUCAGCCGUGUGCGACACUCAACUAUGUUGCACGGUCAUGUGUCCCUUAGGGUACCCUACAAUUGUAAGUCAAGCCCGAACACGGCCAAAGCACACGGACGUGUGGCUAGCCGUGUGGCCCAAGUCAGGCUCAACCACGGCCAAGGCACACGGGCAUGUCUUGUAACCGUGUGGGCAAGUCAGUAGCUAUGCCUUGUUGUGCCACGGCUUAGAUACACGAGUGUGUCUAAGGCCGUGUGAGGCACACGGUCUGUUCACAUAGGCAUGUGACUUUUUAAAAGUAGAAAAAUUUUAUAAGUUCUGAAACUUUUAUAUGUUAUCAAUUUAGUCCUGAAUGCAUGUUUAAGCAUUGUAUACUCGUUUUCAUGUGAAUAAUGAAUGUGAAUGAAUGAUUUUUUUUAGUAAUGAGAUGAUAUUUGAUGUUUGGUGGUUCUGGUAUGAGUUAAAAGUUCGGUAAUGCCUCUUAACCUAUUCUGACGACGAUUACGGGUUAGGGUUGUUAUAGGCUGAUGUAGUUAAUACUGUUGUAUAUCUCCAAAAGAGCCUACCAACCAAGACUUUAGUUUAGAAAACUCCAUUUGAGGCCUGGCUUAGGUUCAAACCAUCACUGGCUCAACCUACCAUAUUGGUGGGCUGUAGUAAUGUCAAGUAGGGCUAAAUGAUCUUAAAUCCUUCUUCCAACAGAUUGUUUGUGAGUAGGGACGUUGUAUUUGAUUAGAAAUCAAGUUGGAAUUAGGAUAAAGCUAAAGACCUGGUGACAGAUCAGAUUGAAGCUGAUCAAAAUGAUGCUAAAAUGGACAUUAAUGAUAUGCUAGUUAGAGGAACCGAAUCAUUAGUUGUGAUAUAUGCAAGAGCAGAUGUAAUAAUUGUUGAACCAAGUUUUUUUGAAGAGGCUGAAGCUCAUCAAGGUUGGAAACAGGCCAUGCUCAAUGACAUGAGCAUGAUUGACAAGAAUCAAACCUGACAACUAGUUGCAAGACCAGAUCAUAGGAAGGCCAUUGGAGUGAAGUGGUUGUUUCCAGACAAGCACAAUGCUGAUGAAAUUCUGAACAAGCUGAAAGCAAGGCUGGUAGUAAAAGGAUUCAGUCAAAAGUAUGGUAUAGAUUACUUUGAAACCUUUGCACCAGUGGCCAGACUUAACAUAAUCAAGCUGCUAGUUGCCUUGGCUGCACAUAAGCAGUGGAAAAUACAUCAACUAGAUGUAAAAUCAGCAUUUCUAAAUGGUUUUCUUGAUGAUGAGAUAUAUGUUGAGCAGCUUGAAGGAUUCAAUAUUGUUGGUGAAGAGGAUAAAGUAUACAAGCUGAAGAAGGCCUUGUAUAGCUUAAAACAGGCACCAAUAGCUUGGUAUGACAGGAUCAACAGCUAUCUAGCUAGCUUUGUAAUGAUCCGGUUUUGACCCUAGUUAGAAUAGUGAUUUCGGGACCAUAAAUCCGAGUUAGAAAAAUAUUUUAAUAUUAUUUUUCGUGUCUAUGAUAAGUGAGUCGACAUGUGUGAAAGUCUCGUGUGAAAAUUUAACUGUUUGUGUGUUUAAUUUGUAAAAAUUACCAAAUCGCGUAAAAUGUAAAAGUUGUGUGCUAGGUGUUAAAGUGCUUAUUGGAAUUGGCUUUCUAAAGUAAAGGUCCUUAUGUGGUUAUUUGACCAUUGGAAGUUUGAAUGGACAUAAAAAGGCAUGUGUUAGGCGAAUGAAUAAUUUUAUAAUAAAGGGUAAAAUAGGUAUUUGGUUAAUAUGUUAUAUUAAAUAAAACUAAAGUUAAAAAUUAGACCAUUAUCAUUCGUGCUUACCGAAAAUCAAAGAAAAGAGAUGAAAUAAAAGCCUUUAGGGUUUCGGGUAGGAGAUUUGAUAAUUAAGGUAUGAGUUUUGUUCGGUUUUUGAUGAUUUUUACAUUUUUGAGAUCGUUGCUUUGUGUUUUAUAAAGCCUAUGCUUAAAUUUGAGAAAUUGAUGAUGAUUUUGAAAUAUGCCAUGGAUGAAUUCAUGAGUUUUGUGUUGUUAAAUGGUGAAAUAUGGAAGCUUGAUGUUGGGUUUAAAUGUUUUGUUUUUGGAUUUUUGAUGAAAUUGAGUAAUUUGGGCUAAAAUGUGGAAAUGUUAUUUUACGGGACUUAAAUGUGAAAUAAAUGAAAUGUGUGGACUUCUAUGAAAGCCAUGAAAAUUCAGCUAAGCUUGUGUGCAAACAAAUUUUGUGUAUUUUGUGAAUUUGUAAAAUAGGGACUAAAGUGUCGAAACGUGAAAAUGUGAGGGCUAGUUUGUAAAAUGCCUUAAAUAUGUGUUUAUGGAUUGAAUUGAAUUAAUUGGUGAAUAAAAGGGUUAAAUUUGAAAACAAAUAGAUCAAGAAAGGAGGAAUUCGGACUUAGAUCGAGGAAAAUCGAAGGUUAUCAAGUAGACAGUCCGAGUCGACAAAAUUCGAGUACGAGGUAAGUUCGUACUUAAAAUAUGAUGUUAAGUAAGCUUUGAUGCCUUUAUUAUACAUGAGUGGUACAUAAUUGAAUUGGUUAAUAUGAUGAUGAAUCGGAAGUUUUGGCACUAAGUGUGCGAUUUAAACUAGCUUUGGCUACUAAAGGCACUAAGUGUGCGAUACCGACUUAGUUUCGGCUAGCUGAAAGAUGGCACUAAGUGUGCGGAAUCACUCUAGCUUCAGCUAAUCUUUAAGCACUAAGUGUGCGGAUAAUUAAGCAUUGGUGAUCAUUGGAAUGUCCUAAAGUAUUCGAGCAAGAGGUGAGAUUGAAAACUAAUGAAUAUGAAAAUGAUUGGGUAAGUAUAAUACCUAUGUGGUAGAUGAUAUUGUGUUUAUAAAGCUCAUUGAAUUGGUAAAGAUUUAUGGAUAGUGUUGGUAUAGAUUUGAUAAAUGAAUUAAGAAAUUGUAAUACUUAUGUGUUGAUGAUUUAUUUUAUAUAUAUUGUGGAUAAUUUUAGUACGAGCUUACUAAGUUUUUGAAAGGUUACUUUGUGUCUUUUUAUAUUGUUUUAUAGAUAUCGAAGCUACUGCAAGUUUGGGGAUCGUCAAGGAUUGUCACCACACUAUCGAACCUCAUUUUGGGUACUUUUGAAAAUGUAUAUAUUUAAAGUAUGGCAUGUAUAGGCUAGUAGUUGUGGAAGUAUGUUUUGUAAUGUAUAUACUUAGCCAUGUGAUUUGACUAAUUUGUGUUUGAACCCAUAGUUGAUAAUGGUUUAUGAUAUGUGAUGUUAAUUUGCAAUUGUGGUAUGUUUAGUUGGAUAAAGAAAAUGGUAAGCUUGGUGAGUUCAUGGUAUGAAAUUGAAUGAUGAUUUUGAUAUAAUCUUACAUUAUGUUUUAGUAUAAAUAGGUAAGGUUUAUAAGUAUGUAAAUGGUUGAUAAUAUUAUGGUAUGAAUAAUGUGUUUUUUAGCAUAAAAAUUGGUUGAUUGGAUUGUACAUAUAAGUUUGAUUCAUUGCUUGUAGGUUGACUCAAAAAGGGAUGGCAAGUUGGCUUAAACCAAGCCUGCAUUGUGCCGCAUGGUCCGGGAACACGGGGGUACCUUGUGGCCGUGUAUGCAAAGCAGUACCCUCUUAAGAUCACACGACCAUAGCACAUAGGCGUGUCAUAUAGCCGUGGGCUUAUGUCAGUAGCUAGCUAAGAACCACACGGCCAUAGCACAUGGGGGUGUUUGUUGGCCGUGGGUGAAAGUCAAUAUGUAUGCUCUAUUUUGACACGGCUAGAUUACAUGGGUAUGUCUGGUGCCCGUGUAAGGUACACGGCCUGGUUACACAGGCGUGUGAGCUCUAUAGAAUUGAAAAAUUUUACUAAGUUCUAAAAAUUUUGAAUGUGUUCAUUUUAGUCCCGAUCUAUUCCUAAUGCAUGUUUAAGGUCCCGUUGACCUAAGAAAGGGACUUUAUGUUGAUGUUUGAUUAUGAUGCUAUGAUGUUGUAAAAUAAAUGCGAAAUGUUGCGAUAUGUUCGGUAAUGCCUCUUAACCCUAGUUCGGCGAUGGAAACAAGUUAGGGGUGUCACAUUUAGUUGGUAUCAGAGCUAUGGUUUAGUAGAUUCUAGGACUACCAUAGUGUAUGUGAGUCUAGCUAUACAUGCCAUAUAUUUGAAACUGCGAUAGUGUGAUGAAUCCUGACAUUGAAAUGUUUUUUUAUUUAGCAAUGGAUCCCGAUAGAGCUGUAGAUGACGAUGUUGAAAGCAAUGCACCUGCUCUCACGCAAGGGACUGUGCAAGCUGAUUCUCAACCGGCUACGAGUACCCAUGAUGGUGAGGCUAAGCAAGUCUUCUAUCAAAUGAUGAAUGAUUGGUUCACUUAGUAUAUUAGAACCAAUUAGGCAGUACAACAACCUCUUUCCUCGGUUAAUCCUACUCAAACUCCUAUUAUGCCACGAAUGAAUCCGGUACAGUUUAGUAGACCACUAGUUGGUAAGAUUAGAAAAUAUGGGGCUGAAUAGUUCAGAGCUACAACAAGUGAUGAUGCUGAAAAAGCUAAGUUCUAGUUAGAGAAUAUAAUAAGAGUGUUUGAUGAGUUGUCUUUGAAUCCUGAUGAAUGCAUGAAAUGUGUUGUUUCACUUUUAAGAGACACGACGUAUCAUUGGUGGAAGACUUUGACAUUCGUGGUUCCGAGUGAUCGAGUUACUUGGGAUUUCUUCCAAGUUGAAUUUUGGAAGAACUAUAUCAGUCAAAGAUUCAUUGAUCAGAAACGCAAAGAGUUUCUUGAGCUUAAACAAGGCCAUAUGUCUAUCACAAAAUACGAGCGAGAAUUUGUAAGGUUGAGUCAGUAUGCCCGCGAAUGUGUAUCUUUGGAAGCAAUAAUGUGUAAGAGAUUUAAAGACAGUUUGAAUGAAUAUAUUCGUUUUCUAGUUGGGAUAAUAGAAAUCUAAAAAUUCGUGGUGCUUGUUGAACGAGCAUGUAAAGUGGAAGAUCUUGGGAAAGGGAAAAGAAAGGCUGAUUUUGAAGCUAGAGAGGUACGAAAGAGAUCAUCGGGCAAUUCAUUUCAAUCUGGAUCCAAGAAGUUUAGAGAUGAUAGUAGUCGUUCAAAGGUUAGUGUAGGACAUUCGAACAGGGAUCGUGUUAGAUUGCAAUUGAAUUAUAAAUCUUCAGCCACGUCUGUUGCUAGUGUUGAUAAUGCAAAGAAUGAAAGGCCUGAAUGUGAGCAAUAUGGAAGACGACACUUUGGUGAAUGCUGGGGAAAAAGUAAUAACCGAGCUUGUUAUAGUUGUGGUUCUAGAAAUCAUUUUAUAAAUGAUUGCCCAGAUUUAGUUGAAAAAGAUAAUGAACAGAAGCUAAGGCAGGGUGGUAAUGUUUCUCGUGGUAGUUCUCCCAGAAAUUCAGGAAAUGUAAACGGUGGUCAAAGAGGAACAAAAGACACAGUUGUAAGAUCUGAGGCUCGUGCACCUGCCAAGCCUAUGCUAUUCGAGCUCGAGAGAAAGCUUCAUCACCAGAUGUGAUUACGGGUAUAUUUACUCUUUAUGAUACUUUUGUGAUUGCUUUGAUAGAUCUUGGAUCAACAGAUUCAUAUAUAUGUAUGAACUUAGUGAACAGUAAGACUUUGCCUGUAGAGUCUAUUGAAUUUGUAAUUAGAGUUUCGAACCCCCUAGGCAGAUGUGUUCUAAUUGAUAAAGUCUGCAAGAAUUGUCCAUUUAAUUUUGAGACAAUUGUUUUCCAGGUGAUUUGAUGCUGUUGCCUUUUGAUAAGUUUGAUAUAAUUCUGGGUAUAGAUUGGUUAACUUUGCAUGAUGCUGUGGUAAACUGUAAAUGAAAAACUAUUGAUUUGAGAUGCAAGAAUAAUGAAAUAGUCAGAAGUGAAUCUAGCUAUUUGAAUGGAUUAUCUGCUGUAAUAUCUUCUAUGAAAGCAUUGAGUAUUGUGAGAAAGGGUUGUGAAGUUUAUUUUGCAUAUGUGAUUGAUUCAAAUGUGUCAGAAAAGAAAGUUGUAUCUGUACCUGUUGUCUGUGAGUUCCCUGAUGUGUUUCUUGAAGAACUUCCGGGAUUACCUCCAGUUAGGGAAGUAGAAUUUCACAUUGAAUUAGUACCUGGUACUACUCCGAUUUUGAUAGUUCUGUACCGAAUGGCUCCGACCAAGCUAAAAGAACUAAAGUCUCAGUUACAAAAGUUGAUCGAUCGAGGGUUUGCUAGACCGAGUUUCUCGCCUUGGGGUACCCCAGUUUUAUUUGUGAAAAAGAAAGAUGGUACGAUGAGAAUGUGUAUAUAUUAUCAUUAGUUGAAUAAAGUGACUGUAAAAAAUAAGUAUCCCCUGCCCCAAAUUGAUGAUUUGUUUGAUCAGUUAAAAGAAGAUAUUGUGUUUUCGAAAAUAGAUUUGAGAUCAGGUUAUUAUCAGCUGCGAGUGAAAGACUCAGAUAUUCCGAAGACUACUUUUAGAACGAGGUACGGGCAUUAUGAAUUCUUAAUUAUGCCUUUUGGAUUGACUAAUGCACCUGCUAUCUUUAUGGAUUUAAUGAAUAGAAUCUUUAGACCGUAUUUAGAUCAAUUUGUUGUAGUAUUCAUUAAUGAUAUAUUGAUUUAUUCACGUGAUGAAUUUGAGCAUGCCGAGCAUUUGAGAAUAGUGCUACAGACUUUGCGAGAUAAACAAUUGUAUGCAAAGUUCAGUAUAUGUGAGUUUUGGUUGAAAGAAGUUGUUUUUUGGGUCAUAUUGUAUCAGCAUCUGGUAUCCGAGUUGAUCCGAGCAAAAUUUCAGCUAUUUUGGAUUGGAAACCUCUGAGAAAUGUUUCAGAAGUCCGCAAUUUCCUGGGACUUGCUGCUUACUAUAGAAGAUUUGUAAAAGGAUUCUCGAUGAUUGCGACUCCGUUGACAAAACUACUCCAGAAAUAUGUGAAGUUUGAGUGGUCUGGAAAAUGUCAAAACAGCUUUGAUCAGUUGCAAGCCUUGUUGACUGAAGCUCUGGUGUUGGUACAACCUGAAUCAGGUAAAGAAUUUUUGAUUUAUAGUGAUGCCUCGUUGAUUGGGUUGGGAUGUGUUCUAAUGCAAGAAGAAAAAGUCGCUGCUUAUGCUUCGAGAUAGUUAAAACCGCACGAAAAGAACUAUCCGACGCACGAUCUUGAGUUAGCUGCGAUUGUGUUUGCCCUAAAUAUUUGGCGCCAUUACUUGUUCGGAGAGAAAUGUCAUGCGUAUUCUAAUCAUAAAAGUUUAAAGUAUUUAAUGACGCAAAAAAAAUUGAAUUUGCGACAGAGAAGAUGGUUAGAACUGCUAAAAGACUACGAACUUAUGAUUGAUUAUCACCCAAGAAAAGCAACUGUUGUUGCGGAUGCUUUGAGUCAAAAAUUGUUAUUUGCUCUGUGUGCGAGAAAUGCUCAUUUGGUUUUAUCUGAUAAUGGUUUAGUUUUAGCUGAAUUAAAAGUAAGACCCUUGUUCUUACAGCAGAUUAUCGAAGCUCAAAAGGUUGAUAAUGAAUUAAUAGCAAAACAAGCUCAGUGUGAUUCUAAAUUCUGAGUUGAUGUUGAUGAUUGUUUGAUAUUCAUAAACGGACUUUGUGUUUCGAGAAAUCUAGAGUUAAUUCGGACGAUUUUGAGUGAAGCCCAUAGUAGUCGGUUAUCUGUGUAUCCGGGCAGUACUAAAAUGUAUAAUGACUUGAAACAACAUUAUUGGUGGUCCAAAAUAAAAAGAGAUAUCUCUAAAUUUGUUUCUAAAUGUUUGAUCUGUCAGCAAGUUAAAGCUGAGCAUCAAGUGCCAUUUGGAUUGUUACAACCGAUUAUUGUUCCAAAGUGGAAAUGGGAUCGAGUGACCAUGGACUUUGUGUCGGGUUUACCUCUAUCUCUGAGAAAGAAAGACGCAAUUUGCGUUGUAGUUGAUCAAUUGACAAAAUCAGCCCAUUUUAUUCCGAUUCGAUCUGAUUAUUUGCUUAAUAAAUUAACUGAGUUAUACAUUUCUGAUAUAGAGAGAUUGCAUGGUGUGCCAUUGUCUAUAGUGUCAGACAGAAAUCCGAGAUUCACAUCAAGAUUUUGGACGAAGUUACAAGAUGCUCUGGGUACUAAAUUGUAUUUUAGCAUUGCUUUUUAUCUGCAAACAGAUGGUCAAUCUGAACGGAUUAUUUAGAUACUCGAGGAUAUGUUGACAUGUUGCAUUCUUGAAUUUGAAGGUACAUGGGAACAAUACUUACCUUUGAUUGAAUUUUCUUAUAAUAACAGUUUUCAGUCAAGCAUCAAAAUGGCACCACACGAAGCUUUAUAUGGUGGCAAAUGCCAUACACCUUUGUAUUGGACCGAGCUUAGCGACAGUAACAUACACGGGGUUGAUUUGAUAAAAGAAACUGAAUAGAAAGUGGAAGUGAUCCGAGAUAGUUUGAAAGCAACUUCUGAUCGUUAGAAAUCAUAUGCAGAUUUGAAAAGAAAAGACAUUGAAUUUGAAAUCGGUGAUAAAAUGUUUUUGAAAGUGUCUCCGUGGAAGAAAGUGCUUCGGUUUGGUAGAAAAGGCAAAUUGACUCUGGGGGUCAUUAGACCGUAUGAAAUAAUCGAGCGUAUUGAGCCGAUUGCGUAUAGAUUGUUGUUGCCACCAGAGUUAGAAAAGAUUCAUAAUGUGUGCUUCGAUGAUACAGAUCCGAUCCUUGUAUGUAAUUCCUUCGUCUGAGAUCCAAAUUCAGUCUGAUAUAACUUACGAAGAAAAGCUGAUCUGAAUCUUAGCACGAGAGGUUAAAGAGUUACGAAAUAAGAAAAUUUAGUUAGUUAAAGUGAUGUGGCAUCAACAUGGUGUUGAAGAGGCCACGUGGGAGCCUGAAGAUGCUAUGAAACAACAAUAUCCGAAUUUGUUUAAUAGUAAGAUUUUUGGGGACGAAAAUCCCUAAGGGGGAGAAUUGUAAUAGUUCGGUUUUGACCCUAGUUGGAAUAGUGGUUUCAGGACCACAAAUCUGAGUUAGAAAAGUAUUUUAAUGUUAUUUUUCGCGUCUAUGAUAAGUGAAUUGACAUGUGUGAAAGUCUCGUGUGAAAAUUUAGCUGUUUGUGUGUUUAAUUUGCAAAAAGGACCAAAUCGCGUAAAAUGUAAAAGAUAUGUGCUAGAUGUUAAAGUACUUAUUGGAAUUGGCUUUCUAAAGUAGAGGUCCUUAUGUGGUUAUUUGAUAAUUGGAAGUUUGAAUGAACAUAAAACAACAUGUGUUAGGUGAAUGAAUAAUAUUAUAAUAAAGGGUAAAAUAGGUAUUUGAUUAAUAUGUUAUAUUAAAUAAAAAUAAAGUUAAAAAUUAGACCAUUAUCAUCCAUGCUUGUCGAAAAUCAAAGAAAAGAGAUGAAAUAAAAGCUUUUAGGGUUUCGGGUAGGAGAUUUGAUAAUCAAGGUAUGAGUUUUGUUCGGUUUUUGAUGAUUUUUACGUUUUUGAGAUCGUUGCUUUGUGUUUUAUAAAGCCCAUUCUUAAAUUUGAGAAAUUGAUGAUGAUUUUGAAAUAUGCAUGGAUGAAUUCAUGAGUUUUGUGUUGUUACAUGGUGAAAUAUGGAAGCUUGAUGUUGGGCUUAAAUGUUUUGUUUUUGGAUUUUUUAUGAAAUUGAGUAAUUUGGGCUAAAAUGUGGAAAUAUUAUUUUGAGUGACUAAAAUGUGAAAUAAAUGAAAUGUGUGGACUUGUAUGAGAGCCAUGAAAGUUCGGCUAAGCUUGUGUGCAAACAAAUUUUGUGUAUUUUAUGAAUUUGUGAAAUAGGGACUAAAGUGUUGAAAUGUGAAAAUGUAAGGGCUAGUUUGUAAAAUGCCCUAAAUAUGUGUUUAUGGAUUGAAUUUAAUUAAUUGGUGAAUAAAAGGGUUAAUUUUGAGAACAUAUAGAUCAAGAAAGGAGGAAUUCGGACUUAGAUCGAGCAAAGUCGAAGGAUAUCAAGUAGACAGUCCGAGUCGACAAAAUUCGAGUACAAGGUAAGUUCGUACUUAAAAUAUGAUGUUAAGUAAGCUUUGAUGCCUUUAUUAUACAUGAGUUGUAUAUAAUUGAAUUGGAUAAUAUGGUGAUGAAUCGAAAGUUUUGGCACUAAGUGUGCGAUUUAAACUAGCUUUGGCACUAAGUGUGCGAUUUAAACUAGCUUUGGCUACUAAAGGCACUAAGUGUGCGAUACUGACUUAGUUUCAGCUAGUUGAGAGAUGGCACUAAGUGUGCGAAAUCGUUCUAGCUUCAGCUAAUCUUUAAGCACUAAGUGUGCGGAUAAUUAAGCGUUGGUGAUCAUUGGAAAGUCCUAAAGUAUUCGGGCAAGAGGUGAGAUUGAAAACUAAUGAAUAUGAAAAUGAUCGGGUAAGUACAAUACCUAUGUGGUAGAUGAUAUUAUGUUUAUAAAGCUCAUUGAAUUGGUAAAGAUUUAUGGAUAGUGUUGGUAUAGAUUUGAUAAGUGAAUUAAGAAAUUGUAAUACUUAUGUGUUGAUGAUUUAUGUUAUAUAUAUUGUGGAUGAUUUUAGUACGAGCUUACUAAGCUUUUGAAAGCUUGUGUCUGUUUAUAUUGUUUUAUAGAUAUUGAAGCUACUACAAAUUCGGGGAUCGUCAAGGAUUGUCACCACACUAUCGAACCUCAUCUUGGGUACUUUUGAAAAUGUAUACACUACAGGAAAUCAGACUUUUAGCGGCAGUUUUUUUUUGCCUUUAGCGGCGUUUUUAAGCGCAGCAAAAAAACGUCGCUAUAUGUAACGCCGUAAAAUUAGUGGCAUUUUUUGAAAAAAGCGCUGCUAAAGACCAGCACUUUUAGCGGCGCUUUUAAAAAAACGCCGCUAAUUUGCCCAGUUUUGCAAUAUGUAUUUUUGCACCUAUAUCCAACCCUCCUGCAAGAAAUUCAACCAAAAACAGCAAAUAUACCAUGAAAUCCAACCAAAACCCGCAAAUUUAAAUAAUACAAAAUUAUAUGAAAAAUAUAUUAUAUAAAUUGUAAAUGAAUAUUCAAAAUAUUCUUACAAUAAAGUUAAAAGUUACAAGAAAACAAAUGUCUAAGAUGGGGGAUUUUGAAAUUGCUGGAACAUAGUCAUCAUAGACUGAAGCUGUAGCUGGAGUUCAUUGUAUUUUCUGUUCUGCUCCGCCUCCCUCGCUGCUGCCUCCGCUCUAAGUUGAGAAAUUUGCUCAUCUGUGCUAGCUUGUAUCUGAACUAUCUGAUCUUUUAGCCUCUGAACUUCAGCUUGACUUUGACUCCCGGAAGGCAUGUAUUGGUGCUAGAUGGAUCCGAAAUAUUGGGUCGGGUUAACACCAGAUCCUUGAAAUCUAACCCGACCAUACCUUUCAGGACCCAAAACUUCAUUAAUAAUUCUGUUAUCAAUAUCCUCAAAAUUAACAGAACUAUCAGUCAAAGCAGUCACUUCAUACUCUGCCUUCUUAUCUUUUAGUUUCUCUUAAUAAAUCAGUUAAAGAGUUAGAAACGAAAUAUACAAUAAAAAGGAAUACAAUAUAACAUUAUUUAAAUUAAACUAAUAAAAACGACGAAUUAAAACAUUAUAAUUAAAUAUUAUAAAUAUUUAUAAUGAAUAAAAUUUUAUUAAGUAAAAAUACCAUAAUUUUUGUAGCCUCAAAUGUCAUCGGAGUUCCAUCUUUUUUCCUUUGUGUAAUGUCAAAAAGCUGAAGGCGUCCAACUUUUUAACCAGACGAGGCUUCCUACAAUAUAGUAGUAAAUAUUAUUUAAUAGUAAAAAGUCAUUAAUACUUGAUAGAAUUAAUAAAUCCAUAGUACCCCGGCCUGAGCUACACAAGCAAAACUUUUCGAUCCUACCGUGUGCGUAAAUUUUUGUUUUUGCCUGCUGCUUGUUCCAACUCGCUCACGGUCCUAAAUAAUGAAAUUAUUAUUACGUAUAUAGUAAAUACUAUAAACCAAAAAAUUUAUAAAAGUUUGCAAGAACAUAAUACCUCUCCUUUCUUCGAAUUCCAAAAUCGAACCGUAUCUUCCCAUUGGUACCUCAGCAUUCCCGGUGGGACAUUUUGCAAUUUUUCUUCGAGGCUUAUGGGUUUUUUAAAAUAUUCUUUUUUCAAAAUGCUUUUAUGGUCUCUCCAUUUUUUACCCAAUGCCUUCUUGAUAUAGGCAUCAGAGACCUCUAAAGCAAACCUCUCCUAAAAAACAAAAGUUUAGGAAGUAAAUAUAAAUGAAACUUAAACCAAAGUAUUAUAAAUUACAUUAACGUUUUGUUACCUUAAUAUUAGAGAGAGCUUGAUUUUUAUUGCUAUCAGGCAUGUUAUGCCAUGAUUCGUAGUUGAUGGGCAACAUAUUGGCAUUUCGUGCUAUAAUACCCAAAUAGCCUACUAAAAGUCGAGCUUCUUGUCCAACAGGCUGACCAUGGCUGUUUCUAGUUACUUUGACACGCUCGACAGAAUUUAAGUUAUAUAAAUCUGUUAGGAGCGUACGUCCUCGACCUCUGCGCGUCCGACCAUUUUCAGCUGAAAAAUAAUAUAUUAUUACUAUGUUGAAAUUUAAAAAUAAAUCAGUAAUAAAAUUUAAUACAAUUUGUAAAAUAAACUUAACAUUACUUUGAAAUUUCACAGACUCGUCAAGUGUCUCCGGCACGCUUGACGAUCCAACAACUGUCUGUUGUUCAGUACUUACUUCUUCCGAAUUUUUAGUACUCUGUACAAUACUAAGAUCUCUUAAUCUUCUUCUAGGCAUUUUUCCUGCAACACAUAAAAUAGUUAAAAUUUUAGUAAGAAAUAACAACAAUAGUAAAUAUAAAAUAGUUAAAUUAUAUAACAUGACCAAUGUUAAAAUUAUAACAUUACAUAUAAAUAAAAAAUCAUAAAAUCUUACUACAUCAUAAAUCGUAAAUAUCUUUGUCCACAUCCUGACGAACCCAUUGAAAUUGUGUACUAGUACUACGGAUAUUUUCAUUUAAGUUUUGUUCUAGAAAAGGCAAAGUUUCUGAUGUUUCAACGAUGUCAUCUCUACUUCCAUUCCCCAUGUCAAAUAAGUCUCUAGGGGUGUUUUGGAGUACAACGUACCAACCCUCAUCAAUUGGAUCUUUCGAGUAAAAAACUUGUUUAACUUGAGAAGAAAAUACAUACGGCUCGUCUAUCAAAUGUUCUCCUGUGUGAAUUAAUCGAGAGAAAUUCACCAUUGUAAAACCAAACUGAUCAUUUUUAAUUCCGCGAGCAGUAUUAGCAUCAGCCCAAUCACAUCGAAAUAAGAUCCAUAGUAAUCCAACUCAAUAAUGUCGGUUAGAAGUCCGUAAUACUCCACAUUUCCCUCGACAGGAUUACUGUCCCUAGCACUAGCGUAACUUGUAAUUAAAGAAUUAACAACUACUCCACAAUUUUGAGUUCUCCUCAAUCUCUCGCGAUAUUUGGUAUGAAAUCUGAAUCCAUUCAUGAUGAAGCCACUAUAUCUUUUUACUACUCGAUUUGGACCUUGGGAAAGCCAUUUAACUUCGUCAUUAACGACAUUCCCACUCCAAACCUAUUGAAUCAAAAGUAAAUUGAGUAAUUGUAAAUGUUAUGAGAAAACAUUAUUAUUUGUGAAUAAAAUGUUGAGUUGCAUACCGUUUGGCUUAACCAUUCAUGAAAAGAUUCUGCGAAUAACCUAUUAAUCUCGCGAUGUUGUAAUCUUCUUGAGCGUGAACGAGAUCUUAAGACUUGUUUGUACUCAUUAUGUUAAAAACAUGUUUAAUUCAUUAAAAAAUAAACAAAUCAAAAAAAGAUGAAUAUUUAUCAUAUUCUAGAACUUACUUGCGUAAUUGUUCAAGUGCAUCAUGGUGGAAAAGAACAUAUCUAUGUGCUUGUAUCCAAGAUCAGUCAUCUAAUUCUGCAAUUUCAACUUUGCCGACUGGUUCUCCAUAACUUUGAAAUAAAUAAGUUUCGGCCAAGCUAGGAUUAUUGAGUCCGGCAUUUCUACUUGGUCUAUUCAAUCUUGUUUCAACAUCUUCUAAAUAUCUAGAACAGAAUGUCAUACACUCCUCUGCCAAGUAGCCUUCAGCAAUCGAUCCUUCUGGAUAACGCUUGUUACGGCAAUAAGACUUCAAUUUGCUUAGGAACCUAAACACCAUAUACAACAUUAUCAAAACUAGUAACUAUAGGUAUAAAGGUGGAAUGCCUUUGAAAUAAAUUAGCACCUUUCAAUUGGAUACAUCCAACGAUAGAAAAUCAGCCCACCAAUUAUUGCUUCACGAGGGAGAUGAAUGACAAGGUGCACCAUAAUUGUGAAUAAGGAAGGUGGAAAGAUCUUCUCCAAAUUGCAUAAUGUUAAAGCGGCUCGAUCUUGUACUUUUUCAAGUUCUUCAACAUUUAGAACUUUGCCACAAAUUGCUUUCAUUAUAUUAGACAGUUCAAUUAUACAGGACGUUACCUUCUUUGACAUACAACACCGUAAAGCAACUGGAAGUAGAUCUUGCAUCAAGAUGUGAUAGUCAUGUGAUUUUAAUGAAUAUAGUCUUCGAUCUUUAAGACUUACACAUCGAGAUAUAUUUGAUGCAUACGCAUCCGAAACCUUUAUAUCCUUCAACACCGUGCAGAACAUUUCUUUCUCUUUCUUUGACAUUGCAAAAAUUGUAGGCGGCAACCAAUAUUUUCUAUUAGAACGUACUUGGGGAUGAAGAUCACGCCUAAUUCCCAUGUGAACUAAAUCAAGUCGACUCUGAAGAUUAUCUUUUGAUUUACCAUCGACGUUCAAAAUUGUCUGGAUGAUGUUCUCGUAGACAUUCUUUUCAAUAUGCAUCACAUCAACAUUGUGGCGUAAUAUGUGAUGCUCCCAAUAAGGCAACUCAAAAAAAAUACUUCUUUUCUUCCACAAGUCCGCCUCAUUAGGGUCAUCCUCCUCGUCAGAUUCAUCAUCAGAUUCAUCCCUCGAUCGCCUAUUUGUUUGCCUGUUAGAUGGUUGAUUCAGCUUCCCGUAACUGAAAUCCAUAUCUUUUAACAUGAAUAAGAUUUCAGAUCCAAUGGUCUACUCAGGAGCUUUUUUCAACUCUUCAGUACCGUCAAAUAAAGCCCUCUGAAAUCUAUAGUUAUGAUUUUCAUCUAACCACCGACGAUGCCCCAUAUAGCAGAACUUCUUCCCAUUAUAUAACCACUGUGAACACGUUUGAGCAGCACAACAAGGACAAGCAUAACGUCCUCUGGUACUCCAACCAGAUAAAUUCGCAUAUGCCGGGAAAUCAUUAAUUGUCCACAGCAAAGCAGCACGUAGGUAAAAGUUCUCCUUUCUCAAUACAUCAUACGUCUCAACACUCGCCCAUAAUUAUUUUAACUCUUCAAUAAGUGGCUGCAGAUAUAUGUCAAUAUCAUUUCCGGGGCCUUUCUCUCCGGGGAUAAUCAUAGAUAAUAUCAAAGAAGAUUGCUUCAUGCAGAGCCAUGGAGGCAAAUUAUAAGGAACAAGGACCACAGGCCAAGUACUGUACGAGGUGCUCAAGAUUUUAAAAGGAUUAAAUCUGUCAGAUGCUAACCCGAGCCUUACACUCGGAGGAUCACUUGCAAAGCUUGGAAAUUUAUUGUCAAAUGAUUUCCAAGCUAAAGAAUUUGCAGGAUGCCUUAAUAAUCCAUCAUCCAUUCGUUGAUCAUGAUGCCACGUCAUAAACUCGACUGUCUUUGACGACAUGAAUAGCCUUUGAAGCCUUGGGAUUAGCGGGAAAUAUCGCAAAAUCUUGUUCGGCUUCCUUGUUGACUGUGGCCCAUAUUCAUCCUCAUUAACAUCUUCUGCAUCUCUAUUUAUCCAACGAGAUUUACCGCAAACAUGACAAGACUGUUGAUUUCUCCGAUCACCCCAAUACAACAUGCAAUCAUUUGGGCAACUAUGAAUUUUGUUGUACCCAAGCCCCAAAUCUUUUAUCACUUUCUUCAUGUCUUUACAUGAUUGAGGGAUUAUUGCAAACGGGAACAUUUCUCUCAAAAGCUCUAACAGCAUUGUCAAAGAGUUUCUGGUCCACCCUCCCAAACAUUUUAAGUGGAAAAGGCGAAUACAGAAUGACAUUUUCGAAAAUUUUGAUCCCUCAUAAAGUUCUUCAUUCAUUUCACCAAGUAACGUGUAGAACUUCGCCGCUUCUUCAUUCGGUUGUUCAUCCGGUACACUUCUUCUCGUUUCCAUAAAAGUAUUUCCACCGAUAUUAUAAUCAUCGGAUGCAACAUAGUUUGGUGGAAAUGAUUGGAAACCUUCACUCUGCAUAUUAAAUGCAUCCCACAUCAUACCUUCCAUGUCAUCUUCUCUAACAUACUGACGGUAAUCACUAUAAGGAUAACCCUGAUUAAUCGUCGAGGAGGCUCCACUAGGUGUACACUCUCCAUGGAAAAUCCACUUUUUAUACCCCCGAAUGAAGCCAUCAACAAUUAGAUGUUCGUAGACAACUUCACGAUAAUGCCAAUAGAUAUUGCCACACUUCUUACACGGGCAAAGAAUCAUAUUCUCUUGGCUUGAAUUGUGAAAUGCAAAAUCUAAAAAAGAUUGCACUCCAUUUUGAUACUCGUUGCUUGCCUUUGAGAAAUUCAUCCAAGUCCUAUCCAUUUCGUAGUUGUUGAAGUCUAAAGUUGGCAAUAAGUUACACGGGUAAGUUGUUUAUUAUGUAACUCUUGAUAUGAUAUAUAUUUAUGUUUUAUGUAAGUUAUGAAAUUUGAACUUUAAACUAUAUGCUUUUAAGGAAAUUAUUAGAUUAAACUACAUGUAUUAGUUAAGUUAUGUAAGUUGUUAUGUACGUUAUGUGAGUUAUAACUUUUAAAGACAUUUAAAAAUAUUAAAUAUUAAAAUCAAACAUCAUUAAUAUAAAAAAAUAGUAAUUUGAAUAUAAUAAUAUCAAAAAAGAAUCGUAAUUUAAUUUUUAUAAGUAAAUUAGAAAUAAAUUAAGGUUAUAUAAAUAUUCAAUAGCGAUAGAACUUUUUUCAAGUCUUUUUGAAUUUUUUAAGAUUCAUCAUACGUGGCGUUGUUACACCUAGGGAGGAUCCAUUAUAUCUUGCAGCUCGAUAUAAGGCAACCUGUCAGGUUUCCAGCCUAUAUACUUUGAAUCUUUAAAAUAUUUAAAAUAAGGAAUGGACAAGCAAUCUACAUAUAUGGUAAUAAAAUUAAUUCAUACUUAUUCAUACUUAAGUUGAAUCAAAUAAUAAUUAAGUUGAACCAAAAUAUAAAAACUUAUUCAUACUUCAAAUAAUAAUUAAUGCUGUUUUGAUAAAAAUUAGUUAUAACUUUUAAAGACAUUUAAAAAUAUUAAAUAUUAAAAUCAAACAUUAUUAAUAUAACAAAAUAGUAAUUUGAAUAUAAUAAUAUCAAAAAAGAAUCGUAGUUUAAUUUUUAUAAGUAAAUUGGAAAUAAAUUAAGGUUAUAUAAAUAUUCAAUAGCGACAGAACUUUUUUCAAUUCUUUUUGAAUUUUUUAAGAUUCAUCAUACGUGGCGUUGUUACACCUAGGGAUGAUCCAUUAUAUCUUGCAACUCGAUAUAAGGCAACCCGUCAGGUUUCCAGCCUAUAUACUUUGAAUCUUUAAAAUAUUUAAAAUAAGGAAUGGACAAGCAAGCUACAUAUAUGGUAAUAAAAUUAAUUCAUACUUAUUCAUACUUAAGUUGAAUCAAAUAAUAAUUAAGUUGAACCAAAAUAUAAAAACUUAUUCAUACUUAUUCAUACUUCAAAUAAUAAUUAAUAUUGUUUUGAUAAAAAUUAGUUAUAACUUUUAAAGACAUUUAAAAACAUUAAAUAUUAAAAUCAAACAUUAUUAAUAUAACAAAAUAGUAAUUUGAAUAUAAUAAUAUCAAAAAAGAAUCAUAAUUUAAUUUUUAUAAGUAAAUUGGAAAUAAAUUAAGGUUAUAUAAAUAUUCAAUAGCGAUAGAACUUUUUUCAAUUCUUUUUGAAUUUUUUAAGAUUCAUCAUAUGUGGCGUUGUUACACCUAAGGAGGAUCCACUAUAUCUUGCAGCUCGAUAUAAGGCAACCCGUCAGGUUUCCAGCCUAUAUACUUUGAAUCUUUAAAAUAUUUAAAAUAAGGAAUGGACAAGCAAGCUACAUAUAUGGUAAUAAAAUUAAUUCAUACUUAUUCAUACUUCAAAUAAUUAAUACUAUAAGGUCAGGUUUCCAGCCUAUAUACUUUGAAUCUUUAAAAUAUUUAAAACGUACCUUAAUAAAACGUACCUGGUCUACUCCACUCUCACCAGCAAACAGAGGCUGGAAUCCAAAAAGUAAUAUUUGUUAAGUAAUUUAAAGUGAAAAUGCAUAGAAAUAAGGAAAAAAAUCUAGCAACGAAACCUGUACGUACCUAGAACAAAUGUUAAUGGCUAUGGUGUAUUUAGUUGCACCAAAUAUUAUUUCAGGUGCUCGAUAGUACCUAAAACAGAUGUAAGAUUAUAAGAGUAGCACCAAAUAUAUUUCAGUUUAAGCAAAUAUAAAAACUUUAUCUAUAUCAGUACCAAAUUUUAAUUCAAAGAUUAAAUGGCAGCUUCAGUUGAACCAAUACUUGCAGGAGGAGCAGGAAGCAGUAAAUGAAGCUGUACACCUCAGCAAAAUCUGGCAAAACUGCACUAUAUAGAAAGAACACUUAUCAUCAAUGGGACAAAGGAAACUUAAGGAUGUGAUGACAGGAACUACUCAAGAAGACACUGAUUAUCACGUGUUCUUAUUCAUACUUAUUCAUACUUCAAAUAAUAAUUAAUACUAUUUUGAUAAAAAUUAGUUAUAACUUUUAAAGACAUUUAAAAAUAUUAAAUAUUAAAUAUUAAAAUAAUUGCUUCAACCCCAAUCAACUGGAAUUUGCCAAUGACCAUGAAAAACAUCAUAAUAUAUUGAGUCUUGCUGCAAUUUACUAUAUCCAAUAUAAGCUUGCCAUUCUAAAUACCAUUAUCAGUGCCAUUUUCUUCCUUCACCAUAGCAUUUAUUACCUUCAAUCGACAUCUCAUUUUAUAAUUAGAAAUUGAAAAGCAUUUUCAAACAAAAUAUAACAAUUUUUUUAUAUAAAACGUGAGCAACAAGGCAGCAUUAAACUCUUAAAUCAAUCUAAGUCCACACUAAACACAUACACAUAAAUUGGAUAGAAACAUGAAAACAGACCAAAAGAACAUCUAAAAAACCAAAAUGGAAUCACCAUUAUUAUGUAAACAUGAAAAUGCACAGCUUUAAACAAACCAACUUUGCAUGUGCAGAAUCAUACUCCACAAAACUCAUAAACAUUAACUUCUCCUAACCAGAAUACCAACUUUAUGUUUACAGAGGCCUUGAUGGAAACUAACAUAACUGUUGAUAUAUAACUUAUCUAAUAAGAAUCACAAAAUAUGCAGAAACUACCUGAGUAUUUAGUAUCAAGAGAACCAUGUAUUCAAAGGAAAAGAGCCAGAAAUUGAUCAAUGUAUGCAAAACUUGGUCUAUAUUUCAAAACUGGAGUAAAGCUUUCAUCUAGUACCAAAUACAUACAUAUAUAUAGACACAAAUACACAGGCAUACAUCUUCCAUUACCUUAAUCUGUUUCUUGAAAAUAAAAGAUAAGUAAGCUUCUAUAGGAAACUUAACAAAGGAAGCUAAAUCGAGACAAAACACAAAAAAGAGUGGAUGAAAUAAGCUUAAAAAUUUAGGAAUGUAAUUAAAAUGUUAAUUAAAUGUUAGGAAAAACAUUAAAAAUUUAGGAAUGUAAUUAAAUGUUAAUUAAACGUUGAAAACAUAAAAGGAAAAACAUGUUGAAAGAAACAUAAAUGUUAGGGAAGAGAAUGUUUACCUUGAUUGAAUUGGAAAUGUUUUCUUGAGGGUUUAUUUAGAGAUGUUUGGGAUUGAUCUCUAAUAAUGUCGAGAGACUUCCCUACUCAUUGCAUUUGAAGAGCAGAAGUCUGUUUCUGGUCGACAAAACAAUCAAAUGAGUUCUAAAAAUAAACAACAUUUAAUGAUCGGUAUAAUAUUAAUUAUAUUUGCUAAUAACAGGUGGGAAUAAACAAAUAAAAUGAUAAAAAAAAUAGCCAGCAAUUUGGUAUAACAUUAAUAGGAAAAAUAGGACCAAGCUCAAUACCAUUAAAAGACAGUAAGUUACAUUGUAUACAUAUUAUCACUGCAAUUUGGUAUAAAUAUUCCCGAUUAUCCCAGCAAUACUAACUAUCACAGCCAGUAUUAACAUUAACCACGACAAAAAUUUUUCUACUCUGCUCAAGCUCAUGCUCUCUUCUUGCUAACUUAUCCUCAAUGCAAUUAGAGCGGGGAACGUAAAACCUAAGGAAACAGCUGUUGUUGCUCCAGUAAAUUUGAAAGCUGUCCAUAUAUUUGGGAUCAUAGUAGAUCCAAUAUAUAUAAGCACUAACAAUAUUACUGUUAAUGCCAAAGACCUUUUUUUACUCUCCGUGAGAGGAGCUGAUCCCUCAAACACCAAGUUAUCCACAGUUUGCCGUAGGGAAAAGUGAAUAACAGGGAAAACCAGAACCAAAUGAAGAGCAAAUAUAAUUCAAAGCAGUGCUAAAAUGAAUUCCCAGAUUGCUAUCAAAAUUGGUCAAAACAUCACCUUCAGUGUCCUUUCCGAAGAGCAAAUACCCUGAUAUUGCUGUUCAGGCAUAGACCACAACACAAAGAGCAGUUGUGAUCCUCCCUACCUGAUUCAUCUUUUGAGGAGAUCGCCCUUCGAGCUCAUUGUAUAUAGUUUGAACAUUGAAAUGGCAAACAUAUGCAUUAGUCAUAAUAGGGAUAACUACUAGUAAAUCCAAAAUUGCCAUUUUCGAUCCAAAAUCUGGGUUCAUCCUUGGAGCCUCUAUCUUCCCUUCAAUAAGCUUAAUGAAUGCAACAGCAAAGCAAACCACAACGAAAACAACAGCGAGAGCUACCGAAGCAGCCGAAGUCAUGCUCAAUGAAUCAAUCCUAUCUAACACGCAAAGUGGAGCAAGAAAAACAACCAUAACAACCAAAACCAAUAACUUCCUAUGAUCCCAAUAACCAUGUCCUAACCACUGAUCGAGAACCCCAAUAUGACGAACCGAACUGGACAUAACAUCACACAUAGUAAUCAAAUAAACUAUCAGGACACCUGUAUUGUUGACAAUUAUGCAAAUCUCAGACAAAACCCUAACAGUUCUCCCUAUUGCAAUUUGCAUAACUUCCUCAUAAGAUCUAGCUUUACAAGAAACCGCAAACCUAAUCAACAUCUCGACAGUAAUUUUAGACAAAAUCCCAAUCAGGAUUAUCAAAAAAAUCCCUAAAACAAGCCCCAAAACCUUCAUAGUAGCAGGUAAAGCCAUGAUUCCAGCACCAAUAAUUGUGGUGGUUAAGUUAAAAACAGCACCAGAAACACCAGACCCGGUAUUGGGUUUACUUAAAACAAGGGUAUAAUCAUCGAGAUCAAACCCAUUUCAAUCCAUUUCAAACAAAAAAAAGGCAAGUAAUACAGUAACUACACAUUAAUCUGAAGGGGACUCAAAAACUAACCAUUUCAAACCCAUGAAGCAUAUGACUGUCGACGAGAGGAAAGGGAAAAUAGUUAGGGAUUUUGGGGAUGGGGGAACAGAAUAAGGGAAAAAAAGGGGACUUGGGGAAAAUGUUAGGGAUUUUGGGUUUGGGGAAUUAGGGGAUGAUAUGGGGAAAAAGAAAGAGGUGUUUUUUGUUUUAGGGAUUUAGGGAAGAAAGAGACGAAAUAGGGGAAAAUGACUUAGCAAAAAAUGAAACUGAUUUCGGGUAAAGGGCAUAAACCUCAGGAGAGAAAAAAUGACGCCAUUUCAAAUAAGGAAAUUUUGUGGCAUUUACAGCAACGUGCCGGUAAUGAGACCUUUUGCGGCGUUUUCAGCAAAGCGCCACUAACGCCUCUUUUAUCUACACUAUAAAACGACGACGUUCUAAUAUGAGUUGUGGCAUUUAUUAUAGAAACGCCGCUAAAGCCACUAGUAUUCAUAGGAAACGACACCGUUUUACUGUAAUGUAUAACAAAAUUUUAUGGCAUUUUCUAGAAAAACGCCGCUAUUUCCGAUCUUUAGCGGCUUUUUAUGUAUAAACGUUGCUAAUACCUUAAUAUUUUAUAAAAAUUGAUCAAAAUUUAAAACUAUAUAUUUAGAAUUUCUUUUAAAUUAUAUCUAAAUAAUGUUACUGUGAUGAAUGUUAGUGUAGUACAAAAUAUAUAUUUCAUAUAAUUAUAUUAGGUUUAGUACAAAUUCGUAAGAAUCUCAUAAAAUUCUAAAUAUUGGUUCAAUAUUCAAUAAUAUACCUUAAACUUUAAACCUCAAACCAUAAACUUACACUCUAAACCCUAACUAUAGUUGAAACUUUAAUUUUGAUUUAAUACACAUUUUAAAAUACAUAUUAUGUAUGCAUAUAAAUUAUUUAAAUAAAAACAUGAUGCUAUUUAUUAUAUAUAUCAAUAACGUGUAAAUAUUAAUUUACAAGAUCUAGAUCAAAUUACAGUUCAUGUACACAAUUGCACACUAAACCACUUUUCAUAUAUAUAUAUUUAUAUAUUUUUUAAAAUAAUAAUUUAUAUAUAUUUAUCUUAUAUACAUUUAUCUUCUAAAUUAAAAUCCAAAAUUAUACUCUAAAUUUAAAACCCUAAACUUGAGACUCUAAACCCUAAACCUUAGACCACAAGCACAAAACCCCUAACCCCAAACUUUAAACCCCAAAACCAUUCGGUAACCCCUAAACCAACCAUAACUCCUAAACCAUAAAGCCCAAGCUAUAAAGUACUUUAAAAAUUGUUAACCCUAAACCAUAAUCGUAAACAUAUUUUUGGGAAUUCGUGUGGCCAAUGUUAGUGUAGUACAAAUUAAAACACAUAUAUAUGUUUAUAUUCUUAUAUUAAAUAAUAUGAGUCUAUACAAAAUAGCAUGAAUAUUAGUAAAAUCUAAAUGUUCUUCAGUUAAUUUCUAGCUAAUAGUAUCAUUUCCUUAAACCCUUAACCUAAACUUAAUUUUUAACAUAUUUUAUUUGAGACAUUCUAUUUAAUCUAAAUAUAUUUAAACAAAAAAAAAAGAUAAAAAUACACAAUAGCAUUAUUAUUUAUACAAAGUUACAUAACUUUAAUAAAACAAUUUCUCUAUUGGAACACUCUAGUUAUAAUGUCCACUCUAUAAGAUAUUUCUAUGUUAUAUAAGCUUGGAAAUUAUACAUAGUUCAACAAAUGCUAAUUCCACAUUCAAAAUCACCCUUUCUUAAUAGCAUCCCAUGUAAGAAUCUGGAAAGGAAAUUAUCUCUUAAGAAGUUAAUAAUUGUCCCAUUGUAAACUUCAACCCUAACCUUUAAACCCUAAAUCAUAAUCCUUAAACCCAUAAUUCAUCAUAAACCUUCAAAUACUAGUUAACUCCUAAACUGUAUAUCUUAAACCAUAGUUAACUCUUAAACCUGCUUAAACCCUAAAUCAUAUAUCUUAAACUAUAAUGAUAAUUAAUUUAAUAUUUUAAAUUCAAUACUAUCUCUUUUACGAUUAUAGAAGAAAAUAUUUAAUAUAUUGUAUAACCAUAAAUUUUAAUAAUUAUUGUUUUAGGGGUUAUAGAUUAGUGUUUAUGAUUUUUUUGGGGUUUAGGGGUUAAAUGACUUUUAGCGGCGUUUUACCAAAAGCGCCGCUAAUGCUCUGGUUUUUAGCGGCGUUUUACCAAAAGCGCCGCUAAUGCUCUGGUUUUUAUCGGCGUUUUACCAAAAGCGCCGCUAAUGCUCUGGUUUUUAGCAGCGUUUUACCAAAAUCGCCGCUAAUGCUCUGGUUCUUAGAGGCGUUUUACCAAAAGUGCCGCUAUUGCUCUAUUUUUAGCGGCGUUUUUUACUAAAACGCCGCUGUUGCUCUGUUUUUAGCGGCGUUUUUCUUAAAACGCCACUAUUGCUCUGUAUUUUAAAAUUUUUGCAGCGUUUUUUGAUAAAACGCCACUAAAGACCUAUUUUCCUGUAGUGAUAUAUUUGAAGUAUGGCAUGUAUAGGCUAGUAGUUGUGCAAGUAUAUUUUGUGAUGUAUAUACUUAGCCAUGUGAUUUGGCUAAUUUGUGUUUGAACUGUGACAGCCCAAAAUUGACCCUAGUCGGGAAGUGGUUUCGGGACCGCUAAACCGAGUCACCGAAAUGUUUGAAUGUGAUAUUUAUUGUCUAGAAUAUGUAAUUAUGAAUGUGCGAAAAUUUCAAGCUUCGAUUUAGUCGAUUGCAUGUGAAUUUAGUCAAUAGAACUUAUGUGCGACAUUUUUGAAAUGUGAUAGGUCGAAGCAUAAGGACCUAUUAGAGCAUGAAAUAAAAAGGGGGGACUUGCAUGUCAAAUUCCGCCCCCCUAACUAGUAGUGGCCGGCCAUGACAAGCAUGGUAGACCAAGUGUGAUGGGCAAGACAUGUCAUAGACAUGUUGUGUUGGUGCAUCAUGGGUGGAAAAAAAUAAAAUAAGGAGCAUGAGCAUAAAAUAAUGAAAGGGAAUAUGAUGAAAACAAAAAAAAAAGUGUGUAGUUGUUCCCCCCCCCCAUUGCCGUGAGUUAAAGAAAAGAAAAGAGAAAAUUUUGUUCAUCCUUUUUCAUCUUCAUUUGGCCGAAAAUUCAAAGGAAGGAGGAAGGAGUUCUUGCUUCAUGUUUGGUUUGGAAGAGGAUUAGGAGGAGGUUUGGCCAUACUUGUAUCUAGAUCAAGGUAUGUUUGAGGUUGUGCCUUGAGAUUCAUGCAUGUUUUUAGUUGCUAGCUUGAGUUCUAAUUAGCCCAUGGUUCAAAUCUUUGCUAUGUCAUGGGGAUGAUAUUCGGCCUAGGUAGGUUUUGUGUUAAUGCCAUUGCAUGCUAAAUAUGAAGCUUGUUAAUGAUGCAUGUGAUGGUGGAUUGAUGAUUCUUGAAUCUUCUUUUUAGCAUUUUUGAGUGAGCACAUAUGUGCAUUGGUUGCUAGAUGGAGAAGAAUCGGCUAGCAAGUUGUGUGCUAAGGCCGAAUAUAAUUUUUGUAUAUUAAUGAGUAAUGCAUGUGUUAAAUUGAUGGAAAGGGAGAGGAUGCUUUACUAGUGUAUAUAUGUGUGUAUUAGCCAAGUUUUGAACUUGAAACAAAAGGGUGUUUAGUCAAUACAAGUGACCAUACUUGUAGAAUGUAUUAAGUGUUGAAAUCGGCCCCAACAUAGACAUGCAUAUUCGGCCAUAGGAAGGAGAUUGGUGUUGCAUGUAUUCGGUUAGAGGCAAGCAUAUUGAUGCUUUUGUCUUGGCUUAGAAAAUUCGGCCAAGGGGGAAAAAUUAGCUAAAAUGUUGAGUUUGAUUCAUGAUUCCGUACAUAUGUGACUUUAAUGUCUAAUGUAUAAAAAUGGGCUAAGUGCCUUGUGUUCCUCUUUCCGAUGCUCAAAUGAUUAAAUCAAUUUAUUUGUUUAAUUAAGCUCAAGAGCAAAGGGGAACUAAAUCUGAUAAAGGGAAGGAAAAAGUGGUCGAAUAGCUAUCGGAAUCGUUCGACAACACCCGAGGUAAGUUCUUGAGUAAAAGAGCUUAAAUUAUGAUUUGAUUAGAUCAUGUUUUAAGCAAACCAAAAUCAUGCUCUUUGUGUGGCUAUUGAGCCGAAAUUGCAAGAAUGAUAAAUGUCUUGUGUUUGAGUUUUACUAACGUAAACGAAAUACGAAUGUGCCAUGAUUUAUUGUUAAAUGUGCAUGGUUAUUUGAAUGAUGUCCGGGCUAAGUCCCGAAGGCUUUGUGCUAAGUGACCAUAUCCGGACUAAGAUCCGAAGGCAUUUGUGAGAGAUACUAAUUCCGGGCUAAGCCCGAAGGCAUUUGUGCGAGUUACUAAAUCCGAGUUAAGUCCCGAAGGCAAUUGUGCGAGUUACUAUAACCGGGCUAUGUCCCGAAGGCAUUUGAACGAGUAGCUAUAUCCGGUUAAAUUCCGAAGGUACGUGAUUUGGGAAUGAAUGAUCUUGCUGUAAAAAUUUCAGUAAAUACUCUAGAAACAUCCCAACAUUGAGGUAUGUUUCGUAUGUGCUUGAAUUUAGUUGAGCCCUUACAAAUAAGUAUUCGCUCAGUUGAUAAACGAGCUACCGGCCUUUGGCUAAGUUGAUCUUUUGUGUAUGUAUAUAAGGGUCGGUAAUGUGAAGCAAGUAUGAUAUCGAAAAUUUGUGCAUAUGAAAUUAUUCGUUUAGCUAUAUGAAUGCUAUACUUUUGCUGUGCUGGAAUUCCUUGCUCAAAACUUACUAAGCAUAAAUUGCUUACUCCGUUUCUUUGAUCCUCUAUUUUAUAGAUUUUGGUUCUCCAGCUAUCGGACUCGGGAUUUUGAAGUCGAAGUCGCCCACACUAUCAAAGCCCCCCUUUUGGUACAAUUUUGGUUGAACUUCGAAAUGGCAUGUAUAGGACUACCCGUUUGUUGUGGGUCAUGGACCCUUUGGACUUGUAUAAUUUUGGAUAGCCAUGCGAAAAUGGCUUAUAUAUGUUUGAGUGUAAUGUUAUAAUCAUUUGGUAUGGAUAUGGUUAUUGAGAGGUGUGGAUAGGCUUGACAAGGAUUGGCCAUGGGAAUGGUUAAUCACUAUCAUAAAUUGUGCUACUUAUGCAAAAAGGGCUAGUUGAAUCAUGGAAACUAUGAAAUAGGUAAAGUCUACCUUAAAGGCAGAUGCUGACAGCAGCAGUGAUGUAUAUUUUGAAAUUCACUAAAAAUAGUAGGAAUGGAAGUAAAUAGUGAAUAAAUUAUGUAAACGAACCUUGAUGAAUCUAUUUUCAUAGGAAAGUAACGAAACAAUCAUACGGACAGUAUGUUAGGAGAUAUUCAGGUUCUUGUGAGACAGGGCCAGAACGGUUUCUGGAUUUCCUGUUCCGACUUUGGAAAUUCAUUAUAAAUUAACCAGAGACAAUUAGGAGUCAAUCCAUAUAUGUAUAGAUUCCUCUCUGAGUCUAUUUUCUAUAGAAACAAACGGCAUCAGUAUUGAAGCCCUGUACAGGGAGAUAUCCAAGUCAUAAUGCGCAAAGGUCAGGGUAGUCGAUCCCUGUAACAUGGGAGACUUUGACUAAUAAACUGUACUAAUUGGCCUGAGCAAAAAUUCUAGAAAAAAAUAUGUAGAUGGAAAUAUGAGUCUAGUUUCAGGAAAAAUUUACGGAACUGGAUUCCGAGUUUCUGAACUUAAGAUAUGAUUUUUAAAGCGACUAUUAUGCAGAUUGGCAGUGUCUGGAAAAUUUUUAAAGUUUGUUAACACCUCGUGUUCGACUCCGGUGACGGUCUCGGGUUCGGGGUGUUACAUUUGAUUGGUAUCAGAGCUACGGUUUAGUCGAUUCUAGGACUACCGUAAUGCGUUGGGUCUAGCUAUACAUGCCAUUUUAUGUGAUUAUUUGAUAGUGUGGUGAUUUCUGACAUUUGCAAAUGUGUUUAUUUAUAGUAAUGGAUCCCGAUCCCGACCGAGCGGUAGCUGAUGAUCUUGAGAGUGUAGCGCCGGUGGACUCUCAACCUAAUGCUAGUAACCCGAAUGAUGAAGCUAGACAAGCUUUCUAUAGCGUGAUGAAUGAUUGGUUCAACCAAUACAUUCGAACUAAUACGGCUGUUCCACAACCUCCCUUCCCGACUAAUACAACCCCCGCACCUACAAUACCUCCGGUAACUGACCAAAUAAGGUCAAAUAAGCCCCCAGUUGACAGAAUUCGAAAACAUGGGGCUACUGAAUUUAAAGCUACGGAUAGCGACGAUGCCGAGCAAGCUGAAUUUUGGUUGGACAACACUAUCCGGGUACUCGAUGAGCUAUCUUGUACACCCGAUGAAUGCUUAAAGUGUACUAUCUCCUUGCUACGUGAUUCUGCCUACUAUUGGUGGAGUACUCUGACUUCUGUUGUGCCCCGAGAGCAAGUAACUUGGGAGUUUUUCCAAACUGAGUUUCGGAAAAAGUAUAUCAGUAAGAGAUUUGUUGAUCAAAAACGGAAGGAAUUUCUUGAGCUUAAGCAAGGUUCCAUGUCGGUUACUGAUUACGAGCGAAAAUUUGUUAGACUUAGCAAAUACACUCGGGAAUGUGUUUCGUCCGAGGCUAUCAUGUGUAAACGCUUCGAGGAUGGGCUGAAUGAAGAUAUAAAAAUGUUCGUUGGUGUUCUUGAAAUACGAGAGUUCGUAGUACUUGUCGAGCGAGCUUGUAAAGCCGAAGAGCUUAGAAAAGAAAAACAAAAAGUUGAUGUGGGAACUGGAGAGUUUCGUAAAAGAUUUUCGGGAAAGUCUCUUCAACAGGCAUCGAAGAAAUUUCGAGAUGAUGUGGGCUGGUCGAGAGGCACUUCGGGCCUUUUUAGACGAGAUCGUGAUCGACCCCCUGUGGGUACACGAGGCACUUCGGUCGCCAGUGUUGGGAAUGAACGUCGAGACAGAACGAAAUGUCGAUAUUGCGGUAAAUGGCAUUCGGGGAGUUGUAGAUUCCCUGACCGCUCCUGUUACAAGUGCGGAUCAGUUGACCACUUCAUUAAAGAUUGCCCGAGGUUGUCUGAACAGAAUGUAAAUCAGAGUGGGAAAUCGGGUGCUACCACUGCUUGAGGUAGACCAUCUGGAAAUACGGGCAAUGCUAGUGGUGGUCAGAGAGGAUCUAGAGAUGCUACGACCAGAUCCGAGGCUCGUGCGCCUGCUAGAGCUUAUGCUAUACGUGCCCGCGAGGAUGCUUCUUCGCCUGAUGUUAUUACCGGUACUUUUACUCUCUUUGAUACUAAUGUAAUUGCUUUGAUUGACCCCGAUUCUACUCAUUCUUACAUAUGUGAAACCUUAGCAUCCAGUAAGACUUUACCUAUUGAGUCUACUGAGUUCGUAAUUCGGGUGUCAAAUCCCUUGGGUCGUUACGUGCUUGUCGACAAAGUGUGUAAGAAAUGUCCCCUAGUAAUUCGAGGUUCCUGUUUUUCGACGGACUUGAUGCUUUUGCCGUUUAAUGAAUUUGAUGUUAUUCUCGGGUUGGAUUGGUUGACCGUGCAUGAUGCGGUUGUGAAUUGCAAAAGCAAGACGAUUGAAUUGAGGUGCGCAAAUAACGAAGUAAUCCGAGUUGAGUUUACGGACUUGGAUGGGUUGCCAGCUGUAAUAUCCUCAAUGUUGGCCCAGAAAUAUGUAAGAAAAGGGUGCGAAGCAUACCUUGCGUAUGUACUUGAUGACAAAGAAUUAGAAAAGAAACCCGAAUCUGUGCCGGUGGUUUGUGAAUACCCGGAUGUUUUUCCUGAAGAAUUACCGGGUUUACCACCUGUUCGGGAGAUAGAGUUUGGUAUUGAGCUUGUACCUGGGACUACGCCGAUUUCGAUGGCUCCGUAUCGUAUGGCACCAACCGAGUUAAAAGAGUUGAAAGCUCAGUUGCAAGAAUUGACGGAUAGAGGUUUUGCUCGACCAAGUUUCUCACAUUGGGGUGCACCAGUAUUGUUCGUGAAAAAGAAGGACGGAACCAUGAGGUUGUGCAUUGACUAUCGUCAACUGAAUAAAGUGACGAUAAAGAACAAAUAUCCGUUACCGCGUAUCGAUGAUUUGUUCGACCAACUGAAGGGAGCCUCAGUGUUCUCAAAAAUAGAUUUGAGAUCGGGCUAUUAUCAGUUGCGAAUUCGAGAUUCAGACAUACCCAAAACUGCCUUCAGAACGAGAUAUGGUCACUACGAGUUCUUAGUGAUGCCGUUUGGGCUCACUAAUGCCCCUGCGGUAUUUAUGGAUUUGAUGAAUCGGAUCUUCAGACCAUAUUUGGAUCGGUUCGUAGUUGUGUUCAUUGAUGACAUCUUGGUCUAUUCAAGAGAUGAGACCGAACAUGCUGAGCACCUGAGACUAGUGUUGCAAAUUUUGUGGGAUAAGGAGUUAUAUGCUAAGUUCAGUAAGUGUGAGUUCUGGUUAAGAGAGGUUAGCUUCUUGGGUCAUGUGGUAUCCGCAUCGGGUAUUCGAGUUGACCCGAGCAAAAUUUCAGCCAUACUUAACUGGAAGCCUCCAAGAAAUAUUACCGAAGUUCGGAGCUUCCUGGGGCUCGCCGGUUAUUACCGACGAUUUGUCAAAGGUUUCUCGAUGAUAGCCACACCAAUGACGAAGCUACUUCAAAAGGAUGUUAAGUUCGAAUGGACGGAGAAAUGUCAGAAAAGUUUUGAUCAACUAAAAACUUAUUUGACUGAAGCUCCAAUUUUAGUGCAACCCGAAUCAGGCAAAGAGUUUGUCAUUUAUAGUGACGCAUCCCUACUUGGGUUGGGUUGCGUAUUGAUGCGAGAAGGUCGAGUGGUGGCCUAUGCGUCGAGACAAUUAAAGCCACAUGAGAAAAAUUAUCCGACCCAUGAUCUUGAACUAGCUGCCAUCGUAUUUGCUUUAAAAAUAUGGCGACAUUACUUAUUUGGUGAAAAGUGCCAUGUAUUUUCGGAUCACAAAAGUCUCAAAUAUUUGAUGACUCAAAGAGACUUAAAUCUGCGACAAAGACGUUGGCUUGAGUUGUUGAAAGAUUACUAGCUUGUCAUUGAUUACCACCCGGGAAAGGCUAAUGUGGUUGCGGACGCCUUAAGCCGGAAAUCAUUGUUUGCUUUACGAGCGAUGAAUGUGCACUUGUCUGUUCUACCCGACAAUGUGUUAGUAGCUGAAUUAAAAGCCAAACCAUUAUUGAUUCAUCAAAUUCGUGAAGCCCAGAAGGUUGAUGAUGAAUUGGUUGCAAAACGGGCUGAGUGUGUUCCGAACAAGGAAUCAGAGUUUCAAAUUGAUGAUGAUGAUUGUUUGAGGUUCAGAAGUCGUUUGUGCGUUCCAAGGAAUUCGGGACUCAUUUCGAUGAUUCUGAACGAAGCCCAUUGUAGCCGAAUGUCAAUUCACCCGGGGAGUACGAAAAUGUACAACGAUUUGAAACGUUGGUUUUGGUGGCAUGGUAUGAAACGAGACAUCUCCGAAUUUGUUUCGAGAUGUUUAAUAUGUCAACAAGUGAAAGCGGAACAUCAAGUGCCUUCAGGAUUACUUCAGCCGAUCAUGAUACCCGAGUGGAAAUGGGAUCGAGUCACAAUGGACUUUGUGUCCGGACUGCCCUUGUCAGCAAGUAAGAAGGAUGCGAUUUGGGUUGUUGUUGAUAGACUGACUAAGUCGGCUCACUUUAUCCCCGUGCGUACGGAUUUUUCAUUGGAUAAACUAGCCGAAUUGUAUGUUUCUCAGAUUGUGAGAUUACACGGGGUACCUAUUUCUAUCGUGUCGGAUAGAGAUCCGAGAUUCACCUCGCGAUUUUGGAGGAAAUUGCAAGAAGCUUUGGGUACCAAGCUGCAUUUUAGCACUGCUUUUCACCCCCAAACCGAUGGUCAAUCUGAGCGGAUAAUUCAGAUACUUGAGGAUAUGUUGAGAUGUUGCAUCCUCGAGUUCAGUAGUUCAUGGGAACGGUAUUUACCUUUGAUUGAAUUCGCUUACAAUAAUAGUUUUCAAUCAAGUAUUAAGAUGGCACCUUACGAGGCUUUGUACGGUCGUAAAUGCCGUACACCAUUAUUUUGGACCGAGCUCGGUGAAAGUAAAAUUUUCGGAGUUGAUUUGAUUAAGGAUGCCGAACAGAAAGUAAAGGUAAUCCGUGAAAGUCUGAAAGCAGCCACAGAUCGUCAAAAAUCGUAUGCGGAUUUGAAACGAAAAGACAUUGAAUAUCAGGUGGGAGAUAAAAUGUUUCUUAAAGUUUCGCCUUGGAAAAAGGUACUCAGAUUUGGCCGUAAGGGCAAGUUGAGCCCGAGAUUCAUUGGGCCGUACGAAAUCUCCGAACGAGUUGGUCCGGUUGCGUAUAGAUUGAUUUUGCCCCCUGAACUUGAAAAGAUUCACGAUGUCUUUCAUGUUUCGAUGCUUCGACAUUAUAGAUCCGAUCCGUCACAUGUGAUUAAUCCCUCAGAAGUUGAAAUUCAAUCUGACUUGAGUUAUGAAGAAGAACCGAUUCGUAUCCUAGCUCGUGAAGUGAAAGAGUUGCGAAACAAAAGGGUUCCGUUAGUUAAGGUGUUAUGGCUCAAACACGGGAUCGAGGAAGCUACUUGGGAAACCGAGAGCUCGAUGAAAGAACGAUACCCAAACCUAUUUACCGGUAAGAUUUUCGGGGACGAAAAUUUCUUAAGUGGGGGAGAGUUGUGACAGCCUAAAAUUGACCCUAGUCGGGAAGUGGUUUCGGGACCGCUAAACCGAGUCACCGAAAUGUUUGAAUGUGAUAUUUAUUGUCUAGAAUAUGUAAUUAUGAAUGUGCGAAAAUUUCAAGCUUCGAUUUAGUCGAUUGCAUGUGAAUUUAGUCAAUAGGACUUAUGUGCGACAUUUUUGAAAUGUGAUAGGUCGAAGCAUAAGGACCUAUUAGAGCAUGAAAUAAAAAGGGGGGACUUGCAUGUCAAAUUCCCCCCUAACUAGUAGUGGCCGGCCAUGACAAGCAUGGUAGACCAAGUGUGAUGGGCAAGACAUGUCAUAGACAUGUUGUGUUGGUGCAUCAUGGGUGGAAAAAAAUAAAAUAAGGAGCAUGGGCAUAAAAUAAUGAAAGGGAAUAUGAUGAAAACAAAAAAAAAGUGUGUAGUUGUUCCCCCCCCAUUGCCGUGAGUUAAAGAAAAGAAAAGAGAAAAUUUUGUUCAUCCUUUUUCAUCUUCAUUUGGCCGAAAAUUCAAAGGAAGGAGGAAGGAGUUCUUGCUUCAUGUUUGGUUUGGAAGAGGAUUAGGAGGAGGUUUGGCCAUACUUGUAUCUAGAUCAAGGUAUGUUUGAGGUUGUGCCUUGAGAUUCAUGCAUGUUUUUAGUUGCUAGCUUGAGUUCUAAUUAGCCCAUGGUUCAAAUCUUUGCUAUGUCAUGGGGAUGAUAUUCGGCCUAGGUAGGUUUUGUGUUAAUGCCAUUGCAUGCUAAAUAUGAAGCUUGUUAAUGAUGCAUGUGAUGGUGGAUUGAUGAUUCUUGAAUCUUCUUUUUAGCAUUUUUGAGUGAGCACAUAUGUGCAUUGGUUGCUAGAUGGAGAAGAAUCGGCUAGCAAGUUGUGUGCUAAGGCCGAAUAUAAUUUUUGUAUAUUAAUGAGUAAUGCAUGUGUUAAAUUGAUGGAAAGGGAGAGGAUGCUUUACUAGUGUAUAUAUGUGUGUAUUAGCCAAGUUUUGAACUUGAAACAAAAGGGUGUUUAGUCAAUACAAGUGACCAUACUUGUAGAAUGUAUUAAGUGUUGAAAUCGGCCCCAACAUAGACAUGCAUAUUCGGCCAUAGGAAGGAGAUUGGUGUUGCAUGUAUUUGGUUAGAGGCAAGCAUAUUGAUGCUUUUGUCUUGGCUUAGAAAAUUCAGCCAAGGGGGAAAAAUUAGCUAAAAUGUUGAGUUUGAUUCAUGAUUCCGUACAUAUGUGACUUUAAUGUCUAAUGUAUAAAAAUGGGCUAAGUGCCUUGUGUUCCUCUUUCCGAUGCUCAAAUGAUUAAAUCAAUUUAUUUGUUUAAUUAAGCUCAAGAGCAAAGGGGAACUAAAUCUGAUAAAGGGAAGGAAAAAGUGGUCGAAUAGCUAUCGGAAUCGUUCGACAACACCCGAGGUAAGUUCUUGAGUAAAAGAGCUUAAAUUAUGAUUUGAUUAGAUCAUGUUUUAAGCAAACCAAAAUCAUGCUCUUUGUGUGGCUAUUGAGCCGAAAUUGCAAGAAUGAUAAAUGUCUUGUGUUUGAGUUUUACUAACGAAAACGAAAUACGAAUGUGCCAUGAUUUAUUGUUAAAUGUGCAUGGUUAUUUGAAUGAUGUCCGGGCUAAGUCCCGAAGGCUUUGUGCUAAGUGACCAUAUCCGGACUAAGAUCCGAAGGCAGGUGUGGAUAGGCUUGACAAGGAUUGGCCAUGGGAAUGGUUAAUCACUAUCAUAAAUUGUGCUACUUAUGCAAAAAGGGCUAGUUGAAUCAUGGAAACUAUGAAAUAGGUAAAGUCUACCUUAAAGGCAGAUGCUGACAGCAGCAGUGAUGUAUAUUUUGAAAUUCACUAAAAAUAGUAGGAAUGGAAGUAAAUAGUGAAUAAAUUAUGUAAACGAACCUUGAUGAAUCUAUUUUCAUAGGAAAGUAACGAAACAAUCAUACGGACAGUAUGUUAGGAGAUAUUCAGGUUCUUGUGAGACAGGGCCAGAACGGUUUCUGGAUUUCCUGUUCCGACUUUGGAAAUUCAUUAUAAAUUAACCAGAGACAAUUAGGAGUCAAUCCAUAUAUUUAUAGAUUCCUCUCUGAGUCUAUUUUCUAUAGAAACAAACGGCAUCAGUAUUGAAUCCCUGUACAGGGAGAUAUCCAAGUCGUAAUGCGCAAAGGUCAGGGUAGUCGAUUCCUGUAACAUGGGAGACUUUGACUAAUAAACUGUACUAAUUGGCCCGACCAAAAAUUCUAUAAAAAAAUGUGUAGAUGGACAUAUGAGUCUAGUUUUAGGGAAAAUUUACGGAACUGGAUUCCGAGUUUCUAAACUCAAGAUAUGAUUUUUAAAGCGACUAUUACGCAGAUUGGCAGUGUCUGGAAAAUUUUUAAAGUUUGUUAACACCUCGUGUUCGACUCCGGUGACGGUCUCGGGUUCGGGGUGUUACAUGAACUCAUAUUUGAUAAUGGUUUAUGAUAUGCGAUGUUAAUUUGCAAUUGUGGUAUGUUUAGUUGGAUAAAGGAAAUGGUAAGUUUGGUGAGUUCAUGGUAUGAAAUUGAAUGAUGAUUUUGAUAUAUAAUCUUACAUUAUGUUUUAGUAUAAAUAGGUAAGGUUUAUAAGUAUGUAAAUGGUUGAUAAUAUUAAGGUAUGAAUAAUGUGUGUUUUAGCAUAAAAAUUGGUUGAUUGGAUUGUACAUAUAAGUUUGAUUCUUUGCUUAUAGGUUGACUAAAAAAGGGGUGGCAAAUUGGCUUAAACCAAGCCUGCAUUGUGCUACACGAUCAGGGAACACGGGCAUACCUUGUGGCUGUGUAUGCAAAGCAGUACCCUCUUAAGAUCACACGGCCAUAGCACAUGGGCGUGUUAUAUGGCCAUGGGCUAAAGUCAGUAGCUAGCUAAGAACCACACGACCAUAGCACACGGGCGUGUUUGUUGGCCGUGGGUGAAAGUUAGUAUGUAUGCUCUGUUUUGACACAGCUGGACUACAUGGGUAUGUCUGGUGCCUGUGUAAGGCACACGGCCUGGUUACACGGACGUGUGACCUCAACAGAAUUGAGAAAUUUUGCUAAGUUCUAAAAAUUUUGAAUAUGUUCGGUUUAGUCCCGAUCUAUUCCUAAUGCAUGUUUAAGGUCUCGUUGACCUAAUAAAGGGACUUUAUGUUGAUGUUUGACUAUGAUGCUAUGAUGUUGUGAAAUGAAUGUGAAAUAUUUUGAUAUGUUCAAUAAUGCCUCUUAACCCUAGUCCGGCGAUGGAUACGGGUUAGGGGUGAUACAAGCUUGGAGUUCGAGAGAAGAAUUAGUGAACCUACUUUGUAUGUGAAGAAAUAAUGUGUUGAAACACAGCUCAUAGUGUCCUUGUAUUUUGAUGAUCUACUUGUAAUAAGAAGCAAUAAUUUCAUGCUUGAUAAUUUCAAAAGGAAAAUGGAAAAUAUGUUUGAGAUGUCAGACUUGGGACAAAUGUCCUACUUCCUUGGCAUGGAAGUGUCUCAAACUGAGCAAGGGAUCUUCCUAAGUCAAAAGGCUUUUUCCUUAAAGAUUUUGAACAAAUUCUCCAUGUUGAACUGCAAGCAAGAAGCACACCAGUUGCUAUUGGAAAAAAGCUAUCAUGUCAAGGUGAUUUUGAGAAGGUUUGUGAAUCAACCUAUAAGAGUUUGGUUGGAUGCUUGCUCUAUUUGACAGCUACUAGACCGGAUAUCAUGUUUGCUGUGAGUCUGCUAUCUAGAUUCAUGCAUUGUUGCAAUGGGAAGCAUUUACAAGCUGCCAAAAGAUUUCUCAGGUACAUCAAAGGCACACUGAGCUUUGGAGUAAAGUUCACCAAGGUUUAUGGCAUGAAACUGCUUGGUUAUGCUGAUAGUGAUUGGGUUGGAUUGAUAAAUGACAUGAAAAGCACCUCAGGGUAUCUAUUUACCCUUGGUUCAGCCAAAUUUUUUUGGAGUUCGAAGAAGAAAAAUGUUGUUGCUCAAUCAACUGCUGAAGCAUAAUAUGUGGCAGCUGCAAGAGCUGUCAACCAAGCCAUUUGGCUAAGAAAGAUAAUGACCGAUUUGAAUCUACACCAAAAAGUAGCAACAGAGAUUAAAUGUGACAACUAGUCUGCUAUUGCAAUGUAAAGAAUCUAGUGUUCCAUGGGAGAAUAAAGAACUUCAGGAUUAAGUUUCACUUUGUUAAGGAGAUGAAACAAGAUCAAAAGGUGAAGCUAAUUCAUUGCAGUUUUGAAGAACAACUUGGUGAUAUCUUAACAAAGCCCCUUAGUGUGUCGAGCUUCAUGCAUUUGAGAACUAAAAUGGGAGUAUGCUGCAUGCAAGCCAAUAAGGAGUUUUGAAGUUGGCCUGCAUGUAGCACAUGAUGUAGCCAAGGAGCAGAGAAGCUUCACGAACCAUGCAGUUGCUGCUGAAGUUGAUAUAGCUGUUUAAUUUCAAUUUAUUUUGUUACUUCAAUUGAUGUUUUGUAACUUAGUUAAACUAGAACUAAGUUGUUACUGCAAUUGAUGUAUUUUUGUUGACAUUUGAGAUGAUAAAUCAACUUUACCAAGUGUGCAAGUUUAGUUUAACAAGUUCCAAUGUAAUUAGUGGUAGUAGGUAGAUGUUUAGGUGAAAUUUUUUUGUUUUUUAUCAGCCGUGACAUAUGUAAUGGCAUUAUGCCUUAAUUGCAAGUUAAUGAAUAUACACAUUUUCUUCUUCAUUUUUUCUGGUUUUUUACUCAAGCAAAUUGCUCAAGCUUCAUAUCUGAUUUAUGUUGUUUGCUUAACAACCAUCGAGCCUUCAAGCUCAAGUUUCUAUCUUUGUCAUUCAUCUUCAUUCUUAGUUUUAACAGACAGAUUUGGGAAAUUGAAUUUCUCUUCAUUUCCAAAUCUUGUCCUUCUUGAUCUUAGUGAUCAUCAACUUGAUGGAAAUAUCCCGCACCAGAUAGGUGAUCUAUUCGCAUUGAAGUACCUUGACUUGUCCAAUUGUGGUUUAUCCGAUGAGUUACCUCCUGCUCUAGGAAACCUAACCCGAUUAAAGUACCUUGACAUUUCCUAUAAUGAUAAUAUUAACAGUUUCAUCCCUCCACAACUAGAAAAUCUAAUGAACCUUGUCAAUUUAAACUUGAGUGUCAACAGUCUUACAGGGAAGAUUCCUUUAGAAUUAGGAUUUUUUAUCAAAUUUGGUUUAUUUGGAUCUUUAUAGCAACAAGAUUUUUGGUCCAAUACCAUUUUCUUUGUACCAUUUGAUAGAUUUGGAACAUCUGUACAUUGAUAAUAACUACCUUGAAGGAUCAAUCUCUAAAAAUAUUGAAAAUUUCAAGAAAAUAAGCUUUUUAAACAUCACUAAUAAUAGAUUUACUGGUCAUAUUCCUCUAGCUUUUUGUCGUUUGCCCACUUUGGAAGAAAUCUUUCUUGACCAAAAUCAAAUAAGUGGUUUGGUCCCUUCUUGCAUUGGUAAUUUAUCCAACUUGACUUCAUUGUACCUCUCUCCCAAAACAAAUUGAGUGGUUUGAUCCCUUCUUGUAUUGGUAGUUUAUCAAAAAUGCAGUAUUUAAGACUUGGUUCUAAUCUAUUAGAAGGUCCUAUUCCCCAAGAAAUUUGUGAUUUGGGAAAUUUAACUUCAUUAGGCCUCUACCAAAACAAAUUGAAUGGUUCAGUCCCUUCUUGUCUUGGUAAGUUGUCCAAAUUGCAUACCUUAAGACUUGAUUCAAAUCUAUUAGAAGGUCCUAUUCUUGAAGAAAUUUGUGACUUAGCAAAUUUAACUUCAUUAAGCCUCUACCAAAACAAAUUGAAUGGUUCAAUCCCUUUUUGUCUUGGUACAUUGUCCAAAUUGGAUACCUUACAACUUCAUUCAAAUCUAUUAGAAGGUCCUAUUCCCCAAAAAUUUUGUAAUUUCGCAAAUUUAACUUCAUUGUACCUCUUCCAAAACAAAUUGAGUGGUUCAAUCCUUUCUUGUAUUGGUAGUUUAUCAAAGAUGCAGUACUUAAGCCUUGGUUCUAAUCUAUUAAAAGGUCCUAUUCCCCAAGAAAUUUGUAAUUCAGAAAAUUUAACUUUAUUGUACCUCUCCGAAAACAAAUUGAGUUGUUCAAUCCCAUCAUGUAUUGUCAAUUUAUCCAAUUUGUAUACCUUAGAACUUGAUUCAAAUCUAUUAAAAGUUCCGAUCCCUGAAGAAAUUGGUAGGCUUUUUCACAUAUCAAAUUUAAACCUCAGCUUCAACCAACUCUCAGGUAGUGUCCCUAUCUUGUCUGCCACUAAACUUCACAUUAUCGAUGCUGGAAAUAACUGUAACAAGAUUUCUUCCAAUCCCUUUGAAGGCAAUAGUGGUUUAUCACCCUAUAUGUGUCCUUCUCGAGAAACCGACAAAGUUAAUAGCAGUAGGUUUCCUUACUAUAUCAAAAUAUUCCUCCCUAUUACCAUCUUAUCCGCAUUCACCAUUUUGGGAUGUUUUCUAUUUUCACGAUUUAAGCUCAUGAAUAAUCGUGCUAGUAUACAACCAAUGAAAUGGGGAUUUGUGUUCCAUAUAGAACUAUGAUGGAAAGAUACAUACGAGGAUAUUGUCGCAGCAACAGAGGAUUUCGAAUUUCGAUACUGUAUUGGAGUUGAUGGCUAUAGAAGUGUUUAUAGAGCAAAAUUCCCUUGUGGUAAAGUAGUUUCUUUGAAGAAACUUCAUCACUUUGAAGUCGAGAAUCCAACCUUUGACAAGAGUUUCAGGAAUGAGAUCAAGUUUCUAACAAAAAUAUGACAUCGAAACAUAGUAAAGUUUCAUGGGUUUUGUCUACACCGAUGGUCUAUGUUUUUGAUCUACGAAUACAUGGAAAAAGGGAGUUUGUUCUGCAACUUAAGAGAUGAAGUGGAAGCUGUGGAAAUGGAUUGGACAAAAAGAGUGAAUAUCAUCAAAGGCAUAGCACAUGUUUUUUCUUACUUGCACUUUGAGGCCUUUGUAGCUGACUUUAGAACUGCUAAAAUGCUGGAUCUUGACUCAUCCAAUCAGACCAUUAUUGUGGGCACAUAUGGAUAUGUAGCUCCAGGUGAUUUUCUUUGAUUCAUUUACUGAUAUUUUCUUUUGAAUUUAUAAAAUUAAUUUAAUAUAUAAUUGGUUUUCUUUUUAUCUGGUUGACAUAGAUAGAACUUGCCUAUACAAUGGUUGUUAUCGAAAAAUGCGAUUUCUAUAGUUUUGGAAUGGUGGCCUUGGAAACAUUAAUGGAAAAGCAUCCUGAAGAAGUGUUACCAUGGUUGUCAUCAACUUAUUUGUUAAAUAUGAAGCUGAUUGAUGUGUUGACAACCGUUUACCACUUCCAACAAGCCAACUAGUUGCACAAAAUCUUGUUCACGUUGCUACACUAGCAUUCACUUGCUUAAGUCUGCAACCCAAGUCUCGACCAACAAUGAAAGAAGUGUGUGAAGAGUUUCUUUGUGACCAAAAAUCCUUGGGAAUUCCCCUUGGGAUGGUCUCUUUGUUACAACUUGUCAACCAUAAAAUCCACAUUAGAGGCAAAACUGAAAAUUGUAGUGUUCAAAGUCCAUGCGCUUGUUAGAUACUGUUUGUCAUGCUGUCAUGAUUUGUUUCUUCAGUAGCUCUUGUGUUAUGUAUGAUGUAAUGAAUUGUAAUGUUGAAUACACUUGUUUAUUUGGUGGCUAUGGAAGAAAUAAAUUCUGCAAUUUGAUUCAAAUCUUCAUACUUCGUCAAGUUUUUCCUUCUUCCAAACAACAUAAAGAUAAUAUAUAAAAUAAAAGUAACCAUAAAAAUAAAUUUUGGAGAAGAAGGAUAUUUGAUAUGAUUUUUUGUAAAUUUGAACUAGGAUAUUUGACCUAGAAAAGAAACCGUGAUUGUAAUUGUUUUGUGACCUCAGAUACAAUGUUAUUAUGAUCCAACACAUGCCUAGCUUUCAUAAUCCUCACUCUCUGCCUAGUUUCUUGAUUUUAUAUGUAUGGUUUCCGUAGUUGAAAUCUAAUUAUAGAUAAUUUUUUAUUGAUUUAUAAAAAGAUAAAAAGAUAAAAACACUCCCAUAAUUAUAUAAUAUAUCUUGCAAAUAAAAUGGUUUUUUGACAAUUCCCCUAAUUGGAAUCCAGUUUGAAUUAUACUCCAAUUUCUAAAUUGUUUUUAAAGGUGCUUUUUUAAAAAAAAAAGUGUUACAUAAAUUAUAAUUUUAUUAUUUUACUUAAAAACUAGUGUAAAUUAUUUAGUUGGUCACCUAAUUUUUAAAGUACUUUUCAUUUUAGUCACUCAAGCAUUAAAUUUUAAAAUUGUAAACAUGAUAUGACAUGCAUAGUUAACUACCGUUAGAGAUUUAAUGCUUAGGUAAAUAAAAUGAAAGCGGCCUAAAAGUUGAGUGACAAAAUUGCAAAGAUUUCAUUUUAAGUGAUCAACAUGAAAGCACCUUAAAAAUUAGAUGACCAAAGUAAUUUACCCUAAAAAGUAUGCAACAUCCAAUAAAAGUGCUUCAUGUGACAUGCUUUUAUUUGCUUACAUUGUUUUUUAGUAAACUAGAAUAAAAUUUAUAGUUUCCAUGUCGUUUCUAAUAAAAAAAAUUUAAAGAUUAAUCUAAAAAUUAAGGUAUAGUUGAAACACAUUUUUUAACAAAGCUUCAAAAUAUGAUCGAAAAGAUUAGCAUUAAAGGAAAACUACAAUGUUAAGUUAAAAAUAGUAAAAUGUUUGGCGCUAAAAGCAUCAAUUGAAAUUAUUAGAUGACUGGUAAGGCUUCAAUUCUAUUAUUUGUAUACAAUUCUUGUUAAAUUGCAACACUAGCUUAUAAUCACCAUUUAGUAUAGUAGAAAUUAUAUUUUAUUAGUGGUUUAUGUUGUAUAAAGUUUAACUUAGUUUAGAGUGUUUUCUUAGCAAGGAAUGAAUCUCAAGUUGCCUAGGAACAAAAGGUAAAAGAUUAUAAGUCUAUAUAAAACCCCUUUCUCAUAUGACAUAGAAAAACAAGGAUAGUGGACCUUGAGUUUAUAUAAAGACCUAUGUUGCAAAUAUUAUUUGCACCAAAUCAACUAUUAAAAUUUCUAUUUGAUUUCUUUUAAUUCCUCUUUUAUUUUCUUAUUUUGGAGUAUUUAGGAGGUGUAACUAAAUAUUAGUUUAGUGGUCUUGUAAGCACAAGUGUUCUACAAUUUUUAAUUUUUUUAAGUAGAAAAAAUUUAAGUUCAUAAAAGAAAAAAAGUUAUAUCAUCAUUUCUGCUAAAAAUUUAAAGAAGGGUUAUCAAACAAAAUUAAUUGAAAAUGUUGGUAAUAAAAUUGAAAAUUUUUGUAGUUCAACAACCACAACAAAAACUUACUAUUAGUUGAGUGGCUAAUAAUGUAGUUUAAUCUAAAAACUAAAGUUUUCAACUUUAAAUGAAUUGGCCAUAUUUUAAAUCCAUACAAACGUAAAAACAUUCUUUUUUCAACAAUUUUUUAAAAAUUAAACCUAAUAUCCUUAUUUGAAUCCAUAUAAAUGUAUAUUUUAUUUUAUUUUGCAUAUUUCUAUUAAAGAAAAAUAGACUAGUUUUAUCUUAUAUCUAAUAAUUACAAAAUAUUGAAUUUGUUUGUAAAAUUUGUUUAAAAAUUUGUACAAUUUCACAAAUAAUAUGAAAUAAUGUAUUCUAAAUAUUGGAUAUUGUAAACUAUUUAUAUACUAUAUGUUUAAUACUAUAAAAAUAUUUAUAUUAUACACUACAAAAAAUUUAAAAUUUUAUACAUAUUGUUUAAAUUAUAUAGAAUUAUUUAUACAAUUUAAAUUUUAAGAGUUCUUUAAUUGUUUUAAAAGUUAAUAUAAGUAAAUUUUAUAUGAAUUUUUAAAAUUUUAUUAGUCUAGGUAUAUAAUAUCUAUAUGAUGGAGAGUAAAGGUGUCCAUGGAUCGAGUCAGAUUCAGACCAAGCCUAUGCAAAUAUCUAGAUCAAUUUUUCAAGCCUGACCUAGCUUGAAAAAAUGACUUACUUUUUUCCCAAGCCCAACUCAAUCUAAGAAAGAUAAAUUGGGUCUGACUCGGCUCGCCCAUAUUUGAUUUUUUAGAUUAGUUUUUUUAAAGGUAAUUUAAAAAUUAUAUAUAAUACACUAAAUGAAAUAAAAAGUGAUAAAAUAAAAGUUUUCUAACAAAUUAAAAAAGAUUUAUAUUCAAAAAUACGACCAUAAAUAUAAUAAAUGUUUUAUUAUAUUAAAAAAACAAAUAAAUGUACUAAAGAUUUUAUUUUAUUAAAUAAUUUUCAAAUCUUAUAUUUUGGGUAGGGUUAGUUUGGUCUUUUUUUUAGGUUUUGGGUAAUGGGUAUAAUUUUUUUGGGUUGGUUAUUUAAUAUAACUCUCUAUCAUUAUUAUUUACCCUAUAUUUGGGGUGGGCCAAGCUUCGGGGGUUUAAGUUCGCGACGCUAACCUAACAAUUUUAAAAAUUUACAUUUUAGCUCUCAUUCAACCUCGAGUUAUCAAAAGCACUUUCAUAAGCUCAUUUAACCCUAAAAUUUAUUAUAAUCUUGGUGUUCCUGAUGUAAUGGCCUUGAUAUUCUGUAUAAAUUGUUUUAAUUAAAUUACAAUUACGGUCGUAGUUUUGCUCUGGCAACGAAUGUGUGAUGGUCACUAAACUAACUAUAACUAUGAUAAGCGACAAUAGUAUAGCUAUGGCGAGUAGGGAAUAUCAUAUCCAAAAGGACUAAAAAUACUAGUAAUUAUUGUUUUUCUAUUAUUUAGCCGAUAAAUUGGGAUGAUUGUUUUUAAUCUAAAAUUACUAAACUAUUACUAAAGAAGGCAAGCAGAGAAUGAAUUAAGAAAUAAUUGAAUAAAACCAUGAUAUAGACACUACCCAGGAAAGAAUCCACCUAGACUCCACCUAUUAUUCUGAAUCUGAAUUAAACGAUUUAUUCACUUAUGUCUUGAUCUGUAGAAAUCCCUAAAUUAUGUUAAUAUCUCUUUCGAGAGUAAAAACAAUUGACUCUAGAUUCAUUAAUUGAAAUCUCUUUCUAAUUAAAACCUCUAUUGUCGCAUUAGCUCAAUCUAUGGAUUCCCCUAUUAGAUUUGACUCUAAUCCGGUAGAUUUAUGCCGUCUUAUUUCUACGGUUGCAUGCAACUCCACUCAAUUAUGCUAGAUCUACUCUUAAACAGGGACUUUUGCUCCACUGAAAAGAACAUUAAACAUGAGUUAAUAUCCUGAAAAUAUUAAACACGAAAUAAGCAUACAUAAUUGAUGUAAUAGCCCAAAUUUGCCCGGGCCCGUGAAAUAGAAUAAAAAAAUAAAAAAUAAAAAAAUAAAUUUAAUGUCUGUAAUGUCCAGUUUACAAUAAACGAGCCUAAAGACUUGAUGACCCAAGACCCAAUUAGCCAAAGAACCCAAGUGCCCAUUACACCCUCAACCCAAAAAACAUACGGGGCCCAAGAGGCCCAAACCGUAAACUAAGGACAGAAGACCUAGGGUUUCAGAAACCCUAGGCGCCGCAAGCACUCCAACCGUCACCCUCUNNNNNNNNNNNNNNNNNNNNNNNNNNNNNNNNNNNNNNNNNNNNNNNNNNNNNNNNNNNNNNNNNNNNNNNNNNNNNNNNNNNNNNNNNNNNNNNNNNNNNNNNNNNNNNNNNNNNNNNNNNNNNNNNNNNNNNNNNNNNNNNNNNNNNNNNNNNNNNNNNNNNNNNNNNNNNNNNNNNNNNNNNNNNNNNNNNNNNNNNNNNNNNNNNNNNNNNNNNNNNNNNNNNNNNNNNNNNNNNNNNNNNNNNNNNNNNNNNNNNNNNNNNNNNNNNNNNNNNNNNNNNNNNNNNNNNNNNNNNNNNNNNNNNNNNNNNNNNNNNNNNNNNNNNNNNNNNNNNNNNNNNNNNNNNNNNNNNNNNNNNNNNNNNNNNNNNNNNNNNNNNNNNNNNNNNNNNNNNNNNNNNNNNNNNNNNNNNNNNNNNNNNNNNNNNNNNNNNNNNNNNNNNNNNNNNNNNNNNNNNNNNNNNNNNNNNNNNNNNNNNNNNNNNNNNNNNNNNNNNCAUUUUUAUUUUAAAUUGGCCCUAAUAUUUUACGAUUAAUUCAAUUUAGUCCCGAUGGCCCUUAUAAAGUUUACUCUGGGAACGACGUCGUUUUUGGGAUUAGGGCUAAUUGCCCAGUGAGUCCCUUGGUUUUAGUGCGUGUUUCAAUUGGGUCUAAAAUUCUUUUGAAAUUAACCCUAAAAGUUUUAUUCUUAUUUCAUUUUAAUCCUUUUUUAAAUUUUUUUAUAUAAUUUAUCUAUUUUAAAUAUUUUUAUAUUAUUUAUUUUCACUACAAACAUUAUUAUAUAAAAAUUAUUAUAUAUAUAUUUUUUAAUUAGACAUUUAUUUAUACGCUUUAUCAUAUAUAUUAUAUUAUUUUAAUAUAUAUUUUAUUCAUUAUAUCAUUUUCAUUAUAUAUUAUAUUUUUAUUUAUUUAUUACUAUGUACAAUUUUUUCUAAAAUUUUAACUAAUAUUAAAUAAUAUAUAUAUCAUUAUUAAAUAUUUAGUAUUUAAUAUUCUAAAACUUAUUAUAAAACUUUGUUCCUAUUCAACAUAUUAUUAUUUUUAUAAAUAUAUAUAUUAAACCGCUACAUUAUAUAGUAUUUUUUUAAAAAAAUUAUCCUUUAUUAUUUUUAUAUUGUUUUAAAUUUUUAUUUGUAUGUAAUCUUAUCUUUUUCUUUUCUUCUGACUUUUGUUAUAUAUUCCUAACUUAUUUAUUUUUAUACUAUUUUGUGUUUAUUUAGUAUUAUUUUAAUAUGUUAAUUGUAUCUUAUGAAUUACUUUUUAUUCUUAUUUCAUUUAUUAUUUUAUAUAUUUGCAUGGAAGUUUAUGUUGUUAUUUUAAGUUAUAUCCGCAUGAAAUAUUGUUGUAUAUUAUGUAAUUUGUAUUGUUCUAUUCAUUAUUCUUUAUGUUGUAUUUUGCAUGGAAUGAUAAUGUAUGUAUAUUUACGUUAUUUACGUUAUUUACAAUUAUAUAUGCAUGAAAUGUUAAUGUAUACUAUGUUAUUUACAUCAUUAUUUAUCAUUUUCCAUACUAUAUUUACAUGAAAUGUUAAAGUAUGAAUCAGGUAACUUAGUUUACUUAAUAUUGAUCCUUUGUAAUACGUUAAAUACAUCAUUACUUUUAAAAAAAUUAUAUCUCAUUUAAUCCAAAAGAAUUUUAAAAAGAGAGGCAAUGUCUUUGCUAUUUAGGAAUUCGGGAAGUAGUGCCUUAACAUGCUGGGUUGCGAUUUCUCGUCUGCCUAAAUGUCUAAAGUAUCCUUCUAAAUAGAUUUUGUAAAUCACGAGAUGAUUUCAAUUUUGAAAGAUUUAGAAUAUCGUGUCCAAUCAUGCUGGAUGUGAUGUUUGUACUCUUUUGGAGUGAAAGAACCUCGAUUUUCAGCAAAUUAUUAUAGCUUUAAAAAGGGAUCUUAUUUCUAAAUUCUUUCAAACUUUUGACAUCAAGACAGAAAAAUAAUUUGGUACCAGUUUUGGGCGUUGCAAGGGUGCUAAUCCUUCCUUGCAUGUAAUCGACUCUCGAACCCAUCUUCUCAUGUUUUCGUAGACCAAAAUGUUUUAUAAGGUGAUCUAAUCACACCUAAAAGGUUGGUGGCGACUCCCGUUUUUCAAAAAUCUCAUUUUUAAAAAGGAGGUUUCGACAGCUUGGCGACUCCACUGGGGACCAAUAAGAGAGUCAAGCCAAGAAAUUGAUUAUUUUCUAUCUUAAUGUUGGAAGUUUGGAAACUUUUACAUAUAUUGAUCUUUUUAUAUGUGUUUGCUGCAGAUGUUUGUUAUCUUGUUUUCGCACACAUUGCAUUUGUAUGACCGCUGUGGUCGCACCCUUAAGUGGGAGUGAGAAGCUACGCUUUCGUGAGGUUUUCACCUCCGUAUGGGCUAGUGGAUUACUUUCAGGAUACAUCUGUACCUAUGUCUUCGUGAGAUUUUCAUCUCCAUAUGGCCAUAGGGAAAUGUGUUCCCUUGAACCGAACUUGGUACAUAUGAGCCUAUAAUGGGUGAGGACCGAGGAAUCUACUGGUUCAGGUACCCUCGCUUUAGAACUGAAACGCAUAUAAUGAACUUUAAGUGCUUACCCUAGGGAGUAUAGUGAUAGCCUUUAGUAAGCUACCUUUAUAAGUGUUUGUUUAUUAUACGUUUAUAUAUGAUACUGACUUAUUUUAUUUUUUUAUCAUUGCAUGUCACUCAAUAUUUAAAAGUAUCGAUUCACGGUACGAUUUCUAGAUUAGAAAGUUUUGUAAUGAGGAACGAAUAUCUUGAUAAAGUGGAGGACAAAGUGGAGGACAAUGCUUCUGUCUGUGCAUGGUCAGAAAAAAGCCAAUUAAAGAAAGGAGAUAGUGUCACUGAGGGGUAUACAUCAGAGUUGUGGGACUUCACUCGUAUCAGUUCAACACAGAAUGAGUUUCAGGAGUUGAAGGACAUUUGGGUCCAAUAGAAUGACGAGGCUAAGCAGCUGUUCUACCAGAAUUAUGGAGAUCUUCCCUAUUUGCUAGACAUCAAGGUGGAUAAGCAUCUGUUUCUAGUUAUGGUACAAUUUUGGAACCCUGCUUAUAGUUGUUUUACAUUUGGAGAGGUAGACUCAGUACCUACUUUGGAGGAGUAUACGACCUUACUUCGCUGUCCAAAAAUUCAAGGUAACAAAGCUUAUGUUAGGGCUAUUAAUCCCCCAACUUUCGUGAAGAAAUUAAUGAUGAUUACAGGGGUGAGUGAACAGUGGGCCGCAGCUCGAGUCCAACAAAAUGGUGAUAGUAAAUGCAUUCCGUGGGCAAGUUUGAGGGAUUUGAUAUUGGCACACCCAGAUGUGAAGAAAAUGGUUGAUAUCUUGGCCUAAAGUAUGUAUGGUUUGGUGAUUUUCCCAAAAGCUAUGGGGAACAUAGAUGAGGCAGUUGCAGAUUUAUUCGAUCGACUUAGUAAACAGAAUACACCUGUACCUGCAAUCCUAGCUGAGACGUUUAGAUCCUUGAGCCCAUGUCGAAAAGCUGGUGAAGGUAGAUUCAUUGGAUGUGCACAGUUGUUGUUAGUAUAGUUCCACAAUCACUUUUGGAAAGUUGAUAAGGUUCCCUGCCGAAUGUUCUCUAAGGAUUAUUCUCCCUUAAGGAAAGUAGCAGUUACACUAGGGAGGGACGACAUUACAGAGGAAAGGUAGAUAGAAAUACUUCAGAAUCUCCGAGAGGAAGAUGUAAUGUGGAUAGCCUCUUGGAUGGCUCCUAAUGAAGUCCUUUAUCGUUGUGGAAAUUUUGAUUAGGUACUUCUUCCUGGAAUUUGGGAAGUUGUUGGUUAUGCACCAUUACUCGUCCUAAGGCAAUACAAAGCGGGGCAGUUUAUACCGGCAACACAAGGGUUAGCCCAGAGUGAUUUCUCAUAUAAUGGGGAUCAUUAUAAGAAGAAGAUGCGAGAGAUUUCUGAGGCCUGAAAGAAAAUUUAUUGUGUGAAGAUUCUGACUGAAGGUCUGACGGCGACCCUUGAGUACAAAGAGUGGUUUAGCAACAGAAUCAAUGAUAACAUCCCUAGACCGAGUUUGGGAGCUUCCCGAUCGAUGGAGGAGAGUUUACGAGUGAUUUCAUCAGAGUUAGAAGUUAUAAAACAAGAGUUUGGAAGGAAGAAUUUGGAGCUCAAGAGAAAGAUAGAGAAGCUUGAGGAGGAGAAGAUGUACCUGAGUUUAAACGUCGACGUUCAUAGAAUUGAGGUCGAAAAAGAGAGGAAAGAAAAGAGGAAGAUUGAGGAAGACCGAGAUGACUUGAAGACGCAAUAUAAGAGGAUACAGUUAUCAAUGAAAAGAGCUGGGUUGGGGAAGUCUUUAGAGCAGUGGCAACAAGAGGUUCAAGAAGAAAGAGCCAAAGCCGAAUAUUGGGAGAAGAAGUUUCAAGAGAUACAGUCGCGUAAUCAGGCCCUAGAGAAGGAGAAUCAAGGAUUAAAAACUAAGGUAACUGAGCUUGGAUGAUCUCUUCAUCAUCACCGAAGUUGUAACUCUGCGGUCGAGUUAAAGGCAAGCCUGGAUACGAUCGAGGAAAUGAAGCACAAUAUUGGAGGGUUGGAAGCAGCAUUACAGAACUGUGAGCUAUAGAUUGAGCAACUCAAGGCAAGAGAAGAACAUUGGAAGGGAGAGCUUCACCAUUUUCAAGAUCAAGUCAGAGAUAGGGACUAUAUCAUGGGAGAAGCUAUAGUACAGAUUUGAGAGGUUGCGGAUCAUUUGCAAGACCUAGCAGUGCAAGCUAAUGUAUUGAGUACAAAGUAUGAGUUAGUGCCAGAUAGAGGUCUAGAGUUAGCCUUGUUAUUGGAUAGAGUUAAAAGUAUGGGCCUAAAGGCAAAGACGUAUUUGUAAUCCGUUUUGUGUAAAGAUUUUUGUUUCUUAAAUAACGUUUUCUAAAAGAAACUGAAUCAGAAUCGAUAUCUUUUUACAUUCAUGCAUUUGCAUCUCAUCGCAUCAUAUGCAUUCAAAUUUAUAGAAAGACCCUAAUUAGUUAAAAUUAUUAAGGAGAAAGAGAGACUGAGAAAAAGAAAAUCUAAAAGCAACAUAUCCUUACGGUACAUGCACUAAGACAAAGAAUAUGGAUCAAAGACUUGAGUAGAUAUAGAAAGAAAUGCAAGAGCAAUUACAGGAACAAUUGGGGAAAAUCCACCAGGAGAUGAAGGAUCAAAUGGUAGAGGCUCAAAGGAAUAUGAUGGUUGAGAUGGCUCAGCUACUGAGGGGGGCAACGGAUAAAGGAAAGGCCCCUAUGACUACCACUGAAGAGGAUAACGAGGAUCAUCCUCCUCGUUUUACUCCACCUCAUGUGCAGACUCAACCUGAGGCAUAUCCCCGAAGGCCGUUCAUCACAAUAAGGCCUCAACAGGGGCAAGUCGAUGCUAGAAUGCCCAUGAACUUUCAAACUGGUUCGAGAUUCAACCCUGGAGAUUACCCUACCAAUCCAGUCAUCCCUGAUUUAGAUGUAGCUGAGAGAGAAGAUAUGAGGCUCAAAUCAUCAAGGCAAUUAAAGGAACGUUACAGAUGGUUAGAGGAGAAAUUUAAGGCAUUAGAAAAUGCUGAUAAUCAUCAAGGAAUUGAUGCCAAAGACUUGAGUUUGGUCCCAGAUUUGGUACUUCCUCAUAAGUUCAAGAUGCCAGAAUUUGAGAAGUACAAUGGGACUACUUGCCCUGAGGCUCGUAUCACCAUGUUCUGUAGACGGAUGACUGGCUAUGUAAACAAUGAUCAAUUAUUGAUCCAUUAUUUUCAAGAUAGUUUGGUUGGGGCAACGGCUAGAUGGUACAAUCAAUUGAGUCGCGCAAGGAUUGGUUCUUGGAGAGACUUAACGCAAGCCUUUAUGCAGUAAUAUAAUCAUGUGAUUGACAUGAUUCCUGAUAGAAUCACUUUGCAAAAUAUGGAAAAGAAGCCUAAUGAGCUUUAGGCAAUAUGCACAAAGGUGGAGGGAGGUUGCCAUGGAAGUUCAACCACCGCUCUUGGAGAAAGAAACUACCAUGUUUUUCAUUAACACUUUGAAGGCCCCAUUCAUUACUCACAUGAUUGGAAGUACCACCAAGAGUUUUACUGAUAUAGUUAUGGCGGGAGAAAUGAUUGAGAACGCCAUAAGGGGUGGUAAGAUAGAGGGGGAAACUGUUAAAAGAUCGGCCCCAAGAAGGAAAUAUAAUAAUGUGAACAAUGCGAGUAGUUAUAAUUCAAAAGCAAUUACUGUUAGUCAAUCAAGAGCAACUACGGUUGGGCAACAGGAUUCCCAAAAGUAGGAAUCUGGUUCGAGACAAAAUUCUGAAAAGGUCUCAUUUACACCUAUCCCGGUGACGUAUCGAGAGCUUUAUCAAAGUCUAUUUAAUGCGCAUGUAAUAGCUCUUUUUCAUUUGAAACCACUGCAAUCCCUAUAUCCCAAAUGGUACGAUGCAAAUGCCAAAUGUGAAUACCAUGCAGGGAUAUUAGGGCACUCAAUCGAAAAUUACACUGGCUUUAAAAAAGUAGUGGAAAGACUGGUCAAGAUGGAGGUCGUAAAAUUCGACGACACUCCUAGUACAGAGAACCCAUUGCCAAACCAUGGUGAUCAAGGGGUAAAUGCAAUUGGGGACACUAAUAUGGGAAGGAUCAAAGAGGAUGUGGCUGAGAUAAGAAUGCCGAUGAAAGUAAUCUGGGAAGAAAUGGUGAAAAGAGAAAUGAUAAUCUCUGAGGAGGGAAAUAGAGGAGUGAGGGAUUACUGCGAGAUCCAUGCAGAAAAGGGACAUGAGAUCCAGGAAUGUGACGAGUUUAAGGCCUUAAUACAAAGCCUUAUGGAUAAUAAAGAGCUAGAAUUUUAUGAAGCUGGCUCAGAUGAGGGUUAUGUAUGCACAUUGGAAGGGGAACCCAAGAAUCGAAGAAUCAACCGACCAAGGAUCAUUAUUUCCCUACCAAUGAGUAAUAAAAUUGAGACACAAACAGCGCCAAAAGUCAUUAUUCACAAACCCGUUUCCUUUCCUUAUAAGGAUAACAAAAGGGUACCCUGGAAUUAUGACUGUAAUGUGACAAUACCAGAGAGAGAAAAUAUAGCUAGUACUUCUAAGGAGGCUCAAGUUUAAGGAUUCUACACACGUAGUGGGAAGCAUUAUGAUGCAAAAGGCAUCAGAAUUAAGCCUAGGAAAGUGAAAGCCUUUGACGUUGAGAAGGAGAAUAAGGCUGAGGUACUUAUUAAUGAGCCAAUGAAGGAAGAAGAAGCUAGAGAGUUUCUAAAAUUCCUGAAACACAGUGAGUACAACGUAGUUGAGCAAUUGCGCAAACAACCAGCUCGUAUAUCAGUAUUGGCUUUGCUUCUGAGUUUAGAGGUACAUCAUGAGGUGUUAAUGAAGGUGCUCAACAAAACUUAUGUUAUUAAUGAUAUAUCCGUCAACAAGUUAGAUCGAUUGGUUAGUAACAUAAGUGCUGACAAUUUCAUUUAUUUCAAUGAUAAUGAAAUCCCACCUGGAGGUAUGGGAUCAGCUAAGGCUUUGCACAUUACCACUCCGUACAAAGGAUAUACAUUUCCGAGUGUGCUUAUUGAUAAUGAGUCAGCCUUAAAUGUCAUGCCAUUGUCCACAUUGAACAGAUUAUCCAUAGACAGUUCUCACAUGAAAACAUGCCAUAAUGUAGUGAGUGCAUUCGGUGGCACAAAGAGGAAGGUUAUGGGAAGAAUUGAUAUUCAUUUGAUUAUUGGGCCAAACACGUAUGAGGUGGACUUUUUAGUAAUGGACAUCAAACCCUCAUACAAUUGCCUGAUGGGGAGGCCUUGGAUACAUUCGGUAGGAGCGGUGCCCUCAUCUUUGCACCAGAAAUUGAAGUUAGUAGCGAACGGAUGGUUGGUCACCAUAAAUGCGGAGGAAGACAUCAAUUACCAGUGACACACCCUAUGUAGAGGCAAAUGAGGAGGCCAUUGAGUGCUCUUUUCGUUCCUUAUAAUUCAUUAAUGCAACAUUCAUUUCAGAGGGGAAUGAGAUGCCGGUGCCUAGAAUAUCUAGAACCACAAGAAUGGGUUUACAGCUAACAAUAGGGAGAGGAGCCUUGCCAGGAAAAGGAUUGGGAAGAUAUCUUCAAGGAGGGAUUCAAAUUCUAGAACUAAAGGAGAAGAGAGACCAUUUUGGCUUGGGUUUUAGGCCAGAUCACAAGCAGAGAAGGAAGGAAAUAGAAAAGCGUCAAGAAAGAAGAAGGGCGCGUUUAAGUGGAAGAGAAGUAGAGUGGGAAUGGUUGACGUUCCCUCAGAUAUCCCAAACCUUUAUAUCAGGAGGGAUAAUUUACCGUGAGAGAAGGUUGCUCGAAAAAGGAAGUUAUCACAUCAAUGUUGUACAUAAUGAAGAGUCUGAACGAAGAAACCUUGAGGGCACUCGCCCUUAUGAACCGGGAAGCUCUUUAAACAAUUGGAUUGCAAAAGAACUUCCUGUAAUUUUUAAAGACUUUUUAGAGUAAUUUUCAGAACACUCUUGUUGCUCUAGAGCCUAGGAGUAAUAAGAUUUCGUUUGUAAAAUAGGCUUAUGUUCGGAUAUUGGCAUUUCAAUAAAACACGACUUUUGUUAUCAAUCCAAGUGAAUAUUCUUUUAUACCGAUUAAUAUUCUUUUGACCUUUUAAAUUCUUUCAAUUUUUUUUUUCAUUUCAUAUGUAACACAUAAAUAAACAUUCUUAAAAUUCAUUCAUUCUUUGUACAUUCUUUCGUACCCCGCAGGUCCCUAGAUAUCAAUGACAUGAGCACUGAUACUACAAAUCCUGAAUUCUCUUUUGAGUAAGACAUAUGUUUAGAAGAGCCUCAGGAUUUCGAGGAUGACGAGAAUUGUGAUGUGUCUCCAAAUCUGUUGAGAAUGGUGAAACAAGAGGAGAAACAAAUCCUACCCCGUAAGAAAGAGGCAAUAGAGAAUGUAAUCUUGGAAGAAGGAAAAGAGGUGAAAAUAGGGACACAAAUUGCAAAGGGAACGAGACAAGGUCUUGUUGAGCUACUACGUGAAUUCAAAGAUAUCUUUUCAUGGUCAUAUGAGGAUAUGCCAGGUUUGAAUACUGAUAUCGCGGUACAUCGUCUUCCCAUAAGACAAGGUUGCAAGCCAGUCCAACAAAAAUUGCGAAGGAUGAGGCCUGAUAUUGUGCUGAAAAUAAAAGAUGAAGUCAAGAAGCAGUUUGAUGCUGGAUUCCUACAAGAGGUUAAGUAUUCAAAAUGUGUGGCUAACAUUGUACCUGUCCCUAAGAAGGAUGGAAAGGUACGAAUGUGUGUUGAUUACAGAUAUCUGAACAAAGCUAGCCCAAAGGAAAAUUUUCCUUUACCGCACAUCGACACUUUGGUGGACAAUACAGCGAGAUAUUCAUUGUUUUCUUUUAUGGAUGGCUUCUCAAGGUACAAUCAGAUAAAGAUGCAUCCUGAGGACAUGGAUAAAACUACCUUUAUAACAUUAUGGGGCACCUUUUGUUACAAGGUAAUGCCCUUCGGGCUAAAGAAUGCAGGAGCAACAUACCAAAGGGCUAUGGUAACUUUAUUUCAUGAUAUGAUGCACAAAGAGAUUAGGUGUAUGUUGAUUAUAUGAUUGCCAAAUAUUGAACAGAGAAGGAACAUAUUGAAGUCUUGAGGAAGUUGUUUCUGAGAUUAAGGAAGUUUCAGUUAAAGCUUAAUCCGGUAAAGUGCACCUUCAAAGCUAGGUGGGGGAAAUUAUUGGGCUUUGUGGUCAGCGAAAAGGGAAUAGAAGUUGACUCAAACAAAGUUAGAGUCAUACGAGAUUUGCCUUCACCACGUACUCAGAAGGAAGUUCGGGGUUUUCUUGGAAGGUUGAAUUAUAUUGCUCGUUUUAUUUCACAAUUAACAGAGAAAUGUGAUCCUAUAUUUCGCCUCCUUAGAAAACACAACCAAGGUACUUGGGAUGAGGAAUGCCAGAAUGCCUUUGAUAAAGUCAAACAAUACUUGUUAAAAGCUCCAGUAUUAUCUCCACCUAGUCCAGAUAGACCAUUAAUUCUGUACUUGUCGGUAUUUAGUAAUUCUAUGGAAUGUGUGCUUGGUCAACAUGAUGAGUCAGGAAGAAAAGAGAGAGCUAUAUAUUACCUUAGUAUGAAAUUCACAGUGUGAAAUGAGAUAUUCACCAAUUGAAAAGUUGUGUUGUACUUUGAUUUGGACAACUCGAAGAUUGAGACAAUAUAUGCUAUAUCAUACGACUUGGCUAAUUUCAAAACUUGAUCCAUUAAAGUACAUUAUGGAGUCAACAGCCCUAAAUGGAAGAAUGGCAAGGUAGCAAGUAUUGCUUUCAGAAUUUGAUAUAAUCUAUGUGAGUCAAAAAGCUAUAAAAAGAAGCACGAUAGUAGAAUUUCUAGCUGGCAGAGCGUUAGAAGAUUAUGAGCCAUUGAGCUUUGAUUUCCCUAAUGAGGAGUUGAUGUAUGUGGCAGCUAUUGAAGAAUAUCCAUGGAAGUUGAACUUCGACGGCGCAUCUAACACGGUAGAAAAUGGAAUUGGGGCAGUCUUGGUAUCCCCAAAUGGUGAUCAUCAUCCAUUUACAUGUAAAUUGGAUUUUGAUUGUACGAACAACAUGGUCGAAUAUGAAGCAUGCAUCAUGGGGAUCCGAGCAGCCAAAGAGCGAAAAAUUAGAACCUUGGAAGUAUAUGGAGACUCUGCGUUGGUAAUUUACCAGCUUAGGGGUGAAUGGAGACAAAGGAUCCCAAACUGAUUAAUUAUCGAAAGGUAGUUUCAGAGUUACUUAAAGAGUUCGAUAAUGUCACUUUCAGUUAUCUCUCACGGGACAAAAAUCAGAUGGCAGAUGCUUUGGCAACAUUGGCUUCCAUGAUCAAAGCAAAUAAACAAGAGGAUGUGAAACCAAUUCAGAUGAGCAUUUCUAAGGUUCCAGCUCAUUUUUGUAAUAUCGAAUAAGAGAAAAAGGAUGACUAUCCUUGGUAUCAGGAUAUAUUACGGUAUGUGAGAAAUCGUGAAUAUCCUGAGCAGGCAACUAAAAACGACAAAAGAACUUUGAGGAGGUUAGCCUGCGAAUAUGUGCUAGAUGGGGACAUCCUUUAUAAAAGAAAGAAAGAUCAGGUACUUUUGAGAUACGUUGAUGUUGUAGGAGCUAGACAAAUCCUGGAAGAAGUACAUGAAGGAGUUUGUGGUACACAUGCUAAUGGCUUUACGAUGGCAAGACAAAUCAUGAGGUUUAGAUUCUAUUGGUCUACUAUGGAAGGAGAUUGUAUCAGUUAUGCUAAGAAAUGUCACAAAUACCUGAUAUAUGGGGACAAGAUCCAUGUACCACCUUCACCCUUACAUGUUAUGACUUCUCCAUGGCCCUUUUCCAUGUGGGGCAUAGAUGUCAUUAGGCCAAUAUCACCAAAAGCUUCGAAUGGGCAUCGUUUCAUUUUCGUGGUUAUUGACUACGUCACAAAAUGGGUAGAGGCAGCUUCAUAUGCUAGUGUUACCAAGUCGACAGUGAGUCGAUUCUUGAAAAAGGAGAUUACUUGUCGGUAUGAAAUGCCUAAGAGGAUCAUAUUGGAUAAUGCAUUGAACUUGAAUAACAGCAUGAUUGCGAAAGUUUGCAGUCAAUUCAAGAUCAAACAUCAUAAUUCAUCUCCAUAUCACCCAAAAAUGAAUGGGGCAGUGGAAGCUGCCAACAAAAACAUCAAGAAGAUAGUGGGGAAAAUGACUGAAACUUACAGAGAUUGGCAUGAGAAAUUACCAUUUGCACUCUUUGCCUAUCGAACGUCCGUUGGAACCUCUACUGGGGCAACUCCUUUCUCGUUGGUUUAUGGGAUGGAGGCAGUGUUACCCAUUGAAGUAGAAAUACAUUCUCUUUGAAUUUUGUCAGGGAUAAAGCUGGAUGAAGCAGAAUGGAUUCAAUCGCGGUAUGACCAAUUGAACUUGAUUGAAGAAAAGAGGCUAAGAGCUAUUCGCUAUGGUCAGAUGUAUUAGAAGCGAAUGAUGCAAGCCUAUGACAAGAAAGUUCAUCCAAGAAAAUUCCACGAAGGAGACCUUGUAUUGAAAAAGAUUCUUCCCAUACAGAAGGACUUUAGAGGGAAAUGGAUGUCGAAUUGGGAAGGGCCGUAUGUUGUGAAAAAGGCUUUCUCUAGAGAUGCACUAAUUUUGACAGAAAUGGAUGGGAAAAGUUUGCCCAAUCUAGUGAAUUCAGACUCAGUCAAGAAAUACUUUGUCUAAAGGGAAGGGAAGACAAGGUGAAAACCCGCAAAGGGCGUUUUGAGGUUUCUAAAAAAAAUGGAGAGGCCAAGGUAAAAACCCGCAAAGGGCGCCUUGAGUCCAAAAGGGUUUUGAGUUGAAAACCCGAAAGGCUGCUCAAAUUUUGAGAAGUAUGUAGUGACCUUGCUAUACCAGAUUUAAGGAGAAGUGGAGUGUGUUACAUACUAGGGCAUCAACAAAGUACUUUGGAUAUUCUAAACACAUAUUAAACUCAAAACAGUUUUUAUGAAAUUUGUAUACAGAAGCCCAAGCUGCGAUAUGUUGGACAUCGAAUUUUUGUUCUCUUUACUAUCUUUGGAUUCUUUUUCUUCUCAAAGAUAUGUUUUCAGAUUAAUUUCCUAUUGAAUUCUGAUGAUUUAUUUAACUAUUCUCAAGAUUAAAUUAUUUGUCUUCCAUUAUUCAUAAAGUGCGUUGCAUUGAAAUAAUGAUUGAUGAACUAAAUAUUUUUACAAAUGAAGUUUUGCAUAUUACUCUGGAAAUCUCUAGAGAAUACAAGAAACUAAAAUAGAACAAUUGUUUGAAGAAUUCCCAUGAGUGAGGGUCGGAGGUAUUCAAGAAAAUUUCUUCAGUUCAAAGGAUAAUUGGGCAAUUCAAAUGAUUCAAUCUUAGGAGAGGAUCGUCUCCAGCAGGUCGUAACGUUCGGAGAAUGGUACAAUAGGACCAAUCUGAUUCAAAACACAUGAGCAGAGUAUGAUUGAUACUGUGAGUAAAAUAAAGGUGGAAUUUUGAUGGAUGAACGAGUAAAGACGUCCGAAAUAGGAAUCAUUCUCAUAACAUUUUGCAUUAUAAUAUGUCUAUUUAGGAGCAUUUGACUCAUUUCGAUCAUGUCACCUUAAUCAUCGGGCAUGAGCACAUAUGCAUUCUACAGGUUACGCCCUUUAAGGGACAAUAUAAAUUACCGAUAGCAGAUUUGGCGUCUUUGUAUUGUCAGAGAGCAGAUCGAAGAUAACAGGUUUGGUGUCUCUGUAUUGCUAAAGAGUAAAUCGAAGAUAACAGGUUUGGCGUCUCUGUAUUAUCAAGGAGCAGAUCGAAGAUAGUAGAUUUGACAUCUCUGUAUGGUCAGAAAGCAGAUCACCAAUAGCAGAUUUGGCGUCUCUAUAUUGGCAGAGAGCAGAUGAAAGAUAGUAGGUUUGGCGUCUCUGUAUUGUCAGAGAGCAGAUCGAAGAUAGCAGAUUUGGCAUUUCUGUAUUGUCAGAGAGCAGAUCGAAGAUAGUAGAUUUGGCAUCUCUAUAUUGUCAAAGAGCAGAUCGAAGAUAGUAGAUUUGGCGUCUCUGUUUGUCAGAGAGCAGAUCGAAGAUAGCAGAUUUGGCGUCUCUGUAUUGUCAGAGAGCAGAUCGAAGUUAGCAGGUUUGGCGUCUCUGUAUUGUCAGAGAGCAGAUCGAAGAUAGUAGAUUUGGCGUCUCUGUAUUGUCAAAGAGCAGAUCGAAGAAAGCACAUAUAGCAUUUCUGUAUUGACAGAAAGUAGAUCAAAGAAAGCACAUAUAGCAUUUCUGUAUUGACAGAAAGUAGAUCAAAGAUAGCUGAUUUGGUGUCUCUGUAUUAGGCGGGGUGCAAAUCAAAGACAUCAGCAUGGCGUCCCUGAGUUUGUGGAAAACAGAUUGAGGAUCAUGAGGUCAGGAUCCGAUAAGACCAGGGCAAAUUUGGUCCUUUUAUAAUCUUUGCUCUAUUCCUAUUACACAGUAAUAAGCAAAGAGGGGUAGCUGUAAUAGCCCAAAUUUUCCCGGGCCCUUGAAAUAGAAUAAAAUAAUAAAAAAUAAUAAAAUAAAUUUAAUUUUUGUAAUGUCCAGUUUACAGUAAAUGGGCCUAAAGACUUGAUGACCCAAGACCCAAUUAGCCUAAGAAUCCAAGUGCCCAUUACACCCUCAACCCAAAAAAAACAUACGGGGCCCAAGAGGCCCAAACCAUAAACUAAGGACAGAAGACCUAGGGUUUCAAAAACCCUAGGCACCGCAUGCACUCCAACCGUCACCUUCCAUCGACGCCUCCAUCAGUGCCGUGAUUCCAGGCUCCAUAUCACGCCGUGAUCAGCUCGUGAAUCAAUGCCAUUGUGCCAUCAUCAGUGCCCGAUCAUCGCUAGUCUCCUCGUUGUCACCUGCAAAAGGGGAAAGAAGAAAUAGCAGAAGCAAUACAAAAUAUGGCAAGAAAUAAAUAUUGUAAAUAUGGUUUUAUUUUCAGUGGCUAUAAAAGCCGAAUUGAGAACGAUGUAAAACUACGUUUUUUUUUUUUGGAUAUACACGCAUAUACAAUAAAAGACAAAACAGUUGAUUGAACAGAGGUGAUUAUUCUACUCUCUUUUAUUUCUUUUCUAUAAAUAUAUACAAAUAUUGAAAAAUAAAAGAAACAGAACCUACCUUUGUGAAAAACGAAGCUUUCCAGCUUCUGAUCGCCGUAAAGAGCGGUGUUGACGGUGGCGCGUCGGCGCGUGUAAGCCCCUGGACAGAGCCUCGACAAAGCUCCGAGGGUCGAUUCUCAACCCUCUUUCAGAGGAUUUUUUUUGUUUUUUUAGAAUCGGGUUUAAAAUGAAAUUUUAGGUUAAAAUUUGGCCUAUAUAGCCUUAUGAAAAUGGUGUCGUUUUUGCUUAAAACAAUAAGCUCCAAAACGGCGUCGUUUCAAAGCUUAAGAUCUGCGUGUAAUAUCCGCGUGUUUUAAUUUUAAGGGCAAAAUACAAUAUCGAUCCUUCCGCAUUUUUAAAAUUUACAAUUCCAUUUUAUUUUUAUUUUAAAUUAGCCCUAAUCUUUUACGAUUAAUUCAAUUUAGUCCCGAUAGCCCUUAUAAAGUUUACUAUGGAAACGACGUCGUUUUUGGGAUUAAGGCUAAUUGCCUAGUGAGUCCCUUGGUUUUAGCGCGUGUUUCAAUUGGGUUUAAAAUUCUUUUGAAAUUAACCCUAAAAGUUUUAUUCUUAUUUCAUUUUAAUCAUUUUUUAAAUUUUUUUAUAUAAUUUAUCUAUUUUAAAUAUUUUUAUAUUAUUUAUUUUCACUACAAACAUUAUUAUAUAAAAAUUAUUAUAUAUAUUUUUUAAUUAGACAUUUAUUUAUACGCUUUAUCAUAUAUAUAUAUUAUUUUAAUAUAUAUUUUAUUCAUUAUAUCAUUUUCAUUAUAUAUUAUAUUAUUAUUUAUUUAUUACUAUGUACAACUUUUUCUAAAAUUUUAACUAAUAUUAAAUAAUAUAUUUAUCAUUAUUAAAUAUUUAGUAUUUAAUAUUCUAAAACUUAUUAUAAAAUUUUAUUCCUAUUCAACAUAUUAUUAUUUUUAUAAAUAUAUAUUAAACCGCUACAUUAUAUAGUAUAUUUUUUAAAAAAAAUUAUCAUUUAUUAUUUUUAUAUUGUUUUAAAUUUUUAUUUGUAUUUAAUCUUAUCUUUUUCUUUUCUUCUGACUUUUGUUAUAUAUUCCUAACUUAUUUAUUUUUAUACUAUUUUGUGUAUAUUUAGUAUUAUUUUAAUAUGAUAAUUGUAUCUUAUGAAUUACUUGUUAUUCCUAUUUCAUUUAUUAUUUUGUAUAUUUGCAUGGAAGUUUAUGUUGUUAUUUUAAGUUAUAUUUGCAUGAAAUGUUGUUGUAUAUUAUGUAAUUUGUAUUGUUCUAUUCAUUAUUCUUUAUGUUGUAUUUUGCAUGAAAUGAUAAUGUAUGUAUAUUUACGUUAUUUACAGUUAUAUAUGCAUGAAAUGUUAAUGUAUACUAUGUGAUUUACGUCAUUAUUUAUCAUUUUCCACACUAUAUUUACAUGAAAUGUUAAAGUACGAAUCAGGUAACUUAGUUUACUUAAUAUUAAUCCUUUGUAAUACGUUAAAUACAUCAUUACUUUUAAAAAAAUUAUAUCUAAUUUAAUCCAAAAGAAUUUUAAAAAGAUAUGCAAUGUUUUUGCUAUUUAGGAAUUCGGGAAGUAGUGCCCUAACAUGCUGGGUUGCGAUUUCCCGUCUGCCUAAGUGUCUAAAGUAUCCUUCUAAAUAGAUUUUGUAAAUCACGAGAUGAUUUCAAUUUUAAAAGAUUUAGAAUAUCGUGUCCAAUCAUGCUUGAUGUGAUGUUUGUACUCUUUUGGAGCGACAGAACCUCGAUUUUCAGCAAAUUAUUAUAGCUUUAAAAAGGGAUCUUAUUUCUAAAUUCUUUCAAACUUUUGACAUCAAGACAGAAAAAUAAUUUGGUACCAAUUUUGGGCGUUGCAAGGGUGCACGUAAUCGACUCCUGAACCCAUCUUCUCAUGUUUUCGUAGACCAAAAUGUUUUUGUAGCACCCCAAACUCGACCCAAAAGUUAUAGCCGGAUCCGGCAUGCCACAUUAAAAACGUUAAAAAAAAUUUCCAUUCUAAGUCCAGAAAAUCGUACUUGAUGUUCAAAAGAUUAAUUCAUUAAGGGUUAAACUGAAUGGAAGCUGUGCACCAGGUAGGAAACCGGAAAAGAGGUGGUGAGUCCAUCGGACUACUUAAGUACCAAGCUCCCUUCAGAUCCAAUCCUAGACAUGCAUACCACCAUUGCCACACCUUAACGUCAUGGAUAUUUCUAGGAAACCAAUUUGAUUAAGUCAUUUUUAGGAAAAGUGAUUAAUUUUGGAAAAUACUUUCAUUGCGGAAGCUUUGCUUGUUGUCGUGUUAUUUUGAAAUCAACUGUUGUUUUUGAAAACGCGCCCUAAAGCUAUCCAAUUUCAACAGUUAAAAUAAGUAUUACCUAUCUUAGUAAUACAUAUUAAAAACCAUCAAAAAUAAAUAAGCGGCCUUAUUACAUUUAAAAGCCCAAAACCUCAAACGUAAUUAAAAGGAUGUCCAGUUCACCAGAAGAAAAUCAAACUUUCAGAACGGGUGGCCACCUUGAAUUCCCUCACAGCUCCAAGCCCACUAUGGUCGGGGAUUACCUGCGUGGAUGAAAAUAAAAGGGAUGAGUUUGGGGAAACUCAGUGUGUAAAAUAACCCAACCAUAGUCUAAAUCAGCUCAACCCACAGAAAUAGAAUAAGUUGGCCUUAGCCCAGAACAGAAUUCAGAAUAAAGCCCAUAGGCCCAUAACAGAACAUAACAGAUAUUACAUGUUUAUGCAGAAACCCAACCAUAUCCAACCGUAUACACCCCCAUACCAACCUUACACCGUGUGGUGAGACAACUCGACCCACCCAAACCGAUACACACCACAGAAAUUUGCAGCAUGGCUUGCCAGAACAGAUAAUGUGACAGAGUCACCAGAUACAGAUAAUCGUGGCAGAGCCACCAGAACAGAUAUAUGUGGCAGAGCACCAGAUCAGAUAUUUGUUGCAUAGCUACCAGAACAUAUUGUGGCAUAGCUACCAGAACAGAUAUAUGUGGCAGAGCCACCAGAUCAGAUAAUUGUGGCAUAGCCACCAGGACGCUUCCUCCAUAAUAUAACCCAUGUCCCCAUGCAACAGAUAUAUAUAAUCAUGGAAAACAUCAUACGGAAUCAAAUCGCCAUGCUUUUCAGUCAAAAUUAACCCUACGGGUAUAACAGUAAUUUUGCAACUAGGGGUAUAACAGUAAUUUUCCAUACAUAGGGGUAUUAUAGUAAUUUAGCUACUUUUAGGGUUUUCAUGCAUAUCCUAACUAUUUACGUAUUAUCAGAACACUUACUGCGCAUACUUACCGAAUUGGGCCCGUUGGCCCAUGAACCCGAUCUUUGGCCCAUUAAGCCCAAAUUAUCAAAAUGUACGAAAUCGCGCGUACUGCAGUUUAUUACUUUAGAUUAUCAAAUAUACAAACCCAACUAUCUUACGAGCAUUCGCACACUCGCAAAUUCCCAAAAUACCGACUUUUCGGUAUUUCAGCUUUUCGGCUUUUGCCAAUCUAGUCUAUGAGAGGGUGUCAGUUACACACCUGUUUGCGACGAUAUGCUGACGAGAUCCACACACGAACCGCCUACAAUUGGAUUACUAACACGUUAAUCUAACUAUUCAAAUACAAACUACGUAUUAACCCCUUACAAUAUUCGGCCAACCACACCUACAGAUCAUAGUAAGCUUAUAAGAAAUCAAUAAGCAACUCAUUAACAAUUUUUUGUCAAUGUUUACCACAUAAUCAUAAUUUCACUGCAAGUUGUCUUCCUGAGCAAUAGUCACUAAAUUAUUUAUAACUGGAGCUACGAAACUCCAAAUCAAGUUCCGUUAAUUUUCCCUGAAAAUUGACUCAUAUAUAUUUUAUCCAUAAAAUUUUCAGAAUUUUUGGUUUAGCCAAUCAAUACCAGAUUUUCUCAAAGUUUCCCAUGUUUCACUAUUUGACUAAUCUGACCACUCUUCAUUAUGAAUCAAAUUUCUCAUUGUACAGAAUUCAAAAUAUGUUCUUGUUUAUUUCAUUAGAAACUAGACUCAAUAAGCUUUAAUUACAUAAUUUAUUUAGCUUCUAAUUGUUCUCCCACAAUUUAUGGUGAUUUUCCAAAGUCACGUUACUGCUGCUGUCCCAAGCAGAUUUAUUACCAAAUCACUCUUUCACACAUACCUUGCAUGCAUGUUAUUUAAACAUGUAUAUCACCAAUCAAUCAUUACAUAUCUAUGAUUUUACUUAAGUAUAAUCUCCAUUUCAUCAUUUUAAAGCACAACAUGUUAGCUGAUUUUUCCCUUUAACAUCUAAGGCACAUGCAUGCUCAUUUGUUUGGCUCAACUUCACCUAUCUUCCAUUUUUCAUCAAAAGAACAUGAAACAACAACCAUUUCCUUCAUUUUAAUUCAUGACUAAAUGCUCACAACACAACUAAAAAUCAAAAUAUACUUCAAGAGUUAAGGUAGAAUCAAGAAGAACUCAUGAACCUUAAAAUAGAAGCAAGGUACCAAGAACUUACCUUCAAUUUUCCUCCUCCUAAUGACCAAAUACUCAAGAGCUUUCUCCUCUCCUUUCUCUUCUCUAACUUUCAGCUAUGAUGAACAAAGAUGGACAAAACUUUGUUCUUUUCACCCUUUUUUCUUUUAAUAAAACUUCAUAUUUCAUCCAUUUAAUUCUAUAAUAUAAAAGACAUGAAAUUCUUAUCAUGAAACAUUUACCUAACCCAUUAUCAUGAAACAUUUACCUAACCCAUUAUCAUGGAACAUUUACCUAACCUAUUAUCAUUGAACCUUUACCUAACCUAUUAUCAAUUUGUAUCAAUUUGUACCAUAAAUUAUGGAUAUCAAGUGUACAUUUUGUCUACAACAACAUGAUGGCUGGCCACUUCAUGUAAAAUGAGAGGUUUGUCAUGCAAAUCCUCCUAUUUUGCACUCCUAUUUAUUUGGCCACUUCAAUUUAGCCUAUAACAUUUUCAAACAUUUUCACAUAGGUCCUAUUUCAGAAUUUCACCCCCUUUUUCUUAUGGAACAAAAAUUAAGUAAAAUUGUCAGGUUCUAUCUUAAGCUUGGGCUUUCUAGAGGCCCACUAACAUAAUUAAACCUAUGCCAACAUUCACAGGAUUCCCGAAAAUUGGGGCGUUACAACUCUACCCUCCUUAAAGAAAUUUUGUCCUCGAAAUUUACCUAAUCCAAACAGAUGAGGGUAUUGCUGUUGCAUCGUCUCUUCUGGUUCCCAAACUCAGAAGUUUCCCCUUCCUUAACUUGUUGAAAAUGAGCGACCAAAGACUCAUCGUUCAACUUUUUUUCCUUAAUCUGAUCCACCCAGGUUGGCCUCACUUGCAACUCAGCCAACAGACUUCCAUCAUCAUACAGACUCAGACGAGCAAACAUUGCUCUCAGAUCAGAUACAGUUCUACGACUUAGAGCAUCGGCUACCACAUUAGCCUUGCUUGGGUGGUACUCGAUCGAACAGUCAUAAUCCUUAAGCAACUCAAUCCAUCUCCUUUGCCUAAGGUUCAGCUCCUUCUGAGUCAACAAAUACUUAAGUCUCUUAUGGUCAGUGUAUAUAAUACACCUUUCUCCGUACAAGUAAUGUCUCCAAAUCUUAAGUGAAAAUAUCACUGCUGCCAACUCUAAAUCAUGAGUCAAAUAGUUUCCUUCAUGAGGCUUAAGCUGUCGUGAUGCAUAUGCAACCACCUUACCCUCUUGCAUUAACACGCAGCCCAAACCCACGUGUGAUGCGUCACUGUACACAGUAAAAUCAUUCCCAGACUCCGGCUAAAUUAACACAAGUGCUUCAGUCAGAACUUUCUUCAACUUCUCAAAAGCUUCUUGCUGCUUCUUAGUCCAUACAAACGAUACUCCUUUCCUUAUGAGUUUUUCAGAGGUACUGCCAUCACAGAAAAACCUUCUACAAACCUUCUGUAGUAUCCUGCCAGUCCUAGGAAACUCCGUAUUUCUGACACUGACCUAGGCGGCUUCCAUUCCAAAAUCGCUUCAAUUUUUUGAGGGUCCACUUUAAUCCCCUCAGCAGAGACCACAUGUCCUAAGAAAGUUACCUCCCUCAACCAAAAUUUACACUUGCUGAACUUCACAAAGAGUUCUUUCUCUAUUAAUACUUACAGCACUAUACAGAGAUGCUCAUCAUGUUUCGUUUUAGUUUCAGAAUAUACCAGGAUAUCGUCAAUAAAGACAACUACGAAUUGAUCUAAAAAUGGUUGGAACACAUGAUUCAUCAGAUCCAUAAACGCUGCAGGAGCGUUCGUUAGUCCAAAUGGCAUAACCAGAAACUCGUAAUGACCAUACCGAGUCCUGAAUGUCGUCUUUUGGAUAUCUGCCUCCUUGACCCUUAACUGAUGAUAUCUAGAUCGAAGGUUGAUCUUGGAAAAUACAGAAGCUCCUCUAAGCUGGUCGAAUAGAUCGUCAAUCCUUGGCAGUGGAUAUUUAUUCUUAAUCGUCAGUUUGUUCAACUGGCGAUAAUCAAUACACAUCUGCAUCGUACCAUCCUUCUUUUUCACGAAUAGCACCGGUGCUCCCCAUGGAGACACGCUUGGCCUAAUGAAGUCCCUGUCCAACAACUCUUGAAUUUGAGCCUUUAACUCCACUAACUCCUUCGAGGCCAUCCUAUACGGUGCGAUGGACACAGGCGCCGUUUCAGGCAACAAAUCUAUUCCAAACUCAACUUCUCGGUUCAGAGGCAAUCCUGGAAGCUCCUCCGGAAAAACAUCUUGGAACUCCUUUAUAGUCCUAACCUUAUCCACUAUCAGUCCCUCCUCUUCUGACUGACUUACAAAUGCCAAAUAGGCCUCACAACCUUUUCGAAUCCACUUUUCGGCUCUUAAAGCCGACACCACAUUGGACAAAAAUCCCUUCGCUCACCUAUCACCAUAACCUCCUCAUCCUUUGUGGUCCUUAACACCAUUCAUUUAGCAGCACAAUCCAGAGUUGCCUUAUGCUUAACAAGCCAGUCCAUUCCUAAAAUGAGAUCAAACUCUCCGAACGGUAACUCCAUCAGAUCUCCAGGGAAAAUCCUACCUUGAGUUUCUAAGGGUACACCCCUAUACAGUUUGUUUACCCUAACCGAGUGACCCAAAGGACUUACUACAAAUACCCCACUCACAACCUCCUCAGAGCAGUCCAAGUUGUCCAUAAUCCGUUCUGUGGCCUCCAACCAAUAUUCUGCCACAUUCGGGGCUAUACCAGACACGCCCCUAAAGAUCUCCGCUCCGUUAGCCCGAAGUCAUUCAGAAAUCGAUCCUCGAAUUCUGUUGCUCGAACUUGUCCCGGCAACCCUUUCCAGAACACGAAGCAUUACCUGUGAUAGGGCAUCAUCCCCGGUACCACGGUCAUGAGACUCUACCUCUGUUGUUGGUGGUACCGGUGCAUCCACCACCGGUAUAUGUCUCGAAGACGAAAAUCUCGCUCGAGCACUUCCUUGGCUCCGUCCACGGCCUCUUGUACUCAUAUCGUAUUUUCUUGAUUCUGAAUUUUUAUGCAUCAAUUAAUAUUCCAGUGUUUAUUACAGAUGUUUUAUGAAUCAGACAGUAGUUCAGAGUUUGUUUUCGCAGAAUCGAAGUCUAGCUACAAUUUCAGUCUCUUAUCAGAUUUUCCUAUGGUUUCACUAUCAUCCUAUCUAGAGUAUUAUAGCAGGAUUUUAGUACAGACAGAUAAGUCAGAAAAAUAUUCAGAAGAGUUCAGAGUAAUACUUACAGGCUUGGGCCGGAGAUUCGGAAUGCCACCUUCUAAAGAUCAAAAUUUUGAAAAUCGAGUUUUUCGCAUUCUUUAUAAAAUUUUCGCUUUCGAAAAUCUUUGUUUUUGUAAACCCAUUCCACAGCCGAGUUGUUGCAACCUAGGCUCUGAUACCAUUAAAUGUAGCACCCCAAACCCAGCCCAGAAGUUAUAGCCGGAUCCGGCAUGCCACAUCAAAAACGUUAAAAAAAAUUUUCCAUUCUAAGUCCAGAAAAUCGUACUUGAUGUUCAAAAGAUUAAUUCAUUAAGGGUUAAAGUGAAUGGAAGCUGUGCACUAGGUAGGAAACCAGAAAAGAGGUGGUGAGUCCAUCGGACUGCUUAAGUACCAAGCUCCCUUCAGAUCCAAUCCUAGACAUGCAUACCACCAUUGCCACACCUUAACGUCAUGGAUAUUUCUAGGAAACCGAUUUGAUUAAGUCAUUUUUAGGAAAAGUGAUUAAUUUUGGAAACUACUUUCAUUGCGAAAGCUUUGCUUGUUGUCGUGUUAUUUUGAAAUCAACUGUUGUUUUUGAAAACGCGCCCUAAAGCUAUCCAAUUUCAACAGUUAAAAUAAGUAUUACCUAUCUUAGUAAUACAUAUUAAAAACCAUCAAAAAUAAAUAAGCGGCCUUAUUACAUUUAAAAGCCCAAAACCUCAAAAGUAAUUAAAAGGAUGUUUAGUUCACCAGAAGAAAAUCAAACUUUCAGAAAGGGUGGCCACUCCGAAUUCCCUCACAGCUCCAAGCCCACUAUGGUUGGGGAUUACCUGCGUGGAUGAAAAUAAAAGGGAUGAGUUUGGGGAAACUCAGUGUGUAAAAUAACCCAACCAUAGUCUAAAUCAGCUCAACCCACAGAAAUAGAAUAAGUUGGCCUUAGCCCAGAACAGAAUUCAAAAUAAAGCCCAUAGGCCCAUAACAGAACAGAACAGAUAUUACAUGUUUAUGCAGAAACCCAACCAUAUCCAACCGUAUACACCCCCAUACCAACCUUACACCGUGUGAGGAGACAACUUGACCCACCCAACCGCUACACACCACAGAAUUUGCAGCAUGGCUGCCAGAACAGAUAAUGUGACAGAGUCACCAGAUACAGAUAAUCGUGGCAGAGCCACCAGAACAGAUAUAUGUGGCAGAGCCACCAGAUCAGAUAUUUGUGGCAUAGCCACCAGAACAGAUAUAUGUGGUAGAGCCACCAGAUCAGAUAAUUGUGGCAUAGCCACCAGGACGCUUCCUCCAUAAUAUAACCCAUGUCCCCAUGCAACAGAUAUAUAUAAUCAUGGCAUACAUCAUACAGAAUCAAAUCGCCAUGCUUUUCAGUCAAAAUUAACCAUACGGGUAUAACAGUAAUUUUACACCUAGGGGUAUAACAGUAAUUUUCCAUACAUAGGGGUAUUAUAGUAAUUUAGCUACUUUUAGGGUUUUCAUGCAUAUCCUAACUAUUUACGUACUAUCAGAACACUUACCGCGCAUACUUACCGAAUUGGGCCCGUUGGCCCAUGAACCCGAUCUUUGGCCCAUUAAGCCCAAAUUAUCAAAAUUUACGAAAUCGCGUGUACUGCAGUUUAUUACUUUAGAUUACCAAAUAUACAAACCCAACUAUCUUACGAGCAUUCGCACACUCGAAAAUUCCCAAAAUACCGACUUUUCGGUAUUUCGGCUUUUCGGCUUUUGCCAAUCUAGUCUAUGAGAGGGUGUCAGUUACACACCUGUUUGCGACGAUAUGCUGACGAGAUCCACACACGAACCGCCUACAAUUGGAUUACUAACACGCUAAUCUAACUAUUCAAAUACAAACUACGUAUUAACCCCCUACAACAUUCGGCCACCCACACCUACAGAUCAUAGUAAGCUUAUAAGAAAUCAAUAAGCAACUCAUUAACAAUUUUUUGUCAAUGUUUACCACAUAAUCAUAAUUUCACUGCAAGUUGUCUUCCUGAGCAACAGUCACUAAAUUAUUUAUAACUGGAGCUACGAAAGUCCAAAUCAAGUUCCGUUAAUUUUCCCUGAAAAUAGACUCAUAUAUCUUUUAUCCAUAAAAUUUUCAGAAUUUUUGGUUUAGCCAAUCAAUACCAGAUUUUUCUCAAAGUUUCCCAUGUUUCACUAUUUGACUAAUCUGACCACUCUUCAUUACGAAUCAAAUUUCUCAUUGUACAGAAUUCAAAAUAUGUUCUUGUUUAUUUCAUUAGAAACUAGACUCAAUAAGCUUUAAUUACAUAAUUUAUUCAGCUUCUAAUUGUUCUCCCACAAUUUAUGGUGAUUUUCCAAAGUCACGUUACUGCUGCUGUCCCAAGCAGAUUUAUUACCAAAUCACUCUUUCACACAUACCUUGCAUGCAUGUUAUUUAAACAUGUAUAUCACCAAUCAAUCAUCACAUAUCUAUGAUUUUACUUAAGUAUAAUCUCCAUUUCAUCAUUUUAAAGCACAACAUGUUAGCUGAUUUUUCCCUUUAACAUCUAAGGCACAUGCAUGCUCAUUUGUUUGGCUCAACUUCACCUAUCUUCCAUUUUUCAUCAAAAGAACAUGAAACAACAACCAUUUCCUUCAUUUUAAUUCAUGACUAAAUGCUCACAACACAACUAAAAAUCAAAAUAUACUUCAAGAGUUAAGGUAGAAUCAAGAAGAACUCAUGAACCUUAAAAUAGAAGCAAGGUACCAAGAACUUACCUUCAAUUUUCCUCCUCCUAAUGACCAAAUACUCAAGAGCUUUCUCUUCUCCUUUCUCUUCUCUAACUUUCAGCUAUGAUGAACAAAGAUGGACAAAACUUUGUUCUUUUCACCCCUUUUUCUUUUAAUAAAACUUCAUAUUUCAUCCAUUUAAUUCUUUAAUACAAAAGACAUGAAAUUCUUAUCAUGAAACAUUUACCUAACCCAUUAUCAUGAAACAUUUACCUAACCCAUUAUCAUGAAACAUUUACCUAACCUAUUAUCAUUGAACAUUUACCUAACCUAUUAUCAAUUUGUAUCAAUUUGUACCAUAAAUUAUGGAUAUCAAGUGUACAUUUUGUCUACAACAACAUGAUGACUGGUCACUUCAUGUAAAAUGGGAGGUUUGUCAUGCAAAUCCUCCUAUUUUGCACUCCUAUUUAUUUGGCCACUUCAAUUUAGCCUAUAGCAUUUUCAAACAUUUUCACAUAGGUCCUAUUUCAGAAUUUCACCCCCUUUUUCUUAUGGAACAAAAAUUAACUAAAAUUGUCGGGUUCUAUCUUAAGCUUGGGCUUUCUAGAGGCCCACUAACAUAAUUAAAUAUAUGCCAACAUUCACAGGAUUCCCAAAAAUUGGGGCGUUACAGUUUUAUAAGGUGAUCCAAUCACACCUAAAAGGUUGGUGGCGACUCCCAUUUUUCAAAAAUCUUGUUUUUAAAAAGGAGGUUUCGACAAUUGAAAAUAAGAAUCAAGUAUUUAUCAUGUAAUUCAUAAAUCAAAUAAUAAGAUUUGUCAUAGGUUUCAUCUUCCCUAGGUAUCUAGGGAAUUUAGUUCAUGAUCUGGAAUGAAAACAUCUCAAAGUUAAGAUAACAACAAGAUAUAAAGAAGCUCAAUAAAACUUCUAAGGAGAUUGAAUGGAGAUCUUAAAUCUUGAAAGAAAUCCGCUUUCGAGUUGAAUCCAAUGGCAUUAUUCGAGCCUUUUCUUCAUUCUUCUUUACGUGCUCCCUUAAGUCCUCUUCUAAUUGUUAUUGAUAGACUUUAGAAUGCUCAGAAAGCCUAAAAUUUUGGUUUUUCUGUAUGUUUGGAAAACAGGGUGCUAAAUUGACAUGGGCUAGCACAUGGGCGUAUGGCCAGCCCGUGUGGAAAUGUUCAGGCCAUGUGGAUCCUGGAAACAGCUCAUUCGUCUAAUUUUGGCUCAUUUUUUUGCUUUUUUUGCUCCCAAAUGCUCACCUAAGUAUAGAAAUAGGAAUUUAAAGGAUUAGGAGCAUUAAAUUCACUAAUUUACAUAAUAAAUCAUCCAAAAAUGAAUCAAGAAUCGGAUUAAAAACAUGUUACUUUUAUGGUUUAUCAAUGUGGCAUCUCGUAGCUCUGAACCAACAACUGGAUUGGGUAUAGGGUAUUAUAUUUAGUGGUAUCAGAGAUACUUUUGGCAGAUUCUCGGACUAAAUCGAGCUCAAAAAUUGAGUUUAAAGGUACAUGCCAAGAUCAAGUCGAGUUUGAGUCAAAAUUUGAACUUGAUUAUGAAUUCUUCUGUUUUAUAAUUGAAAUGGCUUAAGGAUUAAAGAAAUGUUGUUGAAGAUAAAAUUAAUAGUAAUGAUCACUUUGUUGAGGGUGAGAAUCGAGUUGAGAUUGAGGCACUCAACUUUGAUCAGGCCGAAGCUCAACGAAAUAGACUUGAUAGACCUCAUCGGAAUGGUCAAAGUGACGAGAAUCUACUCUACAGUACAAAGCGAAAGUAAUUUAGAGAGUUGUAGGAGCUGCAUCAAUAGUUGUAGCCCGGAAAACCCCAAUAAAAGAGUUGGAAAAGUAUGAAGUGAGUUUUGGCAAGAGUCAAUUGAGUGAGUUCUACAGCAGUUAGAAUGCUCACCGCUUGAAUGUGUUACAUUUGUUGUAUCUCUUCUAAAAGAAGAAGCUUAUGAAUGGUGUAUUGGCAGAUUGGUAUUUGAAUGUGGUGAUCUGAACAGAGCCUUUACUAUAACAAGGAAUGCGUGUGUGUGAUAGGUUGUUUAAAGCCAUUGACAAGCUAAAUGGGAAGGUUUAUGUCAACAACUGAGGCUCAGUGCCUUCAGAGUUGUUCAAGAAUUUUAUACAAAUUGGGAAUCUGGUAUUCAUAAAAAUUUGGUCCGAAGGGUACUUGUACCUUUCAAUUCAAACAAUUUUAAUCAUAUUUACAUUAUUCCUGAACUCUCUGUUGAUGAAUAUUCAGAUGGGUGAUUAGCUUAGCUUGACUUCAAUGCUAUUAUUGAUUUUCUAAUAUGGGGAUGGGGUAUUUUGAAAAUUAGAAAGAGUGAAUGAUAUCUUUACUUUAAAUCGCUAUUCUUAAUUCUUAAUAAGCUUAAGAGUGUAAAACUUUCUCAAAUUUGUUCAGAAAAAGAAAUUAAGUCUCUGUCUUUUUUUUUAAUUCAACUGGGUACUUGAACUUUCAAAAUGUAUAAAAAUAACCCUCAAAUUUUUUUCAAAAAAAGCUAUAAGGCCUCCACUUUUUUUUGCGCUCAAUUGAGUACUUAAACUUUUAAAAUGUAUCAAAAAGGUCCUCAAUCUUUAAGGAAAAAAAACAAUUAAGCUACUACAGGUUAUUAUUUUUUGGCACACAAUUGGGUACUUGAACUGCCAAAAUGUAUCAAAAAAGCCAUUUGAUCAUUAACUUUAACAAUUAACCAUUAAAGUUAAUCAUCCCUAAUUUUUUCAGUUAAAGCCAUCACGUGUCACAAUCAUGAAGUGAUAUGUGGCAAAAAAAUGAUAACAAAUAAAAAUAAAUAAAGGUUAUAAAAACUAUUAAAUUUUAUUAAAAAUAUAAAAAAUAUUUAAAUUUUAGUAAAAAUUAGAAAAAAAUUAUAAAAAUCGUAAAAAAAUUAUAGAAUAUAUAGAAAUAUAUAUAUAUAAAUUAUAAGAAUUCAAGGCAGUUUGUACAUUGAGGACAAUGUACAUCUUAAGUGUGGGGAGAUUAUUUAUAUAUUUAUACGAUAAAAUCCCUAAUUUGUUUUUUGUACUUAAGUAAUUUUCGUACACCUACCAUUAGAGUUAAUUUUUUUACUUGGAGUUUUUAUUGAUUUUGUUUUGAAAUAAUUUGUGGACUUUUAUGCAUUGUUUUAUUUAUAUUUUAAGUCACGAGAGAGUCAAGGAUAAUAAGUUAUUUUUCAGAAAUUAUUGUUUUAGGUUGUCUCCCUGAACUGAAGCAUUAUAUUGAAAAUUUAAAUUUACAAGUUUAACAUCAAAAUCAUAAUCUUUUGUGAGCUUUUGAGCUUAUAGAGCAUAUAUUUAUUCAUGCUCAUUUUAUUUUUGGUUGAGAGUAUGUCAGCUUGAUUUGUUAUUCUAAAACUUGCUUCGGUUAUACAUGUCGAGACCACAUUAUUGAUUUGAUAUACUGAGAUGAUAAAGGCACUUAGGAUUUAACUCACCUAACAUUUAAUCAACUUACCUGUUGUAUUAAUCCUUAGUGAACCCCGUUGAUCCUAACACAUUUUUUUCUCUCACCCAUUUAUGUUAACCCAUAACCCAUAUCUAUGUUGUAAAAUUAUCCCUUUUGAUUGACUUCCUUUUUGUCAAGAUUUGAUUUGGUUAGUUGCCUAACUAUGUUUCAUCAUUUUUAUUGUUGAAUUUCUUUUGCAAAAAAGAAAUUGUGAUAAAAAAAAUAUUUUUUAAAAAUUGAGAAUUUUUUUUAUAAUUGAGCUUGAAUCGUUAGUUUUAUAUUGUGUUGAAAAGUUCAUUAUUAUUAUUUAUUUCUUGUUUAUGUGAAUUCUUUUAACUCAACAACUGAUUUUUUUCUAAUUUGGUAACUUAUCAACUCGAUUCUCAAUUUUAAUCAAUUUUUCUGGCUUUUUCCAUGCCCUUAACCUAGGCCCCAUUACAACCUUGUAAAUACCUCUAGAUUGGUGUGUCAUUUCAUACUAUAGUGGUGGAGAUUUGAUUUUCAAGCAAGUCUAUGGUAAUAACAUUUCUCGUUUGACUAUUGAGUACAUAUUACUUGAAUCUUAAACACUAUGAGUGAAUCUUUAGUGAGGAUUUUAUUUCUUGCUGAGUUUUAUUUCAAGUAAUUAUUGAGAUAGGAGAGAUGCCUAAUAUUUUUAAAGCUUGAAACUUUCUGCUUGGAUUGCUUUGUUAUGUUUAGUGUCAUUUUAGUGUAAAUUUCCAAUGUAUGAUUAUCUAUAAAUUAUCCUAAGACAUUAUCGGUGGAAAUAAUAAACUGAGAGACAUUAACUUGAAUGUGGGUUGAGAAUUUUGCUUGAUGACAAGUACGCUUAAGUGUGGGGAAUAUUUGAUAUGUGCUAAAUGUAACAUGUUUUAGUCUCAUUCUUAAUGUGUUUUUGGGUGAUUAUUCAAUGUUAAUGGUGAAUUCUAUACUUCUAAUCCUUUAAAUUCAUAUUUUUAUACUUAAAAGAGAAAUAGGGAGCAAAAGGAGAGAAAAUUGAAAAUUUGGAGCAAGGUACAGGGGCACACAGGCUGGACUAUUCCACACAACUUGAACACACGACUGUGUGAGCCACACGGGCUUCAAUACAACCAUGUGACAGGUCAUGUCAAUUUUACGAAUUGCAUUCUAAACAGUGGAAAAACGUAAAUUUUAGGGUUUCGGGCAUUCUGAAACCUAUAUAUGAAAAAAAAAUUAGAAGAUAUGAGUGAGUCGUCAUAGAAUACUCAAGAAAACAACUCGAAAAAUACCAUUGAAGCAGAUCCUAAAGCAGAUUUCCAUCAAGAUUGAAGAUUCCUUUUUUAUUUGUUUAGAGAUUAUUAUGAGCUUCUUUGUUUCUUGUGGUUAUACAGUGUUUUGGAUGUUUUUAUUUGUAAGCAUGAACUAAUUUUCUAAAUACCUAGGGAGAUGAACCCUAUGAUAGAUUAUGUCGUUUGAUUUUUUUUACGUAAUAAAUACUUAGAUUUUGUUCUCAAUUAUGUGUGAUUAAUUAUUGGUUUAAUAUUUCUAGACUAUUAAGCCAUGUUUCCUAUGCUUAAAUUAGAGGAGGAAUAUACCAUGUUUAAGAGUAGAUCUUACGUAAUUGAGUGGAGUUGCAUGCAAUCCUAGAAAAACGACAAAAUGAAUCUACUGAAUUAGAGUCAAAUCUAAUAGGAGAAUCCAUAAAUCAAGUUAAUGUGAUAAUAGAUGUUUUAAUUAGAAAGAAAUUUCAAUUAAUCCAUCUAGAGUCAGUUGCUCUUAUUCUUGAAAAGAGAUAUUACCAUAAUUUAGAGAUUCUACAGAUCAAGGUACUAAGUGAAGAAAUUACGUAAUUUAGAUUGAUAAUUGCAGAUGAAAACUAGGUGAAUUCUUUCACGGGUAAUGUUUCACUUAUUGGUUAUUAUUCGAUUAUUUUUCCUGAUUUAUUUUUUGUCUUAUUCGUAGUUAAUUAAUUUAGUUAGUUUUAGUUUUAGUCAAUCACUCGAAUUUAUCGGUUAAAUAAUAGAAAGACGGUAAUUACUAGUACUUUAAGUCUUCAUGGGAAUGAUAUCUUUGCUCACCGUAACUAUACUAUUAAUUGAUAGGUGCACUUGCCUUAGUCGAAUUUUUAGUUGGUUUUGUAGAUAUCAAUCGUGCUCAACGAAGGGGAGGAAGAAAUAUUAAAUUUUUAUGCAUAAAAACUCGAAGUAGUUUGAUGUAAAAGCAACAUAGAUGACUCCUGAAGCCUAACACAACCAUCCAAUUACACAAUUAAGCCAUUUAAUUGACAACAAUUCUCAAUUACACAAAGAAACUAUGUCGAAAGUUUCAACGCAAAAACCUUCAACAAUUCUAGGCUUACCAACAAAACCAACGAUGAUUUCUCGAAUUAUUGUGUUGAGGAUUGUUGCGUUCAAUAUUGUCGCCUAAAAAGAAACCAAACAAUCGCUUUAAAAAAAAGUUUAAACUAAACAAGUUGGAAACAACUCUGACAGAACUAACGAACUACCGCCUAACGAAAGUUCUACGAUUAACGUGAUUUAUACAAUCUAUACAACUGGCAGUCAGGACAUGCGCACUUACCCGAUGAUGUAGUAGACAACCUGUGACAACCAAGUAAGACUUGGCCUAUAAAGAAGGAAAAGAGUAAAAAAAGAAAGAAGAACAUGAAAAAAUGAAGAAGGAAGGAAGAUGGUACGUUUAAUUAAUUAACCACCAAUCAAAAUUCUGGCAUUAAUCAAAAACAUUACCCUACACAUGCGCCGAGACUCAAACACAGGACUAGAGAAUAGACAGACACUUAACCAAUGAACCAGCAGGCUCAUUCUUGACAUAGAUUUACACAAAAUUAAAUUUAAAUCAACGGCCCAAGAGUAGAGAUUGAUAAGAAUUAACUAGCAAAACUUCUAAAACGCGACUUGAACCCCUGACCUCAAACACAUAAGUAGAGCAUAUAACCACAGAUACAUGAUGUGCAUAAAUUAGAGGAGGAAUGUACCCUGUUUAAGAGUAGAUCUUGCGUAGUUGAGUAGAGUUGCAUGGAAUCCUAGAAAUAGAUGACAUGAAUCUACCAGAUUAGAGUAAAAUCUAAUAGGAAAAUCGAUAAAUCGAGUUAAUGUGAUAAUAGGGUCUUAAUUAGAAAGAAAUUUCAAUUAAUUAACUUAGAGUUAGUUGCUCUUAUUCUUGAAGAGAGAUAUUAGCAUAAUUUAGGGAUUUCUACGAAUCAAAAUACUAAGUGAAGAAAUUGUGUAGUUCAGAUUGAUAAUUGCAGAUGAAAUCUAGGUGAAUUCUUUCUUCAGUAAUGUUUCACUUAUUGGUUAUUAUUCGAUUAUUUUCCUGAGUUGUUAUUUAUUGCAUUCGUAGUUAAUUAAUUUAGUUAAUUUUAGUUUUAAUCAAUCACUCGAAUUUACCGGUUAAAUAAUAGAAAGGCGGUAAUUACUAGUACUUUUAAUCUUUAUAGGAAUGAUAUUUUUACUCACCAUAUCUAUACUAUUAAUUGAUAGGUACACUUGCCUUAAUCAAAUUUUUUGUUGAUUUCGUGAACAUCAUUAUACUCAACGAAGGGGAGGAAGAAAUAUUCAAUUUUUAUGCUCAGUUCAAAUAAGUUAAAUGACUUUAGAAGCAUGCUUGAACUUGGUUAUCUUUUUGAUAUUUUUUAAUAUUAGUAUACUUCACACAUUAUUUGGAGGAAUAGUUGCACAAACGAGCACGAAGGUUUAUUAUUUCUAAUUCUUGCUAAUUUCAUAAACUAUUGUUACCGCUAUGUUUAUGAGAUUUUGACUUUAUUCAUUGUAAUUUGCUUAUAAAAUUUAGUUGUAUAUAAUUAUGUUUCCAAUUGCUUAAGUUAAGUUAAAUAUUUUCUUGGAUGCGUGUUAGUUAGAAUCGUUGUUUUGCAUGAAGACAAAUAAAAGUUUAAGUGUAUUAUAUGAUGUGUACUCAUCAUAUAGAUGUAAUUGUAUUAUUUUCACGUAGAUUUAUGUUAGAUCUUAAGUAAAAUAUUGUAUUUAAUUGCAUAAUUAGAAUAAAUUUUAUCAUAUUUACAUUUUAUGUUACUGUAUUUGAAUUUGAGUUAUUUUAAGUAAUAUAUUAUUUUUAAUGACUGCUUUAACUUGAAUUAGACCUUAUUUGAUAUGAGGAGCGAGUUUGAAUGUGACAGAAAGCAUGAAGGAAAGGUCAAAAAAAAAAAAAAAAAAGGAGAAAAACGUAAAGUUGCCAGAGCAAUGAGUAACCGAAGCUUGAGGCUUGGUGGCAAGCAUUCAAGGAGGAGCUUAAAGGGGAGAUUAGGACCGAUAUUCACAGUUUGUUUGAGCAUGUUGAAGGUUGGUCAGCAUGUAGCACCAGGAGCAGCCAAGAAGCAGGCCAAGAAGGCCGAGCCAUGCAGGAGCUGCUGAAGCUAGUGCAGCUGUUUAUUUUUGUUCAUUUUGUAACCUUAGUUUGAUGUAAUGUAGUUAAGUUCAUUUUUGAACUAUGAUAGUUUGAUGUUUGAUGUAAUUUGAUAGUGAUUGAGCUGUUAACUCAGCUUUGUUCAUGUGUGCAAGCUUGUUUUACCAAGUGUCAAUGUAUUAGUGGUAGUAGGUAUUCUUUAGGUGACCAAAUACUGAUUUUGACAAACUGAAUGCUUGGUUUAUGUAUUGGCAUUAUGCCAUUAUUCAUUCUUAAUGAAAUAUCAGCUUUUCAUUCAAAAUACUCUCUUUUCUGUUCUUAAGCAAAUUCUGUUGUUUGCUCUACAAGCCUCGAGCCUUGUUGCUCAAGCUUCUGUCAAUCUUGCUACUUCAUCCGGAUUAAUUUUUCAUAACACCAACAAAGCAGUACCUUGGUAACCAAACUGCUUCAAGUAAUGUCUCUGCCUAGGUUAAAGGGAAAGAAAUAUUGGGAGGGCCACCUCUUAGGUUUCCUCGCAAGGAGUCUAUCGAUGUUCCUCAGCCUCUUUUGGUGACAAGUCAUACAAGUUCUCCUCGAUCUCACUCUGGGUGGUUCCAGGGUAGGUUUUACAAGCUAGACUGCCCUCGCUUUGAUGGAUCGGACUUCAGGGCUGGUGGUCAAAACUCGAGCAAUGCUUUGCUGCUGAGGGAAUACCUGACAGUGACAAGGUUCAAACGGUGAUGUUACAUUUAGAUGGGCGAGCUUUGGAUUGGCACUAUUUCCUUGCUCAAAAGCAUGGUGGGCUGCAGAUGUUGGUAUGGGCAGGGUACGCUAACAGCAUGAGGGAGAGGUUUGACCCAAGCAUGUUUAAGGACCCUAUGUCUGAAUUGGUCGCCAUGAAGUAGCAAGGGUCAGUCGAGCACUAUCAUGACUAGUUUGUAAGCCUCCUAAACCAAUUACGGUUGCCUGAAUCUUAUGCUCUAAAUGUUUUUAUCUGCAAUUUAAAGCAUGAGACUAGUCAGUACGCACGGUUGUUUAGGCCACAAAUUCUAGUUGAAGGUUUUCAUAAUGCCAAACAAGUGGAGUCCAUCCUAUCUAACUCUCCAAGGAAGGUUUUGUUCAAUGGAUUGAGUCCAUUGGCUCGUUUUCGGUUUGCAGCAACUCCACCUGCAGUUUCAAACAAGUUAGUGGCACCUUCUCAUAAUGGUGCACCUGUUCAACCUGUUACAACCUCCUCCAGUUGCUCUAAUGCUUCCAGGGUUCCUUCCAAGGGGAUAAGUCCAGCCUUGAUAGCUGAAAGGAAACAGAAGGGGCUGUGUUUUUGGUGUGGUGCAAAAUAUCAUAUCGGCCGUAAGUGUGUUAAGGCUCAACUCCACCAAAUGCUCCUUGAAUCUCAUUCUGAUGCUGAGGGUGAUGACUUCCAAGAGUGUUCAGACCAGUUGGAGGAUCCCCUUGUUGAGAGCGAACCUUCCCAGGAACCCAUUCUGUCUUUGCAUGCUAUUAAAGGUUCCUAUUGAAUUUUGGGUUGUCUUCUGGGUUUUUGUCUUGUUCAUAUUGAAUUUUUGUUGAUGAGAAUUUGGGCAAAAUUUGUGAAAUUUUCCAUUUUGAUUUUUAAUCUACAAAUGCAAAACAAGUAGAAAAAGAGGAAUUCUAGAAGAACACUGUGAAGAACAUAAAUUAUUAGUUUUUUAAAAAUUUUAGGUUAAAAGCAUUUAAUUAUUUCAUGAAGUUAAUAAUAUUAAUAUAUUUUUAUUAUAUUUUUUCUAAUUUAUUAUAUAUAUUUAUAAUUUUUUGAAACAUAUUUAAUAAAAUAUAUAUUUUUUAAUUUAAAAAUAUCACAUGGCAUAUUUUUAUUGGGCACUUAUAUUUUGUUUAAUUGCCUUUGAAAAUUGGACCAAAAUCUAGGAAUGAAAAUGAGAAAAUAAAUACACUUUAAGAGUAAUAAUAAUAAUAAUAAUAAUAAUGAAUAAAAUAAUAAUACUUGACAUGUACAUAAAAAAAUGAUAAUAUAUGAAAGAUUAAUUUUAUAAUUAUAAUUCCAAAAAUUAAUCUAAUUUAUUAAUCAAAUAAAAGUUAUAUAUAUAAUCAAUUUUAUAAUAAUUUAUAGAAAAUGAAUAUUUUUAGUAUUUUUUCACAUUUGUUUUAUUGUGUAUGUUUGAAGUAUAUGAUCACCAUUUUUAAUAGUAUAGUCUUUAAGAUUCAAAUAUACGUCCUCCUCUUGAAAUCGUGACUAUCUUAUGAAUAAAAUCGUGACUAUCUUAUGAAUAAUUUCAUCGCAACUGAGCUAAAGUUUUCUCACUCUGAAUCUUUUAUGAAAUUAUUGACACUAUACUAGUAAUGAGUCUUUUAUGUAUAUGGUGUUCCAUCUUACAUAUGAUAUUUGUCAAUGUUUCUCGAUAAGAAUUGAAUUUGUUCUUUCAAUAUAUCUAGAAUUAGUGAUAACCUCUUUCAAAUAUUUAAAUAGGUGGAUAAACAUACUUUUAAUAUUUGAACUUACAUUUUCCUGUACUGACAAUAAUACUAAUACCAAUCAAGCUUUUAAAAAUUUAACUUAAAUGAAAAAAUUGAAGCAAAAGGUAGUAGAUGGAAUACUCUCCCAUUUUUGCAACAUUGAAGAGUGAGAAGGUUUUAUGGCCGCGAAGAAUAAGAAAAAACCAAAUUCGUUCCCACAACAUUUAUGCUGGUGUUUUUUAAUAUAAAAACUUUUAAUGUAUUUUUAAUAUAUUAGAAAAUUUUUAUUUUAGCACUUUUUUAAUGUAUUAAGUGUAUUAUAUUUUUUAAAAUUAUUUUUAAAUAAAAAUUAAUCUAAAAAAAUCAAAUAUGAGUGAGUCGUGUCGAGUUUGAAUUUACCUUUCUUAAUUUAGGUUGGAAUUGGAUAAAAAAAUAAGCGUAUUUUUCGAACAGAACUUAACCCGAAUCUAGAAUUGUGGUUUAAAUUCUUUACAUGGGUCUAACCCGAACCCGACCUAACUCAUGAGCACCUUUACCCACUAUUGUGUUUUCUUUCUAUUAGAAGAACUAUAAUCAAUGCCCCAGAUUGCUUCCAUGAAUUUUCUGCUUCUUUAAAAAGGGUUUAAAUUUUACUAUUAGUCUCUGUACUAUGCAAAAGUUUUAUUUUUAGUCUCUAUAUUUUAAUUUGAUCAAUUUUAGUCUCUGUGCUUUCUAAAUUUUAAAAUUUUAGUCUUGACCCAAAUGGUAACAUUUAAAUCUAUUUGGUUAAAUUCAAUUUUUGGUCUUGGACUAAGCAUACAAUUAUAAAUUUGGUAAAUGAAAUUUUAGACUUGAAGUAAAUGAAUAUCGUUAACCCAUUAAUUUUAUUUUUAUUGAGUAAAAUAUGGACAUAAAAAAUUGACAUAACGUUACAUAUAUCAUAAUAUAUUUGGUGCAUCAAAUUUUAAAAAUAAAAGAACUCAACUUAAUUAAUUUAAUAAUUAUUAUUUGAUAAGGAUUGAAAAUUUAAAAUUUUAAAAAUACAAUAACUAAAAAUAAUCAAAUUAAAUUAGAAAAUUAAUCAUCAAUUUUUUACAAAGUACAGAAGCUACUAGCUGAACUUAAACCUUAAAAAUAUAGAAAGAAAGAAAGACAAAGACUUGACCUUUAAUCCUACAUUAAUGAACUUGUAAAAAAUUAUAACUUGAUACAACUAAACUUUUAGCAGAUAAUUAAGCUUAGCUAAUUAAACAUGUUCUCAUUGUUAACCAUUUAUUUAUAAUUUAUGGGUAAAUUGCAUUAAUAGCCAAUCAAUUAUGUUUGUUUUCGGUCACUUGACUAUAAAAAGAUACAAAAUGUUCACUCAAUUAUUAGUAAAUUUCUCUAUUUGGUCACCCAACUAUUUAAUUUUUUCUUUUUUGGCCACCCAUCUAUCUUGAUUUUUUUGGUAUUUCUAUUUUUACGUUAACCAGUUAGUGACUAAAAAGAUAAAAUUAAAUAAUUGGGUGACCAUUUUGUAACUUUUCAUAGCCGGAUGAUUAAAAAAGAAACUAAUAGUUGGGUGGCUAGCAAUGUAGUUUACCCAUAAUUUAUUUAUAAUUUUGUAUGUCUUUUUAUUGAAAAAAUUACUUUUAAAUAUUUUUUAAAAUUUUAUUUUUGAAUUUUUAAGAAUCAAGACUAAAUUGAUAAAAUUUGUAAAGUUGAGGGCUAAUUUGUUGAAUUGUUUAGGGUUAGGACCAAAUUGACUAAAUCUAUAAAUAUUAAAGGGCUAAAUUUAUUAUUAUAUCAAUAAAAAAUGUCACAUCAAUAUUUCAUUAGUGAUUUAACUGAGAAGUGGCUAAAAUAUUAAAUUUCAAUAGUAGUGGUGACUAAAAUAAAAAAUUUUAAAUAUAGAUGAUCAAAAAAGAAACACACCAAUAGUUGAGUAACUAUUUACCCAUUUUCUUUUAGUAUCUUUUGAACGUAAACAAACUCAUUCUUGAAUAAAAACAAAUUAAAAGAGAAAAAUAGGAGUGAAACACACUAAUAGCAGGGAAAUGGAUGUUUGAAGAGGAGGCGACUUUGAUUAAUGUUUAUGCUCCAAACAGCCUUGCAGAACAAAAAAUGCUGUGGGAAGAAAUAUCUGGAUUGAGAAAUCAAUUUGGUAAAGCAUGGAUUAUUGGGGGCGAUUUUAAUGUGGUGAGAAAUAGGAGUGAACGCAUAAAUUGCUUGAGUACUGAGAAAGGGUCUCAGGAGUUUGGUGAGUUCAUAGAUGUAAAUUGGUCGAUCUACCGUAAAUAGGGAAAAAUUCACUUGGUUUGGUCCGGAUAAUAAACGUAGCAGAUUGGACAGGUUUUUAAUUGAAGAAGAGUGGCUGGUUCAGUUUAAGGACUUACAACAGCAGGGUUUAAUUGAAGAAGAGUGGUUGGUUCAGUUGAAGUUUUCUUAGCUAUGAAGUGGAAGACUAACGAUUCGAUUUUUAUUGAAUUAGGUUCAUUGGUGGUGUUUUCUUGGUGUGUUAAUAAGGUGUUGAGACCUUGGUCACUUCAGGCAAUUUUUUCAGAAAUUGACACUGCUAAGAUUAAGGCUGGUUCUGUUGUCUUCUCUUCGGCGGACAGGUAUGGCAAUGAUAUGGCUCUCUCUUUGGCGAUGGCAUGUGUUUAUCGAUUGCAAGUUUUUAAAGCUUGGUAGUGAUUUACUGUUUUUUGUUUGCUGGUUUAUUGUUUUGUGGACUGUGUUGUCUUAAUUAUCUUGUGGACUGCUGUGUUGUUAAUUUUUGGCUGUUGCUCUGCUUUGUCUUUGACAACAGAGUGGUUCGAAUAAAGCAAAAAAAAGAAGAGAAAAAUAGAUUGAAAGAAAAAAGGUACUGUUUAGUGUUAAAAUGUAAGCUGGAAUGCACUUUAAAGUGUAAUAAGACUUAAAUUUAGGGUGUGUUUAGAUUGACGGUGCGUUUAUUUACGGUUAAUGUAAAAAUAGCGGUGACGAUAAAAUUAGAUACGAUAAUAACACUGUAGUGUGAUAGAAAAUGUAAGUUUUAUUUACAGUUAAUGUAAAAAUAGCGGUGACGAUGAAAUUAGAUACGAUAAUAACACUGUAGUGUGAUAGAAAAAGUAAAUUAAAUAUACCGCAGUGCAGCAACUGUCUAUCCAAAUCCAUCCUCAAUUAAAACCAACCUCAAUAUAACUUAAUUCUUUUUUGAAAAAAAUUUAGAAUUCAACUAAGUCUAGCCUAAUUAAAAAAAUGAAUUGCAAUUUUAAUAGAAAAUUUAAUUAAUUAAAAUUUAUUAAAAUAUUUUUUUUUACAUCAAUUAAAUUAGGGUUCGAAAAUAUGAUUAUGAAUGUAUUAACAUUAUUAUGAAAACGGUACUAAAUAAUUAUAUGUAGUAGGUUUUUGCUCUCCCUAAAAUAAAAUAUUUUUCAUUUAGAUUUUUUUAAAAUUUUAAAAUUUUAAAUUAAUAAAGAUAAAACUGCACUCUAACAUCCUUUAUUUUUAUUUUUUUUAUUUUCCCCCUGAUUGUAUGUUAUCCUAAAUUUUGUUUGAAAGACAUGAAUUAAAAAAAGCUUCAAAAUAUGAUUGAGGAGAUUAGCAUUAAACAAAAGCUACAAUGUCAACUUAAAAAUAGUAAAAUGUUUGGUGCUAAGAGUAACAAACUUGAAUCCAAUGAAAGAUUUUGAUAAAUUAAAGGCUUAGGAAUAAGGUUAUAGUAGGUGGAGUUAGAACAACUCAAAGUAGGAUGAUUUCUAGGUCUUCUUUUUGGGGACUCCCUUUGCUUAGCCACAAUGCUUAUGUUGACUCAUCCAAUCACACCAUUAUUGUGGGCACAUGUGGAUAUUUAGCUCCAGGUGAUUUUCUUUCUUUUAUUUUCUGAUAUUUUCUUCUGAAUUUAUAAAAUUAAUUGAAUAUAUAACUGGUUUUCUUUUUAUCUAGUUUUUCAUAUGAAGAAUUUACCUAUACGAUGGUUGUUACCGAAAAAUGUGGUGUCUCUAGUUUUUAAAUGGUGGCACUAGAAACAUUAAUGGGAAAACAUCCUAAAGAAGUAUUACCAUGGUUGUCAUCACCAAAUUAUUCGGUAAAUAUGAAGUUGAUUGAUGUGUUAGAUAAUCGUUUACCACUUCCGACAAGCUAACUAGUUGCACAAAAUCUUGUUCACAUUGCUAAACUGACAUUCGCUUGCUUAAAAUCCACGACCAAAGUCUUGACCAACAAUGAAAGAAGUAUGUGAAGAGUUUCUUUAUGGCCAAAAAUCCUUGGGAAUUCCCCUUCAGAUGAUCUCUUUGUUACAACUUGUGAACCAUAUGAAAUCCAUAUUGGAGGCGAAACAGAAAUUUGUGAUGUUCAAAGUCCAUACGCUUGUUAGGUAUUGUUUAGCUGGAUUUCAUGAUUUGUUUCUAAACUAGCUCUUGUGUAAUAUAUGAUUUUGCAAAUAGUUUUGUAAAAUUCUUGAAUAAAUUGAUUAUAAUUUUUAAUAUAAAAAUUUUUGAUAAAACCUUUGACUAGAACGAAGAAUUCAACAAUCCAUAUAUAAAGAGAAAAAUAGUAGCAGAAGAAAUUGUGAAAGUCUUCUCCAUUGUUUUUCAUGCCCCAAAGCCUCUUUAAAUACAUUCCAAGAUUUCCUAGAAAAGAGUUUAAAAUAAAGUUUUAAUUUAAAAUAUCCCAUAAAAUCCCAAUCAAUCCCAUAAAAUAAGACUUUGAAAAAUUCUUCCAAAAAGAUAGUGGUUUUUGCUUUUCUUUUUAAAAUCAAUAGUAAAAAAAAAUUUAAAUGAAAUGUUAUUUAAAGCGAACUAUUUGGUUGAAUUAAAAAUCAGUUGAAAUUUCGAUUCAGAGGAAGGUAAAAAAUCAGUUGACUAAUGAACUGAACUAAAAAAAGUUUAAUUGUUUUAAUCGUAUUUUAUAAUUUUUAAUAUUUUUAUUUUUAUUAAUUUAUAUGAUUUGCACUUAACAUACUAAAAAUGGACGAUGUAAUUGAUUCUAUCACUUAUCCAUUCCAAAAACAUUAUAUCAUAUUCAACUUGAAUUGGAAGCUUUUUGAAAUUAUGUAUUAAGAUAUUCAAACUUAAUUUGCAAGAUAAAUCGACAAGCUAAAGGCUAUCAAUCAAGAGAAAUUGUUUUAGGCGUGUUGGAAACUAGAAAGAUAAAUUUUGUAACGCCCCAAAAUUGAUAUUUUUUUGUUUUUGUGAAUUUGUGACACAACUGAGUAUCUGCUUCAAUGGUUAAGUGUUUUGAAUUUGUGUGUGAGGUCUCAAGUUCAAGCCUUUCAUUUGGAAAAUUUUGGUAUUUUUCUGAAUAAAGCCUUAACCUUGUUCGAUAGGCUUAUAUUUAAGUACUUAUAAAACUAUAUCAGAAUGGGCCUGCUGGUUUGGUGAUUAAAAUGCGUGUGGUAUGUUGGAGGUCUAGAGUUCAAAUCCCUGCAUGAGCGUGAGAGUUUAUUUUUGCUUAUUUGACCGAGAGAGUUUCGGUCAAACAGGAAUUCUGAGUAGUUGGUAGUUGCUGGAGAAAAAUAAGGGGAGUUGAGAUAUUGGAAUUUUCGGUUAUACUUUUGUUUUUCAAAAUUUUAUUUCCCUCUCCCAAAAGUUUUCUGACGUCUGUUUUUCCCCUUCCUGCCAAAAUUUUUCUUUUUCCUUCCUCUACUAUUCCGGUUUCUGUUUUGCUACCUUCUUGUUCAAACAUUGGAUUCGCUCGUUCGGUAUGUCCCGUUUUGUUUCUAUUUUAUUGUUCCAUAGAUGGUUUCUGAUAGAGGGCUGCUUUUAGUUCUUUCGAUUUAGGUGAAGAUCAAGGAACGACUAGUGCUUCUGCCGAGUUUUGAACGUUAGAGUGUCAGUUCGUUGUUGGUAAGCGACCGAGUCACUUUUUAACGUUCUAAGGUUUCGUUGGGAGAAAAUAUUCCCGGUUCAAUUUUUGUUGUGUUUCUGAAUUCGAGUUUUGGUAAUGUCGAUUAUAGGUUUUGGGGUGCUCGGAGAUCGUUUAAGCUUCAAUUGGAACCAAGUGUGCACCUGAAAAUGCAAAAAACGAGGUUUUGGUAAAAGCCAAAAACUGUUCUGUCGACACCACACGGCCGUGUGCCCUAACACGGGCGUGUGAUCAACGAGGCCAGGCUGUGUGUACUGGAAAUUACCGUGUGAUGGCCAGACAGGUCGUGUGCGAGACACGAGCUAGACUGUUUUGGGUCGUGUGGGCUACACGGGCGUGUAGGAUUCUUAGCCAGGCCGUGUGAGCCAUACGAACGUGUGGGCCCACACAGGCAGGCCACAUGGGUGUGUGAACCCAUUUUUUUGAAAAGUUCUGUAAGGUUGCACGGGUCGCCCAAGUCGACUGUGGACCUACUGUAAGGUCGGUAAGCCUUAUUUAGACCCCUAUUUAUGUGAUCUAAUUGUAUGAUGUCUAAGUGAAUUUGAAUACUGAACUAAUUGUAUGAUUUGAUAAAAUUGCAUAACCGCAUGACAUUCUAUUAUAUGUUGCAUUGCAUCGGGGCGGGUUGAUGAUUUAUUGGAGAAAGUGUCUGAAAGGCUCUUAAGCUUAUUAUCUGGCAAGUUUGCUAUAAUAUUCUGACUUUGUGCUGCAUUUCGGUGCAAAUAUCUGUUUAUGUGCUGUAUUUCGGUACAGCAUGAUGUGUAGGGAUGGAUGGGUUGAUUUAAUCCCCACAUGGUGUGUAGGGUUGGACGGAGAUGGUGUGUAGAGGUUGGUGGGUAAGAUUCUGAUAUUCUAUGUUGAUCUGCAUAUCAUAUUUGAGAUGGGCUAAGACCCUAAUUUAUAUCUGAUUCUAUAUCUGGGUGGGUUAAGGCCCACACUGAUUCUGUAAUUGGCUCAGGCCCAAACUGUAUAUACAUGAUUGAUUUCUGAUAUUAUGUUAUGUGCAUGUAUUCUGUGGGGAUUACACACUGAGUUUGUGAAAACUCACCCUUUUCUGUUUGAUCUGUUCAGGUAAUCCCCAGCAUUAGACGGAUCAGAGUAGAGGAGGACUCAGCGGUGACCACCACUAUUUCGUAUUGUUUUAAUUCAGUUUUUUAGUUAAUUAAUUUCUCGUUAAUAAUUUGGGUAUUUAUUUUUGUAAUUGGUACUUUUUGGACUGACUGUUGAAAUUUGGGAUUAUGCUUUGCUUUCCAUUUUUAUCACUACAAAAACACGACGUUUUCCUGAAAUUAAAGUUUUCCUAAAAACGAUCGGUUUUCUCAAACAAAAAGUGCACAAGCUUCCACUAAAAAGUCACGUUUUGAAGCAUAACAAUGAACAUGCGUUUUUCUAAAUUAAUUAAAGACUAAUAAACUGGAAGGGUUUUCACUCGAUGAAUUAGACUACAAAUUUCAUUACAUAUGACAUCGCCAGAUUCGACCAUAACGUCAAGGCCGGAUUUGGGGUGUUACAAAUUUCAUGGAAAAGUUGCACUGUUGGUUGUAAUUGUCCUAGACAUUGAACAACUUGGAUUGGCCUCCCAUGAAUGGAUUAUGUCAUCUAUUUCAGAUUCUUCAUCACCAUGGUCUUCAAUAACAUUUCCACCUGAAGCAUUAAUCAACUCUAGCUCCAUUGCUAAUGGUUGAUAUGCAAACUGGGCUAAAAACAGUUGAACUGAUUGAAUCGUAUUUUAUAAUUAUUAAUAGUUUUUAUGAUUUUUAAUAAUUUACUUUAUUUGAACCGAACAUACUGAAAAUCGAUGGCCUGAUUAGUUCAGUCAUUGAUCCGAUAACAAAAACAUUGAUAUAAUAUUCAACUUGAAUUAUAAACCUUUUGAAAUUACGUACUGAGAUGUUCAAAUUUAAUUUGCUCCAAUUUAAUUUGGAUUCUUCAACUUAAAGAUAGCCAACCUUAUUUAAGCUAAACCUGUGUAGUUUACAUCUCUAGUAUUUAAUAUUAUUAACUUCUAAUGUCACAAGUAUUACAUGUAAUUUUGGCAUUUAAUAUUUAAUUAAUUUUUUAAAAUAUUUUAUUUUUAAUUACAUUAUUUAACAUAAAAUAAUAUUUUUAUUUGAAUUAUUGGAUAUAAUUAAAAUAUAAUAACUUAUUAUAAAAAUAUAUAUUUCUUAAAUUAUUUUUUGUUAAUGACUUAAUGUUACAUAAUUCUAUAUAUAUAUAUACAUACAUAUAUGCAGGAAGUAAUAGAUGCUCAAUUAUCUGUCAAUAUGCAACCUUGAUUGGAUUUGUGUUUUUGUAUGUUUCAAAUAGUUUUUGUUGGCUUUGCUCUGUUUGAUGUUAUUUUCUUAUGGAAUUGGAUGUUUAAUGCUAGUUUGUUUACUUUCAGGGGAAACCUAAAGAAGCAUAUGAACAAUCAGAGGGGUUCCGAUAGGAGUUGAAAUUGAAGGUUCAAGAGUUGUUGAUAGAGUAGUAAUGGCGUCGGAGAAAAAUGGCGAUAAGUGUAUAUUGGAUACUGUUAAUAUCCCUUGCUUUAUUUACUUGUUCUCGCUCAAUGAAGGCUUACUAUUACUGUGAUGAGUUAAUCACCUCUUCUUAUUUCAUCUUCAGAUAUCAGAAGAAGAAGAAGAAGGUCAAUGAUGAAGAAGAGAAAAAAGAGAUGUGGAUGAUUAGGAUUACCUUUCUUUUGAUUUAUGGUAUCCUUGGAUUCUGUAUCCCUGUUUGGAGGUCUUUUUUAUUAAUGAAUUCAUCGACUUAGCAAAAGAAAAAGAAAACAUAUCCAGAACUUGCAUAAUAAAUACCUUAAAGAGGUCAAAUAACAUUGAGUGUAACAAGUAUGAAUUCUUGGGCAACCACAAGACUCCACCAAUGUGACAUAUAGAGAAGCUAAAAGCUAUCAAUCAAGAGAAAUUGUUUUAGGAGUAUUGGAAUCUAGAAAGAUGAAUUUAAUGGAAAAGUUACGCUGUUGGUUGUAAUUGUCCUGGACAUUGAACUACUAGGAUUGGUCUCCCAUGAUUGGAUCAUGUCAUCUAUUUCAGAUUCUUCAUCACCACAUUCUCCAAUAACAUUUCCACCAGAAGCUUUAAUAAACUCUAGCUCCAUUGCUACUUGUUUCAUGGUGGGUCUUUUCUUUCCAAUAAGAUUCAAGCAUCUUUUUGCUAGCAGAGCCACAACUAUAAUCUCCUGUUCUGGACCAUCCUUUACUACCACUGGAUCAAGAAUGUUAAACAAGGAAUUCUCCUGCAUUGAAUCCAAAAAAUAAGAUACCAAGCUUCUCACUGGCUCUGAUUGUUCCACGGAGAUAGGUUUUUGUCCUGUUAAAAGCUCAAUAAGAACAACUCCAAAGCUAUAAACAUCACUCUUCUCUGUAAAUUGACUUGAUCGAAAAUAUUCGGGAUCCAUGUAUCCAAAAGUUCCUUGGACCCGAGUGGUUAGAUGUGUUUGUUCAAGUGCAACUGAUCUUGAAGUUCCAAAAUCUGAAACUUUUGCCCUAUAUUUACCAUCCAAAAGUAUGUUACUAGAUUUGAUGUCUCGGUGAUAAAUAGGAGCAGAAGCAGCUGAAUGCAAAUAGAACAAGGCGUUGGCAAUUUCAAUCGCAAUUCGUAAACGCAUUUCCCAUGUCAAUGAUAAUUCUUCAUUUUGGUUAUGAAUGAGAUCGUAUAAUGUACCAUUUGGGAUGAACUCAUACACCAAUAGAGGAACUUCAGCUUCUAAACAACACCCUAAAAGCUUAACCACAUUCCUGUGAUUAAUUUGAGAUAAAAUUAUCACCUCAUUAAUGAACUGUUCAACCUUCUUUUCAUCAAAUUUCUUUCCUUCCACCAUUUUGGAUUUCUUAAUAGCCACAAUGCUUCCAUCUAUUAGCAUUCCUUUAUAAACAGUCCCUUGACCUCCUUGACCAAGAAUUCGGUUCUCAUUAUAAUAAUCCGUUGCCUUUUCCAUCUCUUUUGAGGUAAACAAUUUAAUUUUUUCAACAUUACCUUCAUUGCUAGACAAAUGUUGUUGCAGUAACAAACCUCCAUUCCUUUUGAAGUAUUUCUGCCUCAGCAUGAUUUUUUUGUUUUCUUUUGAGGGCUUUGUACAUACUCCAUGUUGCGAGUAAUAGAAAUAGUGUCCCAACACUAGUGCUGCAACCUAUAUAGAUAUAAGAAAAAUAGUUAAUGGCUAAAAUUGAAAAUUAAAAUACAUUUUAAAUAAAAAAUGAGAAAACCUUAUUACACCAUCCAUUGUUUUGAUAUUUAACUUUUACAAAUUUCAUGGUAAAUAACUGUUACUGCAUCCGCAUUCAAAAGUAAAUAAAUUACUACUUGAAUUAACAUAAUUCAAUAACCAUAUUGAUUCUACUUUAAAAACAAAAAGUGUAAACUCACCACGUACCUACAAUAAUGCUUUUCAAAUUACGAGUGUUUUGAGUUUUUAUUUUACGCUCGCAACGAAAUCCCGUACUAUUGUAUUCAUAAUGAGGAGGGCAAGAGUCUGACCAGCAAUAGUUGCUAGGGGUAUUCAAGCAAAGCAUGUUGCAGUACUUAUAAUUCUCACAUUUCCCAUCUGUCAUUUAUGAAUUGGAAAAAAGAGAGAGGCUAUAAUCAUAUAAUUCAGUUAAAGUAUUGAAUGAAAUUAAUUCCUCUAUUAUUAAAUGAAUCAACUUAGUCCCUAAAUUAUUAAAAAGAAUUAAAUAAAUUUAAAUUAUAACAACAUUAACAUUUACUAUAUAAAGCAUUUACAAAACCAUAAAAAAAUUUGAUUUUCUUUUAUUCAUUUGAUUCCUUUUUAUGACACAGGGAUUAAAUUAAUUCAUUUAACAGCUUUCUAAUUUCAUGUUCCUUUUGUUCCUUAAAAAAACGUUAACUCAUACCUUUGCAUGAUCUUGAAUAACUGAUAUCACCGAUAUCCCUCUUGCAUGAACAUAGAUGGUUAGCGCUCAACCUCGACCAACAAUAUUCACCAUCGAAUGUACAAGAAGUGUCCGAACUAUCGUUCAAAUAGCACUCUCCAGAUAUUAGUGUGCCCCAUUGCAGUUGCGUUGGGACAUGCGUCCUAUGACUUAGAUCAAAAUCAUCAGUUAAAUCAAAGUCAUAAGAAAUCAAGGAAGCAAAUCCGCAUGAUCUUUUCCUCCUAUAAUCACUUAAAUCAACCAUAUCACUCAUGUUUGCAAAGAAUGAACUGAGACCCUUAGGAAUAGUAAGAGGACAACCAACGAUAGAGGAAGUCUUCUUAUUAAUCUUACAACUUGGUUGCAAACAUCCGCCUAUAAGAUUAUUUGUUUCGUUGCCGAAAAUAGUAAUCAAAUUACCACAACCUAAAGACUUGAAGAAGUUGUCGGAAUCUGAGUAGUAAAAGCGGGUGCCUGUUAAGUUGAGACUCAUCCCAUUGUGAUGGUUCUUUCGACAGUUGGAGUAAGUUAUUGGAUGGUUGACCUUGACUGUGCCAUACAAAAAAUCGAACCCUAGUAUUUGUAGAUUCGUGCCAUUUAUAUUUAAUAAAGGCACUUCUUUCCCAUUGGCAGUUUUGUUGCAAAUUACUUUAAAGGAGUUAUUGGAAUCAUCUUGGGCCUUCAUGCUAAAAGGGUAGUGAAAAGUAACAUUCCCACAAGACUCUACCUUAUAGGUGUGGAAGUUCAUAGGUCCUAGUCCUGGUCUUCCGCAUCCUGCAGGCUUAGCAAAAAGGAAGUAAAUUGCAAAAUCAAUGUUUGUAGGAAAUAAAAGUAAUGUGUCAUUCAAAAAACAAAAAUAUACCAACAAAAGUAUUAUAUCGUAGAUAUAGGAGCUUAGGUUCCACAUCAAGUAACCUCUUUCUUUACCUCUAAUUAUCAAAAUAAAUAAAUAUUUAUAAAAAAAAGUCAUAUGAAAAUUGUUACUCUAAGUAAAAUUUUUAAUUAAAUUUGUGUGUUAUUUGUGACAUUAAAUUCAAUAAAGGGUUUCUUAUUAAUAUAGAUACCAGUAUAAAUCUUAUGGUUCAAUUUGAUGUCAUUCAAUAUUUUUAAUUAAAAAUAUUAAUAUUAAUAUUAAUAUACAAAAUGAAUCAUACUCAAUACUGAUUUUAAACAAUUAGCAAAAUCUAUACAUUAACUGAAUUAAAAGAAGAAAAAUGAAAGCCAAGCAAUUGAAGUGACAGCGCGUGACUGACCUCCGUCACCGCAAUAGGUGGAAUUCCAGCUGAGUACGGCGGGAACAUGCCUUGUUCCAAAAUUGAUGCCAUUGGGUAAUGGGUAAGCACUACUGAAUGAGUACACGCUAAAGAUGAAAGCAGAUGCGCAUCUGUUGCUGUCAGGAUACAUGGCUGUCAUGUUUACAGUAUAGGAAGUGAAAUUUCCAGCAAUUCCAGUAAAGCAGCCAGAUUCAGAAGCACCAUGGUCACACCUUGGUUGAACGCAGCCGCCAAGUGAAUCAGCUUCGUUACUUAAAACAGUUGCCAAAUUUCCGCAACCUACUGACCCGAAAAUAUUUUUGUCACUUGAGAAGAAAAAAGGGAGUGCCUGAGAGAUUCACACUCACACUAGCCUCGCUUAUACGUUCACAAUUAAUAUAAGUAACCGGAUUACUGAUGAGAAUGGCGUCUGAAUAUAUGGAAUCAAGCACCUCCAGAUCGAUGCCAUUUACGUUUAUGGAUGGCCUUUUCCCAUUACGGGUCGAAUUGCAAGUUACUCUAAACCAAGAAUGAGUAUAGCAGCUGCUAUCGAUUCCAAAAGGCGAUGGAAUUGUAAUAUUCCCACAUACUUCUUUACCACAGGCAGGUUCUUGAGAUUCUGCUGCUUGUAAAAUUGGGCAUAACAGGAACAGGAAGAGGAGUAGAAGGAUGAAGUAAUCCGCUGACUGAAAACCCAUUUGCGUUGUACGUUAUUUUCUUUGAGGGAAAUGAAUGAAGAUUUAGAUUGGGUUAAUGAAGAACUCAUUAAUAGAUUUUAAAGGAAAAGGCAGAGUUAGCACCACUAGUGUUCUUUUCUUUUUAAAAUUAGCACCACUAGAUGUGAAAAUAAAUUAUAAUUUUUAGAUGUAUAUUCAGUAAUAUGAUAGAAAAAAAGGUUUUUUUUUUUUAAGUUUGUGUUUUUACAUAUAUAUACGGUUUAUAUUUAUUUGGAGUUCGUUCUCAAGAAUAUAGUCAUCUUUAUCCCCUCACGUUAGUCCCACGAGUCUCUUAUCCAUUCUUAUUCAAUCAAGGCGAGGGCUAAGACAAAAUAAAAAAAUUUACAUUAAAUUUAAGGAUAAUCAAGUUCGAACUAAUGACUUUCACCAUGUCAAGAUGAUACAAAAAAUGAAGAGUUUAAAAGUAAAAGUUUAAAAAUUAAAUAAAUAAUUUCCAGCAUUUCUAUCAAAUUAUACAUUUUCAUUUUAAAAUAUUAUAUAAAUUACAAAAAUACUAUACUUUAUAAAUGAAUAAACAAAUGAAACUCCGAAUAUUAAAAUUUUAAUAAUAUACUGCACAUGUUACAAUGCAAUUUCAAAAAAAGAGAAAUAGAAAAAGGAAAAGGAAAAGAAAUGUGACCGUUAUAGAAUAAUAUAUAAUUUAUAUUACAGACAAAGGUACUCAUAAUUUAUAGUUCAUCAUUUUUAAUGUUUGAGCCGUUUUUUAUUGACUAUAGUCGGCUAGCACGAUUUGGUCGAUAACAAGUGAAUAUAUUAUGGAUAAAGUAUUGUAGAGUUCACUGAAUUGUGGUUUUUCUAGCUAUUUGAUUAUAAAAAGUUACAACAUACUUUUUUAAUUGUUAUUAAAUUUUUUUCGAUCACUUAAUUAUGAAAAAUUACAAAAUGAUUAUUUAAGUAUUUAAUUUUAUUUUCUUCUUUUUUGUCACCAAUUGGCUAACAUAAAAAUAGAAACACCCAAAAAUUUAAGAUAGUUAAGUGACCAAACAAAGACAAAAUUGAAUAGUUACGUGACCAUUUUGUAACUUUUCAAAAUUAGGUGAAUAGAAAAAGAAAAAAAAAUUCCAUAGUUGGGUGACAACUAAUUUACUUUACCCAUAUAUUUUAUUAUAUUUAUUAUAUUUCACAUGUAAAAGAAACUUAUCAGCUAGAGUCAGUUUUUACAUCCUUCUAAGUUCCUUCUAUUUGGGUAUAAAUAAGAUAUUGAUGCUUAUAAGAUUACUUGAAUUUGACUCGAAAAAAUUCAAAUUUGAUUCGAUAAUUAUUAAGCUGAGCUCGAGCUACCGAUUGAGCCAAAUUUGAGCUUUAGAAUACUUGACUUGAACAUUUCACGAGCCUUAACAAGCUUUUCAUAUUUUUAUAUUAUUAAGUUACGUUAAUCCCUUAAUUAUCUAGCUGAGCUUGAGUACAAAAAUUAGUAAACGAACUUAAUCAAGCUCGAGUUCAAGUAGCUCGAUUAUAUCUCAAAUGAGCUCAAACUUAAAAGUAAAUGUUCGAUUGAACUCAAACCGAAUAUCAAGUUCCAAAUUUUAAAUCAAGCUUAAUAAUAUUCAAGCUCGGCUUGAUGACACCCCUACCCUCUACAAGCUAAUCAGUAUAGCAGUAUCUGUCCCCAUAAAAUGUGCAAUGCACCUCAUUUGCUCUCAUGACAUUUUCUUUUCUAAUUCAACAUCCACUAGAAAUUUCCAAUGAAAUCUGAAGUUUAUUGACAAUUUCCUCACAAUCAAGCUGAAGUUUUCCAAAUCAGAAUCUUUUAUGAAAAAAUCAACACUCCUCAUCACAUACAAUAUUAUAUGUAAGUUGUUUUUCAACCAGCCAGCUAACCGAGUAUACAUCAUUAGCAAGAACAAUAAACAAUAUCAAAGUUGUUCCCACGAUAUUUGUGGACCUGCCGCUGUAAUUUCAUGUUAAACGUCCAAUAUUUCUUGGUUAAAGUAAUAAUUAAGAGUUGUGUAAAUGACUAACUUCACGUGUGGGGUUUUAUGAUGGGAAACAACUCAGAAACCUCCUUUCAACUUAGUUUUUUUUUUUUUUUAAAAAUAAUAAUGCACUUUAUAAUUAUCUGGAAGACAUCCAAGCAAAGCAAAACCUAUUCCAUGAUCAAUGCUUUUUCACUUGUUUGCCAACUUACCUUUUUAGCUUUUAGAGACAAAAAAACAUGAUUAAUUGUUUCUCAAACUCGUCUAAUUAAACACGGUUUUCGCGAUAUCAUAUAUGAUAACAAAGAAAUUCUCCAAUUUGAUACUUUUGUACUUCCUUUCUAUGUGAAAAACAAUAGUCAAUAUAUUAAAUUUCACAAAACUCAGAAAAAAUACCACAAAAGUUUAUCGAUAAUUAAAUUUUUUAUAGCGAAUUUUAUAUGGAAAAUUCUAAUUCAAGAGUUUGAGAAGUCAUCGUUGGGCUUUUGGUAGUUAAUAGGUUUUCAAUGAGCGAAAUUGAGUUAAUUGAGAUUUUUGGACUAAAUUGCAAAGGAGAUAUUCUCCAUGAUAGCCAAAAAGUUGCUUCAUCCACCAUGGAUUGAUAGCUAAAACUAGUGAGAUAUUAAGGGUUCUAUUCCCGGUACAUGGAAUAGUUGUUUCUUUUCUUUGGAUUAAGUAGUUGAAAAUUUUGUAUUUACCCUACAAGCAUCAUGGCUGCAACAAUGUUUACAUCUAUCAAAACAUUAAAUUCUAUACUUGAUGAGUAGUAAACAUUUGUAUCAAUUUUUAAGAAAAAAUGUUUUUUUUUUAAAUAAACAAUUUAUUCUAGGAGAGGUCCAAUGAAGUUAAAUUUACUAAAUUACAAAUUUGUUCAAGAAUAAGAUCUUUCAAUAGAUUUGAACCAAGGUUUAUGUACUGCACCUUUGAUAAACAACAAAUGCAAGAAGGGACUGCGCCACUUAAUUUGUUUUAGGAGUGUGAAAUGUACUCUAGUUUCAUCAAAUGACACAAAGCUAGAGGAAUAUGACCAUUAAAACUAGGGAUAAAAGGAUGAUGUUCUUCAAAUUUUCAAAACCUUGAGGGAUUGAACCUUGAAGUUGGUUAUAAUUAAGGUACAAAGUUUCCAAAUUGGUUAAUUGGUAAAAAGUAAUGGGGUAUUGAUUGACAAGUAUAUUCUUACAGAGUUUCAAGUAAGUCAAAUUUCUCAAAUAUCCAAUUUUUGAAAGGAUAGAUCUAUUUAUUUUGUUGCCCCAAAGAAUAUUGGAGAUUGGAUAAAUGACCCAAAGCAAAAGGGAUUGGACCUGUUAACUGUUAUGAUUUUUGAAGCUGCAAUUUGACUUACUCUUUUGGAAAAUAUCAUCCCUUUUUUUCAGGCAAAUAAAAUAAUUAAAAAAAACAGGAUUAUGAUUCAGUAGCAAAUUUUUCUGCAUUUUAAAUUCAUAAACUUGUUGUAUAAAAAGAUAGUUUGAAAAUUCAAUAAAAUACAAUGAUUUCAACAAGUUCUUUAAUACUUUUAGUUCUAGUUCACCUACAGAUUGGUAUCAAGAGCUAUUUUGUAACACCCCUUACCCGUAUUCGACGCCGGAACAGGCUACGAGGUAUUACUGGACUUAAACACAAACAUUUAUACAAAAUCGAGUAACAAAUUGGCUUCCAAAUUAAAACUUUUCAUAAAUACUCAUAAUGUCCCUAAUACGAGCCCUCGAGGCCCUAAACGUACAUUGGAGGUGGUUCGGGACUUAAUCGAGAACUUUGGAACAUUUGGAGAAUUUUUGCUCAAAACAGGGGUCACACGCCCAUGUGGCUUUGGACACGCCCAUGUGGGUAGGCCGUAUGGUCACACACGCCCAUGUCCUCAACCCGUGUAACUCUUUGUUUAUGACAUCAUGCACCAAAAGAAGUCACACGGCCAAAUCACACCCCCUUGUGCUAGGCUGUGUGGCAAAUUUAAUUUCUCAAAAAUAGGUGCAGACUUCACACACCCUAGACACACGCCCAUGUCCCGGGGCCGUGUCCUUCACACGGCUAAGACACACGGCUGUUUCUCUGCCCGUGUGGCCAAUUCGAAGGAUUCUAUUUUGCAAUAAUUAAGGUACAGGGGGCACACGGCCGGACUACACACCGAUGAGGCAGACUGUGUGUCACACACGGCCUAGACACACGCUAUCUGUCUACCUGUGUGGACAAAAAUAAGUCUAUUUACCAAGCCAUUUGAUACCCUAAAACCCAUGCACACUCAUACCAAUUCAAAGGCACAUAACAUAACAUAAUUAAUCUAACAAACAUCCAUAAUCAAGUCAUCCAUACAUCAUUUGCACACCAAAUCCAUCGUGCAUAUACAUCACAUACUUAGUAACUUAAACAUGCAAGUUACCUCAUUGAUGAAUAACAUCAUUAUAUGCGUACACCAAGAACCAAUAUUGGCCAACUUUUAAUGGUUUUAUACAAAAUGAACAUUCACCAAAUUAAGCUAACAUUUUUGGCCAAAUCAAUUAUGACAUACAGCAAAAUGACCAAGUCUCCUAUACAUGCCAUAACUCUAAAUGUUUAAAACCAUAAAUAUCCAAAAGAUGAUUUGAUAAUGUGAGAUGAUCCUCCGACGAAUCUCCCAAUCCGAGUAGCUUGGUGACACUAUAAAACAAGGGAAGAGAAAGGGGAGUAAGCUAAAUAGCUUAGUAAGUUCAUAUGCAAAGAAUGAGCAUUAUAAACACACAUUCACCAUACAAUUAAAAUUGUAACAAUUUCAUGGAUACUACCAAAAACCUUAUAUUCAUAACUUUACCAAUUGUCCAUCACAUAUCGAGCUCAUACCUCAAGGGUUUCACAUACAUACCUGUGCCAACUCACAACAUAAUCACAUGCAUUCACACUUGGCUAUUUCGCUGAACUACCCGUUGAACCACUUCGAAUACUAAAGGAUACUUGGAAGUCUUACACAUAAGUGCCAUACAUAUAUGUAACCGAAGCUACCACAUAUCUCAUAACACAUAGGAGCUUACUCUCAAGCUAUUCACGAGCCUGCUCACACAAGCUUACGGUUGGGAUGUAGCUACACAGUGCUGCUCACACAAGCUGACAGGUGUCCGCAACACAUGCCGGACUACUAGCCACUGGUAGAAUGUACUAGACCAGCACUCGGAUCACAUAAUCACUUAAACACAUGGUUUCCUAGUGACAUGUCACUCGUAUCCUAUUUGAUUCAAGGUUCAAUCGAGAUUUCACACUUGUCGAAACUUUGUCGAAACACAUAUCCAAAUAGUUAUUCACAAUUCAUAUAAUAUUAAAGUAUUUAAAACAUAAGUAUAACAAUCCAUUAUUUACUUACAAACUUACCUCGGUCCAAAAAUGACAAGUUAUUUGAUUUAGUCCACAACCUUGCCUUUUCCCUGGUCAAAGUUAAUUCCUCGUCUUUCUUGAUCUAUAAUACCAAAUUUAACUCAUUUAAUUAUUACAUUGCUCAAUUCAGUCCAAAAAAUACCCUAUGACAAAAAUUUCAUUUUUACCCCUAACCUUUCAACCUUUUACACUUUAGUCUCUAGGCCUGUAAAAUGAAAUGUAUCCAUUUUCUUUAAAACCCAAGCCUAGCCGACACAUACACAUGCUCAUAACAGCUCAUAUUUUUCAUUAAAUCACAUUUUUCUAUACAUGUUUUAUAACUUUUACAAUUAGGUCCUUCUAUGCAUUUCCAUAAAAAAUCACUUAGUAAAAGUUGUUUAUCACACAUCAAACUUUCAUUUUAUACCAUUAAACAUCAAAACACAUGUAUUUCAUACAUGGGUAAAUUUUUAAACAUGAACCCUACUUCAAAAUAAUGGUAGAAUUAGGUAAAUUAAGUUAUGAGGAUUUCAAAAAUGUAAAGAACAUUAAAAACGAGGCUAGGAUGUACUUACAAUCAAGCUUGAAAGUUUAAGAAACCCUAGCUAUGGAUCCCUUUAAAAUUCGGCUAUAGUAGGAGGAAGAGGAACAAAUUUUGACUUCAUUUUCCCUUUUUAUUUCUUUUGACCAAUUGACUAAAAUGCCCUUCACUUAAAAGUUUGAUAUUUUAUCCAUCCAUGUCCAUUUUUGUCCAAAUUAAUAGUAUAAUGGUCUAAUUACCACAUAAGGACUUCUAAUUUAAGAAUGUAUUACAAUCAAACACCUUUAUCAACUAGAACACACAUUUUUCACUUAUUGCAAUUUAGUCCUAUUAGUCAAAUUAAGCAUCCAAUCAAUAAAAUUUUCUAACGAAAUUUUCACACAAUCUUUCAGUCACGCAAUAGACCUUAAAACUUUAUAUGUAUUCAUUUUUCUACUUCAAAUUUGUGGUUUCAAAACCACUACUCCAUUUAGGCCCUAAAAUAGGCUGUUACAACUCUCUCCCCUUUAGGGAUUUUCGACCCUGAAAAUCUUACCAGGAAACAGGUUUGGGUAUUGUUUUCUCAUAGUUUCCUUAGGUUCCCACGUAUCCUCUUCCAUUCCAUGUCUUUGCCACAAUACUUCCACUAAAGCUAUAUUUUUAUUUCUCAACUGUUUUACCUCCUAAGCUAGGAUCUUGAUCAUUUUUCUCCAUAAGUCAUAUCUGGUCGAAUUUCAACCUCUGUUGGAGAAAUCAUAUGUGAAGGAUCAGAACGAUAACGUCGCAACAUUGACACAUGAAAUACAUUAUGAAUCCUUUCCAACUCUGCCAGUAAGGCUAACCGAUAUGUCACUGGCCCUAUUCUUUCAAUAACCUCAUACGGUCUAAUAAAAUGCGGACUUAACUUGCCUUUAUAGCCAAAUCUCAAAAUCUUCUUCCACGGAGACACUUUCAGAAAUACUUUAUCACCCACCUGAAAUUCGAUCUCUUUUCUUUUCAAAUCUGCAUACGAAUUUUGUUGAUCUAAAACGGCUUUCAAACAAUCUCAAAUUACCUUCACUUUUUCUUUGGUUUCUCUAACCAAAUCAACCCCAUGAAGCUGUUUCUUAUUGAGCUCGGUCCAUUACAAAGGAGUUUGAAAUUUACGACCAUACAAUGCCUCAUACAGUGCCAUCUUUAUCUCGACUGAAAGAUGUUGUUGUAAGCAAAUUCGACCAAAGGUAGAUGUUUCUCCCGAUUACCUUCGGAUUCUAGAACACAACAUCUGAGCAUAUCUUUGAGAAUCUGAAUUACUCUUUCGGACUGACCGUCAGUUUGCAGAUGAAACGCAGUGCUAAAGUUCAACUUUGUGCCCAAACCUUCUUGCAAAUUUUUCCAAAACCUAGAAGUAAACCUCGGAUCUCUAUCCAAAAUAAUAGAAAUAGGCACUCCGUGUAAUCUCACAAUCUCAGCAAUGUACAACUCAGCUAGCUUAUUAAGUGAGUAAUUGGUACGUACCGGAAUGAAAUGAGUCGAUUUCUUCAAUCAAUCAACAACGACCUAUACGACAUCUUUCUUUUUAGGAGUCAAAGGCAAACCCGAUACGAAAUCCAUCGUAAUCUUAUCCCAUUUCCACUCAGGAACCAUUACUGGCUGAAGUAAUCCUGAAAGCACUUGAUGCUCUGCUUUCACUUGAUGACAAAUUAAACAUUUGGACAAAAAUUUAGAAAUAUCUCGUUUCAUACUUGGCAGCCAAUACAAUUUCUUCAGAUCAUUAUACAUUUUCGGACUACCCGAAUUAACUGACAAAUAACCACUGUGUGCCUCAUGUAAAAUUUUUUUUAAUCAACUAAGCAUCUUUCGAUACACAUACUCUUUCACAGAACAUCAAACAAUCAUCCGAACCAACCCGAAAGUCUGAAUCACUAUCUACUUCACACUGAGCUUUUUUGGCUUGCAAUUUACUAUCAUUUUUCUGAGCUUCGCAAAUCUGCUGAAGAAAUAACGAUCUAGCUCUCAACUCAGCCAAAAUUGAACCAUGAUCACAUAAAGUCAAUCUUGUAUUCAUAGCUCUCAAAGAAAACAAGGACUUUCUGCUCAAAGCACUGACGACUACAUUUGCCUUUCUCGGGUGAUAAUCAAUCAUCAACUCAUAAUCUUUUAACAAUAUGAGCCAUCUUCGUUGUCACAAGUUCAAAUCCUUUUGAGUCAUCAAAUACUUCAAACUCUUAUUAUCGAUAAAGAUAUGACAUUUCUUACUGUACAAAUGAUGUCGCCAAAUCUUUAAAGCAAAGACAAUGACAGCCAAUUCUAAGUCAUGAGUCAGAUAAUUCUUCUCAUGCGGUUUCAACUGUCUCGAGGCAUAAGCUAUCACUUUGCCCUCUUGCAUCAAUACACAUCCAAGAACAUUCAAAGAUGCAUCACUAUAAAUCACAAAAUCUUUUCCAGACUCACGUUGCACUAAUAUCUGUGCCUCAGUCAAUAAUGCUUUCAAUUUCUCAAAACUUGUUGACACUUGUCGAUUCAUUCAAACUUAACAUCUUUUUGCAACAACUUGGUCAUAGGAGUAGCAAUUAUCGAAAAUCCCUUAACAAAGCGUCUAUAAUACCCAGCUAAGCCUAGAAAGCUUCUAACCUCGGAUAGUUCCUCGACGGUUUCCAAUCAACAAUUGCUGAGAUCUUACUCAGAUCAAACCGAAUACCAUCACUCGAAAUGAUGUGUCCCAAAAAUCCAACUUCUCGAAGCCAAAAUUCACUUUUAUUGAACUUAGUAAACAAUUUCCUCCCUCUCAAAAUUUGUAAUACUGUUCUUAAGUGUUCGGCAUGCUUGGACAAAUCUCGAGAAUAAAUUAAAAUAUCAUCAAUGAAGAUAACCACAAACUUAUCCAAAUACGGUUAAAAAAUCUGAUUCAUCAAGUCCAUAAAUACAGCCAGAGCUUUAGUUAAACCAAAAGACAUCACAAGGAAUUCAUAAUGUCUAUACCGUGUCCUGAAGGCGAUCUUCGAAACAUCUGACUCCUUAACUCUCAACUAAUAAUAGUCGAACCUCAUGUCUAUCUUCGAAAACACUGUUGUCCCUUUCAACUGGUCGAACAAAUCGUCUAUUCUUGGCAAAGGAUACUUGUUCUUUAUAGUCACGUUGUUGAGAUGUUGAUAAUCGAUACAAAGCCUCAUAAAUCCGUCUUUCUUCUUUACAAAUAAAAUUGGAACACCCCAAGGAGAAAAACUCGGCCUCGCAAAUCCCUUAUCUGUCAAUCUGAAUCAAGCAUGAAAAUUUAAUUUCUAGAAUUAAAAAUUUUUAGGUUGUUUCCCUUAAUUUAAGUAUUAUCUUGAAGUUUGAGAAUCGCAUGAUUGACAUCAAAAACCAUAAAUUUUUGUGAGAUUUUGAGCCUUUAGAGUAUAUAUUUUUCUUACUCACUUUUAUUAUUCGUUACGAGUGUGUCAAGAUGAUUCGUUGUUCUAGAACUUGCAUUGGUUAUACAUGUCAAGACCACACCUUUUGAUUUGAUAUACUGAGAUAAUAAAAGCACUUAGAUUGAACCCACUUAUCCCAUAAAAAGGCUACCUACAUAAUUAACCCUUAAUGAACCCCUUUAAGCUUAACACUGUAACACCCCUACCAGUAUCCGUUGUCAGAUUAGGGUCAUGAGGCAUUAUCGAUCUAAACACAGUUCAGUACAGUCAUUUAAUACAAAACAUGCUCAAAGUUAUAACAACUUCUUUUAAUAGUUUUCAAACUCAAAAAUCAACCUUCUACUCAAUUAUAAAAGUCAAAUUCUCAUAUAUUAAACACUUAAUCAAAUAAAGUCAAUCAUGAUUUACUGUUUAUAAUACAUAAACAAUCCAGGCUUCAAAAUUUAAACAUGUCAAUAUUAUUUAUUUAAUCAAAUUGUCAAAUAAACUAUCAUGCAUCAAGGUUAUACUACAUAUGCUUUAUAAAGCAUAAUUCAAACCUUAUAACCAUCAAAUUUCAUGGCAUUCAAAGAUGUAACUUAAAAUCAAGCAUACUUUAUUUCAUAUACUAAGCACAUAUUUCACAACAUUCAUUUGUGUGUAUAUAUAUAUUUUUUCUAUUAGAUAAUUAUCAAACAUGCCAUUUUUAACAACACAUUUCGAUACUAUUUAUGUCAUUCAAAUAAGCAGCUAAAACAAAUCCAAACUGUGCCCAAUUCGGACCAUAAUAAUGCAACCAUUUCGAAAUGCUUUUUGCCUAAACCAAAAAUACGAAAAUCGAACAGCAUAUAUAUACAAGGCAGCAACUAACACAUAAAUUCCAACCAAAAACAUACCAAUUCAUGCGUACUUCAUACUUUAAAAACAUCACCCAAUAUUAUACCAAUUUCCAUCAUCACAUGAUCAAUCACCUAACCAAAAAGACAACUAUAUUAAUUUGGUCAAAUACAUACGGCAUCACAAAACAUAUAUAAAUUCUAGCUAUCAUUAGCCGAAUGUAAAUACACAUUUUAUACCAUAUUUUAUCUCACAAAUGACCAAAGCCAUUUCAUUAUUAACAAAUUACCAAAUACAUAAUCAACCAAUUACCAAAAUUAUUCAUUCAAACAUUUCCAAAUCAUAAAACAUUAUAACCACAUCUUAAACCAUGUAACAUAUUCCCAAAAAUGAGUUAAGUGACAAGGUCGAAUACACACCAACCUAAACACCAUUUUUAAGCCAACUCACAAGGAAAAUUAUACAUCAACACAUAGGUCAUUAAUAAAUCAUACCAAAUAGCCAAAUCCAAAAGCAUAGCAUAGUCAUUCCAUGGCAAUUAUAAACACAUAUCAUAAGUCGAAGAUGCAUCCAUCAUUUACCUCAUUACUUAAGUCGAAUUAUAAGACCAUCCAUCACACAAGAUAUACCUUAAAACAUACUUUCAAAAUAAGCUAAAUACAUGGCCGAUUCACACCAAAAUUAACAUCAUCAUCAAGCCAUUUUCGCAUGGCUACUUAUACACAAUUCAAAAUGAAACAUAUCAAAACUAGCUUAUACAUGUCGUAUGUCAAAAGUACAAGCUUUUAAAGUACCAAAAUAGAGAUCGAUAGUGUGACGAUGUUCCUUGACUAUCCCCGAGGUCACGCUAGCUUUCAUUAUCUAUAAAACAACGAAUAAACACACAAAGUAAGCUUGGAAAGCUUAGUAAGUCAUAAGCAAAUAAUUCAUCACUAGAAAAAAUAUAAUUCAAUUCGAAAUAGGCCAAAUUUAGCUAAUCUCAUACACAUAUACAGUUACUUUUCUCAUAUAAUCCAAAUUACCACAUUAAGUAACUUCACUUACCUUAUUUUUCAAUGAACAAAUAAAUUUCAUACGUACCUGAAUCAUUUAGCUAAAAUUCACAUUCGGACUCGUUUUGACAUUGCUCGUUGAACCAUUCAGAAUCACAUAUAUCACAUACAAUGUCAUAUACCAGAUAUGGUCUUGCAUGUUAUCACACAUAUAUGCCUCUGUCCCAGACAGGGUCUUACACGAAUUAUAUACGAUGCCAUUGUCCCAAACAUGGUCUUACACGAAAUCACACCUUAGAAGUCCUAAUGUCAUGACAUACGUUUCCUAUACUAUUCCUAUGGUUCGUACGAGGCUUUCGGACUUCGUAAUUAAAUCAAUUCAAACUCGAACAGGUCCUCCAAUGCUCAAUUCAAUUCAGCACACACACACACACAUAUAUAUAUUUACAAAUCAAUUCGGCACAUAUAAUAUAUAUGCAUUUGAAUUUAAUAAUAUUUAUUUACUUAUGAACUUACCUCGUACGGAAACGAACAGAUCGGAAUGACUAUUCAACAACUUUCGGCUUCCCACGAUCCAAAUUUGAUUUCUUCCUUUCUUAAUCUAAAUAAAUUCAAAUUUAACUUAUUUAAUUAUAUAUCUUUUCAAAUUUCAUCCAAAACACAAAAAUGGGCAUUUUGCACUUUAGCACCUGACUUUUCACAUUUUCUCAAUUCAGUUCCUCUUUCAAAACAACUCAAAAUAUACAAAAUUUCAUUUAACCCAUGUUUGGCCGAAUUUUCCCUAGGUCCCUAGCAGCCCAUUAUUUUCAUUUAUUUCACAUUUCAACCCAUAAAUUUACAAAUUUCAUAAAUAAAUCCCUAAUUUGGGUUUUUAUCAAAAAUUACUUAACAAAAUUUAAUAAUCUAGCAACAAAUAUUUAUUUUUCAUCAUCAAACAACAAAAACAUCAAGCUAUCAUCAAUGGCAACUCACAAAUUCAUCAACCAAUUCAAAAAUUAGGACACGGGCUGUAACACCCCUAACCCGUAUCCGUCGCUGGAGAAGGCUUAAGAGGCAUUACUUAUUAUUGAACAACUUAAACAGACAUUCACCACUUUCUAUACUUUGUAAUUCAUCCAUACUAAAAACAUUUACUUCAAUUAGUAAUUUUGAACUUUAAUACAAUUUCAAAUUCUAUCAUUUAAUACAUACUCAACUUAAUUACCACUCAUAUAGGUGGCAUGAACAUUAGUUAAAAAUAAACAUGCUUUGUACAUUAAUGCAAGUUAAAAACAACCAGACGACAAUAGUCAUACUAUUUCAUAUACUUCAUUUAAAUACUUAUCAUUUAAAACUAACCAUACCUCUUAUCUAAUCACAAAACCAUGCGCAUAUUGAACCAAAUAAAACAUAAGUACCAUAGCAACAUUACAACAUGACCAAACAUACCAUAGUUGAUUAUACUACAUAAGCCUAUUUACUACUAUUAAUGAAACAUUUUUAAACAUAGUUACCAAAUGACCAAAAGUACCUAUACUAUUAUUAUAAUUUAUGCACAUGUGACCAAAACAAACUGAACCCUUUUGAACACAUAUAUCAACCAAAAUUACAACCAUUUUGCAUGUUUAUUACUAUGCCUAUAAUUACAUAUUCACUAUCAAACAAUUAGCCAACAUCUGGUCAUUCGAAAUAACACCAAUAUGAUUUUAUUUUUUAAAUUUUGUUCACUCAUAGCUACUCAUGACCUCAGAUGCUAUAAACACACAAAAUAAUAUAAAAAUAAUUUUACGAUCUCAGAUUUGUGGUUCCGAAACCACUGUUCCGAUUUAGCUAAAAUUGGGCUGUUAAAAACACACUGUUUCUUGAUUUACCCAUUAAUGUUAACCUAUAACUUAUUUCUUUUUAAUUCGUUGAGAAUUUUUCCCAUUUUAUUGACUCCUUUUUUUUGUCAAGAUUUGAUUUGGUUAGUUGCUUAACUAUGUUCUUUUGUUUCAGUUGCUGAAUUAUUUCUUAUUAUUUAUUGUUCUAAAAAAAGAAGAAAAAGAAAAUAAUAAUAUAUAUUUAUCUAUAUUAAUUUAAUUACAUAUUGUUUAUUAUUUAGUCAUAUAAGCUUAAAUAGUUAAAUUCAUAUCUUGAAAAGAAUCUCAUUUCAUUAGUAUUGAAUAGUUCAUAAUUUUGGCACUUGUUUUUAAUUCAGUAUUUGUUAUUCUUCUAGUUUGGUAACUUAUUAAGUCAAUCUAGAUUUUAACCAUCUUUUUAGCCUUUCUUUACACCUUUAACCUACACCCUAUUACAACCUUUUAAAGACCUUUUGAUUUGUGUAUCAUCUUAUUUUAUAGUGGUGGAGAUUUGAUUUUCAUACAAGCCUAUGGUAAUGACUUUUCAUGUUUGACUUUUGAGUGCUUAUUUUUGAACCUUAAACACUUUGAGUGAUUUGAGUGAAUCUUUAGUGAGGAUGUCGAUUCUUGUUAAUUUUGAAUUAGAGGUAAUUACUUACAUAAAGGGAAUUACCUAUGUUUUCAUGCUUUAAAAAUGUUUGACUUGGAUUGUUUGAAUCUUUAGUGCUCUUUUACUUGAAUUAUCAAUGAAUGAUUAUGUGUGAAUUAUUUUGAAACAUUAUUGGUGAGAAUUAUAAGUUGAGGAAGAUUAAUUGUAAUUGUGAGAUGAGGGUUUUGCUUGAGGACAAGCAAACGCUUAAGUGUGGGGAUAUUUGAUCAGCUAUAAAAGUAGCAUAUUUUAAUCUCAUUCUUACUGCAUUUUUGGAUGAUUUAUUAUGUAAAUUACUGAAUUUGAUGCUAAAUCCUUUAAAUUAAUGUUUCUAUACUUAGGUGAGCAUAGGGGAGCGAAAGGAGCGAAAAACUGGCCAAAAUCGGAUAAAAAAAGCUAUUUUAAGGAUCCACACGGCCUAAGCACUUCCACACAUGCUGGCCACAUGCCUAUGUGCCAGCUAGUGUUGAUUUCACUCCCUGUUUUCCAAACACGUGGAAAAACUCAAUUUUUAGGCUUUCUGAGCAUUUUAAAGUCUAUAGAUAUAAAUUAAAAGAAGACUAAGGGAGGACGCAGAGAAGAACGAAGAAUUUACUCGAAGAACACCAUCAGAAGCAACUCAGAAGCUGAUCUCCCUCAUGAUUGAAGAUCUCCAUUUAAUUUCUUUAGAAGUUUAUUUGGUUUUCUUUAUGUCUUGUUGUUAUCUUAACUUUGAGAUGUUUCUGUUUAGGAUGAUAAACUAAAUUCCCUAUAUACCUAAGGAAGAUGAAACCUAUAUGGAUCUUAUUAUUUGAUUUCUGAAUUACAUGAUAAAUAUUUGAUUCUUGUUCUCAAUUAUAUAUGCUUAUUUCGUGUUUUAAAAUUUUUAAGAUAUUAAUUCAUGCUUAAUGUGCUUAUUUCAGUGGAGUAAAAAGCCCUGUUUGAGAGUAGAUCUAGCAUAAUUGAGUGGAGUUGCAUGAAAUCAUAGAAAUAGGAUGACAUAAAUCUACCGGAUUAGAAUCAAAUCUAAUAGGGGAAUCUAUAGAUCGAGUUAGUGCGACGAUAGAGGUUAUAAUCAGAAAGAGAUUUCAAUUAAUCAACCUAGAUUCAGUUGUUCUUAUUCUCGAUAUUAACAUAAAUUAGGGAUUUCUACAUAUCAAUACAAGUGAAUAAAUAGUUUAAUUCAAAUUCAGAGUAAUUAGUGAAGUUUAAGUGGAUUCUUUCCUAGGUAUUGUCUAUCUCAUUGGUUUUAUUCGAAUAUUUUCCCAAUUCACUCUCUGUUGCAUUCUUUGUAAUUAGUUUAGUUAAUUUAGAAAGAUAAUAGAAAGAUAGUAAGUACUAGUACUUUUAGUCCUUGUGGAUACGAUAUUCUUGACUCACCAUAGCUAUACUAGUAUUCGAUAGGUACGCUUUCCUUUGUCAUAAUUUUAGUUAGUUUAGUGACCAUUAUAGGGUCAACACAUUCCUAUGUAGCUAACUUUGUUUCUAUAAACUUGGGAAUUUCUGUUGAGAGCACUUCAAGAGAGAUUCCUAUACCUAGUGCGUUGGGUCAAUUAGUCUGGGUUAAUAAAUUGUAGGAACAUACCGUUGGAGAUUCAAGGGGUUGUGUUUCCGGCUAAUCUGACGGAGCUAUCAUCUGGGAAUUCGAUCUUAUUCUGGGAAUGGACUAACUUGUGGAACAUUAGGUUAGUUUGGACUGUGCUACUAAGAGGGUAGUUCUGAGAUCAGAGAAUGAUGUAGAGGUGGUUAUGAUCAGAGAAUGUCGAGAUUACUUAUCCAAUAUGAUAUUCGCUCUUAUGGCCAAAAAGUUGGUUUAAAAAUGAGUGUAAAUCAUAUUUAGCUUUUAUGAGUGACUCAACUUUUGUGGGUUCAUCAAUUGGGGAUAUUCAAAUAGUUAAAUAGUUUUCAGAUGUUUUUCCCGGCGAGUUACAAGACUUGCCUUUAGAUAGGAGGUCAAGUUCGGUAUCUAGCUUCUACUGGGUACAGCUCUGGUGUCCAUCGCUUCUUACUGUAUGGCAUCAACAAAGCUUAUGGAGUUAAAAGCUCAGCUUCAAGAACUUUUUGAUCGAAGGUUUAUCCAUCUUAGUAUGCCUCUUUGGGAAGCACUAGUUUUACUUGUAAAUAAGAAGGAUGAUAUUAUGAUGAUAUGUAUCGACUACCGAUAGUGGAAUAGUUUUAUUUGCUCUCAUGACAUCUUCUUUCCUAAUUCAAUGUACUCUAGAAAUUUCCAAUGAAGAUUUACAAAAAAAGAUGAUAAUCUGAACUUUAUGACAAUUUCCUCACAAUCAAGCUAAAGUUUUCCUAUUCAGAAGCUUUUAUGGAAAAGUCAACUUUCCUCAUCACAUACAAUCUUUAUCAUAUGUAAGUUUUUUUUAAUAUAUUAUAUGUGAUUUAUGUUGAAUAUAUUCAAUAUAUUUUGAAAAACCAACAAGCUAAUCAUGUAUACAUCAUUAGCAAGAACAAUAAACAAUAUCAAAUUUGUACCCAUGAUAUUUGUGGACUUGCUGCUGUAUUUUCAUCUUAAAGUAAGAAUUAAGAUUUAUGUAAAAUGACUAACUUUAUGUGUAGGGUUUUAUGAUGGGAAACAACUCAGAAACCUUCUUUCAACUGAGUUUAAAAAACAAUAAUAAUGCAUUUUAGAAUUAUCUGGAAAAUAUCCAAGCAAAGCAAAACCUAUUCCAUGAUGAAUGCUUUUUCGCUUGUUUGCCAACUUACAUUUUUAGUUUUAAGAGACAAACAAAACAUGAUUAAUUGUUCCUUAGACUCGUCUAAUUAAACACGGUUUAUGCCAUAUAUUAUAUAUGAUAACAAAAGAAUUCUUUCUAUGUGAAAAAAUAAUAGUCAAUAUAUUAAAUAAACAUUGAGUAUUAAGCACGAAUUGCAGAUUUUAGUGAGAGCGAAGUGUACUCUAGUUUCAUCAAAUGACACAAAGCUAGAGGAAUAUGACCAGUAAAACUAUUAUUAGUGAGGGAUAGAAGGCUGAUCUUAAGGUAUUCAACUUGAGGUAUUCGAUUGUAACCUUCUUAACUCGGCCCAUAUGUAAUGGCCGAAUUUUGAAGAUUACAUUGAUCACCGAAAUGGCCUAAUAGAACCAAUUAGAUUUGAAAAUAUUUUUUUACUAACUUUAAGAAAAAUUAAUGUAACUACUUUGGGAUUAUCAAAAUGCUAGAUUAUUCAGUCUGGUUAACUUAAGAGUCCAAUUUAAGAAGUGUUGUGACAUUUUGAGAUAAAGUUAGUUGAUUUUUGUAUGAGGGAAUGUGAUUUUUAUGGUGAAAAGUACUAAGAUUAAGAAAUGAAUAUUUAAUCUACAAAUAAACAUAAGUGUCUAAAUUGUAUAAUUAAUCAAAAAUAUGGCAAUUAUGUGUGAACGAAUAAAAGAUAGUGCAAAAAACCACGGAAAAGAAAAUAUUUUAUUCAUUAAAAUAGUUUGGAUAGCAGCAUUGACUUAAUUUUGAAAAUUUACCAAAAAUUAUAGAAAUUUAGUUAGAGAUUGAAUUAAAUAUUUAAUUAAAUCUUAUUGAGUCUAGUUUCAUAUGGAAGAAACUGGGAAAGAAACGGAAAUUUAUAUUUUUAGAUAUAUUAACUUUUGUGAAACAAGGUCAAAGUGGAUUAGGGAUCAUGUAACACCCUGAAUUUUGGGCCUAGAAGUUCUGGGUUUUAAGUGUAGUGACAGUGAGGAGGUUGCACACAUAAGUUAAGUUGUGCAAUUUAGUGACAAGAAUAGGCCUGUUGGUCUGGUGGUUAAGUGGAGUGUUAGUUUGUGUUGUGGACUUGAGUUCGAGUUCUUGUGUGUGCACUUUUAGAGAGCCUUUUAUUUUGUUCUACUUUAGUUAAUAAUUAUAAAUGUUUAUUUGUUUUAUUAUAUUUUUAUUUGUUAUUUGUUUUAUUGUUAUUUUCUUUCAUUUUUGUUUUAUUUUUGUUCUCUUUUUACACUUUUUUUUCUUUUUAUUCUUUCUUUUUCUCUCUGUUCCUUUUCAUUAUCCUCUUGGCCUUCGAAAACAUUUUGUUGGUGAUCGCUGGAGUUACUCUCCUUCGACUUCGUCUCUAAACACAAACUGGUGUGGGAUUCGAAUUGAAACUACAUUUGUUUUAUUGCUUAAUUGAUUUUGCAACCUUAUUAAUCUGAUAUUUCUUGAUUGGAUGUCAAAACGAGGGAUUUGGGGUUUUUAAUCGAUGGAAAUAAUGAGAAAUCACCACUUUCUAAUAUAUUUUGAUAGGGCAAAGGUUAGGGACGAUUAUGGAGGCUAAAACAAUAUUUUUAGGGAUAUUUUGGAGGGUUUUCGUGACUUUUCAGGUAGCCACACGGGCGUGUACCGAGGUACACGGCUGUGUGGAUUUGGGAACUAAGGUUUUCUAAAACAUUUGGAUGCCACACGGCCUGGCCACACGGUCGUGUUGUCGAUUUAGGGAUCUUGUCAAUUUUCACAUGGCUGUAUCCCUUGGGCGGCAUAUGAGUUUGGAAAUUAGGGAUUUGAGAUUUGGAGCCACACGACCAUCUAGCUGAUUUGGGGAUUUAGGGAUCCCACACGGGCGUUUGAGACCUUCACACGGCUGUGUCUGCCCUGCACUCUAUUUUAGCGAAUUUGGACAGUAAGUUACACGGCCUGUCUACACGGCCGUGUCCCUUCACCACACGGGCGUAUGCCUCUGUCACACAGCCAUGUGCUACCCUUCACACGGGCAUUUGGACCCACACACGGCCGAAGCACAUGGAUGUGUGGCCCUAUCUCUCCAAAUAAUGCUUUUAGAUCAAAUUUAAGUGUAAUCGCAACACUGCGUACUCCAACCCUUGACUAAGCUUUACUGAGGGUAAUUAUGAGUUUGAUUUAGGCUUGAUAUGUGUGUUAUUUGUGAUUGAUUUUGUGAUAAGCUUGAUACUGGAUUCGAGUUAUGAGUGUGCACGUGCCUGAUUCUGUAACUGAAUGACUGGAUGUGAGUGACUAUUUCUGAAUGACUGACUAAAAAUAGUAUUCUGAUUUUGGUACAUCUGACUGGAUAAAUACAUACAUGUGAAUAAAGUGUUUUGGGUGAGGUUUUGAAUAGAAAGAAGAUUGACUGAACUGAACUGGCAUCUGAUCCGUUGGUUAUUAGCCCCUAAAACCCAGAGGGUCAUGGGCGGUCCCAAUACCCUGAGGGUUGUGGACAAUUUGAUUGUACUGCGAAUUACCACACUGCACUGUACAGUACAUACGUCAGCAUCACUGCGUAUCAUUGACUAAACUGGCAGUUUUACUACAACCUAACGGUAUAGCGAUUUACCGCAUUGCGCUAUACCGCAUGUACGUUAGCUAUGCUACGUACCAUUGACUGAACUGGUAGUUUUACUGCAAUCUAUUGGUAUAGCGAAUUUUCGCAUUGCACUGUACCGCAUAUACGUUAGCUACACUGCGUACUACUAUCUGAUCUAGCAGUUCAUAUUGCAUGUCUAUACUGCAGUUUAUCACAUUACACAGUAAAACUUAUACGCUAGCUUUGCUACGUAAUAUACGAGACUAGUAGUUUAUCUGCAUACUGUUAGCCCCAAUACCCAGCGGGACAUGGACAAUCCUAAUACCCAGAGGGUUGUGGAUAGUCUUGAUAGCCAUGAUUGCCAGGCUACUCGUGAUGACAUCAGUUGCAUAGUGCAGGGUUGGAUGGGCUUUACGAGGUCCUAAGUGGAGUGAUUGGCGGACGAGCUUGAAAGAUUUUAUGAGGAGUGAUGGGGGACGGAGAGGUGUGUGUUGGCUGGAUGGAUGGGUUUUUCUUAACUCAAUUGCAUUCAUAUGCAUCAUAUUGACUGUUCGACUAAAAUGUCUAAUUGACUGUUUGAUUGAAGUGUCUAAUUGACUGUUCAACUACAAUGUCUGAUUGACUGUUCUACUGAAAGGCACUUGUGCCUUAUGAGAACUUUGUAGACUUUGUCUGCGACUAUCUGACGAGAUAGUUACUGUGACUGUUUAAGAAUUACUACUACUGUGUCUGAAUGGUACGUGAGACUGUGUGUGUCUGAUUGACCCAUAUAAAUGAAAAGUACAUAUGAUGAGUUUGAUUUUAGGUGAAUUCGCUCUAGUGUCAUCUAUCUGUAAGUAUGUUCUGCUUCUAGUUCCUUGUUUCCAUUUUUGUAGUUUAACUGGUUUGAUCUCACACUAACCUCGAGUAGCUCACCCCCUCUUUUGUUUUCCCUUUUCAAAUACAGUUCUGGAUCCUGUUGAUGGACUUAGUACGGGGAGGUCUCAGACAAUCUUGGUGGAAAUAAAUUCUAAGUUCGUGUUUUCAAUUUAAACUACUAUUCGGUUUUAGAACUAUUGGGAUUUAUAAACACUAUGGUACUAGUUUCUACUUUGAUUUCUCUUAUUAAUGUAAUUCUAUUCGAGUUUUAAAUUUCAUUGCAAUGAUUCGAUUUUUACUUAAUAAUGAUUAAAUGUUCUUAACUUGUAAAGGGAUUGGUUUUGUAAAAUUUUUCUACGAUCACUUUGGUGGUCAAUGUAGACACCGGAUUUGGUCUAAACUACUAGGCUGGGUUUCGGGUGUUAUAGUUCCCCUGUUCUGACUUUGAAAAAUCAUAAAAAAAAUUGUAAAAAAAUGAUUAGGGUUUUAAAUUUAUAUUUUUAAAUUCUUAUAAGUCUAUUUUCAAGAGAAAUAAACAGAAACAUCAUCCAAACCCAGCACUAAGAGAAACUUAAUUUUUAGUAAAAAAAAGGUCGAAGCUGUCAAAUAGUAGAAGAGUAACAAAUUUGAAGAAUUUACUGUACUUAUUGGGUAAGUCAUAAAUUUUGAAACUUUUAUGGUAAAAAGAUAUUUGAGUAUAGUUUCGAAAACAUAAAGCGGAUCUUAAUUUCGAAUUUUUUAGCUCAAGAUAUAAAUAAUUUAGACACAUAAGUAAAUAAUGGAAUUAUAGAUAAUGUUACAUAUAAGCAUGUUAUAUACUAAAAGUUAAAGAUUGUAACAAAUAUAUACAUAAAUGAUGUGGAACGGAGAGGAGGAGGAGGAAAAAAAUAUGAAUAUAUAUAUGGUAGAUGAAUUUAAAAUGUUUCGAAAUGGUUGUAAGUGAUGGAAUGAUUAAUACAUGUGAGUAUGUUAAACGAAUUGAUAAAAUAAUAAGUGAAUAAUUGUUAAUUGAUGUAAUAUUGAAUUCUUUAUUAAAAUUUUAUGAAGAAUUAAAUUUUGUAAAAUAUGAAUAUUCCUUCCCAUAAAUAUAUUCAUCUUUAUCCCAUCAUAUCAAUCCUACGAGCUUCUUAUCAAUUCUUAUUCGAUCACGACAGAGACAAGACAAAAACAAAAAUACUCAUAUUAAAUUUAAAUAUAAUUAAAUUUAAACUGAUGACUUCCACCCUGUCAAAAUAACAUUCUACCGCUAAGUUAUAUCCUAUGCCUCAAUCAAGAAAUUUAACCAAUCCUAAGUGAAAGGAUGGACAAAUGUGUAGCGAAACAAAAAUUUCUUCCGUGAAUGUGCGUCUCAUUUUGUAACCCUCCAAUCAUUUCUUGGCAAGUGUAUUAAAAUUAUUUUUAAAAUUAAGUUUGAAAGUAAAGGUUCAAAAAUUAAAUAAAAUUUAAUAAUUUCCAACACUUGUAUCAAAUUAUAUAUAUUAUAUAAAUUACACUUUAUAUAAACAAAAAUAACACUUUAUAAAUGGAUAAAUAAAUGAAACUCCAAAUAUUAAAUAUUUAAUAAUAUACUGCAUAUUUCCUAAAAAAAAUAAUAUACUGCACAUGUUACAAUGCAUUUAAAUGUGACCAUUAAACAUUAAUCUGAUACUAUAAUAUAUAAUUUACAGUACAUUAAACAUUAAUCUGAUAGCUGUUUUUAUAGUAAAAACAAAGGUACUCGUACUUUAGUUCAUCAUUUUUAAUAUUUGAACUGUUUUUAUGGACUGUAGUUGGCCAACACCAUUUGAUCGGAAACAUGUGAAUAUAUUAUGAAUAAAGUACAGUAGAGGUGAUUAAAUUAUUGUAUUUUUCAGUGACUUAAUUAUAAAAAAUUAUAAAUUAUAAAUUUAAUUAUUAAUAAAUUUUUAUUAUUCAAUUAUAAAAAAUUAUAAAAGAGUUAUUUAAUUACUUUAUUUUAUUUUAUUUUAUUUAUCAUCAACUGGCUAACGGAAAAAUAAAAAUAUCUAAAAAUUUAAUAAAGUAAAGUGACUAAAUAAAAACAAAAUUAAAUAAUUGAGUAAUCAUUUAAUAAUAUUUCAUAUUAAGUAAAUAAAAAAAAUUCCAUAAAUGGAUGACAACAAAUCUACUUUCCAUAUAUUAUAUUAUAUUUCAUAUGUAAAAGAAUUUUAUUUGUUAAGAGUCAUUUUUUUAUCCUUCUCAAUUUUCUCUAAAAGUGUAAAUAUACUAAUACUCAUAAAUUAAAUAAUUAUUGAAUUGAUAUCUAACUAUCAAUCCAUCCAAAUUACAAAUAUCCCAUACAUUUAUCUGUCUUUAAAUAAACAAAUGAAACUCCGAAUAUUAAAUAUUUAAUAAUAUACUCCACAUCUUACAAUGCAUUUAAAAAAAAAUGUGAAUAUAUAAUUAAUAGUACAGACAAAGGUACUCCUACUUUUUAGUUCAUUAUUUUUAAUGUUUCAGCCGUUUUUAUGGACUACUCGGCCAACACGAUUUGAUCGCCAACAACUGAAUAUAAUAUGGAUAAAGUAUCAUAUUUACUUAUUCGAUUAUAAAAAAUUAUAAAAAAUUUAUUCUAUUGUUAUUAAUUUUUAUUUAUUAGUUAACUAUAAAAUAAUUAUUUAAUUAUAUUUUUUUGUCACUAACUAAUUAAUAUAAAAAUAGAAACACCAAAAAAUUUAAAAUAGUUAGGUGACCAAAUAAAAAUAAAAUUAAUUAGUUGAGAAAAAGUUUUGUCCAUCCUUGUUCAUGGUAGCCGAAAAUGGAAGAGAAAGGAGAGGAAAAGAGCUCUUGAAUGUUCGGUCACUUGGGGAAGAAAAUCUAAGGUAAGUUCAUGGUGCUUUGCUUCUAUUUUGAUGUUCAUGGGUUUUUCUUGUUUCUACCUUAACCCAUGAAGCAUAUUUUUGAUAUUUGGUUGUGUUGUGAGCAUUCGGUCAUGAAUGGAAAUGAGAGAAAUGGUUGUUGUUUCAUGUUCUUUUGAUGAAAAAUGGAGAAUAGAUGAAGUUGAGCCAAGCAAAUGAGCAUGCAUGUGUCUUAGAUGCUAAGGGGAAAAAUCGGCUAACAUGUUGUGUGUAUUAUGGCCGAAUGUGAACUUGGAUAAUAUUGAGUAAUGUUGUGCUUUAAAAUGAUGAAAGGAAGAUUAUGCUUAAGUGAAGUUAUAGGUAUGUGAUGAUUGAUUUGUGAUAUGCAUGUUUAAAUAACAUGUAUGCAAGGUAUGUGUGAAAGAGUGAAUUGGUAAUAAAUCUGCUUGAGCAGCAGCAGUAACAUGAUUUUGGAAAAUCACCAUAAAUUGUGGGAGAUGAGUUAGAAGCUGAAUAAAUUAUGUAAUUAAAGCUUAAUGAGUCUAGUUUCUUAUAAAAUAAACCAUGUAAGCAAAAUAAUUGCCGAUGAUGAGAUAUUUGAAGUGAUGUGGGACAGGGUCAGAAUGACUUCUAGAUCCUCUGUUCUGUUUUUAUAAAAUCAUUAUAAAUUGUAAAAAAAAAUGGUUAUAAGAUGAAGUUUAUAUGCUUAGACUCCUUAAUGAGUCUAGUUUCAAAUGAAAUAAAUGAGAACAUAUUUUGAAUUUUGUACAAUGAGAAAUUUGAUUCGUAUUGAAGAGUGGUCAGAUUAGUCAAACAGUGAAAUAAGGGAAACUUUAAGAAAAAUAUGGUAUUGAUUGGCCAAACCAAAAAUCCUGAAAAUUUUAUAGGUAAAAUAUAUAUGGGUCUAUUUUCAGAGAAAAUUAACGGAACUUGAUUUGGAGUUUCGUAGCUCCAGUUAUAAAUGAUUUAGUGACUGUUGCUCAGGAAGACAACUUGCAGUGAAAUUAUGAUUAUGUGGUAAACAUUGACAAAAAUUUGUUAAUGAGUUGCUUAUUGAUUUCUUAUAAGCUUACUAUGAUUAGUAGGUGUGAAAGUUGAAUAUAUAUAUAUAUAUUAUAUUUUGAAAGUGAUGCUUGAAUAGUCGAAUAAUGACUAGUUUAAAAUCUUUAAAUUUUAAGCUCAAAAGCAUAGAGGGGCAAAUUCAGAUAAGAGAAAAGAAAAAGUAAUCGAAUAGCCGUUGUAAUCAUUCGGCAACAUUCGAGGUAAGUUCUUAAGUGUUUAAGCUUGAUUCCUUUUUAUAUGCCCAAGAGUUAAAUUAAUAUGGUAAAGGGAAUGUAAAUUUUAUUUAGUUAAUGUGCCGAAUAUGUAAUGAUUUAAGGCUAUAAGCCGAUUAUGGCUAUUAUGCUUAAGUUGAAUUGGAUUUGGAAAUUUGAUGCACUAAAUGAGUGUUACAAUGAAUAAACUAUGCCGUAUAUGUGCCGGUGGAGAUAUCACGAUUUGUGAUUAUUAAAUACCUAAAGGAAACCAUGAUGUGUAUAAAAUUAUUAUUAUUAGUCAUUUGUGAUAGCGGAAUAUGGCUUGGCACUAAAGUGAUUAAAUGUGAACUUCGAUGAGGUAAACCAUUAAAAGUGUGGUGCUAUAAGACUAUGGGCUAAUACGAUAUGUGGAUUCAUUCCGUAAAGUAAAUUAUUCAGGUAUGCGAUAUGUACUUAGGCAUGUUAAAUCGAUUGGAAUUGAUCAUGAAUGUGAAUUGAGAAGCAUAGGUAAAAAUGCCUAUGACAUAUAUGUGAGAAAGAGUAAAACCAUGGUAAAUUAUCGAUAAGGAUGAGCUAUGUGCGGAACCAUCUUAUAAUUGCUAAUUUGAAAGGUUGUGUGCGAAUCAGUGAGCAAUAUGUAUAUAUUAGAUGAAUUGUGACCUUUUGGUUCUACUUGAACUAAGUUGCGCGAUAAAUAAUUUAUGCAUAUGACUUAUAGUCGAAUGGUCACUAUGGGUUAAGUUUGAAUGGUGAAAUGGAAAUGUGAUAUGUUGAAUGAGAUGUGUUAAUACAUAAUUAAAUAUGCAUGAUAUUUGAUGUGUAUCCGGGCUUAAAUAUAUUCAAUAUAUUUUGGAAAACCAGGAAGCAAACCAAGUAUACAACAAUAAACAAUAUCAAAUUUGUUCCCACGAUAUUUGAGGACCUGCUGCUGUAUUUUCAUCUUAAAGUAAGAAGUAAGAGUUGUGUAAAAUGACUAACUUUACGUGUGGGGUUUUAUGAUGGGAAACCACUCAGAAACCUUCUUUCAAUAAUAAUCAGAAAACAUCCAUGCUAAGUGAUGAAUGCUUUUUCACUUGUUUGCCAACUUAUUUUCUAGCUUUUAGAGACAAACAAAACAUGAUUGUGUCUUACACUCCUCUAAUUAAACACGGUUUACGACGAUAUAUCAUAUAUGAUAACAAAAAAAUUCUACAAUUUGAUUCAUUCUUGUGCUUUCCUUCUAUGUGAAAAACAAUAGUUAAUAUAUUAAAUUUCACGAAACUCUGACAAAAUACUGCAAAAGUUUAUCGAGAAUUAAUUUUUUAUGGCGAAUUUCAUAUGGAAAAUUCUAAUUCAAGAGUUUUAGAAGUAAUUGCUGGGGUUUUAGUAGUUAAUAGGUUUUGAAUGAGCUUGGAUUAAGUUGAAAGAGAGGAAAAUUUGAGUUAAUUGAGGUUUUUGGACUAAAUUGCAAAGUUGCUUCAUCUACCAUGGAUUAUUGGGCAAAACUAGUGAGAUAUUAAGGGUUCUAUUCCCAAUACAUGGAGAUAGUUCUUUCUUUUCUUUGGAUUAAGGGUUAAAUUACAAAUUUCUCUAAGAAUAGGAUCUUUCAAUAAACAACCAAUACAAGAAGGGAUUGAGCCACUUAAUUCGUUUUGGGAGAGCGAAAUGUACUCCAAUUUCAUCAAAUGACAUAAAGCUAGAGGAAUAUGACCAUUAAAACUAUUAUUAGUGAGGGAUAAAAGCCUGAUGUUGUUCAAAAUUUCAAAAUCUUCAAGGAUUUCAACUAUAACCUUCCUAAUUAAGUCAAAUGGACUAUAUUGACUAUCGAAAUAGCUUUAUAGAACUAAUCAAAUUUGACAACAUUCUUUUUGACAAACUUUUUGGAAAGCUUAAUGCAACUGCCUUGAGAUUAUCAAAACAUCAUAUUAUUAAAUUGAGUUAACUUAAAAAUCUAAUUUAAUAAGUGUUGUGACAUUUUGAGGUAAACUUAGUUCAUUUUUAUUUUGUUAAUUUGCCUUCUUCUAAAAUUUCAAUUCCAUUAGGUAGUGGAAAAAGUCAAACUAUCAAUUUUACCACUAUUGGACAAAUGUGUAGCGAAACAAAAUUUUCUUCCGUCCAUCGGCGUCUCAUUUGUAUCCAUCCAAUCAUUUAUUGGCAAGUGUAUAAAAAUUAUUUUUAAAUUAAAUAAAAUUUAAUAAUUUCCAACAGUUCUAUCAAGUUAUUAUAUAAGAUACUAUACUUUAUUAAACAAAUGAAACUCCGAAUAUUAAAUAUUUAAUAAUAUGCAGCACAUUUCCUUAAAAAAUAAUAUACUGAACAUGUUACAGUGCAUUUAAAUGUGACCACUGAACAUUAAUCUGAUAGUAAAAUAUAUAAUUUACAGUAAAAACAAAGAUACUCAUACUUUAUAGCUCAUCAUUUUUAAUGUUUGAGCCGUUUUUAUGGACUGUAGUUGGCCCACACACGGCUGUGUGUCGUACAUGGCCUAUCACGUGGCCGUGUAGAGUUGAAGACCACAAUUUUGGUUUUUGCUGUUCUUUUUUUUUUUAGGUUUUUCGUUGCACACUGUAACAUCCCUAACCCGUAUUCGCUACUGGAUUAGGAUUACGGAGCAUUACCGAAACAUAACAUCAUAUAAUGAACAAUUUAUUAUCAUAAAUAAAUCACAAAUUAAAACAUUACAACAUCAAUCAAAAACAUACGUAUAGUCCAUUAUACGAGCCUACCUUAUUUAUUUUUACUUUUUUAAAUUUCUAACAUAAUUGUGUAUCUGCUUCAGUGGGUAAAAGUUCUGGGUGUGUGUGAGAGGUCCCAAGUUUAAUCCCUACCUUUAGCCAAUUUUUGUAUAUUUUUGGCUCUAAACCCUAUCUUUAUUCAGUGGGCUUAUAUUAAAUAUUUGUAAAACCAUAUUAGAAUGACCCUGCUAGUUUGAGUGAUAAGGGUGUGAGUAUGUUGAAGAUCCUAUGUUCGAAUCUCUGUGUGAGCGAGGGUAUUUAUUUUUGCUCGAUUUUUGGUUAGAGUCUUGAUGGAGUUGGAUUUUGAGAAGUUGGUUGUUAGUAGGUUACUGUGGAGUAAUCUGGGGGAUUUGGGGAGUUAUCUAUUAUUUAUUUUCUUUUCUUUUUGCUAAAAAAAUUCUCCCACCUCCAAAGAAAAUUGACGUCUAGUUCCUGUUAUUUUCCCCAAAUUUCAUUUCUCUGACAUUUUUUCUUCUUUUCUUUGUCUUUCACCUCCAAUUUUUGUUGCCUUCCUCAGAUUUCUGUUGGAAUUUCUUGUUCAAUCUUUAUUACUGUGUUUUCUGGUUCUUUUUGGCUAGUAAGUAAAACCUUACUCCCCUCUUAACUGUUGGUUUGGGGAUUCUAGUGAUUAAUCAGUGGAACUUCGUGUUUAUGAACAAACAGUGGAGCAGAAUUUUGCACUCCAAUGGGUUAGUGCAUGUUAGACGUGUUUCUUCGUUAAUGGUAAGUCGGGUUCAUGUUGAUUAUAGCUGUCAAUUUCAUUGUUUUUUCCCGCUAAACCGAAGUUGGGUGCUCUAUUUUAGGUUUUAGAAGGCUCGGGAUUACUUUAGCAUCGAAUAGAUACCAGGUGUGUACCUGAAACGCAAAAAAUGAGGUUUCAGCAAAAGGCAAAAAUGGCCACUGUCGAUGCCAUACAGGCGUGUGGCCAGCCGUGUGGAUGGUCGUGUGCGAAGACAUAGCUGUGUGGUCGAUGAAUGCAUGGCUGUGCACAAGACAAGACAAUGUGGUGGCUUGAGUGUGGUUGUGUGGGCCACACGUGCAUGUGGGCCCACAUUGGUAUGCCACACUGGCAUGUGGGCCCAAAAUUUUGAAAUUUCCCUAGGGUUGCGCAGGUCAUUCCAAUCGACUGUGGACCUUCCAUAGGGCCGGUAAGGGUUAACCAAACCCUAGAACUAUGGAUUUGGUAGUUGAUAUUCUAUUCCGAGUAUGUGUAAAGAAUGCAUGUCUGAUUGUCCCGUUAUCUAUAUGUAAGCAUGUUGAACAUGUCUAAUCUGUAUUUCUGUAUCUGAUUUGGGUGGGAUUUGUUCAUGAGGAGGAAGUGUUUUGUUUGGCGUUAAUCGUUUAUAUUCUGGCAGCUUGGCUGCAUAUAUUUAUUCUGAUAUUUGUCUUAAUGGCACAAUGUGGCGUGUAGGGAUGGGUGAGUGUUUCUAACCCUAUAUGGUGUGAUGGGAUGGUCAAAGAUGGUGUGUAGAGGAUGGGGGUAGGAUUUAUGCAUAUCUGGAUCUGAAUUUGAAACUGUAUCUAUAUCUGACUAUGUUUGUAAUUUUUUAUGUUUGCAUGCUUAGUUCUAUUGGGUUACAUACUGAGUUUACGUAAACUCACAUCUGUUUUUUGUUUUGUCAGGUAAUCUACAGACUUAGCGGUGUAGAGGAUGGGUGUAGCAGAGACUCAGCGGUGACCACUCGACCGUAAAUUGUUAAAACUUAGUUAUUUAUCGUUUAUUUAUGAUUUUGGUUUACAUUUGAGAGUUUGUAAUUUCUGGGACUCUAUGGACUAUUUUUUUUUGUUUUAUAACUGUUGGUUUUGGUUUUAUAUAUUUGUUUACUUGCAUGCUUCGAUAAAAUGCUUUAUGAUAACGAAGGUUUUAUAAUAAUAAAGUUUUUCUAAAAAUACAAAUCGGGUUUCUGAAAGGUAUUGAUUUUAUUAGGCUUUCGCUGUAGAUAAGUUUUGGCAAAGAAAACAAUUAAUUAACGUUUCUGAUUUUGGUUAUAAGAUUUUGUGAUAAUAGACUAAGAAGAGUUAACGUAUCAACUCCAUUUUCAAAACUCAUUCUUUGUGACAUCUUCAGAUUCGGUCAUAACAUUUAGGCCGGGUUUGGGGUGUUACACUCGAGGCCCAAAAUAGACAUUGAAAAUGAUUUGGGACUAAAUUAGAAACAUGUGAAAUUUUUCAAAAAAAGUUAAAAUUUUUCAAACUGCAGGUGUCACAUGGCCUUGUGGCCAGGCCGUGUGACUUACAGCCCAAGAGACAUGCUCGUGUCUUAGGUCGUGUGGGCAUUCGAAAUAGCGACACAUGGCCGUGUCCCAUGCCGUGUUUGCACCUAUGUAACCCACUGACUUGGGCUACACUGCUAAGUUACUCGCCCAUGUUCCAAGCCGUGCACCUUUUGAAAUAACGUCCCACUCCCGUCUGCCAGGCCGUGUGCUAGGCCGUGUAACAGCCUGACUUGCAACCCUUUGAAAGCUACAGGGGACACAAGAUCGUGUCGCUUGGCCGUGUGUCACACACAGCUGAGACAGACGCUCGUAUCUCUGACUGUGUGGACAAAAAAUAGAUAAUUUUCAUGCCAUUUUUCUCACCCAAAAUCAUAACUCAUUCACAAACUAAUUGCAUCUAAAAUCAAGCAUUCAAAACUCACUUUGCAUAUGCAUAUCCAAGCUUGAACAACCUAGAAUCUAACCAUUCAACCAAUAUUCCAAAAUGGAACCUCAAUUUCAACAAAUCAAUUUUACUUAAACACCUAACCAUUUCAUUCCACAAUUAAACUACUAGUUGGAUCAUCCCAAUGCUAUAUUUGCCACAAUGUUCAUAAACCAAAUAUGCAUACAUAAUCAAUACAAAAUACCAUAUUCAUAACUAACCUAUACCAUACCAAAUUGACCAAAAGAUGAUCAUUUUCAAACUACCAAAUCAAGUCAUUAGCAACAUUAUGGACUAUCCCUUUUUACACCAUUCAACAACUCAUAUUAUAACAUUUCCAUAACACUUCCAUAUAAUCAUUUUAGCCAACACAAUAUUAAGUUACAAACCACACAAGAUACCACAUAAAUAUACAUCAUACCAAAUAGAUCAUCAACCAUAAUGUCAUUUAUAUACAAUCCACACUUAAUGACUAUAAUUCAUCAAACAAAAUAUCUAUAUAUGCCAUUAUAACCAUGACUCAAAAUCUUCAAAAUAUAUCGAUAUAACCGAUGGAUAGUGUGAUGAAAUCUUUGGCAAAUUCUAACCCUAAUGAGGUUCCAAUUAUCUAGAAACACAAAGGAAAAAUACCACGAAGUAAGCAUAUAAUGAUUAGUAAGUUCAUAAUUCAUAAAUAAAGCUUACCAUUCAUUUUAUAAGCAUAAAAAUAAACUUGAAACUAUCCAACAUGGCUUGGCAUUAGCCUAAGCAAUAACAACCUUUCGAGUUAGCAAAUGACAUAGCAUAACAAAUCAACUCAUAACAUCAUAGCUUUUAAACAUAUUACUUCAAAGCAUUCAUACUUUCAACAAAUUGCUGAGCAUAUUUCAUUCAUUAGCAACUCAUACCUUUUCGUACUUUCAUAAUAUCACUUAUUGGAGCAUUUGUUGAACCUUCUCUUUUUCAUACCUGUUGAACCACUAGAAUAAAAUCGGAUACACGGGAAUCUCACAAAGCAAGUACCCACAUGUGGUCGAAACCACUACUAACUCAUAUCUCAUAUCAAUGCUUUCUCUUGAGCCAUAAAUGGGUCUGCUCACACAAGCUGUCAGUCAAGACGUAGCUAAACAGUACUGCUCACACAACCUGUCAAGUAACCGCAACACAUGCUAGAAACUCAGCCAUUAGUAGGACGUGCGAGACCAGCACCCAAAACACUGUAACCCUUAAUGGCAUGUCAUUUGUAUCCUAUAUAUUUCUAAGGUUCAAACGGGAUCCAAAAGUUGCCAAAACUUCAUUGGAUAUUUCCGUAGUGUCGUAAUUUCAGUAUAUAUAAUGUAAAGGCAUUUAAACCAAACAUAACUCAAUGCUAAUUAAAUAUACGAACUUACUUCAAACAUAUACAGAGAAAAAUGAUUGAUUAAUCCAAUACUUUUUCUUUUCCCCAAUCUAAAUCCGUAUGUUGCUUUUCUUGAUCUAUAUAAUCAAAUUUAACUCAUUCAAAAUUCAUUGUAUUCAAUUUAAUCCAAAAAUCAUGUUUUGGAAAAAUUACACUUUUGCCCCUUAAAUUUUAAAUUCAAUACAAUUUAGUCCCUAACUCAUAAAAAUGAAAAUUCAUGCAAUUUAAUACCCAUUAUGGUCGAAUAUCACCUAGGCCCUUAGCAAGCCCUAUACUUCAUUUAUUUCACAAUUCCACCACGAAUAACUUUCUAUUUUUCAAUUUAAUCCCUAAUUGACAAAUUCAUCAAAAUUUCCUUUACAAAAGUUCUUCAACUAUCACCAAACUUUCAUUUUCAUCCAUCAAGCAUAAAAACAACUAACAUGCAUUCAUGGUAAAACCCUAAAGUUUUAACAGUUUUGCAAAUUAGUCCUUAGGCUAGCUAGAUUAAGUUACAACGACUCCAAAAACAUAGAAAUCAUUAAAAACCGAGCAAAAAUACACUUACAUGCAAGAGAAGUAGUUGGCCAAAUGCUUGAAUGCCCGAAAAUGGUGUUUUUCCUAUGUUAAAAAUUGGCUAAGAAAGAAAAAAAGAUGAUAGCCUUUGUUUUAAUUAUUUUACUAACUUUAUUUAUUAAAUUACUUAAAUAUCCUUUAAUUAAACCUUUAGAAAUCACUAAAAUAAUGUCCAUCUUUGUCCACUAAGUAAAUUAAUUGUCUAAUUACCAUAUAAGGCCACCCAUAUUCCAAUUUCAUAGCAAUUUGACACAUUUUACUUAUAAAACUCAAAUUUUGCACUUUAUACAAUUUAGUCAUUUUCAUCAAAUUAAACAUACAAAUGAUAAAAUUUCUUCACGAAAUUUUUAUACGAUGUUACUAUCAUGCUGCAGACAUUAAAAAAAUAAAUUUUUUGAUGUCAGAUUUUUGGUCCCGAAACCACUAUUCUGAUUUCACUAAAAAUAGGCUGUUACACAUAACUGGUAAUUUUUGGAAACGAACUUGAACACAAGCAAUUCCACACCUAAAUCGCCAAUUAACACAACUGAUUUCAAUAAUGAUUCGCACAACUCUAAUCUUUUGUUGAAACCAUUUUUUACAGGGUUUGAAAAAAACGGGGCUCAACUUUAAAAAAAUGAAAACUGGGAGUCGCCACCAAUCAGUUUAAGUGUGAUUGAACCACCUUCAAACUACUUUUUGUUUGAAAAUCAUUUGUUUUGGUCUACAAAAUCAAGAAAAUGGGUUUGGGAGUCGAUUACGUACGAGGAAGGGUUAGCACCCUCGUAACGCCCAAAAAAUUGGUACCAAAUUGAAUAAUUUUAUGUCUUUAAUGUCAAAAGAUUGAAAGAAUUUAGAAAUAAAAUCUCUUUUUUUUAAAACCAUAAUUAUUUGAAAAAGAAAUCAAGAUUCCUUCGCUUCAAAAGAGUAUAAACAUCACAUCCAGCAUGAUUGGACAUGAUAUCUUUAAACUUUCGCAACCGAAAUCAUCUUGUAAUUUGUGAAACUCGUUUAAAAAGAUAUUUUUAGACAUUUAGACAAACGGGAAAUCGCAACCCAGCAUGUUAGGGCACCACUUCCCGAAUUCCUAAAUACCAAAAGCAUUGCCUCACUUUUUAAAAUUCCUUUUGGAUUAAAUGAGAUAUGAUUUUUUUGAAAAUAAUGAUGUAUUUUACAUAUUAAAAGAAGUUAGUACUAAAUAAACCUAGCUACAUAAUACAUGCUUUAUCAUUUUAUGCGAAUAUGGUAUAGAAAAUGAUAAAUAAUAACAUAACUCAUAUAAUACAUUAGUAUUUCAUGCAUAUAUAAUCAUAAAAAAUGUGCAUACAUUAUCAUUCCAUGAAAGAUACAAUGUGACAAAUAAUAAAUAUAAUUAUAUAACUACAUAAUAUGUAUAUGUGCAACAAUAUUCCAUCCAAAUGUAUAAAAACGAUAAAUAAUAUAAUAAUAACAAACAAUUUACGAGAUAAUAUUAUUAUGGCAAUAAAUAGUAAAGAAAAUUUAGACAAUGGUUAAUAUAUAUAUAUAUAUAUAAAUGUAUUGUAUGAUUUAAUAUAUUUAGUAUAUAUUUAUAAAAAAUAUUAAUAUAUUACAUGAGAACAAAAUUUCACAUUAAAUUUAAAAAUAUUACAUAUUAGAUUUUAAAUAAUAAUAUAUAAAAGUGUAAUUUUCAACAAUAAUUUACAAAAUUUUAAAUUAUACAUAAUAAACAGUUAAUAAUAAAAUGAUAUAAAAUAAAAUAAUAAAUAAUAAAAAUGAUAUAAUAUAAAUAAUGAUUUACAUAUAUAAAUAUAAUAAAAUGAAUUAUAAAGUAAAAAAUAUAUAUAAUAAAAUUUAUAAGAAACGUAUAUAAUAAAAUAAAAUAAUAUAUGUUAUUUUUAUAUAACUAAUGUUUAUAAAAUAGAUAAUACAUUUAAUAUUUUAAAAAUAAAUUAUAUAUAUAAAGACUAAAAUUGAAUUAAAUUAAAAUUAGGGCUAAUUUCAAAUAAAUGAAAAUUUUGGGCUUAAUUGGAAUGCGUAUUAAAAAUGAGGGACUCACUGGGCAAUUUGUCCUAAUCCCAAAACGACGUUGUUCUUCAAAAUGAAUUUUAAGGGCCGUUAGGAUUAAAUUGAAACAACUAUAAAAGAUUAGGGCCGAAUUAAAAUAAAAAUAAAAUGAAAUUAUAAAGACUAAAAAUGCGAAAGGACCCAUUGGGAAAUUAGCCCAUUUUCCAAAAACACGCGGAUCCUCCCCGGGUCACAGGUCAACAUGCGGAUCCUCAGCAUUAAUACGACGCUGUUUUGAAGCUUAUUGUUUUAAGCAAAACGGCACCGUUUUGUUAAGGCUAUAUAAGCCAAAUUUCAGUUUUGAAAUCAUUUUAAAAUCUGAUUUUAAAAAAACAAAGAAAACCCUCUGAAGGAGGGCUGAGGAAGGGUUCCCGGAGUUCUUUUGAACCUCCGGCCAGAGGUUUGCACGCGCCCACGUGCCACCGUCAACAGUGCUAUGUACGGCGGCCAGAAGCUGGAAAGCUUCCUGUUUCACCGCAAAUUGAAACGGUACAUCCCUUUUGUUCUAUUUUUGUUUUUUGAAUAUGUAUUUAGAGAGAAAAAAGAAAUAUAGUAAUCACCUAUGUAUUCUUAGAUCGAUUGCUGAUUUCUUUUAGUGUAAAAUGCGUUCUGUUUUUAUUGAAUCUUCGUGAAAAAAACGUGCGCUUACAGAUUAAAAAAGAAAGGCUUUUAUAGCCCUUUGUAAAUCAUUACAAUUUGGGAAAGAAAUCUUUGAUUUCUUUCCAGAUUUUGCUCCUAUUUUCUGUUGUCGUUCUUUCCAUUUUGCAGAUACCAGCGAGAAUAUCACGGCAGUGAUUGCACUAUCGCUGAUUCGGGCACCGAUUGCGGCGUGGUACAAGGCUGGAGUCACGUCGUCGAUGGAGGAUGAUGAAAAGUCACUGGAAUGGCGCCUAAACGAAAGGUUGUGACUUUUGGUGUUCCUGCGGCGCCUAGGGUUUCAGAAACCCUAGGCCUUUCCAUGUUCUGUUAACAAUUUGGGCCAUUUGGGCCCUGUAUGUUUUGGGUUAAGGGUGUAUUGGGUUAAUAGAUUUUGGGCCAAGGGUUUAGGCUAAUCGGGUCUUGGGUGUAACCGGGCAUAGGGCUUUUGGGCUAACCGAGUUUUGAACUGUAAAUGGACUAUUUUUUUGUUUUAGUUUUGGCAAACUUUGUUUAUUUAUUUUAUGGGUCCGGGCAAAAAUGGGCUACUACAUCUUUAAUUACCCACAAUCAACUAAAUGGCCCUUCAAAAAAAUACAUCCACGCGCUUACCGACUGAACGAACGCCUACCACGCAAAUCUCAAGUCGCUGGAGAAUCAACACAAUACUCACUAGACCGAUUUAACGCAACCCAACAACCAACAUGAUUACAAAUAACACAUAGAAUAAAAAAUGAACUUAAACAUCUUACCCUUCGAUUUGUAGUUAAAGAAAAUUGAACCGUUAUCUCAAUAAUUAAAGCAGCUCCACGAUUAAAGGAAAAGAAGGACAAAAUUUAAAGGACAAAGAACUAACGAAAAGAAAAAGAAAGAAAUAGAGGCACAAAGCAAAAUCAAUUAAAAAAAGAAAAAUAACUUGGGAAUGGCGGCGUGGAUUUGAGGAGCAAUAGAUACAGACGUGGGAAGGACCAACCAAAUUUGGGAGUAGUCCAUUUUUCUUUUAAUAAAACAGAAGAAAUAAUAAUAAAAAAGAAAUAAUAAAAAUAACCAUAUCACCUUUUUUUUCUUUUCUAUAAUAAAACUCUUUAAUAUUAGUUCAAAUUCAAAUCCAACAACCUACAACCCCCAAAUCUCAUCCACAUCCAUAUUCAAAUUCAAAUUUUGGCUCGACUGGUCUGGACAUUUCGCGUCGCCAAUUUCGUGCGGCUGUACCCCAACUUCGUUAGGAUUGGAUCUGCACCUCCUGUAUGCGAGGCAGGGUUACAAGCUUAGUCAUUCAAUUACCCUUCAAAAGGGUUCACAUAUAUAAACACAUCUCACUUUGGUAUUUAACCAAUAUGGAAUCUAAGUCUUUACUUUUUCUCAAUAAUAUUUCAAGUAGCUUACUUUGAACAUCUAUUUCUCAUUCAUCACUCAACCAUUUUGAGCAUGUGAUAUACUGUUGUAAAGGUCUCAUGGAGUAGAAUAUGAAACCAUAAUUUUUUAAUUCAAGUCUCCACCUUUACCUAUUGAGAAUAUGCCUCAAAGCUCCCAUAAAAGAAUUUUUUCCAACUAUUCCCCAUAUGAAGAAAAUUAAUAGUUUUAUUAAAAAAAUAGUGACUCAAUGUGGUGAUAGAAUCUACGAUCGAUAGUUGCUUAGCAUAGGUAGGUAUACACCCUUGAACCUUCCCUUGCGAAAGUAUAUUUACUUUACUAUAUUACUAAUAGAUGUGAUGUCCUUAAAUUGUUUUGCCUUUUGUGUAAAUGGUAAUAUACCUCACACAACUACCUCCUUGGCAAGGUUUUAAAUCUCAUGGGUAUGUUCAUAUAGCCAUGAACAUCUCCUGGUUCUACAAGAGUUUAAGAGAACUAUGCCAUAAUAGUCUCUUUGAAGUAGACCUACAUCUCCUACAUAGGUGACUUGUAACGGCCCAAAAAUCCUUAAUAAUUUAUUUUCGUAUGUUUGUGACACAACUAUGUAUCUGCUUCAGUGGUUAAGUGUUCUGGGAGUGUUUGAGAGGCCCCAAGUUCAAGCCUUAGCUUGGGAAAAAAAUUAUUUUCAAUUGAAUAAACCCCUAUCUCUAAUCAGUAGGCUUAUAAAUAAUUGUUGGUAAAAUAUGUCAAAAUGGCCUUGCUGGUCUAGUAGUUAAGUGGAGUGUUAAGUGGCUGGAGAUCUGAGGUUUGAAUCUCUGCGCGUUCAAAGGGGAUUUAUUUUUACUACUUGGCCAUGGAAGAGUUGUGUUUGACCAAAAUUCUGCAGAGUUUGGGUGGGAUUUGAAUUCGGUGGUUGAGGGGAUUGUGUUGGAGUGAUAUAUGGAGAAAGAUGUGGAGGAAGGAGUUGUGAAAGAACCGAAAUUGGUAGUGGCAAUUUGGCCACUCUUCCUCAUUCUCCUAAAUUUUCAUUCCUGAUAGUUUUUCCUUUUUUGCCUAUAGUUUCAUUGCCGAAUUUUUUUGUUGCCACAAACUCUUCCCUUCGCUACUAAUUUUCUACUUUCUAUCACUACCUAUUCAUCUUUUUCUUUUUCUUAUUUUAUUCACUGCAGUUUUUUUCUUUUUUUUCUCCCCGUAAACCUCUGUCGAAUCUUCCCCAUUAUUUUUUGGUCUCCUUUUUAUGAUUGUUGCUGAAUUCUUGUUCUUCCCCACUCCAAAUUUUCUAUUUCUCUAAAAAGGGGAAAUCGUCAUUGGUUUCUUCUUUGUUCCCCUUGGUCGAAUUUCUUUAGAUCUUUUCCCUCUUUGCUGUACUUUUUCUUUUACUUGCUGCCCAAUUUGGUAUUUGACUUGUCAUCAAAUUCUUAGUCGUUGCAACUCGUUAUAUCGGUGCUUUUGUGCAUUUUAGGUAAAGUUGGUAAGAGUGGACAUUAUUUUAGAUUGAUGAAUCUUUUUCUAAUGGAGGCUUAAAUCGUGUUUAGGUAAUCGAUAAUUGACUGUGGAGGUUUGUUCGAUGCUGAAGAAGUGAGGAAUCACCAUCGUUCAUUCAAGGUAAUAUAUAUGUAAGUUUGGCAUUUAGUUAUCGUAUGCGACUUCGUUGAAGUUAUCGGCAAAUAACUUAAUUAAUGUGUUAAUGAUCAGUAAUAGGUGCUAGAGUACUCGUGGUUACGCUACCUUCGAACCAAUACUAGGAGUGUAAACACGACUCUGGGAAUGAAAAUUGGUGAAAAGCCAAAAAACGUAAAAGUAGACGCCACAUGGGCGGGCGGCCGCUCGUGUGAUAGGUCGUGUGAUCGGACACAGGUGUGUGAUCGAUGAGGGAGGCCAUGUGUGAUUCAUGGGCUGGGCUAAAUUGAGUCGUGUGGGAUUAUUAGGCCAGGCCAUGUGAUCCACACAGCUAAGGCCAUUUUGGGCCUUGUGGGCCACACAGGCAUAUGGGCCCACAUGGGCAAAUUACAUGGGCUUGUAGGCCCAUUUUCAUUGUUUGACUGCUAAGGUUGCACGGGUCGCCUAGUUGACUGUGGACCUACUGUAGGGUCGGUAAGAUUACCCAGAUCCCUAAUUGACUAAAUGACUAUUAUAUCCAUGUACUUUAUAUAUAUACAUGUAUGACUGUAUUUUGAGCACGCUGUUAAAACUGUACUGAAUACAUAUAUGAUACCAUGAUUUGGCAUGACAUGAUUGUAUGAUGCAUUGCAUGGGGAUGGGUUUAUAUGGAUCGGAAGAAGUGUACUGAAAGGCUUGGAGCCUAACUUACUGGCAGCUCAGCUGUAAACUACUGUUUAGUGCCGCAUUCGAUACUUUUUGGAGUGUAGGGAUGGGUGGGUUGAUUAUAUCCCCACAUGGAGUGUAGGGUUGGACGGAGAUGUAGUGUAGAGGCUGGCUGAGUAGGACUUAGAUACUGCAUAAUUUGAUACUGUAUUGAUUACUGGUACUGUAAUGGGCCAAGGCCCAAAUGCAUGAUUGCCUCUAUACUGAGAUGGGUUAAAGCCCAAACUGAUAUUGUCACUGAUUCUGAAAAGGGCUUAGGCCCAGACUUUGAUUGCCUUCUGUCUAUCUGUUUGUUCUAUAUGGGAUUACACACUGAGUUUUCGUAAACUCACCCUUCUGUUUUAACUGUACAGGCAAUCCCCAAACAUAGGCAGAUCGGUGCGGCGGAGGACUCAACGGUGGCUACACUACUCAUUUCAUUCUAUAUUAGUAAUUAAUUAUAAUUUUGAUUUUAUUUUGGGGUAUUUACUGUAAUAUGGCCUCUUUGGAUUUUCAUAGAUUAUUUUGGAUUUUUAUUGUUUUGAUUUAUAACUGCUAGUAGUAGGGACAAUCGAGUUUUCAAAAAUCAGACCUUUUUAACAAAUUACACAUAAAUACACAAACAUUUUAAAGCUUUCGCGAUAAGUGACGUUUUGAAAAUUAAUAACUUUUUGAAAGUAAAUAACUUUUUGAUAAUGAUUCACGUUUUGAAAAUGAACGACACAUCUUAGAAUCAAUGAAAGGUACUAAAAAGAGGACUAAUAGAAAAGAGGGUUUUUCUUUAAUAACAACUUGUUUUAUGAAAAACACUUUAAUGUGACAUCGCCAGAUUCGGCCAUAAUUUCCAUGCUAGGUUUGGGGUGUUACAUGACUUAUGUUGUUCGGCUCAUCAAGACACACAAUGGUCAUUAAAAGCAUUGUUUAAUCUAUCCCAUUUUUAGUCACUAUUUACAUCAGUGGAACUGAGUUGGGAUAAGUACCCCCAUAGUGACCUCUUAAGGUCUACUCAAUUAGGUUGUCCCUUUAAAUCUAGAUAUCAGGAUAUCGAGUCAACUAGGAAGGGUUUUCCUUCACAUAGCGCCUUUUAUUUUCAUAGGCUUUAGUCACAUUCCUUUCGAUGUUUUAUCAACAUGAUCUUAUUUUAAGCCUUUAGUUAGUAGAUUCACAAUGUUAUUUUUUGAUUUUCCAAAAUCAAUAGAGAUAACUUUGUUUGAGGUCAGUUAUUUUAACGGUAUUGUGUCGACAACGCAUAUGUCUCGACUUACCAUUAUAUGUUACGGUAACAAGACACCCCCACACUUUCAGGUGGUUAGAGGAUGGUUUCCUGCCUUUCAAUAGCUUGUGUGAUGUCUUGAUCCUUUUCUUAUGGGGUACCUUAUUUAAAAAGGUAAUUAACUCAUAAAAACGCUCCCCACACAUUUCAUGGGUGAACCAGAGCUCUUUAGUAGUGCGUUCAUCUUUUCCUUUAGUGUCUGAUUUUUGCUCGGCUACUCUAUUUGAGGAAAGUAUGGUGGUGUUAUUAAGUUGUGUACAUUAUUCAAAUGAUUCAACAUAUCCACCACCAUGAUCAGUUAAUCUUUUUAUUAAGUUGGUUUUCAACUUAUUACUUGUAUAGAAUAAAAUUCUCUUCGUUUUGGCUCUUAAACAAAUAUGUAUAGCAAUGAAGGUAAUAAACAUUUUUAUUCCUUCCUCUUGUUUAAACAAGCUUUACAAGCAUUGCUAUGUAUUAGAUCAAGUGGUUUUUGACAUUUGUUAAUUUUGCAUCAACACAUGUUUCACCUUUAUAAUUAUAAAUAUUGUGAAACAAAGGAAUGUUCUCUAAGUUAAUUUAUGUACGUAAAAUAUCAUAAUUAACAUGUCCGAGCCUACUAUGCCCUACAUUAAAUUACUUAAGCAUAUAAACAGAAAAGGAACAACAUUCUUAUUCAUAGUUUUGCUUUUACAAAGAUAGCAUUUAGUUUAAUACAUAUCCCCUUCCCACAAACAUUCCCCCUUUUAAAGAACAUUCUUAUUGAUAGUUCUUGCGUAUGUUAGGCACAUAAUUCCAUAUCUGACACUUCCUUGGAAAUUUCUUCCAUAGCAUUAGCCUCGUUAGCUCUAAUUUUCUUUAGGAUCAUAUAGUCGGAUGAUUUGUGACCCAUAUUGUUUCAAUUGAAGGAUUUUCCUUGAAAUUUUUGCUUCUUGGAAACACCACCUUUUAGUUCCAGUUUAGACCCAUUUUGCGGACAUUUUCCUUUCUUGAAGUCUUUCUUGACUUCUACGACGUUUACCCUAGAAACAAUUUCAUUUGCUGCUUUGUUGAGCCUCUUUUAUGUACCUCUAUUGUCUUCUUCAAUCCGAAAUUUGACAAUUAGGUCUUUCAUUGAUAGUUUCUUUCUCAUUUUUGGCAAUAAAAUCAAAAUGCAAUAAAUCCAUUGAACGGCGGGAAUCAAUCCCGGCACGGAUUCUAUUUUACUCAUUUUUGGAAAUAAAACAAAAUUUUGAAUAAAAUCAUUGAAUGGCAAGAAUCAAUCUCGAAACGGAUUUUAUUUUACUCAUUUUUGGAAAUAAAUAAAAUUUGGAAUAAAAUUGUUAAACGGCGGGAAUCAAUCCCGAAAAAGAUUUUAUUUACCUUUAAUUUCCCAUUUGGAAAUAAAAUCAAAUUAAUGGAAUAAAAUCCAUUGAACGACGGGAAUAAAUUCUGAAACGGAUUUUAUUUACUUUUAAUUUGGAAACAAAAUCGAAUAGAAUUUGUUAAACGGCAUGAAAAGAAUCCCGAAAUAGAUUUUAUUAAUUUUAAUAUUUAUUUGGAAAUAAAAAAAUAAUAGAGGAAAAAGAAAUUUGUUGAAUGAUGGGAAAAUCCCAAAACAGAUUUCUUUAAUUUAAAAAUAAAAAAAUUUAUUUUCGAAAAAUAUAUAUUUUUUAUAUUUUUCCCUUAGUGUCUUGUUCGUCUCGAAUUAUAGAAUUGUAAAAAUAACAAAUUUCGUCUAAAGAUUAUUGGACAAUACACACGUUAGUGAAACAAAAUAGAUAAAUAUAAAUAAAUAAAUAUUUAUAUAACUAAAAUGUAAAUGGAACAAUUUAUAAUUAAAUUGUGAAAUAUGAAAAUCAAACAAAACCGUAAUACAAAGUUGAAAAAAUAAGAAAGAAUAGGCAUUCAACGAAACGUUGAGGCUUGUAAAACACAGUCUUCUUAAGAUAGAUUCUCCCGCUCCUACAGUACUAGGAGUAGCGUUGGUCGAAUGUCUCCCAGGAUACAACAACGACAGUGAUCAAAGUAGUAGCACCUCUACAACGAUCAAUGAACGAACAAUGCCUUUUUCUAUCAUAGGAAUGUUUGAAAAUACGAAGAGGAAAAGGGAGACUUUUGAAAGUAGAAGAGUUUCGGUAAGAGGAAAAAAUUCAAAGAUUAUUUAGUGUGUAAAAACCCUUUAGAAAUCAUGGCCUUUUAGAGGCAUGGAGAUUGUUGGAAUUUUGGAAAAAUUAUCCACAAAAUCUACCAUUAAAUCAAUUUGAUUAAAAAAAUUAAUCAAAUUUAUUAGAAUCAAAUCAAUAAGAUAAGUAUCCUUAUAUAAGCAGAUUAUGUCAUAGGAAUGUUUGAAAAUACGAAGAGGAAAAGGGAGACUUUUGAAAGUAGCAGAGUUUCGGUAAGAGGAAAAAAUCAAAGAUUAUUUUGUGUGUAAAAACCCUUUAGAAAUUAUGGCCUUUUAUAGGCAUGGAGAUUGUUGGAAUUUUGGAAAACUUAUCUACAAAAUCUGCCAUUAAAUCAAUUUGAUUAAAAAAAAUUAAUUAAAUUUAUUAGAAUCAAAUCAAUAAGAUAAGUAUCCUUAUAUAAGCAGAUUAUGUCUGCAGAGGAAAAUAAAUUUAUUAGAAUCAAAUCAAUAAGAUAAGUAUCCUUAUAUAAGCAGAUUAUGUCUGCAGAGGAAAAUAAAUUCGUUUUGGGCUAAAAUAUUUGCAAGCCCAUUUGGACCCAAUCAAUCUAAACAUAUCGCGUUGCCCACAUUAUGCGAGUGCACCCCAAUCCUAUCGGGUUUGGACCCACACCCCUAUGCACAAGACAAAAUUACAAGCUUAAUCAUUCAAUUAUCUUUCAAGAUAAGGAUUCACAUAUAUAAACACAUCUGAUACUUUAGUAUUUACCCAAUGUGGGAUCUAAGCCCUUACUUUUCGUCAACAAUAUUUCCAAGUAGCUUACUUUGAGCAUCAAUUUCCCAUUCAUCACUCAACUAUUUUAAGCAUAUGAUAUACCGUUGUAAAGGUAUCAUGGAGUAGAAUAUGAAAUCAUAAUUUUAUGAUUCAACUCUUCACAUUUACCUAUUGAGAAUAUGCCUCAAAUUUCCCAUAAAAAUAAUUUUCCAACAUUAUCAACAGAAAAAUUAUGUCGAACAACGGCUAAUUUAAAAUUUUAUACUCAAAUUGGGGUUCGUGAUAUAACUUUUCUGAAUGUAAAUUUGAGUAUAAUAUUUAUGGGGUCAUUGAUACAUUGCUAUAUAUCACUCACUAUUUUUAAUAUUAGAAUUGUUUCAAUAUUACUGCAACGUUAUAAGAUUCUACUGAAUGAGACUCUCUAGCUGAAAUGAGUAGAGUCCAAGAUAAUUGGGUUUAUAUUCAACCUAUCAUAUGAGAAAUGUUCUUAGUAAUUUAUUUUGACAAGGUUAGUAAUUUAUUUUGACAAGGUUAAAUAAAUGUACUUUAAAUAUAUGGGCGUAUUGGACGCACAUAUAAAGAGGAGCCCAUUUAAAAUACUGUGAAUCACAUAGAUUUUAUUUGGUUUGAAAAUUAAUUUAGCAAAUUUAUUAAAUAAUAUUAUUUACUAAAUUUAAAUAAAGAAAAAAUUUGGGAUUUAACUUAUGUUACAUUUUUGGAAAGAUGAUUUGUUUUAGGAAUGUUUUGAAUAGAAAGGCAGCUCUCACGUUUCUCUCUUUCAUCAUACUUUUGACUAAAUUUAUAGUGGCUAGCAACCUAUGGUAAAAUUCGAAACUUUCUGAAAACUUCGUUUUUUUUUUAUCGUGAUCAACCGGGUGGAUUUCUUAAGACGUUAGAGCAAAACGCUAUGUUUGUGGUUCGAAUUUGCAUCAAAGCUCAUUAGCAGAAUCAGGUUUUCUUGUACUCAAAUCUGUUUCGAUAUAAUCUCGAAAUAUUUUUUCAACCCAAUUCGUUCCUCGUAUAUAGAUUCGUAGCUUGUGAUCGUCGAAAUUUAUAUUUUCACUGCGCCAUAGACUGUACCAGUGAUCCAACGAUUCUAACCCCUAUUGAGAUUAGGGUUUGUCGCUCAUUAUAUAUAAAUUUGGCUUUUAGGGAUCAUGUGUAUUAAGUACAAUUAUAUGCUAUUUGGAUCUAAAAUCAACUCAUAUAAUUUAACCAACCCAGAAACCAAUUUUCUAUUCCCAAGAUAUUAUUUAUUUAAUUAAAAUUAAUUAAUUUUUAAUUAAAUUAGUUUCUCAACGCGAUGCCAAUUCUGUUAAAGCCAUGAUAACUUUAUCGUACUAGAAUAUAUGAGUAAAAAAAAUUUAUUACCUUUUUCAACAAGACUAAGAUGACUACUUAAUUUAAAUUUCACUUCAAACUUCAAUUAUUUAAUUACAACUGUCGAAACUUUUUUUUUAAAAAUGGUCAACUUUAUAUUUAAAAAACUAAAAUGGGAGCCGCCACCAAUUCUUUUUGGAUGAGGUGUGAUCGGAUCACCUCGCAAAUUGAUCAUUUUAAUAAACAGUUUUGAUUUACUAAAACAACGAUUUUGGUCUACGAAAUUCAGAAAAAUAGGUUCGGGAGUCAGUUACGUACGAGGAAGGAUUAGCACACUCAUAAUGCCCAAAAUUGGUACCUAAUUGAUUAAUUAAUGUCUUAGUGUCGAAAGUUAAAAAAUUCGAAGAAAUUUUAAAAAUAAGAUUCUUUUGUUAAAACAUUACUAACACGAAAAUGACUUUAUUUUUGAGUUAAUCGAGAAAAAAGAUCACGUCCCGUAAAUUAGGACAUAAUCCGAAACAAGAAAUAUCAUUAAAAUAUUCAUUUAAAAAAAAGAUUCAAUUAUCUCGAUUUUUAGAAUAAUUAAAAUUUAUUAAAAUAAUUUUUUGUUUACAACAAUUAAUUUAGGGUUCGAAAAUAUGAUUAUGAAUGCAUUAACAUUAUUAUGAAAACAGUACUAAAUAAUUAUAUGCAGUAGGUUUUUUAUCUCCCUAAAAUGAAAUAUUUUUCAUUUAGACUUUUUAAAAAUUUUAAAAAUUUUAAAUUAAUAAAAAUAAAAUUACACUCUAAUCCACUUAAUUUUUUUUUAUUUUCCCCUUAAUUGUAUGUUAUCCUAAAUUUUGAAAUAAAUAAUAUAAUAAUAUUAAUAUUUAUAAACAAUUCUCAAAAUUCAAAUUAAAAAAUAUUUUGUUUAAUCUAUUGAAAGUAUUGUUUUGCGAUGAAUAAGUAUUGAGUAGUCUCUCCACAUCUCCAUCAAAAUCCAAUAAUUUUUUAUCACUUGAAAGUAUUGUCUUUGUUUAUCUUUAUAAAAAUAUAAAAAAAAUCCUAUUAGAUACUUCAAUAAUUUUUUCCAGAUAUUUAUUAAAAUUUUCUUAACUCAUUGCAAAUUCACGAUGAUAAUAUGUUAAUAAACAAUUGGAGUGUAUAUUGUGUAUUAUUAUUAUUAUUUAAAAUUUAUUAUUUAUUGUAUAUUAUUUAUAAAUGUAUGAUUUUCGUGUGUGUAUGAUAGAAUUUUUAAUUUGAAUUAUAAUACUGUACAAAUCAAAGAACAAAAAAGAAUAAGAAUAGAGAUUAUACCAAAGUAUUAACCUGUAUGAAGUAGUAGUUAAAACACUUAUUAAAUACCUGUUUGGUACAAAUUUAAAUCGUGAUACUCUACACUUAUCUAGUACUUCGAUAUUGUAUAAAAAAAAGUAAAGUACAUCAACAACCAUUCAACUUUAAUUGUAUUAUAUCGUAUCAUUAUAACUAUUAAAAAUUACAUGGUAUCUGUUUUAGGUUUUAUAUUAAACAAAAUUAAAAAUUACAACGAGGAGGAUGCUGGAUAUAUUAACAAAAUAUAUAAAAAUAUUUAUUCCAAUUAUGGUGCUACACUUUUAUAAGAAAAUUGUCUUGAAUUAAUUUUUUAAUAUAGUCAACAAUUAUACGUGGUAAAUUUUUAUCAUGACAAAUGAAAGUUUAUAAAUUAUACUAUAUAAAAUCUAUUUCCCUUUUUUGUAAUCUCAUAUUGCUAUAAUAAUAAUAAUAAUAAUAAUAAUAACUCUAUCAAUUAGAUAAAAGAUGAGUACUUAAUAACAUAGUAAUAAACAAUUUAAAUACAUGAGUAAAAAAUAUAGUAAUUGACAAUUAACAUACAAAAAUUUUUAAAAUAAAAGAUAUAAAUAAAAUUUAUAAUUAUAAUUGUAAAAAUUUAUAUAACUUAUUGUUAGGAUCGACCCGAUUAAGCAACAAGAAAAAAAUAGCGGAAUAAAUUGAGAAUUUGAACACACAAAUAUAACGUGGAAAAACUCCUCCAAAGAGGAUAAAAAACCACGGGCAAAUAUAAUUUUACUAUAAUGGCAAAAGAAUGAAGAGUACAAAUGAUGGAGAUAAAAACUAAACCCCGAAAACCCGAAAAUAAAGAACCCUCAAAACGUAAACACAAAAUUCUCUAAAUGUGUUAUGAGUUCUAAUAUCUAAUGGGUGUUUUUUCUAAGGUUGUAAAAGAGCCUAUUUAUAGGCUAAAUUCAUAGGUCAAAUAAUAAUAAAAUAGUCUAAACUAAUCAGUGUUUGAUUGAAACAAAUAAACAGAGUUUAACUAGAAGAUUAUUUCUCAAAUUUGACUAAAAUAGGAGUCAUACUUAACAAAUCUCCACCUUGACUCAUAUUUCCACAACGCCAUCUUUGCCAAAGCCCGCCACGAGCCUAUCUUGAACCAUGUAGGGAAUUAACUGAGUCGAAUCUGUGCUUAGAAACUGGAAGACUUCUAGCUUUUGACUUGUACACUGCCAAAUCAAACUAACCCGGGUUUGAUUUUCACGAACACAGUGCCCUAACUUUUCAAAACCUGCAUCCAAAAAUGAAACUCUCUUCAACGAAACGGUCAUAUAGUUUUCCCUCCUAUAACCAAGUUGCCUGUGCUCCAAACGAGUUGACUUCCACUCUGUAACGGACGAGUGACGUCCGAUUUCACCGGUCACUGUAGAACCUUCCAGAAUAUAAAGACUGUUAGUUCUUUUACCUUUUAACAAAACGAGAGCUCCACGAGAUAUUUUAAUGCCGCUCGACUCCAUGUUGAUUCUGCAUCCUUUCAAGUCUAAAAUACUUAAUGAGAUGAGAUACUUUCGUAAAUCAGGUACAUACCUAACAUUUGAGAGUGUCCUAAUCGUCCCAUCGUGUAUCCUAACUUUAACAGUACCAAUACCAAUUACCUUACUAGAUGAAUCGUUUCCCAUGCACACAACUCCACCUUCAAUCAAACUGAAUGUGGAGAACCAUUCUCUAUUGGGAUACAUGUGGAAAGAACAUCCCGAAUCUAGAAUCCACUCGGACGUGAGCUUGGAGUUAUCGCUUGUUGACACUAACAAGAAAUCAUCACCACUUUUACAUCAGCCAAAUUAGCACCAGUUACAUCUUCCUCGUUACUCUCAGCAGCUUUUAUUUCGCAAUUUAUAACAAUUUGCUUUAACGUGACCUAACUUUCUACAAUAGCGACACAUUUUUUCUCGUUUCUUUGAUACUACCAAAACGGAAGCUUACUUGUCUGCCUUGCUAUCCAAACCAAAAUCAUUGUCAAGUUUGUCUCUACUCAACAAAUGACCCUUCACAUCUUCGAACGAGAGUUUGUCUCUAUCAUAAAUCAAGGUCUCCCUUAAAUACUUAUAUGAAAGGGGUAAAGAGCACAAUAAUAGCAUAGCCUGAUCUUCAUCAUCAAUAUGAACCUCGACAUUCUUUAAAUCAUUUAAAAGAGUAAUCAAUUGACUGAUGUGAUCUCUAAGAAGCUUACCUUCGUUCAUGCGAAACGUAAAUAGACAUUGUUUCAACACUAAACGGUUAGCCAAAGACUUAGUCACAUAAAGAGUUUCUAACCUUUUCCACAAGGCGGAUGAGGUUUGCUCCAUCAAUACCUCCUGCAAUACUGUAUUCGCGAGGGACAACUGGAUUGCAGACAAGGCCUUUUCAUCAAGCUCUUCCCAUUUUGUUUGAUUUAGAUUCUCAAGCUUUUUCUCAGCAACAAUCUUUUUCAAGCCGGUUUGAACUAGAAUUGCCAUCAUCCGAACUUGCCACAGAUUCAAAUUUAUCUCACCAUCAAACUUCUCAAAUUCAAACCUUGUUGCUGUCAUAUCUGAAUAGGUUGAUCUAUGAAAAUUGAACUAGCUCUGAUAUCAGUUGUUAGGAUCAACCCAAUUAAGCAACAAGAAAAAAUAGUGGAAUAAAUUGAGAAUUUGAACACACAAAUUUAACAUGGAAAAACCUCUCCAAAAAGGAUAAAAAAACCAUGGGCAAAUAUAAUUUUACUAUAAUGGUAAAAAAAUGAAGAGUACAAAAGAUGAAGAUAAAAACUAAACCCCGAAAACCCAAAAACAAAGAACCCUCAAAAUGUAAACACAAAAUUCUCUAAAAGUGUUAUGAGUUCUAAUAUCUAAUGAAUGUCUUUUCUAAGGUUGUAAAAUAGCCUAUUUAUAGGCUAAAUUUAUAGGUCAAAUAAUAAUAAAAUAAUCUAAACUAAUCAUUGUUUGAUUGAAACAAAUAAACAGAGUUUAACUAGAAGAUUAUUUCUCAAAUUUGCCUAAAAUAGGAGUCAUAAUUAACACUUAUUAAUAAAAUAAAAAGUUAUAUAUUUUUUACAUAUGUAGUAAAUUUUAUAUUAACUUAUUGAAAAUAUGUAUUUUUAGUAUGUUUCAUGUCUAUAUUACUGUAACGCCCCAAAUUUUUUAUUUCUGUUUCUCCUAAACUGUGACACAAGUGUGUAUCUGCUUUAGUGGUUAAGUGUUAUCGGUGUGUGUGAGAGGUCCCAAGUUCAAGCCUUACUUAGGCAAAUUUUGGUAUUUUUCUGAACUAAGCCUUACCCUUGCUCAGUAGGCUUAUGUUUAAUUGUGGGUAAGUCCAUAUCAGAAUGAGCCUGCUGAUCUGGUGGUUAGGUGGAGUGUUGGUGUGUUGGAGGUCCUAUGUUCGGAUCCUUGCGCGAGCAAGGGAGUUUAUACUUUUGCUCGGUUAUCAGGCAGAAUUUCGGUUGAACUAUAACUCUGAGAAGUGGGUUAGUGGAUAAGUAAAUUAAGGGAUUUAGGGGUUAUUAGAUUUCUGAUAUCUUUUUUUUUUGCAAAAUUUUCUCUUCUGUUUUUUUCCUAAAAACCUUUCUGACGUUUUGUUCCCCUUCCCCUACCGAAAUUCUGCCUCCCUUCUCCAUAGUUUUAUUUCUUUUUGCAUCUCUUUUCUGAAUUCGUAUCGUUCCUCUUGUGUUACGUUGGGUUGCGUCGUUUGGUAAGUUACAUUUUUGUUAAGUUUCAAUGUCUUACAACUUUAUGAUUUAAGGAGGGUUGGGUUGUUAAUUUCGUUUUAGGCGAAGAGUGAGUUUUGGUUGGGGGUUCUUGCGAUGGUUUGAGGGUUCAGAGUCCUUUUUGGUAGUGGUAAGUUCUCACGCGUGGUGUUUAGUUUUUUAGGGUUUCGAUGGUGAAUUUAGUUCAGUUGGAUUUUUUAUGAACGUUGUUAAUCUAGGCUCUGAGAUGUUGGUUUUUAGGUAUUGGAGGGCUCGAGAGUGAUUAGGCACCAAAAACGAUACAUGUGUGUACCCGAAAAUGUAGAAAAUGAGGUUUUGACAAAAGCUGAAAACCAUUCUGUUGACGCCACAUGGCUGUGUGGUAGGACUGUGCCCUUACACGGGGGUGUUAUCGAUAAGGCCAAUUCGUGCGCACUGGACACGGUUGUGUGAUGGCUAGGCUGGCCGUGUGCGAGACAUAGGCUUGACUGUUUUGGGCCACGUGGGCCACACGGGCGUAUGGAAUUCUGGGCCAGGUCGUGUGAUCACAUGGCCAAGGCCAAUUUGGGCCGUGUGGGCCACAUGGGCAUGUAGGCCCACAUGGGUAGGCCACAUGGGUGUGUGAGCCCAUUUUUCUAAAAUAAUUUGUAAGGUUGCACGGGUCGCCCAAGUCGACUGUAACCUAGCGUAAGGUUGGUAAGCAUUACUUAACCCCUGAUUCUGUGAUCUGAUUAUGUGAUGUAUGUAUUAAGCACGUUACUCUUAGCAUGUGUAUUUGACCGAUUAUAUGAUCUGUUAAAUUGCGUUAUAGCAUGCCAUAUUUGUAUGAUACAUUGCAUCGGAGUGGGGUUGGUGUUAUGAUGCAUUGCAUCGGGGUGGGGUUGGUGUUAUGAUGCAGGACGUAUUUUGAAAGGCUUUUAAGCCUGUUAUCUGGCGGCUCAGCUAUAAUUAUCUGAUUAUGUGCCGCAUUUCGGUACAACAUAGUGUGUUGGGAUGGGUGGGUCGAUUUUAUCCCCACAUGGUGUGUUGGGUUGGAUGGAGUUGGUGUGUAGGGCUGGUGGGCAUGAUUAUGUUAUUCUGCUCUGUUAUGCAUGUUAUAUCUGAGAUGGGCUAAGGCCCAGUUCAUAUUUGAUUCUGUAUCUGAGUGGAUUAAGGGCCACACCGAUUCUGUAAAGGGCUCAGGCCCGAAUUAUUUAUUAUUUGGAUAUAUGACUGACUUCUGCUACUGUGUAUAUUUUCUAUGGGGAUUACACACUGAGUUUGCAAAAACCACUCUUUUCUGUUUAAUUUGUGUAGGUAAUCCCCAGACUUGAUGGAUCGGUGCAGCAGAGAGCUCAAUGGUGACCAUCACUACUGAACUACUUAUUUACGGUUUUUUUUUUUGCGGUUACAUUGCUUAUUUCUUGUUGGUAUUUUAUGUAUGAUGGGCUUUGGGACUAUUUGGUUUCAAUUUGGGAUUUUGAACUGUUGAUUAUGGAUUUAUACACUGCAAUGCAACAGAGUGCAAUUUUCCAUAAACUAAGGUUUUUCGUAAAUAAAAACGAUUUUUGAAAAUUAUUGGGUUUCAAAAGCUUCCGCAUAAUAGAAAUUUUUUAAGACAAAUCAAUUAGUCCACGUUUUCUCGAACUAAGUAAAAGAUAAUAACUGGAACGGUUUUAAGGUCAAUGCAUUUUCAAAAACACUCUCAUGUGACAUCACCAGAUUCGGCCAUAACGUCCAGGUCAGGUUUGGGGUGUUACAAUUACGAUCCAUGUUUGGAGUAUAUGACUAGCCUCUUCUAACAGUAUCGUCUCCAAAGAUUGAACGUGUGCUCUCUCUUUCUAAUUGCAAUAUGAUUUUAUCACUACGCUCAACACUUAUUAAUAGCUUGUCAAAAAAUUUAUAUAGUUGUAUGAUGAAAACUAAUUGAAAAUACAUAUUAUUGUUGUAUUUAUUUAUACUUUGAAUUUAAAUUUAAGAUUUUAUAUUAAUAUAACAUAAUGAAAAAGAUUUUUAUUAAAUUUAUUUAAAAAUAUUAUAAUUUUAUAAUAUGAGGUCCACGUAUGACUAGAACUAAUAUAUAUCCUCAAUAAAUUAAAUGUCGCAUGUGAAAGAAGACAAUAUUAUAAACAAUUGAGCCAAAGUUUUUGGUUUCAAAAUCUUUUGUGGAAAAAUCCACACUUCAAUGGUGAUGAGUAGUUGAUUACAUUCAAUCUUUAUGUAUAUGCUGUUCUAUGUUUACAUACACCUUUAAUUAAAGUUUCCGCGUAUUGAAUACUUUCCCAUUUGUUGCAACAUACUCUAUAUAUAGAAAACAAAACGUGAUCAAUGUUCAAUGCUUUUCCACUCUUUUUUGAACCUACGUUACUGGGUUCCCAUACUAUAUAUGUUAUAACAAACAAAUUUUCUACUUUGAUCCUAUUGUGUUUUCUUUCUAUGCGAAGAACAUUAGUCAACGUGCCCUGGUGUUUUCCAUCAACUUUCAGCUUAGAAAAAGAAAUGAAAUGAACUUGUAUAAAUUCAUUACCAGAAACUAUGACAAGAUACAACUGAACCCUUAGCAGAUAAUUAAGCUCAGCUAAUUAAACAUGGCCUCAUCCUUAACCUUUUCCAUUAUUUUAGGGAUACUGCAGGCUACCAUCUUUCUAAUUUCCAUUGCUAGAAUUGUGACAAAAGCAGAUCCAUAGCCUUUGGCGUCUGAAGCCAUAGCUAUGGUAGAAAGUGGGUGGUGGAGUAACUGUUGGUGCAAGAGGCAGCAACAAAAGAGAGAACAAGAGCACAGAACAUGAAGCAAGGUGCAAGAAGCAUUUUUACUUGCUCACAAAUGUGCAGCAAGGGAGCUAAUGGCUGAUAGCUCAUUCAGCUCAUUCAUUCAACUAGAAAAAACAUACAUUUAUAGAUAAAACACAUUACCAAAUACUACCUACUCCCACUUAGUAGCCUAGGGACUUGCUAAGCAUUACUUGUACACAUCAAUAAGCUGAAUUAUCAGCUCAAUCAUCACCUAAACCCAUCAAAACAUCAAUAACUAAGUUCAUUUUCAACCAAACUAAACUAAAUUGCAACUACAACAGUCAACAUGUUGCUGCAGCAUGCAGCAUGCAUACAAGCCGUAUGCACUCAACAAAAACAUAACAGUAGCAUGGAUGGCCAAUUUCCAACACUCCUCCUUGGACUCCAUGCUGCAAAUGUUAUUCAUUCAUCAAGUUUUUGAACUUGGCAGUCCUUAGAUGCUUUCUUUCAAGCUGACCCUGCACAAGCACUUCAUUUUCAACCUUGGCAAAUGGAGUCUUCUCCUCCUUCACAGCCUUGGUUGACAACACAUCUUGCCUUGUUCCCUAUUACAGUCCUGCUUCUUCUUGCAUAAACAACUUGCAAGUAUAGUUUGCUUGCCUUCAAUCUGCCAUUUUUGGCUUGCACCCACUCGGGCUUGCAUUUUGCUGCUCGCAACUAUACACCUUUGACAGGCUCACUUUUUUGCUUACUGUCUUCAACAGGUGUCUUCAACUUUGCUGCUUGCAACCAUACACCUUUGACAGGCUCGCACUUUGGCUUACUGUCUUCAGUUGGUGUCUUCAAUAGGCUCGCAACUAUCACUUCUUGCUAAGCUUGCACAUUUGGAAAGCUCACACCUUUCCUUGAAACUCCUCCUUUAGCUUAUUGAAGCUUGUUUGGAGGUCUCAUAAGUUUGAGCCGAUGUUGAGCAGGGGAAGCAAAAUCAAUGGUCCCUUAAGACUUAGGCUCAUGAUACCAUUUGUUGGAACAAUGACAGCAGCAAACAUCAAAGCAAAUUUGCAACUCAAUGUUUGCAAGACUGAAGCAAGAAGAAUUAAGGCAAGCAAAGCAUCAAAAAUCAAAAUACUCAGCAAUGUUUGUGACUGAACAUACAUCAUUUUUCAUUCAACUUGAAAUAUAUAAAAGAGUUACAAUUGUACAUUGACAGUUACCUAAUGUAUUUAACUGCCCCAACUAAUACAAACCUAAUCACUAGCCAAAAAUAAUCAAACAUAGCUGACCAAUCAGCCAUUACAUCAAAAGAUCAUGUCACUAACUUAAGUUUAACUAGCAUUACAAACAAACUAAAGUUGAACUGAAUCAAAUUACAUCAAAACAAAACAGCAAAGUUGGUUGCUUCAUUCAGUUCAAAAACCAUUCGUGCGCACCAAGCAAAACGAGCUGAGCUCGAUAGCUGCUGGUCUCGACAGUAGCAAGCUUUUGGCUCCAUGUUGCAUUGCAGUCCAGCUUUCAACACUCCUCCUUGGACUGUAUGCAACACAUUCCAAUUGCACUUCUCAAAGAUUCAAAUCGAGCAGCCCCUAAGGGCUUGGUCAUUAUGUCAGCCAAUUGUGCUCCUGAGCUGCAAUGCACAAGGCUGACUUCCUUUGCUUGUUCAGCCUCUCUAACAAAAUGCAAUUUGAUCUUAAAGUGCUUAGUCUUGCCAUGGAACACAGGGUUCUUGGCUAUUGCAACUGCAGACUGAUUGUCCACCCAGAUUUCAGUUGCUUCAUCUUGAGUUUCAUUAAGGUCAUAAAGCAGCUUUCUUAGCCAAAUGGCCUGAUUAACUGCUCCUGCUGCAGCAAUGUACUCUGCUUCAGCUGUGGACUGAGCAACAGUUUGUUGCUUCUUAGAACUCCAGCAAAACAUACCCGAUCCAAGUGUGAAGAAGUAUCCAGAGGUACUCUUCAUGUCAUCGAGAGAUCCUGCCCAGUCGCUGUCAGAGUAGCCUUCUAAUUUCAGUUGGUUCUGACUUUCAAACAUUACACCAAAACUAGCAGUGCCCUUGAUGUAUCUAAGGAUCCUCUUUGCUGCCUUCAAAUGUGCCUCAUUGCAACAAUGCAUAAAUCUUGAUAACAGGCUGACACCAAACAUGAUAUCUGGCCUGGUUGCUGUUAGAUACAACAGACAACCAACCAGGCUUCGAUAGUGCCUCUCAUCAACCCUCUGCUGAUCACCACUGCUAGUCAGCUUUUCUCCUUGAGCCACAGGUGUGCUGACUGCUUUACAGUUAUGCAUGCAAAAUUUGUCUAGAAUCUUCAAAGCAAAUGAGUGUUGGCUGAUGAAGAUACCUCGAUCAGAUUGGUGCACUUCCAUGCCAAGGAAGUAAGUCAUGAUCCCCAAAUCUGUCAUCUCAAACACUUGCUGCAUUUGGACCUUGAACUGAUCAAUGAGCUCGAUUUUGCUCCCUGUCACAAGCAAAUCAUCCACAUACAAGGAGACUAUCAGCAAGGUUUCAUGUUCUGACUUUUUAACAUAUAGAGUAGGCUCACUAAGGCUCUUUGCAAAUCCAAGUUUGGUCAGGUAGGCAUCAACUCUGUCAUACCAGGCCCUUGGUGCCUGUUUCAGGCCAUAGAGGGCCUUUCUCAACUUAUACACUUUGUCUUCAUGUCCAACAACUUCAAAACCUUCAGGUUGCUCGAUAAAGAUCUCCUCCUUGAGAAAACCAUUCAGGAAUGCUGAUUUGACAUCCAAUUGGUGAACUCUCCACUGCUUCUGAGCUGCUAAUUGUUGGUGCAAGAGGCAGCAACAAAAGAGAGAACAAGAGCACAGAACAUGAAGCAAGGUGCAAGAAGCAUUUUUACUUGCUCACAAAUGUGCAGCAAGGGAGCUAAUGGCUGAUAGCUCAUUCAGCUCAUUCAUUCAACUAGAAAAAACAUACAUUUAUAGAUAAAACACAUUACCAAAUACUACCUACUCCCACUUAGUAGCCUAGGGACUUGCUAAGCAUUACUUGUACACAUCAAUAAGCUGAAUUAUCAGCUCAAUCAUCACCUAAACCCAUCAAAACAUCAAUAACUAAGUUCAUUUUCAACCAAACUAAACUAAAUUGCAACUACAACAGUCAACAUGUUGCUGCAGCAUGCAGCAUGCAUACAAGCCGUAUGCACUCAACAAAAACAUAACAGUAGCAUGGAUGGCCAAUUUCCAACAGUAACUAUAGCAACAAUGCUUCAGAACGUUGCCAGUGGCCAGGUAUAUGAUGCAAUACUGCUGGAACCAUCACCAAAAUUAACAUUUCUGAUGUGCCCAAUAUUGAGGUUGGAAAUAGAUUUGGGAAAUUGAAUUUCACUUCAUUUCCAAAUCUUGUCCUUCUUGAUCUCAGUGAUCAUCAACUUGGUGGAAAAAUCCCACAUCAGAUAGGUGAUCUAUCCGCAUUGAAGUACCUUGACUUGUCCUAUUGUGGUUUAUCCGGUAAGUUACCUCCUCCUCUAGGAAACCUAACCCAACUAGAGUACCUUGACAUUCCCUAUAACGAUAAUAUUAACGGUUCCAUCCCUCCACAACUAGGAAAUCUAGUGAACCUUGUCAGUUUAAACUUGAGUGCCAACAGUCUUACUGGGAACAUUCCUUCAGAAUUAGGAUUUUUAUAAAAUUUGGUUUAUUUGGAUCUUCAUAGCAACAAGCUUUUUGGUAAAAUACCAUUUACUCUGUACCAUAUGACAGAUUUGGAACAUCUGUACAUUGAUGAUAACUACCUUGAAGGAUCGAUCUCUAAAAAUAUUGAAAAUUUCAAGAAAAUAAGCUUUUUAAGCAUCACUAAUAAUAGAUUUACUGGUCCUAUUCCUCUAGCUUUGUGUCGUUUGCCCACUUUGGAAGAAAUUUAUCUUGACCAAAAUCAAAUAUGUGGUUCAGUCCCUUCUUGCAUUGGUAACUUAUCCAACUUGGAAAUCUUGGAGUUAGAUUUGGAAUCUAUUAACUGGUUCAAUUCCUUCUUGUCUUGGUAAGUUGUCUAAAUUGCAUACCUUAAGACUUGAUUCAAAUCUAUUAGAAGGUCCUAUUCCUGAAGAAAUUUGUGACUUAGCAAAUUUAACUUCAUUAAGCCUCUACCAAAACAAAUUGAAUGGUUCAAUCCCUUCUUGUCUUGGUACAUUGUCCAAAUUGGAUACCUUACAACUUCAUUCAAAUCUAUUAGAAGGUCCUAUUCCCCAAAAAUUUUGUAAUUUCGCAAAUUUAACUUCAUUGUACCUCUUCCAAAACAAAUUGAGUGGUUCAAUCCCUUCUUGUAUUGGUAGUUUAUCAAAGAUGCAGUACUCCUUGGUUCUAAUCUAUUAAAAGGUCCUAUUCCCCAAGAAAUUUGUAAUUUAGAAAAUUUAACCGUAUUGAAUCUCUCCCAAAACAAAUUGAAUGGUUUAAUCCCUUCUUGUAUUGGUCGUUUAUCAAAGAUGUGGUACUUAAGCCUUGGUUCUAAUCUAUUAAAAGGUCCUAUCCCAAAAGAAAUUGGCAAGCUUUUUGAUCUAUCAUAUGUAAACCUUAGCUUCAACCAACUCUCAAGUCUUGUCCCUAUCUUGUCUGCUACUGAUCUCUACAUUGUCGAUGCUGGAAAUAAUUGUAACAAGAUUUUUCCCGAUCCAUUUGAAGGCAAUAGCGGUUUAUCACCCUAUAUGUGUCCUUCUCCAGUAACAAAGCCAACAGCAGUAAAAUUCCUUACUAUAUCAAAAUAUUCCUCCCUAUUGCCAUCUUAUCCACAUUAUCCAUUUUGGGAUGUUUUCUAUUUUCACGGUUUAAGCUCAAGAAUAACCGUGCCGGUGUACAACCAACGAAGAAUGGGGAUUUGUGUUCCAUAUGGAACUAUGAUGGAAAGAUAGCAUACGAGGAUAUUGUUGCAGCAACGGAGGAUUUCGACUUCCGAUAUUGUAUCGGAGUUGGUGGUUAUGGAAGUGUUUACAGAGCAAAACUCCCUUGUGGAAAAGUAGUUGCUUUGAAGAAACUUCAUCAUUUAGAAUCCGAGAAUCCAACUUUUGACAAGAGUUUCAGGAAUGAGAUCAAGUUUCUAACAGAAAUACGACAUCGAAACAUAGUGAAGCUUCAUGGGUUUUGUCUACACCGACGGUCUAUGUUUUUGAUCUACAAAUACAUGGAAAAAGGGAGUUUGUUCUGCAACUUAAGAGAUGAAGCGGAAGCUGUGGAAAUGGAUUGGACAAAAAGAGUGAAGAUCAUCAAAGGCAUAGCACAUGCUUUGACUUACUUGCACUACGAUUGCAACCCUCCAAUAGUUCAUCGUUCAUCGAGACAUAUCAAGUAACAAUGUUCUUUUAAACUCAAGCUUUGAGGCCUUUGUAGCUGACUUUGGAACUGCUAAAAUGUUGGAUCUUGACUCAUCCAAUCAGACCAUUGUUGAGGGCACAUGUGGUUAUGUAGCUCCAGGUGAUUUUCUUUGCUUCAUUUACUGAUAUUUUCGUUUGAAUUUAUAAAAUUAAUUGAGUAUAUAAUUGGUUUUCUUUUUAUCUGGUUUGUCAUAUGCAGACUUGCCUAUACAAUAAUUGUUACCAAAAAAUGCGAUGUCUAUAGUUUUGGAAUGGUGACAUUGAAAAUAUUAAUGGGAAAGCAUCCUGAAGAAGUGUUACCAUGGUUGUCAUCACCAGCUUAUUUGGUAAAUAUGAAGCUGAUUGAUGUGUUAGACAACCGUUUACCACUUCCAACAAGCCGACUAGUUGCACAAAAUCUUGUUCAUGUUGUUACAUUGGCAUUCGCUUGCUUAAAUCCGCAACCAAAGUCUAGACCAACAAUGAAAGAAGUGUGUGAAGAGUUUCUUUGUGGCCAAAUAUUCUUGAAAAUUCCCUUCGGAUGAUCUCUUUGUUACAACUUGUGAACAGUGAAAUUCAUAUUGGAGGCAAAACAGAAAAUUGUGAUGUUCAAAGUCCAUCCGCUUGUUAGAUACUAUUUACCGUGUUGUCAUGAUUUGUUUCUAGACUAGCUCUUGUGUUACAUAUGAUGUAAUGUAUGUCAUGGCUAUGGAAGAAAUAAAUUCUGCAAUUUGAUUCAAAUCUUCAUACAUCAUCAAGUUUUUCCUUAUUUCAAACAACAUAAAGAUAAUAUAUAAAAUAAAAAUAACAAUAAAAAUAAAUUCUGGAGAAAAAGGAUAUUUGAUAUGAUUUUUUGCAAAUUUGUACUAGGAUAUUUGACCCUGAAAAGAAACCAUGACCUCAGAAACAAUGUUAUAUGAUCCAAGACACGCCUAGCUUUCAUGAUCCUCACUCUCUGCCUAGUUUCUUGAUUAUAAAUGCCAUAUUAUCAUGGAUCAUUUUUAUUGAUUUUAAAAAUAUAAAAACUUUUAUUGAUUUUUAGAUAAAAAUAUUCACGUAAUCAUAUAACAUACUUUACAAAUAAAAUUUUUUUUAAUAAUUCCCUAGUUGGGAUCUAGUUGAUGAUUAACACCAACUUAGUAAAAAGACUUAGGCUCCAUUUGUUUCACUGAAAAUGACUUCUAGAAAAUGAUUUUUAGAAAAUGAUUUACUUUUCUGGAAAAGCUAAUAUUUUCUGAUGUUUGGAUGAAUCUGUAUAAAAUAUUUUAAGUUAAUUUUUAUAUAAAAAUUAAAUUAUCUAUAGAUAGCCCUUUUCCGGAAAAUGACUUAUGCUUUUCAAAAGGGUAAGUCAAUUUACAGGAAAAAUGACUUAUUUUACUUUGACCUGUAAGUCAUUUUUCGUUGACUAAACUAUUUUCUGUAAAACAAUCACAGGAAAAUCCAGAAAAUAUUUUCCGUAAAACCUUUUACAUGUAAACAAACGGACUCUUAAUAAAUAGUAUUGUAAGGAUUUCAUUUUAGGUGACCAAAAUAAAAAUGUCUUAAAAGUUAAGACUAAGAAAUUUACUCUAUAAAAUAUGUAACAUAAAAAUUUGUCAUGUGACAUGUUUUUAUUGGUUAAUUACAUUGUUUCUUAGUAAACUAUGAUAAAAUUUAUAGUUUCCGUAUCAUUUCUAAUUAAAAAAACUUUACAAAUUAAUCUAAAAAUUAAGGUAUAAUUGAAAGACAUUAAUUAAAAAAAGCUUUAAAAUAUGAUUGAGGAGAUUAGCAUUAAACAAAAGCUACAAUGUUAACUUAAAAAUAGUAAAAUGUUUGGUGCUAAGAGUAACAAACUUGAAUCUAAUGAAAGAUUUUGAUAAAUUAAAGACUUAGGAAUAAGGUUAAAGCAGUAGGUGGAGUUAGAACAACUCAAAGUAGGAUGAUUUCUAGGUCUUCUUUUUGGGGACUCCCACAAUGCUUAUCUUGACUCAUCCAAUCACACUAUUAUUGUGGGCACAUGUGGAUAUUUAGCUCCAGGCGAUUUUCUUUGUUUCAUUUUCUGAUAUUUUCUUUUGAAUUUAUAAAAUUAAUUGAAUGUAUAAUUAGUUUUCUUUUUAUCUAAUUUUUCAUAUGCAGAAUUUGAUUAUACGAUGGUUGUUAUCGAAAAAUGUGGUGUCUCUAGUUUUUAAAUGGUGGCAUUGGAAAAAUUAAUGGGAAAAAUAUCCUGAAGAAGUGUUACCAUGGUUGUCAUCACCAACUUAUUUGGUAAAUAUGAAGUUGAUUGAUGUGUUAGAUAUUCGUUUACCACUUCCAACAAGCUAACUAGUUGCACAAAAUCUUGUUCACAUUGCUACACCGACAUUCGCUUGCUUAAAUCUGCGACCAAAGUCUUGACCAACAAUGAAAGAAGUGUGUGAAGAGUUUCUUUGUGGUCAAUAAUCCUUGGGAAUUCCCAUUCGGAUAAUCUCUUUGUUACAACUUGUGAACCAUGAAAUCCAUAUUGGAGGUAAAACAGAAAUUUGUGAUGUUCAAAGUCUAUGCGCUUGUUAGGUAUUGUUUAUCAUGCUUUCAUGAUUUGUUUCUAAAUUAGCUCUUGUAUUAUAUAUGAUUUUACAAAUAGUUUUCUAAACUUCUUGAUUAAAUUGAUUAUAAUUUAAUGAAUCAAAAAUUUUAAUAAAACCCUUGACCAGAACAAAGAAUUCAACAAUCCAUAAAUAGAAAAAUAAUAACAGAAGAAAUUGUGAAAGUCUUCUUCAUUAUUUUUCAUGCCCCAAAGUCUCUUUAAAUACCUUCCAAGAUUUCUUAUAAAAGAGUUUAAAAUAAAGUUUUAAUUUAAAAUAUCCCAUAAAAUCCCAAUCAAUCCCAUAAAAUAAGACUUUAAAAAAUUCUUCCAAAAAGAUAGUGGGUUUUGCUUUUCUUUUUAAAAUCAGUAGUAAAAAUAAAAUAAAAUGCAAUGUUAUUUAAAUUGAACUAUUUGGUUGAAUUAAAAAUCAGUUGAAAUUUCGAUUCAGAGGAAGGUAAAAAAUUAGUUGACUAAUGAACUGAACUAAAAAAAGUUUAAUUGUUUUAAUCGUAUUUUAUAAUUUUUAAUAUUUUUAUUUUUAAUAAUUUACUUGAUUUGCACUUAACAUACUAAAAAUGGACGAUGUAAUUGAUUCUAUCACUUAUCCAUUCCAAAAACAUUAUAUCAUAUUCAACUUGAAUUGGAAGCUUUUUGAAAUUAUGUAUUAAGAUAUUCAAACUUAAUUUGCUCCAGUUUGAUUUGAUUGGUUCGAGAAUUGUUGACAGAGCAGUAAUGGCGUCGAGGAAAAUGGCGAUAAAGGAUAUGUUGGAUUCUGUUAAUAUCCCUUGCUUUCUUUAGUUGUUCUCGCUCAAUAAAGGCUUAAUAUUACUAUGAUGAGUUACUCACCUCUUCUUAUUUAUGUCUGAAGAAGAGGAAGAAAAAGAAGGUCAAGGAUGAAGAAGAGCAAAAUGAGCUGGUCCUUUUUUAUUAACGAUUUCGAGCUGUCUAAUUACCUUUUGCCUAACAUUUCCUUUCUAUUACAAUGUGAAAAGCCUGAUCUUACAGCCUAACCACAAUCAUGCGUUUUAAUUUGCCUUGCAUUAAAGCAACGCGACAAAUGAUAUUGUAUUGAAUUAUCAUUUUUGGUAAAAAGCUUUUUUUCCCCCUAAAUAUUCCCUUCCUUUUUACAUCUUCACUUUAACCAAUUAUUCAUAAAUUUAUCUUUAUUUUACCGUUCAUAUUUAAAGUUUGUAUCUAUCCCACAAUAUCGUCUCUAAAAUUCAAAUCUACAUCUUUUCUAAAAAUUACAAUGUACCAUUACACCAAAUACUUAUUGAUUAUUGUAUUUUUUUUUUACUUACGACUAAUUAAAAUAAAUUUAAAAAAAACUCAUAUAUAAAUUAAAUACAGUAAAUUUUGAAUUUAACCGGUUUAAAUUAAAAUUUUUUGGAGUACGUAAUUGUUUUUUUAUAAUAUUAUUCUUAGGGUUUAGAUUUGAAUUUUUCCUCUAAAAAUACAAUAUAUAUUUUGCCACCAUACUUAAUACUCACAAAUUAAAAUAAAAGUACCCUUAAAAUUAAAAAUAAUUACAUAAAUAACAUUGAAUGAAACAAGUAUGAAUUCUUGGGCAACCACAAGACUCCACCAGUGUGACAAAUAGAGAAGUUAAAGGCUAUCAAUCAAGAGAAAUUGUUUAAGGAGUGUUGGAAACUAGAAAGAUGAAUUUAAUGGAAAAGUUACACUGUUGGUUGUAAUUGUCCUAGACAUUGAACAACUUGGAUUGGUCUCCCAUGAAUGGAUCAUGUCAUCUAUUUCAGAUUCUUCAUCACCAUGGUCUUCAAUAACAUUUCCACCUGAAGCGUUAAUCGACUCCAGCUCCAUUGCUACUUGUUUCAUGGUGGGUCUUUUCUUUCCAUUAAGAUUCAAGCAUCUUUUUGCUAGUAGAGCCACAACUAUAAUCUCCUGUUCUGGACCAUCCUUUUCUAACAUUGGAUCGAGAAUGUUAAAUAAGGAAUUCUCCUGCAUUGAAUGCAAAAAAUAAGAUACCAAGCUUCUCACUGGCUCUGAUUGUUCUGCGGAGAUGGGUUUCUGCCCUGUUAAAAGCUCAAUAAGAACAACUCCAAAGCUAUAAACAUCACUCUUCUCUGUAAAUUGACUUGAUCGAAAAUAUUCGGGAUCCAUGUAUCCGAAAGUUCCUUGCACCCGAGUGGUUAGAUGUGUUUGUUCAAGUGCAACUGAUCUUGAAGUUCCAAAAUCUGAUACUUUUGCC
This 459566-nucleotide long non-coding RNA is filed under the name Gossypium barbadense (sea-island cotton). Its description in RNAcentral is "long non-coding RNA (GBAR_LNC007896)". The stretch from base 141577 to 141682 matches the Rfam family "Plant small nucleolar RNA R71". The record is from RNAcentral. Lineage: Eukaryota; Viridiplantae; Streptophyta; Magnoliopsida; Malvales; Malvaceae.